Molecule: long non-coding RNA, 371175 nt
Filed under: Setaria viridis
Lineage: Eukaryota; Viridiplantae; Streptophyta; Magnoliopsida; Poales; Poaceae
Description: long non-coding RNA (SVIR_LNC000035)
Source: RNAcentral
CCAUGCUUUAUGAUGAUCAAGUGCUUCAGUUUUGAUUAUGCUUUAUGAGUAAGGCUUGAAUUGGAGGUGAUCUAAAAUUUUAUUGCUUAUCUAAAACCUCUGCAAAAACAAGAUUGAUCAAGUUCUUUAACUAGGUUGAGAGUUAUUAUUUAUCCUAGCCAAUGCCUAAAAAGAUUUCUUCAUACCACCAUAAGCAGAUUUGACGCUUUGAAUUGAGUUAUGAUCUUUCUCUCUUAGUUUGCUUUAAUUUUGAGCAUUGAUCAUAUCCUUUUACCAUCUCUGAUUUCUAGCCUCGUCAAUAUUCAGUAAUGAGAGUUCUUCACUGGAAGAAUCAUAUUUUCUACUGAAUUACUAAACUCGAACCAAAUAUUUCUCAAUUUUAUUACCUAUUCCUUGAACACAACCCAGUAUUUGAAGAUCUGUUCUGUUUCUGGUCGAGCUUUAUGAAAAAUAAGGAAAGUUACAAAAAAAGAAGUUUCACCAGAAAGUUGAGCGAGAGUGGAGGAAAAGAGAGGCUAGGCUGAUCAGCUUAGUCCCCUCCAUGCCGAUCAGCCUAGGGCCUCCUUGCCUUGGUUUUCACGCAGCAAAAUUCUGGAAGGCCUCUGGAAGGUUCUAAAACUAAUUUUUAUGGUGUGGUGUUCAAAGGAGGUUCGGAGAAGAGAUUAAGAAUAAAGAAAGAAAGGAAGAAGGAAAGAAAUAAUAGAAGAAAAUGAAAAAUAAAUAAAGGAGGAGUUUUUAAGAGAGGUGCAAAGAAAAGAUGAACUUGUUUAUGGAACAGAUUUUCAUUCCAACCAUGUGCAAUCCGAUGACAAGGACAUUGCUUGUGCCUCAGAGUUACUAUUUUAUUUGCCUUUGCACAUGUCCACCAUUCUAUAUCUUCUCAUCCUUGAAAAUCUCACAUUAUGUUCAUAUUCUUUUGAUCAAUGACUUAGAAGGUAGGCAACCGCUAGAGAGUUUUCUUAAUUCGAUAAUAGCUAGCCUUACCCAAGCUCCACAAUAUAAUUGAGUGAUUUUUGAGAGAUGAGAGCUUGCAAAUAAGUAGGAUAGCCACCAUUCACUUGAGCGACAUGUAAGCACCUAGAAAAGGAUUCUUUUUUAAUUUUUUUUGUAGGGAGAUUAUUUUAUGAUGAAAGAAAAACCCUUCGAAAAAAGCCAGAAAGUAAGUGUUAGUUGAUUCUUGAAGUUACUUGAUCUUAAUAAUAGCUGUGGGGAAUCUUUGCUUAGAUAAAUCUUUGAACACCCAUACUUUGAUUAUCUUUGCUGCUCCUCUGACCUUUUAUUUGAAGGCUAGGUACUUGACUCGCUUGCUCAGGUUUAGUUCAAGAUCAUUUUCCAACCCUACUGGAGAAGUUUAUAGUCACCCGAUUUGCUCGAGUAGGAGCAAGAGCUAAGCGUGAGGGGAUUGUUGACACUCGUUAUUGACAUACUUUUAGUGCUAUUUAACUAGUGUUUUCAUGCUUAAUCUUAUACUAACCCGCUACUUGGCACCUAAAAUAACCCCAUUAUUGCAUAUAUUUUGUAUUUUGGAGUAUAUUGUAAUAUGAUAGGAAAUAUGACAUAAUCAAGGGUGUUUGCAUAAAGAGCUUAAUGGAUAUUUAGACAUGGGUUGUCGAGGAAAGCUAGCACGAGGAAGGAGAGGACCAGAAGGGCUAGGAAGGCCCCAGGCCGAUCGGCUUGGGACUCUCUAGGCCGAUCGGCCUAGCCUAUUCCAGGGCCCAAUCGACCUCCCGCUUCUUCAGCGUGAAGUUUACAAUAAUGUCUAGGGUUUUUUCACCGACGUUGACCAGAGCUGCCGCAUAUGGGAGACUAAAUACCCCAUCAUGAACUUCAAGGAAGAGGGAGUUGGAGAGAGAGAAGAAAACACCACGUAAACACCAUCCACCGCCGCGACAAGGAGAAAAAAUGGAGAGAAGAUUGGAUCUAUGAGAAGCCACGCAAAGUGGAUCGGCUUGGAGGUGCCCAGACCGAUCGACCCAGGGCUUUUUUGCCCCCGUUCGUUGUCGUCUUCGGUCCAAUUGAUCUACAGGGCAAUAUUUACCCAGAAUUCUAUCAACAUGUGUAAGAUCAUAGGGUAAAGUCUUUGUUUGACCUCGAGGUUGUAUGGAGACCUUGAUUUGUAAUCGUUGAACCUCUUGUUUAAGAUCUAUUUGUUAUCUAUCAUAUAUUGAUGAUGCUCUUUCAUGUAAUGGCUGACCAACGCUAUUUCUGGUUGCUUAUUUUCUUACCUAGAACGAUCAUCAUGCCGUAUUCUUAUUGUUCAAUAAUUGAGUACCCUCGUGUAGUGAUAACGUGUGAGAGGGAAAGUGUUGGGCAUGGUUCACAUCACCUCAUGAUAACACUUAGAUCUAGUUCUUUAAUGCAUGAUGAUUACAUCUACAAGUGAUCCUAGAUCCCUAGGACAAGCAUUUUGUCUAUCUUGUUUAUAUCCAUACUCUCUAUCCGCUUUAACCUAAGUUACAAGUUCUUUUGUUAGUCCAAUCUUAUCAUAUACAAAGAACCUUCGGUUACAUAGAUUAGUGCUUAGUUAAGCGUGCAAAUGCACUUGUUCCAAAAAUUAAUAAGCCUUGGGGGAUUACUCUAAGGGAAGAGCUACAACUGAUCCGUACGCUUGCGAUUCAUAAAUUGGCAUGCUAACUGCCGUUAACAGGAAUAAAUUUCAAGUUAGAGGGCUCAUGUAUUCAAUACAUAGUCGAGUAAUAUACAACUUCAGGGCUACACUGAAUAGUCUAAGUUCAAUUAAAAAGAAUGUAUACUACUAGUUAAUGUGCUUCAUGGAAAUUCAGUUUCCAUUCUACUUGCAUUGUAGCAAUGCACAAUAACUAUAACCUAUAUGGGUUACUUGAGACUUUAGUGGAAAAAUAAUUUCAAAUGAUUAUCAAAUAGGCAAUCUAAAGCAAUUAUUUACAAUAUUCAGUAUGUAAUUCUUUUAUGUAUUCCAUGAUAUUAAAGUGAUUACUACAGGUAAAAAUUGCUACAAGCAAGUGGGCAUAAGAUGAGGUGAGAAAAACCUAUAUAGAGGUAAGAAACACCAAUUUAUUCAAAUUGCCCUUGUAUUCAGGGAAACAUUCUUGAACUAAUGCUAAACUUCUGGUCUUGAAGCAAAAGGUAAGUGCUUACUCUUCAAGAGUGUAACCAAAUUCUUCAUGAAUAUAAUUAAUAAUGCAACUUUUGUAAGAAAUUCUAUUUAUUAAUGGUUAUGGUAAGAGGAUGAAACUUCUUUGUCUCACUACAUCUCCCCCUAAGCCCAACAUCACUUCUGGCAUAUACAUUAUUUCCCCUCCACUUUAUGUGGUUUAUACAAUUUCUGAUUGUAUAAAUAUUUCUAUCUUGAGUUUAUGCAUAUUCUUUGAGAACUGCAAAAGUGCCUACAUGGCAACACAAUAUGAUUCUUCAAGAAAAUAAUAAUUUAACAUAACUUCAUGUUAUGUAUGAACUCAAAUAGGUGACAUACUUCCAUAGAAUUUACUGCUAUUGUAAAAUCAUAAUGUCAUGUUGGGAAGUAAAUGUUUUGAUUUCAAUUAGCUAAAAUAACUUUCAGAGUUAUAUAGAAAUUUUUCUGGAAAUUACAUGGUGCUAGGCGUAAAACCAAUAUUAUGUCUCUUUGAGAAAUAAUGGAUUUUAUGUCACAUCCUACAUUAUUCAUGCAAUUUCUAUAGGCACACUUCAUGUGUUUUAAAGGCAUGAAACAAGUGCAAAAUUAAUUAAGUACGGUUACUCCAUUCAAUAGAUAAUUUAUAUAGUUUCCCAGAAUUUUCCUAGCAAAAAUAUUUACCCUAUUCACACAAUUGCCAGGAAAAACAUAAAAAUAUGACACUCUUAGGGGGGUAUUAUGUCUAAGGUUCUUCAAGAUUGAGAGAGGUCAUAAAUCUAAAUCCAUUUUCUAUGAUUAAAGGUAAUUUUCUAACCACUUUAGGGAUUAAUGGUUUAACUUUCAGAAUUAUAUAUCCAUUAAACAUACUAGAAAAAGUUAAAUAUGAGCCUAAAGGGGUUUUAAAAAUUUAGAGACCUCAUAUACCUAAAACCAUGUUUCUAUGGUUAAAGGCAUGAUUUACUAUAUCUAUGUGCAAUUAUGACACUUAUAUCAUAAAAUAGAAAAUAUACUCUUAUAAAUAUCAAUUUACAUGGGUUCAAAAUGUAAAAGACAUGUAAAUUCUUAACGAGCCACAAAAACCGUAAAUCUGAGGUAUUUUCUGCUAGAAAAUUUUAUUAAAAUAAGAGUUCAAACUGCAAGUUUCUAAGAGUGCGCUUGAAUUCAAUAUUAUUCCAGGGAGUUUUUCGCAAAAUCAACCAUUCAAGGUUUCUAAUCUUAUUUGUUCCCGCUGUGAACCCUUCAUAGGCCAGCCCACAUGGACUCGUUUGCCGGUAUGGGGUCAGGUCAAACUCUAACCCGGACCCCUCUCCUCUCCUCCUCCUCCGGCCGUCUCACCUGAGCUGGCUACGGCGACAGGCCGUACGUUCUUGUUAGCAGCACUACAAGGCCUCGGGGUGAUGACAUGGCUGCUGCUAGCAGCGUGACUCGGCUGCGAGUGAUGUCAAGACCGAUGCGCAUGCGGGCGGGUCUCGGCUUCAGUGCUAGCACGUUGGUGUAUCCGGCUUGCGUUCAAGCAAAACCGGUAGCGAGUGGUGUGAGGAGACAAAUUCGGCUUCGAGCGGUAUUCGGCUCUGAGCAAAGCUCUGCUUCUGGCGGCGAGCUCGGUUGCGGGUGGUGUUCAUCUUCGGGCAGGCGGUGGCGCAGCUUCGGGCAUGUGCUUGUGCUGGGCCGUCUUCAGGCGGUGGUGCAAAUGCGGAUAGUGGCGCAUGGCUAUAGUUGGCAACGGCGUGUCGCUCUCUCUCUAGGCGGCGGUGUUCGUUGCAAAUUCGCUUGGGACUUAAGCUCCCAGGUAUAGUUGGCCAAACGGGCAGCCCGACCUGGCCUGGCACGAGCAUGAUUUGGCCCGACACGUUUAGGCCCGCACAAUAAUCGUGCCGGGCCAUGCCGGCCCACGUGCUGAAGGAGAGGCUCAGGCAUGGCCGACAACCUUCUUAGGCGGGCCGUGCUGGCACGCUAGCCCGGCGGGCCUUAAUGGCCUCGCCGUGCUCGUGCCAGCCCGCGACACGGCAUAAAAAACACCUUCACUAGAAUUCGAAUCAUCGUACCAAUUCGAAUUUCACAGUUUGAAAAUCAAAUUCAAAACUAAUACAAUCAAAUUCACAGCUUCACAAUCAAGAUCAAAUUCACAGCUUCACAAUCAAGAUCACAAUCAAAUUCAUAGCUUAGUUCACAGCUUGUAAAGGAAGCUCACAAAUGCACAAGUUCACAAUCAAGACCAUAAUAACACAAACAUAUUUGAAUAUUAUUUUGAGAUGUUUGUGUUGCUGCCUCAUUAAAAACUUUUGUAGGUAAAAACUCACAUCUCGUGAAAAAAGAGUACAGCUAGCUCAUCAAAGUUCAAUGUUCAUUACAUCAGACAUUACAAGAUUCACAACAGUAACACUAGAACACCAACAUAACACCAACAGAACACCAUCAGGCUUCUGGCUUGCUCCUGAACACCAACUGAUCACCAACAGGGCAACAAGCUUCUGGCUUCUAGCCUUGAUCACCAACAGGCGUCUAGCUUCUUCCAACAUAACAGCAACAAAGGUUUUACUUCUUCAAGUUCAGGAUACAAGUUCUCAAAUGUCAGGAAAUGACAGAAAUGGAAGAACCCUUACCGUUUACAUUUAAUCAUCAAGAUAGAAGUUCUCAAAUGAUUCUUCAAGAUCAGGAUCAUCGACGGUAUGCUGCAGUCUUGAAUCUCCUUGCUCCCAAUCCUUGAUCAAAGCUAGGAUCUCCACCAUUUCAGGGGUCAGACGAUGUCGCCGCUCCUCAAUAAUCCUGCUAGUGGUACUAAAUACAGAUUCUAAAGAUAUAGUAGAGACAUGCAUAGUCAUAACAUCCCUAGCUAAGAUAGAAAGAACAUGAUAGGAUAACUUAUGCUCAUGCCACCAGUGCAAUAUGUUGAAGUCAUCAUCAUACUGGUUGAUAGUAUUAUUGUCUAGGUAGGCAGAUAAUUUAGAAGUAGUAGUAAGAAAGGCACCAGUAUGAGCAGCUUGCAACAAAGCACUAGUAGACUGUCUCCUAGAUAGGGAGGAGGAAACAGAACUAGAACCCAGACCAACACCAAGUCUAGCGGCAGCAUAACUAGAUGAAGUACCCUGGAAACUAAAAAUCUUACCCCAAGUAGUCUUCUUCUUACCUGUAGGCCUUGGCUGUAUAGCCCUCUGCAAUCUCACAGAACCAUACUUAGCAUCAUACUUGGAAAAGAUUGUAGACAAUUCAGCUCUUACAUCAGUUAAGUAACAAGAAUAAUCCUUUCCAUUAUGCUGAGACAAUAGCUGAAGAACAUUGCUAAAACCAGUAAUCUUAGCUCUAGGAUCCAAUAUAAAUGCAAAUAAAUAAAAUAUAGGUAUAUCACACCAAUAAUCUAAGAACUUCAAAUACUAGUGUUCAAGAAAUUGUUCAAGAAAAUAUAGGUAUAUCACACCAGAUAGAAUAAUAGUAGAAUCAUAGAAUUAUUCAAGAAAUAACAUAAUCUUUUCAGCAACAUACUAGUGUAAUUUUGUCAGGAUUGUCUAGCCUUCAAACAAACCAUAUUGAGUGGUUAUGAACUGAUGAAAUGUGUUCUUAUGGGGCAUUAGAUGCUUGAGCAUGAGAUAAGUUGAAUUCCAUCUAACAUCCAUGUCCAAAGCAAACUUACGAGGACGAACAACAACAACAAUGCAAUAUGACUUGUAUGCAGCAAUACGUUGGUUAGAACAAUUUAGGAAUGAAAUUGCAGAUCUAAAUGAACUAAGCAUAAGCUUGAAAACAUCAAGGUCAACCUUAACAAUAAGAUUAAUAAUGUGACAAGCACAACGCUGAUGAAAAAUAGUUUUCUCAUAUAACCAGACAGUGAAGGAUGGAGCUUACCAAUGAUACCGUAGUUUUGUAUGGCCAGGAGCCGGGCCUAAACAGGCUGUGCCGACCGUUGGUUUCCCACGGGCCAAGUGGGCCAGGCCGUGCCGGGCCAGCACGCGUGCUGAGGCAGCGGUCAGGCACGGCCCGUGGUGUGGGCCGUGCCAGCACAGGCACAACGGCUGCCGUGCUGGGCUAUGCCAGGACCGGGCCAAAAAAGCUGUGCUUUGGGCCGGCCCACGGGCCAUAUGACCAACUAUACUCCCAGGUGGCAACAUACGGCUGCUGGCCGUUUGGUCGAAAGCGGUGGCGUGCGAACCAUGGAGACACAUCUGCGGGACGCAAUACAGCAGGAAGGCGACAGCAUGCUGGCGGCGCGUGCAGGCGCUUCUCACCGUGCCUGUGGUGCUUUAUGCACGCAUGCAGGCGUGCGUACAAACUAGCUACCAGAGCUAAGUUUGGUAAUCACGUAUUAUCUGCUUUUGUGUUGAUAAGCAUGGGUUUCAUCCCGUGCAUGUGUGUGAUCAAGAUCAAUAUGCAAGUUUGAUCCAUCCAUGUCCGCGUUGGUUUUCUUAGCUGCCAUAUCUAUGCCGAUUGAUGUGCGUAUGAUUGCAAGCUCACGUUAUGCGUAUGGCGACCUUGCAUGCCGCGUACAGUAGAUUGAAAAAUUCCUGUUCGAUGGCCGGAAUAAAAGGUCUAAUCUACUGCACAACCGAAACAAUUCAUACCUUUGUUGUUUGGUGCUAAUUGAUCUACUCCACUUGCCGCGUAGGGCAGUAGAUACAUACCGCAUACGGUAUUAGGCAUGGUCGUAGUCAUGCCUGCUUGAUGGCGAGUCGGUGCAGAUCCGUUCGAUGGCGACGUUGGUGUAGUUAACGUCGUCAAAGUACUCGUUGGCGAGAACAACGGCAAUAGCAUCGGCAUCGAGCUUGAUGGCGACUCCUCCAGCGUAGUCGACGAAGAGCGGUCGUACUAUAACGUGUUGUAGUCAAUAUCUUCUCUCUCACGUCUCUCAUGGCAAGUACAAGAACAAAGUAGAAAAGACACAAUAUAGAUGGAGCUUCCUUUUAUUCCUCAUAUCGAUAUAUUACAAUAAGGGGUACUCGUCUAAUAUAUAUACUCCGAACUAAGAGGGCGAUUGUUUCUUUAGCACCUCCUAAAAUUCCUGUCACAUCUAAUGUUUAGAUACUAAUUAGGAGUAUUAAACAUAGGUUAAUUACAAAAUCAAUUGCACAGAUGGAGACUAAUUUGCGAGACGAAUCUAUUAAGCCUAAUUAGUCCAUGAUUUGACAAUGUGAUGCUACAGUAAACAUAUGCUAAUGAUGAAUUAAUUAGGCUUAAUAGAUUCGUCUCGUGAAUUAGCCUCCAUCUGUAUAAUUAGUUUUAUAAUUAGCUCAUAUUUAUUCCUCCUAAUUAGCCUCCGAAUAUUCGAUGUGACAUGAAUUUUAACCAUUACUAAAGAGCCAAACACCCCUAAGUCUAAAAUUUUGAUAAGAGUCCAAAACAACCGGACAACGACUAGAAUUUCCAGUCCUCCCUCUGUAAGUCCCGAUUGUUUUACAAGUAAUUUUCGACGGAUACCAAGACAUCACAAUCUCAGUACCAUAGACAAAUACGGUUGACCCUUAAGAGACACGAUAUCACUCAAAUCAGCGGGGCCAGCCAGAAUAUAAUACAGCAUCGUCUGUUUUCUUCCACUGGACGAAUAAGAAUCCUUGUAUUGUACUUGCCCGACGACCUGUUACUUGUGACGUUUUCCUGCUCCGAGAGAAAACACGCGGCUUGUACCAUGACCCCGUUGCCAUUUCGCGAGCCCAAACUAAAUGAGCAAGAACCUGGCAAAUUCCCGAGUAACUUCUGUGCAUUUCGCGAGUCCUACCAUUUUAAGCCAGUCCCAUCCCUCCACCUCAGAUAGUUUUCAUAGCAUUAAGUAUGGUGCCAUGUAGGCAAAAAACUAAGGUGGCAAGAGAGUUAAUGAGGAGAGGUGUAAAAAUACAAAGAAACCGGGUCUCAUACAAGACAUGGUAUUGACACGAUCUUCAACGAAGAAUAAGAGAGGGGAGAGAGGAGAAAAAAUUUAUUAUGGCCCACGUCAAGAAAUUAUGAGUUAGAAGUGUAGUUUUUAGAGCUGAUGUCUUGAUGAUUUGGCAAGAUUAACACUAUUUAUGGACAUCGUGAGUUGGGACUGGCCAUUAUCAUACCCAUCCGCCGGUGGAGGUGACCACCGCGUCGAGGUUUGAACCAUCCGGUCAGGCCAGAGCAACGACGUCCAUCGCCUCGCCGCGCCGUGCAGCUCGCCAAGCCAUGGACGACUGCUGCUUCCGCGUGUACGGGCUGGUGAUCGCCAACACGGUGUGCGUCGGCGGCACGGCCUUCCUCGUCUACGCGCUCGUCAAGCUCGCCCGGACGCCGCACAGCACGGGCGGCAUCGUCGUCGUCUCCGUCUUCCUCGUCGUCUGGCUCGCCGUCAACGCCAGCAUCUACCCGGCCUUCUGCGGCUCGCUCUUCCCGUGGUUCGCGCUGGGGCGCUGCCUCGCGUCGCCCCUCAGCGCCAUCCUCUGGCUGCUCCGCUUGCCGUCGAGGUGCGCUCGCGCCGUGCGGAGUCGUCGUCCGAGGAGCGAAACCGGUGCCUUGCCGCAGUUCGUGGUGCAGAGCCGUGGGUACAGCAUCAGCGUGCUUCCCCGGGAGCCGCCGGUGCGUGGCGCCGCCGCUGCCGACAUCCCGUCGUACGAGCAGCCGGACGACGACGCGGGACACGACGGCGGCGGCUCGCCGGAGUGCGCGGUUUGCCUUGGCAAGGUGGAGAAGGGGGAGAUGGUGAAGCGGCUGCCGGUGUGCCUGCACAUGUUCCACCAGGGGUGCAUUGACCCGUGGCUGCGAGACCACUCCACAUGCCCCGUCUGCCGGUGGAACGUCUUCGCGUCGUUGCCGGGCCAUGUAGUGUGACGUUCUUCAUCAUCUCGCCAUUCUUUUAAUCGGUGUGGAGCCAUAACUUGGUAAUGUUGUGUACUACGGCGACCUGCGAAAUGUACAGACGAAUACUGUUUUGUCAUGUAUAGGUUCCUGUAAAGAAAUUAAAAGAAGGUAUAUAAAGAAGGGGUGAUAAGUUUCUUAGAUUGAGUGUUCUUUUGUUAUCGAAAAAGGAUUUUUCAUCUUCGAAAGCUUCAAUGAACUCAUGAUUACGUCAGGGAUGUGUUCUCUCUCAUUAGCCUAGCCGUUCGUUGCAUUAGAGAUCCUGAGCUCUGCCUCUCGACUUCUUCUUGUGAUUGCAUCUGCUACCAUGCCUCUUUGAGCGGCGUCACUUUCUUCCUCAAAAUGCAAUUCGAUCACCAACCAGAAAUGCACGUCCAGAUGUACAAGCGGCCGCGGAGCCUAUCUCCACCGCUGAUCUCGCCUCGGGCCGCGUAGUUGGCCCCACAAUGCUGCCAGCGGUUCGGAUUUUAUAUUCGAGUGGCCCUCACUUGGUCAAAGCCAAAGGUGCCUCGCGCUCGAGCGCCGGAAGCGCCCGCCCCACGCUCGGAUGCCUUCCCCCUCCCUUGCCUUCUCAGUUGCAGUGCUCCCAUGGUGCUCCAAGCCGACCGGUCGCUCCAGGAAGGCUCCGCCAUACCCUCUAGCAAGAGCUAGCUAGAAAGGUGAGAAAGAAACAUUUUCCUUAAUGCAGAGUACAAAGGGGACAAAUCACUAUCUCAGAUCUAGAAUAGCUAACAACCUACGAAUUCGAAACUACUGGAGAACCCUAUCACCUCAGCCCCUCCCCACCCAGCGGCGAGCUGCCGCAUGUAGGGGACUUGCUGAACUCUAUCUCACGAAGCUUCAAUGGUGUGGUACUGGAGAACUCUAUCCCACCCAGCGCCCGGCUUGCUGGAGAUCCGGUAGGCGCCAGGGAAAGAGGAAAAAGACGAGUAGGGGAUUGAACGAGAUGGGCAUCGACCAUGGCCAUCUUGUCGUGGGGAGGAGAGCUACAGAAAAUGAACUAGAUGGGGAUGGCCAUGAAGAAAAACAAACAGGUCAAUAGGGGACUGGAGUGAGGCAUAUUUUUGCGAGGCGCCAUUGAUGCGGAACCGUAACACAUUUUCCUGCGUGAGGGAGGGGUGAGGCAGGAUUCUACGGAGCCAGUUCUGUCCUUUUUGCGAGGCGAGGCACAAUUUGUUGUUGACAAAGUAGGACCCAAUGGUAAAGAAAAUGAAAAGUAUAGGAACCUUUUUGCGUGCAUGCCGGGACACUUUACCUCAUCUCAAGGGAAGCCAAUGCAUGGGAGACGAAGGAUAAGCAAACCGGUCGAUUAUACAUCUGGUUUUUUUUUUUAACUCUGAUUCACCAACACCCUCCUUGAAAACUAGGUUAAGCAAUCAGCACCAGUGGCUAACCACGCUUGACCGUAAUCUCUACUACUACUCCAAUUCUUGGUUUCUUUCAGCAAAGUUCCAAACAUACACCUUCCCUUGCACGAGCACGACUCACUAUAUAGCAUGCAUGAUAGUCAGCUCAUGUUGCUCGAUCUAGACUGAAACUUAACCAGUUGCAUAGUCCCCUAAAUUUGCAUAGCCUCCUAAAAAGGGGGACCAAUUGGGUCAGCUCCAUUGAGAAGUCAGACGACAACCGUCAGUGAUCUACCGCAGUUUGCAGUGCCCAGACGACAGGGCUAGGUCGUGAACAUGCUUCAUAGGAGGGAUCGGUUCACAAUAGUACGCGGGUAGUUGCCGCCGCCGCGCCGACCCGCUGUCGUCAAUGGCAUCCCGGCGUAGGAAGUAGUGGAUCGGGGUGCUGGCCGACAGCACGUCGGAGUGCCCGUUGUGCCUGAGAGAGGUGGAGGAGGGGGAAGCGGCUGCCGGUGUGCGUGCACAUGUUACACCAGCGGUGCAUCGACCAGUGGCUGCACGUGUUGGAAAAUUAGACAUCCACAUGAUUAAAUUCCAAACUAGAUUUAUCAUGAUAAGAACAAAAUCUAGCAUGCAAUUCUGCAACAUAUUAGGCAACAUCAAGCACAACAUCAUGAUCUCAUUAAACAUGAUGAAAGAACAAAUUGGAUCACGGCGUACGUACUUAGUAGGUGCAGCCGUGAUGACAAGUGGUGUUGACGGAACGACGACGGUGUUACGGAUGGAGCGCAGCAGAUAGCAUCGAAGACGAUGGUAUGCCGCAAUGCUGAACUUGGACGGAGGACGAGCCGUGGUGAAGACCUUGAGCAAUCGCGCGGAGCGCUUCCCAAAAACCUUAUUCGCCCUCUCCCGGUACAGGAUCACAAAAGCAAGAGGUUCCGGAGACCUACUCUCCCAUUCGCCGGUGCAUGCCGGCGCUCGGGAUGGAGUAGACUAUGGUGGCGGCGCAGCAGUGAGAAGAGGCAAAAAUCCUAGAACGAUUAGAUGUGUUUUUGGUAGAGGCCGAUAGGUCAUCUCACGUCGUGAUCGUGAUCUAAACCGAUUAGGUUUCCAUAUAUCUUGCUGACUUAAAAACCAAGUAAUAAAAAAUAAAACGGUAAAAGGAAACCACGCCCCCUCAAGGCUAGGGGCCGGAUUUUGGCGAACCAUUCACGCAGGCAUCGCGCGCCCGCACCCUUCGCCCCGCCAGGCUCGGCAAGGCGUGGCGAGGCGAGCGAGCAAGCGCGUGCGGAGCUUUCUUCUCUCCCCACACACAUAGCUUGGAGGAGAGAAGACACCUCCAUAUUUAUGUUGACCAUCCUCCUCCUCAACUAGCAAUGUGGGACUAAAGGUUUGCACCACUUGCUUAUGCCCACACGAGUUUUUGAGAUUUAUUUGGAAUUUCUGAAAUUUGCAAUGGGCCAAGCCCAUUAUUCCAUCAAUCCCCCACCAGAUCUCGAAUGCCCAUCAGAGAUUUUGCAUGUUUCUUACUGCUGUUUAUAUACCAGUGUUUCAGCAAGGACUAUUAAGUUGAACUCUCGCCUAGAGCUUCAAGCUACAUUCAUCCGCAACUUGACAAUGGACUAAGCCUUGAAUUGCAAGUUUUGUGCGGAUAAGUUUCACUUAAAGUCGGAACUAGUACCUAGCUGCUAGUAGCCUACCCCACGGGUGGAGCAUAUACGUCGUACUCCUUGGUCUCUUCAUGAGCUUACUAGAGAUCACCUAAGUCUCAUAGACUGCGACGUUCUACAAUCAGGCUCAUAUAGGUGUUCUUUCAAGAAUGCUAUGUAGGACAGUAUCUUCGCUUAAUCAAGCCAACAGAAACACAUUAAAGGAUAUUGUUAACCUUCCUUUCAGCAUUUGAGAGUGUUGCAUCUUCACAUAGAGAGGGUUUAAUAAUUACUCUCCUCAGUCAACCGACAACUUAUUUUUCCCAAAUCUUAAUUCACAGGAUCUCCAAAUUCAUAGGAUCUCCGAUCACAUAGGUUGGGUUACCACAACGGCAACUUAAACGGGUCUCAUACCCAUCUCACUCGAUGCACAUUCUAUCACAUUCCGUGAUAGCCCUUUUGUAAAGGGAUUUACCAGGUUUUUGUCUAUUUGAAUAUAAGUCACACUUAUUACUCCGGAGUUUCUCAACUUCCUGACAUAUUUCAGUCGUCUCUUGACAUGUCUCGAUGACUUUGCAUUAUCCUUAGCAAUGUUCACUUUGGCUAUCACCGUUUGAUUGUCACAGUUCAUAAGGAUUGCCGGUACUGGUUUAUCAACCACAGGAAAGUCCAUCAAGAGAUCACGCAGCCACUUUGUCUCAAUAGUGGUUGUGUCCAAAGUAGUGAGUUCUACUUCCAUGGUUGAUCUCGUCAAAAUGGUCUGUUUGCAAGACCUCCAUAAUAUUGCACCACCUCCAAGGGUAAACACAUACCCACUUGUGGCAUGUAGGUUAUCAGCGUCCGAAAUCCAGUUCGAAUCACUAUAUCCCUCAAGCACAGCAGGGUGCCCGGAAUAGUGAAUCCCAUAACUCAUAGUACCCACCAAGUAGCGCAUAACCCUUUCAAAUGCAUCCCAAUGAUCAGAACCCGGGUUUGACAUGAACCUACUCAAUUUGUUCAUAGCAAAAGAUAUGUCGGGUCUCAUUGCGCUAGCUAAGUACAUGAGUGAGCUGAUAAUCUGAGAUUAUCUCAGUUGGUCUUUAGCAAUUUUCUUGUUCUUUCUGAGUAUCAUGCUGGGAUCAUAAGGUGUUGGAUAAGGCUUGCUGUCCAUAUAAUCAAAAUGGUUCAAGACCUUCUCCACAUAAUGGGAUUGCGAAAGGGUAAUCCCAUUCUCAUCGUUAAUCAGCUUGAUGUUUAGAAUAACAUCAGCUUCUCCCAGAUCUUUCUAUCAAAGAUCCUUGAUAGAAAAGACUUGACCUCAUUGAUCACAUCAAUGUUUGUUCCAAAGAUCAGUACGUCAUCCACAUACAAGCAUAAUAUAACUCCUUCACCCCCACCAUGAUGAUAGUACACACAUCUAUCAGCCUCGUUAAUGACAAAUCCCGCAGAAGUUAAAGUUCUAUCAAACUUCUCAUGCCAUUCCUUAGGUGCUUGUUUCAAACCAUACAAAGACUUCAACAACUUACACACCUUGCUUUCUUGACCCUUCACCUCAAAUUCAUCAGGCUGAUCCAUAUAGAUCUCCUCAUCCAACUCUCCAUUUAGGAAAACUGUCUUUACAUCCAUCUGGUGGACGAUAAGAUCAUAUGAGGCAGCCAAAAAAAGUAGUGCUCGAAUAGAGGUCAGUCUAGAACCAGGUGAAUAGGUAUAAAAAAAGUCUUCACCUUCUUUUUGUGUGUAACCUUUGGCCACAAGCCAAGCCUUGUACUUCUCAAUAGUGCUAUCAGGCCUAAGCUUCUUCUUGAACAACCAUUUACAACCUACUAGUUUGCAACCAUAGGGUUGUUCAGUGAGUUCCCAUGUCCUAUUAGAAAAAAAUCGAAUCCAUCUCACUUUGGAUAGCUUCUUUCCAAUCAUCUACAUCUAGAGAUGCAUAUGCCUCAGUGAUGGACGUGGGAGUAUUGUCCACAAGGUGCACAUAGAAAUCAUCACCAAAGUAUUUUGCAACCCUCUGUCUCUUGCUCCUUCUAGGAGCUUCAUUGCCAUCCUUCUCUAGAACGUCCUCAUGCUCAUGCUCAUCGGGUUCUUCAGAAGACUCAGCAAGUGCAGUAGGUUCAGGAACUAUUUCAGCAGAAAAUCUAGAAUUGCUAUGCAUAUUUUUUAAAGGAAAUAUAUUCUCAAAAAAUGUUGCAUCAUGAGAUUCCAUAAUAGUAUCAACAUGCAUAUCAGGACCUUAGAUUUAACCACUAAAAAUCUAUCACCAAUGCUCCUUUGAGCAUAUCCUAGAAAGACACAAUCUACUAUCUUUGGCCCCAACUUGCGUUUCUUCGGAAUGGGUACAUUAACUUUUGCCAAGCACCCCCAAGUAUGCAAGUGAAAAAAGUGAUGGUUUUCUCCCAAUCCACAUCUCAUAUGGAGUUUGAUCUUUAUUUUUGUUCGAAACUCUAUUCAGGAUAUGACAUGAAGUCAAUAGAGCCUCCCCCCACCAUACCUUAGAUAAACCAGCAGUAUCUAAUAUGGAAUUAACCAAGUCAGUUGGUAUGCAGUUUUUCCUCUCAACAAUCCCGUUUGACUCAGACGAAUAGGGAGGUGUCCUCUCAUGAAUAAUACCAUGUUGCUCACAGAAUUCAUCAAAGAUUUUAGGAAAAUACUCGCCACCAUGAUUAGAUGCUUGAUAUUUCUCUCAAGUUGAUUCUCAACCUCAGUCUUAUAAAUUUUAAAGUAGUCUAAGUCUGCAACAAAUAAAUAGCAAAAUCUAGUUGCAUCAUCAAUCAAAGUCAUGAAGUAUCUCCUUCCACCUUUUGUCAACACACCAUUCAUUUCACACAGAUCAGAAUGUAUGAGUUCUAGAGGUACCAAGUGUCUCUCCUCAACCGCCUUGUGAGGCUUUCGAGGUUUCUUUGAUUGCACACAACUAUGGCACUUAGAACCUUUAGCAAUGGUGAGGUUCGAAUUAAACACAUGCUGGAAAGCCGAGAUAUUAAACCAAAAUUAAUAUGACACAAACGUGAAUGCCAAGUACUCGCAUCAUCACUAACGUUGCCACAAAUAUGGUUCACGGAAUUAUUACAAAAAUCUGCAAGGAAAAAGUGGAACAAGCCUCCGCAAUCAUAGCCUUUACCAACGAAUUAUCCAUGUUUUGACACGACUAAUUUAUUAGACUCUAACACUACCUUAAACCCAUCCUUGCAUAGGACCAACUCACUCAUAGGAUUCUUGUUGACGGUAGGGACAUGAUGCACGUUCCUCAACUGCACUAUCUUUCUCGAAGUAAACUUCAAAUCUACCGUACCAACACCAUGAACACAGCAUGUGACCCAUUCCCCAUCAGCACAGAGGAAUCCCGGACGACUUGGUAAGAAGAAAACAUGGAGAUAUCAGUACACACACUAACAUUAGCACCCGUAUGAAGCCAUCAACUAGUGGAAUGAAAACUAAAAGAACAGUAGGUAAAUUACCGUACCGAUCUCUAGUGUUGCCUAUGGUCACCGUGUUGACAUCCUUGGACCCAUUAGCCUUGUUGCCCUUGUGGUCUGCACGAUCUGGACAAUCCUUGGAGAAGUGUCAAGGCUCACCACAAGUAUAGCAGUUCAUCUCAGCCUUCUUCUUCUUCUUCUUGAAAGUAGUAGCCUUGACGACUUUGUUCUUCCCUUUGUUCUUGCCAUGUGGGAACUUCUGUACCAUGUUGGCGCUGGACUGACCUUGGCUCCUUUCUUAGCAGUAUCCUUUUUUUCGAGCUUUCUCCUCAACAUCAAGAGAUGCUAUCAGAUUUUCAACUGAUAUCUCCUAUCUCCUAUGAAAGAAGUGGCAAAGUUCCUCCAUAAGGAAGGCAACUUUGCAAUCAUGCAGCCAGCCACAAACUUGUCGGGUAUUGGACACUUAAGGAGCUCAAGAUCCUUCACAAUGCACCACACCUCAUGCGCCUGCUCUACCACAGAACGUUGUUCACCAUUCUGUAGUCAUGGAAACUCUCCAUGAGGUAUAGUUCAUUGCUUGCAUCUGCUGCAUCCAGAGCAUCCCACAGCACCUUCGUAUCUGUCAUGUCUAUGUAGACAUCAACCAGACGGUCAGAGAUAACACUAAUAAUAUAUUCCACGAAAAGGUUAUUGGCAUCAUCGAACUUUUUUUGCACUUCAACAGAGUGUUCACCUUCAUGUUUGCCGAGCCUCGUGUCCCAGAUGUUCAUAGCAUUAAACCAGAGAUGGACCUUUGAUUUCCACCUCUUAAAGUUCACACCGGUAAAUUUUUUCGGCCUCAGUGACUCAGCAAAACCAGCCAUACAAAAAUCAACAGAUUGCCUAAAAUAAGAUUUUUGGAUUGUUGGAAAAUUAGACAGACGCAUGAUUAAAUUCCGAACUAGAUUUAUCAUGAUAAGAACAAAACCUAGCAUGCAAUUCUCUAACAUACUAGGCAACAUCAAGCACAACAUCAUGAUCUCAUUAAACAUGAUGAAAGAACAGAUUGGAUCACAACGUACGUACUUAGCAGGUGCAGUCGUGAUGACGAGUGGUGCUAACGGAAUGACGACAGUGUUGCAGACGGAGCGCAGCAGACGGCAUCAUAGACGAUGGUACACCGCAACACCGGUCUUGGACGGAGGAUGAGCCGUGGUGAAGACCUUGAGUAGUCACGCGGAGUGCUUUCCAAAAACCUUAUUCGCCCUCUUCCGAUGCAGAAUCACAAGAGUAAGAGGUUUUGGAUACCUGCUCUCCCGUUCGCCGGUGCAUGCUGACGCUCAGGAUGGAGUAGACUACGGUGGCGGCACAGUAGCAAGAAGAGGGAAAAAUCCUAGCUCGAUUAGAUGUGUUUCUGGUAGAGUCCGAUAGGUCAUCUCUGUCGCGAUCUAAACCGAUUAGGUUUCCAUAUAUCUUGUUGACUUAAAGGCCAAGUAACAAAAAAUAAAACGGUAAAAGGAAACCCACAACCCCCGCAAGGAGGCUAGAUUUCGACGAACGAUUCACGCAAGCAUUAAAUGCCUGCACCCUUCGCCCCGCCUAAUGAGGUGAGGUGAGCAAGCGCACGCUUGUGAAGCUUUUGUUCUCUCUCACACACAUAGCUUGGAUGAGAGAAGACAACCUUCAUAUUUAUGUUGAUUGUCCUACUCCUCGACUAGCAACGUGGGACUAAAAGUUUGCACUACUUGCUCAUGCCCACACGGACCUUUGAAAUUUAUUUGAAAUUUCUAAAAUUUGCAACGGGCCAAGCCCAUUAUUCCAUCAGCACGGCCACUAAACGUGCCCGGUGUGCCGGUGUGACGUCUUCGCGUCACUGCCAGGCCGAGUAGUAUGACGUUCAUUUGGCCCUCAUUAUUUAUCCCCUUUAUUACUGUAUUGAUGAUUCACGAGACCCAUGGGUUGGCUGAACUUUAUUGAGACAGUGACAAAAAUACAGCUGGUUAAUAAUUGCAGAUGUUGCUUUGACUUGGAGAAAACAAAUUCGAGCUUCUUUGGCAUGAGAUGAAGAGGAGAAAGCAAUCUUCUUCUUCUACACAAAAAGGGCACGCUCCCGAAGGUCUCAUGUUGCAGUAGUUGAAGUGUUCGAGCUCAAACUUCGCAUAUGAAGCAACCAAAGAAAGAACUUGCAUUUUUGUUUUGUGGUGUGAAGUUCCGUCAGUGGUGAACUCAUCGUCUUCAGUGACCUGAAGGAAAGGAUGUUGUAUUCUCCUGUGGAGCGUGUCAGCAGUCAAGGCUGUUACAGACACAAGGUAUUGAAGUUCCAGUAAUUCACGAUUGGUGACAUGAGUCUGUCGUGGGCGAAGGGAGAGCUGAAGUUCUUGAGCUGGCAGAACUUUUGUAAACUGAUGCAUGGGGUUUUGUAAUGUGGCUGAAAAGAGCAGGAAAUAAACUUGACCUGUGGAAUGGUAAAUGUAAAUUUAGUGAUCUGCAAGGGUGUUCUUUUAUUAGAUUUCAGAAACACGUAGUAGUAGCACAGCAGGACACAGUCCAUCCUAAAGAGAACGAAAUUCUAACUUUGUAUGUGGACAAGCACAUGUCCAGAUACAAAGCUAGAAUUGCAUUCUUUGCAUUCUUUUGGACCGAGUGAGUACUUGAACCAUGACAUAGUUGGAUUUUGACAUAGUUGGAUUUUAUUGGAACCAUGACAUGGUUGGAUUUUACUUGAACCAUGAAGUUUAUCUGCACAAAGUAAACUUAUGCAUUUUUCGCUAAAUCCUCAAAGAUGUAAUCAACAAAAUUGUAGCCUCUAAAUUGAGCUCGGACGGGUUGGAUUAACAUAACAUACAUGUCAAUGCAUCUGAAUUCUUAAGGAAAACCAAAUUAAUGCAAAUUGUUCGAAGUUCAUAACACAGCAAAAAUCUCACAGGUCACAAUGCCCAGCGCACCAUAUCCGUCUUCUGAAUCUGUAAACUAGCUUAUUCUGUUUAAAGCAAGUAAGUAUAAACUGCAGGACGGUGCAACGUCCAAUGAAAACACCUUAUUCUACUGGGGUGGCUACUCUUGACUCUUGAUGCAGUCCGUCACCUUCAUAUCUGCACCAUGUUCUGGGAAGAUGGGAGGCCAGACCAUCACGAAUGGAAGAACACGUAUAACGAAAUCAUUGUCCGGGUUCCUCUGGUACACCUUCUUCACAUUUCUGCUCUUGAGAUGCAUGUACACGAUGACGCCAGUUCCUACGAACUCCAAGAACACAAACUCGGCGUUGUCCCCAACACCGACCACCGACACACCAUCCUCCUGCCCGUCUGCCGGCUCGCAGUCCUGCUCUACGAGAUGCCCACAUGUCUCGAGCAGGGAAAUGGUGUCCCUGAGUACCCAAUCACCAUUCCUGCUUCCAUCAUCUCCAUGCUCAUUCAUUCUCUUGAGCCAGACGGUGAGCUUGUCUCCCUUCACAUGGAAGAGGUAGAGAGCAGAGUCAUCGCCCCGGCAAGAGGUAAGAUUGCCGUGGUACUCAAAUUCCACACCUUCCGGGAGAUCGACGAUGGAGAAUCUCGCGGUGGCCAGAUCCAGUGCGAGGAUGUAUCCUGCCCUGGUCAGCAUGUAGAUCUUACCGCGCAUGAGCAGAGUCACCGUGAGGAUCUUCUCCGGCGACCUAGCGAGAUCAGCCAAGGCAGAGCAGUGGAUGCUCCAGGAGCCGGCUCGCAGGACAAGUACCCUUGCAUAGACCUUCUGGUUCUUGUUGCCAAUGUCGACACGGUAGCAUGAGGAGUCGUCACCAUCAUCGUCAGGGAGGAGCAUGGCGUGAGGGCACUCGGCGGGCCAGGUAUUGGAUGGCUGCGGUGGGAACACGACUGUGUCUUCUCCAGGAUGCCGCAGCGGUGUUCGCACAGCAGGGGCGAGAGCGGCGUGGAUGGAUUCGCCAAAUUCGUAGAGGACGCCGUCGUUGCGGCAAUCCCAAACGUUCAACAAGAGAGAAUCCAUAUCAGGGAAAUUAAAGUUGCCAUGACGGAGUGCGACUGCAAGCUCCGGACAUGAGGCAUCAGGCAUCGGCACGAACUCCGGCUGCGAGAAGUCAUCGCUGCAGACGUAGAUCCCCAACAGACGGGGUGAUUGCUUUGCGCGGAAGCUGCGGAUGAUGGCCUGGUCGGAGGCGUUGUGGAGCCAGCGCUUGUUGAUGAUUGCAGCACGAACGAGGCAGGCGGGGCAGUCAAGGCGGAGAAGAAUCUCACCUACAAGGCCAUCGUUCGUGAGGACCUUCGCGGUAGAGGUUUCAUCAUCCUCGAAAGGUCGGAAACGCAUCAUGGCUUUGGUAGGCAUCACUCUUACUUUGGGAUUGUUGGUUUCUCAGCGGUUCUGUUCUUAUUUCCACUUUAGGAUGCCAAAACUUAUAGUGCCCCACUCUUACCAUUGAAUGGCAGCUGUCACCCAAAACAAAUUAUGUGUAUGAAUGCCGCAGGCCGCUGCCGCUUAAGCGCUACCUCCAAAGACAACUGUUUCACAAUAAUUCGGUAUCCAUGCCAUGCCGCUCCUAAAGCAUGCAUAGCCGAAUGGAAGAUGUAUAUCUCUAUCUCUCUCAAAUAAAUGAUCUACAUCCCUAGCCCGACCUCUGAGUAAGCAUUAGGCCUUAUGACACGUGUUCCAUGGAGAUCUAAUACGUGUCCACCACUGCUAACACCAAUUGUUGCCCCAGGUGGAGAUCUAAUACGUGUCCACCACUACUAACACCAGUUGUUGCCCCAAGGUGAGUGCUUGUCAUGUAAGCUCUCUAAGUUUGUAAUCACCGACUGACUCUGCUUGGUCUGUUGUCUCUCAAGCAAAAUGCUGUGAAGGAUUGAACAGUUGAGUGCACACACCCUUCCUCGUAUGCUUCUCAUACCACGAUAAGUAUUAGUCAUGAUUGGAAAGAAAAAUGACAGCAUCAAGCCACGCUCCCCAGAGGAGACGCUUGAACUUAUUAAUUGGAUCCAUCUGAUUAAAAAAUCUUGUGUACAAGGAAGAUAUGCAUCUCCCUGUAAUACAUGCCACUUCUAUAUCUGAAUUCUGAUGGGUUGAUCUUCUCUGAGUAUUUGUGUAUCCUGUUUGGGCCGUCAACUCGUAAUUUACUUGCAUAGCAUGUUUAUAUAGCAAUGUAUGACAGUAUGAAUGUACAAACAUGAUUGCUUUCCGUAAUGCUUCGAAUGUCUGCAUCAAAACUGUUUUGUUCUGUAUAUAUAGGUUAUGUAUUUUGCAUGCUGUGAAGUCAUCCAUUUCUUCUUCGAAGAUGGUAAGAAAUUGACAUCCCAAUGUUCAAACUUUCUGAGCUGAACAUUUCUAUUUUCCCAUCCUGAACUUUGAUUUUGGUUUGGAACUUUGAAGGACAUGCUAAAGAACGUUUGAACUUUGGAAAAGAUGCAAGCAUAUGUUACAACUUUAUUUUGAGUAAAGCUCAAUCAGUUAUUCAAUGCAACAAGCGUUUGCCCAGAACAAGCCGGUACAAGCCUUACAACUAAAAGACUCAAACUUAUGGGUAAACAAGAUAUGGUAUGAAACCUUCCCCCACGAGAUCCAAGACAUGUAUUUAUCUAGCCAUUAUAUCGCCUGUCCUUGAGGGUCUCAGGAUAUCACCUAAUUUGUAAGUGCUACACAAGAGAAUCUUUGUUGAGGCGCUGAAGAGGCUUAUCUCAGUGGUAGGGUUUGGACUUCGGGCUUAGGCAUUAGACUUUAGAUGUUCGGAUUUAGGGUAUGGAGUGGGUUUAGAAGCAUACUUGGGCACAAUUAGUUGGACAAGUACAUCAACCCAUGCUCUUGAAUGGUUAAUUAUUAAUUUUGAGAGACAUGAGUAUUAAAAAAUUAUAAUGAAAAUUAGGACUCAUAGAUAAUGAUAAAAUGUAUUUAUCUUGUUCUCUCUCAUGCCCAUUAAAUGUUUAAAAUAAUACUCAUAUAACGUACUUAUUUUUAUCCUGCUAUUGUGAUAGCUCUAUUUAGUAAUUACUAUAUACACAUUUUCAUCCACAUUCGUAGUUAUUUUUUCAAUUUGAAUCUCAACUUCGUAUAUGUUUGUUGUAUAACUGAACAUUUAGUUUGAGCGAUGUGUUUAAUAUAGAAAUCUAUUCUCAUGGUUUCCACCAUGCAUGUAUACCAUUAUGCAUAUGUACCUUGAUUUAGUGUUUUCUGUAUUACAAUGACAUAAUUAAUUAAUUAGAAUUACGUAUACAUUGGGAUAUAUAUUUUUUGUAAGAUAAUUUAGAUAUAAAUUUAAAGGUUACUUUAAGUUAUUUUUAAUAUUGAUAUAUAUAUAUAAUUUAGAUGCAAAUUUAGGGGAUUAUUUUAAGUCUAUUUUAUAGUGGCAUAAGUGGGUAACGUAGAAGAAGAUUAGGGAUUUACUUUAGGUUAUCUUUUAUAAUGAUAGAUGUGCGUAAUUUAAAUAUAGACACCGAGGAUUGUUUUAGAGUGUUUUCAUAAUGCUAGAGAUUGAAAAAAAUUUAGGUUAUUUUUCAUAAUGUUAGAGGGGUUAUUUUAGAAUAUUUUCGUAAUCAGUGUGUAAUUUUUUAGAAAAAAUAAUAGAUCCAACGGCUAUUCCGAUUAGAAUUAAUAGAUUUAUGGUAAGAUAUUUUUAAUUUUUAUGAGAAUUUCUUAUAUUUAUCUUUUUUUUUCUAGUGCGUGUUGUGAGAAUUAACCUGGAUGCUAUAGAAGGAGACUUCAUUUAGUAAUAUUAAAAAUAAGAUGAUUUGCGAGUAGUGGUCCCACGGAAACCAAGAAUAGGAGCAGGAGGUUGGAAAAAGUUGCCAAUAGGGAAUGAUGGCCGGUCGAAGAUGGGUUGGCCUAUCAAUGCAUGGCGGGUGGAGGAGUUGGAGUUCAGGGCUUCAGGCCAAUGAACUAGGCAUGGCAUACAAACUUAGUAUCGGGGUGAUGAAAAGUAGUUGAAGAGGAGGAUGAAAGGGGAUUGGGAGGUGGAGGAAAGUGGCUGAUUGUUGAAACAGAAAGGGAAGGAUAUCUAGUGCGUAGCUCCAAAUUGAGGUGUUUUGGUAGUACGAGCUAGAAGAGCCCCUUUUAUCGUUUUCUCCAUAAUUUUGCUCGUCAGCAAGGUUGGGUCGAGCUCCUCAAUUUUGCAAGUCACCGAGGCCGGCCAGGUCUCCGUGGAGCUCCUUGAUUUCUCCCGUUGAAUUUAUGUGCAUCGACAGUGAGUGGCCAAGAAGGAACCAAAGGAAAGGGACGUGCAGAAAAUUCUUAAGUUAAAAUGGAUACAAAGCGUUUUGGUAGAGAGGGAGUACACCAAACGCCUAACUAAUCGAAUGCCCCUGUUUCAUUUGCUUGCUGACGAUUGUUUCCUCUGCACGAACCAACACCGUUGACUUGGAGAAAAAGAACACGCUUUCAGCCAAUCGCUCUUCGUCGCCAUUUCGCGGGCACAGGGAGUGAGGAUCUUGGAAAUUCCCGUAGAAUUUGUGCUCACGACCCAUAUCAUCAUCAUCCGUGUCACGCGCACCCGCGAGUGAAGGAGGUUUACUAGAGCAGCUCAGCUUCAGCACCCCGGCUCAACUCAACGCGCGCGCCAGGCCGCCGCCGCAGCGAUGGACUGCUUCAUCCGCGUGCUCGGCCUGGCCAUCGCCAACUUGGUCUGCGUCGGCGGCACGGGCGUCCUCAUCAACUCGCUCGUCCACCGCGCGCGGACGCCACACCGCACGAGCGACAUGGUCGCGCUCUCCCUCUUCUUCGUCUUCUGGGUCGGCGUCAGCGCCUGUGUCUACCCGGCCUUCUGCGGCGCGCUCUUCCCGUGGUCGGCGCUGGGCCGUCUCCUCGCCCCGCCUCUGCGCGCCGCCGCGUGGGUGCUCCGCCUGCCGUGCCGGUGCGCGCGCACGGUCGCCGGUUCCGUACUACAGCGCCACCGGAGCAGCAGCGGCGGCGGCGGCGCUUCGGGCGCGUUGCCGCAGUUCGUGGUGCGAGGACAGGGCGACGGCGGCAUCUACGUGCUCGCGCGGGAGCCACCGGUGCGCGGCGGGGCGCGGGUGGUCGCCGUCGACGACAUCCUGGCGUACGAGCAGCAGCACGGCGACAAGCGGCCGGACGGCGCGUCGGGCUGUGCGGUGUGUCUCGGCGAGGUGGAGGACGGGGAGAUGGUGAAGCGGAUGCCGGGGUGCCUCCACAUGUUCCACCAGGAGUGCAUUGACCUGUGGCUGCGCGACCACUCCACAUGCCCGGUCUGCCGGUACAACGUCUUCGCUCCGAUGCCGGAUCAAGUAGUAUGAGUGUGACAACGUUUAGAUUCUUGCCAUUUUUCUUGUCUAUCUUGGUAGCGAGAGGCAACAAAAAGAGCUUACUGUAUAUGUAACUGGGUAAAUGUAAAUAGAUGUAGAUAUAGAGACUAGUAAAAUCUUCAUCCCCUACAAUUUAGUUUUCUAGAAUCCUAGCUAGGAUAGGAAAAGUUGGGAAUUGUAAACUGCUGGCAAAUAUGAGCAGAUUUUGUUCAAAGAGCCCUUUAUUUCAUAUAGUGUGUCACAGGAGGCAAAACCACAUAGUGGUGCCACUGCAUCAGGUGCAGAGAUUGAGUGGGAGGAAUGUUAUCGUUGUCCCAGUCUCAAUCAAGUGCUGGUUAGGCAGACUCACUGUAACGAUUUAGCCCAGGAAAAUAGCUCAUGCCCAUUCUGCACGUUGAGUGUAACACACCUACACUAAAACCUACUUACUAUACGCUUUCAUCCUCGCUUCACGUAAAAAGAUUAACCCGAGGUUGAAGUGCUUCCUAAAACUAGCUAUUUAAGUUGCAGUCACUCUUCUUUGGCUAGCAAUACGGGACUAAAUCCAUACAUGCUACCUGGUGGAGUAGCCGCAAGGCCAUUUUGGCCCAUGGGCCUCACACUCACUUUCUUGUUGAGGGGGAUUGGAGGUAGAGCUGGGACUUGGGCCGUGCCAUGCUACGGGCACGGCCCGGCCCUCUCAUGCCUCGUGCCGCAUCGUGCCUAGACUUCUAGGCACGCUAGGCAUGUCGUGUCGCGCCGGCAUGGCACGACAAGCCUCUUACUUAGCCCAAGCACGAUCUGGGCAUGCCGCCACGUCUUUGAGCUGUGCCGACCCAAGCACGGUCCUCGCAAUACAUGUAUUUGUUUUUUAUUGGUGUUCAUUUGCUUGCACAUAUUUUUUCUCUCAUACGUAGAAAAUAAUUUCUAAAAUUAAUAGAGGAAACAAACUGUAUUAUAUAAAUGUUGUAGGUGAAUGUUAUGAUUACCUGUGGCCAUACGAGAACGCAUCAUUAUUACGUUAUGAAUGACCAUUAUCACGAUUCCAUACUUGUAAGUUGUAAGGCAGAUUUUGUGGUUUCAUUCUACAGUAAUAGUUAUGUUAGGCUAUAUGACACAUAAAACGAAUGAUAUUAGGAUGAUAUAACCUAUAGAUGUUCUAAUGAGCCAUUUUCGUGCCGUGCCGGCAAAAGCACAGCCCAAGAUACAUACCGUGCUGUGCCACCCGUCGUGCUGAGAUUCUAGGCACGGCACGGCACGGAGGUAUGUUCGGAGUAUUUGCAUGCAUGUGCUGUCACAAGUCUUUGAGCAAAGAGAACAGGGGAAUUUUAAACCAGCAAGAUCAAGCAAAAUUUGCGUGGCAUUUUAUCUAACACUGCCCUCUCUCCGCACAUUUGGCGAAUACCAGCCCCUGUCACUAUACAUCCCCUUGACAACAUAGCAUGGUCAAAUACAACACCAUGGAAAUGUUUGGAGUAUGAUUUACUAAUUUACCAAGAUGUUACACUUAAUUGAGCAGUUUACAACUUGUUGGGGAAAUCUGCACGGUUGACGGCAAUUAGCACGUCAAAUUGUGAACCUCAAGCGCACGGAUCAGUUGUAGCUUUUCCCUUAGAGUAUUCCCCUAAGGUUUAUCAAUCUGUGGAACAAAUGGGAUGUUGGCUCUCACUUUAUACUAAUCUUACUAACAGAAUCAAGCAAUAUGAGUUGUGUACUAAACUAACAACAAGCAAAGGGUGAUACAAGAUAGAAAAUAAAGAUAGAUAUGUGUUCCCUCCCUAGGAUCUAGGUUCACAAGAAUAUGCAUCUACUACACAAAAGGGGUGUUGCCUUCACUAGCUUCACAAUGGUUAUGCGCUUGCUCCGCUCUUUUCCUCCUUCAUACCGUCACUACACAGGGGUACUCAACAACCUCUCUCACACAUCUAUAUCAAAACAUUCGCAGAGUUAAGCUAAUCACCACAAUUACCACAAACUCUACUAAGAAUAUGGACUGAUCAGAACACAUAUGAAUGAAACAUUGCAAUGACAUAGACUAUAAAGAAUUGAUAGGCAUAAAGUACAUGUAGCAAUUACAUAUCAAGAAUCCAAACAAUCCUAGGGAUGAACAGACGCUUUACCCUAUCAUCUUACAAAGAUUGACACAAAAAGGGGUGAAGGAGACUCUAAAGAAUGUCGUCACCAAAGAUGGUGGCGAGGGGGUGCAAGAACUCCCUAGGCCGAUCGGCCUAGGGCACCUCAGGCCGAUUGGGCUGAGGGAUUCCUUGCACCUCUGACUCCCACCGGCGUUGGUCGUCAUGGUGAUCUAAUCUAAUCCCUGGUUCAUCUUGUGGCGGCAGCGGCUAGGUCUAAACUCGUCGGGAUUCUCCUCCUUGUUGAAUGUCUUGGGUAUUUAUAGUUGGUGGCGCCCGUUGGGGUGCCUUCAUGGCCAAGUUUCUGGAAAAUAACCCUAGGCACGUCGUGGGCUUCCUCCUGGUUAAAGGGGGUGACAAACGAAACCGAAAACGGGCCAGGCCGAUUGGCCUGGACCCCCAUAGGCCGAUCGGCCUGCACUAUUUUGGCCUCCAAUGCCCGAGCACUUCAUAUGAAAGUUGUAGAUCUCGUCGAGUGAUGCAAUUUUCUCUAUAAAUUCACUCCAAUCGGAGUUCGGAUGAGGAAGAUAUGGCCCAUGCAAGUUUCAGCUCCUCCUGCGGGCCUACAGUUCAAUGUUCGUGUUUGGGCCUUCCAAUAUCCAAAGUCCAGGCCCAAAUCCGACUUGUAGAAAAAACCCUUCAGUUAUGUUGUAUUUCCUGCAAUUUUGCAAUAUGGUCCAAAACACAACACAUAUGCGAAUAUGAGGUUAUUUUAGGUUCCAAGUGGUGGGUUGCAUAUGCAUGAAAAUACUAGUUAAAUAACACUAAAAAUAUGUCAAUAACAAGCGUCAACAUGCACAUACCUACAACUUGUUGCAUUUUAAUAAAACCUCAUCUUCUCAAGAACAGUGGGACCCGUACCCUCUCUUGUCUCAAGCAAAAGUCCAACAUCAGAUUGGCCCUAGCAAAAGUCCAACAUGCUCGACCUUUCCUUUCUACUCUCCUCGGCGCCAACAAAACUUUCUUACCUCUUCCAUUCCACAAAUGGUGGUUGGACUGCGCAAAAGAGCUAUUACCUGCCCCUUCUAGCUCACAAUCACUACUGGAGGAUCAACUUCUAGUACCGGUCGGUAACCUCCCUUUAGUACUACUUGGUCGCUGUUACGGAUGGCAGUUUAGUACUGGUUGGUUUUACUAACCGGUACUAAAGUUUUUUUUACCCUUUUGUUUUACUUUGUAUUCGUAUCCGAUGGAGCUUUUACUAAUAAUAUUACGUUAAUAUAUCAAUCCAUUCAAAUCCAAGUAUCACAAGUAUCAACCCAUUCAAAUCAUUAACACUCAAUAGUUUGUACAUUAAUACUUAAGGUAUCAGAGAGAACAAGUUCAAAUCCAUAAGAAAAGGGUACGGUAGGAGUACAUCCAUGCAUGCUAUAUAGUUAAUAAUUCACUUCUCUUAUGUAGAUAUGCUACAUAGCUUAAGUCUCCAAUCGUAAAGCUUGGAACUUCAUCAAUAUAAGCUAGAGCAUGAAUUAGUGCACUCUCUAGUGCUUCAAAAGGAUGGUCACAUGCACUACUAUAAAUCUCGAACAAUGGAGACGACAUCAACUAAAAUGGCCUAUAGAAAGUGAGAUGAGCCUAGAGCUUGAAAUCUCUGGUGUGUAUCGGGUUUCCAUCAGUGUAACUAUAAUUCAACACAUCUAAGAUUUGAGCUAGAAUCGCAUGAAAUCUCAUCGCCGCCAAGGUUUAACCAAAGACAUCCUAAAAGAAGAGAAUAAUGUGAUGAAAUUUAAAAGAUGUAACAUAAUUAAAGAUAAAAGGAUGAUUAGAUAUGUUCCAUACCAUGUCAUGUUGAUUCAGCUGACAAAGCCUCUUAGUAGUCUAGUCACAUUGCUUUCUCCCUCCUCGAGCACCUUUAUUUUAAAAUAUGAGAAGUCUGGCAUAAAGUACCCAUGAUCUUUAAGCUGUUGUAGGCAAGCCUCCACAGUGGUCCUUUCAAAAGUUACACUACUUGGUGCUAAUUGAACCUAUGAGGCAAUUGAAACUAUCAGGAUGGGCUGUCCUGGUAUUCUCAUCUAGUUAGCUUGUGUUUCUCAAGCAAAUACUUGAAAAGAGAUUUUAACUCUUUUAAAAUUUCGUGGGCCAACUAUCUCGGAUUGCACUAAAGGCGAAGUACCACUAGAGCUUCGACAAUAUCUUUCAGCCAUCUAAUAUUGUCGAUAAGCUAUAUUGUAUGUAAGAAAAUUUAGGAAUUAUUCAUGUGUAGUAAAAAACCAAUUACAAGAAGGAAAGAAUAUUACUAUGUUGGGAAUUGCUCCUUUGCUUCGAUUGCAUUUUGGCAAGUCAAUGACACGAUUAGGGAAGUGAAUUCCUAGAGGAUGAGCCAACGGUGGCUCCUCGAAAAUGUAGUGUCCACGGCCAUCACUACCAGGGCGAGAAAAACUUUCACUUGCCAUAGUUAGCCCAAACUGUCCAAAUAAAAUUGUGAUAAGAUAAUUUGCCACCAUUUUUCUUAACUAGUCAACUUUGCCACCAAUAAUACAUUGUCAUAUAUGCACAUCAUAUACAUUGAAAUAAAUCUAGACCAUCAUUUAAUAGCCAUCCACAAUUCUAUCACAAUGCUACCCGUGAAUAUCUACAUGUCCACUAACAGACAUAGUCUUAUGCCAUAAUUGUAUCACAAAAAAUAAUUAUUUAGCAUCCAAUACAAAUUGGUAUCCAAUUCAAGCAAAAUUAUAGCCAUUUUAAUCCAAUACGGGUAGCAAAAUCAUUUUAAUGCAUCAAAAUAACAAUUAUCAAAAAGAAAAAAGAAAAACUAAUUGGGGAGAGCACGCGUGGGAGGCGGGGGAGGGAGAGGUGUGGUGGUGGCUCGCGGGGGAGGCGGGGAAGGGAGAGCCGCGGCGACGAGGAUGACGGCCGGGGUCGGGGUGGCGGGGGUCAGGGACGGGGCGACGGGCGAUGGUGAUGGCAACAGGGAUGGGGAUGGCAGCCAGGGACAGGGUGGCGGUGGUCGGGGAUGGGGCGAUGGCGACAGAGCUAGGGAUGGGGCGACAGGCGACGGCAACGGGGAUGGCGGCGGGGGACGGGGUGGCAGCGGUCUGGGACGGGGCGACAACGACGGUGACGAGCGAUGGAGCCGGGGACGGAGGGAGGAAUAACUGCGGCUUGUUGGAAACUACUAAGUAUUUGGAGAAGAUGAAGUAUUUGUAGGUGGGACAUUUAGUACUGAUUAUAGCUCUUGCUUGGUACUAAAUUGCUCCAUUUAGUACCGGGUAGGGCUUCUUACCGGUACUAAAUGGUCUAAAAUGGUGGGAGCAGAAAAUUGGAGCAUUUAGUACUGGUUAGAGCCCUUGCACGAUACUAAAUUGCUCCAGCAGUUUCCUUUCGCGCGUGCAAUGUCUUGUCUUAUUAUUUUCGUGACUUGUCAUCAUUACAUAUGAAAAUAUUUAAUUGUAAUAAAAUGUUCCGAUAAUUAUGAUAAGGUUGUGUAUAUAUAUGAAAUAGUAGAAUUCAAACAUCGACCGUCCGCAUCAUGGCCAUUAAUCCUCGUGACAUAUGUAGAGUAUUAACUAGAGUAAAUUAUAUAUAUGAAAUAGUAGAGAUAAAAAUUCAUCAUGCAUAUUAAGUCUUACAUAAAUAAGAUAUUUAGAACAUAGGAUCGUCCACGUCACGACCAUUAAUUUGGGAGACAAAAAGAUACACCAAUCCUAAAAUAAUGGUACAACAUGAGAUCUACGAGUCCACCUACUCUGGCUGAAUAUCAUAAAAGGAUCUUGAAAUAACUGUCCAAACAUCUUUUGGAACAAGUGCUACAUUUCAUAAUAGAAGUAUGGUGUUCCAAUAGCCUAUCCAGGCAAAAGAUUUGUUCACUGAGCAUGGCCUAUUUUGGCAAUUCAAAACCAACCAUAAGCUGAUGAGUCGAGGUUAGUGAACAAAUCUUUGCCUGAACUAGCUAUUGACCACCGUACUUCUAUUAUGAAAAUCUAGCUCCAAAAGGUGUUUGGAAAACUAUUUCAAGAUUCUUUUAUGAUGUUCAGCCAGAGUUUGUGGACUCGAAAUUCUUCUGUUCUCUGGUAUUUGAGGAGCAGAGGUGUUACAUCCAUUGCCGGUCCAUCUGUAUCGAAUUACGUGAAAAAUGGACAUAUAGCUUCGUAUUAGAUAAAGAACUUGAUCAAGAUUAGGUAGGGGAAAAGAUAGAGUAAAUGUGUUUAUAAUAUUUAGUCAUCGCUCUAAAAAACCCUCCAUUCUCCUCAUUCUAAAAGAUCAACAAGUAUUCCAUUUAUAACAUAAAACUCAUUCUAAAAACUCUCCAUUCUCCUGACUCUAAAAGAUCAACAAGCUAGUACUCCAUCUGUAACAUUAAACUCAUUCUGAAAAACUCCCCAUUCACCUCACUCUAAACAAACUCUCCAUUCUUCUCGUUCUAAAACAUCAACAAGCAGUUCAUUUGUAACAUAAAACUCAUUCUAAAAAACUCUCCAUUCUCCUCACUCUAAAAGAUCAACAAGCUAGUACUCCAUUUGUAACAUAAAACUCAUUCUAAAAAACUUCCCAUUCACCUCACUCUAAAAAACUCUCCAUUCUCCUUAUUCUAAAAGAUCAACAAGUACCCAUUUGUAACAUAAAACUCAUUCUAAAAAACUCUCCAUUCUCCUCACUCUAAAAGAUCAACAAGCUAGUACUCCAUUUGUAACAUAAAACUCAUUCUAAAAAACUCCCAAUUCACCUCACUCUAAAAAACUCUCCAUUCUCCUCGUUCUAAAAGAUCAACAAGUACUCUCCAUUCUCCUCAUUUUAAAAGAUCAACAAGUACUCCAUUUAUAACAUAAAACUCAUUCUAAAAAACUCUCUAUUCUCCUCACUCUAAUAAAUCAACAAGUACUCCAUUUGUAACAUAAAACUAGCUCAUUCAAAAAACAAACCUAGAAAACUAUGACCAGAGGAGGGAGAAUGAAGUUGCUAGCUUGUCUAGUGAAGAAUCUGGUCGAGUGAAGAAAAAUGAAGCCCGAGCAAAGAGUUGAGCUUGCUCGGGGGAAGAAGCUAACGAAGCAGCUCAUUUUAGAGCAAAUGGUUGACAUUAGUACCGGCUGGUAGGUUCAACCGGUACUAAAUGCAUUUUCACCAUUUAGUACCAGCUGCAGCCACCAGCCGGUACUAAAUGGCUUUCUAAGGAAUCUAGCUGUCAGCCACGCGGUCUAAGUGCCGCCAUUUGGUAGUAGCUAAGGCUCCAAACCGGUACUACAGGAGCUUCGGUGGCACUGUGCGUGACGAUCGGUACUAACUUCGUGCGUUAGUACCGGACAAAAAGACGUUUGGUACUAACGCAUUGAACGAAUGCUCAAUUUGCCAGUAGUAAAUGCAUGUGGACACACGACACUGUUACGCGGCAGGACCGCAGGAGCAAGGUACUUAUAUACAAGGCGUCUCGGCAGUCUUUUAUUGCAUAGAUAUCCAACUAUACGACGCUUUUCCGUUUCAACAAAAAGGUGAAACUUUGAGCAAUAUUAUUAUCUCUAUUUUUUUUAAAAAAAAGUAAAGAAAACGUAUCUUGGACAACCGCAGGGUAUAUAUAGGAUCUCUCACUUAUAUAUCCACGUACAUUGAUGCUUAUCAGUAAGUUACAGGUAAAAAGAAAACAAUAGCCAUAUACAUACAGAAUCAAUAAAAAAAACAAGGAACACUUCGGGAGGUGCUACAUGUCGACAUGAUUGCCUACGAUGGAUUUAUUUAUAGCUCAAAACUAGAUCGAUGAGUCAAAGAUUAACCGCUUAAUCACUAGUGAAUCAGAAAACCGCUUGCAUAUGCACAAUCACAAACGUAAGCAGAGUUUCGUUCCUCUGCAUGGCAACUUGAACUUGAUAAGUAAUGAAGACACUAUAAUACUCCUAGCAUAUGUGCAAGUAGCAACAGACUAUUGUGGCAGCUAUACUUCAUGACAAUUUGAGCUAGAUGAUGAUGAGAUACAUGUUGAUACAGGAUUCGAGGAGGUGGCUAUUGCAGCUAUUCAAGGGUUGGGUUCCUAACUUGUCAUGGAAUACAAGUGGUGUGUAGCUAAUAAUGUUUUCUAGUUCAGCUAGUUAAUUACAUUGCAUGUCAUUUUAGUUCAUUUUCACUCUAAAUUAGUUUCUCUACAUCAUCUUAGUUAUUUUUUAGUGAGUUUGGAUUAACCGACCCAAAAUAAGUGGGACUUGCAUUCCUACUCAUCAUAAUCCGGAAGUUUUAUAUUCAAAUUCACUUUAGUCAGUCUGCUAUGUUCAGUUGUCAAGAAGCGAGGCGAAGGCCAUUUCCGGAGUUUAGUCAGUCUGCUUUGUAAUUUUCUUACUUUUUCAGAAACUCCCAUAAAAUUCAAUUCAUUUAUAAAUUUUACAACGGUAGAAAUCCAUAUCUUAUUGGCUGCCAAGACAAAAUUUCGAACUUAACAUCCUUUUGCCUAUUCUACAGAAAGUUCAAUUCAUUGGUACUAUUUGAUUUUUUUUUAGAUAAUGGAAAUUGGUACUGAUUGAUAAGAGCCCCUCACCCGCCUGUUUUGACAAAAUCCACGCGUUCUAUUAUUGGAGUGGGGCUGCAUUGCCAGAAUCUACAUGUUCUACAUUUGAACCGGGUUGAACUUUGUGCUUCUCUCGUAGUAUACACUACUCUUCUUGCUGCUGAGCUCAGGAUGGAGUUUCCAUAGUUUCCAUAUCGUUCCAAGUUCGAACCUUAUUAGAAAAAAGCAUUUACGAAAUUGACGUCCACAUUAAAAAGAAAUGCAACAAAUUAAACACACACCGGCUCAACGUUUGUAUUGCAUCACUCCCAGUACUGCACGCCGCAUCUCACCUUGGUGCAAGGUUUCAUUCCGUUCAAACAGCUCGUCGACGUAUAGUUUAUCGGGCGCGCCUUAGAUAACUCUCAUACGCUUCGUUCCGUGCAAGGCUAAAUACGGCCAUUGUACGGCGACGGAGUUGAUUACUGAAGUUCUCAUUUUCGCCUGAGGUCGCCUGUACGGACGUCAACCCGGAGCGAGCGGCGAUGUCGGUCGAGCCCGCUGACACCUGCUACAGGUGGAGCCGCGACUUCGCCGUAGCGCACGCGAUGUUCGGCACCGGGCUCAUCACCCUGCCGGUGGCCGUCCUCCACCUCGCCAAGCGCCCGCACACGGGCGGCGCCGCCUUCUUCGCCGUGUUCGCCGUCUUCUUCGCCGCCGUCAGCCUCACCCUCUGCUGCCGCUUCUACGCCGAGCUCAAGCGCCCGCCCUGGCCGCGCUGGCUCUCCGCGGCAUCGGUGUCCGCCGGAAGCGGCGAUGAAACGACGACGACGUCGGGGGCGGUGCUGUCGCACGACCUCCGACACCCAGGGCAGCCGGUGAUGACCCGGGUUGAGAGCUACGAGCACUGUGGUGGCAGCGCUGCGGACUGCGCGGUGUGCCUGGGCGAGGUGGAGAAGGGGGAGACGGUGCGGCGGCUGCCGGCGUGCGGGCACGUGUUCCAAACGGAGUGCAUCGACGUGUGGCUGAGCACGCACGCGACGUGCCCGGUUUGCCGGCGCAGCGUGACCCUGGCGCUCGAACGGCCGCGAGAGGUCGUCGUGGACAUCGGAGUUGUUUGUGCGCAGCCCGGAGAGACGAUGCCGGCUCAGCCCGGCAUGAUCUUCGCGGACCAGGCCAGGGCUAGUUGGGGUGUGUGACUGCGUGUUGUGUGGAUCGUGACGCGGUCGGGGUUUUGGGUAUUAAAGGAAAUGUGCCCCUGAGUCCCUGAGCGGUAGUAAUUUGUUUUUUAAUUAUACAGUGCCAAUGCGUGGCACGAAAGGAAAAAAAUCAUUACGGGUCCCAAAACACAUAGCAUACGUCACCAAAUAUGCACGCAUCAAAUGAGGUUGGGCUAAAAAAUCAACCAAAUAAUAAUUUGGUUAAUGCCAAGGCUCUCUCACUUUUAAUAUGUUGUUCAUUAUUAAAAUCAACCAAAUUUGACGGUUGGUUUGAAUUAGUUUUUGUUGCGUGAGGCACAGAAGUGAAGUUUUUUUUUCAUGUUUUUCUUUGAUUCAUUUUGCCUUGUGCUAGGAAAUAUCAUCUGCAUUUCUGCUGCUACCUUCAGUGAUCCUUCUUAAUGGCUAAUUUCUCUGCAAAAAAACACAAACCGAGUGAAAAGCGGUAGUGAGUAGAUGACAAAUCCGAUAGCUGACGACCAUAUGGUUUCAUAGGACAACAUUAAGCCACUUCCAUGAAGAAAAGAAAGCAAUACUGAUCUCCAUUUUGUAUAUGCCUUCAUCAUUCUGUCUAGAUCCAUUCACAUGGUCGUAGAACAAAUUAUGCAUAGGAAUCAUGGAACAUAAUAUUGGUACAUCAGGUACAUAAGAAAAAGGAAAAGCUGGUGUCAACGAACAGUAGAAAGGUUGGGAAUAUUCAGAGCAAGCAAAAGGGUUGGAAACAUUCAGAGCAUAGCAGACUACAGUACGACAGCAGGGAAAAGAGAUUGAUACGAUUGCUGCAGUAAUUGAUUUAUCUAUUGAUCCAUCCAUUAUCACGUAGCAGUAAUUUUAAUGAGCAAACGAAAAGCAACGAUUACCAAGAGAGAGCAACUUCUUUUAUCCAAGAGCUGACAAACAAUUGAGAGAGAGAAGAAAGGGAGAGCAAGGUGCACCUGGCAAUGGAGGAAUGGCCAGGGACGCGCGCUGGAAGCGGAGCAGAGGAGGAAGAGAGACUUGCCGCCGGUGGGUGAGUUGAGAAGCACGCGUGCCUCCCGUAGGCGCCCUCACAGCAGAUCUCAAAGGGGCCGCUGCGCUGCCGUGCUGAACGACGUCUUCAACAGAGGCAAGGCUGAACAUCAUCGCCUCUCAGCACCUUGUUCGAUGGGCAGGGCGCGGCGCAGUUCCUCAAGGCGGCCGGCGAGAUGGCGCGGGGGCUGCCAGUGCUGUCGGUGGCACCGGUCUAGGACCGCGAGGCUUUUUCCCCUUCGCCUGAGUAGUUUUUUUUCGCAGGCGUCAUAGAGGUGGACCUGGAGCGGCACAUUGACGCCAUAGACCCGCCACACCACCUCUUCCGACCACGACGCGGCCUCCUCAUGCGUGACGGCCAUUGCUGCCGUCGGUGAGCAGAUCUCGUGGCGUCCGCUGCCCUCCUCCUACGGUCUUGGUGUCGUCCCUUCUAUCGUCGGUGGGCAAGCUUCUCAAUCUCCUCCGAGCCCCUCCGGCGGUUGUGGCCUCGUGCCCUCCGGCCCCUCUCCCGCGCGGCGGGCAGCCUAUCGCUGCCGCCGCGGAUCUUCAGCGGGUGGGGCAGCUGCUGUGGCCUCCAACCCCGCAUCGCGGAUGAUGGCGGCGUGCAUGAUGUGGCCCCUGGAGCAGACGCCGAGGCGGCCCAGCCUCGCCGGUGGCGGCGGCACGCUCCCCUCGCCCAAGCCUCGCAGCCUCACCCUCCUCCCAUUCUCCACGGCCGCGGCCGAGCCUAGGACGGCGACCGCCGCACCACCAAUGCUGCCGGCCGCCCGCGCCCAAUCUCCCUCAUUUGCCUCUCUGUUCCGAAGAAAGAGAAGCUUUUUCCCCUUUAACCCCCUCCCUUCUCUUCUUUUUCCGCCCGAUCCCCCCUCUCUUCAGCAUUUGGACUGCGGGUUGAUUACCAAAAACUUGAGGGGUUUUUUUACAAAAUAUCCACGACGGUUGACGGUUGAAAGAAACAUCCUCUCUUUAAUAUUAGGUAUAGAUUAUAACAGCGCUCCUAGCGAUCGAGCGCUUUUGUUUAGUUCAUUCCGACACGAAAAAGAUGCAUUUGCAACAUGAGAAAAUAUUAUCAGCAACAAUGAAAAUAAUAUUUGCCACAUCCAAAACAUGCGGUAAAUAUACAUCUUUACCCUUCUCUCUACCAUCUGACUCUAGGAUAGAAAUUCCAACGGCAACAUUGCAUCAUGUUUCAUGCAACAACGGUCUAGAACAUCCAAAAAUACAUAUUGCAACAUCAAAAAAUACAACUUGCAACAUUGAGUGAAAAUAGCCAUGACCAAAUAACUCAAUGCAACAUCACAAAUCAACUAUUGUAACAUCACAAAACACAAUUGCAACAUCCUAAACCUAGAGUCAACCCACGUCACCACGCUCAUUGAUGUACCUCCACACAGCCAACUCUAUCACGGUGGGGGUAAACGACAAGGACAACAACGGUGAUGGUGAGGUGCUCGCACUCUUAUCAAGGUUGAGGCCGUCCUUGACAACAUUGAGGUCAUAGAGAGGAUGGAGAGGUGCACAGGAGGAGCAGAUGCCGAGGCCCCAAAGCCGAAGAGGGCGAUGCCUGUGACUUGAUGAAGCGAGCAGGUUGUAGAAACUCUUGCAUACUUGUUGUGGCAAUUUCUUGCUACAAAUUGACAAUGAAGGUGAAAAGGAAGGGUGGUGCAGCAUCAAUUCAUGGUGGCUGUUGCUACAAAGAGGCUGGGGGUCAGGCUGUGGAAACUCCUCCAUGCUCGUUUUGCUGAUCUUGGUUGACCAAAGGAUGGGGCAAAACAAACAUGGUGAGAGCUUAGAUGAAGUUGGGUAGCAGAUGAGAGAAGUAUGGUAAAACUGUUUGGACGAGUAAAAGUCAUGUCGCUUAGAGAAAGGAUUGCAUUUGCUUUAGGGUGAGGAUGGGUAUGGGUCCUAUGGAUCAGGGGCGGAGCUAGGAUUUGAGGUACGGGGGGCAAUGGAUAAAGCAAAGUAGAAUUGAUAGCCAUGUGAGCUGGUUUUAGUCACAUAUAAUAAUAGCAUAUUUCACAAGUCUUGACCAAAAUAAAAUUACAUAUUUAUCAACUUAAAUUUAGCUCUUCAACUAGCAGUAAGAAUCGUACGUUAUAAUAAUAUCAUCAGUACUAAUUGGUGUAACCAAUUCCUUCUCGAUAUAAAUUACCAAACAAUCUCGCAGAAAUCCAUCUCCCAUUGUACAUCUGAGACGUGUCUUCGCAAGUUUCAUAGCUGAAAAGCAUCUUUCGGUGGUUGCAGUUGAUAUUGGAAGAGUUAAUACUAAUCUUAAUAACUUGUCCACCAUAGGAUAAGAUGAAUAUUUACCUGUUUUAAAUAGUCCACUUGUUAGAUUAGCAAAUGUUGAUAAUUCCUUUAGUUCUAGAUGGUUGCAUACAUCAAUUUAAAAAUGUGGCAGCUAACACUCCAAUUGAGCUCUUUCUUGACUUGAGAAAUCAGCAGGAUAAUAUUUUUCCACCAGAGUGCAUAUAUUGUCUAUGUUGAAUGUGUCCAGCCUAGGAUCCAAAGAAGCACAAAGGGAUAAAAGCUCUGUCGCUUGAGAACUGAAUCGAUCUUCUAACUCUGCUAGUUGUUGAUCAAUUGCAACAUUAAACACAUCUACUUUGUAAUGGUGAAAGGCUGUGGUGUUGUCAUUCUUAUUUUGAGAUUUAGUCACAUCAACAUAUGGGAAGAUAUGGAUUGAUUGAUGAACAAGUACAAUUUUACAAAAGAAUAAAUAUGAUGUAGCUUUCAUACUCAAAUAAUUUGGGGAAAAAUAUACUUCUUACUUAGAUCCGGAAUAUCAAUCUCAUGCUUUCCACAAAACAAUUUGACCUCCUCAAGAAGAGGUUCCCAGCCAUUAUUUCGCAACUCACCAAGCAACACUUUUGUGGUAGAAACAGAAUCCACUGCAUUUAAGAUAUCAACAAUGCUCUUCUUUUGGAGUGUCUGGCACAACACAUCAAUGAUCUUCAUAAUAUUUUCUAUUAGGAGUAGAAUAAACACAAAAUCAAAUGUGACAAUGAUUCGUAAGGUACCACUGGCAUCUUCCCGAGAAUACUUCGAAACUGAACGAUCAUUAGCAAUGCUACGUAGGACUGAAACUGUGGCACCAAACAUCUUCUUUAAGCUUAGAAUAGACCUAUAGUGGGAACUCCAUCUAGUGUCCCCUGGCCUUUGUAGGGAGAAAAUCUGAUUUGCCCCUCGCCCUGUGUCAAGCUCUCCCAAUUCAAUUUCAUGGGCAAUUUCCUCUGCUUGUUUUGCUAGCAACUCAUCAUUGCACUUAGGAGAAGCACUAACAGCAUUUAUGAUGAAAUUUGCAUGCUGGAAAAAAUUGUGUACCUCAUGUACCUCCCUUGAUGCUGCUACAAGGGCCAAUUGAAGCUGAUGAGCCAUGCAAUGAAUAUAAUAUGCAUAUGGGCACUCAUUGAGAAUUAGAGCUUUCAAUCCGUUCCACUCCCCUCUCAUGUUACUAGCCCAUUGUAACCUUGACCUCUUAUAUCUUGUGUGCUUAGGCCAUUAGCUGAGAGGACAACACAAAUUGACUCUUUAAGUUUCAAAGUUGUAGUAUCACUAACAUGGAUCAGAUCAAGGAAACACUCCUUUAUAAGGCCUUCCUUGUUGACACAUCGGAGGACUAUCACCAUUUUCUCUUUUUUGGACUCAUCUCAAGCUUCAUCAACCAUUAUGUAAAAUUUGCUAUUGCCAAUAUCUUCUCUAAUUGAUUUUUGCACUUUUCAAGCAAAUAUGCUUAGAAUUUCCUUUUGGACAUCAGGUGAAGUGUAUUUUGCAUUUUUGGGAGCAUUUUCCAACACAACCUCAUUAACCUCCUUGUUAUAGGAAGCUAAAAGCUUGAGCAUUUCAAGAAAAUUACCCCUGUUUAAGGAACCUGGUGAUUCAUCAUAGCCUCUAAAGGGACAACCUUGGAAUGUCAACCACCUAUAAGUACAUAAAGAAAGCAAGUUAAAUUUAAAUACUGCCGAAAGACAUUAGAAAUUGAUCUUAUUACCUAAUGCAAUCAAUAGUAGUCGCAAGCCUUCGUCUUCCUUUUGCAACCAUUAUCUCAUUUUGCUUAACAAUCAUAUUGUCAAUUUGAGCCAUUGUGUUCUUAAUAUUAUUAAAACAUCAAACUGAAUAAUUAUGGGUAGAGCCGGUAUCUCUCAUUUGUUUUAGAAAAGAACAUUCAUUUCCGCAAUUAACUUUCUUCCAGUUCCGAAACCCCUUUACUAUGAAUAUAUUUGAUCCAACUUUCUUAAUUGGCUUUUUGGAAAAUAAAAAAUAUGGUAGACAGAAAGCACAAUUUGUAUGAGGUGAAUAUUCUAGCCAAGUAAAUUGCUUGAACCAGUUACUUUGACAUCGAUGACGAUGAGCUAAUUUACUGAGUGGGUACUCUGCCAACACAGGUGUGGCGGAACCGCCCAACUUAAGCUGGUUUAAGUGCACCUAAUCGCCGCCAGAACGGCAAUUAUCCGAAACGCACCUAAAACAGCAUAAGUCCGGUAGUCCGUCGAGUGUCCCUCGGACUCCUCGAAGGAUCCACGGCGUGUCUCAUAACCAUGCAUCAGGAUAAUAUCCGCGAUGGGAUAAUAUCAACAAAUAUUACAAUUUUUUUUACAUACAUAAUUAAGAGGUACGAGUUAUUACAAGACAUAAGUCGAGGUAAACUUAGUGAUGCAGUGUUAGACAAGCUCUAAGAUUAAACAUAAAUAGUUCAGGAGAAGAUGCGUCGAUAAACUGUUUUCUAGAGUAUUGUGAGACUUAGGUCAAUACUCUAGGUCUUCGGGGUCUCCUCCUUGGUAGCUUCCGGUGGAGCUUCUGAAAGAUAACCACAAGGGAAAAAAACCCUUAGUACGGGGUACUCAGCAAGUCUUACCCGACUAACCAAUAUAAUAGUUUUUCUUUGGAAUGCAUGUCAGCCUUUGAGUGUGCUUGGUUGACACAAUUUUGCCGAAAAAGCUUACUACGAGUGAGGCCUUGGUUUUAUCUUUUAUUUUAGUUAAGUCAUUACCUAACCAUUCUAGAUGAUAACAGAAGUAAAAUAAUCAUAGCUGUUAAAUCAUACAGUACUUGGCAACAGGAGAUUUUAUAUCAUAUGAGUUUAUACUACGAUGCUCAACAGUGAUCAAGUGCAUUCAUGACCGAGAAUUGCGGCGAUCCGGAUCAAUUUACAUCCUGCAGGAGAGCACCCCGAUCACCAGCAUUAUACGACUGUCCAGGUCGUACUAACAACCUCUCGAUUAGUAAAGUCAAUGAUUAGGAAUACAACUACCCGGACCCAGGGAUGCACCCCCACAUGGGACCCCACGUCUGGCCUGAUCUCCAUGUGAGUUUCAGGCUACACCCCUGCCAAUCUCCAGCACGUCAAGCGCGGGUACGAAGCAUUCCUGGUCAUAGAAUUUACUAAUCUACUGGGCUUUACUGGUCCCAUACCCAGUAAGUGAUCAAAUGGUUAUCACUUGAUCAGCGGUUAAGACACGAAUCGGGCCUUAACCAGAUUAAUCUAGCAGACAGAACUACAUCUCUAGCUUCUGUCCGUUUUCAUAUUCCAAACUAUCCUUCAUAAGCAACAUGUAUGACUUAAGAGUUUUCCUUAAGGUUGGUAAACCAAUCAUGUAAGCAAGUAAGCAUUUCUAGACUUGGGUAGUUUCUAAGAUUUGAACAAGUGGCAAAGAUGUCUUUAAAUCAAGGCAUGAUCAUACACAAGAAUAGGUUUCAUUCAACUCCUAGACUUAGUGCAUGCGAUAAACAAAUAACCUAUAACUAGUCACAUGAAAUAACGAUUCCAAAAUAGAUAGGUAUAAAUGCACCGGGGCUUGCCUUGAUCGUUAAAAAGAUUAGUAGGAGCCGACGGAUUUGCUUCACAGGGAACAAAUUCAAAUACUUCGUCGGACUCCAAGGGUCCUUCUGAAAAUUCCCAGUAAUCUUCUUCUGGUGCUUCUGGAUCUACGGCACAAUAUAUGCAGGGGUUAGAAUGCAAACUUUUUAAAUAACAGACUAUACAACUUUCCUUCAUGAUAAAGUUGCAAGCCAACAAGGACUAUACGACUUAUCAUGAUAAAGUUGUAAGUCAACACACAAAAUCUAAAAAGAUUAACCUAUGUUUUUAUUUUUCUUAAUUAACCCUUCCUAUAACUUUUCCUUUAAUUUUUAGAAAAGGUGGUAAAUAAUUUCUAACUUGAAAAUCUAAUUUCCUAUGGGUUAAGAAUUAUUUGUGAUUGAUAAAGUAUUAUUCAUAUUUUUAUACAUUUUAUAAAUAUUAAGUAUUUAUUUAAUUACCUUAAAAGGAAGGCAUUAAAUAAAUACCCAAAUUUUUAUUAUUUUCCUAGGGUGUAAAACUUUUAAUGCAUAAAGGAAAAUAAAAUAAGCCUAACAAAAUUGGUUUCACUAAUUUUGGACACUCCUACAAAUUUCUGUGAUUAAAAUGGUAUAAAACGAAUUUAAACGAAUUAUUUUGCUAAGGAAAUCUAACUUUUCCCGAAUUUCCCCCGGAAAAACUUUUCUUACUCACCCACGCUCUACCCUCUCUCGCGAACCACUGGACCCCACGGCGCGGACCCCACCUUCCUAUUUAUUUCUACCCGCCGGUUCUCCUCUUCCCCCUGACGGGCCCCCACGGGCCGCUUUCCUUUUCUUUCUCCUUUGGCAGCCCAACGCCGGCCCACGGCCCUUUUCCUUUUUCUUCCUUUAUUUCGCGACGUCGGCCUGCGUCGCUCGUGCGCGUGACUUCCUGGGCCUCCGCGACGUCAGCCCAAGAACCACACCGGCCUCUUUUCUCUUUCGGCCGAAUCGCACGCGCGCUGCUCUUGGGCCUCCAACGCGUCGCGGCCCAGCAACCGACUGCACCGCCUCGGCCUGCUCCUUCUCCCCCUCUUCUCUCUGACACGCGGGCCCGAGCGCACAGCGCUUCUUCUACCUCCUGCCAAAACGCGUCCGCGACAGGGGGCGGCGCGGCUCGCCGGCCGGCGUCCUUCCGACGGCGGGACUAGGUCGCGACACCAACCCUAGACCUACACGACCUCGUGCGCGGCAACAGCUCCCCAUGAGAUGGCCGGAGCCAUCCCCUCCACGGCGACAGGCGGCGACUCCCUCGGCCGGCCGCGGUUACUCGCGACAACAGCUUAACCGACUCAACCGACUGCUUCUACCCCAUCCUCAGACCCUAAGGACUUGACUACGACUGCUCAAGAAGGAAGAAAGGCAGCGCAAGGUGGUUCUCACCGUGAGCAGACGGCGCGACGGCGGCGGACAGAAGCGGCGGCGAGCACGGCUAUCCUGGCAAGGAUGUGGGACAACGACUGGCUCGGGGUGUAGCUGGGGUGUCUGUGGAGGAGUGGGCGAGAGGAAUCGACGGGAGACGAGUUGUGGCGGCGGAAUUUUGCUUGGCGGUGAAGCUUGACAGAGAGGAGCGGGCGGCGGUAAAAAGGGAUGGCAGUGAAACGGUGGCGCGGGAACAGUAACUAUUCAAGCGAUUCACCCCUCGCAUGGACGACACCGUGGCCUACCCGUAGGCUUGCGUGGUGAGGAGGUGGCCUAGCUAGUUGUCCUGGCGGUCGACCGACGACGGCGGCGGCGACACGUCUGGAGCUCUGUCACCGUUCUCCUGGCGCCCGUGAUCUUUAGAAGCGACUAAUGGUUGAUCCUCAAUCCGACGGCCUCUCGUGCUUUAACAGAACUUGAAGAUAAACUCAAGACCGCCAUCUUUUAUUUUGGCGUCGGCUUGAGAUAAACACCGAAUCACUGGAAUUUUUGAAAUGUUGCUCGAAGGGUUCUGAAAUUGACUGAAUCAGAGAUUCAGUCUGUCAGUAUCGACAGUGGUGUCGAUCUCCAUUGUCAAUCCAAUUCAGUGGCCUAAAGCUUGUUUUUCCAAUCCAACUUCUACCCAAACAUGUUCUACUAUGUCCCAGUGUUCCAUUUUGCUCAUGAACAAGUAUCUCUUUUGAUCUAAAUAGCUCUGAAUUCGAGCCCCAAGUCGUUGCCUUGCUGCUGUUCAGACUUAGAAAAAUUCAGAGUUUCAGUGAACUUGUGAUUUUGUGCUGACUUUGAGCUGGAAUUUGACUCCCUUCCUGUUACUGAUCCUGGCCAACAACACCCAAAUCUUGUAGUCCAAAGUUCACACUUCAAUAUGGUAUAGUUGUCAUGGUGCAGUUAGUUGAAAAAUUCUCCAGAAAUGAAUUUUGAAAACAGACUCUAUGGCUGUUUUUCUGAAUUGCUGUUUUCGGACGGUGAACAGUAAACAGCAAUUCUUCUUUUUCUUUUUCUUUCUCUAAUUCUUUUGUGAUAAUUAGCACUAAUCUGGUUCCAACUUUUUGAUCCCUUAAUUCUAAAUACUCUUACACUUGUAUUCCACAUAUUCGACAAAUUUUGCUGAAUUUCAAAUUUGAAAUUCAAAUUUCGGUCAAAAUUUGGCCGAAUUUGAUCUUUUUGCCAAUUGUUUUUCUUUUUCUUUUGGAUUUAUUUCCAACUUCCCAUAGUUACUUUGAUAUUGCAAAUGGCAACUAUUACAGCCUCUCCCCCUUAACAGAAUCUCGUCCCGAGAUUCCCGGGGUUAAAUUCUCGGUUUUUGGAAUGGAAAGGAAACUGCGUCAGAUCAUUUACUCUUUCUUUUUCUGUACAAGGAUAGUGGGGUGGUGGUCUUUGGUCAUCUGUCCCUGACGGUUUCAAAUAACUCUGGAUAUUUAGACUCUAGGUCUUCUGCUUUUUCCCAAGUAGCUUCGUCCGGAGUAUGAUUUUUCCAUUGCACUUUAUAAAAUGUGAUACUCCGAGUUCGGGUAUCGCGCGUCUUUUGAUCCAGAAUUUUAAUAGGUUUUUCUUCAUAUGUUAGAUCCGGUUCGAGCUCAAUUUCUGGAUCCUCUAAAAUUUCUUCUGGGAUUCUUAGGCACUUCUUAAGCUGGGAUACAUGAAAUACAUCAUGUAUAGGAGCAAGUUGGUCUGGCAAUGAUAGCUUAUAUGCCACGGGACCUUUUUGUUCCAGAAUUUCAUAGGGACCAAUAUAUCUUGGGGCUAGCUUACCUUUUACUCCAAAGCGCUGUACGCCUUUCAUUGGGGAUACUUUUAAGUAUACAAAAUCUCCGGCAUAAAAUUCCAAGGACCGUCUUCUUUUAUCUGAAUAACUCUUUUGCCGGGACUGAGCUACUUCUAAGUGCUUGCGAAUUUUCUGGAUCUUCUCCUCGGUUUCCAUAACCAGGUCCGAUCCCAGGUGUGUCCUUUCUCCUACUCCUGACCAAUUUAGAGGAGUUCGGCAUCUUCGACCAUACAAGGCUUCGAAAGGUGCCAUUUUAAUGCUAGCUUGAUAGCUAUUGUUAUAGGAGAACUCGGCUAGGGGUAAACAUUCAUCCCAAAGCUUAGAGAAGGUAAGGACACAUGCUCUUAACAUGUCUUCUAAAAUCUGAUUGACCCUCUCUAUCUGUCCUCCAGUUUGCGGAUGAUAAGCAGAACUUCUAAUAAGGGUAGUACCCAUGUCUUUUUGUAAUUGUUCCUAGAAUCUAGAGACAAACUGGGAACCUCGAUCGGAGAUAAUGGUUUUUGGCACUCCGUGCAAGGAUACAAUCCGGGCUAUAUAGAGUUUGGCAUAUGUCGACACGUGGUAAGUAGUCUUAACUGGAAUAAAGUGAGCUGACUUAGUAAGGCGGUCGACAAUAACCCAGAUGGAAUCAUACCCCUUUGAAGUAGUAGGUAAUCCUACUAUGAAAUCCAUAGAAAUAUCUUCCCAUUUCCAGAUAGGAAUUUCUGAGGGUUGUAACAAACCUGCUGACUUCUGUAAUAUGGGUUUAACUCUUUGGCAAGUGUCACAUUCUGACACAUAUCUUGCAAUUUCUGGUUUCAUUUUGGCCCACCAAAAUCUUUGUUUUAAAUCUUGGUACAUUUUAUUGGUUCCGGGAUGAAUGGAGAACUUGGAUGAAUGUGCUUCUUUUAGGAUUAAUCUUCUCAGGUUCUCAUCUUCCGGAACUACUAUCCUGUUCCUGAAAUAUAGUCCUCCGUCUUCUUCUUGAUUAAGUUCAGGAAUCUUUCCUUCGGCCUUUCGCUGAUAAAGUGCUUUAACCCAUGGGUCUUCUUUUUGGGCUGCUAUGAUUCUUUCUUUUAGGGUAUCUUGAAUCAUAACAUUCUGGAGGGUACCUUGUUUUACUAUUUCCAAACUUAAUUCUCCUAUUUCUUCACACAGGGUCUUUAGGCUAGACUGGAUGGUAGUGCAAUGGCAUUGGGCCUUUCUGCUCAAGGCGUCGGCCACCACGUUAGCUUUACCAGGAUGGUAAUGAAUCUCUAGUUUAUAGUCUUUAAUCAGUUCUAGCCACCGCCGUUGUCUCAUGUUUAAGUCCAUCUGAGUGAAGAUAUACUUCAAGCUCUUGUGGUCGGUAAAGAUACGACAUUCACUACCUAAAAGAUAGUGUCGCCAUAUCUUUAGUGCAUGCACUACGGCAGCAAGCUCUAAGUCAUGAGUAGGGUAAUGCUCUUCAUGACGCUUCAACUGACGAGAAGCAUAAGCAAUAACCCUGCCUUCUUGCAUUAGAACACACCCGAUGCCUGUUCCUGAGGCAUCGCAGUAUACAUCAAAGGGUUUUUCUAUGUCAGGUUGAGCUAUCACUGGGGCUGUAGUCAAUAAUUUCUUCAAGACUUGGAAUGAUUCUUCACACUCAGGUUUCCAUUCAAAUUUCAUGUCCUUCUUUAAUAACUCAGUGAUUGGCUUAGAAACCUUAGAGAAAUUGGGAAUGAAUCUACGGUAAUAGCCAGCCAUUCCCAAGAAACUCCUUACUUCAUGAACAGAAGUUGGUGAUUUCCAAUCCAGUAUAUCCUUGACUUUUCCGGGAUCUACUUCAAUUCCUUUUUCGGAUAGUAUGUGCCCAAGGAAUGGAACUUUCUUUAGCCAAAAUUCACAUUUACUAAAUUUGGCAUAUAACUGGUGUUCCCGGAGUCUAUUUAGAACAAUGCGCAAGUGUUGCGCAUGUUCCUCUUCAUUUUUAGAAAAGACAAGGAUAUCAUCUAUAAAGACAACCACAAAUUUAUCCAGUUCUGGCAUGAAUACUGAAUUCAUGAGAUACAUAAAAUGCGCUGGGGCAUUUGUCAAUCCGAAAGACAUAACCAAAUACUCAUAUAGUCCAUAUCGGGUUGAAAAAGCUGUUUUUGGUAUGUCUUCGGGUUUUAUCUUAAUCUGGUGGUACCCUGACCGAAGGUCGAUUUUUGAAAAGACCUUAGCUCCGGACAACUGGUCGAACAACAAGUCAAUCCGUGGCAGCGGAUACUUGUUUUUGAUGGUUACCGCAUUCAAGGGACGGUAAUCCACACAUAGCCUUAAGGUACCAUCCUUCUUUUUAACAAAUAGGGCUGGACAGCCCCAUGGUGAAGUACUAGGCCGGACAAAACCCUUAUCCAACAAUUCUUGGAGUUGUGUUUUUAAUUCUGCUAGCUCUUUAGGUGGCAUUCGAUACGGUCUUCUAGAAAUAGGAGCGGUGCCGGGUUCUAGCUCAAUAGUGAAUUCUACCGCUCUGUCAGGCGGUAGCCCAGGCAAUUCUUCUGGAAAUACAUCUAGGAACUCAUUAACAACAGGAAUAGAUUCUAGAGUCACUGCUCUAGUCUUUUUGACCAUUUGGCCCAAACAAGGUUGAACGGGUAAUUGGAGUUCGAAAAAGUAACCUUGGUCAUCCUUCAGGCUAACGACCCGUGUAACCACAUUAAUUUGUACUUCAUGUGCUUUCAUCCAAUUUACUCCCAAAAUAACAUCUAUUCCUUGAUCUUCCAGAAUUAAAGGAUAAGCUCCCACUCUAUUUCCUUCUAGGUUUAAAAUCACAUUGCGAGCUACUUGAUUGGUAUUCUGUGUGGCACCAGUAGCUUGAAUAGCAUAUUUAACAUCUAAGGUAUGAACUUCUAGUUGAUGUUGGGUAACAAACUUUUUACUUAUAAAAGUAUGCGAUGCACCGGAAUCAAACAAAACCAUAGCAGGAUAGUUGUUAACAGGGUACAUACCUGCUAGGAUUGGCUCCCCUUCUGGAAUUUCUUCUACAGUCAUAUAGUGAGCCUGUCCUGUCCUGGUGUUGACAAACUUGCGACGGACAAACUUUUGUCCAAUGCCUUGGCCCGAGGUCUGAGCCUUUAAGUUCGCGUUUCCCCCAAUUUUGGGAAAACGACAGUCUCGGGCGAAAUGUCCUGGCUUCCCACAGUUGAAACAAACCUGUGUGGUUCCUGAAGGAGUAGGGUUACGAAACCCGAAAGGUGGUGCAGUUCCAGGACGAGGGGCAGCACUGGGAGCUCUGGCAUUCCAGGACUGGAAAGGCCGUUGCUGGAAUGAAGGACGAUACAUGGGUCGGGGAGGACCUCUAUAUACCAUCCUCAUCCUCUGAGGAGCAUUUCCAAAAUUUCCAGAAGGAACAGCCUUCCUCUUUAAUGCUUCUUCUUUCUUCAAUGUUUCAUCCAAUGCUUUCAUCUUUUCUUCUGCGGUAAUGGCUGUACUUACCGCGGAACUGUAAUCAGCGAACGUGCAGGUGGAUAACUUUUCCUGCAUUCUUGUAUUAAGUCCUCGGAGAUAACAAUCCCUCUUUCUUGUUUCAGUAUUAACAUGCUCGGGAGCAUAUUGAGCUAAGUGAUCGAACUCAUUGGUAUAUGCCAGAAUACUGCGAGUUCCUUGUUGCAGUCCCAAGAACUGUUCCAACUUCAUUCUCAUGACACCUUCCGGUAUAAACUGCGUCCGAAAGGCUUCCUUAAAAUCUUCCCAUGUGACUUCCCUUCCCACUGGCUGCCUGGCCAGAUAACUGGUCCACCAAGUUGCUGCGGGACCUUGAAGCUGAAGCCCCGCAAAUUCGGCCUUCUGAACGGGAGUACAUUGGGGAAUUACUCGAAAUUUUUGCUCCAUGGCCUGAAGCCACUCGUUAGCCUCCAAGGGAUGCUCAGCUUUUAAGAAGACUGGGGGACGUGUUUCCAGAAAUUGGGUGUAGGACACCCCCUGCUCCGGAUCCCUCCUACGUCCACCGUUGCCGGUGUUCUGCACUAUCAUCUGAAGUAAUCGGGCUUGCUCUGCCCCGGAAUUCAUCAAACUGGCUAUCGCGUCAGCCAAUGUAGGUGCUCUGGGUAAAUCCUCUUCCUGUCCUCCGGAACCUGAAGCUCGGGGUUCUCUGGGAUCCGUCAUACUGCCAAGAGUAACAAGAUAUUAAUAUCUACGGUGCAUUUUUAUCAACAACUUUCGGCAUACUAACAUAUCACACAUCACAGCAUGCUCACACACAAACUGUACUUAUGUACAUACUUAUUUAUAUUACAUGCCUAGGAGUUAAUAUUUACAAAACCCCUUAGUGCCACUUGUCCAUCACCCAUAUCUUACAAGAAUAUAUUAGAACACUUUCCAACCAAGUCCAUUUCAACCGUCAUAAGGGAAAAUGCCCAGUUCUUCGGCAUUUAAUCCCAGUCGUGCCAUGGCUUCUUGCAGGACGUCUUGGUCCACGGUCAUUAGAGUUUGCCCUGGGGGAGCAACAGGUGGAGCUUGAUUAAUAGAAUUUUCGCUUCCGGACUCCGGUCCGUAGUCACUCCAAGUGCGAGAAGUGUCAGAGGUGCUAAUUCCAGAAUUUCCUUCCAUCUCUUCUGGCUCCUCUUCUUCUUCGCCUUCCUGUUCUUCUUCUCCCCACUGCUGCAUGGGACCAUAGCCCUGAGGAUCUAGUCCAUCGGCAUUGGCAUUGGCCCAUGCAAACUGUUGAUUGCCCGCAGGGACUUCGCCCUGAUCAUCUUCCAUGUCCACAUCAAAGCCUUCCAGAUUCUCGUGAGCAUAUAAAUCUAUUUCAGGUUCUGCCGGUGGCACUGGAUCUUCCUCCAUUUCUAUCACAGGCACUAGUUGAUCUGCUUCCUCCGGGUUCUGUGGUUGAGGCUCUUCUGGUGGGGGAGGUGGUGGAACAUUGACAAUAUUUUACGCAGGUGCUUGAGCUUGCAUUUCUUCCAGAGCUAGACGAAGUGAUAAAAUCUCGUCUAGCUACUGAAAUCUUUCCGCCUCCAGCCUAUGGACAUUGGAUUCAGCUUCUUCUCUUGCCCUAUCCGCCAUGCUUCGACUUGCUUCGAUGAACCCUUGCAUUGCCCGAAGUUUCUCUUCAUAAUCUUCAAUCCGCCUGGACUGCUCUCGCAUUGCCUUUUCCAUCUCAUGUUCCCUUGCCAUUGCCGCCUUCUUAUACAUUUCCUUGUCAUACCGGGCACCCAUCGCUUCCAUUCUAGUACCUUCGUUCUUCUGCCUCUGAUUAUAAUACUCCCGGAUACAAGCUUGAUGUAAGUUGUACAUAGCGGUCAUGUAAUCAGAAGCAGCAGCCACCAACACAUCGUGCUCCACACGAGAUGUAUUCUUCAAGGCUUUAAUCCUCCGCUUCCAUAUCCCGUCAUUUUGAUGCUUAAUUGGAUAGAAUCGAGCAGAGCUCGACCCUAUUUCCACUUUAUGAUUCUCACACAGCUCAGUAAGAGCUGUCAUGGCUGCCCUUUCUAUAGUAUCAUUGAAUUCAAAACCCGAUUCCAUUACUUCCUCCAAACGCCAGUUAGAUCGGGUAUCAUCAUCUGGGAUAUGCACAUACACCGUGCAAUAUUGCUUAUGGCCAGUAUCUUCCUUUCUCCAAUAAUACUCUGGGGGACUAUGAAAACCCAACUCUUGUAGUGUCUUCCAGAGUAACUGCACGAACCCCGGUUUGUCCAGAUAACGACCACGAGUCCACCCAUCCCUAUCCGUGUAACCUUCUUCGAACAUCUCUAUAAAAGAAACGAGGUCAGGUCUAGCGGCACUCACCAAAUCCAAAAGUUUUAAACAUGCAAUGCAAUUAUGAUGCAAUGAUUCCUACGUACUUUCAGACUCAUAUACACACUCGUAGAAAAAUUGGUGGCAUCGUAAUUUCUCCCUAAAUAAUAAACUACCGAAUACUAGCGACACGCAGCAAACAGUUAGCAUCUGCAAAACAAUCAAUCAGUUAAUACUACUGCCACCUACGACUCUUGUUUUUAUUAUUUUUAAAAUAGAGUCUCAGCAUUUAAAAGGUAAUAUUUGUUGAUUAUCCCAACCUACGGCUCUGAUACCAGCUGUGGCGGAACCGCCCAACUUAAGCUGGUUUAAGUGCGCCUAAUCGCCGCCAGAACGGCAAUUAUCCGAAACGCACCUAAAACAGCAUAAGUCCGGUAGUCCGUCGAGUGUCCCUCGGACUCCUCGAAGGAUCCACGGCGUGUCUCAUAACCAUGCAUCAGGAUAAUAUCCGCGAUGGGAUAAUAUCAACAAAUAUUACAAUUUUUUUUUACAUACAUAAUUAAGAGGUACGAGUUAUUACAAGACAUAAGUCGAGGUAAACUUAGUGAUGCAGUGUUAGACAAGCUCUAAGAUUAAACAUAAAUAGUUCAGGAGAAGAUGCGUCGAUAAACUGUUUUCUAGAGUAUUGUGAGACUCAGGUCAAUACUCUAGGUCUUCGGGGUCUCCUCCUUGGUAGCUUCCGGUGGAGCUUCUGAAAGAUAACCACAAGGGAAAAAAACCCUGAGUACGGGGUACUCAGCAAGUCUUACCCGACUAACCAAUAUAAUAGUUUUUCUUUGGAAUGCAUGUCAGCCUUUGGGUGUGCUUGGUUGACACAAUUUUGCCGAAAAAGCUUACUACGAGUGAGGCCUUGGUUUUAUCUUUUAUUUUAGUUAAGUCAUUACCUAACCAUUCUAGAUGAUAACAGAAGUAAAACAAUCAUAGCUGUUAAAUCAUACAGUACUUGGCAACAGGAGAUUUUAUAUCAUAUGAGUUUAUACUACGAUGCUCAACAGUGAUCAAGUGCAUUCAUGACCGAGAAUUGCGGCGAUCCGGAUCAAUUUACAUCCUGCAGGAGAGCACCCCGAUCACCAGCAUUAUACGAUUGUCCAGGUCGUACUAACAACCUCUCGAUUAGUAAAGUCAAUGAUUAGGAAUACAACUACCCGGACCCAGGGAUGCACCCCCACAUGGGACCCCACGUCUGGCCUGAUCUCCAUGUAAGUUUCACGCUACACCCCUGCCAAUCUCCAGCACGUCAAGCGCGGGUACGAAGCAUUCCUGGUCAUAGAAUUUACUAAUCUACUGGGCUUUACUGGUCCCAUACCCAGUAAGUGAUCAGAUGGUUAUCACUUGAUCAGCGGUUAAGGCACGAAUCGGGCCUUAACUAGAUUAAUCUAGCAGACAGAACUACAUCUCUAGCUUCUGUCCGUUUUCAUAUUCCAAACUAUCCUUCAUAAGCAACAUGUAUGACUUAAGAGUUUUCCUUAAGGUUGGUAAACCAAUCAUGUAAGCAAGUAAGCAUUUCUAGACUUGGGUAGUUUCUAAGAUUUGAACAAGUGGCAAAGAUGUCCUUAAAUCAAGGCAUGAUCAUACACAAGAAUAGGUUUCAUUCAACUCCUAGACUUAGUGCAUGCGAUAAACAAAUAACCUAUAACUAGUCACAUGAAAUAACGAUUCCAAAAUAGAUAGGUAUAAAUGCACCGGGGCUUGCCUUGAUCGUUAAAAAGAUUAGUAGAAGCCGACGGAUUUGCUUCACAGGGAACAAAUUCAAAUACUUCGUCGGACUCCAAGGGUCCUUCUGAAAAUUUCCAGUAAUCUUCUUCUGGUGCUUCUAGAUCUACGGCACAAUAUAUGCAGGGGUUAGAAUGCAAACUUUUUAAAUAACAGACUAUACAACUUUCCUUCAUGAUAAAGUUGCAAGCCAACAAGGACUAUACGACUUAUCAUGAUAAAGUUGUAAGUCAACACACAAAAUCUAAAAAGAUUAACCUAUGUUUUUAUUUUUCUUAAUUAACCCUUCCUAUAACUUUUCCUUUAAUUUUUAGAAAAGGUGGUAAAUAAUUUCUAACUUGAAAAUCUAAUUUCCUAUGGGUUAAGAAUUAUUUGUGAUUGAUAAAGUAUUAUUCAUAUUUUUAUACAUUUUAUAAAUAUUAAGUAUUUAUUUAAUUACCUUAAAAGGAAGGCAUUAAAUAAAUACCCAAAUUUUUAUUAUUUUCCUAGGGUGUAAAAAUUUUAAUGCAUAAAGGAAAAUAAAAUAAGCCUAACAAAAUUGGUUUCACUAAUUUUGGAUACUCCUACAAAUUUCUGUGAUUAAAAUGGUAUAAAACGAAUUUAAACGAAUUAUUUUGCUAAGGAAAUCUAACUUUUCCCGAAUUUCCCCCGGAAAAACUUUUCUUACUCACCCACGCUCUACCCUCUCUCGUGAACCACUGGACCCCACGGCGCGGACCCAACCUUCCUAUUUAUUUCUACCCGCCAGUUCUCCUCUUCCCCCUGACGGGCCCCCACGGGCCGCUUUCCUUUUCUUUCUCCUUUGGCAGCCCAACGCCGGCCCACGGCCCUUUUCCUUUUUCUUCCUUUAUUUCGCGACGCCGGCCUGCGUCGCUCGUGCGCGUGACUUCCUGGGCCUCCGCGACGUCAGCCCAAGAACCACACCGGCCUCUUUUCUCUUUCGGCCGAAUCGCACGCGCGCUGCUCUUGGGCCUCCAACGCGUCGCGGCCCAGCAACCGACUGCACCGCCUCGGCCUGCUCCUUCUCCCCCUCUUCUCUCUGACACGCGGGCCCGAGCGCACAGCGCUUCUUCUACCUCCUGCCAAAACGCGUCCGCGACAGGGGGCGGCGCGGCUCGCCGGCCGGCGUCCUUCCGACGGCGGGACUAGGUCGCGACACCAACCCUAGACCUACACGACCUCGUGCGCGGCAACAGCUCCCCAUGAGAUGGCCGGAGCCAUCCCCUCCACGGCGACAGGCGGCGACUCCCUCGGCCGGCCGCGGUUACUCGCGACAACAGCUUAACCGACUCAACCGACUGCUUCUACCCCAUCCUCAGACCCUAAGGACUUGACUACGACUGCUCAAGAAGGAAGAAAGGCAGCGCAAGGUGGUUCUCACCGUGAGCAGACGGCGCGACGGCGGCGGACAGAAGCGGCGGCGAGCACGGCUAUCCUGGCAAGGAUGUGGGACAACGACUGGCUCGGGGUGUAGCUGGGGUGUCUGUGGAGGAGUGGGCGAGAGGAAUCGACGGGAGACGAGUUGUGGCGGCGGAAUUUUGCUUGGCGGUGAAGCUUGACAGAGAGGAGCGGGCGGCGGUAAAAAGGGAUGGCAGUGAAACGGUGGCGCGGGAACAGUAACUAUUCAAGCGAUUCACCCCUCGCAUGGACGACACCGUGGCCUACCCGUAGGCUUGCGUGGUGAGGAGGUGGCCUAGCUAGUUGUCCUGGCGGUCGACCGACGACGGCGGCGGCGACACGUCUGGAGCUCUGUCACCGUUCUCCUGGCGCCCGUGAUCUUUAGAAGCGACUAAUGGUUGAUCCUCAAUCCGACGGCCUCUCGUGCUUUAACAGAACUUGAAGAUAAACUCAAGACCGCCAUCUUUUAUUUUGGCGUCGGCUUGAGAUAAACACCGAAUCACUGGAAUUUUUGAAAUGUUGCUCGAAGGGUUCUGAAAUUGACUGAAUCAGAGAUUCAGUCUGUCAGUAUCGACAGUGGUGUCGAUCUCCAUUGUCAAUCCAAUUCAGUGGCCUAAAGCUUGUUUUUCCAAUCCAACUUCUACCCAAACAUGUUCUACUAUGUCCCAGUGUUCCAUUUUGCUCAUGAACAAGUAUCUCUUUUGAUCUAAAUAGCUCUGAAUUCGAGCCCCAAGUCGUUGCCUUGCUGCUGUUCAGACUUAGAAAAAUUCAGAGUUUCAGUGAACUUGUGAUUUUGUGCUGACUUUGAGCUGGAAUUUGACUCCCUUCCUGUUACUGAUCCUGGCCAACAACACCCAAAUCUUGUAGUCCAAAGUUCACACUUCAAUAUGGUAUAGUUGUCAUGGUGCAGUUAGUUGAAAAAUUCUCCAGAAAUGAAUUUUGAAAACAGACUCUAUGGCUGUUUUUCUGAAUUGCUGUUUUCGGACGGUGAACAGUAAACAGCAAUUCUUCUUUUUCUUUUUCUUUCUCUAAUUCUUUUGUGAUAAUUAGCACUAAUCUGGUUCCAACUUUUUGAUCCCUUAAUUCUAAAUACUCUUACACUUGUAUUCCACAUAUUCGACAAAUUUUGCUGAAUUUCAAAUUUGAAAUUCAAAUUUCGGUCAAAAUUUGGCCGAAUUUGAUCUUUUUGCCAAUUGUUUUUCUUUUUCUUUUGGAUUUCUUUCCAACUUCCCAUAGUUACUUUGAUAUUGCAAAUGGCAACUAUUACAACAGGUUGAUAUGAACCCUCUAAAAUAUAAAAUCUUUGAGCUUCAUCUUGUUGAUCAGCUGGCAGUUCCAAUAUUUGAACACGUUUACCAGGGUCUCUCUCAAAUCUAGUAGCUACAAUUGGUGGAUGCUCGGCAACCUCGGCUUCGAUUGGUUCGGCAGUAGCAGCAACAUUACUUUGAUUAUUAGGAAUUUGUACAUGAUCAUUAUGAGUUUCCCCUUCCAGAUUAGGAGCUUCCACUUCCACAUUACUCUGACUGCCUCGGCUUGCAAUGGCUUCAAUACAAUUAGCACUUGAACCAAUCGGCUUAAAAAAGCUAUUAAUGGUCUUUCUCUUCUUCAUAUUGUCUGAAAUUAGAAAGGGAAAUUUAGAAUCACUAGUGAGUAGUGACUGUGAAUUAGAUAAGAGAAUAUCACUGGAUGAUUUAUGAUUAUGGAUUACCAGCGAGCUACAGCGGUGUCAAUUUGGACAGCAGCGGUCGGCGGCGGCAUGGCCGCGGCAGUCCGGUCUGGCGUCUGGCGGUCUCCCAGUGGCAGCGGCGGAAGAUGAACAGGAACGAUCGAACGGAGACUUGAUGCCUUGAUGCUUCGUAUUCCAGGGGGUCAUGAUUCAUGAACAUAGGCUUAAAUGGCCAAAUGGGCUGCUUCGUAUUCUAGGGGGUCACGAACGGAGGCUUCUUAUUGGGCUAGGAGGUGCCAAGCCGCCAGGGGGUAGAGGCAGAGGCCGCAGAGCAUCAGGGGGUGCCGACCCCCCUCCCCCUCCCUCCGCCACUGCUAUGGAUAGAGUGUCCGAUGCUAUCGUUACUAUCGAAUGUUCUAUAAGGAGCAUUGCCAUUGAACGAACUUGGUGUUGUAAAUGAUGAUACAUUUUCUUAUAAAUCUGGUCAAAAUUAGAAAAAAAAUGGACUUCCAAUAAAAUUAAAACAUCUUCUUACAUUUUCAAAUAGAUGGGGUACUAUGGGAAAAAAUGAAAAUAGAGGUAAAGCAAUCAUCUAAAGUCCAUAUAAUCCCUAAACUACUCCACAAUUAUAUCAAUUAUUGGUCAAAUUUAUCCCUUUACAAAUUUUCCCUUUCAUUUCUCCACAAACAAGUAGAGCAUUAAGUUAAAAUCUUGCAGGGUGAUAGUAGACAUCAUAACAUUUGUUAAAAAAAUAUAAUAUGAAUUUUUUUCACUAUUAUUUUAGUUGGCUAGUAUGUGGAACAAUAAUAAAAUAAUCCUUGGAAUACAAAAUUCAUUAAAAAAUAAUGAUGAAAGAUAAUUCGACAUAUAGGUUUUAAAAGUAAGUUAUGAUGUCCACUAUCCUGCAAAAUUUAAUUUUAAAAUUUUAAACUGAUAAAUCUUAGUAAGGGGUAAAUUAGACCAAUUAAUAUAGUUGUGGGAACAAAUUGAACCAAAAAUAGUUUAGGAGGUUAUGUAGACUUUUGCUAUAAUUGAGGGGAGUAAUUUGGACUUUUUCAAUUAAGUAAAUACAUACUAAAACAACUUGGUAGUGUAUUUAUUUUUUAUUAUGUUAAUAUAUUUCCUAUAAAUGUGGCCAAAUUAAACAAAGGUCAUUUGAAGAUACAAACUAAAGUGUAUUACAUUUUGGGACUCAGGGAGUAGUUUGUUCCGUAGAUAUGUUCUUAGUGGGUUAGCAUCAUAAUUAUAGAUUAACCUAUGAGUAAUUUGUCUAUUCGAACUCCUAAAAAACCUCUUUGACAAUAUGAUUAGGGACAAGCAAAAUCACCCACCAGGAUAUGUGACAACUAUAAUACUUAAUCAACGUGCAUUGGGAGGUAUUUGAAAAUACAUAAAAUUUGCAGGUGUUCUAUUAAAGUGGGUACUUGGAGACCUCGUUAGCUUGUUGGUGGCGUUUUGGAGUUUUCCUCGGUAUAUAUGGGUAUAUUGUGUUAGAAAAAAUGAAAUUGAGAGGUAGAUAGCUAUUGGCCCUAAGUUUAUUUACAAACUUAUUAUAAGCUUUUUAAAAAUGAUUAUGUCUUUUAAAAUGAGUUGAUGAGUCCUUGAUUAGUAAUUUGAAAUUGUCAUAGAAUAAUCAUUAAAAUAUUUAUUUUGGCACCUCCGCGUAGAUACGGUUUUUUUUUGUGUACAUGUUGACUAUUGAUCAAAUGGCAAACAUGGUAUAGUCACUACUGGUAUGUUAGGCAAUAUUGAAAAUUAAAAGCUAAUCCUUACAUACAAAACUGUGAUAUAGGAUUGCCAUUAAAAUCAUUCACCCUUGUUUUUUUUUCUUUGCGGCACCGGAAGCUCUGAACAAGCAAGACUAGGAUGAAAGUGGUGUGGUAUAAUUUCUAUAUCUUAUCAUAUCCAAAUCUAAACUUUGAGGUAUGCAAGGGUUUUAGAUGUGUGGAUGUGGUGUAGCCGUGUAGGAUAUAGGAUCGCAAAAAUCCGAUGAAUAUAGAUUAUUCGAUUUUUUGAAGUGGAUUAUCCGACUUACAUAAUAAAAUUAUCGGACUAUACACUAGUUGAGCUUUGGAGGUUUGAUUGGCUAUCGUUACUUAUUUGUUUUGUCUAGCUAACUGUGAGUCCUUUCAGUUUUCUUGCUAGGACUUAACUAUGCUUUGCCAACCAUGUUAUGUUUGCCUUAAAGCUUCAUAGCUGUAAUAUGUGAAUUAUUUUUUAAAAAUUUGUUAUGCUUCUGCUGCUUUGUGCUUCUGUCUUUAAAGAACCUGAGAAUAUGGAUGUUUCGUUUCAUGUUAUGGCUUUGUAGCUUUAUUUUGUAAUUUUUUUACCAGCUCCAAAAUCUAUAUAUAAGCACCUAUUAUAUAUCCGACUAUUUAAGUCUUCAUCCAGUCCAACUCUAUACCAUCUCUGCAGCUGAAAAAAAAACAUAUCCAUGUCAGCAUCUAUUCAAUAUGCCAAUAUCUCCAAAUCCCGAAUAAAGAAGAUGAAUUAGGAUAUGAGGACACUAUCUGCUCCGAUCCGAUUUGUAACAUAGAAAAAUAAAACGAUUUCUCCUACACGGCGGCCUGUGAGGCUGUGACCUGAUGUAACUGUGAGGCAGGCUGACCUCUUGUGCGUUGAAAACCCACACGAUUUCAACCAAUCUCCUCUGUCAUUUCGUGGGCGCCGAUAAUGAGGACUCUGGAGGUUCUCGAGCAAUUUCUGUGUUCUUUGUUAGAAUAAUUGGGUAGCCCAAUUGCUUAAUUAAUCAAAUAAAUCUCAAGGUCUAAGGUCUAUUAGUAGUGGUAGUUACAAAAAGGUUAAAACUAACUUGGAAGUUGAGAGGGUCCCUAACCAACUUAUAUGGUGAAGUUGUGCUGCACUUGUUGAGAAGUUGAUAGAGGGAUAAUAGGAUGCCAUACGCGCGCUCGCUUACCGAGCCGUGCCGAGGCGCGGCGCGGCGAUGUGGGCUGGGCUUUGUCAGGUUUUGCAGUUUUUUGUCACGGUUGAUGACUAGUAACUGAAGAUUCAUUCAGUGACUAGUAACUGACGACUGCUAAUGGCUGGCAGUUACCAGAAACUGAUGCAUUAAUCUGGACAUCCAAAGGUCUUCUGCUGCCUAUAAGAGUGAAACUGACGACUGCUAAUGGCUAGCAGUUACCAGAAACUGCUGCAUUAACCUGGACGUCCAAAGGUCUUCUGCUGCCUAUAAGAGUGAGGCUGCAUCUCAUUCUUUCGUGCGCGAAAACACUAACCACCAGAGCUUUUGUCCACUAUUGUGCUGCGCUUCUGUCAUCUCCGUUCCGGCGAUCUGUGUGCACGGACUUCGCUGGAAGAGCAGGCCUCCGAAGCUGCGCUCUUCACCAGAAACUUUGCACCCGAGGAGUAGAAGGACGAUCAAGUUUUUGGGAAGCGUGUCUACGCAACUGCUCACUGUUCGUCUACGACUACUUCCUGGUGACGCGUCUGCACUGCCUCAGUUCUGCACUACGUCAACUCCUGAACGGCUACAUCGAACAGGCUCGACUAACAAUGUCGGGUAACGGCGCAAUCGGUCCCUCCGGAACCGUUCCCGCCUCUGGGUAUUUCCUAUUAAACUUUAUCGUUCAAUUCUUAUGUUUCAUAGUACCUGUAUGCUUUAUGUUCACUGCAAAUAUAAUGAUGGAUCAUGUUCCUGUUUACAUUAUCUUAAUUGUCAUAUUUUAUUCUAUAUUUCAGAUUAAAAUGAACCGUAAAAUGCAUCUGAUUCCAACAUUCUUUGGCUUACGACAUCAGCGAAUAGAAAUACUCGGUGGUCGGUGGAAGGUAGCAGUUUACGAGCAGCUGCGCAACGACCAACAAGAAGGCGUCUCCUGAAGCGAAGUGGAUCUCGGCCCGAGGUGAGGCACCGAGCGCUGCAGCCGCCAUGGACGUCGGCUUCUGCUUCGACGUGCAGAUGCUGGCCACGAUGACCGCUGUGGUCUUCGGCGGCGCGGGGUACCUCGGCUACCUGCUCUCCGUGGCGGCGCGGUCCCAUCAUCCUCGCCGUCUGGGUCGCCGUCGGUGCCUUCGUCUACAUCUCCUACUGCGUCGAUUUCCUCCCGGGGUCCGAGCUGGGGCGGCGCCUCGCCCCUCUCCCCCGCGCGCUCCACCGGUGCCCGCGCUGCGUCGCGUGGCUGCUGCGGCUCCCGUUGCGGUGCCUCCGCAGCGGCGUCCGGCUGCUCCGCCUCCCGCUGAGGCACGCGCACGCCAGGCUGCGGCGGUGCCCGACCACCGCUGCCGGCGGCCACGGCCGUGGCGACGCUGGACCCUUGCCCCAGUUUGGCGCCAAGAAAUGGCAGGGCAUGGCCGUUCUUGCGCGGGAUCCGCCGGUACUGCGGGGCGGGGCGCGGGCGGCUGCCGCCGAUGACAUCCCGACGUACAAGGAGCGUGACGGCGCGCGGCCGGACGGUGCGUCGCCGGAGGAGUGCUCCGUGUGCCUGUGCGAGGUGGAGAAGGGAAAGAUGGCGAAGCGGCUGCCGGUGUGCCUGCACGUGUUCCACCAGGAGUGCAUCGACCUUUGGCUCAGGGACAACUCGACAUGCCCGGUGUGCCGGUGCGACGUCUUCGCGCAGCUGCCGGCGCAAAUGGCGUGACGACUUACGUGACCUUCUUCAGUCCUUGCGCAUAUUUUUCUUACGUUUCUUGGUGGUGAGCGUCAACUGAAAACCGAAGCCGUUGUCAGGAAUUUCCGAUGUGCGAGUCAGCAAAUGCCGACUUGUUCCAUCAGAACUCAAAUGCAAGCACAGUGUUCAUGCUAGCCGGCGCCAACUUGAUGUGCAUCGGCGGCAUGGGCUUCCUGAUCUACACGCUCGCCCGGCUCUCGCGGACGCCGCACAGCGCCGCCAGCAUCGUCGUCUCCGUACGUCUUCCUCCUCUUCUGGGUCUGCGUCAGCGCCAGCAUCUACCCCGCUUUCUGCGGCACCGUCUUCACGUGCUCCGACCUCGGGGACUGCAUCGACGUUAUCCUCCGUGCGCUGUUGCAUGCCUGCAGGAAUGUCUGCUCUGCCUGACGUGCCGGUGCGCGCGAGCCGCACGAGCCCAGCUCCGGCGCCCGGGCUGGGGCGGCGGCGGCGGCAGUCAAAGUCAUGCCAUGGACGUGCUUCCGCGGGAGCCGCCGGCGCGCGGCUGGGCGCGGGUGGCGGCGGCUGCCGACGACGACAUCCCGUCGUACGAGCAGUGGGGCGACGCGUCCGUGUGCGCGGUGGGCGAGGUGGAGGAGGGGGAGAUGGUGAAGCGGCUGCCGGUGUGCCUACACGUGUUCCACCAGGAGUGCAUCGAUCCCGUGGCUCUCGAGAGGCAAGUUGACGUGCCCGGUUUGCCGGUGCGACGUCUUUGCGCCACGGCCCGCGGAAAUGGUGUGAGAUCGUGCUCUCUUGUUUUGUUUUUUCGAUUUGGACAUGUCACAAUGAGAGAACUAGCUCCCAGAAACCGUGUGUUUAAAAAAGUAAAUAAUUGACAAGUGACAUGAAAAGGUCUUUUUUUUUGUUUCAUCACAAUUGGCGACAUGCAAGCUGCAGCGCAAUUGGAUUUUACUUGGAUCAUGAUGUAUAGUUGAAGAUUAUUGGUAAAUGGCACUCGCUCCGUCCAAAAUUACUAUUUAUUUUAACUUUUUCAAAUAUAUAGUAAAAAUUAUGUAUUUAAAUAUAGCGUAUAUCUAGGUACAAUCUCAGUCAGUUUAGAACAUGCUUUCAAAAAGAGAUACAAAUAAAAACACGAUGAUGCCAAUUAAAAUCUAAGCCUAUUAGAUGGCAUCCACCCGCACAUGGCGAAAAUCUCCAGAGCCUCAGUCUCCAAUAUACGACACGCCCUCUUCAAACUUGGUCCGCUAUCAAAGGCCACAUCAUUGCAGCAUACCAAAUAAAAUCAAAAAUUGUAGAUACUCCCGCACAACCUUUUUUCGUUUUAUUUGUUGGAGCCAAACCCCCAAAAAAACAAGCUUUGUUAAUUGGUGUUUGUGAACCACAAGUAAUUUGAACCUCUCCAAAGAGAUCGAACAACAUGACAACAAAAAAAAUAAAUAUUAGAUUGGUUUCAUUUAUUAUGAAAACAACAUUUGUUAUCACAUCCUUCAAUAGCGCUUUAAGAGGUUGUCUUUUAUUAAAAUGACUCUUUUUAGCACAAACUGAACAAAAGUGUUAAUUUUGAGGGAUACUUUCAGUUUCCAUACAUAUUUAUGUAGAGACUGUGUAAGCACCGCGUAAGUUCCUUAGUGAAAUCACGUUGGUCAUCUAACUACACAAUUGCAAUUUUUGCGACCAACUCAUUCCACCUCUGUAGCUUGUCUCCCACUAAUGCCCUUCUAAAGUCUGAACGUUGUAUUAAGUUGUGCAGAGCUAAAAACAUGAUCAACUGAAACAUGUUUCUUUCUUGCAAUAUUUAUAAAGAUGGGUAGUUCUUUGAGAGUGAAGUUUCCUAACCAAUUAUCCUCCCAAAUAAAAUUUGGAUAUUAUUAUGAAUAUUGAAAGUCGAAAGUUCAAAGAAACGAUCUUAAACCCUCAUAAGACCUGACAAGAAGUGUGAAUCUCCCGACUUCAAACGAACUUCACCGAUAAUUUUAUUUUUUAAAUACUUAUUCCUAAGAUGCUCUUGCCAAACCCCAUCUUCAUUUAUUAAUUUGAACAGCCGUGUACUAAGCAAACAUGCAUUCUGUAGUUCAAGGUUUAUAAUUCCUAAGCCGCCUUGUUCUUUUAUUAGGAAUAAAUUUCCACAUUUCAUCAAUCUAUUUUUUCUUAUGGUUGGUCCCUUACCAGAAAAAAAAAUUGAAUCUAUAAAGGUCUAAGUUUUUAAGAAUAUUUUUUUCGUACUUCAAAGAAAGAAAUCUGAGUCGAUCAAAACUAACUGACAGAUGUAAGACAAAAGCAUCCCUUUCGAACUACUCAACUUUUCUGAAAGCAUUCUUCCACGGAAUAAAUAACUACACGAAAAGGGUGCUGACCCGUACCACAUCCAAAAAUAUGUAAAUAUUCAUCUGAACAAUUCUCAGCCUCCCGUAGAAAAUAUUUCACUCUUGUGGAAACUAAUUUUUAACCCGAAAGUUGUCCAAAGGCACAUAAUAUGAUUUUUCAUAUUUUUUGUUGUAGAUGCAAAUAUAAGGGUUAUUUUAGAUUAUUUUCAAUAACAACAAAGGUGGGUGAUUGUCAGUUGCCACACCCUAAAAUUUCUAUUUUGGGGAUGUGAACAAUUAACACUAAUAAAAUAAUAGAUUUUUUCAUAUUUCUAAAAUUUCCAACAAUUAGUUUUUGCAAAACAUAUAAUUUUAGGGAAAAUUGUAUUUUCUAAACAAAUAAUCAAUAUAGGACAUAUAAUUUGUUUUGUGCAUUCAUGCCAAGUAGUUUGCAUUAGGUGUUUAUUCGAUGAAAAUUGUAUUUCAAAAUUCUAUCAAAUUCGACUUCCUUUGAAUUAGAAUCGAUUUAGUCUAAAUCCUAAACAUCUUUUAGGCCAAAAACAUCUCUAUCUUGUUCCCGGCCCAGCUUGCCUCCUCUUGAUCUCAAAGACUAGUGGGCCCGAUCUGUCAUCUCUAUCCAGCGCCGCAUUCAGCAACAGCUCGCGCGAAAUCACCGACGCAUCUCGCCCGCUCGUCCACGCCUCGCCUCGCUCUUUAAAGAGAGAUGACGGUACGCGCUCCUCCCUUUCGCAUCUACGCAAAUCCCCGCUCGCUCACCAUCGCAACCGAGCCGCCGUCGCCGCUAUCAUCUUCUCGACCCUAUAGGCUGAGCCGCCAUUUCUGUUCUUCACGUACCCGUCUCGUACAUCUCUCAUCUCCGUCUCGCUCUUUCCCGCAUUGCAGAAUGCAUAACCGUUAGGAAGCCACUCUGCCGCGUCUCGUCGUUGUUACGUGACCGCCGUCGAGCCCUGACAGAGCACAAAAUGCCUCUCAUCGCUCUCUCUAUCCAACAUCCAUUACGCCGUUACGCGUCGCCAUUGGCCCAUUGCCCUCCACAACACCCUACCAGGGGCCUGUUUGGAUACAAAUUUCUAAAGUUUAGAAUUGUUCUAAAGUUUAGAAUUCAGAAAUUGGUAGUCCUAAAAUUUAGGAGAGGGCUGUUUGGAUGGAAUCCUAAUAUUUAGGAUGUUAGAGGGAAAAUAACUUUUUUACCCCCAAUUACUCCUCUAAAUGCUCCUGCACUGUUCACGUCAUUAAAUGCUUGGGGAGGGCAACAGGGGUAAAGGGAGGUUUGGGAAUCACUUUUAGGAGAAAAAGGAUCCAUUAGGAUGCCUUAGCUCUCCUAAUAAAAAUAGCCCUUCUAAAAUUUAUGAGUGCACUUUUAGAACCUAUGUUUGGAUGCACAAGUCCUAAAAGUGUCAUAAAAGUGGAGAUCUAAUCUUUAGGAGUGUAUCCAAACAGACCCUAGGUGAGAUCCCAUUCCGAGGGCGUUCCGUUUUUUCGCUUCCCGUCGAAUUCCGUAAACCAUAGCCUGAUCUGGCUUUUUCCGGUGAAGUUCUGGCCGCGUCCAUAAGCUCGUGCAUGGCACCACGGUGACUGGACGCCGUCGUCCUGUGCCGAGGGAAGGAGAUGAUAUGGUGGCCCGUAGAUCCGAAACCCAUGGUCCAGAUUAGAUCCUAACUUUACCCAUUCGUAAACCAUUCAAACGAUGCCACGUGUUUUACAUAAUCCUAGUCAGCGCACGCAUGUGGAUUCCAGUCAGCACCACGCGUGUAACACGUCAGCACAUGAGCCUAGUCAACCUUCUUUAUGCAUUCCAAUCCCUUUACUUGUUUGUAAUCAUCACAUAUUUAUUCUGGGUCAUCUAAUCUUACACUCUAGCACCUGAAUGCCUUGAUAAUUAUUAUUCCGACCAUAAUCCUUGUACAUGUUCACCUAAGCCCUUGUUAUUUUCCUUAUUUACCCUAAUUUUCAGAGCCUUGCUAUAAUUAUGUGUAAGCCCUUCUCGACUUUAAAUAAUUACAUAUAGAUCCCUAAAACUUCAAACGCUUUGUAUCUUUUUAACCCCAGUUCCGAUUUAAGUGAUUCUUGUGCUCAUGUGUUUGUAACGAUGAGUAUUAUGCGUUUGAUCCUUAUAUCGUAUUUUGAUCCUUAUAUCGUAUUUUGUUACUGUUUUGGUGUACUAUUCUUUGUAUUUAUUGUGUAUUGUUUUGAUUGUUUGUGCCUUUAGGAAGUGAGACGCUCGUGAACCUCCAACUCCAAGAGUUCAAGGCUGUUGGGCACUCUUCUGCUAAGGGCAAGUGUCCUUGAUUAUUCUUACUCCUAUUUAUGUUUUUAUUGGAGUAGUUAGACUUGGUUGCAUGAUGUGUCAUAAACUUGAAUCCCUAGAUAUUUCCUCUAUCAUCCUUGAAACCUUGGUUGGUUGGUUAUGGGUAAUUUCAUGCUUAACUUGUAGUUCGGUUGGGUGGUUGGGCUUAUAAUAUUAAACAUGAUUAAUUAUUUAUGUAAUGGGACCGGUUGAUAAUCUUUUGAUAGUAACAUGGUGAUUAGAGAAUCUGAGCAGGAUGGAUGGAACCGAUGGAUUCUCCCUUAUGGUUUUUAUUUGGUUUUGUGUUGUUAACACAUGGAUUGGUAGAUUUGAAGGACCGGUUCAUGGACAAGUAACCCGGCUUAACCGUGCAACCAUGAGAUCUAUAUAGCUCUGGACUUAGAUAAUUAGUUGUCCCACCUGUUUAAUUACAUUGUCAAACGGUUUGAGUGGCACAAGAGUGGGCUUCUGCAGUGGAGGAAAAUAGGACUCCCCUGUUAGCGGUGAAUCCUUAGUGGGUGUCUACAGGUGGGAAGCUACAACUUUUGAAAGGCCUUGUAGCAGGGGCGGACCUAGGACCCAGGCUGGGGGGGCUGUACCCCGGGUCCAAGCCAUGUAUCCUUGUGUGUAUAACAUGGUAUUCACUAGCUAGCUAAAGGAAAAAAGAAGCACAUGAGGCAAAAGUUAGCUCAGGUUUGCCCGGGGCUUAGGUCUGUUCUGGGUCCGCCCCUGCUUUGUAGUGUGACCUUGGUUGAUCACCUCGAAAGUGUGAUGUGUAAAGGGGAAUCAUGACUUGUGGGUAAAUAUAUGCAACCUUUGCAGAGUGUAACACUGGUAUAUCAGUCAUGCUGACGGUCAAGAGUAGCUUCGACUUCUUCGUGAUUAGUGAGGAGGUGGAUGGUAUGUUUGGUAACUAGGUGGUGGUACCCUUGUUUGGUCAGCUGGAUGGAAUCCAAUGUUGGUUUUGGUGCUCGCAUGAAAUCCGAGGGGUUUUUCUAGCCGGAUGCAAUCUGAGGAGUUGGUGCUUAGGAAGACGAUGGCCUCAACUCGGAUGCACCAUACUAGACUGGCAACCCCCAGAAGACUGCAUGUGGCUCAAUGGAAGAACCGCUCUGCUAGAACCUUUAAGUGUAUUUCUCUUUUAGACCUAAGGGUCAUUUUGUAUUAAAGUUACAUUUAUAUAUGACAUUGUAAUGAUAUUGACUGAUGAAGUCGCUGCAUGUAUGAAUAAAAUGAUCCUGACAUAUAUGUGGUUUGCAUUCGGUUUUGUCCUUAUAAAACCGGGUGUGAUAGUGAUUCUAUAACAUUAGGGGAUGUUUAAGUUAUUUUUCAUAGCAAUAGAGGUGAAUAAUUGAGAUAAUAUUUAGAGGGUUAUUUUAGAUGGUUUUCAUAAUGUAGAGGUUGGUAAUUUUUCAAAAAAGGGAUAAAGCUACUAGCUAUUAUUAUCAUUGAUUAUUGGACUCUGCAGAAAUGACAGAUGUUUCUGAUUUUUAUAAGAUGAUUUAAGAUUUAUCUCUUUUUCUAUUUCAUCUUGAAUUUAACAUGAACACUUCCAAAUGAACCUCUGACACCGUUGAGACCUAACACAGUUAAGUCAACCAAAUAUUAUCUUGUUCUAUCUUUUACAGUCAUCAACAAGUUGUCCUUUUGCACUGGCUCCAUGAUCAAUCAAGUUGUUGGCACGUGCUCCAUCUGGUUAGGUGCCAGGUUUGUUGCGUCGUCGUAUCAUGAUCGGGCUCCUUUUACUCGAGUUAUAUGUUUGAUCCUAGAGAUACAGAGGCACGGAGCACAUGUGGAUCUGAGCAAGUUCCUCGGUCAACUAGCGAGUUGCGUACGGUCUUGAGUUGUAUACUGAAUUACUGAUAUAGUGAUAUCCACCCCCACAACACUAACACUGCAGAGCUCCUGCUGUUCUGCAUUUUUGACUACUCAAGGAGUCAGACAAAGGUAAUCAAUCCCCUCUGCACCUCAUUUCAUCUUAAUUGGAUCACAAAAUGUGCUGUAACUGCUUGGAAUUUGCUUGUGCAGUUAUCCUACAUCGAUGGAAGCCACCAUCAAGAUCGCCACCAGCUUGCUGCUGAAUCUUGCCUUGUUCUUGCCAUGUCUAUCUGCCACCGUCACGUCAAAUCCGUCGUUCCAUCCAAGCAUGUCGUCGAAAGGACCCAUCCAUCAUGACUACACACGCUUCGCCGACGUCGAGCGGCACUGCCAAUCCGUGCUCUCCUCAGCAGCGGAGCUCGGGGCUGAAGCUGGCCGUGCCGGCGUCCGGAUGCAACAGCUAUCCUUCAUGAAUGGGGACUGGAGCCAGGACGCCGGCCAAGCCCCUCUAUUUCCGUUCCAGGGAAGCUAUGCUGAUGCGGCGGUGGCCGGUCCUGAAUUUCUUGAAGCUGUUCCACUUGCGUCCUUUAUGCUCACGCACACGGACAUGGUGCCACGGCGAGGGGCUCGUGCUGCCUUCAACGUCAGCGGGAUCCUUAGCUUCACCAUCAGCCGCAACUGCUGCUGCUCGUCCAUGGAACCUCGCACAUCGCCGGAGUUCGAGCUCCGGCCUGGGGUCUCCAGGCUCCAUGUUCUGCUCCAAGGUGUGUAUACCGAGACGAAGACGUCAGGGAGCGGUGAUGACGGCGGCGGCGAGAGGGUGCUGUGUAUGGUCGGGGACGCUGUCCUCCCCGUGCGCGGCAGCAACAGCACGGACCCUUGGGACUGGGCCAAGAACCAUGGCCGCGACGGCAAAUUGAAGCCGCCGGUCGUGGCCGACGGCAACAUCCUGCUCGUGCUACGGUACCCGAAGGCGGCCACGCUGACAACUCGCGCCGUGCGCGGCGAGAUGACGAGCACGAGCGCCAAGUCCGAUGCCGCCUACUUCGACACCGUCCGCCUGGUGUCACAGCUCGGCGGCGGGUACGACUCCGGCUACCAAUUCCAGCCAGAAGAUGCGGAGCUUGAUGCCGUCGUCGCUGGGUGCAGCAACGACCCAAUCUUCCAUGACGGCGACGACGCCACGGAGCACCUGAACAGGGGCGCCUCUCCUUGCGACAUCAUCUACCAAUCCGCUCCCGGUCACCAGGUGAUGGAAGUAAUCCCAAACUGGAACUGCGAGGGGACCGACGCGUUCUGCAGCCGGGUCGGGCCGUUCGGGACCAGCCGCCCCACCACGAGGAGUAUGCAGGACAUGGCGUUCACCCGUUCUGGCAUCGCGGUGCAGGGCCUCCAGUGCGAGCCGACGUCCAGCAUCGACGGCACGGCCGCCGCGAGGGUGGCGGCCCUGUUCCGCUACGUACCCCCAUGGGAGCAUCAGUCCAUGGCGGUCGAGCGGACCGGCCUGAGCGCCAUGACCCUGUCGGCCGAGGGCGUGUGGACCGCGUCCACCGGGCGGGUCUGCAUGGUGGCCUGCCUCGGCGGUGCUAAGGAGGCAUGCCACUAUCGCGUGACCCUAUCCGUCCGGAAGACGUUCUCGAUGGCUCGCCGCGGCAAUAAUAUCGGCCAGAUAGCCGCCAUGGAUGGGAGCCACGCUUCGCUCUUGUUCCAGCAGCGCGUGAGACCCAGAGAGCAAUGGUUUGGCUCCGGGGAGACGCCGCGCAAGUCGUACAUUUACACCAAGGUCGAGCAGGCUCGGGAGCUCCUACGGGUCGUCAAACCAACUGGAUUUCGCGACACCAACAUUGCCAAGUUACUGCUCAGCUAUCCAAACCUCGCCGGCGCUGCCCAUGACUUGGUGAGCCUCUCCAACCUCGCCGGCGAUCUUAAUCUCUUAUUUCGAUGCGUGGUGAAGCCACCUUUCGUGCCGGGAUGGAUCGAGGAGCCGCUCUUCGAGCUCCAGAUACUCUCUGUUGGCACCCUCGUCGGAACCUAUUCUCCAAAAUUUCAGCAGCAAUUUCAAGGUGGUGGGUUCAGUAUGCGGAUGGAACAGCUUGGUAGAGUCAGAGUCCACUCCGUGGAGAAGCAGCAGAUACUGAAUGUGUCUGCAGAGUUCACGGCAUCCAGGAACAAUUUCCUCAGUCCAAGUUCGGUGAUGUCGUUGGAGGGCGUGUACAGCCCGGAGGAUGGGCGAAUGUACCUGAUCGGCUGCCGGAACGUCCAUGCCCCAUGGCGAGCCCUGUCGAAGAGAAGCGACCUUGAAGACGGGAUGGACUGUUCCAUAGAGGUGACAGUGGAGUACCCGCCGACGACGACGCGGUGGCUUGUCAGCCGGGCGGCGAAGGUCUCCAUCGCCAGCGUGAGGGACGAGGACGACCCGCUGCACUUCAACAGGACGGAGCUCCACACGCUGCUCGUCACCUACCGCGAGCAGCGGCGGGACGAGCUGACAGAGGCGACGGUCGAGGGGCUCCUCUGCGUCACCAUGCUGUCGGCCACCAUCGCCGCCACCAUCAGCCAGCUGCGCUAUGUCAAAUCUCACGCCGACGUCGCGCCGUACAUCUCCCUCGUGAUGCUCGGCGCCCAGGCCCUCGGCUACAGCGCGGCGCUGGUCACGGAUGCCAAGAUGCUGCCUGCGUGGCCGACGUCGAGGUACAAGCCCUAUGGUGACCGUAUGGGCUGGGACAUGGACUGCUCCGUCAAGGCGCUCACCCUCGCGGCGCUUCUCCUCACGGCGCGGCUCGCCCAGAAGGUGUGGCGAUCGAGGGCCCGGGCGCGGGCGCGGUCACCGCUCGAACCUGGGCGCGUCCCGGGCGACGGCGCGGUGUUCCUGUGCAGCUGCGGCGUGCACUUGGCCGGCCUCUUCUUCGUCCUCGCCGUGCACUGGCUGAGCACCUAUGGCACGUCAACGGCUCAGCUGACACCCAGCAGGGUGAUCUACGUCGAAGCGCAAGGGAUGCCGUCGUCGCACACGCGCACGCGGGCCGCCAUCGUCGAGCGGCACGUCGGCGUCGUGAAGGAGUGGUUCUUGCUCGCGCAGGUCAUCGGCAACGCCCUCUGGCGCGUCAACUGCAAGCCUCUCGCGGCGAGGUACUACGCCGGAGUCACCGCCGUGUGGCUGCUGCCACAUGUCUACGGCUACCUCCGGCCGCCGGUGGUCAACACUUUCUACGAGUCCGAGGCUCACGACGAUGGCAUGGACUUCUACUCAAAGGCCAGCGCCGUGGUGGUUCCCGUCGUUGGCUUCGUGCUCGCUCUCGUUGUUUAUGUGCAGCAGCGCUGGAACUACAAGAUCGUCGGCUGGGCAAUGAGGACGGAGAAGAAUAAGCUGCAGCAUACCUACUGAAGCAUUGUGCAAUUGCCACCUACUCCCUCCGUCCCGAUUUAACUGUCGCUCAGAACCGGGAUUGUAAGGGGAACAGUUCCCGAGCGACAGUUAAUAGGGGACAGAGGGAGUACUCUGCUUUGUGUCAGUAUCUGAAGAUUUCUGUCGCCCAUGUCUUGUUCGAAUAAGUACAAGUACUAUGUCUACUGGAGCAUGUUUCGGUGAUAUUUUUUCAAAAUAUUUUUUACAACGGUGAAAUAUUUUUUUAUAAAUCUGGAAUAAAAUUAUAUUAUGUUUAUGAGAAAAAUAUUUUAUAUCCAGAAUAUAAGUAAUGCAGGCUCGUAGAAAGAAAGGUUUUUAUAAAAUACCCCAACGGUACAUGAACUUGGCAGUGAGUAUCAUCCAGGACCUCGAACUCCUAAAAUGCACAUUUCAAUCCCCGAACUUGCUAAUCAGUUCACUUGAGGUCCAAAUCAUGUUUGCUUGAAUUAAACAUCUACGUGCCCGCUGACAUGGCACUAGGUGGGACCUCACCCUCUCUUUCUCCAUUGUUUCCUCCUCUUCUUCCCUAGCUCUCUCAGUCUCUCCAACGCUGGAGUAGCAGGACAGGGCUUGCCGUCAAGGCGGCCGGUAGCAGCGGUGGCCCUCCGAGGGUGAACGGCGGCCGUGCCCGCUGCCCUUCUAGAGCGGACAGCCAGCGGCGGCCGCCGUGCCCUGCGCAAGUGGAAGGGGCCGGAGGCCGAGGUCAGCGUGAGCGAACGGCGGCGACGGCCAGCGCGGCGAGGCCCUACGUGAGCGGACGAGGGCCGAGGCCACGGGCGGCCGUCACGCCCUGUGCGAGCGCACGAGGCCCAGGCUUUGGCCAACAUGGGCGGACGGCGGCUACGACAGGUGGCCGUGCGCGUGGGCGGCGGCCGCGGUGGACCCUCGCAUGCCAGUGGAGACGCAUCGUGCUGGCCAGCCCGCAGCGACACCUACCCGCGCCCACAAAUUCCAGCUGUGUUGCUCUUCUCCCCCAGCCGCUCGCCAUCCACCCCCACAAUGAGCUCCCUCACCACUAGAUCUGUCCUACUGCACCACCUGGGCCCACGCGUCUUCGGCACGGUUUCCUCUCCAGUGACUGCGGCGCCGCGACCCCUGCUCGUCCUGGCCGCUGGCAGCGGGGAACGCGCCGCCACCGUGUGGGUGCAGCUGCGGGUGCAGCCCCGAGCAGCGCGCCAGAGCUUCGAGAGUGGCGGCGUGCUUAGGGGUAGCUCGCCUGCUCAUGGGUCGAGCCUUGGCCUUGGCAAUGCGGGCAAUUUAGAUGUAAAUGUAAGGGGUUAUUUGAAAUUAUUCUUUAUAAUGGUAUAGGUGGGUAAUUGAGAUAAAGAUUAGGGGUUACUUUAAUGAGAAAAUUCGUUAUUUGACAUUAGAAGAUGACUAAAUUCCUUUCUUUACACUGAAAAACUUCCCCUCACUUAUAUGACAAUGAGUUCUAUCUUUUAUUCCUUAUUUGAUAUUUUUAUCACUUUUGUCAAAUACGCUAACAAAAUAACCAUCAAAUCAACUCCAAAAUUCAUGAAACUUUUUUUAAUAAUAGAACAAAUGAAGAUGAGUCCAUUUUGCUUAAAAAUGCACAUGUACCUUUGCCAUUUUCAAAUUAAAAUUCACCAAAUUUGACUAUUUUGGAAGAAUAUUUUAAUCUUUGUGGCACCAAAAUACUUUCCACAAAAUUUGAAAAAACAACUAAUAUUCCUUACAUGAGAUGUAGUCAUUUAUAAAAUUAGUUUUUAUCAUAAGUUACAUAGAGAAUUACAAGGUUCUUUGAAAUUUUCCUAAAUUUACAGUUCUUCACAAUUCUCUUUGUAAGUUUUGCUUGGAAAUAAUCUAGUAAGUUCCAACAUCAAUGUAGAAAUAUUAGUUAUUUUCUUAUAAUUUUUAAAAGUAUUUUGGUACCAUAAAAAUUCAGAUAAUUUAUAAAGGUAGCCUAAGUUGGUGAAUUUUAAUUUUAAAACCGUAAAGGUAUGUGUGUCUUUUUAAUAAAUAUGGGUUUAUAUUCAUUUGUUGUAUCACUGUAAAAAGUUUCAUAAUUUUUUGGAGAUCGUUUCACCUCACUUAACUAACACAAGUGACGGAAAAUAUCAAAUAAUGAAUGAAAGUUAGAAGUUGGUGUCAUAUUGUUGAUGGCAGUUAGCACGCCAAUUGUGAACCGCAAUCACACGGAUUAGUUGUAGCUCUUCUCUCACAGUAUUCCCCAAAGGUUUAUCAAUCCGUGGACCUGAUAAUACAAGAUCUAUUUCAACUAGCAUUGUUAGUAUGAACUUGGUGUUGAUGAGUGAUUCAGAUCCAAUCUACUAAGUAUAUAUAGAUAGAUAACAGAUAGAGCACAGGUAACCAAUCUAGAGGAACCUAAACUAUGCAUAUGUUGUAAUUCUGAGCAUGGAUAGCAAAGCAACAUAGAUAUAAUCUUAGUGAAAAGCAUCUUUAAAUCUACACCUCCGGUCAGGCUCCCGAAAACCCUAUCUUACACAAGAAAGACCUCAUCACGAUCCUCUCUAUCAGCAUAGGAAAUCUAAAGGCACGAUUACAAGAACAUGUUAUACUCAUCGGUAGAUCAGGCAUGCAAAUCCGAUCACCACAACCACAUAAACAUCCUAAGAAAUCUAUCAUCGAUCAUAGAUUGAAAAUCAAGCAAAUCUGAAAGAGCAUAAAACCAUAGAAGGAGAUACUUAGAUCGCUAAUAAAAAGAACAGAUCUAUUACUUCACCAUGAAUGAUUCUACAUCACAAGAUCACCACCGGGAUCCUACCUUGACCUUGAUGUUCCUAGCUCCAGAACUCCGAUGUGGAUCUUCCUCACAAGGUGAUCACACCGGCCAGGGCUUAGCUACACUAAUCCCUAGACAACUGCAUGACCCUCGGCUCUCCGAAGUGGUGUCCCUCAAGCUCCUUCUGCUUCUCUGCUACUGUGCGUUGAAUAUGUCUUCUUUGAUGUGUUGGUCGAUGGAGAAUCGGGGUAUUUAUAGUCUGGAGAACCCGUGGCAGAAAUUGGAAGGCGAGGGAGUGAAGCAACACACUAGGUCGAUCGGCCUGGGUAGGUCCACGCCGAUUGGCUUGGGCCUUCCUUUUGCCCACUUGCGCCUCCCUUCAUCUCCAAGUCUUCCCAGAUAUUCUGGAGUCUUCUUUUCACUUGCAUGUGGGACUGGCACGUCGAUAACUUCGGGAUGAGAUUGAUUUUUGAUAACUUUCCAAAUCUCUGCUUGACCCUCUUUGAUCCUGAACUUAUCUUACCAUAUCCUUGCAAACUUAGCCCUUAAGUCAUCUUGGAAGAUUGCUUGCCAAAUAAACGAGCACGAGAGAGGGUCUAAGGAUCCUAGGUCGAUCGGCCUGGGCCUCCUGAGGCUUAUCAGCCUAGGCCCUUCCUAGGUCCGUUAGCCUUCGUCUUCCUCUGGUUCGUUGCUUGUUCAGGGUUUUAUCCAAAUUUGCUCCACUAAGUCCAAUUUCCUGCAAAAACAGGAUAUCCUCCAAAUUAUAUUGCAUAUGUGAAAAUGCAUGGUUUAUUAGGUAUGAUCAAUAGUUUAGAUAUUAAAUUAAUAUCAUUAUUGAAAAUAAAAACGGGUAAAAAGAGUCAAUAACGAGCGUCAACACAUAUUAGGAAGAAAAAACUUUUCAGACUCAAGAAAAGAAUUAACUCAUCGUCCGGUGUCAAAUAAGGAAUUACCUCUACUUUAAUUUAUUUUUUUAUAAUGGUAGAGUGGGUAAUUUAGACAUAAAUUUAGGGGUUAUUUUAAGUUAUUUUCAUAAUGGUAGAGGUGGGUAAUUCAUGUAAAAAACAUAAUAGAUCCAAUGGGUAAGAUGAUUUGAGUCUAUGAAUUGAUGGCUAGAUAUUUUUCUUUUUUUGAGAGAGAGAAUUUUUAUGAUUUCUCUCUUUUCUACAGUGUCCACCUAGGAUCCUAGGUGGCUUCAUGUGGAGGUUUCAAAAGGAGUCUCCAAUUAGUAAUAGUAAGAUACUUUUAAUGGGUUGGUUUUCUUUUGGAAGUUGUUUAGAUUUGUUACCAAUAGGCUGAUUUAUCAAAUGGUUUGGUUUGGUUUGGAUUCUUUCCAAGAGAAAAUGAUUUAGGAGUGGUUUAGAGUGGGUUGCAUUGGUUUGAUUCACAAAACAAUUCAAGGAUCUGACUCUUGAUGUGGGGCCCACAUGUAUGUCCAGCCAUACUAUUUUGCACAAAGUAGUGGAUAAUUAAAUUGAGUCAUCUCCAACAAAUUUCGAUCAAUUUCGCUAGAAUUUUAAGGUGUGAACGCGAGGUUUUAAUUCCAGGGUCCAGUUCUUGACGUCCACAUGUGUGUUUAGCCAUACUAUUUUGUACAAAGUAGCGGGAAGUUAAAUUGAAUCAUCUCCAAUAGAUUUUGAUCAAUUUCGCUAAAAUUUUAAGGUGUGAACUGAGGUUUUAAUUCCAGGGUUCGGCUCUCGACACUAGGUCCACAUGUAUGUUUAGCCAUACUAUUUUGCACAAAGUAACGGAUAGUCAGACUGAGUCAUCUCCAAUAAAUUUCGAUCAAUUUCGAUAAAUUUUAAGGUGCGAAAGUGACAUUUUAGUUCAAGGGUCCGGCUCUUGAUGUAGGAUCCACAUGUUGGUUUAACUUUUAUUUCAAAUAUGUACGCAAUUUUUAUAUGAGCCCAUAGGCUUAUAUAGCAAAUCCAUGGGUUCUAUCAACUAGUAGGGUGGAUUGGCUUGGGUUUAGAUGAUAUAAAUAUGAGGCGAGGUAGGUUGAAAAAAUAAAUUAACUUGAUGUGGAUUGGUGUGGGUUAGAGUUGGAUUAAUUUCCAAUUAGGAGGCCUACGCGAAGCUCGUAUCGCCAGUGCUGAUGAACAACACCACCACGUUGACGACGUCUAGCAUGAUCACGUUGAACAAGCAGCAACACACCUGUCCAUGGUUGCCGCCGCACGGUGGCUCGUCUGUGCUCUCCAGUCUUCAGAUGCUGAAUUCCUCUGGGAACUUCUGAGAUCGUCCCCUCUCCGUGUCCCAAAAUGGCAAUUUAGAGGCACAGCUGGAAAGAAGCAUAACACAUAAUGAUAGGGAAAAGCUAUAUUGUGCCCGAGCAUUUCUUCCCUCUCUCACACUCGAAUUUUUUCUUCCUCCAUCUUCACUCUGUUCUCCAACUCCGGUGAAUCUCACCGACGGGGUAUGGUUAGGGGAUUUGGGGAUUUUGGGGUUAGGGUUUGGGAUUGGGGUUGGGAAUUCAGAGAUUUGGAGGUUUAGAAGGAAGUUCAAGGGAGGAAGGUCGGCCUGGCGAUGGUGGCGGUUUGUGGGCGGGCCGGCAAGGUGGCAAUGGCGCUGUUGGCUGGGGUGGUGGAGGAUAACCGGUGGGAAGGGUUGGGGUAGGGGAAGUCACUUCGACAUGUUAGAGUAGCGGUGGGGAGUGGCAGCGGCUCCGGCGGUGGGAGCCACCGGAGAUGGGAGGAGGAGGAUGGGGCAAGGGCGCUGGAUGGCUAGAGCUUGUCUUUGGCACCAUGGUUGGAGGUAGAAGAAGGAUGGAGGAAGAACAAGACUGGAGGAAGAAGAAAGAAGGGGAACCUUUGGAUGGGAGUUUGAUGAAGAGCCAAUGGUCCAAACUUCGAGUGCAGGAGGGAGGCAAAAUACUCAGGUGCAAGGUAGACAUCUCGUGAUGAUAAUAUUCUCACGGAACACAUAACAACCGUAUACCUAAUACUCUAGACUCAUAUUUUUUCCCCCAACACGUGUUUGUGGCCCAAUAUUUUCCUGCCCACGCCUAAAUAUCCCACAUAAGCAUGUCUCUUAUUGCCUACAUCACCGUCUUAACGUGUGUUUAAGUAUGUAAACAUGUUUUAACUUCAGUUUGAAUUCACUGCUUCUACCUUUUUUAUGAUGUUAGGUUUAAUUGAGAGACUAGGCCCUAAACUACAGACAUACCCUCUGUUUUACAAUCUACAUGCGUUUAGGCGAAUACUUUCGUCAAUUAUUGCCUCAUUUCCUAACACUACCUUAUUACAAGAUCUAUUACAUAGCAUGAUGAUGCAGGAUGAGAACUCUGUUUGCAUAAGAUAUUGAAUCUGAUGCACUAAGCCUCUCCAACAACACUGGCCUAUCGAUUCCUAUGGAGCAGAGAGCUGAUGCGAGGAUAGAAGUGUAACACCCUAAUUUUUCAACUUUUGCAAAUUCAUAAAAUUUGUAAGAAAUUUCUAGAAUUUAAUUGCUUGUGUAUAAGGACUUAAGGAUUUUCUAAGGUUGCAUUUAAUUUAUUAGGCAUUUAAGUCUUUUUGAAUUCAUUGCUGCAUUCAUGCUUGUUCAUUUUCUCUUGGAGUGUUGAGUUCGAAUUUGUGUUUGAACUCAAGUUUGAAUUAUGUUUGUUGUCUUUUAAAUAAUAGGAAAUCUUUUUCUCUUUCUUCUUUCUUCUUUCUCCUUUUGGCCCGCUCCUUGUUUCGACCCAGCUUCUUAAUAGCGUAGCGGCCCAGCAGUCGACCCAUCUUCCCGCGCUAGCCUGCCAGCUGAAGGUGCCCCACCGCUCUACACCUUCCGCCGCACCCGCUGACCGCCGGGUCUUGCCUGUCAUCCCCGUCCUUGCGUUGCACCCGAGCCGGACUCGAGGUCGAGUCCGUGCCACCCCCGCUCCGUGUCCACCCGCCUCCAGCCUUGGGCCCGCAUGCCAAGGCCAAUCUUGCGGCCUAUAAACCCAAGCUGCUGCACCCCCCAACUUCACCAAAACCCUAGCGCCUAUCGCCUUCAAGCCCCAGCGCUGCCACUAGAGCUCAACCCUAGCUGCCAGGCUGCCGCGCUCGAUCUCUUCCGCCACCGCCUUCUCAUCGACAAGAGCAACACCUGAAGCUUGGUAAGGAGGUAGGGAACCUGCCGGUGGUCUUCCUGCGCGCUCUGGUGCCCGUCUUUGCCCGCUAGAGCUCGGCGGAGUUGUCAGUCCAUCGCCGAGCUGCUUCGCUGUGCCGCGCACCUCCGUCACUGCUCCAACCGCCGCUCCAAAGACCUAGAUCAGUUCGCCGGGCCCCCAGCUCUGCCUCGAGCCAACCCCAUUGAAAAUCGUGUAUCGCUGCUUGAGUUACGCUCGAUUCCUUGAGCGCCGCCGCUCGAGCACCACCGCAGCCGCCAGCCACCAAUCGAGAGCCAACAGCUCGGAUUGGAUCUGACUGAAGUCAACCGGUCAGCGUACCGGUCAACUGCUGGUUAGCCAUGUCGGUUUUGCUUAAGAGCCCCUUUCCUUUUCUAGUUUUUGCAUCUAAUCCUACCGCAGUUCAAAAGUAAUUAGAUCUAAGUGCAACUGGUGAUCCGCCAGUGCAACUGUGUGUAUAAGGUUAUCUUUUUGAGAAGCAUUAUGGCCAAAUGUUGUAUUACUUGUAUCAUGAAAUGUGCAGUUGGUAUUGAUCAGAUAUUCAAAGAAGUGGUACCAUAUGCGCAUAUGCUGACUCCUGAAAAAGAACUGAUGCACAGGGUAACAAACCUGGCAAAAUGAAAUGUGAAUGAUGCAUGAUGUAACAAAUGUUUCAAAGAACACUGAUCAACUGUUCCACGUUCUUUCACGUUCUUGGAAGCUUUCAUCUUACUGCUAACCUUAUGUUCAGUCCAGCACCAUCAUCAUCAGACCUCGCCGAACGCAUGAUACUUGGCUUGUCAAAUUGCAUUAUACUCUUUCUAUUUUAAGGUUUUGCUACUAGAUAACACCAUGUUGAAUGACAUGGCUAACUACUCAAAAGAAUUGUACUAGAACAUAAUAUAUAACACAUUUUUUUAGAAAGAAAACAUUGACAAACUGAUGAAAACUACAUUGUUUGGAUAACUUUAGGAAAAGUGAACGAAAAUUCAGACCCUGUGAUUAUAUUUGGAAUUAGUGAAGUGACAUGGAAGUCAACAAAUAUACAAAAGGAUUUGUUUUGAACAUCAUGCCAUGUUAAUCCCUCAGAUGAUAUCAGGGGAGAGCUUAUUCUAAAGAACCGGGAAUGAAGGUACGACCGUAAGAGUAUCCUAAUGCACGAUGUAGGAAUCUUUUUUUAUGAUUCAAACAUCUUGUUUAUCGCAAAAACAAACAUUCAGAAUUCGACAAAUAUUCCAAGUUUCCAACUACUUGCAAGCUCCAAGAGCUUAAAUAAACUCUUCCUGAGUCCUGACAGUCAGUCAUUAUCCUCUUAUCUCUUAUAUAAGUAUAUGAAAUCGAUGUGCAGAUAAUAUUAAUGAUCAUUACAAGUUGCCUCUCAAAAAUAUCGAUUUGAAGUAUUAAUCAUUUUUCUUUACCAAAACCAUGUGUCAAAGGUAUAUGCUUUCAUGUUUCAGUAGCGUACUGCCCCCAAGUGGGCCAUGUAUCGUCACUUCGUCAGCCUCCAAAACUACUUGUGUCGCGAGCGUGCGCACUUUUUUUUUUCUUUGAAAGAAUGGAAGGGCAAAAGCCCCUGCUGGUUAUAAAAUAUUAAAGGUAAAAAGAAAGUUACUUACAGCAAAAACAAAACGAAGAAACAGAAAAGACUCACUGUAAGCUGUUUAGCCAAUCUCCCAAAAAAGGGAAAGUAGCUCUUAUUUGCUCUAGUAUGCUUAAGAAAGGCAAAUUCAUGGUUGAACUUGGAUUUCACACAGCCAUUAGGUUUGCUGUUUGAUUGUUGAAGAUGAUUAGAUGAAGUUAUUCUGGGUAGUUCAAAUGCUCCAGGCUAGUAGAUAGAAUAAUAACCUCCAUGCAUGAAGAAUGGCAAAAGAAUACUAGGUUUAGUGUUGUAGGCAUAUGAAGAUUUACUUGUCUGCUUGGAUGGCUGAGGGACAUUUGAGUGUCCUGCCAUAACCUUAUAAACUUUUGCUCAAGAGAAGAAUUGAAAGACCCAAAUGUACGACCAAGUGUCUUUAUGGUCCCAGCAUUCAGAUGUAGCCAUAUGUAGGUUAUCCAGGAUAUCACUCACUCAGCGAAAUUGACUAAUAGCCUGCUCAGACAUUGGAACUUGAAAGAGAUUAUGUGUCCGAGUGAUGUGUCUACUUUUAAUAUCCGUGCCGGUGGGAUAUCACACUGACACGUAUAAUUCGUCAUUCGUACCGGCUUCAACGCCGUCACGAAUAAUCAGCCUCAUUUGUAUCAGCUUCGUGGUGCCGGUCUAUCAACCGAUGUGAAGGAGGUUUUCGCGCCGGCAUAUAGAUGAGGUGCUAUGCAAUAGUGCCGCAUCAUCUGUCAUGUUAAUAUUCUCAAACCAUUGCAACGAUAUUAAUGUUCUCGAACCAUGGUAGCAUGGCAGCCAAGAUGCGGUAACUUCUACAACCAUUGGCGAGUAUACAAAUCUCACUCUUCAGCUCUCUUGACAAUAGAUCACCCGUACAAGUUAUGUGUACGUGAAGGUCAACGACGGACUACUAAACAUAGAAGCCACGUACAAUCAAUCACAGACGUAAGCAGUUUGUGUGCCUUCUGUAUAAACAAACUAAACUUGAUAAGUACACGGCCUUUUAAAAUUUAAACGUCGAGCAACAGGCCAUUGCGACAGCUACUUCCUGCAUCCAGAAUGAUUAAAAAGAGCAAGGGGAACUAAAGGACGUGCAUCGGAUAUUCAGAUGCCACAUCCACCUACCAAUGCAAACAACUCCAUCAAUUAUUUGCCGCGCGCACCUUUAUAACAAAAUUAUCCACGUAUCCGCCCGUCCGUACGGGUGAAGAGCUAACAAGUUUUCGACUCACCUGAGGCCGCUCCCACCGUUUGAGCUGCGCCAAGCUUGACGCUUCGGCACGGCACCGGCGCGGCGCGGCGCGGCGGCGCGCGGGCAUGUCCGAGUCCGACGAGCCGGACACCUGCUACCGGUGGAGCUGCAACUUCAUCGUCGCGCACGCCGUCUUGGUCACGGGGUUCGUCACCGCGCCCGUGGCCGUCGUCCACCUCCUUAGGCGCCCGCACUCCGGCGCCGCCACGUUCUUCGCCAUGUUCGCCGUCUUCUGCGCCACCGUCAGCUCCAUCCUCUGCUGCCGCUUCUACGCCGACCUCAACCGCCCGCCCUGGCCGCGCUGGUUCUCGGCAACGGCGUCCGGCGGCCAGCAGCAGGACGACAGCGGCGGCGGCGGUGGCUUAGAGUCGACGAGGGAGUUAUCGAACGAUCUCCGGCAACCCGAGCUGCCGGUGAUGGUCCGCCUGGAGAUGCAGGCCGCCCUGGCGACGGACCGGAUCCCGAGCUACGAGCACGGAGACGGCGCCGUGGACUGCGCGGUGUGCCUGGGUGAUGUCGAGAAGGGGGAGACGGUGCGGCGGCUGCCGGCGUGCCACCACGUGUUCCACCGCGAGUGCGUCGACCAGUGGCUGCGCGCGCAUGCCACGUGCCCGGUCUGCCGGAGCGGCGUUCUGCCGGAACGGCCGCCGGAGUUCUUGGUGAGCGUCGAAGCAGUCCAUGUGCAGCCCGGGCUGGUGAUCCCAGCACGGGCCAACAUUAUGCUCCCGGGCCAACAACCCGGUAUCGGGCUAUGGUUUGGGCCGGCGUCACGCCUGAAUUAAGAGCUUGUGGAUCACAUACGGAUGUACGAGAUUGAGAGGUGUAAACUAUGAGUCUGUUUGGUUAGUCUCUAACUCGUGAAAAAAUUGUUGUGAGCUGUGAGUUGUAGAAAAGCUGUUGUGAACUGUGUGUUGUGGAAAAGCUGAAAGUUAUUUGGUUGAAAUAGAACUGUAGGUUUGGUAUGAAAUGUCUGUGAUACCCCUGAAGGUCUGAGAUGAUAUGCAAAUUCAUCAUAAAACAUUACGUUGUUUACAAAUUCGCAUAUAAAUGAUCAGUUUAGAAAGAAAAACUUAAUUUUUUUUCGUUUUGCAUCCUCCGUUAAUAUAUGGUCCAGUUAAGGUGUUUCUAUCUCAUUUUCUCUUUUUUUCACAUCUAUUUUUAAUGUUUAUUUUUCAGAUUCUAAUAUCCACACAUUUUCCUGUAUUGGAAAAUCAAACCAAAUAACAAUUGGCAUUGAAAAAAACAAUUACUCACAGCAAGCCGCAAACUCCCAUCUGCCGACGAGCAAGCAGCACCAAUCUCACUCUCGCAGGCAAAAAUCGAGCACGCAAAAACUCAAAGCCCCGGUUGGAGAUGCUCUUAUCUCCCUCUUUCCCAUUCGUGUCUCCCUCGCUCGAUCUUGGGUGCCGCCUUGGAGAGGAUUGGGGCCACCAGGAGCGCCGCAUCAAGGUGCCCGCUCCUUGAGCUCUCCCGUGCUCGGUGUGUGCUUGCGGAGGUCGUUGCCAUCCAUCGUGGAGCAGAUCAGCUCAAGCUUUCUCGGCGAUGGCGGCCGGUGCAACUGGGUGUUCAAAUCGCUAGUGGAGGAGGAGGAGGAGGGGCCCGAGGAGGGGCGCAACCGUCACUGGUCAGAGAAGAGGAGGGGCCCGGAGAGGGGCGUUGCUCCCGUUGGCCGGGAGAGGAGGGGGGCCGAGGAGGGGCGCCAACACCGGGAAAGGAGGGGUCCGGGGAGGGGCGCUGGCCAGGCGCGGGGGAGGGGAGGGGCAUGGCUGGGCGCGGCGGAGGGGCGCGAGCGAGAGGUGAUGAGAAAAGAAAAGGAAAUCGAAGGGGUACGCUCGUAACCGAUGGCAGGCGGGUAAUUUCGUGGAAAAGUUGCCCCUCACAGCCGAUAAAAGCAAGGGAGGAUGUGCUGUGAGAUUUGUAUAGAGGAAAAGCUGCUUUUGUUGUAGUUACUUGAUAUGGGGUUACCCUUUUAGUUGACUUUUAUUUUUUUUUAAGCCAAAGCACUUCGAAAAAUCUAACCAAAGGCACCCUAUAAAUGCAUUCAUGCUUUCCAGGGUAGGCUAGUCUCAGUGAAGAAAAAAGGAGUUUCAUGAUCAUUAAAUAACAUGCCACAUCAGUAAUUUUGUUGAUAUAGCAAAAUCAUUAUGAGGAAAAAGGAUAGUUCAUCAUAUGUGAGAGAAGUUCCAUCACCAUGAAACCUAGCAGGCACAAAAUUGCGCUGAGUAAUUUUUUUUAAAAAAAAGAAAUUUUGCGCUGAGACUGACCUUAAGGAGCCAUGUUACGAUGUGUUAUUCUCAAGUGUUGAAUGUUGAUUACCUUUGCUUUUGACUAAAGCCUGUUGCCUCCAAUAGGACGCCGAGGCAACCUUAUUUAGGAUUUAUAUUGAUACGCCAAUUUGCAAGAACAGUUCGUGCUUCAUGGAGAUGAUCAAAGUCGCUCCUCUCUUGGAAAAACUAUACUGACAUCUUUCUGAUAUAAGUUAUAUAUGCGGAAAAAGUUGCCAGUGAGAAGUUGUAUUUAGAAAUUGUAUGGAUAAGUUAUGCAUAAAAGUUGUGUGAACAAGUGACGGGGAGGUGGAAAAUACUAGUAAAGAAGAAGAAAAGGUCAUCUCCUAUUCAUAUACUAGUAAAGUGUAGGUGCGGCAUACACAUGUUAUUAAUAAGAAAACUAAAAUUAGUAGGGGCAGUGAAGUCUUUUCCGUUCUCCACUGAUCUGUAAAACGGAGAGAUUAUAUAUAAUUUUUCUCCAUCAUGUGGUGAACAAAAGAAAUUAGCUAUGAAAAUCACCCCAAAAAACCACAAAACUUCAUGUCAAUUAAAGGAAGCGAAAGGGGAACACGAAUUUCUCAAAGCAACGAGGUGAUGAAUUAAGCAAGAACAACAAGGUUCAUGCUACAAACGAGCGUAAAUAUCGGAUGCCCCGAACGAGCGAGACAGCUAGUAGCAUCAUCACGUCCAAUGGCCACAGGGACUGGGAGUGCCGAAUUGAAGGGCCAAGCAGCAUACGUUGUACCGGGAGCGGGAGAAACAAGGCUAACUGUCUCCAAGGAAGGACAUCUAAAAGUACACACACGGCAUAUACCCACUCAAUAGGUGUCUAAAUAUCUUCAAAAUAAUGCUAUUUCGUUUGUAGCGCCCAAGAACAAAUUAAAACGGUGAAUUGCACUAGGACGAACAAUCUAUUAAUGUUACGAAGGUCUGCAGCAAGGCUGCUGAUAGAUGCAAUUUGUGUCGAAAUUGUUCGAAAACAAGCCGUGGUGAAAUGGACUGUAGUCCAGCCGCCCUCGCCUACAUCAGCGCCGUGUGGAUGACCCUCACGGCCUGGGCCGUCUACAGUCUUCUUCUCGCCGCGUCGCCGGAGGCACCAUGCAACACCACACUUGAGCUCCUCGUGGUGCUGGCCGCGGCAGCCGGCCGGCUACUGCUGGUGACGUGCCGGCCUUCCCUGCCCGCCGACGCACACGCUAGUGCGGCCGCGGCCGGCCGUUGUCGUCCUCGCCUCGCCGGAUACCGCGGGGCGAGCGCACGGGCGACGGACGCCGCCGCUGGUGAUAAUCAGGUCGUCCGGUCACACGAGCACGGCGACGCUGCCGCCAGCAGCACGGCGGUGCGGUGCGUGGUGUGCCUCGGCGAGGUGGGGGACGGGGAGCCGGUGAAGCGGCUGCCGGCGUGCCGGCAUCUGUUCCACCAGCAUUGCAUCAACCUGUGGCUCCACGGCCACCCGACGUGCCCGGUCUGCCGGUGCAGCGCCUUCGCGCCGCCUCCGGGGCCAGAUGGUUCGGGUUGACAACCUUCUGAACUCCGUGACAACAUCCUAAACUGUAGUAGUUGCUGCGUUACUAGAUGAGCUCUUCUACGAGAUAUACGAUACGAGACUAGUUCGAAAAGAAUUAGUAUAAAAAUAUCCGACGGUCAAAAUUAAUUGUAUGCUAAACUUCGCAUGUGGUAUGAGUAGCAUACAUAAGUAGAUCCCGUUUGGAUACUCCUGCUAAAGUUUAGCACCUGUCACAUCGAAUAUUUGAAUGCUAAUUAGAAAUAUUAAACAUAGGCUAAUUAAAAAAGUCACAUAAGAUGUUUGAUGCUAAUUAUAAGUAUUAAACAUAGGAUAAUUACAAAACUAAUUGCACAGAUGGAGUCUAAUUCGCGAGACAAAUCUAUUAAGCCUAAUUAGUCCAUGAGUAACCCUGAUGGAUUAAUUAACCGUAAUAGAUUCAUCUCACGAAUUAGACUCCAUCUGUGCAAUUAGUUUUGUAAUUAGCUCAUAUUUUGUCCUCCUAAUUAGCAUCCGAACAUCUGAUGUGACCCUGCUAAAGUUUAGCGCUUCGUAUCCAAACACCCCGUAGUAUACGUAGCAUAAGGGUAUCAUGCUAAAAAAUAUAUAAAUAACAUCACUAUAAUUUUAUUUUUAACACUAGCGUAAAGUUUAAAAAACAUUCCAUUUAAAAUAACAAUUUUUAUAAUAUAAUAAGUAUUAAACUAUCCAUAAUAAUGAACGUUAGAUCUUACCUAUGCUACGUGUAUGUCUAUUGCUCAAACGAUUGAUUUUUGUGAAUCUGUCAAUCACUUUUUUUUAGCCGUGGAUGCUAAAUCCAACGGCUGGUGGGAAGUCAGCUAUUCUAUUUUGUCUGCUCAUCGAAAUUGAUUGAGAAUUACUUUCUCAAUCACUUUUCAAAAGAAGACCCGUUAAGAUGUUGUACUGACUAGAAUUGAUUGAGAUUUACUUUCUUCUAAGGGGUGUUUGGAUACGAGGUGCUAAACUUUAACAGUGUCACAUCAUAUGUUCGGAUGCUAAUUAGGAGAACUAAACAUGAGCUAAUUAUAAAAUUAAUUGCAGAACCAUGUGCUAAUUCACGAGACGAAUCUAUUAAGCCUAAUUAAUCCACCAUUAGCAAAUGGUUACUGUAGCACCACAUUAUCAAAUCAUGGACUAAUUAGGCUUAAUAGAUUCGUCUCGCGAAUUACACUCCAACUGUGCAAUUAGUUUUAUAAUUAGUCUAUAUUUAAUACUUCUAAUUAGCAUCCAAACAUCCGAUGUAUGGAUGUUAAACUUUAACAGGUGGGAACCAAACAUGCCCUGAAUCACUUUUCUAAAACACAGGAACCGUUGCAUUUUUUCAACUUUUUGGGCCAUCUUUUUUUUGGGCCGAGUUUUUUUUAGAAAAUAACUUGGAUGGGCCUUUAAAACAAAAAAAAAGCCCAGAUGAUCAGAGGUAGUGGGAACUACAGAUGUUAGCCCGCCAAAAACAACAGUUUUUAGAUUCCUGCCCACCCCUCACGGUUUCAGCUCUGCCUAUUUAAAUAGGCAGCCAGAGUCCAGGGUACAAACCAAGCAAGAAAAGAGGAAAAAGAAAGAAACGAUCGCGUGAUGGAAGAAGGCAUCAAAAAAACGAAGCGGAGGCUUUGGCUAGAGGCGACCUGGAGAGAGCAGCAUGGUGCUGAUGAGAUCCAGUUGCUUCCCCAGGUCAGUUUAUCCUGCUUCCCCCCUUUAAUCACAAAAAACCAGAUUCUGCUUCUUGUUGAUCCAGUUUAUUUCCUUUGUGUGCGAGAUCCAAUUCUCUUUCCUUUUCCUGUUGAAAACCAAAAUCACAACUGUAGAUUAGUGUUCCAUUCUGGAUGCAGAACCUAGUUUGAGAAAAUGUGUGGGGAAAUCAAAAUUUCUAUAUGAAAUCAACAUGAAACUACAAUUUCUGGUGAUUAGAAAACGUUGAUAUGAAACAGCAGAUUUCAGUUUUGAACAUGUAUAGAGUACCAGUACUAGAAAUCAACAUGAAACUACAAUUUCUGGUUAUUAGAAAAAGUUGAUAUAAAAUAGCAGAUUUCGCUUUUGAACAUGUAUAGAGUACCAGUAUUGUUUCAGGUUAUUCCUGCUAUGUAAUUUCUCUUUCCUGCUAUUGUAAACAAAAACUGAGUGGCAGAUCUAUUGUAAAAUUUCUUUCCUGCUAUUUUAUUUACUGUUAUUCUGUAAAAUGAUAUAUGAUAGAAAAGGAAGAAACUCUAUCCUGUUAUCUAAUGUGUGAAAUUAAAAAUUGAAAACACAAAACUGUAGCAGAAAAACAGUACUUCAUGAUAUGUUGUUGAAGAAUACAAAGUCCAAAAAAACAGAUCCAGAAAAUCAGCGAAAAAGGAAUUGUGGUUUGCUACAUAGUUACCACAAGAAGAUUGAAUGCAUCCCUGAUGUUUUUGGUGAAAAACAAAUACAUGUUUCAGGUGGGGCAGCAGGGUAGGGGUGGCAGGUUCCCUAUUCAAUCAAUGUCACUUGGUGAGUUUCAAAUGUAUGGCGACUACAUUUGUGCCCCAACAACAGAUGGUACAGGAGUGUUUGACAAUGCAAAUGCAAUGGAGGCUGCUGUUUCUGUUGAUUGGGACAAAUCUGUAAACAACAUGUUCAUGCCACCAGAGGGUGGUUACACAGGGUUGCUGCUUGAUCAAAUAAGAACAUCACAAGAAAUGUCGCGAGAUACAACUUUUGAGGUGGGUUGUUUGGAGCAAAAACUACAUAAGUUGCUACGCACUUGAUAAAUAAGUAACUACCGCACAUUCAUAUAAGUUGCCGUAGUAAAAAAGGUAUUCCAAAACAUAUGCAUCAUGUACCUUGUUUUAUAUAUCUCAUCAUAAAAAAUGUAGUGGUGCAAACGGAAUUGAAAACGGACACUCCAUAACAAAGUUAUCACACUUUUUUAAUGGUGAAACUUAAAAAAGGAGUGCGGCUACCGAAGCCUACCUCCCUCCCGUCUGAGCUGCAGUACGCUGCAUAGGUCACGCACUCACACGUUGGUGUGACCUAUCGUCCGGUAGAUUUUUCCAUUGUAAAAGGUAAACACUAUUAUAAGCCCUUGUAAUCUUACAAUAUCUGCAUGUUUGAUAGUGAUUUUUUGGGCUACGCUACAGCUCAGCUGCGAUGGCCAACAACAGAACUACAGAAAAAUGCAGCCAACCAGCUGAAUAGGAUGGGAAGGGAGUGUUUAAGCCUGCAAGCCGCAGCUGCAGCCAUCCAAAAACCAGGAGCGAGCAGAGCCUAUGUCAUCAUUUAUUUUUUAUUAAUAUAAUCCAUGAAAUUUAUCGGAGUCAGUACUCUCCGCUGAUAUCAGUGACAAUAUUUUCUAGCUCCGUCCCUGGAUCCGAGUAAACCUUCCAUAUACUAGUUUUCUUACUGUAUAGAGUAAGCCUUCUAUGGAAAAAAUCCUUUUUAUACUCAGCCACAAAGCGACACAUUUACUAAAUUUGAUUGCUCCAACACCAUGACCAACAGCUCCUCGGAUUCCAUUCAAACAACCGAGAUCAACCACUGGAGUCAAUCUAGUUGCCAAACCAUACCAUAGUCCGGCUAACACCAUAGCCCUACUAAUCAUGAAUAAGUCUAAGCCUGCUCUUAGCCAUGAGUCCAUAAUCACAGCUAAUAUACUAGUUUUCUUACUGUACAGAGUUUGCACAUUUCACCCAUGAAUCGUGUUUCCGUUGCGCAUCAUACUUUCUGAGAUGGUCAGCUAACUGGGGACCCACUAGAAGACCUUUACAAAGCUCAGCUAACUGGGGACCCACUAGAAGACCUUUACAAAGCUCCUCCUAGUUGUAAACACCCAUUGAGAUUUCACUGUUGAUAAUUAAACAUUCUCUCACACUAAACAACAGCCCAAAAUUAUGAAUUUUCCUUUCCCGCAGAAGAAAAAAAAUCCAUAGAAGGGCACAUUUGUCUCUAUUUAAGUAAAAUCACCUGUUAUCUCGUUCUUCAAUCUUACGAUUGCUAAUAAUUGGAGGCUUCUUUUGAAGCCUCCACAUGAAGCCAUAUAGGAUCCUACGUGGACACUCUAAAAAGAGAGAGAAAUCUUAGAAAUUCUCUCAAAAAAGCUAAAUAUUUAGCUAUCAAUUCAAAGACUCAAAUCAUCAUAGCCAUUAGAUUCAUUAUAUUUUUUCUAAAAAAUUACCAACCUCUGUUGUUAUGAAAAUAGCUGAAAAAUAACCCCCUAUGUAAAUUACCCACCUCAGCCAUUAUAAGAAUAAAUUAAAGUAAUCUCUAAUCUUCAUAUAAAUUACCCACUAAUGCCAUUAUAAAAAUAUAGUUUAGAAUAACCCCCAUAGUUUGAAUCUAAAUUGCCCCACUAAUAAAAAUAACUCAAAAUAACCCCUUAAAUUUGCAUCUAAACUAUCCACGUAUGACAUUAUUGAAAAUAAUAUAAUGUAAACUCACCUUCAUUAAAAAUAUACCCUAAGGUACAUCAAUAUAUGUUUCUUUAUUGUCUAUUUCUUACAUUGUUAGUAUAGAAAAUAAUGAUUAAGGUAUAUACUAUGAUGUGUGUCACCAUUUAUAAAUAUAUAGAGGAAGUGAUGAUAAGAUUAUAUAUUUACAUAUUAAAAAUAUAGCUAAAAUUUAGGAUCCAUUAAACAAAUUCAAAUGCAUACCUAAGAUGCAAAAUAAAAAAAUAUAAUUGUGGAUGAAAAGGUUAUAGAAUAAUUACUAACGAAAGUUUAUUAUAAUCAAUGAAGAUAAUAAGUAUGUAUCUAUAUAAGUAUUAUGUUAGAAAAUUUAAUAAAUAAGAGAGAGCUCAAUGUAACAAUUUUCAUUUUUAGCUAUGUGUUCUAAUUUUUUUUAUUGGAGACUCCGAAUUAAUUAUCACGAGACACGCUAGGUAAAAAGAUAAAUAGAAAUUCUCACAAAAAUCAGAAACAUCCGGACAUCCAAUCUGUAGACUCUAAUAAUCAUAGCUAUUUGUCUAUUAUAGUUUAUAAAACUUACUCACCAUUACCAUUUUAAAAAAUAUUCUAAAGUAAACUCCUAAAUCUAUAUCUAAAUUACCUACAUAUGCCUUAUAAAAAUUAAUCUAAAGUAACUAUAUAGUUUUUAUUUAAAUUAUCCAUACAUAUCUUUCUAAAAAUAACUUAAAAUAUCUUUCUAAAUUUGUAUCUAAAUUACCCAGGUAUACCGUUAAUAAAAAUAACCUAAAGUAAAUACCUAAAUCUUAAUCUAAUUAUCUGCAUGUUCAUUACGUAAAAAUGUUAAAAAGCAAAUCAAUAUAUGAUACUAAAUUAUCUAUUUCUAUUAUUGUUAAUAUAGGAAUACUAAGCUGAGGUAUAUAUGCAUAAUAGGUGUCACUAUGUGGACCGUUUAUACAUGAAUUCGAGGAAGCGAUGAAAAAUACUAAUUUUAUUUUCAUAUUAAAUAUAAUGUAUGGAGGUGCGAUGUAAAGUGAAAAAUGUAUGAAUGUGGAUGAAAAAAUAUAUAAAGUAAUUACUAAUUAAAAGUCUAUCACAACUGGAUAAAGAUAAGUAUACAUCUAUGUUAAAUAUUAAAUAAAUGAGAGAUGUAGAUAAACAAUUUUAACUAUUAAUUAGGGAUCUAAUUGUUAAAUAAUUUUUAAUACAAUCGCUCUUAAAAUUAUUAGCCCGUGCGAGAACAAGUUGAUGGACUAGUGUUUUACAAUCAGGAACAAGUUGCCCUUUCGCACUAGCCCCAUGAUUCAACUUGGCACAUGCGAUCCAUCUGGUAGGUGCCUGGUCUCCUCCGUAGCAUCUCGAUCUGGCUCCUUUUGCGUAGUAUGUUUGAUCCUGCAGAUACUGAAGCACAUGAGCCCAUGUGGGCAGGCUCCUCGGUCAACUAUAGACUUUCAUCCAUUCAACUAUCUCCGACCCCACAACACUAACACCGCCGAAAUCCGUAGCUCCUGCAGUUCAACAUUUUGGACUCAUGGUGCCUCCUUGAACACUCUGCACCUUAAUUGGAUCACAAAAUGGGCAAUUGCUGCUGGGAAUUUCCUUGCUGAAUUGUACAGUUUCUUCUAAGGCCACAUCCAUGGAAGCCGCCAGCAGCAAGAUAUUCCCCAGCUUGCUGCUGAAUCUUGCCUUCUUGUUCUUGCCAUGUCUCUCUGCCGCCGUCUCGUCCAACCAGUCGUUCCAAGCAAGCAUGUCGAAAGGACCCAUCCAUCGUGACAAAUCCGUCUUCGCCGACGAGCGGCACUGCCAGCCCGUGCUCUCCUCAGCCGCGGAGCUCAGGUAUGGCGCUGACAGUGACGGCAGCCUGAAGUACAGGAUAUCAUUCAUAAAUGGCGACUGGUGCCAGGACGCCGGCCAAGCUCCCCUGCUUCCGUCACAUGGAAGCUCUGCCGACGCCGCUGCGGCUGGUCCUGAGUUGCCUGAAGCGGUUCCCCUCGCGUCCUUCAUGCUCUUGGAGAUGAGCGACAUGGUGCCACGGCGAGGGGCCCGGACCGCCCUCAACGCCAGCGGGGUCCUUAGCCUCACCAUCACCCGCAACAACGGCUCAUCGCACAUGGAACUACAAGCGUCGCCGGAGUUCCAGCUUUUGCCAGGGGUCGCCAGGCUCCUCAUACAUUUCCAAGGUGUGUAUACCGAGACGAAGUCGUCGGGGAUUGGUGACGACGGCAGCGCCGGCGGCGAGAGGGUGCUCUGCAUGGUCGGAGACACUGUCCUCCCCGUCUGCGACAGCAACUGCACGGACCUGUGGGAGUGGACCAAGAACCGUGGCAGCGGCAACAUCCUGCUCGUGCUACGGUACCCGAAGGCGGCCACGCUGACAACUCGCGCCGUGCGCGGCGAGAUGAGGAGCACGAGCGCCAAGUCCGAUGCUGCCUACUUCGACACCGUCCGCUUGGUGUCGCAGCUCGCCUUAGGGUACGGCUCCGAUUACCGAUUCCAGCCAGAAGAUGCGGAGCUCUAUACCGUCGCUGUCGCUGGGUGCAGCGACGACCCGCUCUUCCAUGACGGCGACGCCAUGGACAUGGAGAGCCUGAACAGCGGCGCCUCUCUCUGCGACGUCAUCUACCAAUCCGGUCCCGACCGCCUGAACCUGGUGAUGGAAGUGAUUCCAAACCGGGACUGCAAGGGGACCGACGCGUUCUGCAGCCGUGUCGGGCCGUUCGAGACCACCGGCCGCCCCGGCACGAGCGCUACGGAGGACACGGCGUUCACCCGUUCCGCCACCGUCGCGAUGCAGGGCCUCAAGUGCGAGUGGACGUCCAGCGUUGGCGGCACGGCGGCGGCGGCGAGGGUGGCGGCCGUGUUCCGCUACGUGCCGCCAUGGGAGCACCAGCCCACGGCGGCGUGGCGUACCGGCCUGAGCGGCGCGACCCUGUCGAGCGAGGGAGUGUGGAACGCGUCCACGGGGCGGGCUUGCAUGGUGGGCUGCCUCGGCGUCGGCGAGGAAGCGUGCCGCUACCGCGUGACCCUGUCCGUCCGGACGGCGUUCUCCAUGACUCGCCGCGGCUUCCUCGUCGGACGGAUGACCGCCAUGGACGGGAGCCACGCGCCGCUGUCGUUCCAACAGCGCGUGGACCCCCGGUUUGGUCGCUACGGGGCGUCGCCGGCGUCGCUGCGCAUGUCGUACAGCUACACCAAAGUCGAGCAGGCUCGGGAGCUCCUCCUUCGGCGCAGCGUACCGUCUGGAUUUCGUGACAGCUUCGUUGCCAAGUCGCUGCUCAGCUAUCCGAACAUCGCCGGCGAUGUCGAUGACAUGGUGAGCCUCUCCAACCUCGCCGACAACCUUGGUCUCCGAUUUCAGUGCGUGGGGAAGCUGCCGUUUGUGCCGGAAUGGAUCGAGGAGCCCUGCUUCGAACUAGAGAUACUCUCUGUCGGCACCCUCGUCGGAAGCUACUCUCCCCAAUUUCAGGGUAGCAGGUCUAGUACGUGGAUCGAACUACUUCGUAGAGUCCGUGCCGUGGAAAAUCAGCAGAUACUGAACGUGUCCGCGGGGUUCACGGCAUCCAGGAACUUACUCAGUCCGAUUCCGGUGAUGUCGGUGGAGGGCGUGUACAACCCCGUGGAUGGGCGAAUGUACCUGAUCGGCUGCCGGAACGUCCACGCGCCAUGGCGAGUCUUGUCGGAGAGAAGAGACGACCUUGAAGACGGGAUGGACUGCUCCAUAGAGGUGACGGUGGAGUACCCGCCGACAACGACGCGGUGGCUGCCGAUCGGCCAGACGGCGAAGGUCUCCGUCGCCAGCACGAGGGAGGAAGACGACCCGCUGCACUUCGCCAGGUCCGAGCUCCGCACGGUGCCCGUCGUGUACCGUGACCAGCCGUGGGACGAGCUGGUGAAGCCGGUUUUGGAGGGGAUUCUCUGCAUCACCGUGCUGUCGGUUGCUCGAAUUGUUUUUGUGCCUGCUGCGUUUUUUCAGCUGUUCGGAUAGACGUUCUUUGAGAUCCAGCCAACGGUAAAUGGUAAGUAGUAAAUGGUUUCUUAUGCAAAUUAAUCACCUGCCGGUGUAAGGGCUUCGCAUUGUUGGCCGAGACGGUGAGAGCGUGACAAUUUCCUCGCAUCUGUAAACUCCAAGAGGUAGAAGGGAUCUUAGACACAAGCAACAACAAUAACAACAACUAGCCAAAUCCCAGCCUUACAAUUCCACACACUUUAAAAAUAGAGAAAAGGAAAUCCUCGUUCUUCGUUUGCAGCGAACAAAACAACGGUGUGGUUGUUAGAUAGAAAAACACAAAACGGCGUGCUGCACUAGGCCGGACAUCCCAUUUAUAAUGCUGCACUGCAUAGCACCAGCUUCAACGAUACCAAGUUCUAGUUGUGUAUGGUCAGAAAUGGUGUUGAGGUGGAACGACGGCAGCAGGGUCGCACGCUUCAGGGCGAUAUGGCUCAGCCUCGCCGCCUGGGCCCUCUAUGCUCUCCUCAGGGCGCCGAACACGCCGGGCCUCGUCGUCAUCGUCGAAGUCGUCGAGGUGCUGCUCGCAGCCAUUUUCCUCGCCACCAUGGCGCAGAUGGUAUUUUGCCCGGAGCACAUCGUCGGGCCGCGGCCCGGGGGUGACGACGGCGAGGGCGACGCGGCCGUCCUUCCGCUGGUUGACGGUCAGGUGCCUCGCGUCACCGACGACGAUGAGUCGCUCCCCAAGGUGCAGCCGGCGCGGCAGUGCACGGCGAGCGCCCGGGUGGAAGGGGUUCGGGCCGUCGUCGCGCGUUCGUACGAGCACGGCGGCGAGGUCGACGGCUUCGUGGCAGAGUGCGCGGUGUGCCUGGGCGAGGUGGAGGAUGGGGAGCUCGUGAAGCGGCUGCCGGUGUGCCUGCACGUGUUCCACGGGAUGUGCAUCGACGUGUGGCUGCGCGGCCACUCGACGUGCCCGGUCUGCCGGUGCGGCGUCUUCGCACCGUCGGCGGGUGAGAUGGUGUGAGCGAGUGUGUGACAGCUUCCCUGCGUCUGUGCUUGCCGUUUCCAUGUUUCUUUCGAGCACUGGUAAUGGGCGGAAAACAGUAGCAUCCUCAAUUUGUCACCCCCCAUCGAUAGAACUAAUGAACUGGUCCAGCUCGCGUGCAGGCCUCAUCAUGGCCAUUUGACGCGAACAGUCUGCCCGGAAGAAGAAAAAAAUUACAGCAGUGAUUUUCAGCUCCUAAAUCAGAUAUAACUAGGUUAGAUAGUCCGUUCUCGACUUACUAUCGGUUGGUCUUAAGAUCGGGUUCAUGGGGUGUACGGUGUACCGCGCAAGACUAUGGUCAUCGUAGUCUACAAAAGCAUGUUGAUGAGCUCGCAUAAACCGGGGUUGUGUCCUCGUGUACAUCAUUAUCCGAGCAAAGGUCACGUGAGUUAAUGCCCACAACCCCGCCCACCGGUCCACGUCAAGCGCGGCUAGCCACAGUUCAAACUUUGGCGCCUCAGAAGUACAUCAGUUUACCGGAUCCCACGUAUCGAUAUGUGAUUAGGGUGUUCAAAGCUUGAUCAAAAGCCACCAAUCCCUUAGUGUCCUGUGUGCAUCACAGGUAGGAUUUGUUUCCAUACAGCUACAGUUUCACUAGUUUGGAAAUUGCAUGUCCAUGGAGAUAGCUCAUUUGGUUUAGGGACACAGCCACACAGGUCAUAAGUAACAAUAAGAAUCAAAACGCAACGAUGAGCUUUAUUCAUACAGAGCAACUAAAUUGGAUGGAAACAGGAGUAUUCGUAGGUGUUUUGGGCCAUAAGCAAAUAUAAAGAGGAGCUAACCUGACUUAAGUUGCUGCCACAGUAGCUAAUAAGAGGCAGCCAACUCUAAAGGUUGCUAGUUAGGCUUAUGAAUUAGCCCCUACGAAGAUACGAAAAUAUUUAUCACAUUAUCUUAGCAAUUCUUGCCAGGCUAAGAGGCAGGGCCGGCCGGGGGGAGGGGGGUGCAGGGUGUGCGACCGCUCCGGACCCUUAAAUUCCAAGGCUCCCAAAUCCCAGAGGUACGGUAACGGUAACAUAAUCUUUAGGAAAACGGUAAUGCUUAUGUUCCAAAUAGUAUUAAGGUGGGGUCCAGAAAAAGGUAGUCUUUGUUACUGCCCCGUCCACAAUGGUUCACAAUAAAAGUAUAUUAAGGUGUGGACCCACUUCGUGGUUAAAAAAGGGUCCAAUUCAUCUACCGCACCCCCUCAUCCCUAUCACCUCAUCCUACUGCUGGUCCUCUCUCCCGCUCGCAUCGCGCGCCCGCCGCCCCUUGGCGGAACGGCGGACGGACGGAAAUCAGAUAGGAGAUCGUCAAUUCGCUUAUGUGAUUAGGUGAUUCGAUUGCUAAUUCCCUAAUUCUCCAUACCAUUAAUUAUUAAUUCACUAUCAUAAGUUAUUUAAUCUUAACUGAUUUAUAACUAUUGUAUAUUUAUAAUAAUUUCAGUACUAUGGGAUAUCAUGUCGUCUACAAAAUAUGAAUCAAGUAACGAGAAAAGGAAAAGAAAAGGACGUGUGGAUGAGUUGAUAGAAUCACAGAGAUGAGCUAUGGGUAAAUUUUGCAAGAGUAAUCAGGGUUCUGAGAGUAAUACGGGCGCUUUGACAAACCCAGAUAAGUUAGCAAUAGUUGUUGUGGAUGAACCAACUAAUGGGAAUCAGGAAGAAAAUGUUAACAUCAACGUUGAUGAUAACAAUGUAAGUGAAUCUGAGAACACAGUAAAUGCAUCAUGUGUACAUGCACAAUCUGCUAGUGUUGAUGAGCAACCAGUUUAUACUUUAGAUAUUUAUGAUCUAAGAAAUUAGGAUAAUCUUGAUAAUAAAGCAAGAGACAUAUUAGUCGAGAAAAGGCCUAUAAGAGAAGAAAAUAUCGAAUUUCCUAAGUGACUUUGCAUCGAGGAAUAUUACAAAAUAAUAUAAUAUGUAUAAAUAAUUUGAUAUGAAUAUUAUUUUUAGAUACAUUUAAUUAUUUAUUGGUAACAUUUCAUAUAUAUUUAUUGGUAACAUUUCAUAUAUAUUUGUUAUAAUGUUUAUAUUAAAAAGGCUCCGAGUUUUACUUUCGCAUCGGACUUCCCGAAUCUUAGGACCGGCCCUGCCAAGGGGUCAUUUUAAUCCUAGACAAAUGUAUAGAUCACUUAGCGAUGUAGCUCUCGGAGGAAUAAAAUUAUUUUGUGAACAUAAUGUUUUGUAGUCUUGUUGAGCCAAGCAUAUAACUUUUGGAUAUGGUCGUGCUUUCUGUAGAAGGAAAAAAAAAGAAAGGCAGGAAAUAUGAAAUGUAGAAGAAGCUUGGAUAUAUCUGGAGCACAAAAGAGGAAGACAGGGACAGCAGGAAUUCUCACCGGAUUAGGCUCGAAGGAGCCGCCGGCUACCGGCGUUAACCCAGGCUCGUCCCGUUGAUCCGUCCAGCCGCUGAGGUGCUGCAGCGUAGGAACAGAGGGAAUCCAAAUCGAGGAGCCUUAGCACCAGCUGGGAGGGGAUCUGAAGAGGCUCGGAGCAUCCAUCGCGGUGAGCACCGCCGAUGAAGCCGACGACCGCAUGGCUCGACCGCCUCGGCGACGGCAAGCAUCGGCGGAGCGGGCGGUGUCCGUUUCGGCCAAACGAUAGGAGGGCGAAAUAUUGAGGAGGCAUUGACGACGCGCACGGCAGGCGAAGCCCAAUAACAGGAGGCCUAGACGACGGAAGCAGAUUGCGAUGGGCCAAGACGACACAUGGGCCAGGAUGUCCGUUGAAACGGGAGGCUGGAAAUGGUAAAAAAAAAAAAGCCAGGCACACAAAGGGUGCACCCGUCAGAGAGCAAUACAGUUAAACGAAGAGUUCCCUCUCAAAAAAAAAGUUAAACGAAGAGUUAAUUUUUUAGUCUUGAACAGUAACUUGAUGGCCUGGGAGGCUCCUUUUUCUUCCUGCCUAUGAGGUUAGUUAUUAUUAUUAUGUCCUCGCACUCGGUAACCCUUAAACCCUAACCCCAGCUACUUUAAAAAAAAAUUAAAUUCGAUGGUGGCGCAUUGUUGGAGACGAAUAGGUGUAUGUUAAUAAUACCCAUGACACUAGGCACCGCACAACACAUUGACGAGAGGAAGAUGCGCAUGGUAUUUAGCGCCCAACAUGUGUGGUGACCCAGGAGCAGCAACCGUGAUGGCUAGGAGAAAGCGGGAAGCCCACGUACAUUGCCAAGUGUGUCGCCUCACGGCAUAGAUUUACUACUGGCGCACGACACUAGCUGACAAGUGGGUCCAUGUGCGAAGGGUAAUUUUGGCCGCCCAGCUUUCUUCUUCCUCCUUUCUUCUUCCUCCGUUCGCCUCCGCAUCUCCCGCACGCGAGCUCUGCAAGUUAGGGUUUAGGGUUGCCGGGGGUGGGUGUGGUCUUCUCCAGCGAGUUCACAGGUACAGAGGAGGCAGGGGCGUCACGGUGAGCUUCUCAAUGGAACACAAUUAAGGGUCGGUGGCGGACGGUGGUGGCAGAUUCAGCAGCUCCGGCCGCCGGAGUUGAUGGAGAAGGACGGUGCGGGUGCGAGGAGAGGAGAGACGGUGUCAGAUAGAAGCAGCUGAUUCGGCGGCAGGAGCUGCCGGACACGAGGAACAUCGGCGCCGUUGGGGCACGAUGGCAAGCAGCUUGUUGGCGGAUGUCCGAGGAACAUCAGCGCCGCAAGGGCACGACGGCAAGCAACUUGUGGGCGGAGAGGAAGACGAGAAGCUUGUGAGCUUAUUAUUGGGCCACUGAAGGCGAUAGCUGUGGAUUUGUCGCCUUCGGCAAUAUCUAGAAGCGCCCUCCUCUCUCGGCAUCUCAUGAAUCAUGUCUGCAAAAGGAAAAAGGCUUUGACGCGUCUAAAGGCUUAUACAUCCGUUGCACAGUGAUACAGUUCUUGUUUUUUUAGGGGUGAUACAGUUCUUGUGAACUGCCGUACACUCAGUAAUUCAGUAUCCAACAAUUUACGUGCAGAGAAAAUUAAGCCUUGGCCACUUUGCCUAACAGCGCGCGCCGCAUGAGAUAUAUUUACCCUGGGCUGCUAGGCCGGCCCGAGAAGAUAAAUGCCAGACGGGGCUCAGAUCGUCGCCGUGGGCCGCCCAUGAACUACUCCAAUGUUCACCACGAGCUCCUCCACCGCCCGUUCGGGCGCCGCCGGCAGCACGCCAGACCGGCAGACCGGGCACGUCACGUGCCCGCGCAGCCACAGGUCGAUGCACUCCCUGUGGAACACGUGCCGGCACGCCGGCAGCCGCCGCACCGUCUCCCCCUUCUCCACCUCGCCAAGGCACACCGCGCAGUCUUCGGCCGCGCCGCCAUCGACGUCGACGUCGCCCAGGUACUCGUAGCUCGGGAUGCGACCCGAGGCGAGGGCGGCCUGCAUCUCCACGCGGCGCGUCAUCGGCUGCUCGUGCUCGGGGUGGCGGAGGGCGUGCGACGUCUCCCGCGCCGUCGUUUCUUGGUCGACGCCGACGAAGGACUCGCCGUCCGCUAGCUGCUGGCCGCCUCCGGACGCGGAGCGCCAGCGCGGCCAGGGCGGGCGCCUGAGCUCGGCGUAGAAGUGGAGGCAGAGGAUGAGGCUGGCGGCGGUGCAUAAGGCGGCGAACGCGGCGAAGAAGAUGGCGCGGCCCUCGCGCGGGCGGUGGACCAGGAGGAGGACGGCCACCGGCGCCGUGACGAAGCCGCUCGCGAAGACGGCGUGCGCCACGACGAAGUCGCGGCUCCACCGGCAGCAGGUGUCCGGCUCGUCGGCGGACAUGGCCCGAGCGCCGCAGCCCGUCGAGACUGACGCGGCCGCGUGCGUGACCGGUACGGAGAAAACUUUAGCUGUACGGACGGACGGCUAGAUACCUUCGUAUUUAGCAUUGCACGGAACGGAGAUUACGUGAGUUAAUUGGUGGCAUUCGCAGUAAAAAAAUUGGGCGUCUUGGACGGAGCGCAUCUCUGUGUCCGUCGCUGCAAAAUGUGGGCAGCACGCCGCGCGCUUAGUUGAGGUCAUUGUGGAGAUGCAAACGAUGAGUUUCUGCGCGUCAACUGCGUGUUUUCUUGUCUUUGUUUUUGGAUGGUUUCACUUUCAUAGCAUGUAUCAUCGUUUUGGAAUUGUAUACCUUGCUCUCACUUGUUUCUACUAGUAAUUAACUGGCUAUGAUUGCGAGUACUUAAAGACGAUCCGUCGACUGUAAUGUUUGAAAAGGCUUUUUUUUUUAACCAAUGUAGGAGUACAGCAUACUACUACUGUUGUGUGAGCCACAAGGCUUUGGCGUGGGCCGGAAUGUGAACAGAAAGAAAACCAGGCCGGAUUGAGCUAGUCUGUAAGUCCUUCCGGCCCAAUACUCUUGGAGAUCUGGCCCAAAUGCCCAACGCGAGCUGCUCAUUCCCAGCCUGCUGGUCUGGCGCUUUUCAGGUGUUCCAAGUUUAAACCGGCUGCUCUGUUAAGCCAAAUCAAAGAGGAUUGUUUUCGCCAAAAAAAAAAUCAAAGAGGAUUGAAAAAAAAGGUCUAAACUGUAUGGCAGCACCCGGAGGCCAGGAGCUGCAGUUUUUGUGGACCUUUGCAUCAUGUCACCAUCCUAACCGUGCAUAAGGUGUCCUGCUUUGAAUGGGUACCGGAUGUCCAGGGAGAUUCUCCUGGUCUCUGGAGUAGCCUGCAUGGAUGUGACGUGGGCAGUCACUAUGCACGCCUCCUUAAUCAAGGGAUAUUUCUCGACAAAUGCGUCCACAUUCCACUCGCAUGUGACCUGACCCGACCUCUCCGGUUGGGAGAUUGUCGAGCGUGACCGGAAAAAGAUAAGCAGAAGUAUCAUUUGGUUAAGCAGAAGUAUCAUUUGGUUCGCCAUAGUAGCCCAGUGUUCUUCUACUGCAGUUAACCGCAGAAACCACAGGAGCUAAACGAGCAUUUGGUAACUUUUCCCCGUAGGAAAGACGUUGAGAUCGCGAGGGGGAGAUGAAGCCGGGGAACUCAGGAGUCUUGUCAAACCCAAGUACGCAAACGCAAGCCUAAAAGCACUGCCCCACCCAGCACAAGCGCACAGCAUGCUGAUGCGAGCACGCACUCCACACCACACUCGAUUGAAACAGAUACUAGCUCGGUCCGUGCCAUGCCGUCAUUCUGGCAGCACCACUCCACUCCGGAUGCAGGUGCAACGUCCAAUCCUUGGGCUCCCUCCUGCCCCAGUUUGUCUGCCUCUCUUUCCAAAGCCGCGACUGUUGCAAACUUGCAAUUUGGACCAGCAUGCCAGUGUUCUCGUGGAGACGAACGGAUUGGUAUUUGGUACCCCGUACAUGUCGCUCGCGCUGGGCCGCUGGGGGCAUCCAAGUACCGACGAGGCGACGACAGGAUCCACACCAGGUCAAAACUGCGGCCGUCCUCCCUCCCGGCCGGCCGGACAGAGGAAACGAUGGACGUCGCGUGCGUUCGCAACGUACUCCUCCAUAAAAAGGGCGGGUCAUCAGCAGGACAAAAACUCGAUCGUCGAUCCGUGCGUGCGUCAGCCGUUCUUGCCUUGGUAGUGGAGUUGACUACUGGUGCUGCCUGCACCCGCUGCUGCCUGCUGCAGCAGCAUUUUUUUAUACUGGGCGAUGAGGUUGCAGUCGUGGCCAACGGCAGCAUGCAGACUUGCAGAGGCAGGUGAAGCUGAUGCGUGCCGCUGACCUUUGCGGAUGCCUUGACUGGGCGCUGUAAAUUCGGGGUGGACGUGCAGGUCACGUCCGGCGUCUCGUCGCCGGAGAAUGGAAUCGCGCGGAGCAGAGCCCCCGCGCCGGCCGAUAGCAAGGUCGGUCCCUCUUGGAUUGGAUCCCGAGCCAUGGGCCAUGGCCGAUGGAUCAGUCAAACGGACGAGUGGCACGGGCACUGCCGACCUCUGCUUCUCCGGCCAAUCUCCGUCGCGUGAGAGAGAUGAUCUUGUGACCGGCAGGCAGGCAGAGGCAGAGGCUCUGCCCCGGUUUGGUUGGUUUCAUUUCAUGGCGAUGGUAUUCCCAGCUUUUCGAGCGCUGGCGCUGCGUUGGCCGAAAGAUCUCGGUGCGGCUUCUCGUGGCCGCCUGCACAUGAACCGAUGAACGAACGAUCAUCUCACACGCCGCAAGGAACAGAUCGCUGCGCCACUGACAAUGCCCAGUGGGUUGACCCGGUUGAGCGCUUUGGGCCGCAUCUGCAUGGCAUGGCAGGGCCCCUGUGUACCAAAAGGUAACUUGGAGGGAAAUGGCGGUAUAUUUCUUUUCAGAAAAAAAUGGCGGUAUCUUAAUUUGAAGGGAAUGAACAUUAGUGUGUGCGAUGUUGUUUGCAAGUGUACAACUUCCCCAGAAGAAUCUUGGAGCAUGGGACUGUUUUCUCCAUAAUUCUAGAGAAACUACAAAUCCAAGUCUGUCUCUUGUUUUUUUUCAAUUCGUUCCGAUCAGGGUCUGUUCGCUUCAGCUUAUAAGCCGGCUGAAAAGCUGAAACGGCUGAUUUGUUGUGAGAGGAAAAUACUGUUUGGUGGCUGAUAAGCCAGCUGAAUAAGCUGAAGCGAACAGGCCGCAGAUUUCCGAGAUGCACCUACUCUAGCUCCUGAGCAUGCAACUCUAAAUGAUCUCUACUGCUUGCUCUAAGUAAACUGUAAACCCGGUGCCCUUUCAUUCCUCCUGAUUUAGGGGUUGUUUGGCAACAGGGUGUUAAAAUUUAACACCCGUCACAUCAGAUGUUUGAUGCUAAUUAGGAGUAUUAAAUAUAGGCUAAUUACAAAACUAAUUGUACAGAUGGAGUGUAAUUCGCGAGACGAAUCUAUUAAGCCUAAUUAGUCCAUGAUUUGACAAUGUGGUGCUACAGUAACCAUUUGCUAAUGAUGGAUUAAUUAGGCUUAAUAGAUUCAUCUCGCGAAUUAGCACAGGGUUCUGCAAUUAGUUUUAUAAUUAGCUCAUGUUUAGUUCUCCUAAUUAGCAUCCGAAUAUCCUACGUGACUCUGUUAAACUUUAACACCUCGCUUACUUAACCACACAGUCAUGCAUGUGCUUGUCUUUUGUCUAGGUCUAUGGCGUGACCUCCUCUUGUGCUAAAUAAAGUCACCGGGUGCCCUAUCUUUCUUUAUAGGGCACCUAUACUAGCUGCCCUGGCUUUUCUUUUGCUUUUUUCUAAAGACAGACAUUCUCCUGGCUUUGGAAACUUCCUCCACUAGACAGCCUCCGCUCAUUGAUGCUAGCACAACAAGAUGAUCACUUACACAGGUAAUUAAAUUUGGCAACAAGUCAUAAUCAUUACCACCAUCGUCGACCGUAGGAGUAUAUCGGCUUGCACUCAAAUACUCCCUUUUUAUUUACAAUUUAUUUACAAGGUGCACAUGCAUAUUAAGAUUAAAACUUUACAAUCUAACCAAUAAUUUGACUAUUAAUUUUUUUAUUUUUAUAAUGUAAACUUUAUAUGCUUGGUACAAUGAUUAUAAUUUUAUAACCAUAAAUAAUAUAAUAUAAUAUAAAUGAAUGGUUAAAGUGUUUGGAAGACCGUGUUGAGUCAUACCAUACCUUAUAAACAUAGAUGGAGGGAGUACUCACUAACAUUAACAUUAAUUGUUGCCCGAGAAAGUAUCAUUAGAUUUGUUGUGAAAAAUGUUAUUACUAUAAAGUUUUAUUACCAUUCGAUACAUAAUAACUCGUGGUGGAAGUUAUAUACUAUCGUUCUAUAAUCCAAUUGUUAAUGCGCCAAACAUCAUACGUCUCAUCUAGCCAAGCUAAGAAGUUCAAUGAAAAAACAGAAAUCACAAAAGUGCAUGACCAAGUUGUCUUCUUUGGAUCCACCAUGCAUGUGACCCCUACCUUCUCAUAGAUCCUUGUGUCCAAAGGACUGGCCGACUGUUCACGAGACUAUAUGGUUGGCAUCCAUCCCUCCUGUCCUCUCUGCCGCCUGAAACAAUAGAGUAGGUUACCCCAUGAUAAAGAUGAUUACGAAGCCCGUGACGGCCGUGAGACAACUGAUAGACAAUCGAGGCUACAGAAAAUGCCCUUGCACAGUUGCACGCCUACUUUGGAUGACAAGAAGCUCGCCCAGCACGAAAGAAGCAGCAUGCAACAACCAACAACUCUGGGUGACAAGGAUGUAGGCGGAAUGGCCAACCGCGCGGAGAUCGAGGAGAGGGUGCAGACGUCAAAGAAAGGUGGUAAAGGGCAGGGCCGCCAGCCCCAGCCGCGAUCGAGCGAAAGUCGCCACACCCACCGCCCGCAAUCCAUCCCAUAUUCUUCGGCCUCUGCUGGCUGCCGGCUGCCGCCUGCCCUGCCCCUAGCAGCUCGCCUUGUCUGCCUCGUCACCCUUUUUCAAAGGCAUCGACGAACGAACGAACAUGGACUAUGGUCAUACCUCAUGCAGUCAUGCUCUCUGCAGAAAAGGGUCAGAAUGCAGGCACUUUUUCACGUGACGGGUCAAAACCCCAACAUGGCCUACGGUACGGCCCGUCAAAGUGGCCUGUCAGACAAACUCGAUCAAUAGUGCAUCUGUGGCUGGCCUGUAGACGACGGCGAGAGGGGUCGAGUCCGUAACGUACCUCGCCUGCACCAGCCGGGUCUUCUUUCUCAUUUCUGCAGUAGUUCGUCGUGCCGUGCAUCAUCACCAUGCAUGCCGUUCGCCUGUUCCUGGGUGCCGGACGGGACCUACUGCGGCUUCGCACUGUGCGUCUGUACCCUGCUCCCUGUGGACUCUCUGUGCUCACGCGUCUUGUCAAAGCAACCGGGGGCAGUGGGGCACGACCGGUGGCCGGCCACGUCCGUCACUUUGCGGCCCGGCCCCUCUCGCGCGCGGAGGAAUCUCGCGUCACAGGUAGGCGCGGCCACAGGACAUUGUCCCCGGCCGCCGGACGGGAGGAAGAAAAAGUGGUGAGGCGGGCGAGCGCAGCCGCCGGGUGGUGGCCGGGUAUGCGCGGCCACUGGCGGCUUCCCGUGGCGAGUCACAUGGCCCCGGCCGGCUGCCGUGCGGCCAUGCCAGAGCCAGACUGCUGAAUAGUUGAUGCUGUCCACGGUAUAUACGUACUGUAUAUAUCAAUCUCGCGGUCAGGGUCAGGCAGCCUUGUCCUGGGAGAUGGAGAUGGAGAGCAUUCCGAUGCUGGGCAGCCUCGACCAGCACUGGAGGUGCGGAGGGAGACAGCCCUGUACGGGCCUUUUAGCGGUGCAGGGCAGGACGCGUGGACUUUUUACCUCUUUGCCCUUUCCAUAAUUUUUUUCUAGUGGGAUCACUUCACUUAGGCGGUGUUUGGAUACCCAUGCUAAAGUUUAUCACAUGUCACAUCGGAUGUUUGGAUACUAAUUAGGAGUAUUAAAUAUAGACUAAUUACAAAACUAAUUACACAGAUGGAGUCUAAUUCGCGAGAUGAAUCUAUUAAGCCUAAUUAGUCCAUGAUUUGACAAUGUAGUGCUACAGUAACCAUUUGCUAAUGAUGGAUUAAUUAGGCUUAAUAGAUUCAUCUCGCGAAAUAGCAUAGGGUUCUGCAAUUAGUUUUCAUGUUUAGUCCUUCUAAUUUGUAUCCGAACAUCCAAUGUGACACUGCUAAAAUUUAGCACCUAGUAUCCACAAAACUGAUGAAUACUUACUUGAGCAAAUAUUCUCGGUCGAAGCUUGGACACUAGUGAUCGACCACUCUGAAAUGGACGAGGCAGGUACAUCAUCGCGGAAAUACCGGUGAUUUUGCACACGAAUGGACCCAACACAGCAUGGGUGGCGACUGACGAGGGACAAAACCGGAAGUGGGAAAAGAAAAACGGGGCAAAAUGUAUAUUCCACCGUCCGACAACCACAUUUGGAGGUGCUGCAAAUGCUUCUGCAAUCAGCACGUAUUAUUGGUUGUUGCCCAACAGUAGACGCGCACGCCGUGUCAUCGUGGCUCUUAUAUUUUCUUAGCAAUCUAACUCAGCCUCAGCCUCUUCUAAUUUUUAGCUCAAAAUCUUAUAUUAUUAUGGCCCAGAUUCUUAAAUUUACUAGGCUAAAUUAAAGGACCCUUUACCACCCAUAGUCACACCUAAAAAAAGAUUGUGGCUAGCUAAAAUAUAUUUUUUUAAAAGAGCUAAAAUCAUUAUUCCACUACCACUUGUAGUACAAGGCAGUAGUGGGCCGGUGCAAGCCUGAGUCAAACAAGAUUCCGGUAUUGAUAUCGGUGCCGGCAGUAGAAAGAGAGUUCAUGAACAACAUAACAAACAUCAAUCUUGAGCAUAAAAUCCAAACCCUAUCACCUCAACAAUACAAGUAACAACUAAGGGCAUGUACAACCCAUAGACAAGUAAUAACUAUCUGUAUAGCCCGUGCUCCGAGGACGAGUCGACGGGUCGGCGCGUGUUGUGCGACCUCGUCGCCGUUCAAGGACUGCUCCUCCGGAUCAACUGCGACAUGUGAGAAAUCGAAGGCGCUGCGUGCGCCAAAUCCCCUUCCGCACCAGUCCACCACCAUACAUUCCCUUCCCCACUAGAUGCCAGAUGACAGGCACGGCGGCAACGGUUGUUAGGAAGCAGAAGGGCACGGCGGCAACGGUUGUUAGGAAGUAGAAGGGCACGUCAAUGCAGCGGCUGACCGUGUCUUGGUUACGUCAUUAGAGCGGAAGAAGAGUGCGGCAGCGGCUAGGAAGUGGAAGGGCAGUCUCCGGCUCUAUUGCUUCCUCACUGAUGGGCCCAGCAAGAUAGAAAGCAGAGGAGGCGGCACGGCGGCAGAUUGCUCACAGCCGGACAAUGCCCCCUCAGCCGACGGCAGCCAACACCUCCGUCUACAAUCAGUGUGUAAUGCCCCUUGGCCGCCAGCGAUCGCCGUCAACGUGAGUACACACGAGAAGAUCGAAUUCGUGAGAUUAGGGAGGAGCAACGGGUCCCUUUACCUUUCACUGUUCUAUUGCUGAAUGAAUAAAGACGAGUUCAACACGACACCCUACCCAUGCCUUCAACCCUGGUUCACCGCCAUCGUUUAUAAAAUGCAAACUCACAGUUAGAAAAUGUAAAGCUAUAGAAUACGCCUCUUGUAGAUUAAAGACUCUCCCGAACUCACAGCUAGAAAAUGUAAAGCUACAAAAUACACCUCUUGUAGAUUAAAGACUCUCCCGCCUCUUUUGUCUUCUGGUACUACGCCUCCUCAGCCGUGACAUCUUCCCCCGUUGGAAUACUUGCUUGUCCCCAAGCAAUUGCAUCAGGAAAACAAGUCUUGAGCACAUAGAAGUCCUCCCAUGUAGCAAAUUCAGCUGGAAUGUGCUUUCACUUGAUCAACACCUGAGGUAUUGCAUUGUUGCCUUUCUUCACCAGUCUUCUCUCCAAAAUUACUUCAGGAACCACAUCAGUAGUAUCCAAUGGCACCUGCUUUGGCAGCUUAGAAAACAAUGGAGUAUGAUCAGGAACAAAGCUUUUGAGUUGUGAAACAUGGAAUGUUGAAUGUAUCUGACUUGAUGGAGGCAGAUCCAGUUUAUAAGCUGCCUGCCCAAUCUUUUCUACCACUGAAUAAGGUCCAAAGUAUUUCAUAGACAACUUGGGAAAUGGUCCAUUAACUAAAAAGGAUUGAGCAUAAGGUUGUAGCUUCAAGAGUACUUUGUCUCCAACCUAAAAUUGAACAUCAGUUCUAUGCUUGUCAACUGCAAGUUUCAUUUUUGUUUGUGCCCUUAACAAUUGUUCCUUCAACAUAGUCAGUUGUACUUCUCUGUCCCCAAUAAAAUCCGAUACUAGAGCAUGAGCAUCAAGUAGAAUAGAAGGUCUGACUCCCAGAUCAGGAUCAUAGCCAUAUAAUGCUUUAAAAGGUGAACACCCUAGGGAAGAGUGAAAGCUGGUAUUAUACCACAGUUCGGCCUGACCAAGCCAAGAAUGUCACUGCCUAGGAGAAUCACCAACAACACAAUGCAAGUACAUCUCCAAACAUUGAUUCACAUGUUCUGUUUGACCAUCUGUUUGUGGAUGAUAAGCAGUACUACAUAACAGCUUGACCCCCAUCAACUUAAAGAGCUCAGUCCAUAUUGCGCUGGUAAAAACCUUAUCUCUAUCUGAGACCACUGAUUUGGGAAAACCGUGCAAUUUAACCACCCCAUCAUAUAUGACCCGAGCCACAAAAAUAGCAGUAUAAGGAUGUUUUAAUGGGAAGAAAUGAAUAUACUUGGUCAAACGGUCGACCACCAUCAGAAUGACACUGAAGCCAUCAUGCUUAGGAAGACUUUCUAUGAAAUCCAGAGAUAUAUCCUUCCACACUCCCUCCGAAAUUGGCAAAGGUUGUAGAAGAUGAGCUGGUCGAGAAUGUUGAUGUUUAGCUUGUUGGCAAAUAGCACAUUGAGAGAUGAAUGACUCCACAUAUUGCUUCAUGCCUUUCCAGUAAAACAUCUUCUUAAUACGUUGAUAAGUAGCCUGCUGCCCUGAAUGACCUCCCACAGCACUAGAAUGAAGAGCUGCGAUAGUUUUAGUUUGUAGCCCAGAAUUACUUUUCAGCCACACUCUAUUUCUGAAUUUGAUUACACCUUGAUGAAGUGUGUAUCCUUGAUCAUUUGGACUGUGUACUGCUAGCCUGCUAGCCUGGCCAACAACUUCUGAGCCUGGUCAUCAGUGAUAUAAGAAUUUUCCACUUCUUGCAGCCACAAUGGUUGUAUUGUAGAUACAACAUGAAUAACCAUUAGGUGCUUCAUUCUAGAUAGAGCAUUAACAGCCACAUUGUCCAUCCCUUUUCUAUACACCACCCCUAAUUGCAAGUCCAUUAGUCUUGUCAUAGAUUUUCUUUGCAUGUCAAAACACUUGUUGCAGAUGUACUAUAUGGGUUUUUAAAGAUAGGCUAUAUAUAUAAGAAUAUCAGUAAGAAAUACCAUCACAAACUUCUUGAGAAAGGGAGAAAGCACCUCAUUCAUGACACACUGAAAGUUGCUAGUGCAUUAGUCAAACCGAAUGGCAUGACCUUAAAAUGAUAGUGCCCUUGGUGAGUCUUGAAUACUUUCUUAUGCUCGUCUUGAAGCUUCAUUCUCACUUGAUGAUACCCUGACUUCAAAUCAAGUUUAGUGAAAUAUUUGCUACCAACCAACUCUUCCAGAAUCUCUAACUCUUCCAGAAUCUCCUUCAUAAUAGGUAUGGGAAACCUAUUCUUGAUAGUCGAAUCAUUUAACUUUCUUCCAACUGCCAUUCGUUUUUUAAUGAGUAAAACAGGAGAAGCAAAGGGACUUGUGCUAGGAACAAUAAGACCAGCAGCUAGCAUUUCUUUCACUUGCUUUUCAAUUUCAUCUUUAUGUUGAGGAGAAUACCUGUAGGGCUUGGAAUUCAUUGGAACUAUUCCAGGAAUCAAUGGAAUUGUAUGAUCAUACACUCUCUCUAGAGGUAAUGUCUUGGGGUUAGAGAAGGCAUCUUCAUGCUGGUCUAAGAUGGACAAUAUAUCUGGUGGUGUAGAAGCAACUUCUUUUCCUUGCUCUUGAGAUAGAAUGACCAUGGCCCAUAUGUCAUUGCCCUUGUACCAUUUCACCAAUUGUUCAACAGAUAGUUCCUUGAUCAGCCUUGCUUGCUAUUGAACCCCUUGCAACACAACCUUCCUUCCACCCUUUUCAAACUCCACAGUUUUGUUCUCCCAAUGGCAUGUCAUAGGACCGUGUGGUUUAAGCCAAUCAUAUCCUAGAAUUGCAUCAAAAGAAUUUAACUCCAGAACUCUCAUAUUUGUUUCAAGUGUAUAACCACUACACCACCAAGAUAGGUUGGGAACCCAUUUGUUAGAGAUCAGUAUAUCCCCAUUUGCUACUUUGACUUGCUUGGGUGUAGUAGGUAGUGGAACGACCCCAAUUCUUCUCAGAUUUUCAUUACUGACAAAACUGUGACCGCUACCACUAUCCACUAGUGUAAGCAUCACCUGAUUUUUCACUAAGGCUCUGACCUUCAUAGUUUCCCUUCCUCUAUCCCAGAAAUUGCAUUGAGAGACAAAUGGAAAAAUUCUGCUGACAAGGAAUCCUCUAUAGCAAGCUGAACCAAUACUUCCUCAGUUAAGGGCAUAUCCAAGUCAUUCACCACCAGUGCAUUCACUUGAGCUUUGGUUCUCUUUGUACAAACAUCAACAUAGGCUGGAGCGUAAGGUUUCACACAAUAGAAACACAAGUUGGUGGCUCUUUUGUAGUUCAUGACCUGCCUUUCUUUCCACAGAUUAGUACUUGCAGAAUUGUUCUUGUUAUCUCCCUUUGACAUAUUCCCUCGAGGUUUAGAGAAAUUCUGAGAUUUCUAAGCUUUGUAUUUGCCUUUCUCCAAAACCUGGUACUAAAUCUUGGCUACUAGCAAGGCUCUUUCCAAGGUCUCAGGGACCAAAGAUUGUACUAUUGUUCUGAGUUUAGGAACUAGCCCCUUCACGAAAGUUGUGAGGAAAAAUAUAUCUCCCAACCCUGUAUUCAACAUGGUCAACUGAUACUGCAAAUCUUCAAAUGCAGAAAUGUAUUCUUCUACAGAAGCUGUCUGUUUCAACUCCAUCAACUCUCCCAAGGCUGUCCUGUACUCAUUUGCACCAAACUUCUCCUCUACUACUUUGAUGAACUGUUCCCAACUACCAAGUCUAUUUUUCAACUUGUACACCUGCAGCCAUCUAGCAGAGUUUCCAUCCAUAUGCAUUGAAGUAAUCACUGAUUUCAUGAAGUCUGGUGUGUUCAGGAUCUCAAAGUAGUUUUCACAUUUGUCCUUCCAUAUCCUUUGAUUUUUGCUAUCAAAGAUAGGAAAAGCUAGUUUGGGCACUUGCACCUUGUACUGAUUAAAUCUCUCUGAAUGUUGACGACGCUCAUGAUUGCCAACACGAUGAGGAUGAGGCACAUAAGAAGUAAAAUGCCUGCGCCUCUAGAAUUGCUGCUCAUCUUGAGAUGUUUCAGAAGAGGUUGGACUGACAGGUUGUGUGUCUUGAGCCCUUGCUUGAUUAAGUGUCAGUUUAGCCACUGCCUGUCAUAUGGCCUCUAUCUACUUGGAUAACAACUGCUAAUCCAAAAGCAUUUGUUUUACAACUUUUGCGCUCAUGUUGAACUGCGCUGCUAAUUUUCUGUUGAUUAAUAUUGAUGUCCUCAACCUGAGCAAACAACAGAUCCAGAUGUUCCAUAACAUGUUCCCACCGCACAUCAUCCUUCUGGUCACGUUCAUCCAUCUUGCUCAACAGCAGUUUGGUCUGUACCGAGGGCUUAGUAGGAGCCGUGGUGACUACACCUCAAGCCAAGCGAACUACAUCGUGAUUUGAUGAAACAUCGAACCCCUCUACACGAGGCACGCACCGAGUCGCUCAAAGCCGAAGGAGAAUAGCAGUGACUCAUCGAUUCCUCGAACAUGUGACGAGAUGUUCGCCUUUGCGCCCUAGUUUCGCACUUGGUCACUGCCUCCUGCUUCUCCAACUCGCCGCCGCCUGCGCCGCCAGAGCCGCUUCCCAAACUUCUCGAUCCGCCGCCCACACAAUGAAUCCGAGUCAAAUCGCCCGCAAGUGGAACCAGUUGCGAGAAGGAAUUACACGGGGAUCUCGAAUUGCAAUCGGUUCUGCGCGGUACACUAAUCAAUCGCCCAAAACCAACUCAGUUCACCAGUUCAACACCGGUGGAAUACUGCAAUUUGAAUACGGACGCGCACCGGGGAUAACUGAAUCUGAUACCACUUGAAAUGCCCCAUGGCCACCGGCGAUCUCCAUCGACGUGAGUACACACGAGAGGAUUGAAUUUUCGAGAUCAGGGAGGAGCAACGAGCCCCUUUACCCUUUGUUGUUCUAUUGCUGAAUGAAUAACAAGAUGAGUUCAACUCAACACCCUACCCAGGCCUUUAACCCUGGUUCGCUGCCACUGUUUACAAAGUGCAAACUCACUGCUAGAAAAUGUGAAGUUACAAAAUACGCCUCUUUUAGAUUAAAGACUCCCGCCUCUUCUGUCUUCUGGUGCUACGCCUCCUCAGUCGUGACACAGUGUUGACUUCUUCCACGGUGGCGGCAUGGAGAGUCACGGUGGCCAAUGGAAUCUCAAUUUCUCCACCCCAUCUUCAGAUCCUGUAGCCUUGUAAGUUCAAUGCCAAUUUAUCAUAUUGUAAAAACAUCAAAUUGCACAAAAUUAUUACCUGAAAGCUCGGCAAUACGCACACAUGAACAUAAAAAGCCAGCGAGAUUGCAUGGAGUAUUCUAUAGCUUUGUUUCAGUGUUUUGUACUGUAGGUAGAAUGAUGAGGAAACUUACAAAAUUGAUAUAUGUUAGCGUUGUGUAGUGUUUACGGAGAUUAGACUACAGUUCUGAACUUGAGUACAUAUUUUCUUUAGUUAACAAUUCUGAAUUCUAACUAUACACAACUUCUUGCACUUUCUGAAUUUUUAAUUAUAUAUUUUAGUUAGCAAUUCUGAAUUGAGAUGAUGGGAACAAUUUAGAGUUUUCGUUUGGGUACAAACAGUUAGCUUUCUUUGCAGCAAGCUCUAUGUCAUGAAUUUACAUAACACAUGCAUUGGUUCUGUACUCAUAUUGUGCUUAUUUAACUUAAAGUGAAAUAUAUGCCUUCAAUACCACUGCAGAUGUCAUUUUGAUAAAUAUGGAACUGAGCUUCAUUUUCAAUCUCUGGGUUAGAAUUUGAAUCUCCUCUACUGAUAUGUGAUAACUGAAUGUUAACAGGUAAGCGAUAUUAUUCUUUUUUCUAAAAUUGUGAAUAGGACUUUGUACUGAUAAGUGAUAACUAAAUGCAUCGUCACAUAUGAGAUACAUAGAUAAAUUUAUACUCGAUCACUAUUGUUUACAAGUUCAUGCAUGAAUUUAAUUAUAUGUAGACAGUCUAGUAGACAAGUCAUUGUACAAGAUGUCUGUGUUGCUAUCUUUAUAUGACAUGGCAAAACUUGCAGACAUCAACUAUCUAAAUGGUUGAACAUGCCCUAACAGGUAUGACUAGUGAACAGAGCAUGCCGGGCAUCGGUGGCUCGGUGGUCAGUGCCCGCGGCUACUCGUGGCCGCCGAACGGACGAAUCAACUAUCAGCGCCGGAGAAAGAUUGCUCGUUGCCACGGCGUUGUCCAUGAAUGCCUGCGAAUCUGCGAUGGCAUCUCGUCUGGCUACUGGCGCCAAUGAGGCAAGGACUGGGCCCCCAUGGUCCCUGUCAAUCAAGGUCCAGAUCACGUCUUCAUCCGCUGCUGGCUGCUCCGAUUGAUCUCGUCUCUCGUGAUUCGUUUGAAGAGAAGCCAUCUGGAGAAUGGUGUUGACCUCUGUCGGCGAUGGACUUUCUGCCUUUCUGGGAUCGGAGCCCAUGCUGCGAGUUGGCACCAACAAUUGGCUUCAGAAAUUGAGUUACCACUUGCCGAAAAAAACGGUGUUGCUAAGAAACUCCUAGCCAUGAUAAGCAUGGUAAAAAGCUAGGAAAAACAAAUUAGUGUACCCAUGUACUAGCUUGCACAUUAUGCAUAACGUGACAUCAACAAACCCAAACGUUAUACUGGCUGAAAGCUGCGGUGACUAGGCGUGUUGUCAUGAACUCAGGUUUUAACUCAACGAAUAGUUGGGGAGAAAACAAAACCUAGCACGUCAAAUCAACCCGUGCCUGAAUUGAUAGAGCUACUAUUGGCACCUUAAUUUCCAGAGACUUGUGUGCACUCAAAAAUAUAUUGUGGCAUUGCUUUGGUUUCUUUCGAUCUUUUUUGAAUUUAGUAUAUUCUGCAACUUAGUAUCAUUCCAAUGCUUCGAAGUUGCCGAGCUGAAGUUCUCGUUACCUAUAAUGAGCAGCAGCUCGAGCUAGCUCACGGGGCUAACGAGCUGGCUUCAACUCCAAACAAGUCGAGCCGAGCUACAUUUUUUUUGCUCGUUCCGUUAACGAGUCGAGCCGAUCAAGUUCGUAUCCAAUCCAGGUGGACCGAUCUGAGCUAAGUUGAGCCGUUUCAGGGAGGAACGUGAAAAGGCAUAGAUAUUUGGUCUCAGACAUGUAAACACAGUACAAAAUAAAAGGUGGAAUAGUCAUUUCAUCCUUGAACUAUUGACCAAUGCUCAACUUAGUCCCUGAACUACCAAGACAGUCAUUUCAGUUCUCGAACUCUCUUGAAUAGCUCAAUUUCGUCAUUCAUCCCAUGUGUUGUGCCAUGUUGGCAAUGCCAUGUCAGCAUCCAGUCGGCUAAGGUUUUAAAAUACCCUUUCUAUCCUCUAUAUGCUGCAUAUAUCCAUAAAUGUUUGACGUCCUUAUUCGCUCGAGGUUUGUAAGAUACCAUUCUCCUCUUACUGCUGAACUUGUAAAAAAGUUGGUUUGGAAUUACUUGCUGAAGUAUACAUUCUCUUUUUGCCGGUGUGUAAAAAAGUGGUUGAAUUGUUCGAAACAAUUUACUAAAUAGGAUGCAUUGGUCCUUUUACUACAGUACAAUCCAUAACUCAAUUGGGGAGGGAGAAAGGGGCUCUCAUCUUGACCCUAACACACAUGGAACCGGCUGACAUGGCACGCCAAUGUGGUGCAAUAUGUAGGAUGAAGGACGAAAUUGAGCUGUGCGAAAGAGUUCGAGGACUGAAACGGCUGUUUUGGUAGUUCAGGGACUAAACUGAGUCUUGGUAGAUAGUUCAAAGAUAAAAACGACUUUUCCCCUAAAAUAAAAAAAAAUCCACAAGGUUGGAGUGUAUGCACAAUUUCUAGAAAAUUUGUAUGUCAAGGUACAAGACCCUCUAUUCCAAAGGUUUCAUUCAUAUACUGGGAGGAAAAAAACAAAGCAAUCUUACUAUUACUAAUUGGAGGCUUCUUUUGGAGCCUCCAGAUGAAGCCACCUAGGAUCCUAGGUGGACACUAUAUAAAAAGAGAGAAAUUCUAGAAAUUCUUACAAAAAAGCAAAACAUCUCGCCAUCAAUCAGUAGACUCAAAUCAUCAUAGCGAUUGGAUCUAUUAUAUUUUCUAAAAAGUUACCCACCUGUGCCAUUAUAAAAAUAGCCUAAAGUAACCCCCUAAAUCUAUAUCUAAAUUACCCACCUGCCAUAAUAUAAAAUAAAUUAAAGUAACCCCCUAAUAUUAGUAUGUCGUUAUUAAAAAUAACAUAAAGUAAACGCGUAAAUCUUAAUCUAAUUAUCUUCAUGUGCAUCAUACAAAAAUAUCAAAAAGUAAACUAAUAUAUGAUUCUAAAUUGCAUAUUUAUGUCAUGGUUAAUGUGUAUACACAUGAUGAGUGUCACCAUGUAGACCAUUUAUAUAUGUAUGUGAGGAAGUGAUGAAAAAUUAUUGAUUUUUAUGCUAAACACAAUGUAUGGAGGUGCGAUACAAAAUGAAAAGAGUGUAAAUGUGGAUGAAAAAGUGUAUAGAGUAAUUACUAAUUAAAAAUCAACCACAAUUGAACAAAGAUAAGUACACAUCUAUAGAAGCAUUAUGUUGAAAUAUUGAAAAAAAUGAGAGAGUAGUAGGUAACUAAUUUUAAUUGUUAGCUACAAGUUUAAUUUCUAAAUAAUUUUCAAAUACAAUAUAUUUUAAUUAGCCCGUGCGGGAACGUGGGUUGAUGGACUGGUCCUUUAAAACUACAAAACUUCACUAAUAACUUAAUAAGAAAUCCCAUCCUACCAGUCUACCACCCUCUCUGUUCAAGAGGCUCGGUUGCAUUAUUUUGGCACACCUCUCGUGUCCUCUCUGCCGCUGCCGCGCGAGACACCAGCAGCACCAACCCAUUAUUCCUGUCAAGGGCAUGGCAGGGAUCAUUGCGGUCGAUGGAUGGAUGGAGAUCGGGGCCCAAAGGUUAAAGCCGCUAUAAUUGGGACGCGGCACUCUGCACCAUCCUCCUGGCCUACCGCCCACACCGGAGCUUGAGUGCUUCAUUUCAUUCGGCAACAUGGACAGCUGCUAUCCUACUACUACUACACAGCCUAUGCUAGCACAGCAGGUCCGGGUCCUUUUGCGAUGCAAUGAUUCAGUGCACCCUCGAAACAUGGCCCCCGGAGAACUCGUUCGCCGGCAGCCAAUUCUUUUGACCUACGCUUUGCUUACGUUGCCACUUGCGUUGCCACUUGCCACUAGGAGAAGUCUCCAAGGGUGAAGCUAAUCUUUUAUAGGUUGAUAAUAGAUCACCUCUCUAAUAAUAUAGUAGAUGUUAAAUGUCAUGUGUAUAAGAACAGAGAUAGUAUCAGCUAUAAGAGUGUACAGGUCAUGUAAAAAUAGCACUAAAGCUAGCUUCCAUCUAUAAGCUUCUCUCUUAGGCCCUGUCUGGGGUAGCGGUAGCUUUUCCAGAAGCUACUUCCUGGAAAAGCUCUUCUUGGUGGCCCAGGAAGCGCUUCCUGGAGAAGCGAAAGUGAUCUGUUUGGCAACCUUGCUUUUCGCCGCUGUCGAUGUGAGGAUUGAGGAAGACGAGCUCCGGGCGACGGCGCGGCAACGAGGGGGAGCCAGAGAGCGUGGGAGUCGAGAAAAUGGAGGGAGGGGAGGUCAGACCAGCAGCCGCCGUCGAGGAAAGAGAGGCCGGGGUGACGGCGGAUGCCGACGAAAAGGGAGGUCGGGGCGCCGGCGGACAUCGAGGGAAGCUGUUGAAGGAGGGUGACUUGGGCGGUGACAGCAGGAGGGGAACUCGAGGGCGGCGGCGGCCGUAGAGGCAAGGGAGCUCAGGGCAGCUGCCUUCGGUCGUGAGGGGAGAGAGCUCGGCGGCGGCCGUCCAGCAGGGGGUAUCCGCGGAUCUCAAGCUCGGAGGACGGACGGCGCCCGGCGGUCUUCAGAUGGAGUGGCGAGGUCGGGAUGAGGCGACGUGAGGACGAAGUGGAGAGGGGGCGGACGCAAGAUCCGUCACGGGGAUGAAAAGCUCGGGAAGCGACGCGGAGGGAGCUUUUCCAAUUUAAAGUUUCAAAAAAAAAAAGCUUUCCCAAUUUUAGUACCAAAAACCGGUGCUUUUAACCGCUUAGAGAAGCAACCCUGUUUGGGGAGCUUUUGGCUUUUGGAGCUUCCUGGAGAAGCAAAAGCUUCUAAAAGCUUCCCAAACAGGACCGUUGUUAAAAAUGUGGUGAUAAUCGUCUCGUUUUUAGAUCUAGCAUAGCUCUUCAACGAGAGAUGGUUUGUUUCUCCCAUCGAUAAUGUUGGCACUCUGAGAUCUAACUAACCUAGCACCGUUGGAGAACAUGGUAAUAAUCAAGCACAAUACGGUUUUAAAAUUCAUUAGCUGAAUCAGAUGAAACCCUGCAAAACAUGUAGUUUGAUUGAUGCUUCUUGCAAGAAACAUAAACAAAAUGUUUUUGUUUUGUUUAGAACCAUGACAGUUACCAAAAUUGUCUCUCAUUAGAAUGGCCUCCUCACAUAUUCACAUACACCAGUUCCAGAAAUCUGGAUCCACUGAACUAGCCGAGCGAUUGCAUAAAGGGGGUUUCUUUUCACCACAUAAAUGUUGCUUAGAACUAAACUAAAAACUGAAGAAUCCGGAACCCUGGUAAACGGGAUCGGGCCUACGAAAGUAGAAAGGAAACAACAGAGAAAGCACAGAGUAACGUUCCAAGGUACUGUAAGCCUCAUCAUGGCAAACCUCUGUAGUUUAAGCCCCAGUUGGAGGCGUGCUUAAUGAUGGUAAUCCAUGGCGCAAAUAAUCUAAUCCCUCCUUUUCAAAAAAAAAAAUUCUGAACCCUAGCGCGACCAUCAUUGCUGCUCGUUCAUGCCUGCCGGAGUGCCGGUCCCCAGCAAAUAGAAUUCGGCGCCCUGGUACGGAGCAAAGAAAGCGCCACGAAAUCCAGAGGAGACGGAUCCGCCACUCAGCAACAGCUACCGCCGAAUAUACAAAUACCAUGCGAAUAAACUUAUCCCACCAUGAAAUAGUUUUCUCACACUGUUAGUACCUUCUUUUUUCUAACUCCACUAGGCUGCAUUCGUUUCAGACAGACACCAAAAGAAAUGGUAACCUGUUACUGUUAGUAUACUGCUCAGGUGCAGGAGCAGGUGUGACAAUCCAAAAUUUGUCUGGCCUGACACCAAAAUUUUGUUGACAGCAUACACAUAACUCUUCAUUUGGCAGUCUAUAGCAAGUCAAACUCAUGGAAAUUUGAGGUGCGACGAAGGAAUAUCCGGAAAUUACGAUUCAGUGCGCCGGUUUCAACCGUUUCUGACAUCGAAAAGACCUUUCCCCAGGGAAAUCGAAACCUGUCCCGAGAAUUAGCAAUGCAAUUCCUCAUCCCCUUCAUCCGUCGACCGUGUUCUUGCAUGCGGUAGGUAGCGCAUCAGCAAGUUCAUCCAUUGCAUUGAAAGAAAUCCCUGUAGCAUGUAAACAGAGUUUUUUUCCCCCCCGGAAAUGUAAAGCCAAAUCCUGUUCGUUAGGCUUGAUCAGGCAGCAAAGUUUGCACAGAAAGAAGUCCUGGUUGAAUUAUGUAGGGCGUAUCAAACAAUCUUUUAUUUUGCUCGCAAGAUCGGUGUAUAAAUUUCAUAAGUACUGAAACAAUGAGCCCAACAUAAGUUGAGGUGGCUGGCUGGAAGGAACAAGUUCAAUGACAAACACACAAAGGGUAUACACCCAUAAAAUGGAAAAGGCUUUAAUCCCUUUUAUUUUUGGCACAACUGGAAUUUACUUCUGUGGAAGCAAGCCUUUUGUUCAAAGCGAGCUGUAUUUUGCAAACAUAAAUUUAUAUAAAAAAAAAGUUAACAUGCCUCCUGAGCAUAUGUAGGCGCAGGUGAGGGCAGUGGAAAAGGAGCACGCAAUUUCAUAUCCCUCCUGAGCAAACUUUCAAGUUCUCAUAAGAGCACAUUGUUUAAAAUUUCAACAACAAUUUAUUCAGGGCCCACCAUAAGGUCAAAUUUGGCCACACAUUGUCAGUGUGUCACUAACAGAAUUGAUCAGGUUCUUAUGGAGAAAAAACGAUAUGGGAUGAAUUUAAAUGCACAAAUGAGUUGAGAUUGCAACUACAGAGCAGAUGGAUCUACAAUUUUGAAUCGGUAGAUAUCCAGACCGAAAGCAAUUGCAGCUGGCCUUGUACCAAAAUAAAAGAACUGCACCUUUGGUGCUGCAAAAUGCACGGAAAAAUGCAAGCUCAGAUCAAGAAAUGAGCAUGUACAGCAUCAAAAGGUUUUAGGUUCAGUGACAGCGCCACAGGACCAAACCAAGCACCGUUAUUGUAGAACUUCCAUGACCAUUAUAUAGUUAGAAUGGAAACCACAACAUAUAUGCACACUGAGUUACUGAGAUUGACAAUAUUGAUCUACCAUCAGCCCACCUUAUGAAGCAAGAAGGGAUGAAGCCACAAGCACCGCCCCUAUUGAGUGGUGGCUAUAAAGGCAAUCAUCAUCAUCAUCAUCUCCUCUCUUAUGACAACUAUCCAUAAUUACUAUACCUACCUUCGCAUUCAAGGAAGUUCCUUUUCUCCAAAGAAAGGCGGAAAAUAAGAUAAGAACAAAAGAGAAAGAGAAAAGGGAAAGGAGGAUAGGUUCUAGCUGGGGACUCAUUUCUCAUGUAUACUAAUUCAUCCAUCCAAGGAGUUUCAACCAUGGUGAAUUGGUGAUGCUGAUCCUUCAGUUCCUUCACUUGAUUCACUUUGAUCAGAGCAGCAAGAUGAAGCAACAGGCCUGGAUCUCUUCCCCCACCUCACAUCACUGAGCAGCUGUUGGGGUUCUCAUCGCUGAAGAUGUUGUAAUUGUCGGUGUGCGAGUGCGGCGGCAUUGGGUAGGCCAUCGGGUAAUGCAUCGGUGGGCGGCCGUAGCCGUAGUAACCGGCGCCGCCGUGGCCGUGGUGGUGGUGGCCAUGGCCGUGCGGCCCGUGCCCAUGGCCAUUCAUCAUCAUCAUCUGCUGCUGCUGCUGCUGCUGUUGCUGCAUCUGCUGCUGCUGUUGCUGCAUCAACAUGUACUGCUGCUGAGCCAUGGGGUUCCCGGCCGCCGCGGCGGCCUGCAGCAUCUCUGCUCCCGACGGCAUGCCACCGCCACCACCUGCGUUGGCGCCUCCCUGGUAGAACCCCGGCGCUGGCAUGCCCUGUACGGCACCACCGCCACCGCCACCGCCACCCUGCUGCAUGAUACCCAUGUGCGGGUGGUGGCCCAUCGGCAUGCUCAUGGUCAUGGGUCCGCCGCCCAUCUGCCCCGCGCCGGGGAAGCCGGCACCACCCAUCAUGUUAGGCCUCAUCAUGGCCUGUUGAGGCAGCAUGCCGCCCAUCGGCCCACCGACACCGACGGCGCCGCCGCCCUUCUUCCCCGGGCCCGGCUGGUUCCCGCCGCCCGGGGCGCCACCCUUCGCAUUGUGCGGCUGACCACCGCCCCCGUUCUUACCGCCGCCGUGGUUGGCCUGGCCGUUCCCCUUGAUGUGCACGGGGAUCUCGUUCCCACCGCCACCCUUCUUUCCGCCGCCGCCACCGUUACCACCCUUCUUGUCGCCCCCGCCGGCGCCAGGCGGCAUGGCCAUGGGCUUCAUCAUCAUCUUGGGGUCGUCGUAGAAGUCGUCGUCUAGGCCGUCGUCGUCGUAAUCGUCCUCGUCGUCGUAGUCGUCGAAUUCGUCGUCGAACUCGCUGCCCUCGUCGUCGAAGUUGUCCUCGGGGAUGGCGAACUUGACGGACUUGGGGUCCUUGAGCGGCGCGGCCGCUGCGAACGCUGGCAUCUUGCCGCCCAACAGCUCCGGCGGGAGCUUCAGCCCCUUCAUCUGCAUCUGCUGCUGCAGCUGCUGGAGCUGCUGCGGCGUGGGCUGCGGCAUGGAUUGCGGCAGCAUCAUCUUCGCAUCCUUCCCCCCGCCGCCGCCACCUCCGCCCUUGUUGUGGCUGCCAACGCCCCCUCCGCCCUUCUGGCCCUUGCCGCCGCCGGCGUCCUUGGAAUGGCCCUUGCCGCCGACGUCCUUGGUCUGGCCCUUGCCGCCGCCGCCGCCAUGGUGGCCGUUCUGAGGGGCGCCGGGCUUGGCGCCCCACAGCUGGGCGGGCUUGCCGGCCUUGUUGAGCUUCCGGAUGAUGGUGUCCGGAUCCAGCAAGCCGGACACCGUCACCUUCCCCUGCUCCGCGUCGAUGCUGCUCUGGUACACGCCUACACAGACCAAUUCCAUCACACAUUCUCGUCAGAAAACGCAGAGCACGCGCUGACAAACAAAAUACGCACCAACAAGAAAAACGCAAGCAAUCCGCUGUUAAAAGAAACCAGUAUUUUUCUUUCUUACCAUCGAUCUUGUGGAGGGUCUUCUUGACCUUCUUCUCGCACCCAUCACAGUGUAUGUUGACCCUCAGCACCAGAGUCUAAGAAUUUGGGAAUCAGAAACGUCACCGCAACAGCAAAACAAAACAAAAGCGAUUCCAAGAAACGAAAAAACACACGGGGGGACAAAGAAGGGAAGGGGGGACACAUGCUGCAAACACAAGCAAGCAAAGCCGCCCUCCGCCUGCCUGGCCGGAGAAAAUGGCGGCAAGAACAAGAAGAAUGGUUGGUUGGUUUGGUGGGUUGAGUUGGGGCGAAGCAAGGUCACGCACCUGCACCUUGAGCACAUCCUCCUUGCUCAUCCUGGAAACACCACCUCCCAAACGCUACGCCGAAGGAACGGGAGACAGUCUCUGUAACUCAGAUCUGGUGCCCGGGAGCGCUCAACAAGCCAGGGGAAGACGACGAGCGAGGAGGGAGCAGCUGUGGAGCAUUUCUGUUCUCUCUCCCAGAGGAAGGAAGCAGCGGGGAGGGUGAGUGAUGUAGGCGGGUUGCUUAAUGGGGUUGGAGGGCGCAAUAAUAUCUCGCUCACUCCCCUCGCACUAACACACACACACACACACACACACAGUCGCAGGGAGCAGAGAGCGAGAGCUCAAGAGAGGAGAGGAGUGUGGGAGACUGUUGCUGUGGGCUGUGGCCGGCCGCAGCGGCGCAGAGGGAGGGGAGAGAGGUGGCGCGGCGCAGUACAGCGGCAUGGCAUGGCAUGGCCGCAUGGGCUCGCAGCCAAAAUUGCAUGUGAGGGGGCCACCCUAGGCAGAUGCCAUGUGACCCUUGUCCCCUGAGCCACGAGCACCAGCCUGCCGCUGCCGCCCUGCACCGCCUGAAACGCCCCGCGCGGUAAACGCGUUUCUACGCGGCGGUAACUCCUCGAUAGGAGUACACGUUCCUUCCUUCUUCUGCCCAUUUCCUUCUCUUUUUUUUCCUCAGGAAAGUUCAUUCCUCCUCCUACUCUGGUGCCUUUGAACGUAGACAAAUUCGCCAGCAGAUCUAAAGUAUAUUCUGCAACGCGAGGAGGGAAGGGGGAAAAAAGAUAAAGGAAGGUUCGAGCGUAAACUCUGGUACAUUUUUUUUUCCGGCUACAUGUGUAAAGGAAAUAAAGAAGAUUGCACGGCACGUGCCAGUGGUGAAAUUAUCUUCUCUUCAGCGUUUAUUUGGAGAUGAUUAAGAGGAUAUUCAGGCCCAACUGCGGGCCCUUCGACGUCGGUGGGCCGGGAAUUUAGUCCCAGAUUCCUAGCCCACCAAUGCGGAUUGGGCCAAGAUAUAAAACGCCAAUAUGGUAAGCUGAAAGGAAUAUUAGUUCCUCGUAAAAAGUUAGAAAACGAAAAAAAUAACUAAUAAAAUUUAGUAUUUGAAAAAACUUGUUACAAAGAUCCGUAAACAUUAGAAAAACAACGCCAUCGUUCGUUUUAUGGUUUUCUACGUCCAUCUAUGUAACAGAUAAUUCAAACCUAAGAUCCCACGAGAGUUAAAUGCAUGUAAAAAUCAAAGAUUCGUUAAUAACACAAGUUACAAGUUCGGGGUGUUUGGAUACACCAUGCUAAAAUUUAGCACCUGUCACAUCGGAUGUUUGAUGCUAAUUAGGAGUAUUAAACAUAGACUAAUUACAAAACUAAUUGCACAGAUAGAGUCUAAUCCGUGAGACGAAUCUAUUAAGCCUAAUUAGUUCAUGAUUUGACAAUGUGGUGCUACAGUAACCAUUGCUAAUGAUGGAUUAUAUAGGCUUAAUAGAUUCAUCUCGCGAAUUAGCACAGGGGUUCUGCAAUUAGUUUUAUAAUUAGCUCAUAUUUAGUCCUCCUAAUUAGCACCCGAACCUCCGAUGUGGCACUGCUAAAGUUUAGCACCUAGUAUCUAAACACUCCGUCUAAAGCAAUUAGUCCAUAAUCAUCACACCAAGAUGAUUGCAGUAACAGACGGCAUGAGUCCAAAGUUGCUGGACCAGUCGUUGGAAAAUUGGUAAAGUUGCCUUUUCUUUUGGCACCUAUCUUUUGCAAUUUCAGAACAUACACAGUUCUGUUACUUUACACAUAGGCACCAAGCACCAUACGUUCAAAGCUGGUUGAAGAAAUGUAUGGUACACUCUGAAGCACCUAACCUGGCCCUGCCAUGCAAAAAGAGCACAAUGCAUAUUUGAUUUAACAAGAUAUUUAUGACUUAUGAGGCUGGAUAUAUAUGUUCUGAACACUCGCCGUUGACGUGCAAAACACCAAAAUCAUGUUUGACUCGAGAUUAUUUGUCUCAGUCUUGGCCUUGCCAACUACAGUAACAUAUAGUGUCUUUGUCCCAAAUAAAAUCAAUUUGCACUUGUCAAGUUUAAGAUAAAUAGAGAAUUAUAAAGGAUGGUGGCCAAAUAAGGUCACAUCAACUACAAAAAGGUAGGUCGCAUAUUUAAGUGUGGCUUAUAUUAAUAGUUAAUGAUUCAAUUUACAGUGCAGCUAGAAAAUGCAUGUAUAAACAAAUGAUGAAAUGGACUUUAAUUUCUUUUCAGAUAAAGAAUGAUCGUAUGACUUUUUCCUUAGUAAUUUUAAUUAGAUCGCUGCUUUGCCUCCAAAUAAUUCAUGAUAUCAAACCAAAAAAUAUACUUUCAGUAUGAUUUUCCCUGAUUAAUAAUCGUAUUUUCACAAUGACUGCAUACUUUUAAGCUACCAAAGUCAAUCCUUUUUCAUGACACUUGGUUAGCUCCGUCAUUUGCUACCGCGACGAGUAAGACUGUUGAUGAUACAUUUUAACAAAUAUUUUCAUAAAUAUCUAUAUUACUAGUACCGUGGUAAAAAUAACGAAUAAGGGGGUGUUUUCUUCCGGUGACUUAUUUUUAGCACGUGUCACAUCGAAUGUUUAGAUACUAAUUAGGAGUAUUAAACAUAGACUAUUUACAAAACUCAUUACAUAAGUGGAGGCUAAACGGCGAGACAAAUCUAUUAAGCCUAAUUAAGCCUAAUUAAUCCAUCAUUAGCAAAUGUUUACUGUAGGAAUACAUUGUCAAAUCAUGGACUAAUUAGGCUUAAUAGAUUCGUCUCGCCGUUUAGCCUCGACUUAUGUAAUGGGUUUUGUAAAUAGUCUACGUUUAAUACUCAUAAUUAAGUAAACCAAGGGUAAAUAUAAGAAUUUUGUUGUCUUUUAUGAAAAUAAAAUAAAAAAGUUAGGAUGUCUACGAUUGUCCUUGUACGGGCUACAGCUGUACAGAGGAACGGAGGGGUAGAAUCGGGAAUUGGCACCGCCAUCGCGGCCGGAUGGAAGAGAAGCGUGGCUUCUGGUUCUCCUCCCCCCCGACCCCUGUUGCGGAACGGAGCCUAUAUAAGCAUCCUAUUCCCCUCCACCACUUCUCCUCCGUUCGUAUAUAAGAAUCCAGAUUUCGAAUUCCAACUCCCCUGCUCCCUCUCCUCCCUCACCACCUCUCGUCGGCGCGAUCCCUCCCCCCCAAGGCUCCCCGCUCCGCGUCGACGCCGCUGUUAAGGCAGAUCCCAAGGGGCCCUUCGUCUUCGCCCUCGUCCGAUCCGUCCCCGUCCCGAUCCUCGUUGGUAAGAACCUCUCAGGUUUCGAUUCCUGAGUUUUCUAGGCGGCCUUUGCUGGGCGCCACGGCCGGAUUGCUAAUCCGGCCUCCGAUCCGCGCGCGGCCGCUGGUGAGCGCCACCGAAUUUCAGUUAGGGUUUGCUUGGGGCGUCUCGCGGUUCGUGGUUUGGGGGGACGAUUGCGAGGUUGAGCUGAGUGGGGGGAUUUCGGUUAUUUGGUCUGCGCCCGUGAAAUGCGUGCUAGUGUUGUUCGAUCAGGAGAUGGGAUUUUCAUCCUGGAUGUGCCACCCCAUAGCCAUCCUAAUCACAUAAUCGUGAUCAUUCAUUAAUCUGAUAGCCUAAAAACUUCUAAUACGAUUCUCCGCGGCGUAUUCUGAUGAUGUUGAGGCGUUGCAGGGGAUGGCCACCUUCGAGCUGUACCGGAGGUCCACCAUCGGCACCUGCCUCACCGAUACGCUGGACGAGCUCGUCUCCAGCGGGGCCGUCAGCCCCGAGCUCGCCAUUCAAGUUCUUGUGCAGUUCGACAAGGUUUGGCAAUGAUGGUCUUGAAAUUAUCACGUCCUGCUGUCAGUUGCUGCUUAGUUGAGUUGGUCUUGAUCCUUCUCUUCUAUGUCUUUAGUCCAUGACUGACGCGCUGGACAGUCAGGUCAAGAGCAAGGUUAACAUCAAGGUAGAUAUUCAAUAUGUCCUGUUGGUUGAUAUUCCCUCCAUUCUAUAUUUGAUAGUACUAUUUCCUCUUGGCACAAUGACCAAGGAAAACAAUCCUACCUAUCAUCUUACUUAUCAUCCAUUUAAUCAUGUCAUUAACUAGUCCUCGUAAAUAAACAAUUCAUUAAGGCAUAGACUUCUGGAUACCAUGUAGCCAAUCUUGGUUGGAAGAAUGAAGAGUUUGGAAGAAUGAAGAGUCACGCAUCAGACCCAAGACAACCAUUAAACAGAUGGAUAGUUGGACUAAAUAAGGGGGUGUUUGCUUCCACUGACUUAUUUUUAGCACGUGUUACAUCGAAUGUUUAGAUACUAAUUAGGAGUAUUAAACGUAGACUAUUUAGAAAACCCAUUACAUAAGUGGAGGCUAAACGGCCAGACGAAUCUAUUAAGCCUAAUUAAUUCAUCAUUAGCAAAUGUUUACUGUAGCAACACAUUGUCAAAUCAUGAACUAAUUAGGCUUAAUAGAUUCGUCUCGCCGUUUAGCCUCCACUUAUGUAAUGGGUUUUGUAAAUAGUCUACAUUUAAUACUCCUAAUUAGUAUCUAAACAUUCGAUGUGAUGGGUGCUAAAAAUAAGUCAGUGGAAGCAAGACUAUCAAAAGAGAACUUUUCAGAUUUAGAAAUACGCCUAUCAAAAGAGAACGGAGGGAGUAUAACAGUGCAACCUUCCCUUCCCCCUUUGGGUGCUAUGUUUGGUGUUGUUACUGCUAAAGAAAUCAUAGGUCUAGAGUUUUGAAGGGAUGUUGAGAUUCCUUUUCGUUACCUGCCAAUAUAGCUGUAACGAUACAAAUCUGUUAGUUAUAAGCCACUUCAAAUAAAACUGUUCUAGCCAAACAAACAGGUGUUUUUUUUUCUUAUCUCUUUUUAUAAACUAGCAGAACGCAUAUGGGGUGCAGUUUCAGACUUCUUAUGUCUUGUACUUUAUGAUAAGCACUUAGAUAAGGUAGACAACUGUGAAAAUUCCUGUUUAACUAAUUAUCUUGCUACUACAAUGUGUCUUUGCUUGUGUUUUAUUUUUGCAAGAAAUCAUGUUAUGCACUGCAAAUUUAUUAGAUCCAUCCAUUCAGAACCGAUAAAGGAAAAUAAUGGGUCUAAAAAACUGUUCCCACUCCAUAUGUGGACUACAUUUUAGUAUGCUGCUCAAAAUAUGGAAGCAAGUGUGUUGGUGUUUACUUGUAGUGUGAAAUACACAGAUACACUUGCAUGCAGGCCUCGCAUUCCUUUACUGUUAUCCCUUUUAUUUUCCAUUGCUCUGAUAUGUGUUAAACUGUGGCUCUGAAUUUAGCAUUUAUUAUUUAAUAAUUCUCUCCUUCAGAUUGUGAUUGUUACAUGCACUAUAUUGUACCAUGACCUAGUUGUCAACUAGCAUAUAUGCUUGCAAGAAUUGUUCAAGCGUGCUUUAUGGGGUGUUUGGAUACGAGGUGCUAAACUUUAGCAGGGUCACAUCGGAUGUUCGGAUGCUAAUUAGAAGGAUUAAACAUGAGGUAAUUACAAAACUAAUUGCACAAAUGGAGUCUAAUUCGUGAGAUGAAUUUAUUAAGGUUAAUUAAUCCAUCAUUAGCAAAUGGUUACUGUAGCACCACAUUGUCAAAUCAUGGACUAAUUAGGCUUAAUAGAUUCGUCUCACGAAUCAGACUCCAUCUGUACAAUUAGUUUUAUAAUUAGACUAUGUUUAAUACUCCUAAUUAAUAUCCAAACAUCCGAUACGACAUGUGCUAAAGUUUAGCACGGUGUUCCCAAACACCCCCUUAAUAAUAUUUACUAUACAUAUAUAGUAUCACCAACAUCAUCAUUAUAGCCUUGCCAUAAUAUCUUGUGCAUGUGUGCACACUGCCUCUAUUUUGUCAUAAAACAAGUUCAGGUAAUGCAGUCCACAGUUCAAGUUACUAUGGCUUGUCAUUUAUCUAAGCCAAUAGUACUGCUCAGUGUUCUUGUAUGAACAAAUUUUUUUUUCUUGUGGAAGCAAACCUCGACUUGAUUAAUUUCCAAAUUUGGCAUUUGGUUGAACUUUCUGUAGACUUAUAACUGAGGCUGUAAAUAACUGCAAAACUGAACUUUCCUUACCCAAUUUAACGUGUGGAAUUUAACACAGUUUUUUCGUUUUAAUAAUGCUGUGUGUACAUGAAAAUUCUAGGUAGCUGCCUGCCAUAUUGCAGGUUUAUCUUGCAGUUUGUUAAUUUGCACCCUCUUAGCCAUUGCAAACCUUAUAGAACAUAUUUUACUUCCAAUUGUAACACGUAACUGUCAUUAAUAUGAAAACUAGUAUUCUCUUUGUUUUAAACCAUGAGACAGUUUUUUUGAGGCAAAACGACUUUUUUGUAUGAUCUAGCAUGAACCUAGGUGAUAUCUUUCUUCGUUGAAGGCGAUGUCCUUGCCAAUAGCUUCGCAUAUUGAACUCUUUCUAUUAUUCACUCAACUUCAAAAUAUUACCCUGCAAAGACAAGUGCCUUACUGCAUAUGAGUAGGGGUUGUAUGCCUUUGUGGCUUUGCACAUGCCUGCCAUAUGAGUACAGUGUAUGUGCUUGCGUUUGAUUGCUUAAUACUCUACAAUCAGUAAGUUGGGGCUUAAAUGUUCCAAAAUCGAUUAAAAUGAGUUUCUAAAUUGUCUUAUAUAUAAGUGGUUUCAGACUGGCAGAUUCCCUCUGUUUAGCACUUCGUUUCAUUUUGGCAUGAGAUGAUAUAUGUAAUGACUUGUCGCUGUACAGGGCCAUCUGCACACCUACAGGUUCUGCGACAACGUCUGGACCUUCCUUCUAACAGAUGCAACCUUCAAGAGCGAGGAGAUUUCAGAAACACUGAGCAAGGUGAAGAUCGUGGCCUGCGAUUCCAAGUUGCUGCAGCCUCCUCAACCAUAAAUUGACAGCCGCCUGCUCCAUCAUGUCAAUUGAUCCCCGUCCAGCUUAGCUCAGUCGCCUUCUUGACGCUAUUCUUGGCGCCACCCAAACUUUCCUAGUUCUCGGGAAUUUGCCCCCCUCUGAAAGUUGUUUGUGUGAACCUAAACAACCGCCCGUGGCACCAGACUAGAGUACCAUGGCUGCCAACUUGUUAUCCAUACCGCUUAUGGAAUAUGGUUUCCCUCGUUUCUGUUGUUAAUUUGGCAUGGAUGAUUCAGGUCUAAUAUAGUCAUGCUUUAUGUUGAUGAUUUGGCACAAAUGCUUCAGUCUAAUAUAAUCGUGCUUUGGGUAUGCGACCAAUAGACAACCCCCAGCUGUCGUUUCAUAAUCUAUUACUUACAAUCCAGUGAACUACGCUGCACGAGAUGUUAAUGACAAAUCAGGACCAAAUUUGUUAUGACAAACUAUGACGAGUUAAACGUGAACAUGGACUCCAGGGGCAGCUCUUCACAGUGGAAUUUGAGCUCAUUCUGAAAUCUCUGUAACACGAAGUGCUCGUCCUCUGUUAUCAAGGUUGUCACACUGCAUUCCAACCUGGAGAAUGGUUCUCUCCCAGUUCUUCCAGCACGGUGCAGAUAGUCAGUCGCGGUCUUAGGAAGGUCAAAGUUGUAUAUGUGGCUGGUUUGAGGAAGGUCAAACCCUCUGCUUGCUAUGUCCGUUGAAACUAGCAUGAAACCUCUUCCCAUCACUUCCUGCGGACGACACAAAUGCCAUAGUCAGCCAGUACGGACAACAAAGAUGCUGGGCCCUUCAGAAAAUGAACUCAGAGGGCGCUUACAGAGAAUGAGGCAGCUCGAGCAUUGAAAUUCAUAUCUUCUUCCAGAAGAAGCACAUCUAGACUUCCCUUGUAUGAAUUUCUCAGGAAUUCAACGACGACGGCUGUUGAAGGAGGAUUUCCAGCCUUCUUUGAUCUCUCAGACUAAGAAAAUAGGUUCAGCAGUUACAAAAACAGAAAGCAAAGAUGACGCUGAUACAAUACUUCAUCAUCAACAAAACUGCUUAGGACUGGGUGAAAAAUAGAUACUUCUUUGUUAGUAAACAAACCGGACUUGUUACUUAUAAUUGUUAUAAAAUGCCAAAGGUUUAUAUUUAAAAGCUGGUACACAGAUUUAGUUUUUAAGGGAUCUAAAAGCCUAUGAAUUGGGCAUCGGUUAGUGCACAACAAUCGUGGGAACUGAAAUUAUGGAUGUCUCGCUGUAUUUGGUGGACCCUGCCUCUACCUCAGACAAUGCUAAAAGCCAUCACAGGGCCAGAUGUUGGUGUUUCCAAUGAUGAAUGGUAGCUGGGGUAUUGAUUUGCAGAAAUAUUAUAGAUUUGAACUGGGCACUUGCCCAGCCAUUAGCAAGUGAAAAGGCAAGAAACAAGUUUGCUAAAGUGCAGAUGUCAAAUUGGGUCAUGGCAGAACAGCAUCAUGGCCCAUAACUGCAGCAUGCAUUGUUCUAUAUCAUUCCAUAUCAUCAGAUACAGCCGGUUACUUGUCCAAUGACUACUUUGUAUUCGCAUCUGAGAUAAUAUUGCUGGCCCAUCUUGCGAUCACAAGGCCAAUUGGCACCUCUACUAAGGAAGCACCCAAUAGAUGACAAAAUCCCAAUAUACUAGAGAAAUUUGAUAAACAACAUGUGGCAUGUUAUCAAAAGAACUUCAUGUGCACGGUUACCUGUUCAGCAACAAAUAUGAUUGCAGACUUUGGUGCAUCCCUCUCAAGCAAUGAUAGUAAAACAUGCACCCUUUCCUUCUUAGUGCAGAUCUGCACAUUGAUUGUGUUGUUAUAGUCACUACAUUUCAGACAGAUUGAAAACAGAUCUCUGGAGCAAGGAGGUUAGUUGUGGACCUAGUUGGCCAGUAGGCACUAAAUUGUGGGAAUGAAAAAAAAAAGGAACAGAGAGGCUGCUUCUAUCCAUUGGAUUAGUUGAAAAUUAGAAGAAAUGUGCCAUGGCUGUGGGUAGGUUCCUACAGGAAAGUACCAACCAAGAAGUAGAUCUUGACAAUAAUAUUACUGUACUAUAUUUUACAACAAUGAGCCUGUGGGUGGGCAUGCCUACGGUAAGUGCCUACAUUUUGUGGGUAAGGGGGAGAAGAUUGAAAGGUUUCUUACAUGAGCUAAAAGAGGAAUUGAAAGCACAGUCAUUAAACAAUGCACAAAGAAUUCGACAUGCUCACCACAUAUUUGUGACAUAGGUGCGAAGGCAUGGGCUGUACAGGGUUGACAUGAACAUGAACCACAUCACUCUGCACCAUGAUAAAAUAGAAUACACAAAAAGAACAUUAGCCUUCUUUGAAGUACAAAAACUUCCCGAAGUUCUGUUCAGUGAAAGUUAAUACAACACCUUGGUCCACUUAUGCUGCACGCAGUCAUGCAGAAAGCGAUUGUGCUGAGGGAUUGAUGCGCUUGCGAAUAUGGUUUGACGACUGGAGGCUGCUGAAUAAGAGGUUAAUAUUUUGCGAAGAGAGCUCACUUGCUUUGAUGAUCCAAAAAUAAAAUCAACCUAUAAAGACAAGGUUAGCCGCUAGGCGAAUAUACUGACACUUAAUCAGUGAAUGGAGCAAACUCUGCAUUUAAUUUGGUUGAAGACUGAAGAAAAUGGAGUGAUGACCUCACCUCAUCAAUAACUAACACUCUCAUGGAUUGAAGGGAGAAAGCGCGCCUCUCAACCAUUUGACACAAGCUUGGCACUGUAGCUACAAUUAUUGCAGGGGGCUCUGCCUGGAAAUUUACCAAUAUUAUCAGCAUGACCGCAUCAGUACAUCACAGCAGAGAAAAGGAAAACUUAAAUAGAACGAUCCUUUACAUUCCAGUAUUAGAGGGUUGUAUUAGAGAGUUUCCUUUUAAUGUUAUGCUAUUACUACCAACACUAGAGCCACAAAAGCAUACGUCGAAUAUCAAAGAUGGAUUGGGACCUAACGAUUGAAUAUCCCUUAUUAUCCGAAAUAAAAUGGUCCUAACUAACCAAGCAUCGACAUAGACACAAACGCACAAAAAUAUGAAGAGUAUUACCUUGACCCAGCUCUUUUGCCUCUUGAGCAUGCCACCAUCAAGCAAAGCCAUGACGGUGCAGGCCUUGGCUGCAAGCAGUCUAGCAACCUUGGUGACCUUGGAGCAGUACAAUUAUGGAAGCAACUCUGUCAGAUAGAAUGUGGUGGACAAGCAAAUUCCAUGGCAAGGAGCAGCAAUCAGCACUCACCUGUAUGCCAAGCUCCCUUGUGGGAACGACAACCAGUGCUUGCACAGAGGACCUUCUGAAAUCGAUGGCGGAGAAGACAGACAAGAGAUACGCCAGUGUCUUCCCGGAGCCUGUCUACAAUAAGCUUGCAAUCGUGAAAUGAGAUAACAAGAAUAUCUCAGAACAUGAACUAUUUGGUAUAGGAAACAGUUGGGCAAGAAGCCUAUCGAGGAGAGGACCACCUGCGCAUGGAGAAUGCAAUCCUGGCCGGACAGCAGAAGCGGCAGGGAUUGCUCCUGCACCUCGGUGGGCACGACAUACCCAACCUCCUCAGCCCUGAAAACGAAUAAAUUUCAAUUGCUGCCUCCACCGAGAAGGGGAAGGGACCAAUUUCAUGGCAUGAUAAUGGAAAGCUGUGCGGUUGUGCGUUCACCUCUGUAGGACGUGGUCCGGGACGCGGCCGGCGCAGACCUCGCGGAGGGUGGCGGCGGCGGCGGUAACAGCAGCGGCGCGACGUGGGCCGACGCGGAGAUGCAGAGUGAAUGGGGCGAGGUGGGUGCCGGGGGUAGGGUUGAAGGUGGUAGUAGGGAGCGGAGGCGCGUAGCCGGAGGGGGGAAAGGCCGCUGCCAUGGCUGCCGCGACGGCCAUGAGAGAGAACUCAACCCCUUUCGCCUGCUCCACCAGGGGGGAGGAGGAUGCAGUUGUGCGCAGCCUCGCACGUGCUCGCUGCCGACGCCGACGCUGACGCCGCCGCCGCGUCCCGUGCGUGUCUCGCCUCGCGCACAACCCCGCCGGACAGCUCCUCGCCGUCGCAGCCUCGCACGUGCUCGCCGCCGCGUCCCGCGCCGCCCCACUGAAUGCUAGGGUUAUCUGAGGGAUGGAAGCGGGAGGUAUGGGGAAUUUGGGGCGGGCGGUCCGGGGACCACAGGUGUGCUGCGGCCGGAGCUGCGGCCGGAGCAGGCGUCAAUGGGGAUGGGGAUGGGGAUGUGAGGAGGACGGUCUCUGGCUGUGCUCGUGGCGGGCAUCAGAUGGCAGGGGCAACGAUCGGACGGCGCCACCGCGGUUUAAAAAGUAAUCCGCUUUAAAUUGCUCAGCUCAACCUGCCACUGACAUCUAAUCCGCACGCCUCACACAGUCACACGUCGUAACCCUCAACUCAGGAUCCUUUCAAAAUACUGGACCCUUCCAAAUUAUAAUUCAUUUUAAUUUUUUAGUUUAUAAAUAUUAUUAUAUAGAUAUAAUGUAUAUCUAGGUACAUAAUAAUAUCUAUGAACCUAUAAAAAUCAAAACAACCUACAAUUUGGAACGAAGGUGAGUACAUAUUUAGGUGCAUAGCAAAAUCUACGAAUCGUAAAAAGCAAAACGACUUAUAAUUUAGGAUGGAGGGAGUAUAACCCUCCGUUCGUGAAUUAUUUUGAUUUGGAGAAUUUCGUCCCCUUUUCUCAAAUUCUGAAUUUCUUUUUUCUUUUCGUUCUCGAGACCAACUGAACGGAUAACUUUUAUUCCAAUUGGAUUGAGCCAUCUCUACCAUUUUCAUGCACCCCCUCUCACUAUCUAGAAUAGAAGCGCCACCGCUCGCUAGGGUUUUGGCUAUCGGCGGAUUCAGGUGCCUGAAACCGCAUGAACGGACUCCAUGAUCCCAUUUGAGGUCCCUCCCAGGUAAGCCUUCUCAUUCGUCCAUUAAUCCCUCUCAUAUUCUAUCUAAGGUCGAUUGGGGAAGAAGGAUGUAUGGAUAGAUAUUCGAUAGGGCAGAUCCGGAUGCAACAUUUAGAUUGUGUGUUCAGGUGUCUCAGUUCAAAGCCAUUCUCGAAUCUCGAUGAUGGUAGCUAUGUUGAUGUGCCACGUAAAUAUGAUGAACGGGUAGUUCGCUCUCAAUGUUAUACUUUGGAGGAGUUAGAAAAGGACAUAGCAGCUAAGGUGAAUUGGGGAAGCAACCAAUAGGUUGUAAUAUCUGAAUAUGACAUGGGCAGUGGUGGGGAAAGGAGAUUGGUAGAUGAUAAGGCUUUGACAUUUUGUUUCUCUAAUAGAUAGAAUGACAAGAAGAUGUUUUUAUUUGUUGAUGUGGAGAAUAAACUUGCAGAAUUGCUUUUGAAAUCAGUUGUUACGGAAGUCAUGAGCAAUAUGGUCAUAGAUAAUGCUAAUGCUAGUGUAACAAUAGUAUCAAGCAAUGAGCCAGCUAUUGCACAUGUUAUUGAUUGGGACAAUAUAAAAAUAGCUCCAAUUGCAAAUGACUAGAUAGGUGUUGUUUUCUUUGUGAUGGAUGAAGAUGCAAUGUAUGAAUUUGUUGGUCCAAGAAUGGAGGAUGAGAGAGCAGAGAAAGCAAGACUUGCAUCUAAAAAGGAGAAGGAACUAAUAUGGACCUAGAGGGUGUGGAGUUGCUAGUUGGUGAUCUUAUUCCUGGUGAGCAUCCAAUUAUUUAUGAUCAAAGAUCCUCCAAUUGGACUUGGUUCAUGCAGUAGCUGUAAAAGGCAACUGGCAAUCCACCUUACCUAGCUAUAAGUUCAAAUGCUUCCAACGCCAUAGCAAAUGCUACGAAGGAUGUGUAUCCUUGGGCAAAGAAUAGAGAUUGUUUUUCCCACUUGAUGAAGAAUUUUGUCAAGAGGUUUCAAAGUCCUACAUACGGGAGAAUGUAUGCUGUAGCUAGGACUUUCUAGCCUGAAUAUCACAAGUACCAUAUGGACAAGAUUUAUGCAGAAAGUUAAAAGGUGGAUCCUUUUUUGAUAGAGCUUCACAAUUUAAAAUGGAUGAGGAGCUCAUUUUUAGAAGAAAUAAAGUGUGAUCAUAUUACCAACAAUGUUGCAGAGGUUUGGGAUAAGUGGGUGAAGGACAUUAAAGGCCUUCCUAUAGCUGAUUGUGUAGACACUUUUAGAGAUUAAUUCAUGGAGUUGUAUGCAAAAAGGAGAAAAAUAGGUGAAAAACUUGAAGAUCAUGUGAUGCUACCCAUUGUAGUUCACCAACUAAAUGCAUUAAGUAGACAAUUGGAUCACUUGAAUAUCAGAGAAGGUGGAAAGGAUGACGUAGAGGUCAAAAAGAUCACUCCAAAGCACAGGAUCAUUCGACAUGUGGUGAAUCUGAAAAACAUGUAGUGGCAAGUCUCAAGGAAACCAUGCCCACAUGCUUUGGCACUCAUAACCAUUGAAAGAAAUCCAAUGGGCAAUUAUAUGCAUCCUUACUAUCCAGUAUAUCAUUUUAGGCUAGUAUAUUUAAAUGUCAUUAAACCAUUACCUAACAAGUCUUAGUGGCCACAUGUUGAUAUUGGGUUCAACUGUUGCCACCUUUGACUAAGAGAGCAAUUUGGAGAGAAAGGAAGAAUAGAGUUCCUAAGGGAAAGAAGCCUAGAACCAAAGGCAUGUGGCAGGUGUAGUGUAAGAAUUGCUUUGGUCAUGGAUAUAGGAUAAUGUCACCAAAGUGCCCUCUCAAUGGAACUAAGAAGAGGUAAAACAUUAUGCUAUUAUGCUACUUGAUUCAUACUUAUUUCCUAUUUCGUUGUGUCCAACUUUCUCUAUUAUGAACUCUUGUAGAAAGAGUAAUGCCAAAAAAAGGACCGCUAGGAAGGCCACCUGGUUCUAGCAAAGGUGCCGCAAGUACACCCAAAAGGCAAAAAGUUGUUCAGCAGGAAAGUUCAUUCAACGCUAGUCUAGGACCUACCACAAGAAGUAAGAUAUUGCAUCAAAUUGAAUUGCAUGUAUGUCUUCUAAUUUUCAGUGACUUGACAAUGUAAAGUUUAUUUUUUUAGCCAACUUGCAUUGCCCAUAGUUCCUGAGUAGGAAAGUUUAGUCAACACUAGUUCCGUGCCCAUCACAAGAAGAUAAAAUAUUCAUCAAAUUGAUUUCAUCCAUUCAUUAUAAAACCUGACAAUGUAAAGUUUUUAUCUUUUUAGCCAACUUGCCUUGACCACCACUGCUACACCAAGUACUCCCCCAACAAAGAAAAAGAAGGCCCUGAAGAAGAAACUCGCUCCAAGUAAGGUAAAUAACUGAAAUAAAUGAAAAUGUUGUGCCUGCCAUGGUUUAUUUUGUAAACUGAAUUUGUUGUGUUGCAAGGAAACUAUGAACCUAACCUGUCAUGGAUGUUUUUGUAAUCUCUCUUUGCUGAAUUUGUGAACCGAAGACUUAAUUUUCUUUUGUAUGCAACAUGCGACUAUGCAGUGAAUGAAACUGUGAACAUCAAACUUCUUUUUAUGUGUGCCAAUUUAUGUAUGGUAAUUUGCUUAUGUAUGCCAAUUUAUGUUUGGUAAUUUGCUUCAUCCCUCAAAGCACUUGUUAUGGGGACAUGCUGCCAAAAUUUUGCAAAUUAAUAGAACAGAUCACAAGGUCACAAUUUUUAUUGGUAGAAGCUCCAAUUCAUUGCAUAACAAGAAAUACAACUGCAGUCUACUUCAACACAAUCCAAACUAUGCAUAUCACCACAAACACUACUGGAACACAUGGAAUUUUCUUUCUUAGUUAUUUGUUCUUCAUCUCAUCCAUUCCCAUCUUCACCAUGGUCAACUCCUCCUUCAUUUUAUUGAAUGCCAACUUGACUUGUUCGAUUUCUUCCAUAAGCAUUCUAGGGAUGGCAUCCAUGAUCGAGGUCAGCUGCAAAUAACCCUUACUCUCAAGGUACUGCUCAUACUGAUUCUAAACCAUGAUAAUGCCACAUCUAUCACCACCUGUAAAAAUCGAUCCAACUCACAUUGCGCGAAAUCGAGACUUAUGAACACAAAUUUGAAGGAACCACUCACCCAAUCAUCAUUCUUUGGGCACUUGAAAAAUCUCUUGCCCCGAUUUUUAGUCCACUUGCAGGUGAAUGCGGUGAGCCUCAAAUGCUUGCAGUUCGAGCACAUUAUCAAUGGCAAACCAGUCACCUCAUCAACCAUCGGUGGAGGCACAACCUCUAGUCACGUCGCUGCUCCAAUUGUGGUUCUGACGAGCCUCAACAAACCCUAGAUGCCGUACAGCCACGGUCGUGCGGAUGAGGACCCUUGCGACAUAGGAGGCUAAUGCGGCAGAGGGGAGGGCAAAGAAUGUGGUGGGAGGGAGGGGGGUAGCAGAGGGAGACAGAGGGGGGAGUGCUUAGGGAGGUGGAGGGGAGGGAGGACAAUGACACUAGAGGUGUCGGUCAGUUUAAUCGAUUCGAUCCUAAAUGCAAAGAAGAUAUGGUCAGGGGAAACGUUGUAUGUUCUGUUGGUCUGGAAAAGGAAAAGGAAAAUAAAUUUGCAAAAUCGAGAAAAGGGGAUGAAGUCCUCCAAAUUGAAAGAAUUCGCAGGCGGAGGGUUAUAUUUUUGAAAUGCUUGUAAAUUGAGGGUUAUAACGCGUGAGGCAUGCGGAUUCAAUGCCAAAUAUCAAAAAUUCUCCCGGUUGGAGGAGUAAAUGUAUAUCUAUUAAACAAAAUCUGAGGGACAUAUUCCAUGAUAAUGUUUAAGUAAAUAGAGGGAUGAAAUUAUACUAAAAAGCUAGAAAACAAAGAAAGCUAGUGAAAAUUUAAUAAUUUGACAUAUUCGUUACAAGAUCACGUUAGACAAAUACCACCAUUGAUCAGUUUACCAUUUUCUCCAUCCAUCUUGAGUUGAGAGGUUCUUCAUGUUGAGUUUUUUUGGUGUUGGUGUUUUGGCGUGGUGCCUUCUCAUCUUCGGUGAAAGUGAAGAUGUAUUGUGGCUUUGGUUUUCCUAUAGCGAGAUUGCCAGAUUAGUGAGGUGGUGAUGACAAGUUCGCUUUGUAGCAAGGUCUUUUGAGUUCUCCAUCACGCUGAUGGCGACGAUAACCAAAUGAGGUUUGGUUUGGGGUUUGGCAGGUUCAAGGUGUUUGUGUUUUAGUUUUUGCUGGCCCUUUCAUAAGUGUUUUGAUGGAGGUUCAUGUGGGUUGGGAUAAAUCUACAAGGGAAUAUGCUGUUGAGAUGCAUGUUCCAUCUCAUUCCCUUGAAACGAGCGAACAGGUCAACCCCCUUUGAUGUCGUCUCGAGUCCAUCUAUACUGCUUGGAGGCAAUCACAUCAGGAGGUGAGUAGAAACUAGAGCUACCGAGCUUCACAGAGCAAAGGUGCGAGCACAGGAUCUGCAGACCUCCUUCUCAGCAAGAGGGAAGUCUUCAGUGUCCGGCGUGGCCCAGUGGAGACACUUAGUGGGGCAAGGGUGGGUGGCAACGCGAUGCAGGGUAGGCACGGGUGGCCAAUGACGCGGGGUAGGGGUAGGGAUGGACUGCCAGUGUCGCAUGGUAGGGGCAAGGGUAAGUGGCGGUAAGACGCGAGGUGGGCCAGGGAUCAUGAUGGCCUGGGCAGGGUCGAGCGGUCGGUAGUGCAGUGUGGUGUCGGGGUAAGAGUGGCGGCUGUGUGGAGGCCUUAGCUGUGAGGUAUCCGUGCAACUCAAUCUCGAGGAAGAAUAUGAGGUGCACACAAAAAAAGGAUGGCAGAUGGGACCCAUAGAUGACUGUUGCUAACGGUGUAAAAAUGGCACCCACCUCAACCCCUCCAACCAAAUAAAUAACUUGAAUGGAUCCAUCCCUCUCAACCAAACAUGAGAUGGAUUCAUCCCAUCCCAAAAUUUAGGGACAAAUCCAUUUUAAUUCACAUGUUCCCAAACCAAACACAUGCUAAACAUCUGGUGGUAUUAUUCAAUGCUAAGAAGUGCAACUUCUUCGAAAUCUUACUUCUAUUUAUGUGACAAGAUCUGGUACCUUCUACCCUCUAUUCUAGCAGUGGUUGAAACCAUGGCUGUUCUUUUGGUUGGAUACCUAGCCGACUAUCUUUCACCAUCGCUAGCAAAAGGUAGUAUUAUGGUACCAAUAGAAAUCUACAUCUACUAUCUCUGUAGUGUCUUUUUCAAUAUCUAGUGAGCAACAUAUUUUCGUAGAAAGUAAAUGACCUCAAAGUACCUCUUUUAAUGUUGUAAGCAAAUCAAAGGAUUAUCGACACUUAUACCAAAAAAGGAAGAUGCUACCAUGGUCAAGGAUUAUCGGUCGAUUAAUUAGCCUCAUACAUAGCAUUAUUGUUAAACUUAUUACAAAGCUACUGGCCAACAAGUUGGCUAAGAAGCUUAGUGAGGGAUAAGGGUACCAUGGGUCCCCACCAACAAGGAUACUAGUCGGCCCUGACAAGUGGGCCCGCUCGACCACGCCGUGCGGGCCAAGGCAUGUAGAUACGUGGAGCACUAGUCCGGAGGUCGGGUGAACGGAUUCUGCCCAGAUAUCACGGGACAUUUGUUGUAAACGGACUCACAUUGCUUUCCAUGUAACAACCGACUAGGAUUAGAUCAUAUCUAAUUGUAACCCUAGGUCGUCAGCCUACAUAAGGUGGCCAGGGGCGUCCCCCGAGGGCACGUUAACUCUUUGCACCUGCGAUCAACAAUACAAUCCACCAGAACACAGGACGUAGGGUAUUUCUCUCCGGAGACCCAAACCUAUCUUAACCUUGCGUCCCUGUAUUACCAUUCGAGUUCUUGGUCUUAUGUGACAUCCGACCCAAAUUUGGAUGGCCCAGUACUGGCGCAUGAGCGUAGGUGCGCAUGUUUAGUACCACAUUGCUAGUUGAGCAAGGGUGGAGCCAACUUAUAAGCCUUUGUCCACUAGCAAUAGCACGUUCGGAUUAACCCUUUUACACAAAGUGAGGAUAAAAGUGUAAGCAGAGUGCUAUGUGUACGUGUGCCCGCCCCUCGGAAGGGCUGGGCAGUACGGCUUCGGAGGAUGGGGUGUUACAAAUGGUAUCAAAGCUGACCCUCGCGGUUGUGCGUACGGGUCAAUGUGCGGGCAUAUGGCGCAUGACACAUGUGGGCUUUGGAUGGGACACACGGUAUGGUAUAUGGCGCCGGUAGAGGACAUACGGUCAUGUGCUAAGAGGGAACGUUCCUAUACAGUUGCCCAUGUGUGGGUGACUUGGACCGACGAGGAUGUCGGGUUCUUUGAGGGGGGUGUAUGUGAUAUCCAGCCCAAAUUUGGUUGGCCCAGUAGUGGCCCAUGAGCGCAGGUGCGCAUGUUUAGUACCACAUUGCUAAUUGAGCAAAGGUGGAACCAACUUAUAAGCCUUUGUCCACUAGCCAUAGCAACUUCGGGUUAAGCCUUUUACACGAAGCGAGGAUGAAAGCGUAAGAAGAGUGCUAUGUGUACGUGUGCCCGCCCCUCGGAAGGGCUGGGUAGUCCGGCUUUGGAGGAUGGGGUGUUACAAAUGGUAUUAGAGCCGACCCUCGCGGUUGCGCGUACGGGUCAAUGUGCGGGCAUAUGGCGCACGACGUGUGUGGGCUUUGGAUGGGACACACGGCAUGACAUAUGGCGUCGGCGCUGGAUGUACGGUCGUGCGCUAAGAGGGAACGUUCCUGGAUAUUUGUCUAUGUGUGAGUGACUUGGACCGACGAGGACGUCGAGUUCUUUAAGGGGGGUGUAUGUGACAUCCGGCCCAAAUUUGGAUGGCCCAGUAGUGGCCCAUGAGCACAGGUGCGCAUGUUUAGUACCACAUUGCUAGUUGAGUAAGGGUGGAGCCAACUUAUAAGCCUUUGUACACUAGCCAUAGCAACUUCGGGUUAACCAUUGUACAUGAAGCGAGAAUGAAAGUGUAAGCAGGGUGCUAUGUGUAUGUGUGCUCACCCCUCGGAAGGGCUGGGUAGUGCGGCUUUGGAGAACAGGGUGUUACAUCUUACGAUCUCCCCCGCCUACAAAUCUAUCACCUGGGUAACCCCCUGGUAGACUGCCAAUCACUAAGGGUGUGUUUGGUUACCGGGUUGAACUGGGUUGGAACGGGUUCGACCCCCUUCAUCCCGCGUUUGGUUGAAAAACGAUGGGGAACGGGUUCGACCCAGAUGGGAAUAUUCCCACUUGAUUCGGGUCAAGCGGAUUCCUCCAAAAUGGACGGACCGCUCUGACCCAGUUCUCCCUCGCGCGUCCCGUGAAUCCAGCUGGGGGCAGCAGUCACUGCUCCAACCCUAUCCUCACCUCUCUCACCCCCCGACGCCCGGCGCAGCGCCGCCUGCCUUGCCAUCGCCACCGCCGCCUGUGCCAUCCGCCGCUGCCCGUGCCAUCCGCCGCCGCCCCCUUCCCCCCAUCCGCCACCCCUCUCUCGUCGCACCAUCUCCUGGCCGCACCUUCUCUCCUGCCAUCUCUCCCGGCCGAACCUUCCACCGGUUGGAUCUCGCCGCCGCCGGACCUUCCACCGGCUGGAUCUCGCCUCCGCCGCCGCCUCCUUCCCCCCAUCCGCCGUCCCUCUCCCGGCGCACCAUCUCCCGGCCGCACCUUCUCCCCUGCCAUCUCUACUGGCCGGACCUUCCACCGGCUGGAUCUCGCCGCCGCCGGACCUUCCACCAGCUGGAUCUCACCUCCUCCUUCGCCGCCUCCCCUACAUUCCGCCAUCCCUGACAUCCUCCGCUACCCCUACCCUCCGCCGCUCCUGACCUCCGCCGCCCCUGACAUCCGCGGCCCCCCUGCCAUCCGCCACCCCUAACAUCCGUCGCCGCCUCUGCCAUCCGCCGCCUCCCUUGCCCUCCGCCAUCCCUGACAUCCAGUGCCGCCCCUGCCAUCCGCCGCCCCUGACCGCUGCCACCGCUCCUGCCAUCUGCCGCCGCCCCUGACCGCUGCCGCCGCCCCUGCCAUCUGCCGCCGCCCCUGCCAAGUGCCGCCCCUGCCAUCUGCCGCCGCCCCUGCCAAGUGCCGCCCCUGCCAUCUGCCGCCGCCCCUACCAAGUGCCACCCCUGCCAUCUGCCGCCGCCCCUGCCAAGCAUCGCCCCUGCAAAGCUCCACCUCCCCUGCCAAGUGCCACCCCUGCCAUCCGCCGCUGCCGUGUCCCUUGCUCUCCAAGGUAAGGAAAGUCUACACCAUGCUUGACUUGGUUGAUAUUUGAACUGUAUUGGCUUCGGAUGCUCCUGGUUGAUAGUAUUGUGGGAGUUAAAUUGAACAAAUAAUCCAGUAGCAGGACAUCCUGGUUCAAUGGUCUCUAAGAAUAGGUGUUUUUUUCAUUCUUGUAUUGUAGAUGGAUAAGAGGACCAAGAUUGUAAGUUGUGCUGCUGCUGCAUACAUGCUGUUGUCAAUGAUGGCGGUGAUUAUUCAGUCUAGGAAACGUAAACGAUGUACAAGAAGAGUUGGUAUUACCUAUGGACCUAUGGAGGCAAGAGAUAGGAUGAGAGUAGAUUAUCUAAAUAACAAAAUUUGGAAGGAUGACACAACUUGCUUGAACAUGUUAAGAUUUAAUAGAGGCAAGUUCUUUCGGUUUUGCAAUCUUUUUAGAGAGCGUGGGUUGCUUCAAGAUACAUGUAACUUGUGUGUUGAGCAACAAGUGGGUAUGUUUCUAAAUACAGUGGGGCAUAACCUUACGAAUAGGUUAGUAGGAACUAAUUUUGAUAGAUCGGGAGAAACAGUUAGCCGCUAUUUCAACAAAGUACUCCAUGCUAUUGGGGAGCUGCGAGGGGAACUAAUUAGGCCCCCGUCUUUGGACACUCCAAGCAAAAUUGCAGGAAACAACAGAUGGGAUCCUUACUUUAAGGUGUGAGGCUUAUCCCUCUUUUGUUUUGAGUUUUGUAUUAAUCUUACCUCAUAUGGUCCCUAAUUAUUACUUUUUGAAAAAAUUAGGAUUGUAUUGGAGCUAUUGAUGGUACUCAUGUAAGAGCAUCUGUUCCUAAGAACAUUGAGCAUGCCUUUCAUGGUAGGAAAUCCGUUUGUACACAAAAUGUAAUGGCAGCUGUAGAUUUUGAUCUACGAUUCACCUAUGUGUUGGCUGGUUGGGAAGGGGCUGCACAUGAUGCUCUAAUUUUACGUGAUGCUUUAGAACGUGAGAAUGGCCUUCGUGUUCCACAAGGUAAUAGAGUAGUAAACUCUCAACUUUUACAUACAAAUAUCAGUUUAUAGUAUUAUAACCAAUCUAUCUAUCAAAUGAUAGGCAAAUUCUACCUAGUCGAUGCUGGAUAUGGAGCCAAACCAGGAUUUUUGCCCCCCUUUCGUGGUGUUCGGUACCACUUAAAUGAAUGGGGAAGUAAUCCAGUUCAAAAUGAGAAGGAAUUGUUCAACCUUAGACACUCAUCAGUACGUGUCACUAUAGAGCGGGCAUUUGGGGCACUAAAGAGGAGAUUCAAAAUUCUUGAUGAUGCUACUCCAUUCUUCCCUUUUCCAACACAAGUAGAUAUUAUUUGUGCUUGCUGCAUUAUUCACAAUUGGGUCAUACAAGAUGGGCGUGAUGAGUUCUUUGCAGAGGAUACUAAUUGGCCAAGCUACAACCAUGCUUCCACACGCACUGGCCAAGAAAAUGAGCAUGCUGCUAUGGUUAAUUUCAGGCAACAGCUAGCAGAUCAGAUGUGGGCAGACCAUCAAAACAAUAAUGUUAACUAAUAUUUGUUUCAAAAAUAAAUUUUUUUUCAGUUGUAUAACAUCUUGGCUGAUGUAUUGCUAUUUGUAAGGACAUGUUUGAUGUUGAAUAAUAUUUUUACGAACAUGUUGCUUGCUGAAUUUUAUGUAAUUUGUGGUGAUAAUGUACAUUUUGUCUACGUAUUGGUACUGAUUCUAUAUUGGUGUAAUCUAUAUUUUGGCUAUGUAUUGGUGCUGAUUUUGUAUUGGUGAUAAUCUAUAUUUUAGCUAUAUUUUGGUGCUGAUUUUGUAUUGGUGAUAAUCUAUAUUUUGACUAUAUUUUGGUGCUAAUUCUGUACUAGUACUAUUACUGAUUGUGUUUUUGUCUGGCAGAACAAUGGAGGAAGUAGGUGAAGGGCGUGGGGGAACUAGUGGGCAUGCUACAUGGACAUCAGCAAUGUCUGCUUUAAUGCUCUCUCACCUCAAUGACUUGGUGGCUACUGGUUUGAAGACAUCAAAGGGCUUUAAGAAACACCUUUUCAAUGGUUGUGCUAGGGCUAUCAAUGAGAAGUUCAACACAAGGAUCACUAGUGAGCAAGUCAAGAAUCAUUUGAAAACAUGGCAGAAAAGGUAUGCAAAGAUAAAUAGAUUGAAGAAGUUGAGUGCUGCCCUCUUUGAUGAAGAAAACUACAUGAUUACACUAGAUGAGGAGCACUACAACGGUCAUGUCCAUGUAAACUUACUAUCUUUGCUUAGUUCUUGAUUGAUUGACCAGUGUUAAAUUAUAUUAACUUAUUUGUCCUCCAUAUCUAGGAUCACAAGUCUGAUGCUGAGUUCUUGAACAAGCCCCUCUUGCACUAUAGAGAGAUGGAUGCAAUAUUUGGUAAUAGCAUGGCUACUGGAAACUUUGCAAAAGACACAAGUGCACCUCUAGGUAGAGAGGAGGAUGAGGGUGAAAGUCAGGAAGAGGGGGAUGAGGUUACUGGUCAUGGUCUAAGUGAUGGGCCUACCAAUCAAGGGGUAACAUCUUGUGCUAGUAGACCAAGUAAGAAGGCCAAGGUAGCUGAAAUGGAGGAGGAUGGGCUGGUUGCCGCUUUCAAAAGUGUAGGUGAGAACCUUGCCGCUGCCAUAAAAUUGGUUGCUAAACCUGAUAAUGAGCUGCCAGCUGACCUAUUUGACAUCUUGAACCAACUUCCUGGUUUUACUUCAGCACACAUAUCUUUCUACUAUGCUCAUUUGGUGGCCAAUCCUCACAUUGGCAAAGCUUUCUAUAAUCUGCCAUUCGAGCACAAGUUAAAUUGGAUCACAAUGUUCAUCGCUGAGAAGUUCCCUGGAAUGUAAGGUUGAUUUUGAUGAGUGGGAUGUUUCUUUUGUUAUAACUUGAAUCUUAUAUUAGUGUGUAAGUCUUGAACUUAUAUUAGUGUGUAAGGCUUGAAUUUGGUGUAACUUGUUGUAUUGCCUUGAACUUGCUAGAUGUAAGUAAGGCUUGAACUUGAUUAAUGUUGCUCAAGAUUGAUGAAUUGGUGUGCCUGCUUGCUGCCUCUGUUCAAUUGGUUAAUUGCCUUGGCACGUGAUUUUCUACUCGGCAACUGCAUGGUGUUAUUCCCAUCCCUCCUAGUGAAUGUUCUGUUCUUUUAGGAUGAUUUAUAUCCUAUGUGUUUAUAACUAGAAAGAAAAGGAGCAUCAAAUCCUAUUUUUACAAAGAUGACACAAUUGCUACAAACAUGAAAGUCUGGAGAAAAGCUUGGAUUUCAAUAGCCUAUUUUGAUAUAUUCUGUAGAUCGGUUAAGAAGUUAAGAAGUUGAUGAUUCUGUAUUAUUUUCUAAAUUAAACAGUAGUCAAUAAUUUUUUACAGUAAAUAACAGUGCUAGAAUGUGAUAUUGUUGAUGAAUUGGUGUGGCAGUUAUGUAUGUGGUAAUCUCACCAGAUAGGUGAGCAUAUUCACUGUCCAACUCGCAUUCUCCAACCAAACAAGAGAUGGAACUACUCCAACCCACUUUAUCCCCCCAAUCAAACAAAAAACUGGGUCCAACUCAUCCCUGCAACCAAACAAGAGCUAGGUCGAACCCAACCCAGAAAACUGGGUCGGCUCUGACCCAACCCGCAUGGUUCCAAAACCAAACACACCCUAAAUCCAACAGUUGGUGCACCAGGUAGGGGUGAUUGUGAGAUCCUCCCCAGCGAGCUCGAUGGCAUCCCGCCCCGGCGUCAUCUUCCCCGAGAGCAUGAAGGACUUCCUCACCAAUCCGAUCUAGCUCCGCUUUGAAAGCAUACCGGUGGACUCCGACUCCAACACCUCCAUCACCGACUCGGUAUCCGCCACCAGCUCAGCAUCCGUUGGACCUGCAUCAACGGAGCAAGGUCUUCACCCUAGAAUCAUCACGCCGCUUGCCAGCAGGUCAGCGAUCUCUCUCUAUCUCUCUUUCUCUCGGAGAGGAUCCCGCGCAACCUCGCGGCAACCCGCCUACCCACACCCUCUGAUCUAAUCGUGGGGCUAGAUCACAUUAGCAAUACCAUUGCUGAGUGCAUCAACCUCUCCGAGGCAGCACCACGCCCCGAAGGUCGGCACAGGGCUCUUCCUGCGCCCCUUUUGGCAUCAAGAAUUCGGCUGCCCUGUUUUCUGAAAAACUCGUGCAGUCUUUCCAGAUCCAAUCUGACGACCCACCUAAACCCACCUAGUUUCUGGACUACGGCAAGUUCCAGGUCCCUCGCUUUGCCCUAACUCCAAACCCUUACAGUCAGGGUGACGAUGAAACCUCUACGUCACUAGAUCAGGAAGUAUUCACUAUCUCCGCCGAUGAACCUCCUCGUGAUGGCAAAACUUCCUCCUAGGAGGAAAGGCACGACGAGGGGUGAGACCACGGCAGGCACCGCCAACAGGAACGAGCCGAGCAAGUUCGUCAGCCGCCUGCCACCCCCGCAGUGGCCGGCGCACCGCCCGUCCCGUCGGCACCAAACAACGGCAACAAUGGUGGCCAGGACGACGCAGGAGGUCGGCAGAGGUGCCCUAACCCCCUGCGUGCUUGUAAUCUACAGGCCGACUUAGAACAAGCCGACCACGACGUUUUCGCUACACCCCAAGCCAACCUGGGGGUUGUCUUUGCCAGUCUAGAAAACUUUCCGGAUUCAGAGCAACUGCAGAGGUUCUGGGUGCGUCUCCAUGUUGCUAACGCCUAGAUCAAGAAAAAGGCCUAGGUCCCAACGCGCUCAUGAAGCUGAUCGUCUCACCCAGAUCUACAUCUACCCGGCACUCCCGAAUCCGAUCUACUCAGAGUAGAUCCGAUCGUAGCCGAACCAAUCACAACCACCGUAGGGGAGGUCGGCUGGAACCCAUUUAAGAGGAGGAGGUGGACCAGUCCCAAAGAAAUGACCACCAUCCCAACGACGACGAUCACCGACUAGACAACCAUCACCAUGACAAUCGUCGUCGUGACGAAUGAGGAGAUGGCGAAUGCCACGAUCGGCCUGGUCGUCGACCUGAUCGCGAUCUCCGCGACCAUCUCUGCGACCAGCGCGACCUCUAUGGCGAACUCAACAACCGUCACCAAGAGCGGGAUGAGGUGGAGCUCCACCAGCGUGCCCAGUAUGAUCGCGACUUUGGUGCUCCAGGGGUCGGCAACUAGCCAAACCGCGUCAUGGAGGAGGAGGCCCACAACCGUCGGGAGGAGGAGCUACGCCGCCGUGAUGAUUACGACCGUCGCUACGGCACCCCUGGCGAUGCCUACAAUCCACCCCAGCAUGACAAUGGUGCACGCUCCAGGGCCUCGACGGUACACUAUUGCCUCAUGGAAGACAACGACAUGGACAUCGACGGGUUCACCGCGUUCACCCCUGUCUUAGGGUUGUCCAGUGGCCACCCACCUUCAAGCCAGCCAUCAACGAGAAGUACGAUAGUCGCUCCAACCCGAAGAUUUGGUUGAAGACAUAUUGCACCGCGGUCAAGGCUGCGCACGGCACCUACGACCAGAUGGCCGCUUACUUUCCGGUGGUGAUGGGAAGCACAGCUCUCAUAUGGCUCGAAAACCUCUCGCGAGGCUGCACCGACACAUGGGCAUAGCUCGCCAGAGCCUUCACCCAGAACUAUUAGGCUACAUACACUCAACCUGGAAACACGAAAAACCUCAGCCAAGUAAGCCAGCGGAAGAACGAAACUCUCCGCGUGUACGUUAACCGCUUCUUCGACAAUCGCAAUACGCUUGCUGGCGUUGAAGACCGCAACGUCAUCUGGUACUUCCGCACCGGCCUCAAGAACCGCUCAAUGUUCUGCACCAUGUUCCAGGCCACUCCCAAUAUGGUCGGACACAUGAUGCAGAUCAUCAACCUUCACACCGACACAGAUAAGGCCGAGCACGUCCAAUUCUAGGAUGGCAAGAAUCGCUACAACGAUGAUGAUGAACUGCCGACCCAUCAAGGCCACCAGCCCCAGCCCAGGCCGGAGCUCUCCCAACCUCAGAAGAGGACCCCUGAGGUCCUCGCUACUGAAGCCAACCCUGCGAGGCAAACAACCUUCCUCCAGGAGGAAUUUGAUGAUACGAUGAACGCUCUGUGCCCCUUCCACAAGGACGCACGCCACAAUCUUCGGGACUACACGAUCCUCAAGAAAGAGCUCGGUGCCCCAGUGGAAUACAAGCGGCCUCAUCAGAGUGACUACCGCAAGGAAGAUAACCGACGUGACAACCGUCGCCGUGACGACCGUGAUGACCAAUGCAGAGAAGAGCACCAUGACCAGCGUAACCCCAACAACAACCUGGGCGCCAGCAACAACAAUGGCGAGUUCCAGCGCAUCGAGCAGGAGGUGAACAUCAUCAUCAGCAGCCCUAAGGCUUUCUGCAGCAAUCGCAAGCACCAAUUGCAAAGGCGGGAAAUGCACUUCAUUUCCGUCACACCAGUCCAGUAUCUGUGCUGGUCGAAGAUACCCAUAACCUUCUCCAGGGAAGAUCACAGGGUGCACAUCCCAAAUCUUGGGUCUUUACCCGCUGGUGGUGUGCCCCACCAUAGAUAGAGUCCUCCUCUCCAAGGUGCCGAUCGAUGGCGGCAACGACUCCAACUUCAUCUUCACCAAUACCCUGAAGUGCAUGGACAUCAACUUUGAGCGGCUCCUCCCGCAUGAAGACCCUUUCUACAGCAUAGUACCCAGCAAAGGAUCCUAUCCUAUUGGGCGAGUCGUCCUGCCGGUCACGUUCGGCACCCCUGACAACUACUGCACUGAGCACCUCACCUUCAAGGUUGCCAACUUCAAGACCUCCUACCAUGCCAUCUUUAGCAGGCCAAUGCUGGCAAGGUUCAUGGUGAUUCCCAACCAUGCCUACCUUGUCCUCAAGAUGCCGGCUCCAAAUGGCAUCCUCUCCAUCUUCGGGGAUGUUGAAACAUCCUAUAGCUACGACACGGAAACAUUCUACAACUACGAUACUUGGCCAACGCCACCAUGAUGUUCAUCGAGUCCAAGAAGGUGGACUAGAGUCAGCUGACAUUCCUAGAGGCAGACGCGAUGCCCAUGGUGAUGUAGCCUAACCCACAAGUCAAGAAGAUCAGCCUCAGCCUGGAAGGCCCCUCCAAGAUGGCCCUCAUCGGGGCCGGCCUCACCCCCAGAUAGGAACACGCGCUCACCAGCUUCCUCCGGGACAAUUUAGACAUAUUCGCAUGGAAACCAUCCGAUAUGCCUGGUGUCUCACGGGAGUUGGCUGAGCACUCCUUGGAGCUGAGCAAGACAACAAGGCCGGUUAAGCAGAAGCUUCGCUGUUUUGCUCAAGAUCACAAGGAGGCCAUUAGGGUAGAAAUAAAUAAGCUGUUAGCUGCCGGUUUCAUUCGUGAAUGUAAGCACCCCACUAGUUAGCAAAUCUAGUCUUUGUAAAGAAGAAAACCGGUGAAUGGAGAAUGUGUAUCGACUACACCGAUCUCAACAGGCACUACCCUAAACACUGCUUCCCUCUUCCUCGCAUCGACCAUGUCGUGGACCCCACGGUCGGCUGCACCAUGCUGUGCUUCCUUGAUUGCUACUCGGGCUAUCACCAGAUCGCCCUCAACCCCGCCAACCAAGAUAGGACCGCAUUCAUAACGCCCUAUGACAUCUACUACUACAACACCAUGACCUUUGGAUUAAAAAAUGCUGGCGCCACCUACCAGAAGGUAAUCUAGGAUUGCCUCAAGAAACAACUCGGCAAAAACGUAGUGGCCUACGUCGACAACAUAGUCUUCAAGACCAAAGACGAAGAGAACUUCAUCGCUGACCUUGCCCAAACCUUUGACAGCCUUUGGGCCUAUCGAUGGAAACUCAACCUGGGCAAAUGUGUCUUCGGUGUCCCGUCCGGAAAGCUCCUAGGCUUCAUGGUCAGCCUACGUGGCAUCGAAGCCAACCCUAUCAAAGUGGAUGCCAUUAGGAACAUGAUGCAGCCGGCCCGCUAGAAGGAUGUCAUGAAGCUCAUAGACAUGAUAGCGGUCCUUAUCCACUUCAUCAGUAAGCUUGGUGAAAAGGGACUCCCCUUCUUCAAGCUAAUCAAGAAGGUGGACAAGUUCAAGUGGGAUGACGAGACCUGCAAAGCCCUCAAGGAACUCAAAACAUUCCUCUCCACCCCUCCCAUCUUGACGGCUCCGGCCAACCAAGAAAUGCUGCAGCUGUACAUCUCCGCGACAACACAUGUCAUGAGCAUGGUGGUGGUCGUAGAAUGUGAGGAACCCGGCCACGCCCACAUGGUGCAAAGGCCGAUAUAUUACAUCAGCGAGGUCUUGAGCGACUCCAAAGUUUGCUACACGCAGGUCUAGAAAUUGCUCUAUGCAAUCGUGAUCACCUCCCAUAAACUACAUUACUACUUCCAAACGCAUAACAUCUGAGUGGUCUCCUCCUACCCAAUCGGUGAAAUUUUGCACAACAAGGAUGUCCACGAUUGAGUCGUCAAAUGGUCCGUGAAACUUGGCGAAUUCAACAUCGACUUCUACCCACAUUAUGUGAUCAAAUCCUAGAUCCCAGCCGACUUCAUUGAUGAAUGGACUGAGAUCCAAGAGUCGUCCUCCCUGGAGAGGCUGGAGUACUGGACGAUGUACUUCGAUGACGCCCUCAACCUCGAAGAAGCUGGCGCGAGGGUCCUCUUCAUAUCCCCGAAAGGAGAGAAGCUCAAGUAUGUCCUCCAGAUCCACUACAAGGCCACCAACAAUGGCGCUAAGUACAAGGCCCUCAUACACGGGCUCCACAUCACCGCCUUGCUCGCAUUAAGCUCAUCCUCGCGUUCAACGACUCCAAGGUUGUCAUCGAGCAGGUCAACAAGUCCUGGGAGUGCACCAAGGAAACCAUGGACGCCUACUACGCUGAGGUCUGCAAACUCGAGGCUCACUUUGAUGGUCUCAAGUUCCAUCAUGUCCCUAGGGAACACAACAUCACCGCUGAUGUCCUAUCCAAGCUUGGCUCAAAACGCGCCCAAGUCCCGGUCGGCGUGUUCGUCCAGGAUUUGAGAAAACCAUCCAUUAAGAUCCUGGACCCAGAUCAAGCUGACAACAAUGCCUAGGCUUAGGCCGACCCAACAUCCACCAAUGUCCUAAUGAUCAAGGCGGAGGAAGACUGGUGCGCACCUUUCAUCUCAAUCAUCACCGACAACAUGUUCCCAGAGAACAAAGUUGAGCACGAAAAGCUCGCACGACGCAGCACCAACUAUGUUGUGAUCAGUAAGGAGUUGUACAGGAAGGUCGCAUCUACUAGCAUUCUGAUGAAGUGCAUCUUCCGCAACGAAGGCCUCAAACUCCUCCACAAAAUCCACUCGGGUUCGUGCGGGAACUCUGCCGCCUCGGGCAAUUUGGUAAGGAAAGCAUUCUGCUCUAGCUUUUACAAGCCAAUUGCUAUCACCGACGCAAAAGAGCUCGUCCAGAGGUGUAAAGGGUGCUAAUUUUUCUCCAAGCAGUAGCACCUCCAGCGCAGGCCCUGCAUACCAUCCCACCAUCCUAGCCCUUCGCAUGCUGGGGGCUGGAUAUGGCCGGCCCUUUCAAGACUGCUCCGGGCAGAUACACUCAUAUCUUCGUAGUAGUUGACAAAUUCACCAGGUGGAUCGAAGUCAAGGCUGUAAUUAGCAUAGAGUCGGCCAAAGCCCCUCAAUUUGUCAAAGAGCACACACACCGCUUCGGAGUCCCCAAUAGGAUUAUCACCGACCUGGGCAAACAAUUCACAUGAUCCGAGUUCUAGGAUUUUUGCCAGGACAACCUCAUCGACGUAUACUACUCCUCAAUAGCUCACCCAUGAUGCAACGGCCAGGUUGAACGUGCGAAUGGGAUGGUCCUCCUAUCCCUCAAGUCUCGCAUCUUUCACGAUGCAUCCAGUAUGCUACCAAAUGGCUCCGCGAGCUACCCCAUGUUGUUUGGGGUCUCCGCACCCAAAAGAGUCGGGCCACCGGCUACACCCCAUUCUUCCUCAUCUACGGCUCAGAGGCUAUACUUCAAAUAGAUGAAGCCUUUGGUGCUUCGCGGAUUCAAUGCUAUAUUGCCAAUAGAUGUAGCAGAAAAGAGUCUAUACUACCAACAGAUGUAGUAGAAAAGAGUCUAUACUGCCAACAGAGGCUAUACUGCCAGCAGAUGUUGCCUUUGGUGCCCCGCGAAUUCAAUGCUAUACUGCUCAGAGGCUAUACUGCCAACAGAUGUAGCAGAAAAGAGUCGGCAGGCCGACAUCGACAGCCUAGAAGAACACCGCGUGGUAGCUCUCAUCCAGCACACAUGGCAUGAACAACAGACUCAAUGCUACCACGACAAGAACAUCCAGGAAUGCUCGUUCAACGUCGGCAACUUGGUGCUCCACUGGAUCCAGUCCACCAAAGAUAUGCACAAGCUGUCAGCCUCCUGGGAGGGGCCCUUCAUUGUCAAAGAGGUCAUUCAACCCGGUACAUACUGGCUGCAGUGGGUGGACGGCUCAAGCGUCCCCAACCCAUGGAACAUCAAGCACCUACGACGCUUCUACCCUUAGGAUAUAAAAGCUAUGUGCUCUUUGAACUUUCUCAUAUUGAAUAAAUAAAAUCCCAGAGGUUCUUUGCGUACCUACUACCUUCUCACUUUCUUAGCCGAGCUCUUAAUCACGCUCGAGGGCUGUCUGACCUGUUUGAAAAACCACACCCUCGCCUUUACGCUCAGGGGCUUCCCCCGCUAUGCGCCAACCUCCGGGUCCCAACUUUUCUCCUACCCCUCUCAAGGUUAUGCGACUAACUUGUGUGGAAGGCAUCCUAGCAUGUGAAACCUAGACAACCUUACAUUUGCCCCCUCUACAAGCUUGAGAUCCGCUCUCAGCAGAGUGCUGGCUAGGCAAGGCUAAGCGCUUAGUGGCUACAGGCCUAGGCCACAUGGUGUCCUGUCAAACAUACCAAGGGAGGGAAGGAGUUUUUCCUUUACAUAAGUUAAUCAACAAGUUUUCUUGCCCCACAGCACAAGUUGAUACAUUUUACAGUUUCUUCAUUAGAGGUCCAGUUCCUUAACUACAUCGUCUGUGGCUUGUAGGUAUUGCUUGGCUAGUUCCGGGAGGUUAUUAGCAUCAAAGUCCUUGGCAACGCUCGUUCCGACGCGCUACACGGCCAGCGGGGGAAGUGCGUCUUUAGAAGCACCAUGACAUUCUUGGCACACUCCACGGUGGUCUCCUUCAUCAAGGCCUUCAGUUGACUUGGCGUACUCUUCAGGCGGUCCAGUAACGGCAUUGACUCGUCAGGGUUGGCCUCGGGCUGGAUCAUGUCCAUCACGUAGCCCGCGGCCGACCUCAAGUCUUCCAGCUCCACCUCCAACCCUGCAAUCACCACCUGAUCAUGUUGAAGAUUAUGCAUCGCCGUAAUCAAGCACCAGUCCAUAUCCUUGCGUAAGUUGGCCUCAUAGGCAAGUUUUUGUGACACAGCAUACUCACGGUGCAUGGCAAUAUCAUGAUCUUGUUGGAGUUGGGCGUUGGCUGCUUUGCACUCUUUGAGGUCUCUCUUGAGGCUCACUUCUUUCUUCUGGGCAUCUGCAGCGCAAUGAGCUUCAAGAACAAGCACUAGUCGCAUCUAGAGGAUCUGGAAUCACAACAACGAUCGAAGCCGUUACCAUUCAGCAUCGCGUUGAGGUCCCUCAGGACGUCCUUGGUUAUCUAUUUCUGGUCCACAAUGUUCUGAUCUUUUGAUCGGAUCUGCUCUACGACGUCCUCUUUGGCCUUCCUGUGCUCGACCUUGGGACGAUACUCCUCGGCGCGAUGGAUAGUGUUCGCCCUCUUGUGCGCGCGCUUGGCCAGGUUCUGGGCAAGAAUAAUCCCAACUAAUCAGAGAAGGAAACCAGGAAUGAUGAUUAACAUCAAAUCAAGUCAGCUAACUUACGUAUAACAGCUCCGCGACCUUGCCGGAAGCUUUCUUCAGCUUGACAAGGUCUCUCUUGUCCUCGGCAACCUCCUACGCCAGAACCGUCCCGGAGAAGUCCAGCAUGGAGGGAUCAUCUUUUCGUGGGCGUUGAUGUUGGCCUCAUGGCCCGCCACCCCAGCAUCAACCGACACCUCCUUGGGGUCUUCCUCCAUCUGGACCUCGAUGUUGGCAUCCGUGUCACUGGGCGCAACAACUACAGCAUCUCCGUCACUGUCUUGGCGCAGGGGCGACUGCUGCUUGGGCCUCUCAGGCUCCAUCACUAGGCCACUUUCGCCACUGACCUCAGUAGCAGAUGAUGAUGCAGCCCCUUAGGGUGCAUCAGACGUCCAACCCUCUGCUUGGGUCUCGACGCCAGCAUCCUGCGGGUUUGGCUCGUCCUCCAUCAUAGCCUUCGUGUUUGGACGGCAGGACACAGAGAUAAAGUGACGCAGCAUACAGACAAGCUUUCAACAACAAACAACAUCGUGAAGAUACUUACAUCGUGCUCUUCUUCACAUGGAACUUUGGGCGGAGAGGCGCUAGCGAUGGCAGGGUCAGCUCCUUCUGCUUUCCCCCGCGGAUUUCCGUCUUCAGCCGCUCCUUGACCUUUUCCACAUCAGCGACUGUUGUCUCAAGGAGCUCGGCCUUCUUCUUUUUCACGGUGGGGGUGGGUGAGUUGGAGUCGUCGCUUACCACCCCAUAUGAGGACUCAGUAAUAGAGGCAGAUGCCACAGCCGGGGCCUCGAUCUUUGUGGCCUUCUUCUUCUUCCGCUUCUUCUCCGCCUCCGAUGCCUUGGACUCCGUCACCUUCCUCAUGGCUUGGCGCGUCCACCGCCAAAUAGGAGCAACGCUCCCCGCCUCCAUCCCGCUACCUUGGACUGGCACAUCCUCGUUGGAGCCAUCGAAGGAGGAGUCCAACUCCAAGCCAAGGGCAGCAAGCGGUUGGUCAGCCUCGGCGGAUGGACAGAGCUUGGGUUGCUAUUGCUUAGUGCUUCCGAGGAGCGGCGCCGGAUAGAAGAAUUCGCACUCGUGGCUCUAGUCAAUCAACGGGAUCAGAUCAGGUAAGCGCAACACAAACUAAACUAGGAAUAUCAACAACUGAAACAAAAAUUUACCGGAUCGGCCGGCCUCACGAGGGAGUACGCCUUGGGGCAGCGCUUGUUCUUGAUGACACCAUCAAAGAACUCGCAGGCCCAGCUGGCAACCUGUAAUGCCCGUAAAAAUUCAUCAAACCAAAUCACGCGCUAAAAUUCAUUUUCAAAAUCUUUCACCGUUUGAGCUCCCAAAAUUCCAACUUCCUGAUAAAUUCACCAUCCCAGCACCGAAGCCGACCGCCGUUCAUUCCUUUUUCCUUUUUCUCCCCGCGAGUCACGCCACGCAUCGGACGGAAGACCGCCGCGUGUGCUCAUGACUGUUUCCCGCAAUCACCGCCAUCUCCCUCUUUUCUUCUUCUCCUUUUCCCUUUCCCUUUUCUCCUUUUCUUUUUCCUUCUCCCUUCCUUUUUUCUUUUUCUUCCUUCUCCUCUUCCUUUUCCUGGCCGUGCGCAUGCCUCCUUCUGCCGCACCUGGCGCCUGGCCCCAAGCUGCGCCCCCUUAGCCCACGCCGUGCAGCGCCCUCGCGCUAGCCCCCUUGCACGCGCACGCCCCUGCGCACCGCGGCCCCGCGCAUGCCUCCCGCCUAGUGCACGCCGCUCGCCGCACGCCUAACCUCUCCAGCGCGCAUCCACACCCGCCCCUACUUGUGCUGGCCCCGCACGCCUCCUGCCUGGCCACGCUCCCGAGCGCUCGCCCUGUGCCAGACCGUGACGCCGCGUGCCCUUGGCUCGCAGUCAUCGCGCCACAUGGCCCCGCGCGACACUGCUCGCCCCUAGUGCCUAGUCGCGCUCACCGCGCACGCCUGCCGCUGCGCCGCGCCAACGCCUCACCGCCCUGCGCCCCGGCCACGCCAUCCACGCGCACCAUGAAUUUGUAUUUCCAUAAAAGACUUAGGAAGGGUUUCCCUUUUUGGAAAAGCAUGAGUUAAUUAUAAAAUGAUAGUAACUGAACCACUAUGGUGUAUUUUGGACCUACAGGUAAAAGUACAGCCCCCGUGGGGGAAUAUACUGCCCUGACGCUUAUCCUGGUCAUGUAAGGACUGGUUCAUUGGGAGAGUCUUUCUUGUGACACGUAUAGCCUUACGUGCCAAAAAGGUACAACCUUCGGGAGUGCCUGUUCACGCGAGGCCUUGAUUCGAACCCCGCUAGCUGAACCUAGUCAUCCAUCCCAAGGGGCCAAGGUGGGCAACAGAUAUGCUGGAGUAGGACCUUCGCAGAGUCCCACGUCCGGUCAGCACGGGUUGACUGUUUGGAGGAUCGGAGACCUUGAGGGCCGGAGGCCCUGUUUAUUUUUUUGUGCACAUUUCCCGGGAGAGGAUUCGCAAGGCAGAUGUUAGUGUCCCCUGUUUAGACCCGAAUAUAUCCGUGGAUGGACCUAGGGAAUGUUGUCUAGAGAUAGACAUGGGCAGGUAUGGGUCUCGUAGGUCAGUACCGCAUAGGAACAAGGUAUGGGCUGAUCGAACGUAUGGAUGUGUACACCUCUACGCAGAGUUUUGAUCUAUCGAUAGCGAGGCUCACGGUUAUGAGCCCAGUUUGUUAAAGCCCCCAUGAUUAGUCUUUGGGUGGGAAAUUAGCAUGUUGGAAUUGCCAAAUGAAGGUCGUAGACCGGAUUCCAGAAUUAAAACCUGGGGACUGGUAGGGGAGGUAGUUUCCCCCUCUAGGACCACAACUUUCACUUAUAAUAUAAUAAUAACCUUUUAGAGAGUCUUUACAAAACUCACCUUUUUAAAUCCACUUUGCAUAUGUGAGAUGCUUUAGGCAUAGGUUUUGCCUCUCAACCAUAUUCCUUGACCACCUCCCAUAUUGCAUUUAAUAUACUAGUUAAGGUUGGGGUUUGCUGAGUACCAACCAUAAGUGUACUCAGCCUUGCUUUCAUCAUACAGGUUUUCAGGUGUUUUGACCAUCUUGUUAGUGGAUGGGCACCUGCGCUUCCCUUCACUAUACUAAGGUGAAAACCUUUCCUUUAUCAAAUUAUACAUUUUUUAUUGCUUAAAAUACUGAACUGUGAUGGUAACUGUAUUACCCUACUGAUCCAGGGACUAAUACAAGUGAUUAACAGGACUCCCAAAGGGAGGUCCCCACAACUACCUCCAGUCAACCUCCCGAAAACCCCCACCUUACACAAGCCAGAUCCUGUCACGAUCCUCUCUAUUAGUGCAGGUAGUUUAAGGGCACGAACACAGGUGAACAUGUCUAGCUAUCAAGAAGGAUUAACAUACUAGAUCUAAUCACCAUGAUUACAUAAAGCAUGCUAUGUAGUCUAAUCAUGUAUUAGACUAAGGAAUAAGCAUAUUCAUGAUAGAUAGAAGAGCAUAAAAGGAGGCAUUGAGUCGCUAACAAAUCGGAUGACAUGAAGAACAUUGCUCAUAUAAUAGAUGUAUUUAGAUCAUCACCUCCGAAUACAUACCAUUGAUGAUCACAACUAGCUCCUGAACUCCACCAUGACACAACCGCGUAGGGGCAAUGGCGGCUAGGGUCGGCCUAAACCAUCUCCUAGACAACUUCAAAGACUUGCAGCGACCCUCAUCUCCCUCUGGUAGAUAUCCUUGGUUUCGUCGAGUUCUGGUGGACGGAUUCCGAGGCUCGGUGUAUUUUCGAGGUAUUUAUAGUCUGAAGAGCGCGUGGUGAAAAUUGGAAGGCGAGGGGAGUAAGGAAAGCCCCAAGCUGAUCGCCCCAAGGGGAGGGGGCUUCCAGGCUGAUCGGCCUGGCCCUUCCUUGUGGCCUCUCGCACCCUCCUUCAUCCACAAGUCUUCUCAGGUGUCCUGGAGUCUUAUUUUCACUUGCAUGUGGGCCUGGUACGUCGAUAGUUUGGGGAUAAGGAUGUCUCUUGAUAUCUUUCCAAUUCACUGAUUAAUCCUCCUUGAUCUCGAACUCAUCUUGCCAUAUCUUCGCAAACUUAGCUCUUAAGUAAUCUUGGAGGAGUGAUUGCCAAAAAUGAGCAUCAGAGGAGCCCGAAGGAUUGUAGGCCGAUCGGCCUGGGCCUCUAUAGACCGAUCCCCCUAAGCCCUUUUUGAGCCCGUUGGCCUUCGUCUUUCUCUAGGUUGUCGCUUGUUCAGGGCUUUAUCCAAUUAUGCUCCAUUUAGUCCAAUUUCUUGCAAAAAUAGAAUAUCCUCCAUAUACAACACGUAUGCAAUAAUGGGGUUAUUUCAAGUGUCAAGUGGCGGGUUAGUAUAAGAAUAUAUAUGAAAACACCACUUAAAUGGUACUAAAAGUGUGUCAAUAACGAGCGUCAAUAGUGCUUCAGCAUGAAGUGGAAGUUGUGCAUAAAUGGAGAUUGGAAGAAUCUAGUCAGUUCUCAACCAGAUCAGCCUACUUGGCCUUCUUUACUUGUUCAGUCCACUUUGCCCCAAGCAAAGUGAUCUGGGACACUUGGGCUCUAAGGAAGUGCAAGUUUUUCUUUGGUUGGUUGCUCACAAUCGUUGCUAGACGGCUAUUGAGGAAAUCACCUUCGAAACAAGACAUGUGUCCAACGUUCGCCCUGACAUUCAAAUUACUUUCGGAAACCUAACUCUAUGGCGCAGGUGAACAAAGGCCCCUUCGGAAGGCCCGUGCUCGAUGGCGAUGUGAACCUCGAAUCAUGGAGCAUUGCAAAUCAGCAACGUAGCCAAAGAAAGGCAAGGCUUGACAUCUGGAGAAAACUUCAGAAUGUAGAUCUGAGGGUCUUCUCUACGAAGGGCAAAGAUGUUCCAGGAUGAGGUGGAGGCCGUACUGAUGACCUGGAAAGUAGGAGUCCAUACCGAGGGUGUAAUCGCUAUUCUACUCUGGAAUAUUUCCGGAAUCUAAUCAUUGUAUAACAGCAAAGCGUAAUUAAGGUGGUUUGCCUUCCUAUAAAUAGAGGGGUAACUGUAAUUGAUGGGAUGGCUGGUCCGAAGUUAAGGAAAGCUUUUAUAUAGUUGCGCAUUUACUCUCUUAUCUUUAUUUCGGAGCAAAAGAAGUAGCUGUGGAGGUAGAGGUAGAAGCAGGCGUGAGUAGGGGAGAAGAAGUGAAGCAACAGACCGAGGGGUAGACCCACUCACCCUUCGGUCAGUCUACUUGGGACUAUUGUGAAGGAGUCCACCUUGGGGCCAUCGUACACCAACAAUAGCUGAUAGGCUCACCCGUCAUGCGAUGCCCCACCUGUAGCGUCUUUGCACGUAAAUUUUGGCACCGUCUUUUAAGCGUUAUUGAGCUACACGAGGUCACACCACAAGACAGAUGAUUUCUUCCAUCGGUGGCAGCAAGCUAGUAACACGGUUGCAUCAAGAGCUACGAAGGUCGUAUUGGUGGCUUGGAUAAUCUGGAAGGCACGGAAUGAGGUUGUGUUCAAUAAUGUCUCCCCUAGGGUUGAUCAGUCUGUCCUGCUCACGGAGGAGGAGCUGGACCCUGGAUGCUCACAGGUGCUAAAGGGCUGAACGCCUUGGCCGCUGCUGGUCCUGUCGGUGGAUAGAGUUGGUUAAAGGCUAAUGGUCAUUUCUGAGUUUUCCCUAGCACGAAUGUGAUAUAAGAACCCGCUAGGGGCAAGGGUCUGUGUGUUGUAUGACUAUUUUGGCCUUUCUUCUAUCUUAAUGCAAUGAUAUGAAGUUCUCUUGCAUAUUCGAGAAAAUUUUUGUAGUUUAUGCUUAUUCUUCCAAAACUUGUUUUUUACACUCUCAAUCCAUCACUGUUUAUUUGCCCUAUAAUAACCUCAAUCAACAUAUUUGAUUUGUGCUUUUUGUGAGUUAAAACUACUCAAUUGUUUGGACUAACUUAAUGAGAAAAACAAAUAACAAACAAUGAACAAAUUUUCACCUUAGUACAAUUUUGAAAUAGCGAUUUUACCAAAAAAAUAAAUUGUCCUAGAAUUGUAAUAUUUGAUUAACUUUGUCAUCUAAAGAGAAGUAUUAGAAAACUAUUUCUGUAAAAAAACAAAGAACAUAUAAUAAUGGUAAAAGAUAGCAUGCCUACAUAACUUCCAACCAUCAUCCUUGGUCAAUCAAUUUGUUUGUAUUACUAUUGAGUUACCAAUCUAUUACCAUCUUCCGUCAUAUCUAUCUUCUAAUAUGUAGGAAGUAGUUUUGCACUAGUGACGCCAUUCACUAGGAGCGUGAAAAUUUACAUUUUCGAAUGAAGGAGCAAGAAAUUACUAACAUACUUAGUGUAUAUUUCAAUCCUAAAAUUGAAUCUUCUUGUUGGUAGAGAUAAACUCACAUAAAAGAAGGAAUAGAGAGAAAAUUGGAUGGACACACUUAGCGCUCUAUAGUGCCAUCCAUUGUAUUUAUAAAUUAAAAGAGAGUAGGAAUAGGAAAAAGGAUCCUAGGAGAUGCAAUGCUAACAUGUUAGAGAUAAGGUUAGAUAAAUAUCUUGUAACAAAUCAUAGAGAUAGUUGUGUAUCUUUUUGACUUGUACACCAUACCUAACAUGUACUUACCAUGGCAAGGGCUUUCCUUGGCUGAAUAGAUGAACGAUGCGCCCCUAACUAGGGUUCAGCAGUUCCUCAACAUUUCACAUGGCAACCAGAGCCUAAACCCCUCCAGCUGAUCCAAUCUAUUCUUGUCCAAAAAAAAUCCCAACUACUCCCAUUCCAAUGCGUACUCCUCGUCCACGCCUUCUCUCCUUGGCUUGACCAUACCACGGAACUCAUGAAGACCAACCAUGCGCUGUGGAAAGUGCGGGUCCUCACCACAUUGUGGCGUCCAACUUGCCAAUUUCCUUGAUGUCGCACCAUCACCAUCCCACUGAAAAUGAUAAGAGGUGGAAAAGGUCGAAUCGAGAAUGUCACCAAUCUUGCGUACAUUCAGUGGGCAGCUCAGGAGCAAUAAGUCCUGAGCUACCUUAAGCUUCUUACCUUCUUGUUGUCCAUGACCACUGUUGUUGCCAUGUGGAACGCCAUUGAGGCUAUGCUUGUUGCUUAGUCCCGUGCUUGAGCGAUCAAUACGUGCUCGUGUUGUCUACAGUCAAGAAGGGCAACCUGAACAUUAACAAAUACAUUUUGCAAGAUAAAGUCCCUAACGAAUAAGAUGGCAUCUCCGGGGAAGGUACUGUAUGAUGAGGGUGGUUGAUGGGCAAGUGAAGCCAUGGCUGGGACCUUAGGAGGGCUAUCUUACAAUUAAAAAGUUUAUCUUCUGGUAUUUCGGUUUGUAUGGCUAGUGGUAGGAGUAGAAUUGUUUACUUCGAGUAAUUACUGCGUUCAUCCUUUGCUGAACCAACUUGAUGGUAUGAGUAGGUUAGGAACCUAUCGAAACUAUCAACCUACCACCUAUAUGUUGUUUCAUUUCAUUUGUUAACUCGGAAGGUCGUACAGCUCCAUAAUCAGAAGCGCAGGAAGCACUAAUGAAGGAUGGUAAAUGGUAUCUUCUUUUUUUUUGCGCUUAAUGGGUAUUGCGUCGUAAAAUACCCCUAUAUACAUUACAGAUUUACAGGAGCAUGCAUACGAUAGCAUUGUAUAGAAGAUAGAUCAGCAAGCCAGCCAGCAUGCAGACAAGAGGCGGAAAAUGCAAAAUCACAUGUACAUGCGACCGUAUGGUUUAUCUCAGUUGGUUUUAUUCCAUUCAACGUUGAUUCAAUGCCUACCAAUGUGUUUAUUUAUCUACACAGGAUCCAUUUCACUAUUAAUUCAAAGAUGAAUGGCUCGGGUAGUCCAUGUGGUGGUAUGCAUAUGCGAAAUAUCCAUGUUCGGCAAGAGGCAACUCGAGCUAGCCUAGACGACUGACGGGAACGGGUUGAGGCGAGGGGUGGGACGGAGCAGAAGCGGGUGCUUGCGAGCGCACACCAGCCCGACGUCGGACUCCUCCAUGUCGACCAACCCCGUCUCGCCAUCUGCAACCGCCCAGUCGAAGCACUGCACGAGCGCCGCGAGCACCGCCGGCACGGACUGCUGCGCGAGCCCCACGCCGGGGCACCCCCUGCGGCCGCCGCCGAACGGCAUGAACUGGAAGUGGUGGCCGCGGGGCUGGGGCUCCAACCCCGCUGCGGCGCCGCCGGGCAUGAAGCGCUCGGGCCUGAACGCCGUCGGGUCCUCCCAGAAGGCCGGGUCGCGGCCGAUGGCCCACACGUUGAUGAAAACCGCCGUCCGCGGCGGUACCAUGAACCCACGGACGGAGAUCUCCGCCGUCGACACCCGGUGCGCGAUCGGCGCCCCCGGGUGCAGCCGCAGCGUCUCCUUGAACGCCGCCUGCAGGUAGGGCAGCCUCGGCAGGUCGGCCUCGCCGACGAUCCUGCAGUCCCCGGUGACCACCGCGUCGAUCUCCUCCCGCACCUUGCGCAUGACCUCCGGGUGGUUCACCAGCUCUGCCAGCAUCCACUCCACCGUGGCCGCCGACGAGUCGGACCCCGCGGUCACCACGUCCUGCACCGCGCCGCGCCGUUUAUUAAUGAAACUUUCCGAUAGACCAUGUCGCACGAUGAAGGUAAUUAAGAUAUAGCUAGCUUACAGUGAUGAAGGCUUUGAUGUUCUCCCUGGUGAGCUUCACCUCCGCCGCCUCGUCCUCCGCCUUCUCCAGCAGGAUGUCCAGCAGGUCCUUGUUGCGCUUGCGUGUCGCCGGCGCCAACCCUUUCUCGUCCUCCUGCUCGUGCUCAAGCUCAUAAAUCGCGCCGCAGCUGCGGCCACGCUCCCUGGCCUCCUCCUUGUGCCUGAUCAUCUGCUCCAGCAAGGCGUCAAAUCGCCGGUGGACGCCGGCGGCCGUACUGCGGAGGCCCUGGAGGUCCCAGCCGCGGCACAGGGGGACGUAGUCCUCCACGUUGAAGGCGCCGAUCAGCUCCGUCACCGCCUUCACGAGGCCCUGCGCCUCGUCGGCGACGCUCCCCGGCGCGUCGCUGGCGACCAUCCGGAUGAUGGACGCGUUGGCGAACCGGACGAGCUCGCCGGUGACGUCCGCCGCCUCGCCGCGCUCCGACGCCGCCAGCACGGCCCGCAGCAGCGGCGCCAGGGCGGCGCGGCGGACGGGGCGCAGCUGCUCGACGGUGCGCGGACUGAGCACCUCGGACACGCACAGCCGCCGCAGGAAGCGCCACCGUGGGCUGUAGGGGGUGAAGGCGAAGCCGGCGGAGCUGUAGGAGAAGAGCCGGGCCAGCGCCGUGACCGGCCGCCCCGAGAUGACGGCGUCGUGGCGGUGGAUGAGCUCCCUAGCGACGUCGGCCGAGCCGGCCACGACGCAGUGCGUGGAGCCGAGGCGGAUGUGCAUGAGGGGCCCGAGCUUUCCCGCGAGCUCGUGGAAGGUGCGGUGCGCCGGCGGCCGCAGCAGGUGGAGGUGGCCGAUCACCGGGAGGCCCGGCGGGCUCGGGGGAAGACGACGAGCAGAUCGCCAUGACGAGACCAAGUGGUUCAGGGCAAGAGCAAGAAGGGUGCCCACGGCCAGGACGGCUACUGAAUCGGCGGACAGGAGUAUGGGCAGUGGCUGCUCCGUCUCCAUGGCCAUCGCUAGCUCAGCUCAACUCCUCUCUCAGUCUACUAGUCUAACGGUGCAGGUUUUUAGUUUUGUCACAGCUAGAAAAUUGCUGCAACCGAAGUUAAACACUUAACAAGAGGUAUGCUUUCCAUGAAUUAUAUAACAAUUUAAGAUACACACGUUUCCAUACAGCCCAAAUUAAAACCGGUGGCCCACAUAUGUAUAUGGCACUCUCUGGUCCAUUCGUGUCCAUUUCUUGUGCACGUCGUUCUUCCUCAAGACAGAAAAUAACAUGAGCAGAUGCGUGGUGGCAACCGGCAGCAAGCUGCACGAGGUUUCCAUGGCGACGGGCAAGCUGCACGAGGUUUCCAUGGCGACGGCAAGCUGCACGAGGUUUCCAUGGCGGCGGCAAGCUGCGCAAGCCUGCGUCUACAGCAGCAUCCCGGCUCGCAACUUGCAAGGAGCUCCGCGGCCAAGCGCUUGAAAGAACCCAGGAUGGCUGCGGUGGGUCAAGGAGCUGAGAUCUGUUUUCCUUUUUAUUUUUCUGAUUCUCUCUUGUCCUCAUCGUUCUUUAGGCAGAGAUGAUUGUUUCUUUCCCUUUCAUUGCCUCGGGCUUACGCGAAACCAGAGCUCAGCGUGGAUGUUUUAUUUCCUACGUUUUGUGAAGGAGAGCUUUCCUUUCCUGCGGAACUGGGAAGCUCGUUCCUCCAUUUCAGACAGCAAAUCUCCAAACCUUUCCUCUGGAAUCGAUUCCUCUAUCUUUCCUGUGAUUUUCCUCCAUUCCAGACAGGGCCUAGCACCAACGGCAUGGGUUGAUUCGAGCCUAUGGAAAUAGGAUGGGCUUUGUUGGUGAUCAGCAUGGUGAUGGCAAUAUAAUGGUUUGUGGCGGUAGGGAGGAAGCUGUCCGCUCGAGGUUGAGGGUAAUUAAUGCUGCAGGGAUGGGAAAUGUGUACUCGAAUCCGAUUCCAUGAUAUGAUUUUUGUUUUAUAUCCGAUCCAACUCAUGUCUAGGGAGGGAAUGUGGCACCCUAGAUUUUGAGCUUAAAAGGUGAUCUUUUGGAUUAUUCGGCAGUUCGAGUGAUUACUAAAAGGUGAAUUUUUGUAUUUGAUAGCGGUGAGCAUCUCCAGCAGUUCUCCAAUUCCUGAUCAACUACCGUAUUGGGAGGGUUGGUAAAAAAUUAAUGCUCCAGCAAACUUUCUUUACUUUCUCCUUUUUCCAAUAAUUAUUGGGACAACCCAAUAAUUCACCCCAACUCUCCCUUAACAAAGGUGGAGGAGUUGUGACUCUCCCAAUACGAUAGUUGGAUUGGGAUGAGGUUUUGAAAGACUGCAAAAAUAACUCUCCCAAUAACAAUAAAAUGGAUAUUGGGAUAUCCUCAUUAACUAGUUAUUGUGAGUUAAUUGGGAGAUUGCUGGAGAUGCUCGAUGUGAUUAAAUAUUAGAGAGGAAAUGUUCUGGUUUGGCUUCUUGUGGCUCAAGUGUUCUGAUACGAUGUGAUUAGUUAUGCUUUGUUAGUUUAGGCGCUGUUUGUUUUAACCAGAGGAUUGUGCAUUCUAGCUUUUUAUAAUUCCUAGCUACAAAAACUUUUGAUCUCAAAUUCCACGAGCCAACUUGUCUAGAAUUUAUAAUCCACUCUCUACCAUGUGUGUGUAGAGAAACAGAGAAAGAGGCUGUAAGAUAGAAUCCAUGUUACCAGGCAGCCACAAGCUUUGGACCCUCAGCUUUACACAUUCAUCGUUCCUCAUUUCAAGUACGUACAAGAUGCUUUUCUCAAUAUCUCUAGCUGAAACAAACAAGACCUUAGAUAGGUUGUUGGACAAUCUUGUAAGACUUUUUCUCUAAACAAUACACUUUCGGGUAAGCCAUUUUACACGAAAAGAGAACAUAAUUGAAAGAUAGAUGAUUUGCAUGUGUGGCUCACUCUGACGGUAAGUUAGUUUAUAUAAGUGUGUUUCGUUAGUUAAUUUUCUAUGACUUAAUGGUCGUACAUAUCAUUAUCAGAACAGUAGGCUAACAAGGAGAUGUAGCGCCUAAAUUAUAAUUUUAGAGACUUUAAAAACACACAAGAGAUCGAUUUGUUGUUGUGUAGCACAAGAUGAUAAUGCGAAGAAGGCGAUAGGGCAAUUAUUCAAAAUAUCAGCUAUAGAUUGUUGAAUAGUAACGUACGAUGGCGACAGGAGACACACUGAUGGCACACAUGACCAUGAUUAUGUCAUAUAUUUCGGUUGCAGGCACAUGGUGGUAGGGCUGACGAUGGAGAUUAUUUGAUUGUGAAGUUAAGCAUUAUUUUUUUUAUUUUGCACAUUGUUCGCAGCCAAAUUAACACUGAGGACCGUGCAGAUUGUUUAGUAGAAUCCCUUGGACAUUCCAGCGUAACACUAUUUCAAUUGAUGAGUGACAACACACGCAUGCUAGCUCUACAGUGGAUUUGUGAUAACAGAUGGUAUUUCGAUUUUCCAUUGGCCAACACCGAACAUAAACUGUAGCUGCACUCUUAACUAUCUUUGAAAUUGUGAAAAAAUGUCAUCGGCUGUAAACCUUGAUAAGACUGGAAACUCCUGUGUGAGCUGACUCAUACGAGGGACGCCCGCGCUGCUCCUCCUAGGGCAACUCGGGCGGAUGGGAGAUCCAAGCGCCGCCACCUCCUCCCUCCGUCCCUCUCCCUCAUCGUCGCCCGAGCAGGCCAGCAGAAGCCCGUUCGGCUACAAAGAAGGCGGUGGCAAGGUCAUCUUUCCUCAUGCCAGAGGUUUUUCGCGGCCACGGCAUCUGGCGGCCGGCUGGCCAGAUUUUGCUACUCGGUGCCAAAUUCAUUAUGCCCUAGCCUGAUCUACCUCUCCCGGGGUCAGAUCCAACGCCUAGUGGCUGGGAGGCAGCGCCAGGGCGAUUAGGCGGCCAUGCCGCUGGUUCCCACCCCCAUCCUCUCCUAUCGGGGCUGUAGCAUCUCACGGCGGCAGCCUUCGCCCCCGGGAUGGUAGCGUCCAGAUCCAUCUUACCUGGAUCCGGCACCCUUCGGCUUUGGGGACCGGUCCGACGAACCUAUUCCCGGAGAGGAUGGUUGGUGACUACGGUCACAAAUGUCGUGCUUGCAACGGAGGUGCUCAGGAACUCGUUGUGCGACGAGUGUGGUAUGGGACACAAUUCGUUGACGUUGGGUCUUAGGUGCUUUGACCUCGUGUGGUUGGCGAUGGUGCGGUAUAGGAUGUGUCUCGUCGACCCUUGGGGCUGUGUUGUGGUGGGCUAGGGUGCACUGGCGAAAGCCACGGCGAUGAUGCCUGUGGGCGUCAUUUUCCUUCUUGGAGGCGCCACCUAUGUGUCCUGAAUCCACCCCAUCACUAGGUCUUCAGGUGAAAACUUUAUCCCAGUGGGCAGCAGCGGUGACGACUAUCGUCAUUUCCUCGGUGGAGGCGAUAUUUUGGAGGCUUUUUGAGUGGUGGUGCACUUCAUGUGGGCACUGUGGUUACCCAACUCGGAUUCUUCAACGGCUAUAGUAUCUUACUUAUCCCCAUUGUGCAAGUGGGGAUGGUUUUGCUGCGAUCUUAGUUUGGUGGUCGGAGCAUCAAUCAGCACAUGGAGUUGUUUCUCUUCCCUGUUGUUGAAUUUGGCUCAUGCUUUGGUUCUGCUUUCACAUGAUGUGGAGAAGUUCAUUUGAAGGUGACUUUACGGAACAUGCCACUAAGGGAGGUUACUGGAGUAGCUUGUUGAAGAUUUUGAGUUUCACCUUUUUGUUUAUUUUUGUGACGUUUCUUUACUACAUCAGAUCUUCUGAUAUCUUGGCUACGUGUUUAGUUGGAACAUGUGCCUCUCUGUAUUGUUUGUGGUCUAAUGCAUUCUCGAAAGAGGAUGUCUGAAGCCGGAAUUUUAUCUUCCAUUAUAAAAUAAAAAGUAUAUAUAUAUCAAAAGUAUAUGUAUAUCAACCGUCUUUCAAUUUUCCACUCUCUCUUGCAAUCCGCGGCCGGCUUCAUCCUGCAAAGCUUUUUAACUUGCAGUAGACUUUUGGCGGGUGAGGCCAUAUUGAAGUUUUUAAAAAAGCAACACCAGGUUCCCCACUAAUGCAGGCAUGCAGCCAAGGUUGAUUAGUUGCUUUCACACGCUGUGUCUCUGUUGAUGCAGUCCGGGGUUGUUUGGUUACUUUCACAAUGUGACUCCGUCGAUGCUGCCAAUAAUGAUUGGCUGCUUUUCACAAAGUUGAUACCAGGAUCUUAUGAUAUCUUUAUUGCCUAAUUAUUGGUUAACUGCACAAGAACCAACAUAGUAAAUAAAAAUGUUAUAUAAAUCAUCACCAUAAAUCUAUUUUAUGUCGUUUUUACCAGGGGCGGAGCUGGACUACCCCAAUACCUUGGACCACUCCAUGGACCAACUACUCUUGCUAGGAUGGACCUUCAUGCUACAAGGCCUGUUUGGUCCCUGAUCACGCCACGCCACGCCACAAGCUGUGGCGCCGAUUUCUCGCUCAGUCACCACAGGUUGUGGCGUGACGAGCUGUGGUCGUGAGCCAAGCAUGCCAACAAUGCACUAUAGUUGGAAAAAUCAGGCUGACGCCUAGAGCCACGACUCUACCCUAUCCUCCCCCAUAGAUGUUAGAUAUGAUCUGAAUUAUAAUGUGAGUCUUAUGGGGAUACCUGGUGGGCACACGCAUGCCAACAAUGCACUAUAGUUGGAAAAAUCAGGCUGACGCCUAGAGCCACGACUCUACCCUAUCCUCCCCCAUAGAUGUUAGAUAUGAUCUAAAUUAUAAUGUGAGUCUUAUGGGGAUACCUGGUGGGCACACGGUUUGUGUUGUGUAAUUAGCGGAGUUAUUUUCGUAUUUGCACAAAAUCAGUUUAGUUCACCCUAUAUAUACAUCUUGUAAGUAACAUGGAAAGAAAACGACGGCUCAUUGUAUUCCCUGCAUUGUAACUCUCGAUCACUGAUUGGUGUCCGUGAUUUUUUGCCGUAAAGAUUUUCCACGUAAAAAUCGUGUCUCGUGUUCGAUCUUAUUUUCGCAUUAUUCACUAACGAGUAGUACCAGAGCUGGUUACGAGAUUAGAUUGAAAAAAAUUAGGGUUUUAUCCUGUUCGUCGCGCCGCCGGCUGAGCCAAUCUGUUACUCGUCGAUUUGAUUACUCCGCGACCCGGCGUUCAAGACGGAAUAGGAUUCCGUGAUUGGCCGAGUUCCUCGGCCGACGUCGCCGGUACAGCUUCAUCCAUCUACAAAGUCUGUAUCCUGCAGUUGCUGUCGCCGGGAAAAUCAAACCGCUGCGUCAGGGCGGAGGAGAAUUUGCUGCCGCUGUUUCCGGGUAGCUGUUGCACGCGGAUCGAGGGAAGACCAGCACCUCCGCCGUUUCUGUGCGUGAAAAGAAAUUCGCAAAAUCUGCUACGCUCACACGGGAAGCUACCAGGAGUUCUUCAGUUUUCUGCUGAAGGUACACGGAAGUGUACACAGGCUGCAGGUUCUGCUAGGGUUACAUAUACCUAGAUUAUUACUGCAGAUUAUUUUUUCUUCUGAUUAUUUCUUCGCAAUGGCUUUGAUGAAGUAUGAUAUUCCUCUGCUUGAUCGAGAUACAAGGUUCGCUCUAUAGCAAGUCAAGAUGCAAGCUGUUUUAGCGCAAACUGAUUUGGAAACAAGGAUUCAAAGUCUUGGUCUGAUGAUGAGAAGAGGAAAGAUUGUAAGGCCUUGUCUCAUAUUCAUCUUCAUCUUUCAAAUAAUAUUUUGCAAGAGGUUUUGCAAGAGAAAACCGUUGCUGCUUUAUGGCUCAAAUUGGAGUAAAUCUGCAUGUCUAAAGAUUUGACAAGCAAGAUGCAUAUGAAGAUGAAGUUAUAUACGCACAGGUUGCAAGAAGGUGGUUCUGUGCCUUGUUAGAUGUAUAUGUACUGUUGAUAUUUUACCUUUUCUAUUAGGGGAUUUUGUGUAUAUUUAUCCCUCCAUGUACCUGUAUAUAUAUGGGCAUAGUGCCCCUGUUAUGAAUACAAGUGCUAUUCCUAACAUGCCUAACCAUCUUUCGGUCUUUAAGGAGAUUGUUGCUGACCUACAGUCUAUGGAGGUAAAAUAUGAUGAUGAGGACUUGGAUCUUAUUCUUUUGUGCUCACUGCCUAGUUCUAGUUCUUUUGCAAACUUCAGAGAUACCAUAUUGUAUAGUCGUGAUACUCUAACCAUGAAUGAAGUUUAUGAGGUAUUGCAACAGCCAAGGAAAAGAUGAAAUAGAUGGUGUCUACUGAAGGUUCAGCUUCCAAUGGAGAAGCUUUGUCUGUUCAUGUUAGGACACAAAAGAAAGCAGAUAAUGAUUAUAGAGGCAAGAGCUCGAAUGAUUAUAGGAGCCGUUCAAAGUGUAGAGAUAAGGAUGAGAAAUUCUACAAUUAUUGCAAGAAAAAGACUCAUUUUAUAUCUCAGUGCUAUAAGUUGAAGAACAAGGAAAAGAGAACUGGCACAUAUAGACCAAAAGGUAAAUCUGACGAAGGUAAUGCUUCUGUUGCUGCUACUGAUGGUAGUUCACAUGGUUCUAAGGUUCUUGUUGCUUUUGCUAGAUAUGCAAAUAAUGGUGAUGAAUGGAUUCUUGAUUCUGCUGCUUCCUUUCAUAUAUGCAUUAAUAGAGAUUUCUUCAUCACUUAUGAUUCUAUCCAAGGUGGUUCUAUUAGAAUGGGUGAUGAUAGAUCACAUUAGGUUAUUGGCAUUGGAUCCUUCCAGAUUAAGAUGCAUGAUGGUACUACUGGAACUUUGACAAAUGUGAGGCAUAUUCCAGAUAUGAGCAAGAAUCUUAUUUCUUUAAGUACUCUUGAUGGCAAAGGGUGCAAGUACUCUAGUGGAGUCGGAGUUUUGAAGGUGUCAAAAUGUUCUCUUAUUAUUAUAAAAGGUGACUUGAAAUCUGCCAAUUUGUACCGUCUUCAUGGUACUAUAAUUACAGGUGAUGCCGCUAUUAUUUCUAAUUCAUUAUCAACUUAUGAUGCUACUAAUCUUUGGUAUAUGUGUCUUGGGCAUAUGAGUGAGCUUGGCUUGGCAGUGCUGAGUAAGAGAGGACUUCUCGAUGGGCAUAGCAUCAACAAGUUGGAUUUCUGUGAGCAUUGUGUGUUUGGCAAAUACAAGAGGAUGAAAUUUAAUACCUCGAGUCAUACCAAUAAAGGUAUUCUUUAAUUAUGUGCAUUCUGAUUUAUGGGGAUCAUCUCACAAGCCUUCUCUUGGUGGUGCUCAUUAUAUGCUGACCAUUAUUGAUGAUUAUUCUAGAAAAGGUAUGGCCUUAUUUCUUGAAAGAUAAACUAGAAGCUUUUUCAGCAUUUAAAGAAGUUGAAAACCAAACUGAAAAAAAGGUUAAAAAGCUUCGCACUGAUAAUGGGAUGGAAUUCUGUUCUAAUAAAUUGAAGUCAUAUUGCAAAUCUGAAGGCAUUGUUAGGCACUACAAUGUUCCUUAUACACCUCAACAGAAUGGUGUAGCUGAGCGUAUGUACAGUACUAUCAUCUCCAAGGCCUGUUGCAUGUUGUCUAAUUCUGGUUUGAAUAGAUAUUUUUGGGCUGAAGCUGCUUCCACUGCUUACUAUCUUAUUAAUCAUUCACCCCAUAUUGCUUUUGAUAAGAAAACUCCAAUUGAGGUUGGUCUGGUUCUCUAGCUGAUUAUUCGCAAUUGAGAGUUUUUUGUUGUAUUGCUUAUGCUCAUGUUGAUAAUGGUAAAUUAGAGCCUAGAGCUAUUAAGUGCAUCUUUCUUAGUUAUCAACUUGGUGUUAAAGGUUAUAAGUUGUGGAAUCCACAAACUCAAAAGGUUGUAAUUAGCAGGAAUGUUAUCUUUAAUGAAUCUGCUAUGUUACCUGACAACGACCUAUCUAGUAGUGCUCCUAUUUAGCAAAAAUCAAGUGUGCGGGUGGAGCAUUUUAUUGAUGUUGAGAAUACACUAGAUAAUGAUAAUGUUGCUAUCCAAGGUGCAUCUAUUGUUGAUAAUUCACCAAUUGUUGAUGAUUCAUCUAGUGUUGAGCAUUCUUCUCCAGUUGUGCAGCCUCCAUAACAAUCUAUUGAUACUGAUAGGGCUAGAGGGCACCUAAGCCAACUAAAAGGUUGAUUGAAGAAUGCAAUAUUGCUUAUGCUCUGAGUGUUGCAGAAGAGAUUGAAGGUGCUGAACCUUCUAAUUAUUCUGAGGCUAUUACUUCUGCUGAUGGCAGUAAUUGGAAGACCACUAUGCAAGAUGAGAUGGAGUUACUUGAAAAGAAUGGUAGUUGGAAUUUAGUAAAAUUGCCCAAGGAUAAAAAGCCUGUCUGUUGCAAAUGGAUUUUCAAAAGAAAGGAAGCUAUUUCUCCAAGUGAGCCAACAAGGUAUAAAGCAAGGUUGGUUGCUAAAGGCUAUAGUCAAAUUCCAGGUAUUGAUUUUAUUGAUGUCUUUUUCCCAGUUGUGAAGCAUAGUUCCAUUCGUACUUUGUUGAGUAUUGUUGCUAUGCAUGAUUAUGAGUUGGAGCAGUUAGAUGUUAAAAUUGCAUUCUUACAUGGGGAGUUAGAAGAGGUUAUUUAUAUGGACCAACCUGAAAGUUUUAUUAUUUCUGGAAAAAAAAACCUUAUGUGUAGAUUAAAGAAAAUCUUUUUAUGACUUGAAACAAUCUCCUAGGCAAUGGUAUAAGAGAUUUGACUCAUUUAUGCUCUCUCAUGGUUUUAAGCGGUCUGAUUAUGAUAGUUGUGCCUAUUUGAAGACAGUUAAUAGUUCAACUAUUUAUUUGCUUCUUUAUGUUGAUGAUAUGUUGAUUGUUGCAAAGGAUAAAUCAGAAAUAGCUAAGUUGAAAGCACAAUUGAAUUUAAAAUUUGAGAUGAAGGAUCUAGGUGCAGCUAAGAAAAUUCUUGGUAUGAAAAUUAUCAGACAUAGAAAAUCUGGUAUGUUAUACCUCAGUCAGCGAGGUUAUAUUGAAAAGGUUCUUCGUCUUUUAAUAUGCAUGAUGCAAAACUAGUGAGUACUCUGUUAGCUGCACAUUUCAAAUUAUCUUCAGCUUUAUGUCCAGUGUCAGAUGAUGAUAUGGAGUACAUGUCUAGAGUUCCAUAUUCCAGUGGAGUUGGUUCACUUAUGCAUGCUAUGAUCUGUUCUCGUCCUGAUUUAUCUCAUGCAUUGAGUGUUGUCAGUAGAUACAUGGCUAAUCUUGGCAGAGAGCAUUAGAAUGCAGUUCAUUGGAUUUUCAGAUAUUUGCAUGGUACUGCUAAUGCUUGUUUGCAGUUUGGGAAAUCUAGAGAUGGAUUUGUUGGUUAUGUUGAUUUUGAUUAUGUUGGUGAUUUGGAUAAGAGGAGGUCUCUCACAGGUUAUGUUUUUAUCAUUGGUGGUUGUGCUAUUAGUUGGAAAGCAAGUUUACAGGCUACUGUUACUUUGUCCACUACUGAAGCUACAUAUAUAUGGCUAUUUCUGAAGCUUGUAAAGAAUUUAUUUAGUUGAGAGUUUAUACUCUAAACUUUGCGGGAUUUCUUCUUGCAUUACUAUACAUUGUGAUAGUCAAAGUGCUAUUUGCCUUACUAAAGAACAAAGUACAUUGAUGUGAGAUAUCAUUUUAUUCAAGGCGUUAUUGCUGAAGGUGAUGUUAAAGUAUGCAAGAUAAAUACUCAUGACAAUCCCAUUGAUAUGAUGACUAAGCCUGUUCCUACAGCUAAGUUUGAGCUAUGCUCAAGCUUGGUUGGUGUUAAAGUUUAAGUCCUAGUGACUUUUGACGUCGGUGAUUAUUUAUUAUUGAAGUAAGUUCAUUGAUGAUACUUCAUUUGCUACAAGAUGGAAUUCAUCUCAAGGUGGAGUUUGUUGGAUAUGAUCUGAAUUAUAACGUGAGUCUUGUGGGGAUGCCUGGAGGGCCCAUGGUUCGGGUUGUGUGAUUAGCUAAUUUGUUUCCGUACUUGGCUGCAGUCAGUUUAGUCCACCGUAUAUAUACAUCUUGUAAGCCACACGGGAAGAAAACGACGGCUUAUUGUAUUCCCUGCGUUGUAACUCUCUAAUUAUAGUGAAGAUCGCCGAUUGGCGCCCGUGAUUUUUUCCCGCAAAGGUUUUCCACAUAAAAAUCGUGUCUCGCAAUCGAUCUUGUUUUCGCAUUAUUUGCUAACACCAGAUUUUUAUUUCCUUCUAAACUUAGUCUAGAACCAACUUGAACAUUUUUUCAAUCAAUUCAAACACACUCCAAUCUGGAGCCAUCCGUGUAUCUGAUCCAACAACUUAUAUUUUCUUCUUGUAAACUCUUGCCUCCUCUAGUCCUAAAUGUGCCGCGCACACUAGCUUCGCCUGCUACCACCCGACCUUCCACUGUUAAUAGGGCGUCGACUCUAAUUGUCAUCUCUAGCAGCUUUGUGCCUUUGUUGCCAAUCCCUCUCACCACCCAAAGUUUCUUUGUCAAAACCUAAUGUAAGGAGACAAAUCGAUCGGACGAUGGCCUAAAGGUUUGUGGCUAACAUUUGAUGCGGCAAAUCGUGGCAACAGACUAAUUCAGGCCCUAUGUCUCCCAGCCUUUGUCAUGAAUCAGUACCCUAUGGCGACGAUUUUACUGUGCACACCAUGUCUCGUGGACUGAAUAAAACUCAGAAAAUGAUACUGUCGUAUGUGUCUAUGUGACCACAACUGUUGUUUACAAAUAGUCUCCAUCUCCAACGAUCAGGGCAGAGCGGAUCCAUUUUGGCUGCGCACCAAGUCUGACAAAAGAAUAACGACGUUCCGAUAGGAAAAAAAAAACAUUUGUUGUAUGUGGCCAUCUCCAAUGAUCAGGGCAGAUCAGGACAGCUACCCAGAUCAGUUUUAGGCUUUUAGGGUGUGUUUGGUUGGUUGUAUCAUUUGAUUCAUGUAUGAAAUGAUUCAAAAUAAUAAUGAUCAUUUUAUUUGGUUGGGUGAAUUGUACCAACUUAUCCAGGAUGAGGUCAUCCCACUUAAUAUAUUAUUCUACUAAUUAGAGUGAACCAUACGGUACAAGCAAAUUGGUUGAACCACCCCAUCCAGGAUCAUCCAUGCAUGCAUCAUUUGGUGCAUGCAACCAAACACACUGUUAGCUGCCCAUCAAGUCAAAUUAAUUAGUUAAGUGAAUAAUGUUCCAAUAGAAUAAAAAAAGUUGUCAUAUACUCCUAUGUGUCCAUACCUAUUGCUUAUGAUCAGGGCAGAGCGGGACAGCUAGCUACCCAAAUCCACUCUCGCAUUAACGUGGGGUGUAGUAGACCACAGAGCGUAGCAAUCAGGACCAAAGCCGGAUUUCAUUCUUUUCUUUUCUUUUCUUUUCUUUUCUUUUUGAGAAAAUGAAAAGGUAUAAGGGAAGAUUGAUUGGUGUGUACUGUGUAGGAUCCAAAUUGUAACACCCAAAAAUCCUGAACAUAUCAUUAAGCAUACAUGUGCAUCUAACACAGCCUAUCUAUUUUUUUAGCAUUUUUCGCAUACAUUUGAAUUUAAUUCAAAUUUAAAACUUAAUCUAUACACAUGAUUUUGUGAAGAACUUUGCAUUUUUCCCGAUAGUACGUAUGAGAGGAAUUAAUUUGGUAAGAUACAGCUUUUCAAAACAUGAAUGUAGGUGAUUUUUCGGGAUUUUAGGAGACCUUCUUAAGGCUAAACAUCUUAGCCAAAAGCCCAAAUAUAACAAUUUGAAGAUAAUUUGAUUUUCAAACUGUAGUAGCUACGAUGCCGGAUCCAAAUAAAAUGGGUUGCACAUGGUUUUAUAGCAUCUGCAAAAAAAAAAUGAUACAGCCUUUGGAGCUCUAAAAGACCAUCUUUGAAGGAUAAAGUAAAGAGAGAAGUUUGUGUUCUAAACCUAAAAGUGAUGUAAACUUCCUCGCAAUUUAACCACGAGAACCUCAUGCAUGUUAAGUACGCAGGAACAUAAUGACGGGCAUCGCCCCAGCGGGCUUUUAGGAAAUAUAGUUUCAUUAGGCAUAGUUUGUGAUUUUGGUGAUUGAGUGGCAACAUAGUUAUUGGAACUAAUGAUUUGUCCAGUACGUGCUUAAUUUGUAGCUUUAUAGGUCCUAAAGAUGCAAUCCAAAUUAUGGUAUUAAAGUGACACAUGAUAAAAUGAAGAAUCUUGAAUUAUUCUAUUGUAUCCAAGUCACGGUAUCCAUUUCAUGGUAUCUAAAUAACAGUGCUUAAACGAGAGUCAAGGUCAUGGUAUUGAAGUGAUCCAAAUGACGCGUCUAAAGAAAGAAAAUAUAUAUCACUGAGUUUUGCUUGGGCAUCGGAUGAACCAUUAGAGCUAUUGGUACACAAUGCAGAAUCUCAUGAGCACCGGAAUAUCCGACGAGAUGCUAUAUUUGUGAGCGACGGAGCUUUCUGGACUCGGUGUUUGCAAAACCCUAAACCACCCGAAUAUCCGACGGUGUUAAGAAGUGAGCGUCGGACAAAAUCAUUGGAUAGAUGUUCGGAGGCAAUGUUGGCAAGGAUGGAGCUGAUCAAGUAUCACAUGAAGAGCUGACGGUAAAAAAGAGGCGUCCGACUUUACACCGGACAAAUGUACAGAGACGAUGCAAGAUGAAUUAACCGGUCAUGCAAGGUGCACAUCCCUCAAAACGCACUGAUCCAUCCAAGAACAAGUGCUAGAAAUAACACAUUUCUAAAACCGAUCACGUAGCACCGACUGCAGAAACCGGUCCUGAAAACCAGUGUAGCUUAGCGCAGAGGCCAUUUUAACUGGUCGAAGAACCGGUGCUUAGAAAUGACACAUUUCUAGAACUAUUACGUAUCACCGGCUGUAGAAACCGGCCCUAGAUACAAUUUUUUUACCAGGCCUAGAAACCAUAAUGGUGUACUUUAGCGCAGAGGCCUUUUUAUUGCCCAUGUACUAAGAUAAUUUUUUUUGACAAAUUCCAACUGGUAGCAUGACUUGCCAGGAUACUGACAACAUAUUUCUCUCUUUGGACCAAACAAAAAGACAAAUCACAGAAGCCGCAUCACCUUUUUUCUCUCAAAAUUAUUCGAUGCUUUCAGCAAUAACAUGGAACUCCUCACAAGUCUAAUUAGUGCCCGUCCAUAAUUUUGUUCAGACCAUGCCGUCCUACAAAUUUGCAACGGUUCUACACGUAGUAAAGCCAUAAUACGCAAGGAGAACCAGAUCAGUACGAGUUUCCCAUCGUCUACGUUGUACAUUGUACGUUAUACCUAUACGUGUUGGUUACUUGACACCUGACAGACCCCAGGCCUAGGACCAGCCAAACUUGAAGUCGAGGACGUAGACGAUGAUGAGCGACAACGGAUACAGCAGAUAAGCCACGAAACACGUCCAGAGCGGGAAAUUGGUCCGGAAGCUGGUGAAGAGCCCCAUUAUGGUGCAGACAAGGAAGAUGACGAGGACCUCCGCGGAGAAAUCCCAGGUCAAACCCCGAACGUAAACGAGGGCCAGGAACACGGCCAAGCAGAGCGUGUUGUUCAUGGUCACCCCACCGUAGACCUACAGUUAAGAAAACAUGGCAUAACACGGGGAGUAUCCGAAACUUAAGGUGGAUGCAGAAAGUUAUUUUUUGUACAGCACAAGUAUUGGAUCGAAUCACAACGAUGGUAUUUUGUAUUUUCUAGGCAGUCUAACGAGAUAAGAGGUAUUCAGUAGACAUACCUCAGAGAAUGUAAGUGACAGAGUCCUCUGCUUCUUUCGGCUAGCAAAUAUAAUUGCAGAGACAGCCUCGCUGGAGUUAGUUGCGAAGGGCAUUGCAAUGAAGGAAACGAAGAACGAAGGAAUACUAGUCGCAUUUGAAAAAUUGUGCACAGCGUCCACAAGUGGAUCAGCAAAUGCUGCUGCCAUUGCAGUUCCCAGCAGCAGCAGUGAAAUGGCCUUGAAGCAUGUCCAGGUUGGAUAUUCAAUGGCCUCACCAUCUUCAUCAUCCUUGCCAAGCAGCAGAUUGUGUUCAUCCCUAGUUCUCUGCAAUAUACAGGAUGUUGAUGCAACUUGUUACGCAUGUACGAUAAAAUAGCUUCAUAACUUGUGAACUGAAAAAUAUACCGUAUGAAAAUCUUGCAAAAACUUUUUUGAGUAGGCACCAGAGGAAUCAACAGAACGUUUAGCUUCUUUGAGCCAUCUCAAGAUCCCGUCAACAAACUCGGCCUUUUCAAUGGCAUAAUUCUGUGAUGUAUCAAAGUCUGCCAUGACUUGCUCUGCAGCUAGGCUACUAUCCAAGUCAAUAUCUUCAAACUUAACACCAAUAAUGAAAGCUUGUAGUUCGCCACGUUCUAGUUUACCAUCAUUGUCCUGAUCAAUCUUAUGGAACAACCUGCCAUUUUUUGGCUCUCAGUUAGAAAGACUAGCAUCUGCAAAAACAGCUAAAAGAGGAGGUGAGGUGCAGAGGCAUACUUCUCGAUUACAGGAACAUUCGGUCUUCCAUCUUCAUCAAGAAGGCGGCCAAACACAUGCAUCUGAGCAUGUCUUAGAAGUCCAGACAUUACGUGCUUUAGUCUUGCAUACUCUAAUCUUCUCCUCUGGAUCCAUGGCUGAAAGAUCUGUUUGUGGAAAGAUACAAACGUUGUUUAAUGGGGCAAGAAAGGUAAAAUAUUAUUUAAUCAAGUAAGAGUAAUGCACAAUGGCAUGCAGAUAACAAAGGACACUUCAACCAAGAAAAGUUGGAUUUGGAUGGAACAGAGCCACGUUUCUCCUGGUUCAAAUUGACGAUUUCAAGGUUUCAUCAAGUGUUUUGAUGAGAAAAUAUUCUUAUUUUUUCCAGCAAAGUUCCAUAGGUGAUAGUUCCAUUGGUUUUGUUAUUCUCAAGUGUUUGAAUCCAACCUGAUUUUCAGCCACCAUCCUAGGCCAUUAGAUAACAUCCAACUACUUAUGGUUUGAGGUAGCUGAUGUUGAUCCAAGGGCCUAGUAUAGUGUGAAAAAAUAAGUUGGUUUCAAGCACUUGAAAAAUAUUCAACUUAAUUCUAUAGGGAAAUGUUGAAUUAAAUCAAGUGUCAAGAUGUAGAGUUCAAAUUUUCCUGAGGUCAGUACAAUACCUGAUAUAGGCAAUAAGCAAGCACAAGUAGAACUGCAACAAUAAGUCCAACCAGGACUGUUAAACGAUGACCGGAAUGGAGCUUAAAAAUUUUGGGGAUCUGAACAAUGAUAAAGGGGAGAACAGACAUCGCCAUGAUUCUUGCUGCAUAGCUGGUCUGCACAUCAGUAGAAACACCAGAGCCUGCAAAAAUACAGAGGUUAUUUAGCAAAUAUUAGAACACAAAUUCAAGUAAUGUAAAUUAGAUUAUUCCAAUGAAGCAGCGUCAACAGUUGAAGAAAUCCCAAGUUUCAAGGACAGUCAGAACAGAAUAAAAUGUAGAUUCUCUUUUAGCUUGCAUGAUUCAAGAAAUGCCUCUAAUGCGGGCACUGGAUUGCACAGGAGAAUUGCCAUUUAGUUUAAAUGCCCAAUUUGGCAGGAUGGAAUGAGAAGAAUAAUUCUGUAGCUUCAGAGUUUCAUUACAAAGUUAUAAUAAAGGGCAUCGAUGUAGGUAUAUUGCACUAAACAACAACUCCCAUGCAUGCCCCCAAAAUUCCCAUUUUACCAACCGAAUAAAGGACCUAAAUCCUCAAAUGCUAAAUGUCUGGUAAAAGACAUAAGUGUCAUGAACAAUGUUCUCACAAUUCGUUGAAUUCAGACUGAAUGCCAACAGUAACAAUCUAAACUAAUCUACUGAUGUGGGGCAUCACAUUCAAGAACCCAUUUUGAGAAAAGGACCCUCUCAGAAAGUUAACAAUUUGCAUGGCCUCAAGCUUAAGUUUACUGGUAAAGCGCGUCAAGAUGAACUAAAUUUCAUGUUUUCAGGUUACACCCUGAGUAGCCUCACCUUCUGCCGUUGUCUGAUUAAUAUAUAGUUUCCAUCUUCAGUUAAAAUGGAGAUGUUCCUAAGUAUAGGUCUAUAAUGAAUGAUGCUCCUUUCAAAUAUUAGAACGGAAACGGGAAAGAACACGGUCAGUAUCCAACGACAUACCAAAAAGACUGAAGCGUUUUGUAUCCUGAGAAUCAGUUGCAGUUGAAUUCUCCCACAAAUCACAUUUGCCAACAACAACACAAGAUCCCCAGAGUAGGGUCAAAAGCAUGACUGUUGACCCCGCGAGCAGGCCCAUUCCAAUCAAAACCUGGCUUUGCGCAACCUCUUUAGAGCCAGAGAGCCCGGAAACUGAAGCAUAAAAAGAACAGGUUAAGGAUUUCGCAUGUACAGUCAAACUCAAGUCGGUGCACAAGUGUGACAUAAAAGGGGAGCAAAUGAACUAUCUACAACUAUAAGCACAAAAAUAAGAUGGAGAGCACGAUAAUGGCUAAACUAGUUGCUAGUGGAGUAGCACCUUUGGCACAAAUUUGCGUCUCAUAGCACCUCAAAAUCUCACUAGUGGAUGAUGUUGUUGUCAACAUACACAAGCCAUGGCCAUGUUGAAGUUUCGAAGAAGUGUACUAAUCACUGAUUGAUUGGGACACUAACAAAGCUUGGUCCUGACUGAUUGAUUCUCAACAAUUUUUUGAUGACGCUGAUAGUGUAACUGAAGCACGUGCAAGGUUUCACUGUUACCCCUAGCAAAAGAGUGCGGAUAUGGCCUUUUGGAUUUUCGAAACGGACAAAUGUGACCUUUUUUUUCCAUCUGAGCAGAGUACUGUACCAAUACCAAAUAUGCAGCUACGAAGCGCUUAAUUAACUACUAGUGAGAAACGUUCGCAGUAACCACGAGGGCGGCCGGCGGCGGCGCGGAAGUGGAGAUAUAUGAAGGGUGAAAGAAACGAACCGAGGAUGAGCAUGGCGUCGGGCAGCGCGCCGAGGAUGGGGAGGAAGAGGCCCCCGACGAUGCCGGGGCCGAGGAUCUCGAGCAGCAGCUCGCUGCCGGCGGAGAGGUAGGUGGCGGCCUUGAACAUGAGGAAGCCGUACGCCAGGACGAGGAAGAGGUUCCCGAGCGCCGUGUCGGUGCACGGCAGGAACCCGUACGUCAUCUCGCACCCCUCCGCCGCCGCCUCCGACGGGAGCCGGAGGACCGUCGCGCCGGCGUCCUCCGGGAGGAGGCUCCAGCCGCCGGAGACGGGGCGCCCAUCGGCGAGCACGGCGGCGCCGGCGACCGCGAGGAGGAGUAGGAGGAGGAGAGGGGAUAGGAGGCGCGUCGGCACGGUCAUCAUGGUGCGCGUGGCAGCAGCAGCGAGUGGAGAAGGGAAGGCUGCGGGAUACGAGCGGAUGGAUUAAUUGGCGCAGCGAGCGCAGCAGGAGCGUGGAGCGGAGGGCCCGGGUGCCGCGAUUGAGGGGUGCGCGUGGGGUCGUCGACUCAUCGUCGUCGUCCGCCGGGCGGGCAUCGAGAGAUCUGCCACGUCUCGCGUGGCCUCCGACGCCGCGACACGACGAAAGGAAGAAGGCAGGUCAAAAGCGGCAGGCAUGACGAGCGGUGACGGCACGGCCACGAGCAUGCUAAAGAAAAAGUCCAUGCAAGGCCGGCAGAUUUAGGAGCCGACACGACACACGUAAAGAAGAAGAGAAGGCAGGACAGGUGUCUAACGGUGUGAAAAUGACACGGGUAUCCCGUGUCCGCAUGUGGACGUCACUGCACAGUGCCGGCCAGCGGCCAGCGAAUAUGAAGGCACACGUGUCCCGUCGUCUCUCAUUGACGGUCGUGUUCACUUCCUUCCUACCCGGGCACUCCUCGCUGCCGGCGGCGCUCACACGGCAAGGGCUGCCGCCGACGACUGACACCAUCGUCAACGACGGCGGGUUCACGGAAAAGCCGGUUUCCCCACUUGUGUGCAUCGGAAUUUAGGGUCCAGCCCAUUCCCGAAUUCAUCAUGAUGGGGGAGCCCAUAUGCGUUCACGAGCUACCACACAAAGCCCAGAAAUGGCUCAACAGUGGCCCAUCUCUAGUUCUAGGCCUUCCUCACUUCCGCAAGCCCUUUAUCAUUCAUUUUCUCUGCUCCCCCACCCAUGCGGCCAUGCCCCUAAAAAAGGUAUGUUCUUGUCUACAGUUAUCAUUUAAUUUUUUUGUAGGAUGAUAUGCCAUCGUAUCUUGUAUUUUUUUUAAAAAAAAUCGCUUUAUUUCUUUUAUCUCUUGGUACUACAAACAAUACCCGUGUCAUAAGUUUAGACAGAAUAAUGCAUGUGACUAGUGCACACAAAAAACAGCAUUGUUAAAUAUUUUUAAGUUGUAAGAGGGUAUGUUCUUGUCUACACUCAUCAUGCAGUUUUUUUCUAAGACACAAAAAGCUCACAUCUACAUACACACUCAACCCUAUGAAUAUAGGGACUCAUACCAUAUUCCUAUGAGCACAUCUAAAACACGCCUAUCUUGCAAUUGAUGCACAUAACUAUCUAGGUCAACUUGUAUAAUAUUUUUUAUUUGACCUAGAAAAUUAUUUUCUUGAGCAGAAUAUUCUUUUUCUUGAGGUUGAACAUUCACAAAGCGGAUGGAUAGGCAAAAUAGGAUGUUGAGCAAACCUAAUAAAAUUAACAAAGCGAUUAUGAGCCAAAAAGAAAACAAAGACUAUGUAAAACAAACUGGAUCCAAAGACCGAAACAGGGAAACACACACACAAACAUUUAACCGACUAUACCACGCGGAAAGAAAGAGAGAAAUGCCGCCAUCUCAUCGUCGUCUUUUAGAAAUUUCGUUUCAUUGCACAGAAAAAUGCCUCACCUCAAAAGAAAAAUAAACAUAUUAUUCCUCAGCAAACUGGGAAGACAUCUCAUCGUACCGUGACUUAAAUUCGUGCAAAAUAUAUGUGCGCUCAGAAUAUUUUGGUAGACACCGGAGAUCAUAAUGUUACGUCCCUGUUUCACAUAGGUCCUAUCUUAUCUUACAAUUAAAACCCUAUAUCUGAAGUUUGCAAUGAUGACGUAACAAACAACUGAAGAAACGAAUCACCUUGAAAGAUCUUUACCAACACAAAUGUGAGGCCGUCCAAACAAUACAUUCACAACGAUUCCCCCAUCCCAGCCCAAUUUUUAGCUAGGAUGAGCAAUUACAUCACAUACGAAUUAAGAAGUAACAAACAAAGCCAGCAUAUCGAUCAGACUGCACAAAUUUUUGAACUACUAACAGGUGUGUCUUUCCACACGAUGAACUGCCCCUCCAAAAAAACCCAGCACAAGCUGGCGCGCGUCGCGCCGACCGACGAUCACCUCCGCUAUCGAAUGGCAGCGCCCUCGCACGCGAGCAGCUCUUGCCUCGCCUGCAUCGAGGCGGCAGCGGCGAUGUCGGCGCCGCCGGUUGUGGCCUUGAUCUGCUGCUGGUGGAAUAGUUGGCGUAGCCGCUCGAUCUCCUUCUUCAGUGCCUCUUGAUGAGCUGCAUUACAUCAUAUUAGCUUGAAACUUGUGUGUUGGAGACCAAAUAAAUUCUGUCUAAACUGAACAGAAGGAUCUGCUGAUACCAUCUUUGAAGAUCUUGUCUUGGGCAAGCGCCGCAAUUCUUUGCUUGAGAUGGCUGUUACCGACGGUGAGCAAUGAUCGCUGGUGAUCCAGGAAGGCCACGCGAGGGGACAGUGCUGACACCUCCAUCUGCAGCAACGAUGAAUGAUCAAACAAAUGGAUCUCAAAAUAGCUCAAGCAAAUAGUGAAUACUACUUUAGCUGAAUAGUAACCCAUGGUAGAGUUGAAUUAGCGAAACAGAGAACCACUGAUUUUGGCAAUAUCUGAAUCUAAGCAUCAGAUGGAGUAGUGUUCAAUGUACUAUGUCUGAGAGAGAAGUGGUCACCUGGAGACUGGUGACACUGCGUUCGAGCUCGGAGAUGUACUGCAGCUUCCUAACUCGUGACCUCUGAGCUGACUGCCUGUUUGCCAAUAUCCUGAAACAAAAUCACCCAAGGAACAAAGACUACGUAUUUCAGUAAACAAGACUGACAAAAUGUGUUUGUUCCUUCUUGAAAGAGUUAGUGCCAGAAAUCCAGAAUUUUCUUAAGAAGAUUAAUAUGUGCAAUGUUGUGUAGUUCAGGAAUAAUAUGUCGACUAUGUGGGUAAAAAUGCAAAUUUUAAGUGCCAGAAAUUUUUAUAGUUUCUCUCUUUUUUUCCUCUUUCAUUUGGUGAAAAUCAGAGGUUCAAAGUUGACUUUAAUUAUUACUGCUCAAAAGUAAUUAUCGUUGGUAACUUCUAAAUUCUAAUUCGAAAUUUUAGUCUACGGGAUGAGCAACAAAGUGACAGAGUCACUACUGAGAUCACAAUCUACUGUUUUACCAUGGUAGAUUUGGAAGAUGAAAAGAAGACUCUACUCAAAAUGUACUGACACAAUUUACCAGACUGCAAGUUGCAACUAACCUCUUGACCCUCUUGGGGUCAGCGACGCCGUCGGCGGCCGCCCGCGCGCUGGCCGGCGACGAGGCCGCCGCCAUUCCGUCCUCCGCGUCCCCCAAGUCCAUCAGCUGCGCGUCCCCGGCCCUCUCCGCGCCGCCGCCGCCGUCGGAGACGGCCGGCGCGUCGACGUCGGAGAACAUGGACAUGAGCUGCUCGUCGUCGAGGCGGUCGAAGUCGUCGCCGGCGAUGACGUCGUCCAUGGGCACGGCCUCGAGGAACGCGGCCGGGUCGCUGGCCGAGCGGCGGUGCGCGCCGCGCCUGGCCGCGGCGAACCCGAGGAACUCGCCCGCCGCCGACCAGUGGUCCUGCGCCGCGGCGCUCGGCGCCCUCGGUGGCAGCUGCGCCAUCUCCCCCGAGCUCCUCUUCUUCUUCCUCCUGGCACCGCUUGGCUUUAGCUAGAGAGUGCCUAGUCUCCUCUCUCCUAGACUGUUGCUCAAUGCUUUGCCGUGUUGAGACGUAUAGUGUGUAUGUAUAUGGUUAUCGGUUGCAAGAGUAGGUGGAGGCAUAUAUGCUGUGUAUAUAUCGUGGCGUGUGAGGGCACAUGCAGGGGUGAUGGUGGGGGCACGUCACACUGGAUUUGCAUUUGCAUUAGUGUGUGUGCAUGCUACAAGCCGGUAGCCUUUAGAGUAUAGAUGGUCACGUGGGCUAGCUAGGCCCGCUGGGCGGCCCGUAGCAUGGCCCGUAGUGGAUAGUGCCUGGGCCGGCCCGGCACGAUGCGCCAUGCCGUGCCUAGGCUGCCUCCCCGACAUGCUGGGCCAGCCCGAGCCCGGCACAGUUUUUGGGCCGGCCUGAUACCCCAGCCACCUCCCUCCCCAGUCGUUGGAUCAGCGGAUUAGGUCGUCCCGACCGUUGGGGGAGGGUGUAUAUAAGCCGGCGUCGGCGCCUCCCCGGCCAGAAAUCCUAGCCUGGCUCAUUCCUUUCUCCCGUCGGCCUUCACUCUGGCUCCCUCGACUCUUUCUCGCCCUCUCAUCUCCUCCCUCUACGGCGACGGGAAGCUGACGUCGGCCGCUACCCCGGCUAGAAACCCUAGCCUCCCGGCUCCCUCGCCCACUCCUCUCUCCUGUCGCUGCCUCCCUCGAAUCCUCGUCGCUCUCCACCUCUCUCUCUCUCGUCCUCUCGCACCUCUCUAGAUCUAGACACUCUCCGGCCACUCUCGUCAUCUCCUUACUAGAUCCAUUGUUCGACGACCUCGCUGGUCGCUCUGGUGCUCCGGAACCGUCAGUAAGAGCUCCGACCUCGCUGGUCGCUUUGGUGCUCCGGAACCGCCGCCGGUCGCGAAGCCGUUGAGGGACCAGAGCUCCGGUGAAUCAAUCGCGUCAACCUCACUGGCCGUUCUGAGGCUCUGGAUUCGCUGGUAAGCCAUUGAUCUUGAUAUUGCCGUCUCUUUUCGCCACUCUACUUGAUCUUGCCUUCUCUACUUUUUAUCUAGUUGUCUUCUUCGCUGCUUGUCUAGUUGUUUUCUUCCCCUGCCCACUGCUCUCUCCUGUCGCCACCUCCCUCGACUCCCGUCGCUCGCUCUCCACCUCUUUCUCUCGACUCUCAUCCUCUCGCACCUCUCUAGAUCUAGAUCACUAGAUCCACUCUCCGGCCGCUCUCGUCAUCUCCUUGCUAGAUCCGUUGUUCAUUGACCUCGUUGGUCGCUCUGGUGCUCCGAAUUCGCUAGUAAGCCAUCGAUCUUGAUCUUGCUGUCUCUUUUUGCCGCACUGCUUGAUCUUGCCUUCUCUGCUUCUCUCUUCUCUGCUUCUUGUCUAGUUGUCUUCUUCGCUACUUGACUACGUCUUGUCGUCUCAGUUUGCAGGGCAGUCCGUUGAGGGACCAAAGCACCGGCGAUAGAUGACGAGGAGGAGUUCCAGGGGGCACACCUACAACAAUGAGCUUCAGAUGCUGGGCCAACAUCCAGAUGACGAGAGUGACGUAGAGGCAGAGCGGGAAGAUGUCUUUGGUGGCAGCGCUACCGAACCAAUCGACGUCGCUGAUGGCAGCGAUGACAGUGCUGGAUUAGCAGCAGCAGCAGUUGCUGAUCGAGACAUGGUGAGCAGCGACACCAAGAGGAGUCGUUCCACCACCUCUGAAUGCUGGAAGGACUUCGAAAAGAUAUUCAAGGACAUUGAUGGUAAGGGGGUAAGGGUCUCUGCCAAGUGCAUUCAUUGUGGCACUUUAUACGCUGCUCGAUCUUCUAUUGGCACUGGCCAUCUAAACCGGCAUGUUGAGAAAUGCCCAGCGAGGAAGUCAAAGCUUUGUGUUUUCCAAUAUUUGAUCCAGUUCAAUUUGGACGGAAGUGUCCAUCACUGGGAUUAUAGUUCUAAGGUAGCUCGUACUCAGCUAUGUCGAAUGAUUGCUAGACUUGAUCUUCCUCUUAGCUUUGGUGAAUCUACUGCAUUUGAAGAGUACAUUAAGCUUGCUCAUAAUCCUAGAUUCUCUACUAUCUCUAGGCAAACGACCACUAGAGAUUUCAGCAAGUACUUUAAUGAUUGCCUAAGCUAUUGAAUCAUUAACUAGUGUUUCAUAUGUGCCAAUCUCUUCUGAUAUCUGGUCUGAUAAUGCUAAGGAAGAUUACCUUAGUGUGGUUGCUCAUUACUUUGAUUGGCAAUUAGAGAAGAGGAUAUUUGGUUUUAGGCUCAUUGAUGAAUCUCACAAUGGCUAGAACAUUGCUGAUCAUGUGACUGUUGUGCUUGAGGAGUAUGGUUUGAUUUCAAAUGUGUUUUCUGUUACUUUGGAUAAUGUCUAUGCUAAUACCAAUGCUAAUGAGAAACUGAGUCCUAAAUUGUCUGCUUAUGUUGGUAAAGUGUUCUUGCAUCAGCAUUGUGCUUGUCAUAUCAUUAAUCUUAUGGUUAAAUCCGCCUUGCAUCAGAUUAAGCAAUAUCUUGAAGCAUUUAGAGAUGCAAUUUCUUUCAACAAUUCUUCUAACCAGCGCAUUACUGCAUUUAAGAUAUUCUGCCUUGCUAUGAAUGUUCGUCCUAGAAAGUUUGGUUUGGACAUGGAUGUCAGGUGGAACUCCACAUACCUCAUUCUUAAGCAUCUGAUCCCUUACAGGCAGACAUUUAAUGUUUUUAUUGAGACUAACUAUCCCGGGGUGAAAAAUAUCCUUUACUUUUGACAGAAGAUCACUGGACUGUUGCGGAGAGUAUAUUAUCAUUCCUUGAACUGUUUUAUGAUUCUACUGUUGCACUUUCUGGUGUUUAUUAUCCUACAUCUCCACUUAUGUUGCAUCAGCUUAUUUUGAUUGCUAAGCAUCUGAAAUAUUAUGAAAAUGAUGAAUUGCUUAGGUAUGUGGUUGUUCCUAUGAAAGAUUACUAUCUUAAGUAUUGGAGGGAUAUUUCAAUGCUUUAUUCUGUUGCAUUCAUCUUGGACCCUAGAGCUAAAUUGAAAGGUUUUCAAAAUGUGCUCGGGUUGUUAUCUAGUCUUAUUGGUACUAAUUAUUCUACUUACUUCACUGAUGUAAGAGUUGAACUUUCUACUGCAUUUAAGCUGUAUGAUGACAAGUUUGGUGCAGUUAAAUUACAAAGGUCUCCACUGCCAUCCAGUUCUGAUAAGAAAAAUAAUACUUGUGAUGACAUGUUUUCAAGUGGUGGUGAUGCUGAUGUAUCUGCUUUUGGACUUGGUGAUGUCCCUGGUACUUCUUUCUCCACCCCUCCUCCCGCUUUGCCUCCCACUUUGUCUAGAAAAUCAUUUGCAAGUGCUUUGAGCAAGCACUGGUGCAACUAGUAUGGGUAUUGGCUCUGAACUCUCUAUCUACUUGGAUAGUGACACUAUCACCCAUUUUGAUGAUAGCUUCAACAUCUUGAAUUGGUGGCAUGAGCAUAAACGAACUUAUCCAGUUCUGUCAAUCUUAGCUAAAGAUGUUCUAACUGUGCCUGUCUCUACAGUAUCAUCAGAGUUUGCUUUUAGUACAUCUGGCAGGAUCAUCGAGGAAAGGCGGCGUCGAUUGAGCUCUGAGAUGGUGGAGAUGAUCUCUUUGCAUCAAGGACUGGGAGGCUGCAGAAGCAAGAAUUCAGAACCUGGUGGAGGAUAAGGAACUUGAAGAUAGUUUUACUAAUUUGUAUCUAGAUGUUCCCGGUGAUUCAGAUGUGUAACUCAAACUUGGCCUGUAAUAAUUUUGAACUACUUUAAUGUUUAUUUGAUUGAGCUAGGCUGCACUCUUUUUUCCUAUCUAGGAUUUCUCACGAGGUGUGAGUUUUACCUAGAUAGGUUUUCAAUGAGGCAGCCAUUGCACCAGCUCAAACUUUUGAAAUUGUUUCUCCUAUCUCUGGUUGUGGAUUGGACUGUGGUCUAAAUGUGCGAUGAUGUGAAUUCUGUAAUUUUGAUGAAAAUUUUUGCAUCUCCUUAACUUGGAGUUUUAGUUGAGUGGUGCCUGACCUAUAGUGCCAGCCGUUCACGGGGCGAUGCUGGCCCGACACUAACACAGUAGUACCAACUAUACUAGCAGGUCAGCCCGGCACGAUAAAAAGGCCAUCGUGCCGGACCUGGGCUAGCAGUUCGGCACGCAGUGCCGGUCUGACCUGGCACGGCACGAAAAAGCCAUCGAGCCUAAUAGUGCCGGGCCUAUUCGAGGUCGGGCCAAAUCGGGCUAGUGUCGGCGGCCCAUCUGGCGCUAUGUACUUUAGAGGUGGUUUGUUGCAGCAUCAUGCAUGUGUGUUAGGGCUAUGCAUAUCAAGAUCCAAGGGAUGUGGUAGGUUAGGUGGUUAGGGGCAGUCUACUACCCAGGGCAAUAAUUUCAUCUUCUUGUCAAUGCCAAAAAAAAAGCUAACCUUAUAGCAUUGUUUUGAUUUACAUUACCUUUUAAGCAAGCAAGAAAGUGUAUUAAUGUUGAUGCUACUAUAUAUGUGAGCUGUUGGUGGUUUUGUAGAGAGAGCUUGUGUUAUGGAUGACUUGAUGCAGCCUGUGGUUAGUUAUCCAAAGGUACAGUAAUUAUAUUAGCUAGGUAGGGCAAAGUUAGUUAGGAUCUAUUUGCUUCUUUGAUGGGAGGGGAAAAGGGUGGCAAGUAGCACGAGAGCAAGGAUGGAUGGAGGGAGGCCACAUGAUGGGGGGAAGGAGACAGCUAGCAACAGCUAAGUGAGAGACUGUGGAGGAAGAUGCAUGGCAAUCACACACAUACAUGGGUAGAAUAGAGAGAUAGACUGGUAGCAGCAGCAGUGGAGUACUUUUUAAUUUUUUUUCUCUCCCAUAAGUUUAUUAAUUAAUUAAUCAUGGAGCUGCAGGGACUACUGGCUUCUCUGGUUCUGGGUUUCAGACUUGGGAGCCCGGCCGUCAGCUGGCUGGCAGCUGCAGCUGCCGAGCAGCUCAACCACGUGCUGGAGACCAGAGGUGUGGUCACUUGCUGCUGCUCCUCUGCUCUGCUAUGCAUGCUACGAGCAGUUCAAAAAUUCGGCGUGGAUUUUACAUCCCAGAUCCAGAGAUUCUAGCGCGGAGAUAAGGAUGAAACAUCGCUGUCGAACGAAGGACAAUGCCGAACGACCAUGAUGGUGAGGUUAACAGUUACUCCUACAUGCUAGCAUGUGUUUGAUACGAUGUGCUAAACUUUAACAGUAUCACAUCGGAUGUUCGGAUGCUAAUUAGGAAAAUUAAAUAUAAGUAAUUAUAAAAUUAAUUGCAGAACUUUGGGUUAAUUCGCGAGACGAAUCUAUUAAGCCUAAUUAAUUUAUCAUUAGUAAAUGGUUACUGUGGCAACACAUUGUCAAAUCAUGGACUAAUUAGGCUUAAUAGAUUCGUCUAGCGAAUUACACUCCAUCUGUGCAAUUAGUUUUGUAAUUAGCCUAUGUUUAAUACUUAUAAUUAGCAUCCAAACAUCCGAUGUGACGGGUGUUAAACUUUUAACACCCUAGAGCUAAACAGGUCCUAAGUUGCUUGGGAAUAAUGGAAUAUAUCAUUUGAGACUAUAUAGAGUAUAGUUUAUCUGACUGCAUGCCAUGGAUCGGAGCAGCUCAGCUUGGAGGCUGAUACGGCGGGGCGGCGGGCACGCUGCAUGAUCUUCGAUGGAUGCUUUAUAUUCUUCUCCUCUGUCAUGCGCUGUCUGUUACCAGGACCCAAACACGAAGCAUAUGUAGCAGCCGGGGGCGGCACAUGAGAGCAUUACCCAACGUGGCUGAUCAAAGGACGCACCACCUUGGUGUAGCUUAUAGUUGCCUGCUUGUGGAGUAGUUAGUUAAUUAGCAUUAGGAGAACAUAUACGUUGCAUAUAUAUAAGUUAUUUUGACUCCACCAAAGUCCACCGUCUUCGAUCUCAGCGUUUAGCUUGGAUCUGUUUGGAACCAGUGAAUUGUACCAACUCAUAUUCGAACCGUUUGCCAUGAAAUUCCCGCACUCGUAAGUCAUAACAUCUUCUUAUUAGUUCAUAAGUAAAAAUAAAUAAUUAAACCAUUACCGCGGCGGCGGUUCAUAAAUCAUAAUAAAAAUUAAAAAAAAGGGCAUUACUGGCGGUGGUUAGAGUAGGAGAAGAAAGAGAGGGCGGCAGUAAGGCGUGGGGAGCAAGUUGCGCGGACUCAAAGCGGGGGCACAAAAUAAUGCGGUGCCCCCCAUGGCCAUGUGCCCGCUGGCCGUAGGACAUUCCCACGAACAGGGCCCCGAUCGCUCCACAUGCGCGUCACAUGCGCCGGCCUCCGCUUUGCUUGCUUGCUCUCGCUUGCUUCCUGCCAACGUGUGCUCACCACCAGCUAGCUAGCUAGCUACUCGCAUCCCUGCCCUGCUUUGUGCUUCUCGCAUAUAUGCAUAUGCAUACGGUACGGUGCCUUCCUUGCAUUGCACACACACAUGUAACCAUAUAAAAAAAAUAUUCGUCUACCAUUUCCUAUCUUUCUAUCUCUAUCCCUUCGUGUUCGCCAGCCAAUGCGCGUCGAUCUCCUUGACGCUGUCCUACGGCUGUCCCUGCAGGCUGCAGCCUGCAGAUGCAGGCGGCAGGCCUCUCUCCUUGCUGGGUUUUUCUUUUUCAAUGCAAGUAGAGGGCAGUGGUAACUGGUAAGUAGGACCCGUGAGCUUGUUUCCUUUUGCCAGCCAGCCACAGCCAGCGGCACAUGCACGGCGGCCCCCCCAGCUCGAUCGGUCUCGUCUCUCCUCUCUCGUGAUGUUAAAUCGCCCAUCACCUUGCAGAUUAUGCCGAGCGAGUGAGGGUUAGGGUGGUGAAGAUGGCGUGGACCAGUGCUUUCUUUUAUCUGCCGGUAGCUCCUGUCGUCCCCUUUAUUUUUAUUUAUGGACGACAGUUUUUGUUUUUUGUUUUUUUUUUGCAUCUGGUGCUGUGUCUCUUGAUAUGACAUAAAAAAUUGUAAGGGAUUUUUUUUUGUAGCAUUAGUGCCGGGAUACAUUACGAGAUGGCCAAAGUAAUAUCAUAUUGACACCACACUCCAGGGGUCCAUUUGUGCGGAGUUAUCGACACAGAUCGCAAAAUCGGGUAGCUGCUCAGCUACCGUACGUGGCCCCCCUUAAUCCUACUGGGACCAACCAUUCUGUAAUGAACUGUGACACUGCUUGGGCGAUUCAAACUGACCAAACAUAAAGAAACGCACACGACCAUAUAUUCAGUUGUGAAAUGGCACGUCCGCUGAACUCCUCCUCCUCCUCCUCCUCCUUUUGGUUCGGAAGCGUGUCCAGAAUGCACUUCAAGAGUCAGCAGGCAGCAGUUCAGGCAUACGAAUUCUUUGUCAGGCUUCUUGUACCUGAAGCGCGACUCAUCUGUUGCUCGCAAUAAUAUAUUAUCGUUCAAGGCCGGAGAGAGAAAACCAUAACGUUUUCAUGUGCCAAGACUCUUCAGGUAACAGACCCAUUUGGUCUGGAACAAACUUGCUCGCACAGUCCACAGCACAUGAGAACAUGCAAAAAAAAAAAGAGAGAGAGAGAGAGAGAGAGAGAGAAUAGCUACCUAAUAGAUUCCAGGAAGAACUAUAUUUUAUCUCCAACAACCUUAUUCACAGGUACAAGCAGGCGAACAAUUGGUAUCAUCCACACUACCACACGUUAAGCAUAAUGGACAAGUACGAUGAGUGGUCGUAUUUUACAUGGAAAGAAGAUAGUAUCUUUAUUACUGUAUAGGUAUCACUAUCAUGAUGAGAUUAUUCAUGACUCGUCUAAGAGCAAUGGUAUAUCUGUUUCUUGUAACAGAAAUGGUAUGAGAAGUUCCAGAACAACAGAAACCGAAACCAAGUUGUUACUAUGUUAGAUCCGUCAGAGGUGUAGACCAAAGAAUGAUGGAUCGCACCGCAUAAUAUUUACACUACUAGAAUACAGAAACUUAUUGCCGUGACGACCGACCAAUUGAUAGUAUUCACAUCCCCAUUGUGCAGCCAUAUGAAACUAUCAGUUAAGCUAUCUCCUUUUAGUUUUGCCAACAAUAAAAGGUUGGAUCUCUUGCCGGGAAAAUGCUCUGUUGAAAAGAACCCGAGUUUGGAUGGCAGAGAUAACAGGCAUCCAUGCAAGCACAGCAAUUGGGGAGAAGAGCAGAAAUCCCAUUCCAUAGUCGUAAGCAUGAGCUAUGACCUGAAUAGGCUCCCAUAUCGCAUAGUACUCUAUUUUUGGUCUCAAAACUUGAACAAUCUGUAAGAAAAGGAGGGAGGUUAGUGGACUAGAGGAAAAAGAAAUUAUCUUAACAUCAAUGGUGAGCUGCCAGUUGAUACUUACAAGGAGAAGACCCCAACCAGUUGGUAUGAAUGCGAGGCAACAGAUGAUCAAAUCCAUGAUGGAUAGUUGGCAGAGACAAUAGAGAAGAAUUAAGGAAGUAACGACCGCCAGGAAUAUCAAAAGUUUUAUGACCCUGAAGAUGAGUUGGUGCUUUGAGCUCAGCCGACGGCUAGCACAAUUAACAAGCUGGAGCAGAUUCAAAUAAACAUAAGAAUAUUAUAGUUGGAAAGGGAAAUCAGCAUAAGGAUAAUGAAUCUCAGUUGCAUGAAACGAGAUAUAAUUUUAGAGAUGAAGCUGGUCUGCUGGUACCUUAACUAAACCAAUAACGGCAAUUAUCACAACCCAGGAAAGUAAAUAGACAAGGAAGUUCUUGUUGUCUUGAGAGAUAUUCAGGUGAUAGACAAGUCCGUAUUGAUAUAUAAAGAAGCGUAGCGAGAGCAACACUUCAAGAAUUCUAGAACUCAACACUGAGUGACGUAGAUGUGCAUUCUCAGCAUUCCACCAUGACUCCCAGCUCUUUUCUGGUUGCACUCCUAUGCCCCCUUGAUUCCUCAUCCACCUGUUCCAGUCAGCCCAGUCAUCAACAAUUUUUUGCCAAGCAAAACCAGCUGGGUUAAAAAGGAAAGGAGUAAACAGCCAAGUCACUGCCAUAAACCAUGUUGAAUAUGUGAUCAUUACGUGCACCACACUGCUCACAUAAGACCUCCUAAAGAUGUGGUAGACUAUCAAAAGGAAGACCAACUCAAAUCCUUUGACAAAGUGACUUCUGGAAUACAACUGAUAGUUUUCUGUGAAGCUUGCGUGGAAAACUACAAAUUUACGCCCUGUGGGCCGGUAUUUAGCACCCCCAUGGAGAAUAGUACGGCCAUAGUAGUGUGCUUUUGUUCCAAGAGAGAAUGUGAAGAAAACUGAAGCGAACUGCAAUUGCAUGAGGAUAAAAUCACUCAGAGCUGAACGGAAACCCUUCUCCAAACCAAGCUCCAUCACCAUAGGCAAUCCUGUAAGCAGUCCCAGCUGGAGAAAAGACUGAGAUGCAAGAGCCGUUUCUAAGGACUUUAUAUUCUGAGUCUGAGCAUCAUGUAACAGAGCCCUCUGCAGGCCACUGAGAACCAAGUAUAACUGCCCAUAGAGAAAAACAUAAACCCCAACAACUGAUAUCUGCACAACAUAUGGAUCAAGGGAAACAAUUAGAGUGAUAGGUGGUGCUGAGGUCCAUUAUUAUUGUAACAGGAACUUUGCCCCCUGCCCUGGGCCUUCUAAAAAACAAUCCCAAACAAAGGAAAUAUAAGAAGAGAAAUAGUUUUCGUAGAACCCCUCCAAUCAUGUAUCAAGAAAAAGAAUAAAAUAUAGAAUUAUAUCCAUAACCUUCAGAAUUUGAUUAAAUCAAUAUAGGUUUGAUGAUCUUUCAUGGGUAGUUAAAGGUAAUAUUUUCCAAGGAACUCCAGCUGGACGAAAGCGUAAUAAGAAAUAAAAAAAGUAGGAACUAAAAAUACACGAAAAACACAAAAAUAAUUAAUUAAUCUGAUUUUUCAUGACAGCAUAAAUCUACAAGAACUCACUAGACAUAUUAUGAAUAAAAGGUGAAAGAAUAAUCCUUCCGUCCUCAAUGUGCAGCUCCAUAAAUAUGUUGGUAAAAAUGACGCCAACAACAAAAAGUAGAGAAUGCAUAUCUUCUAUGAUAUUGUGAAAUCCAAAAUAUUUUUGACAUUAUAUAGAUUUUGAACAUAAGAAACUACUCCAGGAAUCCAAAAGGUUUAAGAAAAUUAACAAGGAGUAAUAAUAAAUCGCAUACUAAAAAGAAAUUUAAUUUCUGCCAGACAAUAUUUUAGAUUUUGACGAAUAAGAUAAGCCUGAACAUUUAAAUUCUACCUUAUUAACAUUUUUACAUAAUUGUUUGAGAUUAUUUUUUAUUUUAUAAAGAAAGAAACCCAGAGAGAGAGAGAGAGAGAGAGAGAGAGAGAGAGAGAGAGAGAGAGAGAGAGCAUACUAGGCUAUUGAAGUAAAAUCCCACGGUCGUAAAAUAGCAUGAAAGCAUCCUGAAGAAAUCAAAUCUCCGACCUAGCCGGUGAAUAUCACGACUUAUUGUCUGCUCACUAUUGCCAUUUGCUACUUUAGCUUCAAAUUUUGAUAUCUGAUUAAGACCAACAUCACGGCCUUUACCAACUUGAAUGUACUCAUUGUAAAUUAUAUUCCCACGACGCAAUAUAGAAUUAUACCCUGUAAAAAGAAUUUGAAAGCAGCAAUUAGUUUAGAAAAUUAUAUGAUAAUUUCAAUUUCAACAAAAGGAAAACUAGAACUUACCAGCAAACACAUCCUCACUUAAGUUUAUAGUUUUAGAUGCUUUACUUAUUCCACCUCUUGUUAAAUGGAAUAUCCGAUCAAAAAUGUCUGGAUGGCCAUAGUGAAACCGCACCCUACAGUGAAGGAAAAAAUCCAUAUAAAUAAUAAAAUUGGCUUCAGAAUGGGCUUCUUACAUAUGCAUAUUCUAAGUAGAAAUUUAUGAAUAACUGUGUGUUGUCCUCACUACCCCGCACCCAAUUUUUACAGUGUCUGGACUAUAGCUGGAGCUAAAAAGGUGGGACUCUUGACCUUGGUACUAUCAAUCUAUGAGAAAUCAAAAUAUAUAGCUAUUAACAAAAGGUAAAAGAUUUAAAAUGUCAUCCAUGAACUCUAAAAUGCUGCAAAUGCCAUUUAUAACUAGAAAUGGCACUAUAUCUGAUUAAUUUCUUUUAUGUGACUAUAAAUUGUUCCAACCACCUUCAUCCUCCGUCUUUAUGUAGUGCUUCCUUCUCACAGCCACCGUAGCUUUAGUACUAUACGCCAAUAUGUUUUCAUGCCACACCUGUGUUACUACUGCUGCCUCAUUUGAGACCACUGCUGAACCAUCUAUACAGGAACUUGCAGACACAAGUCACAUCUUGCUACAUUGUGGCCCAAAUCCAUGCAUCAACACCAAAGCAAUAAAAUAAUAGGGGACACAGAAAUCCAAAGAAGAAUUAAUUCCAUCACAAAAGGUUGAAAGGCCUAAAGCCUCACAGGUAGCCCAGGUGCUCACGCACAGAACACACACGUACACAGCAGUCUCUUUUUGGUGCUGCAAUUGCUUGCUGCCUUUUCUGUUUUCUUCUCUACUUAUACACAGCCGAGAGCUACAAUAGGGCCUGUAAAUGAAAGAUAAUAACUACAGCCAUCACUACCUUGAUUGGCUUAUUAUUCUCACUAACUAGCAGCUGGAAAUAUGCUAAGUAAAUAGACUCUGCACCUAGACACUCUGAAUCUGGACAGGUUCUGCACCUAGACAUUUUGAACCUGGACAGCACGCACAGGAUUACUCCUAACAAAGGUGACCAUUAUGAAAAAAUCACCACAACUACCUAAUAUUUAAUACACAAACAAGAAAAAAAGGGGUAGGGAGGGCAUAGCCCUGAUUGGUCUAACUAAUCUCUGCCAGUAAACGCAACCAUAUUCACCAUCCCUCAUCCAAUGCAUUAGCUACAGUCUAUGAAUGAUCCAUCGAAUCACUUGAAAAAGUUAAAAGUCUGGAAGUGUAGAAGUAACAUUCUGAAAGAAAAAACUCAACCACCUAGGAGGAACUAGGUGACAAUGUAAAUAAGAUGCAAGAGACACCCAAAUUCGAGUAUUAGAGGACUCGAACCUGGGUGAGCUAGGCUCAGUUCCAAAAGGUAAAAGUAGCAUUUUGAGAAGAAAUGUUGAAAACAAGGGGCAUGAUCUCAUCAGAAAUUAGACCUUAAAAGAAGAAUUUAGUUUGUGCCAUUGUUGCCCAUAUUAUAAGACAUAAAAUAAGAAGUGUGUUUUCACCUAAGGGGAUCAGCAAGAAAUCUUUGUCCAAUUGUAACAAAGCUUGUCUCUUGAUAUGACAUGAAGCCAGCAAGAGAUGAAACACUGUACAAACAAUAGUAGAAUAAUUAUCCUGCUAGAGACAAAACAAAUUUCAAAGAAAUAUGUUGUAAGAUUACAGACCUUCCAGUGAAGAUAUGCUCUCUAAGCCCAAGGAUGGUUGGAGCUUGGUCCCUAGGAUGCCUUACAAACUCUUGAAGGACAUUCCUCAUUUUGUAAGCUUCUUCCAGAUAGUUGUCCUGAUACCAAGUUACAUACAUGAACAUAAAAACUACAAACAAAGAGAGAACAUGAUUAUAGAAGCAUGUGCAAUUCAUUACUUGAUUCAUAUCAAUUGUUUGUAGAGCUUCUCCACGAGUGAAGAUAAUGGCAUGGUUUUGAUUUUCUGGCUUCCCUUCUCCAAUGAUGGGCGGACCAGGCAGCUUUAUACGGUAAAUCUCCUAUGGACAUAACCAACAAGUCAGCAAAGGCCAAGGGAUUACGGUGACUAAAAAUGAACCAUAUGUUUUUGCAAGCAAGAUUGUUAAUGGGGAUGAUAAUUAUGUUUAAUGAUAAUGAGAGAUAGUCAUGAUGACUAAAUAGGAGAGGUACUUUCAAGAAAUCUUAGGUGUAAUCAAUACAAUACUUCGUACUUUUAGUCUUAAUCUGAGAUCAUUACCUGGUCAAAAUUAUUUUCUGCUUUUAUUAACACAGAGGAAUAAACCUUAUGAGGAGAGCUAUGUAGUAUGACUUCCUUCUCUUCAAUAUAAGCAACCCGCAGAGUAGGGUACCUUUAUUGGGCACAAGUGAAAAAGAUCAGGAUGACUCUAGUGACCAUCAUUUUUCUACAAUUAUAUAUGUUCCAAUGCAUACCUCGUCAUCAGAUCUAUGAUGUCUUGAGCAUGGGGAUCACCUUUGAUUUUCUGUUCCCCAAACUUCUGACAUGAAAUGACAUAUGAAAAUUUCAUAUCUGCAAGUGCUUCUAUUUCAGUGGAUAAUGAUUGGUGGAUGUUUCUUUUAUUUUUUCCUUGCUCAGUAGCCAAAGGUCCUUUAUAUAAUUCUGCAUAAGUUUUUCUGAAUUGAAUUAGUGGAAAUAUAACCGUUUCCAAAGAAACAUAGAGCUGAAUGUUUUUUUCCUUAAACAGGAAACAUAGAGCUGAAUAUUAUGAAAUCACAAGAACUGCUACCAGAACUUUAUACAAGUAUUGUCAUUCUAGUGGUUAUAAAUUUCCAUUCAUGCAGAAAUAGGAAGUCAUUACUGAAUUUCGUUAGGACAAGACUUCCAUACGCACCUUGAUCACUUGUCCUGUCUAGGAAAGCCUGUAGUCUCAAUGCCCUCCUGUAGUACAUCAUUCCCCGCACUAGAUAGUUUAUAAUAAAAAUAGGAGUGAGAUGGGGGAGCCAUGAGCUUAAAUCAUAAUACAGCAAAUGAGAAUGAUACUCUGGAUUACCAGUUCGGCUCAGUGUUUGACCACGGUAGGAAGCCCAGUAUCUAAUUUCUUCAUUUGUAGCCUUUGAACCAAGGCGUUCCAAAAAGUUUUUCCAUUGAUCUAAAAUCACAAGAAUACCUCAGUAAUGUAAAUAUGGAUGUCUCAGCUUGAUAUACCUUAGUGACACAUGGUAAUCCAGUAUGUCUUCGUAUAAAUCAAUGCAAGCAGUUGCAGUAGAAGUCAAAAGAAGGUUUUGCUAUAUAGGUGACCUGGAUAAAUCUUUUGCAUGUAGGAAAGGAUGGAUGCUUCAUCUUGAUUUGAAUGGAGUUCUUCAUCUGAAAACUUCACUUCUUCCAUGAAAUAUGGAGUUACUAUGCUGGAUAAAGUAUGUAAUGUCAGAAUACACUGUAACACAUACUCCCUCUGUUUCAAAUUGUAGGUCGUUUUGGCUUUUCUAGGUUCAUAGAUGUUUGUAUGCAUCUAGACGUACACUAUAUUUAGGUGUAUAGCAAAAACUAUGCACCUAGAAAUGCCAAAACGAUCUACAAUUUGGGACGGAGGGAGUAAAUCACAGUUGCUUUCCAUUGAGAUGGAUGCAGAUAUCAGAAUUAUUGAACAAAGAACUACAAUCAACAUAACAGCUUGCUUCUAUUUAUAGCAACUCUUAUUGGUUAUCAUCUUCUUGAGGAGAUUAGCAGGAAAACGCCCAAGAUCAUAAACUGGUUGCUUAUGGUUGUAUUCGAGGGUUCUUGGUAAUCAAUGUUACUGAAGGUACUCCUAUAGGUUAUAACUGAACCUUGAGAUGGACUUAUUAGGAGACAGUAUGUUACAACAGGUAGCUACUCCAAUAGAUGAAAAGCGAAAGAAUAUAUUCAAUGGAGAUUAUUCAGGGAUAUAGUGUGAAUUAUUUAGACUUUUAGCAUCAUCAGGUAAUCUGGAUUUGGUUAAUCUCUGAGAUAGAUCAUGUGUGCAAAUUAUGCUACUUUUAUUUGGCAGUGCAUUCCAUCAAUAUUCAAAUAAUCCUAUAUUCUUCUGGCAGCAGAUCGACAACGAUCACUUUGUCAGACACAGUCACACAGAUCAGAACAAAAAAUAAAUAAAGCACUCAAUAAAUUUGGAGUUAUUCAAGUAUUACCUAAAUGAUAACAUACUGCGAACUUUUGGAGCUGCAGGCAUAUCCAUAAAUAGAGAUGUGGCAAAGAACGAAAUGCGUCGCCUAGCCUCUGAAUUUGAUGGUAUUUCUACAACCUUUUCUUUUGUAUUAAGCAAAAGGUAAAGGCGUUUAACCUGAAUAUACAAGAGCAUUUCAUCACUCAAAGAGUUAUAAUCUGUUCGAUUGUCCUUAGGUAAUCAAAUGUUAGCUCAGACCUGUUCUUUUUGCUGACCAUCAAGAAAUGGAUACCGGAUGUUUGUAAUUGAGCUGACUGAUGCAAAGAGCUCUGGUUGAUAGUACCCAAAUGCGCCAUCAUCAUCGGAGAUCAGUCUCUCGGAAGAAUUAAUCACAUCCAAUAUACUGUACAAAUAGGAGGUUAUUAUACUGGUACAACAUAAAUAAGAAGUAAAAAAUUUAUUAAUAAAUUCUUACCUUUGAGAAUCCACAAUCAUAUCUUGAAUUAGAAUAUCAACAAUAUCUUGAAGCAGAAUUGUCACCUCAUAUCGAUGUUCUUGUUUGUUUAUAAACUAGGUAACACAUGCAAGAAAAUUUCAUUAUAUUGGUUGGUGCGUGCUGAGGAUUUAAAAGAGAAGGAAAGGCUGUCUGCACUAUCUUAAUAGAGUUCAAGAUAUAAGAAAAGACUGUAUCAGCAGUCCAUCAAUAUAAAGAGCUCAAGAGGAAAUAAUCUAUCCUCGCUUUGAAGUUCUCCAAAUUUGAUGCUGCAUUUCUAAUUACAUCUAGCAAUAAUAAAUACAAGGUGACACUUAAAAAAAACUCUUGCAUGUUUGACCUGUCUAAAUACAGCUUGACACUCCAUUAUAUAUACAUCCUCCAUAAUUCAACUAUAGCUAUCCACUUCCACUUAAACUAAUAAUACAGAACCUUACUUUCUCUGAUGUAAAUCUUUGCCUUAGUCCUGGCCAGUGACUGGCAUGACAUAUGAGAAUACAGAGUAAGCAACAAUCCUACUGUCAUGGUUUGGGUUUCGGAGGGAAGGUGAGCUCCUCGGUGACAAACUGCCCAAUGAUGGGUGCACCUGUAGUACAGGGAGAACGAGGUGGGGUUGAGAGCGGGGUGGGGGUCGGGGAGCAUGGGCAUCGAAGAUGAUUAUCUUCAAGCACUUGAGGAUUUUAUCUUAUCAAGCCCCUCACAACUCAGCUUCUUAGGGCUGGUUGACAUGAGCAGUUUCUGAGGAUGGUUUGGCUGCUUGCCCUCCUACACGGCAUGCUAGGUCACAUGGCCUUCCUUCUUAUAUAAUGGAGCCUCACCUUAACAUGUAACAAUUGCAAAACAAGGAAAGAAGGAUAUGCCUAGGUUGCAGUAAAAAAGGAUACACUGUUGAGCAGGUAGAUUGUCAAAGCAGAGCAUAGAAUUGCUCUACAAAAAUAGAAUCUAGAAUCACCAUGCAUAUGACAAGGACAUAGCAACAAAACAGCGAAGUAGACCACAAGAAAUAGAAGAGGGGUCGUAGAUAGUUCUAGCACAGUGAUUACCAGAAGUUCAGCCAACCGAUCAAAUUUGCUGAACAGUGAAGGCAAAUGAUCCAUCUUAAAAUCAGUCAGAAGGCUUGACUUCAGAAUACUCUUUUCUAUUUCAUCGAAUAUGGCAGCUACCACCCUGAACACAAUCUGUAGACAUCAUAAUAAUAUUCACAGGAACAUAUACUACAAAAACUGCAAGCAUAGUUAUGAUGAGAAAUCAUAACUAGUUAUGGAGGUAAUCUUGGAAUAAAUUGGAGUACCUCUUCUCUGUCUCACCAAUGAUGAGAAAUUUGAAAAUAGUUUUUGUCAAUUGGUAGAAAUCGUUGAUAGAGCAAAACAUGUAGCCAUCCUUCUUAAUUUUCCAGAAUAGUUGAGCACUUUUUCCAGUAAAAUUUGCUACCAUAUCUACUGCUUCUGAAAACUAGAAUGUAAUAGAAACAAAUAUGAGAAUAUAGAUAAAUAUAUGCUGGCAGAGAUAGAAAGGGUACAGACAUAUGCCAGACUGCAGAAGUCACGAAAAAUCCGUUACUGAAGUACAGCUUAAAAGAAUGUCUUGGAAAGGGAGAAGAAAGAAUAACUAUUCUAAUACUAUUCAAGGACUCAAAAAGAAAGUCAGUUUUUGAUGAUUUUUUUUUGUUUCCCCUAACUUGUUCUGUGUUUAUAACUUCAAAUUGUAAAGAUUUGUUUAUGAUCCGUAGACUGUUUCCUUUUUUUUCAUUUUGUGGUGUGUGUGUGUAAAUGACAGUUUGCAAUAGACAUAUCCCCAUAUAAGGUAAAGGAAAACUUUAGUGAUGCUUCUUACAAGCAUGCAGCUAGCGUUACUGAAAACAUGUGUCCUCAUAAAGUAAUGUUUUCUAACUUUAAAAUUAAUAACUUUUUAAGUGAUUAAGGUCUAUCAUCACCAGGCUUUAUUCUGCAUAAUUCCAAAUAAUAUUAUAUUUAAGAAAGCUGCAUUUGCAUAAUAAUGUGCUAGUUGUGAGAGACACAUUAUAUUCUGUCAAAGGUCUGUGGAAACAGGAAAAAUAAUUUAUAAAAAUAAAUAGAUUAUACCAACUUCAGCACUAUGAAGGUGUUGCAAAAUAGAGUACAUUUUAACGAAACCACAAGAUGUCAUGUACCAUAGAAUAGAUCAGCUUACCUUUUUAGCAAGUAGAAACAAUGGCCAACGAAUAGAACCAGGACUAUGCUCUAGUGACAUGGGCAUCGUCAUCAAAUCCAUCUCUCUGGAAAACAUUGUUUUUCUUUACAGGGCUGAUGAAACCUAAGUUGCAGCAGAGCAGAGUAAUCAAAGUGUACCUAUUGCUUAUUAAGUCCUCUGAACGGAAGCUGAGUAUUAUCUGGUUCCAAACCAAAGCAAACUUCGUCGGGUCGAGUCUUUCAGCUUUACCUACUUUCUGAAAACAGGGAAUCAUUUGAAAAAAAAAAAUAGAGUUCGCAUAAGGAGAAAAAGUGAUAUGGCUAGUUGAUUGGCUAAGAACACAAUGGCAGAUUGAUAAACAACCUGCUCGCCUUCCCUAGGAGGCUCUAAGCUUUGAGGUUUAUCUUCUGCUUGAACUAAUCUAUUGCGCCUAUGGCUCUUAUAUAAUGAGCCGGCUUACAAAAUCCCAACUAACUAGGACUCUAUCUCUAAUCUGAACCUAAACUAAUUAGCCUCUCCUGGAGGAGGCGGGCCCUUGUUCCUGCGGUGAAACUUCUUGCCGAAGAAGUUGUCCACAACACUUCCGCCCACCUGACAGAAAAGCUCGUCCUCGAGCUUGAAAUCUGGGUAGCUCUCUUUGAAAGUGUGAAGCGGCUCCCAAGUAGCAUCAGCAGCUCCACGACCUACCCAUUGCACCAGAAGAUCCCAGGAGGUGGCUGUCAGCUUGGCACGCACCACCUUCGCCGGAGUAGGCACUGCGCGACCAUGAACCACAGGCGGCAAGGCGACGAUGUGCUCAGGCACAGGACCCUGGUGCUUCUUCAGAAAGACCACAUGAAAGACAUCAUGGAUCUGAGCCUUUGGGGGUAGGCAAAGACGGUAUGCCACCGACCCAUGCGUUUGACCACUUGAAAAGGCCCAUAGAAGCGGGGAGCAAGCUUGGCGUUGGACUUGUCAGUGAUGGCCAUGGCUGAGUGUUGAUGCAGGCGCAGCCAUGCCCAUUCGCCCACCACAAACUCCAGCGCUCGGUGAGCUUUGUCAUGCGUUGCCUUCAUGUAGUCCUGCGCCUGAAGAAGACGUUUCCGGAUUUCUGCCAGAAACUCAUCCCGCUGCACAAGCUGCCUGUCCAACGCCACCACACGUGCCAGGCUCGGCUGGUAGGACAACAGGGAGGGAGGAUCCCGGCCAAACACCACCCGAAAUGGCGUGCACUACAAGGCGGACUGGUAGGAUGUGUUGUAGCAGUAUUCUGCCCCCAAGGCAACCAGCGCAGCCAGCUGCGAGGACGGUCGCCCACCAAGCAGCGAAGAUACACCCCCAGCACGCGAUUUGUCACCUCUGAUUGACCAUCUGUCUGCGGGCGAAAGGCGGAGCUGAGGCGCCACUUGACGCCCGCGAUGAUCCCUUGCUCCAACAUCGCCUGGCAUUGGGCCUCAAUCUCAUCUUUCAGCAGCUGCGGGUAGCGGUAGGGCCGCACCGCCACUGGAGGAGUCGCCGGCAGGAGGUGUAUGUGGUGGUUGAAAGCCCGCGGCGGGGGAAGGCCCGACGGCGUGGCAAACAAAUCGGCGAAAUCCUGGAGGAGCAGCUCCAGCAGGUUGGUGGACUAAGUGAGGGCCAGCCGUGGAGAAGGUCGAGCGUUGACCCCGAACCACUUGACGCGGUGGUCCUGGUGCCAGAAUGCCAUGGACAACCGAUUGAAGUCCCAAAGGAUGGGUCGCAGGGUGCGUAGCCACUCGCAACCCAGAACGAGCUCGUAGCCGUCGAGUGGGAUGACGAACAGGUUGAUGCAGAACUCCUCCUGGCCGAUGUGGACGACAACGUUCCGGCAGACGCCGGCGGAUGGCACGCGGUCGCCAUUGGCAACACCGACGGUGAGGCCCAGUCGUGCCUCGGGCGUGAGCCCAAGCCGGGCGGCGGUGUCUGCGGCGAUGAACGAAUGGGUGGAUUCUGAAUCCACCAAGGCGGUGAGGCUGACGGCGUGGACGACGGUGGUAAGCUGUAAGGUGGAACUCGUUUGGAUGCUAGUGGUGGCAUUGACAGAUAUUGUCAGCUCGUCCUUGGCCGCGCCAUCAGAGUCGUCGUUGCCCUCUAGUUCCAUCCAGUAGAUGCCCUUCAUGGAACAUUGCUUGGAGUGCUCGCGCGAGAACUUCUCCGGGCAAUUAAAACACAGGCCGGCGAGGCGGCGCUGCACCAUCUCCUCUGGCAUGAGGCGCAUGAAGCGCACACCUGGCGGAGCAGCCGGCUUGACUGGCGCGCCUGGCGUCGUAGACGAAGCACUGUAUGCUGGCGGUGUCAAUGGAGACCGCGCCAGGGUGGCGUGAUGAUGAACGCGUCGAACACACCAAGGAACAACAGCCGUCAUCAACCACCUGGGUGCGGCGCUCGUAGGCCCGGGCGAGUGCCAUGGCGUCCUCUAGGGUCUCGGGCUUAUGCAGCUCCACGUCGAUGCUCAUUGGUUGGAGGAGGCCGGUGGUGAAGAUAUCGAUCUGUUGUUGCUCGGUGACGCCCUCGCAUCGCGCUGGGAGCUUGAGGAAUUGCUCCUGGUAGCUGUCGACGGAGCCCGUGCGACGUAGAUGGGUCAGCUCGCCGAGGGGAUUGCUGCGCACCAGGGGGCCAAACCGCUUGUUAACGCCUUCGACGAAAGCGGGCCAAGUGGGGACACCGCGAUUCUUCUCCAGGCGGUAGUACCAUUGGCCGGCGGCGUCCUCCAAGUAGAAUGUCGCCGUCCAGACCUUCUGGUCCUCCGGCGUGCCCUGCGAGCGAAAGAACUGCUCGCACUUGUGAAGCUAGCCCAGGGGAUCCUCGAUGCCGUCGUACUUGGGGAAGCGAAGCUUGUGGACGGGCUGUGGCGGCAGCCCAUGCUUGCCAUCGCCGGGUGAUGAGGAACCAGAGGCGUCGAAGCGGCCGUGCUUCUCCAGCACUUGUGUCUGGACGUUGCUGAUGGACGAGGAGAGGCAGCCCUGUUCCUGGCGGACGCUGCCAAGCUCCCGAUCCAACUUCUGGCUGAUGUCGUUCAUCUUGGCAAUCAUCUUGGCGAUGGCGUCCUCGAAAACAGACUGGGUGACGAAGGGGUCACCCAUGGUUGCGGUGGAGCGGUGGGUUUGGCGAUAGAAACUUCAGCGGAAGGGUGAUGGCCAGGGAGAACAGGAAACAGGAACGGUGGAAGGCUGAUACCAGAGAUGAUAUGGCUAGUUGAUUGGCUAAGAACACAAGGGCAGAUUGAUAAACAACCUGCUCGCCCUCCCUAGGAGGCUCUGAGCUUUGAGGUUUAUCUUCUGCUUGAACUAAUCUAUUGCGCCUAUGGCUCUUAUAUAAUGAGCCGGGUUACAAAAUCCCAACUAACUAGGACUCUAUCUCUAAUCUGAAUCUAAACUAAUUAGCCUCUCCUGGAGGAGGCGGGCCCUUAUUCCUGCGGUGGAACUUCUUGCCGAAGAAGUUGUCCACAACAAAAAGGCACCUUCAGGUAGUUCAAAAAUGGCAUGAACAUUUCGCACCUUGAAUAUUUUCUUCUCCAAGAAACUAGAAAACACUCCCUUUUUCUCUUUUGGCAUUGCAGGAGGAACAAGAGACAUAUUGAAGGCUUCUGGUAAGGUAGAAAACCGACUUCUCACCAUUCCCAUUGUCCGAAUCUAGAUGAGUAUCAGAGGUAAGAAUCUGCUAGGGUAGACAUCUGAAAUGAGUCCCAUGUUAAGUGAUGCCUGAUCUCACCUCACCAAGAUGAUGGAUAAUACCACACAUACCACCGAAAAUAGUACAGAAUACAGAAUACCAUAUCUGUGUGUCCAUGAAAUAGACCUGUUGAGAAUUAAAAGAAAAGUAUUAGGUAAUCCCAGUUCCAGAGGCAUAUGCACAAUUAAAACUGUAAUUACUGUAAGUAUAUAGAAUCCUCACAAGAAUUAUAGGGGUCCAUACAGCAAGAAUAGCGCCAGCAUUACUCUUGACUGGUGCAAAAUCAGACGUAUGGAAUCAUUAUUUUUGUUUGACUGUAAUUUGACAGUGCAAACCUAAUAUUAAAAAGUAAGGAAAAACACUAAAAGCCAAGAUAGCAUAUGGAGGACCUUGUGGGAAGAACUCAUGCCACUCAUAUUUGUUCACAUUGAUCUUCAUAAUUUCUUUUGUAGGUCCCACAAGAGGCUUAAUCUGUAUAUAUUUUGGUAAAAAAGCGAAGCAUCACGAGGCAGUGUAAGAACAAUAAACAGAACUUUUCCGGUUGUGACUAUGAUCAUGUGCAGUGAAUGUUUGAGAGAGAACCUUACCUCAAAGUAGUAGCUGAAUAAAAAUUUACUUGACAAGAGAAUCAUCCAAAAAGCUGUGUACCUGUGAGGUAUGCAAAGAAUGAUUUAGCUCAUAAUAAAUGAUCCAAACAAAGUAACGCAAUUGUAAACAAAUGCAUUACUUCAGUAAAGGUACUAGUCCUUCUUGCAUUCCCCGUCCAACAUACAAUUGUGGCUGCACAAGUAAUUGUCAUUAGGGCAUAAUAACAAGAUAUGCAAGCCAUGAGGUGAAGUGCGAAGAGGUAGUACGUAUGUUAAAAAAUAGAUUCUUUUAGAACUUUACAUGUGCUGAAGUUAUUUGAUAUAAAAUAUCAUGACGACACAUCUAAUUUAGUUUUAUGACAAUAUAAUUUGUUAUAUUAAAUUACAAACUUAAAAAAUGCAACGAGAAGAACAUACCUGACACCACCAUGACAGCAUACUGCAAAUUCGCCAAGUAGAUGUUUCUAUGUAGUUAGUGACAGCUGGGACAAAAAAUAGUGCCAUCCCAAUCACAUUGCUUGCAAGGUACAAUGCAACAACCACCAUAUAUUUUGACAAGCAGAACAUUCCCAGAAAGGUUUUAGAUUGUUUAGCUGAACAGGCCUUAUAAUUUUGAGAACUUGCAUAAAAUAUAGGAAGAAUGAUCGCCCAUGCCACCGCAAGAGAAAGUUUUAGAGUAAAUCGUAGUAUCUGAUCAAAUCUCAUUGUUCGCUUGGUUCUCCAUGAGAAAGCAAUGUCAAGGAUAACUGCAAGUAGGUACGUCAACCAUGAAUGAAGAUAUAUGGAGAGAGAAAGGAAAUAAAAGUAGGUAUUUCAAUAGAUUCAGCAUUAUUUAGUCAUAAUGUAAUAACUGAUAAUGUAUAUUUACACGAUACAAAGAUUCACGUCAACCUUGAAUAACUCGAAGUACUGCAUUGGUAAUGAAAAUACUCAGAAUAUCCUCAAAAAUGAUUGGAUCAAGUAAUUGAGUAGGGCUCCCUAAUCCAUGCCAUGCCAUUAUUAUCAGAACCUGAAGGUAAUAUAAACAAGAAAUGUGUCAAAAGGUCUGACAGAAUUCUGAAAAUAAUCCCAAAUGCAUCCACUCAAUAAUUAAUGAUAGAAAACUAAACCUGAAGCCCAAGCACAAGAAGUGUCCACAUCCUAUCGAAGCUUCUGAAGAGAUGCCAAAAGGAACGGACCUCAACAAAAUUAGUCUUUCCCAACCACUGUUCAGAACUGGGACUCGUAGUUUGCUAUAUGCGGUACCACCAAAAAAAAUGAAGAGAACUAAGCCACAAAAUCGAACAAAUGUACCCUAACCCAAGCAUCCUCUUAGUCAUGCAUGUACAUGAAAAACCAAGCAUCAUAGAUAUUACAACACAGUAAGUUAUGUCAAAGCACAUAAGAAACAAGUUGCUCAGACUCCUUGAACCUUGAGAGUUCAGAUAAGUGCUGUAUACAGUGUGAUAAUAUGCAAGCAAUGCAGUGGGCAUGUGAAGCAAUCAGCAUCACGGAGUAUUGGUGUAUACAUAACUACUAAGCCCUUUUUUCUCAAUUUCAGUGAAUAAAACUGAUUUGUACAUAAAUAAGUAAUAAGCCUGGUUAUAUUCUUCAAAUAUUACAUUUUUUUUAGGAUGGUCAUUUUUGAAAUAAGAGUUACCUGUUGUCUUUGUUCAGCUGCUUCUGAAUUAAGACAGUUUUCUGUUGAUGAGGACUCAUGAGGCACUUGGGGAUUUUGCUGCUCAGUUUGCUGAGGUUUGUCAACAGACACUAGCGGAACACAGCUAGCACAAUUUUCAAAGCCAUGCGGCACCCUUGAUAAUGUUGACCCACAAAGAAUCUAAACAAUAUAAGAAGUCAGCAACAGCACGGAUAAGAGAAAGAACUCCAUCACUAAGGGAAAUGCUGAAUGUCUCUAAAAUCCAUGCAUUAUUAUAGCUAUACAUCUGAGUUGUAAGUUUCAAUCAGGUUCAUGUUAUAGAUAAUGCCCUAGCAUGCAAGUGUGCUACAACCUGUCCCUGCAACUCAAGCUUUAAAUCGAAGCUUCAUUUGAAAGGGUUAAAUGGAAGUUGCUACUUGGCUCCCUUAGGUUUAUAUACUACUCAGCCUCAACUUAAAUCACAAUAUGGACUACCAGCACAGAUGGCCCACUCGAGCAUCCACAAUAUGAGCCAAGUUUCAAGAAGCCUUUGAGAAAUAUAAUCUAUGCAUUAAUGAUUUUAGCUGAAUAACCAACUAAGGUAAGCAUCAGGUUAUCUGAAAAAUACUUCAGAAUUCCAUUUCCGUUUGACUAUACAUUUGUGGUUCUUCCAUGUGAUCUGGUUAGCUGUGGAUUUUUAUGAGGCCUUGAUUGAAGCUGAAAAAUGUGCUUACAUUUCAGUAGUUGUGGAUCGGUCUUAGGAAGAAAGUAGCUGGAGUAGGAAGGGGAGUAGCAGAAGAUGGGAUCAAAGGAAGAGCAAAGGAGGCUUUGGCAGAGAGAAACAGAGUGAGGCGUGAUUGAGAGCAAUUGAGAUUGCGUGGAUAAUAGAUUGAUUAGGGUAUACAAAGGUAAAAGUAUAUAUAGGCAGCCCUGAGAGAGGUUUAUAGAAUCAGAACCAAUCUCAGGGGUAUCAUGCCUAUCCUAACCAACAGGCCACGGCAGAGAGCCGGCCCUAGCCCUAGCGUCAUAUACGCCUGAGGGCCUACACGCACAUAGCACAAACACAUAUCUAACAGUGAGAUAUCUUUAGUAUUGGGUUUAUUCUUGCUUGAUUCCAAAUGAGCUGAUCUGAAAGCUUUAUUGCCGCCACUGACAAACUUCAUUUCUUAGCGUUUUUUUUUUUCAGAUGGCUUCCGUUUUGAUCAGAAUAUCUAUUUAUCAUUUGAACAAAAUGAAGUAACACUUCAAGAAAGAAAUAGAAGAUACAAACUGGCCAUAAAAGGAUAAAAUAGAAAACAAGAGCAUGCAUGAGGGCACAAAUAAAAUAACUGUUUGUCAAAGGACACCUGAGAGUUAUCAGAUUCACUUGAUAUGAAAAAGAAAUCAUUGUUAGGGCGCAUGGGCCAACCAAGCUUAAAGCAAUCAGUAGACCUGCAACAGAAAAAUAUUAAGUACAGUUUUUAAUCAAAAGUUAUACAACAAGAAGCAUGGUAUCUGACCAGAAGAAUUCAUUGAGGUCAUCAUAGUUUCUCCAUGUUGAGUGAUCAGCUGCUCCAUCCUUGUUCUUUUGUGCUUCCUUCAUUAAAAAGGGAAAGGCAUUCAUUUGUACAUACAAACUUUAAAGCUCUGUGCAUUAAAGGUUCAAAAGAAGAUAAUGUGGACCUUAAAUACAACGUUGUAUAUUGGCCUCACUACAUCGUUAAGAAAUGAUUCAUCAUCUCCUCCAUAUGCAGGUCGAACUUUUUCCCCAGUAAUUAAGCUUACAGCUCCAGAGAGCACUCCAUAUAGCUCAUAUGACAUCUGAAACAAAAAUAGUAUACUCAGAGUGGGUUUUACUUAGGGCCAAAGAAUUUAGCAAAGAAAAAAAUUGCCAUACCCGGAUAUGCUAUUUGGAGAAACAUAUAAACAAGUUAAUCAACUUCAUGUUUUGAUAAUAUCACUUAGAAAUGCAAAACUUAACAAAUAUUCAUAUUUUACUAGGAAAAAUGCAGAAAUCCUGCCCAUCAGCAUCUGCCAGCCUUUGACUUAGAUUUUGAUUGUUAUAGCACAAUCCAUUCCAAUACCGUUCAUAUUUUGUUUUGGACCUUAAAUUUAGCACAAUCCACUGAUGACUUCCGAUAUCUCCUCUGGACCCAUUAUUUUGUCUUGUUUUAGACUUUAUGUCAAAUCACUUCAGAAUAUUUUUAUUCCCUGGUAACUAAAGCAGCUAGCUAUGGGGAGUUAACAUGAAAUGAGAUUAGGGAUAACUUGCAUGUCUGUACUUGUUUCAAAAUGAAGUACAAUAUUAAAGAACCUUCCAUCUCAUUUAUUUCGAACGGGGGCCAAAAAAAAAAGAGGAAAUGCAUAUGGAACAUUGAUUCUAUUGCAGUACCAGAAACAGAGCAAGCACAAACUACAACUUGUUAUAACUAUGCCUUCCUACGUUGGAGUCAAUGCUUCAUAAGAUUUUGAAUAGUUUUUAUAGUAAGGAUUCAAGCAAAAGAAUCAACAUUUUUUGUUGAACUAACAGAAAACCGCUUGUAAUGAAAUACACAAGUUUUAUUCUUGUAAAAAAAUCAAACUAACUAAUGUGAAAGGAUACUGGUAAAAAAGAAGCAAUUCCGCAAUAGAUUAUUCUGGAAGAAGCAUUUAUUGGGUAUCUUCUAUUUCCCGGCAAUGCAAAUUUAUGUGACCAGAAAAACUAUAGUAAAAUAAUAAAUUCCCAAAAUGAUACCAAGAGAAACAGAGAAACAUAAACGGUUUAAAUCCUUAACACAGUAGAACCACAACAAAAGUAUCAGUGGCAUAAAUAUUUUUACUUACAUGAUGAAAAAUGAAGCAUAAGCAUUCUGGCAUCAGUCGUAAGUUUGACGCUUCUCCCCAUAUCAGGAGGUAAAGAGCUAUGUAUAGAAGUUUAUGUUGCUGAAUUUCCUGCUUCACAGAGGGCAACCUGAAGUUGCAACACAAACAGGUGAAGUGCAAGCGAUGGUACUUAUUUUCAAUUAUCUGUAGCCAAGUCUAAGAAGUGCAAGCUAAGGUACUUAUUUACCAUAUGUUGCUUUUUCGCCCCAAAAACUUGCACCAGGUCAGAUAGUUCUCAAAUGUUUUUGCCAACAAUUCAUCUACUGCUCUGUCAUCUAGCUGAAAGGAGAUAUAUGAAAAUGGCAUUCUCAUUAAAGAUACAUAAAGAAAACUAGUCAUGUUUGGGUACCAGUUGAGCAGAGGAUGACUUGGGAUUCAAUCGAGCAUGCAUAUUUGCAAGCAAUAGAAUUAGAUGCUCCCUUUGGUUGGCCACAUUUCCUGUCUAAUCAAAGAAAAAACAAGCCAAAUUAUCUAGCUGUAGUACAAGGGAAAAUACCAGCCAUACUAACCGAAGCAUUCCACAUGAAACUAAAUAAACCAUUACCUGAUUCGCAAAUAAAAAAUAACCCAUUACCUGGAAUCCAAACCAACUUUGCAGCCAUCUAAAAAUAUCUGUAUGAGUUUUGUCAUCUUUGAUGUUGGCUGAUGGAAGACUGCGAACAUUAAACACCGCAGAGACCGCAACUUUGAUCUGUAUAAGAGAAUAUCAUAGCUAACUUUAUGCAAACUGAUUUACAUUAUAUAGUUAAAAAUAUAAGUAUCGCUUGCUAUGCAUAAUGCAAUCUUACUAAUUCACAAACAAAUUAAUGGGAAUUUAUUUUUAAAGGAAGGAUUACUGUUGUAUAUUCCUUUUCUGAAGGAGAACAACAUGAGCUGUUAGAAUUACAGAAAACCCAGUCACCACUAUUAUUGCACAGCAAGGAUAUUAGGCAAAACGUAUUGGUCAUUGCCUUUGCAAAUACCAAUCAGAUCAUGUCCUCCCCACUGUGUAAAAGAAUCACAGUAGAGGUCUCCCCUAUUGUUUUUGCUCAAAAAAAUAUGUAAAAGAAUCCAGAGCCAUGAGCCAUCAUGUCAUACCAAAAAGUGAAGAUGUACAGCCCUAUUAUCAAAAAAUACUAUAGUUGCACUUUCACAUAUAGUAGAGUGCAGGACAAUAUUACUUUUGAGAAUUUUGAGUAGAAAAACUGGCGAACCUCAGGGAGAAGCAUAAUUGGUCUUUGACUGAAUUUAGGAUGGAGUGGAAGAAUAUUAUAUCUUAAUAAGCCUGACUUGUCUGUAAAAUCUUCACCAGCAACAAGGUUCUGCAAUUUUAUGGAAGUGAUAAAUAGGAAACAGUAUAUCAUAAGUAAUAAUCUCAUUUUUCCAAAAAAAAAUCAAAACCUCCAAGCCGGUCCCACUGAGAAGAGCCUUCAGCACUUCUUGCAGGACAGGUAAGAGUUCAUCAAGUGCAUUAGCUUUCCUUUUCCUAUAAAAAAUGCAAAAAACAGAAUGAGAGUUACAUAUUUAGUAUUGGGAAUAGGGUUUGAAAAUGUGAUUGAUAAAGUGGUCUACAGUGAUGGUGUUUAUUUGAGAAAUAAUCUUACCUCUCAUAGAAUAACUUCAUUUCUCGGGCAUCACCUCUUUGUGUCAUCUUCGAUUUGGUGCUUCUCUCAUCCUGUUUUACAAUCACAUCCAAUAUUAGGGGCAUCCUUAUUCAACAAAGCUCUUUGACUAACAGCAUAUAUCAGAGAUUCUGAGUGCACAAGAAAUUUGCCUAGACAAGUUCUCGAAUAUGUUAUAUACAUAUUCUUCUUAAUAUAAUGAUACGCAGUUCUCCUGUGUGUUCGAGAAAAAAAACACAUGUGAUGUUUUCAAAGUACACCAUCCAAAACCUAAGAGAAUGUAAUUAUAUUAUAAAACUGUCAUCCCUCCCUAUAAUGUCUGCACCUGCUCAAGUCUCUGAAGAAGUGCAGUUUUAAAUUGCCGAACACCCCUCCCUGUGGAAAGUCGAUCCAUUGUAUGAGCCUUUUCAAACGCGUGGAACCGACCUGGCAAAAGAAAACCUGCAUUAAAGAUCCAUACAAUUAUGAACGUAACUAUUCUAAGCGACACUCAAGUUGGUUUCCAGUCGACCACUGUGUUUAUGUGUUCCAACAGAGUGAAGAAAGAGGUGACUGGCACUUCAUGAGGUAAGAGUUCCCAGUUAUCUUUUCAAACUCGUUGCACCACCCGAUGGGGAUAAUUGAUCCACUGCAGCACAAAUUGAGGAGUUGUGCCUUGCAUGCUGAUGUAACAAACUCUACUUUCAAGGCCUCCCUCAGACUGCUCUGCUAAGCAAGUGAGAUUUACAUGGAGCAGAGUCCACCAGAGGAAUAUUCUCUGCAGGUGAAACUUCAGUUGAGCCACUGAAGGUAGAUAAUUGGCACAUGAUUCUCUUCAGAGAAUAUCCAGCCUUCCGAAUAUAGCAUCUUAAAUCUAAUUCCCAACCGCAAAAGCACGGAAUAUCCCAGGUGAUGAUGAUGUGCUCUCAAACCUCCAAACACACGCUUCCCCCUAGCAGAAUCUUCAAGGACCAGGGCACUACUUGUGACUGAAACAGCAUCUCUGUCGCCGAAGGCAAGGUGGACCAUCAAGCACAAAGCGGCCGCGGUUGUUGAGUUAAGCAAGGAGAAACUCACGGUGACCAACGAGCAUCUUCCAGCGUCAGAGAAUCCAGUACAAGGCAGAAUAUUCUGAAACGGAGACAGAUAGUAGUAUCGGUAUGGAACCAAAAGGUCCAAAACCACCAGGAAUCUUCUCUGUGAUCCAAUAGUCGAGGCACCAGCUCCGUAUGGAUCAGAAUCAGAAUCAGACAAGCGCGCAUGCAUACAGACGUGCCACCAACGCAAGCAUCCAAACCAUCGCGCAUACACAUGCAGGACCUGGACGUCCACCUCGCGCCAAGGUCAGGGGGUCGGUUGCUAGCUUCCUCGCCGGGCAUUUCCACGAACAGGUGGCGCGCGGCGGCGCGGAAGCUCUCGCCUCCUCCACCCCACGGUAAGAACGGGAGAAGAAAAAGGUACGGUCGGGAAGUAUGCAAGCGGGGCGCGAUUGCGCGCGCGGGCACUCACAUAGGUAGGCGACGCGCGGGUUCUCGGCCUCGACCUGGUUGGCGGCGCGCAGGAAGGGGCGGAUCUCGGAGACGAGCGUCUGCGGGAGCUUCUCGCUGUCGAACUGCUGCGCCACGGGCUCCCCCGCGUCCCCGGCCCCUCCCCCCUGCUGCUGAUGAUGAUGAGGCGGAGGCGGAGGCGGAGGAGGAGGUGGAGGUGGAGGAGGAGGAGCGUGCCACUGCUCCAGCGGGGGCUGGACGUAGCGCAGCGGGCGGCUGGACGGGCCCACCUCGACGAUCUCGAUCUCCAUCCUCCCGCGCCGCGGAAGGUGGAGGUGGAGGUGGAGGAGGAGCGAGGCCACUGCUGCGGCGGCGGCAGAGCCAGUAGCGCCAUCGCGAUCGCGCGGCUUUUAUCGGGAGCUCUCGCUUUGGCUUUGGCCUUCGCCGCUAAGCUUUUCCGCUUUUCCGCGGCGGGCGCAGAUCGAGGCGGGCCGGCGGGCGGCUAGCUUUUGCUUUUUGGCGAUCGAUCGACUUGGCGUUCGAGGGUGCUGGGGAUUGGUGGGGGGAGGAAGCCAGGAAGGGGAGGAGGCGAAGCAAGGCCAAGGCGAGUGCGGGAAAAGGGAAGGGAGGCGGCUUUUUGAACGUUCGGGGGUGGGGGAUUGGCAACGGCCGCUUUGCUUGGUUUACUGUUGUGUGGAGUGGGGUGUGAGUGACUGGCAACUGGCAAGUGAAACAGAGAUUAGGGAUUAGCCUUCCCUUCUCUUUCUCUCUUUAGAUGGCAUGGCCAUCUUUUCUCCUUUUCUUUAUUAUCUUGUGUGCUUGCUUGCUUGGGUGGUGUGAUGAUGCAUGACUGUGUGCUGCGGCUUUAGGUGGGUAGGGUGCUUUAAUUUACUUUAGGAGCACUAAGCAAUGCUGCAUUUGAAUUACUGGCCUACUUUCUCAUCACAGGGGUGGUAAUAAAGCGGGUGAUCAUUGCUUUGGAGGAAUGUAGGUGUAGGGUGACUUCAUUAUUUUGUUUAUUUGUUUUGCUAUAAGAAGCAUUGUUUAGUGUUUGUUAAAACCAAUGUUUUCAAGUCACGAUUAGUCGGACUUAUCAUUCGAUUAGUCCCGAUUAGUCACAAUUAAACGCUCCAUCAGGGACUUAUCGGUGCCACGGCGACUAGGUUCGAUAAUACGAUUUAAUAACAUUGGUUAAAACACAACUGCACUAUUACUAGGUGAUAAAAAGGAAAAUCUGAAUAGCAGCAGCACACAAGAAGCCUAGUUCUUAUAUAUGAGCUGUUCACCUUGACCAAGAUCCACUGCUGGGGAAUGCGCCUUCAGUACCGAGUCCAAACCCCCUUAGUACCGUUUGUGCAACCGGUAUUGCUAUUUCAGUACUAAAGGUUCCCCUUUAGUACCAAGUCAAAUAAUUGGUAAUAAAGGGGUAUUAAAAAAUAAAAAAUAAAAAAAAAUCCACCGACCGGAGCCUCGGCCGCACCCCGCCGCCAUCCGCCCGAGCACCGGAACCCUGGAGAGAGAGAAAGGGAGGGAGGGAGGGAGGCGGCGUACUUACGCUGCUCAGCCACCGCCACCAGUUGCCGCCACCACCGGAUCUGAGGGAGAGGUGGCCGCUACUCCAAGAUCCACACGCUCCUUGCUCCGCCACGCCCUGCCGACGCUCCGCUACCGCGCCCUCCAGCCGAAGCUCCGCCGCUCCUUGCUUCGCCACGCCCUGCCGACGCUCUACCGUCUCGUCACGCCCUCCCUUCUUGCCUCUACCGCUCCUUGCCAUGCUGCCGCUCCUCACCAAGGUGAGGGGAGAGUGGAGGGGGCAGGAGAGGGGUGGCGAUGGGAUCUGUGGGGGGGGGGGAGGGAGGGGAUUCAGCGGGGAGAAGAAGAGAGAGGCACGGGUGAGAGGAUGAGGGGACGAGCGGAUAAGUGUGGGGAGGGGGUGAGCGUGGGGUGAGAGAGAAGGGAGGCUGACGCGUGAGGGGAGGUUGCGAUUUAGUAUCGGGUGACGCCUCCACCCGGUACUAAAGGCUCUCAGGCACAUUAGUACCGGUUGGAGGCUUCAACUGAUACUAAUUUGUGACCUUUAGUAUUGGGUGAAACCUCCACCGCUACUAAAGGGGGCCACGAGGGGCUUCUCGGGAAUUAGUCGUUAGAUCCGGUACUAAUGCUCACAUUAGUAUCGGGCCAAAACGUAACUGGUACUGAGUUUCGGGACGAAUGCUGAGUUUUCCGAUGAUCAUCAGUUGCUUUAAAUUUGUUUCCAAAGGAAAAAGGAGGAGAUCAGCACACACUCCAGCUAACUUAGAUCUGUCAUGGUGUCUAGAGUGCACUGGUCUACUACUACUUCCAUGGGUUUUCACUGCACACCUUGACGAGAUUUUACAGGUAAAAGCGCCAUGGUAAUUCUGCAUAUGAUUGUUGAAUAUACUGCGACGCAUUUACAUGUUUAUUUGUUGUAGAAAGGUCUCGUUGUCGUAGUUGCAUAUAUUGAUUCCUUUUGUGCCCAGGACACAAAUUCGAGAUAAAACAAGGACAAAAUACGACCAAAAGUGCUGGGGGCUAUUUUUCCUCCUUGUCACAGCGUUUUCCUUUCAACUCUUCCGAGGCACUUUUAAACGCGAGCUACUGAGCUAGAUGCAUGGUAACAAUGGGCGGAUGAUUGUGUUAUCACUCCAUGGGCCACAUUUUUUUGUACUUGACGACGAUCGUCGAUCGAGUUACUCGAGUGAGUGGACCACGGUGGAAAAAAAAAAGGCAACGAAAAGGAGCUCGACCUUUGUAAAGCCACUUGCCGUCGCACCAGACAAAUCGUAUCAUUGAGCGAGCAUUACUGUGCAUUGCAGUACGUGGAAAUACUUAGCGCCCAAGUAUUGCGCGCCCAGUCAUAUCCGAGGCCAAGGUCGUCGUCGACCAACCUCCAAACUUGCCUUACAAUUUCCCGAGUCGUGAGCAAAGUGCUACCUGUAGCCUAGAUGAGUGCGUGCAGGUAGCUUUCCAUAACAAUCAGUUCUAAAUAGUUCUAUUUCAAAUUAUAGGUCAUUUUGAUUUUUCUAGAUUCAUUAAUAUUAUUGUGCAUUUAGACCUGCACUGUAUCUAAGUGCUUAGAAAAGUCAGAACGACCUACAAUUUGUAAUGAGGAGAGAGUAAGCAUCACUAUAUCUAAGUGUUUAGAAAAGUCAAAACAACUAAUAAUUUGGAACGAGGGGAGGAAGCAUCAGAAACGCGCUCAAUCAGUUGGGGUUGACACCGCCGGCCAGCACGUCAGAUUUUUAUCGUCAUUUUUUAAGGGGAAAAAAAGGAAGACAUCUCAGUCGCCCAUCCACAUGUAGUUGUUGCACAUUUUGUCUAGCGCAAAAAAUUAAAUGAAGUGUGAAAAGAUUUAUGUCAAUUGAUCUUAUGGCUUUAUUAGGCGCAUUUCCUAAUUAAGCCAACUGAAUUCGCGAGCUCUACUUCAGUCGACAGUCACCUCCAUUGUCUAUUUGUCUUCGCUUUGGCCACCGUAUAGGUGCAGAGUGUGACCGAAAUGUGUAUGCAGGUUUUGCUUUCUAUAAAAGCAGAGAACUUCUCCUUCAAAAAAAAAAAGUGUAUGCAGGGUGAAACAGGUCAGGUGCAAGGCGAAAACGUCACCUCCACGUACAUGCACACCUCACUGCAUCUGCCCAUUGUGUCUGCUCUGCUUUAAGACUGUAUACAGAUCCAUAUCUACGUAUGUACUACUACUAUACAACAAAACGAAACAAUUCGUUGUUUAACAUAUCACCGAAGAAUUAAAUUAAACGACACAAAGCACAGGCUGAUGAUCUGCGUGCGUUGCUUUUAGACCGACCGGGCCGUGUAACUUUCGUCAUCACGUCCGUGCCUACAUGUACGGUCUGAUGAUCCACUAGCGAAAGGCGAAAAAGCUGCCUGGUCAGGAGACGAGCGCCACUUGUGCGCUGCUGCUGCUGCAGUGAGAAGCUUUUCGGAUGGAACCCACUAGAGUUUCUUCCAUAGCUUGGGUGAAAGUUGGGGAUAACUUCAAUUUAGGGUGGAUUCGACGUUGCCCCGACUACAACACCAUAAAGGUUGUGCCUUAGCAACAGGUGCACCGUCUUCGACUGGGAUGUCCUUACCGUGCCAAGAACACCUCUGAACCUUCUAGCAACCGAGAACAAGCAAGAACCUGCUAGCAACCGAGAACAAAUAAGAACAAGAUGAACAAGCAAAUAACUCACGGAUGGAUGAUACAAAGGUGAAUCUGAAUCUCAAGUUGGGGUCUUGAAUCAAGCAAACGGGUGAUCUAAUCGACACACGCACUCACAAGGAAGUAGCAGAAGCUAAACUUACAACAAAACAAAACCCUAGUUCUUCCUGGCGGCUGCUGUUGCCUUUUAUACAUGGAAGAUAGUAGGAGGCGUGGAAAACCCUAGCCAAGACGCUCCCCUAAUGGGCUCAACUGGAAACAAGAACCAAAACGCAGGAUGAAAAUCUGAAUGUCAUUCUGCAAUUUUUGGGCGGCUCUGAAGGAAUCUGGCAGUGUUUCUGAACCCAUAUGAAAAUAGGCAUCAAGAGUUUUCCAACAAGUGCUCAUGGGCCUCAAACAACAUCCGGAGCUAAGAAUUAUGGCCAAAUCAAUUUCGUGUUGCCUGGUUGUCCGAACGCAUCCAAACAGAGUGAUUCGAGGCGUUUACGCUGGAAGGGCUGAACAUCUCCAAACGGGGUGCUUGCAGACGUUCUUGGUUAUUGUGGUUGCUCCUACUCCUAUCUUGUUCAUGUCACACGUUUUUAAGAAUAAGACAAUCAUCACCAUGAUUUAGUAGCACUCAAUUCUGAGAUGAGUUUGUAUGAACAACUAGGAAUGACUUUACUUGAUAAUUAAGUUAUCAUGCUCGAGCUCGAACCUUGUUGUGCCGCAGGUGUGGUUGUAUUCAUGGAGGAGACGUCCUCGUCAUUUUCAGCUGGCAGAGCGCGGUAGCAUGCGGCUUUCAGCUCAGUUCCAUCACUUCUAUGUGCAGCUUCUUGGAAAAUCCUGGUGGUGGUAAAACUGUUGAAAGGACUAGUCAUGCUUGGUUGGUUUGCUUUUUCAAAUACGAAUCUCUCCAUGUAUUUGCUGAAUUAGUAAUAAACAGUUUUUAAACAAACUAAUCAGUAAUAAACGGCGGUAGGUAUUGUGCUGGACGGUAACUAAGACACGCAUUGGUUCGAAAACUGAACUAACGGAAUGUUUAUCUUUUGUUUUCGGGGUUGUAAACUUUAAUCAAGGUAAAAUAGAUAUUUUGGUCCCAGUACUUUACACCAUGGGUCAAGUUCGUUCCUCAACUUUCAGAUAGGUUAAUUUAGUCCAUCAAUUUUUGUUUUUGUCAAACUCAUCCUUAUGUUGAUGUGGUGCUAUAUUUUAGUACGAGACUAAUGGUCAAUUUUACCCUUAGCUCAUGUAGGUCAAACAUGUAUAUGCUCAAACUCCCUUGAUACAUACGCAUAACAAUAUAUUUUUUUUAAAUGAUAUAAAAUAAAAUACAGUUUCUAAAAAAUGUAUGCACUCAUGCUCUUUAAAAUCAUGCAUGUGCUCAUACGAAUUAAAUUUUGAUAUGCAAAAUGUAUAUAUUCGUACUUUUUCAUGAUAUACACAACUUAUUAUAUGUACACAUGCUCUAAAAUUGACAUGUGCUCAUAUACUCGUGGUAUGGUAUACAUGCUCUAUGUAUGUAUUUAUACUCUCGAUAAACAUAUAUAUGCUCAUAACAGCGGAAAUUGAGGAGGGGAAGAAUGAGCCAAGGACAAAAAUAACUUUUCGCAUUAGUUUUAUGCUAAUAUGGAGCCUCCGAUCAGCACAAGGAUAUGUUUGAUCGAAAAUAAAAGUUGAAGGAGUAGAUUGGCCAUUACGAAUUUGACCUUCAGUGCAAAGUUUAUGGACGAUCUUAGACCUUCGGAAAAUCAAAUGGUGCCACGCAUGGUCAGCAAGAUGAUGCAUGAGAUGCGCGGCAAGCCGGCAACAACACUUCGUCUCCGGGCCACGGACGUUACAAUUAUCGGGCUCCCAUGCUGUUUGAAGCCCAAUAAGAAGCAAUCCAGACAGAUCGGGCCCUUGCUGCUUUCCUCGAACAUGAUUUGCUUUGUUUGAGUCAUACUGUGUGUGGGCAGUGUGGCUAUGUAAUAGAUUACCCCUUUUGUUUGUAAUCAAAAGUCAUAUGGAGCAUUGUUUAGUAGCUCAUGAUGCAAGUUAAUCUGUCCUUUGAACUACUAAACAAUACCAAUAGGAUGCUCAUCAUAAGUAAGGCAUUGACAACUAGUCUAAAAAAAUUAUCGAUCGUGGUGGGUGAUGGUUGAGAACUUGCAUAUCGAGAGGUGACUUUUGGCAACAGAUUUGAGUAGACGAUGGCAUUCGAAAAUCGAAACCAAAAUAACACCAGGUUGGAACAAACAGCGCACCCAACCAAACAUGCUGCAAGUGCUUCCUAAGUUAAUUUGUAUUUUUCACCUACCACAUAAAGCCGCCUAGCAUACAAAUCCCACCAAAUUGCAUGCAUGCAUGCAUGGAAUUUUUUGUUGGUUCGAAUCUUUGAAAAAAAAUUUCUCCUAAACCGUAACCCCGAUUGACAAACCAUUUGUUCCAUCUAUCUCAAAAAAAAAUUUUAACAAAACUAGAUCCAAUAUGGAUAUAUUUUUAUCGUUUAAGCGAGUUGCAUAUCUAUGUACUAUCAAUUGCAACUCGGACUACUAGAGAGUUGCAACUAGUUAUAACUCUAUGUAUUGUUUGCAUCUGGUCAUAAUAAUCAUAUCAAGUUGCAAUUCUGAGUUGCAAUCAUACGUUGUUGCAACCAGAAUACCAACCGUGUUGCAACCAAAUAGUAACUAGUUACAAUCAGUAGUAACUGGUUGCAAUUCUAUUCAGUAGGAAGCAUAUCUAGGUGCAAUUAGAGUAGCAAUUGGGUUGCAAUUGAGUAUUAAAUAAUUGCAACUCUAAGUAACAAGUGCUAAAUAGGCUACAAUCAAGUUGCAAUUGGGUUGCAUACGUUCUUGCAACUCAAAGUACAACUUAGUUGCAAUGACAUACUUAAAAAAAAAUUGAUCAAAUAUAGUCUUCAUGGAUCUCGUUGUGUUAAGCAUAUUGAAAAGAUUUCUAGCAUGCAUGCUUCAGGUGGGUGGGUUAAGCUGUGAGGUGGCAUCAUGUGGUUGGUUGUCUCCAUUUAGUUUCACAUGCAGGAGCGUGGGCUUUCCUUGACGCGUGAAUUAGCUAGCACGCGAAACGUAGGGUGGGGGAUCUAUGCAUUUUUUGAAAUGCACCUUGCAUUUUAGUGUGUACGUACGUACGUACAUACAUACCUACAUACACACAAGGAGAGGAAGCAGUUAUUCGCAUUGUGCGAUUUUUUCUUCAUUGCUCCUAGGGUCCAAAAGUCCAAACAGACCGGUCAUCAUGUGAAAUUCAACACUAAAAAUGAUAAUACUCCCUCCAUUUAAAUAUACAAUGCUGUACAUUUUAAAAUGUAGGCAGUAUUGGACAGUCCAGCUUUUUGCACUUGCACAGCUAAAAGCUCAAUCAUCACACGGUCUUCUUUUACCUAAGUCAGCAGAAAACCUCUACUUAUUUUUUAUAAUUUUUUAUUCCAAACCUGUUUUAAUUUGCUCCUACGCGGAGUCGAACCUGUGCCUACUACUCAGGUACUCUAACCACUAUGCCGGAGACCCUUUCACCGCACAGUUUUUCUUCCCUGUUAACUAUCCACUAGUACUUCAUACCAAGAGGAAAAAAUCGACAAACUUAAAUAUUCGAAUAGAUCAAAGUCUCCUUGGAUGUCUGCGUCUCAUCUUUCUCCUACUAAUUUUUUCUAUUUUUCUCCACAAAUUAAAAAAGAAAACUAUUUACAUACAUGAUGAUGUCCUUUCCGAUCAUUCCCACAAGGGGCUAUACACCUGCUCAACAGAGCCCUCCACACAACAAUGGUACUGGUGAUCAAUCGCCUCAUACCCCACAAUACCACCCUCAUACCCAUUAGAGUACACAUACCAACCCUCCGUCUCAUGCCCCAUUAAGGACACCUCAGGCCAAUACCCAAACGAUCCACCUUCAUAGUGAUCAUCAAGGUCCAACAGCAUGUCUUGGAGCCUGCCACAAUCCUCACUCGACUCUCCGGCCACGCUCUCGCCAUCGGCCAUCCUCACCGCCACAUCACCGCCACUACCGAUCUCUGCCUCAAGCGACCGGAUGACGUGGCUCAGCCGGUCCACAUCACCAUCUGCCAUAUCCGAGGGCGGCAGGUCCUCCAUCAGCUCCAUCAAGAGCGCCCCGUCAGCCUCGGCCAGGUCCAUGGCCUGGCCGAGGUCGACGUGGUAGCUCUCUCCCAUUGCAAUGGCACACUCACCAUCCUCCCUCUGGUUCCACACCUGAGCCAUGUGUGUGCAGCUUAGAUGUAGGCCAGACAGAACAAUUGCAAUUGGUGCUUGGAAAGAGGAAUAUGGAGCUGAAUGCCUUGGUGGCCGAAGGGGCAGGGGGUGCGUGCUUAUAUAGUGUCAUGGGGGGAGGGUUUGGUCCACAAUUAACAAAUCAUCAGGCACCAGGUUCCGUCCACAAUUUGCAGCAAUUUGAUUGGGUGAUUACGCUACUAAUCGGAUGCCUGACAGCCUGUGAUUAUCGUUGGUCAUGGGUGGCCAAUGCAAGUGGAUCGGAGGCGGCCGUACCUGAAUUCCAGGCAAGCGAGCACGCAAAACCGGUGGCCGGCCGAACUGCAGGUAGGUUGCUGAGGAUGGCGGGAAAGCGAUGGUGAUUGGCGUGCGUGGUGGGGAUGCAGCGGCCCAGCGGUGGACAAGAUCCGGCAGGGCCGGCAUUAUUGAUAUCUUAUGCUCGCGUCGACGCUGCAGCCACCGUGCGCGCGGUGCCUACCCGAUUAUAUAUCCUAUUCAUGACAAGAUCAGAAAUGGUGGUUGGCUGUUGCAGCUCACUCAAAUCUCAAAUGAUCUUGCAAAAAGAAAAGGACGAUGAACUGGAACACAAUCCUCAUGUGGAACCUUCGCACGCACGCACGCAUCAAGUACAAGGAACACCGAUCAAUCAAUCAAUCGAGUUUGUCGAAACUGCCCUCUUGGAAAGAAAAAAAAAUCCACUUGUCCAAGCUCAUCUGUCACCGAACUGCCUCCCUGUCUCCGCGGCAAGCGGCCGGCCACAAUCACAACUCGACAACGAAAAUCCUGCAGCAGGUGCCCGGCCGACCAAGUUGCGGUGCUAAUUAUGCGUCAUUAACUCUAAGGCUAGUCCCAGUGCACACUUUUAUGGUACAGUUACCAAGAUUGAGAACUUGGUAACUGUGCCAAUUGAGUGUUACGGGGAUGAAACUCUUCUCUCUUCUGAUGAAACUCCCCUUAUAAUAACCUUACCAAGUCAGCAAUUUUACUGAUGUGACAACAAAUUUAAUGCGUAUGAAAUUCAUAUAAAACUCUCAUUAAGCCUGGCCUAAUCAGCCGACGCACUAAUUUGGUCAGAGGAUACGGUAGGUUAGAUAUACCUAGGCGUCUAGGCCAGAGGAUGCUGGGCUCCUAGUCCUCGAGUACAUGUAUAAUAUGUAUGGCCCACUUUCCAACCAAGUACCACUGAUAACAAAUCUUUAAUCCUUUAAUUAACUCGGGAAGCAUCACGAAAUUAGUUCAGGGUCAAAGUGGUUUUGCAAUCCGUGCGGCGAGAGCGGAUCAUUUGGCCACCGUGCGCAUCAUGGAAAGGUGGCAUGUAUGCCAUAUAAAAUGGUUGUGGAUGCCAUUGUGUGAUGUGAGGUAGCAUGUGAGAUGUAUGCGAGGUUAGGGACCAAGUGGGCACGCAAAUGCUCCUCUCGUGGAGAAGAUGGCAGAUCUCCACGUCUUCCGGCUUCGUGUCCACAGUCGAGACCAAAACAGCCGGAAGCCGGCCAUGGAACCCUUUUUUGUUCUUGAGAGGACGGAGCUGCUCCUUUCUCUCACAGUCCGUAGAGAAUGUACAGGGGCCACAAGUCAACAACUACGCUAACUGAAAACUUACCGAUAGGUUACUAGGAUGGAACCCACUUCAGCAAUACAAAUUAAGAGUAGAAACAAUCUUGACCAAUAUCCCUCUUUCGGAAGCAUUCACUUGAGAGUAAGUAAACAUGGCACAAAAUGCAAUGAUACGCCAAUAAAUUCAGCCGAGGAUACCACUACAAGCUUACCCUACACCUUCAAUCUAUUAGCGGACUUUUACAUCACAGCAUCCACAGAAUAACAUACUUGCCUAGAGACCUCAAGAAUGUCUCAAUCUCACAACACAACCAUUUCUUUCUUUCUUUUCAGAGAUGAGAAUACUGGACACCUAAUUCCACACAAAAAACUGGAUGGUAUUGGGAUGGAUUGCAGGAAGGCCUUGGAGUAGUUGCAAUCAACAAGCAGAUGUCUAAGCCUUAGCUUGUACAGCUUGCAUCCUCUGUUGCAACUUGAAUAUCUGCAUAGCGAAGGAGAAUAUAAAUCAAUGAAAGGUCCUAAAGAUAGCUAAUAAUGCUACUCACUUUAACUUAACCAGAUCAACAAUCAACUGUUGUAUGCAAAUGCAUAGACUACUUACCUACUAUUGUGAAUUGAACCUACUACCAAAUAUGCAACCGAAAAGUAUUUUAACUGAAGUAAAUGGCUCCAAAAUACUGAACUUUUAUGGCACACCAGUCAAAAUACAGGUACUUAUAACUAAAGUUCACUUGCAUUGACAUAAAAGAAACCAGUUUAAAGUUUUCGCAGGUCACCGGAGAUGCUAAAUAUCCUUAGUCCCCUACUGGGAGUGUACUUCACUUGUAUUGUUCUGCCACAUGCUCCAAAAGAGCAGCAGUAACAUGGAGGAACCUUGUUGCCCAGGGAAUGGAACAAAGCUCUGCAGUGAAGCAUCAAGCUGGCUAGGUAAUACAAAGCUACGGAGAGACCUAAAAUGAGCUGUAGAUGCUUUUAUAAUCCUAAGUAAAGUUUAUUGAAAGUCCACUCUAGGAACAUCAACUACUAAUCCUAUUUCAACUUUAAUUAUCUAAUCCAUGAACAUUUACCCAUACUAGAGUUAGUCUGUUAAGAACAACUACAUAACAGCGCAAUGCAUAUGCAUAUGGUCUAUUAAUGCAAUGCAUAUGCAUGUAUCAUAUUCUCAAUGGAGUAAUUCAAUUGUUUGCAUUGGUCAUGUAUCAGAAUAUGCCUCAGGACUGCAGCUUGACACCAGUUCAUUGUCUAGCUGGAUCCAACCCCCUCAAUCGCCAAUAGCGUGCUGCUAUAGCGACUGCUAACCUACCAUUGCUUUUGAUAGUGGUUUCUCACUGCUGGUAGUGUUCUCCAGACCCAGAGUAUCUGCUCACAAGUCAGGGCAAUAGAUCUGGCCAUAGUGCUCAGUGGUACUUCAAGCUGCACUAUGAAUUGAAGCCAUUACAUGUUUUGUCUACUCAAGGCACUGCCGCUUCCUCCUCUUGCCAAGAACACUUAGAUCAGGAGACAGAGGAAAGUCCAGAUUCUAUCUUCUGUCUAGUUAGUUUUUAAACAAUAUUUUAUCUCAGUCCAAUUCGUGGUUGCGCGGAUUUCAGGUUAAGAAAAAUAUUAGUCUCCAUGUGAAUAAAGUAAAGAAUAAGAACUAAAUCAUCCCUCCCUUUCACACUACUAGACUGUACACUUCUACUCCGUGUCUGUCUCCUCUUCAUCUCCGUGUUCUCAUCCAGAUACAGACACAAUUAUCUCUUGAGAAAAAGACUGGCCACAACAAAAUAUACUAGAUACAAACUAGAGUCCAAAGAAAGUUAGAGAUAAGGUAGGUUUAACCAAAUGAAUAAGUAGCUACCAUGCCCGUUUCAAAAAAAAAAAGCUACCACGCAACUAUAAGUGGACAUAAGGCUGAUCCCCUUGUGCCACCGCGCAGGCCCUGCCUAUGACUAUGAGUGGGACUUGUCAUUUUCUUCUGAUAGAACUUUUAAGUUCCAUUAUGCACAUGGUGAAGCUAAAUCGACAACAUAAGGACUCAAUACAAAGUCCGGAGCAAUAUCAAUCCAUUGAUGGGUUUCUUGCCCAACCUGGUGCCAUGUCUAGCUAGAGGAUGCGCAACAUUAUUCCAUUCUCUAAACAAAACGAUAAUCGGACAUUAUCCAACACAAGAUUCAUUUCUCACCUCCCUUACUUGGCAGCCAAAUCAAACUCAUUGGGGUUACCAGUUUUGUGUUGCAAAGGGGGAUUCAAUAAAUCUUAGUGCACUUUAUGAUACCACUGCAAUAGCACUAUCUUCAGUUAUCCACAUUCUACCACAUUAGCUAUUCUUUGCUAGAAUUUUUGUGAGUACAUAAUCAAAUAUGUCACAAUUAUCACACCUCUAAUUAAAUAUGCUUUAAUUUUUCCACACAGGAAGUUAACAGGAAUGGUAUUGAUAGUUAUCAUUCUAACAGUGUACACACCUGGAAUGCUCUGAACAAACAGUUUUUUUUUUCAAACUAAAUUUCUUGGCUACGAGAGAUAAGAUGGAAAGUUUCAACAAUAAUGAAUGCAAUUUUGCUAAAGGCAGCAAAAGAUUUGGCAUGCGUAUAGGUAGUUCUAGAUUAGUUCCGCAUAUGACCUACUAGUUCAUGUGAUUUUACUACGAAUCACAGAGGUUUAGCUAAUUCCAGUGAGGAUAAGGGCAACAAGGGGAUGAAAGGUACAGCUAAUGUUCACAGAAUUCAUAGCAUAGCUAUAAAGUUCAAAAUCAUCUACAUAAUACUCGAAUAGUUAGCUAUCCUGAUCACAAUAUAACAAAGAUGGCAUAUUAUAUCAUGCUUCUCUACUUCUCGACUCCAUCCAAAUUCAAAAGAAAUGCAUAUAGAAAAGUUACCGUAGAUAAGUUUGGGAAAAUCAUCUGCUGAUCACAAUAAUAAAGAUAAGAAGCAAUACAACAUACCGAUUCCUUCUUGCUGUUCUGCUUGUCCUCCAAAUCCUUCAGUGCCCGAUCCAUCCGCUUCCUGAAAAAUAGCCAAUCCCAUACAAUCAACACAAUAACGCUAAGACACCACGCGCUGAUCAAAUCGCAAACCAGACCAGAUCAAAGCCACUCACAGCUCUGCCGAGAUGUACUCAAUGCGCUUCUUGACGUUGGCCUUGGCCUCCGCAAGGUCCUGCUUGACCAGCACCGGUCCGAUGAGCUUGUACACGUUCGCCCCAUCGUUCAGUAGCUCCAACUCCUGCCAAACCAAAUCAAAUCAGACACUCAGAGUCACAAUCAACAACCGUUUCGGAGCCGAAGCGAGCUAGAAAGUCAGGAAUCGCGGGUCGAGUGCGUGCCUUGAGGACGAGCUCGUUCUCGCCAACCUGGAUGGUGUACUGCUUGCGGACCUGGUGGUUCUUCGAGAUGUCUGCGAGGGGGGAGGAGAGGAGCAGCGGAAGUUAGAAGUGAGCUAGGGUUUGGAGGCGGAGGCGAGGGAGGGGAUCCGGGGGAGUAGGGAGAGCGCCUGCCUUUCUGGAUCUUGCUGAGUGCGUUAGCCUGGACCUCGAGAUCCUUCUGCAUCUCACGGACGGCCGCCGGGGUCGACGACGACGCCAUGGCCUGCCCGCUGCUGCUGCUGCCGCUUCCUCCGCCGCCGGCUUCGGGAAGGAGUGGCUGAGUGGGACGUGGGUUGGGCUUUCCUUCGUCGUCCGCCAAAUGCAGGACUAAUUGACUUUUCUAACUAGUGGGUCGGGCUGCAAAUAGGCAGGAAUUAUAGGCUUUUUUUUUCAGUAUCCUUUGACAUGGGCCCGUGUGUAUUUGCAUUUCUCAGCCCACGAUCUUUCGCGUUUGCUACAUAUAGCAGAAAAAGGGGCUUCAAUGGGUUGUUUUAUGCGCUCUCUCACUCUCCCUACAAGAUGGGCCCCUAUGCAUGGCAUUUCUCGGCCCACGACCCCUUUUGCAGUUGUUUUUUUCUGGAAAGACCUUUUGCUGUUUUGAGGAAAAACAAACGGAGAGAAGAAAAAUCUGCAACGGAUUAUGCCAGGCCAAAGUACGAAAGAUCCAAUUUGCAACUUGCAGGGCUCAUCCUCCUCCGCCCAUGAUAUGCAAAGAUCAUGAUGACUUGAUGAGUGGAGAAGCUGCUUGCUAAACUUUUGGCGAAUGAUUGGGCUGGCUCGGCCAUGAAGAUGCAACCAAAAGGGCACCUUCUUUUCCCUCCCCUCCCCCACACAUCCUCAUCGCCAGCCAUGUCUUUCACGAAUCCCCUUCCCCGCCUUCAUCUCCCUUUCAAGAAAUCCCCCCCGGCAUUUAUUCAUUUCUUACAAAAACAAACAAGAGGACGAAUAUAAUAAUCCCCCAAUGCAAGUGAGAUGUGCUGGCCCACCCAUGGAAUUGGAAACCUUUCGGGGAACCCAUGCCAUAUGUGUGUGUGUGUGUGUGUGUGUGUGUGUGUGUGUGUGUGUGUGAGCACGCUUCCCCCGGCGCCCAAGAAUCCGUCGGAUUCCAUGGCUCCAUGGCGGCCUCUCCACCAAUCCCGAUCGCCGGCAUGGUUGAUGGUACUGUUUGCAUGGCCACCGCUAAUUUUGGAGAAUCCAGAUCGAAACCCCAUCCAAAAGGCAGGGCGCGGCGCAUCUGCGUAUUCUUUCUCUCUUCCUUUCCACUCGUAAUGCGGCUGGGCAUAUGGCCGUAGCUUCGUUCUCAGCCGGACGUACCCGGCGGGCCGGGUGUCAAACGCAAGGUAUACACUCAACUGAACCCGCCUUUUUCGAGACGUUUCUUAGAAAGCUAACUGCACCUGCAUCCACCAUCAGGGUCAACCAGGCAGGGAAAAAAGCACCCCCCCCCCCCCCCCCCCCCCCCGAACUGACCCUUGGCGUCGAUACAAGUUCCAUCUGGCGGAGCCGUAUUUGGGGGACCAAAUGCUUCCAAACCACGCCAUGUGUGGUCGAUGUCUGGCGUGUACUUUCAGGAACAGGGCGCGCCCUUGAAACAUAGGAGCGAAGGGAGAAUAGCAAUGUUGCACCACAGAGCACACCACCAGCGGCGAUUUCCGAAAUUCCUCAAGGUUUUCCGUAGCAUUCAUCCGCUCCCACCGAUGCAUUAUUUGGGCGGUUAGUGGAGGUUUGAUGUCAAUAAUGGACGUUGGUGUCCGUUGAAAACGAGCAUGUGUCGCCGUCACUAAAUACGAGUAGGAUAUGUCAUAAUUCUAGCAUUAGACUGGCAUGGCACACAAUCCGUACGCCCACUGUGCAAAUUUUACACAAUUUCAUUCGUAGAAACCACUUGCUAAUGACUACGAUUGUAUAACCGUUGAAUUCUGUAAUAUGGUGUCAGUCAAAGCCUCAAAGGUCGGUUUCGUGCAAUCAAGUUGGAGCAUGCAUAUAAAGUUGAACGGAGCAAUGCAAGUUAUUCGGUACGGUCGAGCCAAACCCUCUUACGAUGGAUGCCUUCGCAUCAAUGGAUGUGCUUAGCUAGUUUUGUAUGAAAUGUUAUGUGCAUUCAACUUUAUUAUACUAGAAGAUUGAACAUGGAAAUAACCAGUCAACGGAAAUUGAACAUUACGCAUAAACAAAAAAAUAUAUGAAGAUACGAAAUGGAGAUAUCUUAUGGGAGUAUAGUCUAUGGAUUUAGCAGUAAGAUUGAUGCGGUUCAUAUGUCAUUUUGCUGUUCGUAAUCCAAAGUACAUGAUCUGCCUGCCUAUGCUAGCUUGUCCAACCUCCGAGAAGCACACGUGCAAGCAUUUCUGAAUUGAAAAAGAAAAGUUAUCCAUUUGAAGCUCCACGUUCCUUCUCUGGACAGAGCAAGAAGGCACUGGAUUAGUCUUUGUAACAACAAACAAAGCCCACGGCACGCACAAUUCUCCAACAUUAUCGAGCGUGUCGCCCCUCUAAUCCCUGAGCUCUCCAAACACGGCACAAACACUAAACAAUUCGCUAACAAGGCUCCGAAAAUGACAACUAAUCAUUGAGGUUAUGGACUGGCAGCACAGUAAGCCGGCGCCAUAGUUCCGUGCCGAACCCGCACUUUGUGAUGCUCGUGCGUGCUUCGGUCGGGAGGGAGGGAGUUCAGCGCGGAGGCGCCACCUAAAGAAAAGGCGCCGUGGACGGCCAGCGCGAUCCCCAUUUGUUUAUUUCCUUUAGGCGAAUCCCGAUCAAGAGGAGGAGCCGAGCCCGCAUGGGCGCAUCGGCAUCGGCACCUGCACCUGCAACGCGAUAAUGGCCGGUAGCCAGGCCCCACCGGGGUCGGUUUCAGGGGGGGCCUCACCGGCGGAUAUGGCCUGAUCCGCCGUCGUAGGCUGUGAGUGAAACCGUGUCGCUCACCUGACCCGCACACGCGCUCGGGAAACCAUGGACAGCCGACUGUUUCUCGUUGGUUACGGGUGAUGAACUGUCAAGAUUUCAACCCGCAGAUCAUCGUUCUCCAGCACAAUGCAGUGAAUCACAUCUAGCACCUACUCCCCAACUCCACCACGUCUUGAACGGAAGCUGAAAUUGAAUCAUCAUCAAUGGCCAAAUGGACAGGUCUAACAUGGCUUUGUUAAAAUCCUGUGCGGCUGUGCCGACAUCUAGAUGCAAGAACUCAAUUUUCAGUGUGCAGUAAAGUGAGGUACAUCAGCUAACGGUCUUCGAGUUCGAGGUGGACGUGCCGACGUGGUAGCAAAGUCCACUACAGGCUCUAACUUCCAACGGGGGGCCCUGUGGGCCUACAUGUGACACCUAAGCGAUGGGAGGACCGAGACAGUAACAUGUUUGAAAUGCCAUGCGCACAAUGUGGUGAUUUCUAAACCACAGAAAAAAGCUAUUAACAACGUCGUGUUCCUGGCCACAGAAAAAAGAGCGAAGGAAUCCACGUACCGGGGGGAGGCUUAUCGCCGGGAUUAAGCCCUCCAUUUCACCUCAUCAUCAUGCUGACCAGCAAGCAAAUAUUCAUCCAUAUCAUUUCGUUUUCCGCGGCGCCAUCACCUUUGCGAAUUCCACCUCGUCUACUUGAAGGAACUUGUACUCCGAAUGGGACCUGUCGCGCAAGGUACAGCAGUAACUACUAAUAGACCGACCGUCAUGGGCAUGUUCAUCGGGUUAUAUUCAUGAAUUGACGUGCGGAAAUCUGCGUUUUGACCAAGACAAGAUCUGUGAUCUUGUUUACUUCCUAAAUUGGGAGUGGCAAAGUUUACAUUUUACCAUAAAUGCGCAACUGUAGCAUUUCGUUUGUAUUUAUGAAUUAUUGUCCAAACAUUGACUAAUUAGGCUCAAAAGAUUCAUCUCGCAAAGUACAACAAAACUGUGCAUUUCGUUUUUGAUUUUGUCUACAUUUAGUACUCCAUGCAUGUACCGCAAAUUUGAUAUGAUGGAGAAUCUUCUUUCUGCAUAGUGUUAAAGUUGGGAAAAAGAGGGAAACUAAACAAGUCCUGUGUAACUCGCAGGUAGUACCCAGAAAUCUCUGCUUUUUGGGGUCUGCAAAUAUCUGCUGCUGAACCAUGAAAAUGAGCAAAUUAGAGACCAACUGUUGUCAGACGAAAUAGCAGAAGGUAGAAUUACGAGAAGCAACUGCGAAUGCUCAGAUUUAAAAUGUACAUCAACUAUAUUAGUUUUCAAAUAGAAUCAUGAUACCAAAAAGGGAACAUGAAAUGUAUGCCCUUAUGGGCAAACAAUGAUUCCAAAAUGCUGAUAAUGGGGCAACAGUGUUCAAAGAGCAGAUCAUAUAAGCUACUAAUAAAAAACAAGCAACAGAAUUAGAUAAGGCCAAGCAAAGUACAGAAUCUAAAGAGAAAGAAGAGCUCACUGAAAAUGACUAGGCAGAACGGAACUGAUGCACUCAUGAUUUGAACAUAGAAACCGACCAAUCCACAGGAAUUUAACCCUCAACAUCUUACAUUUAUCAUAGCAACGGUUAAACGCAAAAGAGGUAAUUCACCAACUAACAAGUUGAAUCUAAACUACAGUCAGCUCCCAUUGAGAUGUAAUCAGCAUUUCCUAUGUCGUAAUGAUACUAGCACGUGAGACCGAUCCCGGUGAUGUUUGAGCACAAUUGCAAUAACCUUGCCACUAACUCAUUAUGAGGGUGACCUCUCUCUCAAAGGUCUCCAACAAGAAGAAAGAAUCAAGAUACAUCAUACCUAUUUGAAAGACACAGCGAGAAAGGAGGAAAUCCACACAUGCAUGCACAUGCUUGCAAGGACCGCCACUUCAUCGCUCCCCACCAUCACAUGGUCACCUGUGAUAAUGCACGGUACAUUCAAACAGAAGAUCCGGGCUCAAGGAUACGGCUAAGUUUUGGUCCUGCGUAGCUUCAAUUAUUCAGAAAAGCGUCCAGUUUGGGAUACCACAAGCACUGAAAAAGUGUAGUACCAUCUGUGCAAAAUUUAUUAAGACAAGAGUGUGUACAAAACAGCCUAUGCAAAGGCCCGUCUGUGGCCUGAUUAUAGACUACUUGUUUAUAGAAGGGUUCCCAAAAAAACAGUGCUGAGCAAGUCCAUGCAAAAUGCAGCUGAGCUUUCUUGACACGAAAUUAUCAAAAAAUAAUCACAAUGAAUAUGACAAUACAUAGAGCAGACUCAAACAAGUUUGUAAACAUAGAGAUUAAAGAAGGUGGGAUACAAAAGAAUCAACUGAAAAUAGUUCACAAACUAGAAAAAAAAAGAGAAGCAAGGGAAUGUUGACAUCCCAGGUAGAGGAUGGACCAAUAACGACCUAUAUAGAAUCCGACCCAUUUCAAUAUAUGGAGAACUAACCAGACAGAGACUUGUAUGGUUAGCCUAUCACGAGGUCCAUGAAUGAAAAGUAAUAAGAAAAUAGCUAACAAAUGUCUAAUGCCCAUCUCUUUCAAAGAAACACAUGCAGUUUCCUAAUGAUGGACAGGUGGCAAAUUCAGAUAAAUAAUGAGAUUAUAUUUAUAUAAUUUUAGCAGCUAAUAUUACCUAAUUCUUGACAAGUUCAGAACAAAUUUUAUUUUCUGGAGUUAAGAAGGUUUUUGCAUAUAUAAUCUGGCUUAAGACUUCAGAUAAAAGAUUUGAAUAGAAUAUAAUCUAGAGUUCUAGACGAACAUACGCCUUAUUUUUUGUCAAAACUCAAAAUCUUAUGAGAAAAGUACAGCAAGUGCAAUAACAUUGAAGUUUCAGACCACAGAAUUGACAAGGCAGUAGAUAAAUCUGAGUAAUCAGUUCAAGAAGAAUGAUCAAUCUGCAGAACAUACACAAAAUGCGAUGCAUUAUAUCAGUUCCAGAUUAGCAGCAUAUCCUAUCACCAAUAUAGGCAUCCCUUACUCAUGUCACACACUUAAAUACUCUGUCUGCAGCAAGUAUAAUGACCUGCAUGACAUGUGAGUAUCUUUCUUAAAAGUAAGCACUACCAAGCAGCAAAAUCAUAACAAAAGUGAAUCAUACAUUAAUUAUUUAGUUAGCACAUGGAAUGAUGGAAAUGAACAUCAAUAAGUGUACCGAUAAGAAGGUUUGUUUCCUGUGUCUGGAAUCUUGAUCUGGGCCCACCUUCAUAAGAUAUCAAGUGGGUACUGUCUGAACAAGGACUUGCUGAUUCAAUAGGAAAGGAAAACAGAACAGAACUUCAAAUAAGAUUGUCUACAGCUAAAACUUCUGGCAGAAAUCACAAUAAUGGAGCCACAGUCUGUUCAGUCCUCUAUGGUCCCAAGAAGACAGGCAGUGGCAGUCCAAUCAGUGCACCGGCUAAAGUCUGGUGGCAGUAAAUGGUAGGCAUCAGAACAUGGAGGCAAGGAUUAGGCUUGACAUGAUAUCUUCAAGAAGCCUUUAAACCAUUUAUCUGCACUAAUUAGCUGAGAUGACCAAGCUACUGGGUCCUGCACAUGCCACUACAACAAAGCUCACUUGAACUCAACAACCAAAAGAGACCCAAAGAUGAUAAGCACAUCCGAAAUUACCUCCCGAAAUGACAUUGAUGGUUCCAGCUAUGGUGUUAACAUUUACACAAAGAUGUGGAAGGCAGUUCCCAAGUACAUUUGACAGUUAAACUAGCUUACAGGACUAUUACUUCCUGAUAACACAAACAUUUCAAAAUAAGGACAGAAUUCACAACACACCACAGAUUGUUCUUGGGUCAAGUGGAUAAUAACAGUUCAUAGGAAGGGCCUGUACUGCAUCAGGGUAAAUGGGUUGAGAAGAGCCUGGGGAUGCUUGCUCCAUUCAAAAAGUCUCAACAUUAAAGAUUAUCUGGAAAAUUUCUUCACCGGUUCAGCUGUAGCUGAUCACCAACUAGCCAAAAGCACUUCCAGAACUUUGUGCGAUAUACUUUGCUGACUGGGCUCAGCAAACAGCGUCCCACACACCAUAAGAAACACACACACCCUGUUGUUUUCCUCGUAAGGCACAAAUACGAGCAGCUUCUUGUUUGCUUCCAAGAUCCGUUCACUUUGACCCACACCCCUGCAUGUUCAUCACCUGCAGCAUAUAUAUAGACAGCCUCCACACACCUUCUGCAUACAGAGUUGAGUGGCCAAGCAAGAACAGAAAAGUAAGCAUGACUCAAGCUCAUUCCAGGUCAUGCUUCCAACAAUUCUGGGAUGGUGUUCAAGUUAAGAGGAGCAGUGACAACUUCACCAUUGAGCUCCUGCCAUCUCUUGGUGCAACAAUAAAUCACUCUAACAAGUUGCAGAAGUUCAUCAUAUCUCCCUAUGAUCCCCGUUAUAGGUAAGGUUCUCCCUGCAUCAGUAUGUACCUUAUCUUGUUGAAAUAUAACCAAACAACAUCAGCUGACAUGAUUUCCUUUGCUUUGUCUGUGUUUCUCUCAGAUACUGGGAGCUGUUCCUUAUAGUCCUAGUUAUUUACUCCGCCUGGAUAUGCCCGUUUGAACUAGCAUUCUUGAGGGACUUGCCCCCUAAGCUUCUGCACGUUGAGAACAUUGUCAAUAGCUUCUUUGCGGUUGAUAUUGUUUUGACAUUCUUUGUAGCUUAUGUCGACAGCAAAACACAUCUUCUUGUGGAUGAUCGAAAGAGAAUUGCAGUAAGGUUUGUACCUAGUUCAUAACUGCUUUCUUUCUCCAAAACUCCGCAUUGAAUUUAAUAUAAAACCAUGCGAUUCUGUUAUAGAACUAACAAGUUAUGAUCCCCCACAGGUACCUAUCAACCUGGUUCAUCUUUGAUGUAUGUUCCACAGCUCCAUUCCAACCAAUCAGCCUUCUGUUUAGACACAAGGGAAAUGCCCUUGCUUUUAAGAUACUCAAUAUGUUGAGGCUGUGGCGUCUUCACCGAGUCAGCUCACUGUUUGCCAGGUACAAAUCCAGUCCAGCUUCUUCCACAUUUUGAUGACAAAUAAUAAAUGACAGCAAUUUAAUCACCUUUCUUUUACCAGGCUGGAGAAGGAUAUAAGAUUCAACUAUUUCUGGACUAGGUGUUCAAAACUUAUUUCUGUAAGUCUUUCAGAAAUUCAGGAACAGAAAAUAGGCCAUGUUCUCCAUAAACAUUGUCGAGCUUGCAAAGUGUUUACCUUUGCCCAUUGGAAGAAACCUAUUGAUAAUAAUGUGAAAAUUCUGUGAUAACAAAACGCAGGUUACUCUGUUUGCGGUGCAUUGUGCUGGAUGCUUCAACUAUAUGAUUGCCGACAGAUAUCCUGAUCCAGAGAAAACAUGGAUAGGUGCUGUUAUGCCUACUUUCAGAUCAGAGAGCUUAUGGACUAGAUAUGUUACUGCCCUUUACUGGUCGAUUACAACACUGACAACAACGGGUUAUGGGGAUCUACAUGCUGAGAACCCAAGAGAGAUGCUGUUUGGUAUCUGCUAUAUGAUGUUUAAUCUGGGACUGACAGCUUAUCUUAUUGGUAAUAUGACCAACCUGGUUGUUCAUGGGACCAGCCGAACCCGGAACUUUGUAUGUUUCUCAACUUAUUGGCAAAAUCCAUUAAUACCACUCAAACAUAAUUCUUCUGCCUCAACAAUAAUAGAUCAGGGAUGUAGAUUUUGAAUAUGAAGUACAUGCAUUAAGGGACAACAGCUUAAGUGAGACAAGAAAAAAAAUGGAAUAUAGAAUGUAUUAUACACCUUGCUUUUGUUGUUAUAGGUGACUCGGUGGGAAAAUUAAUGUAAAACUUUAUACAAAUAGUGCUUAUUCAAAGUGUGUUUAUGCAGUUAUUCAUAUGCAUCUCUGCCUUCUACAUGCCAUUGAUUAAAAUAAAUUCAAGGGGUCAAAACUCUACACACUAUAACACCUGACCUGCUAAACUGAGAGGAAAUCAGAGACAUUGUUUAGCUUAAGUGGUCCUACACUGAAAAGGUCAGAUAGUUCCAACUGGACCAUCCUAAUAAGUUCUUACACAAAGGUUCCCAACCAAAUAAUCAGGCAGGGGAAUAAAUGAAUGAAACCUGAUUCAUGGUAGUCAUUACACGUAUGUGUUGUCAGCCCCGAGUUUUCUAUCACUUAGUUGUUCAAACAUUCUUUGUAACAACACCAACAAAGAAGAAUAAAAUUCAAGGCCAACAAUAUAUGGAAAAAGUCAAAGAAAAUGCAACCAGAAUGAAUAAACCCUUUACACAAACAGUUAGCUUGCUUGUACCAUAUUGUAACUUUGCGAAUGGUGCAGAGGGACUCAAUCCAAGCGGCUUCGGAAUUUGCGGCACGAAAUCAGUUGCCUGAGAAGAUAAAGCAGCAGAUGUUAUCUCACUUCUGCCUACAGUUCAAGACAGAGGGGCUCAACCAGCAAGCCAUGCUAAAUGGUCUCCCGAAAGGAAUUCGAUCAAGCAUAGCAUACAACUUAUUCUUUCCCAUCAUACGACAAGCCUACCUCUUUCAUGGAGUAUCCAAUAAUUUCAUAGCAGAACUGGUAAUAUGAUCAAUAUUUUGGCUACCAUUUAAAAUUAUUAUUUUAACUGAUUAAACUUCUUUGGCAUUAGGUAAUGGAAGUGCAGGCUGAGUAUUUCCCACCACAGGAAGACAUAAUGUUGCAAAAUGAAGGGGUAGCAGAUAUUUACAUAAUAGUUUCAGGAGCAGUGGUUAGCUUUUUAUCUCUGAUUAGGUUCUCAAACAAAAUUUGAACAAGUUUGUUCAGCAAGCUAAUUACACGUUUCAUGUUGCCUUAUCUACAGAACUUGAUAACAACAGUAAAUGGGAAUGAACAGGUAAAGGCUUCUUCAUCUAAAAUUGCAGGGAUAUCAGAUAUCACAAAGGUUUCCACAGAUUGCUAACAAUGAUUUCGUCAUCUGAAAGCAGGUGUACAGAAAAGUUGAAGACGGAGACAUGUUUGGGGAAGUUGGUGCUCUGUGUGGCAUACCCCAGCCAUUUACCUGCCGCACCGCUACCCUGUCACAGCUCUUGAGAAUAAGCAAGAUAAGACUAACAGAGAUCAUUCAAGAACACAGGGAAGACAGCAAUAUUCUAAUGAACAAUCUAUUCCAGGUACAGUUUCAUUUCUUUAAGGAAGCUAAAUAUAUGGCAGCUAAUUUCAACUAAACUGAAGUUUAUAACUCUUUAUGUCAAUGCACAGAAGCUGAAGCUGCAGCAAAAUUCACCUGAAUUGAAUCAACUAGACCGAAUAUUCAUGCAUAAGUAUGAGCCAUUUCAUGUUUCUCAAGAAGCAUGGUUGUUGCCUCAGCCAUACUUACAAUACACAGAGCACAAAUGUGAAGACAUUAGUAAGAAGGUCCCAACCUUCAUUGGUGAUAAUGGUUCAACAAAAAUAGUGGCAGAAACAAACCAAUUGAGGAAGCCACAGCACGAAAACAGUCAUGACCAAUCAAACUGCAAUCACGGGGCGACAGGUGGGAUGGCAGGCAAAGAAGAGGAUCAUGAUGAGGUUCACAUAAACUGUGAGACCAAAAAAGGAACUGAAGAGUUCUGCAUUCAGAUAAAAUCUGAAGAUUGCGAUGCAGCAAGCAGUCGGCAAACAAGCCAUGAAACGGUGAAGCUGAGGUCUUCUCACAAUAUAUCGGAGGGCACAACAAGGAGAAGAAAUCAAGAUAGUAGUUACAUAAAAGCAUCCAACAAAAGAGUUACAGUUCAUGCAUAUCCUCAUAAUGGGACAGGUUCUUUAGUACAGAAUGGGAAGCUUAUCAAUCUGCCUGGUUCACUGGAGGAACUUUUUGAAAUCGGAAGUAAGUAAAAGUUUCAAGAUUUUAAUUACAAAUUGGGUUAGUGUGCAGAUAGCAGAUGUACAUAGAAAUUUACAAUAGGUUUUUUAACAUUUCAGGUCAGAAGUUUCCAGGUUUCCAUCCUACAAAACUGGUCACUAGAGACUAUGCUGAAAUAGAUGACAUCAGUGUUAUUCGAGAUGGUGACCACCUAUUCCUUCUUCAGAUGUAGAACCAGAAUAGAAUUAACCUAAUUUAACCUAACAAUAAAGAAGGCUUCAAGUUCUCCAAUCUGGCAAAAGCAGAAAAGGCAAGUUGUUGGAGAUAUGAAGAGGAAGAAUUUUGACCCUUUUUCCUCAUUUCUGACAUCAUGUAAAAUGUGUAUUUAAUAAUAAGCAUCUGAUACAUAAUUGAAUUUCCUUAAAAUGCUCAUUAUAAAGGUGAGACUGUAAAAAACACCAGUAAUGGGAAUUAAUAACUAAUGCAUUAUAAUGGAAUAAAAACUGAAAAAUCUGAAAGCUUGGGUUUUGGAACUAUGAGAGCCCUGAGACAAAACAUCUAGAAAGAGUUGUUUUUCCGCAGCCUGCCGGGGUUUGAUUCUCACCAAAAUCUUGCUCUAGUCUCAUUCCAAGUUGUUAUUCAACAGAAUGGCAAUAUUCCUAUAUUAACCAUGAAGCGGGAAAAGAUAUGGCUCAAGCAGAAAUGAGGGGGAAAAGGAAUUAGAACAUUAGUAUGUAGACACCAGUACACCACUACAGAUCAUUUUAUUGGGUCAAUGUAAAUCAGUAUGAAGUAUCCAACAAUAACACCAUGCAUUUAGAGAUGAGCACAUGAAUGCAGUACACUCAAGAAAGUAAAUAUGUAUGGGACCAUAGACAGAGUUCACACAAAAAAACACUUCAGUCAUCAUUUCAGCUUCCAAACUCCUUUUUUAGCAUAUUUUCUAGAUGUUUCAGGAAAAAGAAUAAGUCACUGGACACUUCCCGCAUGCAGGAAGAGAGAGAGGAUAAAGCAUAUGCAAUAGACUCAGGCACCAAAAUUGAAUUAAAAAUGUAAUAUAACCAAUGCCUCUCUCACCCAAGCAUUUGCGCACUGGGAUGGUCCUUGCCUCAAAAUCUGGAAGAUGGCCGAGUGGGCAUUUGCAAGAAAACAGCAUAUGAGCAGAAUCUCAAACUCCACGUGGCUAUGAAGUGUUCUUGGCAAUUUCCCCUACAAAAGUAGCCCAAUCAUUUUGCACGAGGCCACCAGAGACAAAGACCCAAGCAUUCCCGUGCACAUAGGUGGGCUCGGGCGCUAGGCUGUGCCUGUGCUACAAUCAGCCCAAGCCUUUGGAUUUCGAUUCAAUCAUAGAGGCCUCGUUUAAAAUACGAAAAAUCCCUCGAUUCCACAUGAACUGAACUGUUGGCAGCCUUAAAAUCGCUGUGCGUAACGGGACCAAAAGGACACGGCAGAUUAAGCCGGACCUUGCACGACAAACCAGGGCCGAAAUGCCAAAGCCUGGUCAGGACCAUAAGCAGUGACCAGACAAAACUUUCCUGAGAAAGCCAACAUGGAAAUGUACGUUCCCUACCCCCACUUGGACUUGCUUCGCCCGGAAUAGAACGCGAAACAUGUGCGAAUCGGAGAAUGAUCCCCCUAAGUUUAACAGACAGAUCACAGCAAUUAGUAACAAAAACGUUAGUGUUGCACUCAGCAAUUCGGCGAUUCGGACAGCAGAUUCGAGUCCGCACGCGGGAUGGGAAGAGCCACGCGUGGUGGUAGGUCAGGUCACCUGGACGGAUGGAAGGGACGACGAGGCCGGUCGGAGGGAGCAGCGGCGUGUGGGGUUCCGGUUUCGAAACCGACGGCGGAGGAAUCUCGAGUGUGGCGGUAGGCCAGGCCGCCACCCUCGGCAGUCGGUCUGCAGCGCCGCCCCUCGAGAAUGCGGACGAGCGCGCGGCAAAGGAGAGCGGCCGCCCGCAUUGUUGGUUGCUCGAUCGCCGCCGCGCCGCGACGACGGAUAAGGAGAGCGGUCGCCGGUCAGGGCGCGUGGAGUGGGGCCGUGGGGGCCAUCACGGAAAGGAUAGAAGGCAGGGAUGGGUGGAAGCGGAUCGUUCGUUGCUGCUCCGGUUUCGUUUCGGCCCUCGUGUCUCCGUCAAAAUUCGCUUCUGCGUUGUAAAAAUGCACGCGCGCGCGCGCCACACUUUUAUACUGUACGAACAGAAAACGAUUUCUACUGAAACUCUGAAAUGCACUCAAAAGGAACGUUAAGUCCUAGUUUAUCAGCCACCAAACAGUAUUUUUAUCUCACAAAUCAGCCGUUUCAACUUUUCAACCGGCUUUUCAACCGGCUUAUAAGUUCAGCCGAACAAGCCGAAAUUAUUGUUUGGAUGUUUGAGCUUCAAUCCAUUCGAAUAGGAAAGUUAACCAUUCCACGUUCCAACCACCUGACGCAUAGUCAGGCCCAGUUUGUAGUUUCGGCUCGUGCAUAGGUCAAGCCCAAAAGGCCGAAACUCGACCGUGCCUGUUGAGCUGGGCCUAAAUCAGGCCGGUGGGCCUACAUUCGUUAUAGUCACCAGCUUCUCUGAAUCUCUCUGAUGAGGAUACAACAAAUGAGCGACAGCUGAGAUCUCACUCGCGUUUGUAUUCAAGACGCAUGCAUUUGGAUGCUUAACUCCUAGGAGUUUGUAAACAUUGUCCACCCAUUCGGUAGCAAGCCUACCGCUAGCCUAACCAUAGCCAUAUGCAGUAGCUGUGGACCCCCUGGGUGAUGGCUGUUGGCUGGACCCGCGGCAGCAGCAGCAGCCAGCAGCCAGCAGCAGUGUUCUCUGCAAUUCUGCAUGCUUGCUGGGUUGCUUUGUUGGUGAGACAGGGAGCAGUUGGCAUCAGUCCCGACUUGGUAGCGCGCAUCAGCGCGCGCAUGGGUCUUGCUCUUGCAUGCAUAGCCUAGACCGGGCCGGCCUCUGCUGGGGACCACCGGCCACCGCACUCGAGCCGCCGUGGAUUGGAUAAUGGACAGUACCGGCCGGUGCUCUUCGUAGAUGCCGCAAAGAUGCCCGUGAUGUCCGGGCUUAAGCUUGGGUUAGUUUUGUUUUGUUUGAGCUGAUGAGCUCCGUGCUCGAUGUGCGAGGAGCUAUGAGCCUGCAUGGACUCUUUAAAAAAAAACUUAUUAACCUGCAGAGAUGGGACAACGAGAACGAGGUGCUAUCUUCUUUAUCUGCUCGGGUCGUCUGCUCCUCCAUCUCAUUCUAAUUUUUUAUGGAAGUUAAUUAUUUGAGAAAAAUAAUUUUGUGGCUGAAAUUGAUUCUUGUAAACUUUUAAAAUCAAGAUGGAAAAUCACUCAGAAGUUACUUUUUUCAACUCCCAGCCUCUUACUUCAUUUCAGAUAAUCACUUUAUAAAAUCAGUAGGGAAUCACUUCUCUCUAAAAAAUUAUUUAAAAUCAAGAUGGAAAAUCACUUCACAUAAUCAGAAGUUACUUUUUUCAGCUCCCAGCCUCUUACUUCAUUUCAGAUAAUCAUUUUAUAAAAUUAGUAGGGAAUCACUUCUCUCUGAAAAAUUAUUUGGCAGAAUUUUUACUGGAAUCAGCAGAGAAUCAGAGAGCUCAGUCAAACGCACCAUAGUUUGUACUUAGCCGAUCCUUCGUGGGCGUCCUUUCGCUGUUUACCGUGCACUUUCUGUUGUACGUUGCCGGGUGAGAAACCCAAGGGCUGGAUCGAAAAAUAUUGUUACGGCCUAUGCAACUUGCCUACUAAUACACAUGAAUGGAUCAAUGAUAUGUACAAAUUAUUCAAUUCUGUAAGGUUUAGGUCAUGUUUGGCAGAGCUCCCAAAGCUGAUUCACUGUUGAAUCUAGCAGGAGCCUUGCCAAAAAGUUUUCCAGAGAGAAUUGAUUCUUUACUGAUUCUGUGAAGUGAUUCUCUAAAAUGAACUAAGAGAUUAGGAAUUCAAAAAAGUAGCUUCUCCUAGUUCUGUGAAGUGAUUCUCCAUCCUAAAUUUAAGAAUUUAUGCUAGAGAAUCAAAGAAAAUCACUUUUAGUCACAUAAUCAUUUCUCAAAGAAACAACUUCCAUAAAGAAUUAGAAUCAGAUGAAGCGCUACCACACAGACCCUUAAUAAUCUGCUUCCUCGCAAAAGAAUAGUAAUCUACAAGCACAACUCGAGUGUGCUUGAAUGGUUCGUGGAAAGGUAGAGAUUCAUUGUACUAAAAAAAUAUGAGAUUUAAGCUAAUAUUUGUUUGCUUGUGGGACUUGUGCGUGGGAAAGCAAUUCAUGGGAAUUUUUACUACUCCAUUUCUUUCUUUUAAUGUCCACAAGGACCUUAAUACAUAUAUAUAUAAAAUACUUUUCUGCAUUUAAAUUAUUAAAGAUCGAAUAAAAACCUAAACAUCUAAUCUUGGAGCUUGGGGGUUCUUCUUUCUUUCCUUUUUCUUUCUCUUCCUUUCCCUUCCAUUCUUCUUCCUUUUUUCUUAAAAAAUGGAGGGGGUCAAAGGGAUAUCCCCUUGUUGAGUGUCCACGGUCUUGACCCCGUUUUGACCUUUCUUUAGUGGUCGUUUGGAUAAUAAUCUUUUGCAAAACAUGUUUUAAAAGGAUAUUUAGACUUAGGUUGUUAUUAUGUUUCGGAAUUGAUUUUUAUGUAUCACAUUGUUUGGAUGGAAUAAACUAAAAAUAACUGAAAUAACAUCGUACCAAGAAUUUCGCACCGGGUAACCCACUGUUAAAACAUGUAAAAAUAAUGAAAUAAAUACUCGGAUCGAGCUCGUCUAAUUUUUUCGGACCAACAAAACCAGCGCCACGCUCGGCCCUAUUAAGAGCCGCGACUGGACCUCAUUUGCUUAGAUCUACGUGUACGUGAGUUAGUUGGGAAUCAAACAAAACUUUUAUAAGGUUAUUGCGAUAAAAACUAUAAAAUAGUUUCACCUUACCUUACGAGGUGGCCUGCGAGUCAAGGUGUUGUGUGUUUGGUUUGGAACCUCGCGGACUCUUUGAGUGUUUUCCUUUUGUGUUUUUCCCCUCUCUUUUUAUAUUUUUAUUUUUAUAAAGCUCUUGUCAUCACUUUGGGGAUUUUUUGAACGGUACGAUUGAAUAUUUUGUAUUACUGAUUUGUCCGCUGUAUAAAGCUAUAAAGCUAUACGUACUCUCUCCAUUCCAAAUUGUAGGUCCUUUUAACUUUUUUAGAUUCAUAGAUAUUAUUAUAUAUUUAGACAUACACUAUAAUAGUAAUAUCUAUGAAAAAAAAAGUUAAUGAUCUACUCCCUCCUAGUAGGUUAUUUUAACUUUUUAGGUACAUAAUUUUUAUUAUGCACUUUGAUAUAGUAUAUGUCUAAAUGCAUAAUAAUAUUUAUGAACCUAAAAAGCUAAAACGACCUAGCACAUAAUACAUGAUGAACGUUGUUAAGCCCAAAUCCCAAAGAAGCUUGCUGGUGUGCUCAUGAUCUAGUACUAGACUGGUUUCUGAUCCUGAACGUCCGUUCCUGUCCGGACGGUCACACCGCGAACUUUUCCCGCCCAAUCAAUUCCAAACCCCCACCGCCCACGACCGCCGCCGCCGCCGCGAUGGAGCUCUCCGCAGCCUUCGAGGAGCGCGUCCGGCAGAUGGAGGACGCCCGCAACCACCGCCUCGCCCUCCUCCACGUCUCUCCCGCCGCUCCCCCUCCUCAUCGACCCUUCCUCUCCGAAACCAUCCAAACCCUAACUCCCCGGCCUCACCGGCGGCGCCUCCUUCCUCCCGUUGCCUUGUUGCGCAGGCAGAGAAGGAGAUCCAGGCCGCCAAGUCCCGCAUCCUCGCCGCCAAGCUCGCAGCCGCGCGCCGACUCGAGCACCGACGCCUUUUCCUCGAGCGCCGCGCCGCCGACCUCGCCUCCCGGGCACUCGCCGCCCGCGCCGACAUCGACGCCGCGCGCUUGCGCCGCCUCGCCGUCGCCCGCGACCUCAGGUAGGCAAGCCACCAGUGAUCCGCCCGUAUCACUAUACCUUCCUCCACCCGAAACUCGGGGCAUUUCGCUUUUAGUUAAAAGAUUCCACAUCUGCAUUAAUUCUCGAAUUGGACUCGCAGCUCGGUGAGGGACGAGAUCGAGGAGGCGGAACGGAGGGAGGAGGACUGGGACCGCUUCUACGAGGCCAAGAGGAAGGAGAUGGAGGAGUUCCAGGCAGUGUCGCGGCGGUUCGAGGCGGAGACUUGCGAGGAAGUGCAGAGGCUGAGGGAUUUGGUAUCUCAAGUACGGUCCCAAUCCUAUGCAUCCAUAAACUAUGUGCUCAUUACAGUUCCUAUCUUGUUUAGUCUAACUGCAACUUGGUAACAUUAGCAUCUGGGGGAAGCUGGUAAAUUGUUAAUUCUGUUCACUUCGGCAUGUUCAAAUCAAAUGGCAACAGGGCAGGGGGCAGGGGCGUUUAAUAGGUUUUGGUCUCUAGCCAUUAGCUUGUCUUAUGAGUUAAAAACUAGCCAGUAGUAGCUUGUAGUUUAUUGGUGGAUCUUUGUUGGCCUGCCCAAUGGAAUGGACCACAAGGCAAGCUGGAAGCUACCUCUUGGCAAGAAAUGCUCAGGUCCACCUCUUGACAUCUAGUCAAUAUGUUGCCUUGCCGUUUCAUUGCAAUUCAGAUGGACCGGAUCAAUGCAGGUGAUAAAUUCUUGGGCCAUGGCUGUUGCCUCCUGAGACAGGUUUUGAAUUUUCAAGCCUCUGUUGGUCUGCACCAACAUUUGUGGUUUCAUUAUUCAAACAGCGAAAAAAGUGCAUGGUUAUGAGCUAUGACUUCUGUGAAGAUCAGGAAAGGCUAAUUUGUGUUUGAUUGUGCCUGUCGCUGAAUGCGUUAUGGUGUCAAAUGGUCUGCUGAUAUUUUAUAAUGUGUCACUUACAAGUGAUGGCAGCAUCGAGAAGGAUAGGAUACUAUUUAUGGUUGUACUUGAAUCAUAAGAAAUUAUCAAUGCUAGAUCCGUAAAGAGAAUCAUUGCUGGAUAAUUUUGUUCUAUUAGGCCAAGGUAGCAAGAAAUAGCUGUUCGUGCAAGCUGUGUGAAUAAUUUAUCUUUUGCAUCUUGGUGGAUUCUCUAUGAGUCCAUCUUAUCAGGUAGCUAUUAUUUUACUUGCCCAAUGCAACAAAACAAUUCAUGAGUCAUGGACCAUGGUCUGCACAUAACCAUUAACUUCGCAAGCAUCCAAAUAAAAUUAAUAUGAAUUUAAAAGACAACCUGUUUUGUAUAUAAGAAUCCCCCCUCCUAAGAAAUUGUUGAUUGGUCCAUUUUGUUAGGUUUGCAUUGCAAUGAUAUAACUGCAGUAGCAGUGAACUAUAAAAAAUAACAUACAGUUCAAGAUCUACUGACCUGAACCAAUGAAUAGAGAGCCACUGCUCGAGAUCCCAUCAGGCACUUUGAGCUACAUUAUUUUUUGCUGUUGUGUUUGUGAUCGUGUCCUCACAAAUUGCCAAAUUAUUGUUCUGCUGAUGGUGUGAUUUUGUAUCUGCAUCUGAUUAAUAGAUUUCUACUGUGAUUACAGCUGAAAUCUACACUGCAAGAGCUGCAGAGCAGCGAGAUGUACUCAAACAACGCCGAUAUUGCUGCUGCGGAAGCCAGGAAGUCUGAUCUGACUGCCAAGAAGGCAAAACUGGACGAGAGCCUGGCUUCGGCCCGCCAGUUCAGAGCGCUGCUUCAGCAGCAGCUCCAGAAAGCUUUCCAGUCACAGGUUGGGGAUCAAAAGACAGCCCAAGCUACCAUUUGAACUUCAGGUCCAAUGCUGCAUAAGGAAAGCACGAGGACACCUGCGUCGGUACGCCCAGCGAUUUUCUUCAUGCUUGAUGCAUGCAUCGGGCUGUACAGGUGAAAGAAAUUUCAAAGGUACCAAGAAAUACAAAAUGUUUCAUUUCGGUUGUUCACCGAAUAACAUUUUGCCUAUGCCAGUAUCGUACUUUUUUCACGGCAAUGGAAGCCUGUUACUCAAUUGUUACUUGAUUGCAACGCUUGAUCUGAAUUCAGGAGGCUUGUGCCUUUACCAUGCAGCAAGCAUGCAGCCUGCUACUCGCCACAUUUGCUGCAGGAUCUUUGGCAAAGCGUGAGCCUUUUUUUUUCACCCCCAGUGUCUUACUUGGAUUGGUACUGACGGCGCUGCAAAGUGUGCAGCGUACUCCUCUCAUCAAUGUGUAGGGCUAGUCGCCCCCAUUUGCAUAUUUGCAUGCAGCCCAGAGGCAAAGUGGACGCUUUAGGGUUGGUGCCCCCUCUCCAACUACUCACGCACUUGUACCAUCUCGUUAAAUGCUGCUGCUGCACAUGAGGAAGCUUUUCUUGCCAAUGUCAGGUACGAGUUGUCCGUGCAUUGUAGCGCACAACGAAAUGCGGCUGUAAUUCAUUGAAUUAUGGCAAGAUAAAUGUCGUGUCAGGGGCUAGAGACAGAAAGAUACAAAGCAAAGUUACUCCCUUCGUUCUAAAUUAUAGGUCGUUCUAGUACAUUAGACAUAGAGUGUAUCUAAGUGUAUAAUAAAGUCUAUAAAUCUAAUAAAAGCAAAAUAACUUAUAAUUUGGAACGGAAGGAGUAAUAGUCACGGUCAUAUACACCUCUGUGUUUAUGGUGAGUAAUAAAGUUUUGGAGUUCGUCUUCAAUGCACAAAAUUAGGCAUUUUACAUGACAAAGAGAAAGGUAAUAAUUGUCCCUUAUUUCAUAGGAAACAUUCUACAAAAGAAAAAAUAAACUCUCCACGUUUAACAUCCUUUGAGGAAAAAAUCGGCACAAUGAUGGUCAUAUGUAUGGAAAGCAUAGUUGUAAGGCUAAUCUCAAUGAAAGAUUUCAUUUUGUUGUUUUGAAGAAUGCCACAUUAACAAAAUGAAAAAUGAAAUCAUGGAUGAACCCCUACAAUGCCUCGUUUCAUCUUUGCUAUUUCAUAUAUUCUCAUCACAUUUAAUUCUAUGACUCGUUAAGAGUUGGAAACCGUGUACAUGUAGUUUCAUGGGAUAAAAUUGAUUUCAUCUCUCUCUUCUUUACUGUUUUGCCACAUCAUCAAAAAUCCUAAGUGGCUUGUGAUUUAAUGAGAACAACAAUAAUGCCAUGCUCAUGCAUAUUCAUUUUGGCAUUAAACAACCUAUAACAUAUUUAGAAGAGGAGGAUACAAUAUUCAUUUUGGCAUGCACAGAAGAAGCGCAACUAUACUCACGCAUAUUGAGCGCACUCUCUCUCUCUCAUCACCUAUACACACAUACACCACUCUCUGGACAGCUAACACGCUCUAUAUUUUCUUAGUGCUUCAAAAUAAAACUAUGUGAGGUUGUACUCACACAUUUGAAUCCCCAUUCUAUCAGCAACACGCACACAUGUCCAUUCUUUGGAUAGAUACACACACCGUCCUUCAUGCCAUCGCUAGGAAAAAGUUAGUAUGGAUGCAGAAUGAUAAAUAAAACAUCCACGCGGCCAAUUAAAAGCAUGUUUGGAAGAAAAGGAUACCAUCCUCCUUUUCCAAGAUAAACCCACUCACAGUAGAAAACUCACCUUUAGUCCCAGUCGGUAAGGAGCAAAUCUUCCGAAAAUCCAUCUGGGAUAAACCAAUCGAGAUAAAAAGGUGAUCUUUUAUCCUGGGUCACUCAACCGCGACUAAAGACCCUCUUUUAUCCCGGUUGGUAAUACUAACCGGGAUAAAAAUAGUCGCCACACCAGGCACAACCCAAAAAAAAAAGAAAUCCCAGGGGAUCCCCGGAAGCCCCCCCCCCCCCAACCCCCACGUUGCAAGUCACAAGUCACCGAAAUAUGCGCGUGCGCGGUGCGUGGGAUUCCUCACAACCUCAAGCCUCGUGCGUAGCUUCCUUGCCAUCCCACCUACACAGCACAUCUUACUAUAUAGGGGAUGCGAUCCUUUUGUAUUAACUCGUGGGGACCCUUUUAUCCUGGUUGGAAACACCAACCGGGAUAAAAGGGUUCGAGGGAUUUAGUCCUUUUUUUAGCCAUCUGUGGGGAUCCUUUUAUCCCGGUUGGAAACACCAACCGGGAUAAAACACCCCAUUUAUCCCGGUUUGUAAUACCAAGCGGGAUAAAAGGGGGAGGUCUUUUAUCCCAGUUGGUGUUUCAAACCGGGAUAAAAGGCCUCUCAUAGCCUUUUUUUUCCACUAGCCUUUGCAACCGGGAUAAAAGAUCCCGGUUGGUGAGGCCCCCGCCAGUGACCGAGCUUUAGUUCCGGUUCGUGAACUUUUUGUCCCGAGCCAACUUUAAACCGGGACAAAAUGGGGCGCAUGGAAAGUGAGUUCCCUACUAAUGACUUCUGCACACGAUAACAAUAUCAAAAUGGUUAGUGACCUAGGGGGGCGCAUCUCAACCCCCUUUCUAUCAAUAACACCCACAUACAUCUAUUAUUUAGAUAGACAAACCAUUCUCAACAAUCCAACAAAGAAAUGCAAGUGAUGUGUAUAUAUGAUAAUUGGCAAAACAUCUAUUACAUGCGGUUGUAUUGUUGCAUUUUUUCUACAUAGUUUUACUUCACGGAAAAGAAAUGAGGCUACACACAUUUCACUCUGCCUUUCAUUCAACAACACAAACAUACCUCUAGCUAUUAAGAUAAGCCAUCUGUCACGCCACCGUUAAGGAGAGAUAUAUACUGACACAAUUUGACAAAACAUUCAUGCUCCAUUAAUCACGAUAUCUCUCUGAUAAAUUGACCAGUGGUGUAUACCACACCAUUUAAAGUUUGUUUGGAGCAAAUACCAUCCUCCCUUUUCUAACCGAUCCAAGCAUUUUCCUCAAUUCACUCCCACAUACUAUCACAAAUAUCAAAUGGUUAGCAGCCCCGAAACCGGCCAUCUAACUUCACUCCUGCUUCUGGAUCCCUCUUUCUAUCACUAAUACGCGCAAACGUCCAUUCUUUAGAUCGAUAAGCUAUCCGUCACACUGCUUCUAAGGAAAGCUUGUGAAAUUAAAGGAGAACUUACCAUCUUUUUUUUCCGAGCUUACCUAAGACUUUGCAUAAUUCAACCCUGCAUGCCAUCACAAACAUCAAAUGGCUAGUGGGCCCCAGCCACCUAAACUUCACUCCUGGUUCUCGACCCCUCUUUCAAUUACUAAAGCGCACGUACUUCCAUUCUUCAGAUAGAUGAGUUACCGUCACACCACCACUAAGAAAAGUUGCUUUAAAAGGAAAAUGUCAUCAUCUUUUUUCUACAUACCAUCACAAAUAUGAACCGCCAGCGGUCCGCCUAAACUUCACUUCUCAGGGUGUGGUUGAUUCUCAAUCCUUCUUUCUAUCAUUAACACACAGAUACAUCCAUUCUUUAGAUAGACGAGCCAUCGUCAUGCCACCGCUAAGAAAAACUGCUUUAAAAGGAGAAUGCUACCAUCUUUUUUCUACACACCAUCACAAAUAUCAAACGGUUAGCAACCCUACUCCUCAGGGUGUGGUUCCUUAUCGAUCCUUCUUUUUGUCACUAACACGCAUAUACAUCCAUUUUUUGGAGAGAUGAGUCGUCAUCACACCACCGCUAAGAAAAGUUGCUUUAAAGGAGAACGUUACUAUAUUUUUUUUCUAUGCACAUCAUAAAUAUCAAACGGUUAGCAGCCCCGGGCUGCCUGCCUAAAUUCACUCCUCAGGGUGUGAUUGCUUGUCGAUUGUUCUUUCUAUCACUAACAUGCACAUACACCUAUUUUUUGGAUAGAUGAGCCGUCAUCACGUCACCGUUACGAAAAGCGGCUUUAAAAGAGUUCCGAACUUACCUUAUAUUUUUCGUAAUUCACUGCUGCACAUCCCGCUAAGAGAAGCCACUCUAAAGUUCUGAGUUAUGUAUAAUGCAAGCUAACAAAAACAUCCACACAUUCUAGACUUUAUCUUAUCGCGAUAUCUCUCUAGGCGAUAGAAUGUACAUUAAUUAAACUAUUUAAAAUAGAUUUGGAGGAGAAGGAUACAUCCUCUCUCAUUUUUUUUCUAGAUGGAUCACGUGCCUUUUCUAUAACUCACUCCUACAGAUGCUAACAAUAUCAUACGGUUAGCGACCUCGGGAUGAGCACCGCGAUUGCUUCACAACCUCUCUUUGUAUCACUAACCCGCACAUACGUCCAUUCUACAUAUAGAUACGCCGCACCACCGCUAAGAAAAGUUUCUUAAAAAACAUUAUCGAUUUUAUUUUACCUUACCUAAUCAAUUCAGUUCCGCAUGCUAUCACAAGUAUCAAACGGCUAGCGGCCACGACCCAGCCGCCCUAAACUUCACUCCUCACACCCAGAGUCACCAGACCCAGUCGACACUCCACAGUUGUCCGUUGCAAGCCGCGGCCCUGCGGGAGGGGGGGAGGUCCGCCCGCCCGGUCCCCGUUUUAUUAUAGUAACCACAGCAGCAGGUUUACAGGCGGAGAGAGAGGAGAGAGGAGAGAGAAGAGAGGAGAGAGAAGAGAAGAGGCUAGGGGAAAGCCGCGCCGCAGUCUCUCUCGCAGCGGCAGUGCAGGGCAGAAGCUGCUGCCCCUGCUGCGUCCGUCGCGUGCAGCGUGCGUGCCCCGCCGCCCCCGGCCUGCCCCCGCUUCCUUUCCUCCCCCACCCGCCCCCCGAGGAAAAAAACUUUUUUAAAAAUCACUCCCCACCUCGCCUCGUCCGCUGCGACAGCGCAUACGCCCCCCCCCCCCCCCUUCCCGUUGCGUACACCGUAUGUAUCUACGGUGACGCGGGGGGCGCAGUGCGGGUGGCGAGCGAGCGGGCGGGCGGGCGCCAGGGUUUCGUCUCCGGCGGCAGCGGCGGCGGCGGCGGCGGCGGGGGCGGGGGCCGGGGCGGCGGAUCUGGGAGGGAUGGGGAACCGGAUAGGCGGGAGGCGGAAGGCGGGGGUGGAGGAGCGGUUCACGCGCCCGCAGGGGCUCUACGAGCACAGGGACAUCGACCAGAAGAAGCUGCGCAAGCUGAUCCUUGAGGCCAAGCUCGCGCCCUGCUACCCGGGCGCCGACGACGCCGCGGCCGGCGGAGGGGACCUCGAGGAGUGCCCCAUCUGCUUCCUGGUAAGCGCGCGUUGGGAGAUCUCCCUCCCUCACUUCACCUUCUCUCUCUCCCCCUCCCGCUCCCCCCUCCUGCGAAUUCCGGCGGUCGCGUUUGCCGUGGCUCCAGUGUCCGCGCGCGGGUGACCUGGACGGAGGGGAAGCUCUGGCGGGCGGGUGGGUGUUUAUUUGGCCGAUUAGCGGUUGAUUCUGUUGGAUUUCCGAGUGCCGUUGCCGCGAUUCUGUUGCCGCGGGGGUCGAUGAAGCGGGCACGUGGUUCCAGAUGGUGUUUCUGGAAGCUCCUAGGACCAGGGUUUUCAGUACGCUUAGGCACGUUUUCUUGGCUAAUAGCACAAUUUGUCCACUAGUCCUGCAAAGUGCAGUUACAGUGGCGUCGUAUUCUUGUUGGUAUCUGCGGCUCUGCUUCUGUACGUACAUUGUGGCAAAUCCGUUGGGGGAUAUUCUGGGUUGUGUUUCUGGAAGCUCUUAGGACCAGCAGAGGUUUAGUACAGUUGCAUGGUUUCGUGACUUGACUGCUUUUGCCUGAUUCCAUGAAUCGCCAACAAGUAUUGCAAUGUGCAGUAAUGGUGGAGAUGUUCUGUAUGCCUGUGCUGGUAUCGGCUGCUCUGCUAGGACAUCAGCAUAUGUACAUUGGGCAAAAUGUGCUGCUAUGUAGUCGUAAGAUUGUUAUUAUACCUUGUAUGAUGCUUUGAUCAUAUUGGUUGGAGAAUCUUCUCAAUUUCUUUUGGAUGCCUAACUGUUGUGCUAUACGAGGUUUUGAGUGCCAAUGUGCCAUUGAGGUCAAUUCCUAGAGCAAUUUGGCUUAAGUUCAUUCUAUUGUUCUAUAUUCCUAUGUGAUGGUAAUGUUGUAACAGGCCUUCAUGUUGCUUGAAAUGGGUAGUAUUUUAGAUGCUCCUGGGAUGGGUGUAUUACAAGCUUUGCAAGAAACUGACCUGAUUCCAAACCAAAUAGUUAGCGCUGUACCAAGGCAUUGGACACUUUCGACUUGAAAACUAAAACUCCUGUUGCAUAAUGUUAGCAUGUGUCUAUACUCAAUUUGAUUUUUUUUUUUGAGGAUAUCCUCAAUGUUAUUGUGGUUCCGCACUUCCGCUCUUGCAAACUGGAAUCAUUAAUCUUAUUACCAUCGAUUUGGUUAUCUAAAGGGUUACGCCUGAUUCCACUGGAUGAAGUAUUCAUGAGUAUUUUGGGUAGCUCUUUCCAUUCUCAUAAGAAAUCUGGAAACGAUUUUAGCAUUUGGGCUAUUUGGUUUUAAUUACUAGAUAGAUAACUCAGUUUGUUUGUGCAACCACUCUUUGAUGCCUCCUUGAAUCCUGUCCUGAAAAGAUUAUUUCGUGUAUUGCAGUACUACCCAAGCCUCAACCGUUCAAAAUGUUGCUCGAAAGGGAUAUGUACAGGUAAUACAUCUUCCUACAAUUGAUCCAGCCAGCCAUCACCUGAUAAUAUCCUUUACACAUCUUGUUGACAUUUUUCUAGAGUGCUUUCUUCAAAUGAAACCGACUCAUACUGCUCGGCCUACACAGUGAGUAUCCUUUAUUCCAUCCCUUGUCUUCCGUUUCUUUUUCUGGGUAAUCCUACAUGCCUUCUCAAUCUCAUGAAAAAUACUUAACUGUUGAAGAUGCCCAUUCUGCAAAACACCCAAUUAUGCUGUGGAGUAUCGUGGUGUGAAAACGAAGGAGGAAAGGAGCAUAGAGCAGUUUGUAAGUCUUAUCUCUUAAUGCCAUCAUCUUCCAUUUAUAAGUUGCCAUUUUCUAUUAGUAUUAAGACUGCAGUACGCAUUUUCUUUAGCUUAUGUAUAACAUAUUGCAGGAAGAGCAGAAAGUCAUAGAAGCACAGUUGAGGAUACGCCAGAAAGAAAUUCAAGAUGAAGAGGCUAAGCUGAAAAGAAAACAGAGCAGGUGUUCUUCUAGCCGGACAGUAACCCCAACGAAAGAAGUGGAGUAUCGAGAUAUUUGCAGCACAUCCUUUUCAGGUUAGCUAUGGCCAAUGGAUGUGAUUAACAUGCUCUGUAGUAAUGCUAUCUUUCUGCAACUUAAACUCAUAACCUACACUGCCAUAUUGUAAUGUCUUUUGCAGUGCCAUCGUAUCAAUGUGCUGAGCAAGGAACUGAAUGCUGUUCAUCUGAACCUUCAUGCUCUAGCCAGGCUAGCAUGCGGCCUUUCCAUUCUAGGCAUAACCGGUAUGUUUAUGUUAUCUCUUUGAUGUCUCAUAUGAAAACAUCCAAGCUUUGUUUGUUGCAGCUUGGAAUUUGCAAGUUUAGAUAUUACUGGGACUUAGUCUUUUAUUUUGACAAGAAAGUAUGCAACUGCUGAGAUCAAAUUGGUAUCUAACAACCAUGCCACCUGUUUCUUUUUCUGACAGUGAUGAUAACGUUGAUAUGAAUCUGGAGGAUAUGAUGGUUAUGGAAGCGAUUUGGCGUUCCAUUCAGGUUAGUGGGUAGGAACUAUUUUACACUAAUAUAUGCAGUGCAUGACUUGAAUAAUAAUAUGAAUGCUAAUUUGUUGGGUCAAUUAUUAUGUAGCAGUAGCAUUGUAGUUAAAGAAAGCAUGGUGAGAGUGGGGUGCUUUUUAAAUAGUUAUAUGACACUUUUAAAAAUAAGUAUGAUUGUGUUUAUGUUACAUGUAUUGGUGAAGUUAUGACCUGUCAUGCAAACCUUGCAUUUGUCUGUUGCAAUGCUAACAUGAACUAUUUGUAACGGUUCAUUGUGAAUCCAGAGUUUGGUUGUUCAUGUUUUCUUUUGCUAUGGAAUCUCAGCUCUCUAUGUUCUGAAUAUCAAGUUGAACUGACUGUAUUGUUACUAUGAUAGCAUGAGCAAACUUCACAACUCCAGAUUUUUAGCCAAUCGUUUACGUUUCAAACAUGGAAUGGACAGUGUAGUUUUGUUACAUGAAUGGAUAGGACUGUUUGUGAACAGUUCAUAUUGAUCAAAUUGUCUUGUCUGCAACCACUCUUGGCCAAAAAGAGGACUAUAAAAAACUUAGCAUGUCUACCUUUGUUCUGGUGCCAGUUGGGUCAAGAGCAGCUUGGUUGCGUAGCCAGAAUGCUGGCUAAGACAAAGCAUUCUGCAGUAGUUAGUUUUGAACCAGUACCAUAAUGGAACUGUGGAACUAAAUCUGAUGUGCAUUAUUUGACCCUGUGGCGUGAGAAUUUGCUUCUGGCACUUAGAAGUGCCAGAUUUAGUUUGUGCAGACAUUUUGGAUGAUGAAUUGACAGUUAUCGUUUUCUUCAUACUAAUUGUUGUUUCCUGCUUACUGCUAUUCUGUGUUUGCCCUUAAUCUAAGGUAACUCAAGAAUAUUUUUGUAGUUAAUGUUUUGCAAAUAACUGCAGUCCAUAUAGUUAUGGGUCUGUCCAGAGGGUUAUGAUGCUUUUGCAUUCUGCUUUCUUCUUUCAUUUCAUUUGAAUAGCCUUUUCUGGGCAUAUGAAAGUAGAGUGACUAAACUAAAAUUAUUGUGGACGUGCUUUGUUUGUUUAGUGAGUUUUGUGUACAGUUGUCUUGUUAUAAAGCUGGCAAUUCCCUUCGAAACUUGCAUGAAGUUCCCUGCUGUGUGCCUAUUAUUCCUUAUUGCUUUGAACUUGCAAGCGACAACCAGCAAUUGGCGUUCAAGUAACAUAGAACACAUGGGGACUGUGGUCAAGAGUACAUACAUAGUAUUAACUGGGAAGAUUUCAAGAACUAGUUGCUUAUCAGGGCAUUAUCUUUGAUAAAUGACAACAUUUACAUUACUCCUAGUCUGUUUGUCAUGUCAGUAUUUUGGAUUUCUUUGCAUAAAGAUAUUUUAAUUGACAAGAUCCUUCUAAAAUUCCUUUUGAGAUUGGUUUUUUGUUAACCGUAUUAAAUCGAAACCAUAGUCUUGUCUUUUAAAUUUAUGUAUUUGCUAUGUCAAAGCAAAGUUUAUAUCUGUUUCUUUUUUGUUAUUAUUACUUUAGCAGGAACAAGGACAUCUAGUAAAUCCUGUUUGUGGCAGCUACUUCCCUGUAAUCGAGCCACAGACACGUGAAAGGCAGGCAUUCCUUCCAGCCGCUCCUAUGGAAAUGCCUCAUCCUGGUGGAUAUUCCUGUGCAGUUGCGGCUUUGGCUGAGCACCAGCCACCCAGCAUGGAUUUCUCUUAUAUGGCUGGCAGUAGCACAUUCCCAGUCUAUGACAUGAUCCGCCGACCAUGCAACAUCUCCGGUGGAAGCAUGUGCACUGUAGAGAACAGUUCACUAGACACCUGGAGUGGGAUCGCACCAAGCUGCAGCAGAGAAGUGGUACGAGAGGAGGGCGAGUGCUCAACCGACCACUGGUCGGAGGGUGCGGAGGCGGGAACUAGCUAUGCCGGAUCGGACAUCAUGGCGGAUGCAGGGUCCAUGCAACCAUUGCCUUUCGCCGAGAACUUCGCCAUGGCUCCAAGCCACUUUCGUCCGGAUAGCAUCGAGGAGCAGAUGAUGUUCUCCAUGGCCGUGUCACUAACGGAUGCUCACCAUGGUAGGGCGCACGCGCAAGGGAUGGCAUGGUUGUAAGUUGUAACUCUAAUUUUGACGCUUGGCUCUGCCUGCCCCUUUCUGUUGCGCUGCCGUCCGGCCUCUGCCCCCCUCCAGCCUCUGCUUCUUUUUGCCACCUCUUUUGGCAUCUUGUUCUUUUGUUUUUUCUUUCUUUCUUUUUGCAUGUGUUCCUUGAUGGCAUGAUAUAGAUCUUGCUAUAGUCGUCCAUUGUCAUUGCUUAUAUGUAUGUAAAAUGGAAUAUGUGGAAAUAGAAAAGAAAAUGGAUCAAAAGUUUUGCCGGUAGGAUGCAGUGUGUUUCGCAAUUGCGAGGCAUUCUAGAUGUUGCAGCCCUGCAGGUACACUGGGAAAUGGAAGUGCGCUUCAGCUUCUAACUGUUCUCGUCCAACUGACAUGUUCCUGAAUCUUGUGUAAGUAGGCUACAGGAGCGGAUGUAAAGAUACUUUGUUUGUAUCGAAAAAUUCAUCUAGACUCUGAACUGAUGGAAGAGUAGUCUAACUUUCAGCCUUUCAGGCUUCGAUCUGCUUAUGAUCCUUCAUAUGUUAUGCUUCUGGUAUCUAAUCGAUGCAAAACUCAUCUGAUUUGUAGAAACAGUUCCAGCUGAAGAAUGGCUUGGCAAGCUGGCCAACAACGGCCAAUGUUGUCCAGCCAACCGUACCAUAGGCACAGUUUUUUUCAGCAUUGAGCAUGUUGGAAGGGGUGGACAGUGGACAUGGACCGUGAGGAUGACAAAAAGAGGCAGGUUGCCUCCUUGGAGAGGAAGCAUCCUGUUUGGGUGGCUUGCUGCAGCAGCAGGUGUCAGGUGAGAACCUCGGAUGCCGACGCCAGCGUGCAAAGCUGGCCGGACUGGGACGUGGGAGUUGGGUAAGAAUUUUGUACGCUUUCGACCGAUUUUCCACAGAACCCAUGCGAAAAUGUGUCCCUUCUCUUAACGUGAGCCAAAGGCUGCUCGGUACAAAAAGGUGGGGGGGAUGGAUGGGGCUUCUUGGCUUGAAAUGCGGCCCAUGAACACCCGGGAGGGCAAAAGGGUUCGCAAACCGGACAAGAACUAGCCGGUGCACCGUGCACACGUGAGAUACACGUUAACUAACUUUUAACUGAGCCUGGACUACUAGCAGAGCAGAUUAGAAAACAAAAGUUAUUUGGAAAAACGUGAUGCGUGCAUCAGAUGAAGAUCGUUCAGCAAGAACUAUAUAAAUUUCGUUAAUCUUCUCUUUCUGUUACCUAUAAGCCUUUAUAUUUGCCGAACUCGCGCAAUUUUUUGCGCUGUACAAUUUCAAAACGUACUCAAUGCCGUUGAAUUAGGCCCGCACUGAGCCAUGUUCUUCGCAAAAUCCCUUAAUAAAGUAGCUAAGGUCUUGUUUAGUUGCCUGAUUUUGUUGUCCAAAAUCACUGUGCUAGCACUGUAGCACACUGUAGCGUUUCGUUUGUAUUUGUGAAUUAUUGUUCAAAUAUUGACUAAUUAGGCUCAAAAGAUUCGUCUCGCAAAGUACAACCAAACUGUGCAAUUAAUUUUUAAUUUUGUCUACAUUUAGUACUCCAUGUAUCUACCGCAAGUUUGAUAUGAUGGAGAAUUUUCUUUUUGCAUAGUGUCAAAGUUAGGAUUUUGAGGAACACCCUAAAUGGAGACGACGAAGGGCGGACCCGACCCACAUGUUCGCGACGCACCAAUAAUCCGUGCCCGUUCUCUCCAUCUUUCCCUCCUCGUAUCACCAUCAUCAUCACAUUACCUUACCAAGUUCGUCGCCCGAAAGCAUUGGUAGUAGCACGGCAUUUCUUAUCUACCGGUGCCGCGUCCAAAAUCAUGACGUCUUGUCCUGCCCGUGCACCAAAGCGAAAAGCGUCGCCAAACCCCAUCACCAUCGUCGAUAUCGCGAGAACGGAAAUUCUCCCGGGCAAUAAUCAAGCCAACCGCCCCUUUCUGUCUCGCAUCUUUCCCGGAUGGAGCAACGGCCACAGCAGUGAGGACAAGGAGAAGGCAGGCCCCCCGGCAGGAGUAGGCACGCCCUACCUGUCGUCGAUCGUAUUCUCAUCCAGGAAGCAACAAGGAUGAGAUGGAACGAAAGCGCUGCCGGCCAGAGCGUGUUCGAAUGCGUAGAGUGUACCGGGGAUGUCAGGAUCGUCGCCGGUGGCUAGUGAUUACUACCAGUAACUCGUCAUACCAUCAAAGGCCAUGUAGCGAUGUAGAACUCGCUUGUGAUCGAUCGUUUUUGCGUGCAAGUAGAAGUCGUGCCAAAUUGGGGUAGCAUGUACUCCUUCCAUCCCAAACUGUAGAUCGUUUUAGUAUCGUUAGAUUCACCGUUUUAAACUAUAUAUUUAAAUAUAAUGUAUAUCUAAAUGAAUAGUAAAAUGUAUGAAUUUAGAAAUGCUAAAACGACCUACAAUUUGAGAUGGAUGGAGCAUGUGAAAAGAAGCAUACGCAUUUUUUUUCUAUAAAGUAAUCCUUACGUCUAAAACAGAGCUACUCCCUCCACUCAAAUAUACGUGACGUCUCAAACAUCAAGAUCGAACUACAGUUAGUAGUAUUUUGUUGUCUAAAAACGUCAUGUAAAGGUGACCAGAGGUAGUAUAUGUUUAAGUCAGCUCUGAAUUGGCUGUUAACACAUCCGAAACGUUCCAAAAAGACAUAGAAAAAGGUAAUCAUGUGCAGUAGCUGUUUUGUUGUGACCACGUUGCCCUUGACGCAAAAGCUCAGCAAAUCCCCGGCUGGUGGCUUCCGCGGAAGGCCAUUGGGCGAGGCCACCAUGUGGGGAGGAGAAUUGAGAAGUGUCUUUUCGCGUAAACAGCACGGGUCAACGGCACAGGUCUGCCCCACUCUUAUCAUUUGCCGCUUAAUUUGGUUGCCUAAUCAGGAGCGCAUAAUGCAGGGAAUCUUUUUCCAGGUUAUGCCCCGCCAUGUUGACCCCAUCCACGUCAUCCGUGGACCAGAAAGAGUUUAAUACGGUUGAUUCCGUCCCAACGAGUCCGCAGGACAAUCCAGCGCCAGGAGAGAAUUGCUACGGGCACACACGCUGCGCCCCCUCUUGCCCAUGCAUGAGCAUGCCUUGCCUUUCGAUUUUUUUUAAUAAAAAAAGAACACUCUAAACUGAAACACAAUACAGAAGCAUGCACGCACGCUCACAUACAUACACGCACGCUCACCCCUUCGAGAGCAUAUCCACAACAUGAGGCUCGUUAUCAACACUCACAAGUACGCACGCACACUCGCUCAUCCGAGCAAUUUGUAAAGAGUAUCAUAGAUUCAUUCCUGGAAUAAAUUAAAAAAAUAUAAGCACCAGUGGAACAAACUCAUUGUGCAACGUAACAAAACAAGGUUCCUACGAUCUGCACUGUGAACAACCUUGAAUGCAUGUGGAAGAUGGGAUGGAAAUUCAACGGUCAUGGCUGGACCAUCCCUCUCUCACCUACACGAGCAUUUAAUAGCCCCUUGCAAGGUUGCUGCCUGGUGUGCCCCUGCAGUGUCACUGGCGAUUUUUCCUUGAAAAAGCGGGCAGGGCUUCGUAGGCGAGCGCCUGCACGGUGAGCAGGGGGAAACAUCAUGGGGAUGGGCGCAGUACAAAAAUCGGCCCAUGGCUGCACCGGUGGCGCCUAGUACUCCCUUGUUUGCAUCUUUUUGUUCUUUUGAGGAAGCAAGACAUGUGGUACGCUACGCCCCCCAGCCCCGGUACAGAAUCAUCACCACUAGGUCCAGGUACGGCACCAUUAAUUUUCCUUCAGGGAAGCCGCUCUUCGAUCAAUGCCAGAUGGGUGUGUAGCAAAUCCAUUUUUCUUUGCCUCCUUUUUUUUGUUAUUACUGCAUAUAGCUUUUAAGGAAAUCAUCGUGCACUUUUUGGCACCCAUUGUUCAACUGAUCUUUUAGUUUAGGAAUAGGUCAUCUGCUGCCACUCUUGACAUUCGCAUGGAUUCCUACCGGUUUGUGGCUUGCUUUAUGUAACAUCCUUUUAAGGAUUGGACAAUAGGAACACGACACUCCACCUGAUUUUGUACGCUAUGCCAAAAAAGAGUGCUAGCUCUACGUAUAUUCAAAGCGAGUGCUAGCUUGGCCCAAAUAAUCUAUGGAAAAGGGUGAGAAUACCAAAAUUUCCAUUCUUUUUCCGUCAAAUGUUUGAAUUCAAAGCGAGGUCAUUAACUUAAUGUUCAAAGCCUGGUCCUCUUUUUCUCCCGUAGACAAGAUGAAAAGUCACAAAGAAUUAACAACCAGGAAAUUACGCCAUAAAUAAUGCUCUCUCUAGUCGCAAAGAACUGACGUUGACAUUGACACGACCAGAAAAAGCAAAACUUUAACUAAUAUUAAUUUUGUUAAAAUAUAUCUAUAAAAUAUAGUAAAAGCAUACUUUUACAAAACUUCAUUUUAAGACGAAAUUGGCACCUGUCGUGUACGUUUUCAAUAAGACACUAAAUUUACAUACUUUUGUAAUCAAAAUGUGAUUGACCAGCUGGAUACAAUCUCAAACACAUCAUAUCUGUGACCAUAGGAAAUAUACACAAACAAAACCCACACUGUAGAGGAAGAAAAAAAAAGAGACCGAGGAGACAAUAAAAAAGUUCAACCACACGUUAUCUUUGAAAUAUCAGACAAACAGAUUUUAGCUGCCUUGCUAGUUGGACUAGCCAUGCUUAUCUUCGCCCUAAUUCUUUCUAUUUGAGGCAAUCCAAUCCAACCUAGCUCACCUCUUUUCGAGGGGAAUGGAAUGGUAGAUGUGCUCAGACAUGCCCUUUGACCCCUUGCACAACAGCUCCAGAUGAAUAGAAUAAACUAAAAUAAAAUUGAAGACCCCAUUAUUUCCACCGUCGACCGCCGCAUCGGACGGCCAUGAAAAAUCGCACGUCCCCUGGUGAUCUGCCGUUUUUUUUUCCCCUUUGGAAGCCAAGCAGGUGCGCUGAGCGUAGCAAAUUCACCACGCCCCCCAUCGAGAGCAGAGCAGCAGCAGCCGGCAGCACAGAGCACAGUAGCCAAGCGACUGAGAGCAUCCGAGCCCCCAGUGCUAGCAUCACCACUCCCGAUUCCCAACCCCCCACUCCUCGGCUUCCGCCUCCGGCCUCCCUCACCCGGCCGCCUCCACCGUCGGAGGGGCGCCGCUCCGUCUCCCGGCCUCGAUCUCCCCCGGAACCGUCGGCUGUGGCCCUGCCCCUCCUGCUCCUGCUUUUACCCGGCAGGAGAUCCGCCCGGAGUGGCAUUCCUGCUCUCGGUAAACCCUAGACGCGGUUGCUCUCGGUCCCCCCUUGUUUUUGCUGCGAAAAAUCGAAUUUUUAGGCCGGGGACGAGGCCACUCCUUGCGCGCGGCCGAUGCUGGGAAUCGAUGGAAUCCGUCCGUUUUUUUUCUGCGGAUGCUCGUGUCGGUGGGGUCGAGUGGGGAAUUUUUAGUGGGCGCUGUUGGCAUGUGGUUCCGUGCUGGGGAUCUGGGAGCUUCUAGGGUUCUCAUUUGAGAUUUUAGGGAUGGGCAAUCUGUCAGAAAUUCCUCAUUUUGAGCUUUUGCUCUUGUGAGUGUGCUGCUGUGCGCAUGCUAGUAUGCUAGGUGUUUGUUCCUCUGUUGAUUCUUAAGGUGUAGGUUCACAGGUGUUUGUGUUGAUCUCAUGCUCUGGUGCUGCCGCGGGAGAGAUUACAUCUGAACACUAGGGCAACUUUUUGGAAUCUGGAUGUAGUUUGCUGGAUAAGAACCCGGACACAUUUUAGGAGCUGUUUCGGUUAGUUGGCCCAACCACAUUGCACAUGCUCUGGAUGCUGUUUCAGGUAUGCAAUUGCUUGAUUCAUAGGAGGACAUUGGGGUAUUACAGUGGUGAUGCAGACCAUUCAGUGAGUUUGGUUCGUUUUUCUGGGCAUUGUAUUUUUAGGUAAUUAACCAAUUAGUGUGUGCUGUACCUGCAUGGAGUUUAUAGUUUUGAUUUUUUUCUUGGGGGUCUAGAUUAGGAUCUCAAUGUAAGGAGUCAAGGGCCUAUUUAGACCUAGCUUCAGCCUGUGGGCUUGCGAGCUGAAGCCAUGGUCGAACAGGUGCGAGCUUCUUGAGAUCAUCAUAUAUGGUUCAGCCAAUUUUAGACUAGAAGCCUCCAAAUGAUCUGAAUCCAGCAAGAGCAAGCCCCAGUCAGUUUCUUUAUUCAAGAAGCUAUUUUACUGAGCCUGACCUAACCUUUGGAGGCUCAAGAUUUUUCUUGUAUUUCGUCCAUUUUUAUAACAGCAGAAAAUGUAGGCUUACUUUGCCCCCCUUGUAUGCUCUUUGCUGUAGGUCAAUAAUUAUUCUGGAAUGUUUUUCCGAGCUGAAGUAGAGAACUUCUGGCGCUGGAUAUCAGUAUUCUGUUAGGGACAUGCUCCAACCAAGGGAAGCUGAUGUGCCUGUGCUCUUUCUUGUCUUCAUUGUGCUUCCUGUGGUAGCUUAUUUUCUUCUUGGAAGAUGGCAUGAAGCUGCAAGUAAGAAGGCAAGGGUAAGUGUGCUUGCGCAGCGAGCCGCAGAAGAAGCCUUUAGAGUGGAAACAAUGGCGUGCCCGGACGUUAUGCCUCCAGGGCCUUCUUUGAGAACUAUGCCCUAUUUCAGACCUGCACCUUCAUUAAGACAAGAAUUCCAUGAAUGCGCAACUUGCCAUGCCCCUGCAAAGACUCGGUGCUCCAGAUGCAAGUCUGUUAGAUACUGGUGAGUUUCUUUCCUUUUGUACUUCCUUAAGAAAGCACUUCAGCUAGGUCUUUGAAUCUUAUUUAUCAUGUACUGUUUGUUGAUUAUAAUCAAUUUGUCCACUGAAAGACACGGUGCCUGAUCAGGCUUCUUUGAAUUCAAAGAUCUGGUUCACUUCUUAUCCUUUUCCAUUUUAUCUAACCUGUUCCACAUAGCAAUAUAAACCAUUCUACUAAAAUGAUGGGAGUACAAUCCUGAUGCGCGUAAUAGCAAGUAUUUGAAUUAUAUGAGACGGAAUAGAAAAUUUGAACCACUUUCACUCUUAUAUUUGUCGACAGUUCUUUUGUCAUGAUCCGUCUUUGCUAUUUACAGGAAACUCCUCAAACUCUGUAGCUCUCUUAUUUGUCAUUUUGUUUUGAUUUUUUUUUUUGCUCUGAGAUAUGAGCAUAUGACAUUUGUCAUUUUGUUUUGAUUUUUUUUUGCUCCGAGGUAUGAGCAUAUGACAUAACGGGAUUGAAGAACAUCACAUAUUAUGAUAGAUGGCAAACUAAUUUCAUAUAAACAAGCAACAUUUUAUAAUGCUUGGGUGCAUCAGUUAAAGCCAUUUGAGGCCAACCCCAAAUGGGUUAUCUCAGGCUCCGUAUCUAGCUGAUAUGAAACUGUCCUUCUGUUUUAAGGUGCAAGCUGUAUUGAACUGAGCUCGGUCAGAUUGUGAAGAUGCACUGAAUAUCCCUUAACCGGUCGUAGCUUGGCUUGAAGCUAAACCCCUAAUUGUAGGCUGCUUUUGGUGGUAUUGGCAUCAACGGCAGCAAGCAUUUCACCAUAUCCGGGGUGUCCCCAUCUAACUCUCCACGACAAACAGGAAAUUCUGAUUUAUGUAAUGAAGGAGACAUUUUCCCCCAUUCAUUAAACAUUCAUGUUAUAAGUUGUUAAACAUGUCGAUAACUUAAAGGUCUAAGCUUAUGAUUCUGACCCGCUUUUUGAUCAAAAUAUGAGAACUCUUGAUUUUCAUUAGCGUGGCAUAGGUUCUUAAUUAAGGUCCAAGCAGUUUUAGAUGCUAGCUUUGUUGAUAAAUAAUGAAAAAAGAAUCCAUUAAUUCUUUGUUCUCUACUAUGCUACACCUUAAUAAUGACCUUUUUGGAUUAAAAUUUAUUUUUUUAUCCUUAGUUAUUUAUCCAUCCAAAUUGUUUGUACCUUGCUGUGUAAAAGGGCCAUGCUUAUUAUGCCAUAAUUUGUACAACCCAGUUGAGUUGCCAUAGGGUGACCAUGUACUUUGGAUUUGAGCAACUAGUCAAUAAACUGGUCUACAAAUAACCACACAUUGCAGCACACUAUUUGCUAUUUUGUUUGAGAUGACAUUGGUGACAGGACUUAUAAUCCUCUUCUUAUUUUCACCUAGUUCAUCUGAUAGUACAUAGGUUGCCUGAUUUAAUGGCCUACUUCCUUAUUGAAGUAUCAUGCAGAACAUCAUGUUGUUUGGAUAACCAUGGCUGAGUUGAAGUUUAAGUGACCGACCCGUUUCUGUGGAGCUCAGGUUGAUAUUUAGCAGUAGGGCCUAGGAAAUACUUUUGUCGUUUACUACUUUAGCCUUCCUCAGCAUAGCAUUAAUCCUUCAUGGCUGUAAUUUGUAUUAGACUACUAAGUAGGCUUGAUCCUACUGAUUGAUUAUAUUGAAUUCACCUGAAUGGCUAAGUGGUCAAGUUGUUAAAUGUGCUUACUACCUCAUCAUCACAGUAGAUCUAGCAUACGAUUAGAAGUACCUGUGCAAAUAUAGGCUCCUUUGACAUAAUAUGAUGAUGUUCUUUGUGAUUGAUUGAUUUGAUUUUUUAUGCACCGUGCAUUCUUUUUCUUACCAUGUUAACCAUCUUCAUUAUGUCAUAAACUGUAUACAUUAUCUUGCCCCGAUUGCCAAGGACACCUUGUAAUGCUGUUUUGAAUGUUCCGCAGCUCUGGUAAGUGUCAAAUAAUACACUGGAGGCAAGGACAUAAGGAAUCAUGCCAAAAAUGGAUUGGUAGUGGGUCUAGCAGCUUUGGUGGAUCUGGCACUGAGGCUUCUGAACAGAUGCCCUACUUGACUAACUUAAAUUCACCUCUUCCGGGCGGUGACAUUCACUUGCGCGACAUGAAUUUUGAUACUUUAUCAGAGCCAUCCUUUCCCACAACUGAUGGCUUCAAUCUUGAUACUGAUCCAUUUCUGGCAGACAAAAGCAACAUGAAUAAAUCAAAUCAAGGUCUUCAUAUGAGUGAGAAUGGUGCUGUUGGUAUGUCUUAUGAAAAGAACAAUCACAAUGCUGAUGAUGAAACCCGCUCUUCCGAGAUUUUAUCAGGAAACAAGGUAUUUUAGAAAAACUCUUACAAUUCACUUGCCAUUCUUCUGCCUACGCGUUUGUCUUAGAUAAUUCAAUCAUUUUCUUUAUGGCUGCAGGUGUCAAACAACUAUUUUGGUUGUGCAGAUGUGAUGAGUGGUAAUGGUGAUGGAACUUAUCCUGUCAAAAGUAACGCACAGCAACCUAGCAGUAGUGCUCCUGAAAUAAGGAAACGGACAAAAGCAAGCAUCACAAUUUAUGAGCCUGACAUGGGUGUCUAUUUAACUUCUGAUAUGGUCAGUUCUUGUGAGGGGCCAUAUGCUUCUGCUAGUGAGCCACUGCAAAGGAGUUUAUCAUCUGGAAGAACUAUUGGGAAAGCAAAUGUGGUGAAUAAGAGGCUUCCAUGCCCAUCGGGUAAGGUGGCUUCAUUACAGAAGUCACAGGAGAGGGUGUCUACAUCAUAUCAAAAUGAUGGCCACGAGAAGAACCCUUGCAACAAAAAUGACCAAAGUUAGUAAAGAGAGUUCUUUGAUAAAAUGAGCUAGUUUUAUCUCACAGUGCUCUCAUUUAUCUCAUAUAGUUACCGCAUUGUCCAGGAUCUGCGCAAGCAACUGAACCAGCAAGCAGCAACCUACAAGGAUGCAAUGGAAUCUCAAAGUUUGGAGCAUCCAAGGUUGAAGUUUUAAAGAAACCCUCAAAAUUUCUCAAAACCAGCCUUGUAGGAUUGAUCAAUGAUAAUAAGCGGAAUAAGGUUCGGAAUAAUCUAUAAUCAAUCUUUCCUGUUACUUCUUUCCGGUUUGUUUACGAAAUGAAUGUUUUCUUUAUAUAUGUCAUUUCAGGUAUUGUUUCCAUAUGAAGAUCUUGUCAAGUUUUUUCAGUAUGAAGCACGGGGUAUUUCUCCUAGAGGUCUUUUCAAUUGUGGAAACAGGUAAUGAACAUUUUGUUUAUGGGGAUAGGUCACAGUUCCCUAAUUAUUUAUAUUGUGUACUUUUGUCAAGAUGAAAAACAUUGUUUUCGUAAAGUGUAAAUACAUCUAGAGGUAUGAGUGCAGGUCAGUAAAUAUGAAAAAUUCGAGGACCUUUUAAAUGAUUCUGGUGCCUUUUGGUACUUCCAAAAUAAUACCUUUUGGUGGUGGCUGCAAAAUAGGACCUUCUGGCGUUGCAAAAUAAGAAAAUUCCAAAUGAGUUUGUGGUGGCUGCAGAAGGAAUAGGGGAACUUAAAAGUAGAGUGGCCGAAGGGUCCUUCUAGUCGCCUGGGAACAAGAGUUUACUUCGCAGUGGCUAUAUUAGAUUUGUGGAAUGAUUAUCACUCAUUAGUCUACAUAUGGGAUAAUAAGGGCCUAGCAUAGGUGCACCUGAUAUAUAUAACAGGAAUACAUUCUUUUAAUAUUUAUAUCUGCAUGAAUAUAUGAAUCCUAGUAUAUAUUUAGUUACCAAAAGGUAUGGCAGUCAAUUAAUCGGAGGAUAACAUCGACCGCACAAUUGGCAAAGAAGAGCAGAGCCUAAGAAUGUUAACAUAUGAAAUGAAAAAUAUGGCACAGUUUCUUGAUAAAAUGGAUUUGCAAAUUUGAACAUAAAAUGCUUCAAGCUGAACCAAAAUCCUUAUAUGUUUGAUAUACGACUGAUUAAUAUCUAGCAAUCUUACUGCAACUAGAGGAACAUCAGAAGUAUUGAUUUGAGUUACUGUCUUAAUUUAUCCAAGUAAAUUUGUAAUAAAUGUUUUGUCCUUUCUUCCCCUUUUUGCAACUUGUCAUUAUUUUAUAUUUACUUGUUUAAUCAGCCGCUUAUCUUGAUUAUCCUUCCUUCAUUUUGCAGCUGCUAUGCUAAUGCUGUUCUUCAGUGUCUGAUGUGCACAAAGCCACUGAUGAUCUACCUGCUCCUGAGAUUGCAUUCAAAAGACUGUAAUACUAAAAUCUCAAAUAGCUAUUUCCCCCUCAACUGCUUUGUACAUGUUUUUUUCUUCUCUGACUUCAGUUACUAUCUUCUUUUAGGUUGCUCAAAAAAUUGGUGUCUUAUGUGUGAACUUGAGCAAUAUGCUUCAACUUUACGUGAAAGUGGUGGACCCUUAUCUCCAAGUAGAAUUCUUUCCAAUCUUAGGAAUAUUGGAUGUCGCUUGGGUGGUGGAACUCAGGAAGAUGCUCAUGAGUUUUUAAGGUAUGGUAACUGUUACAUGCUUGUUUUUUAUCCUGCCACCUUUUGAUCUAUUGCUAAUGUUUUACUUACCGCAGUCAAAAAAUUUCUACGCUUUCCUCUUACUGUAGUAUGUUAGAAGAAAAAAUGUUUUAAUAGAAGUUCAAAAUUUGACAAAACUAUGCUUUCCUCUUGAACAAUAUGUUAGUAGUUUAAACUAGUUUUGUAUUUAUGCUUCUUUAAUGAAAUGAUGCGCAGCUCUCUUGCGUAUUCGAGAAAAAAAAACGUUGACCAUAUGCUUUAAUUUGAACACCACCAGGCAUCUUGUGAUGUCUAUGCAAGCAGCGUGCUUGGAUGGGCUGGGUGGUGAGAAGCAUGUUGAACCAAGUUUGCAGGAAACAACACUGAUACAACAGAUGUUUGGUGGCCGUCUUAAAUCCAAGGUAACUUGAAAAAUCUCAGAUUUCUGGUUGAGUUUGCAUUUUUUUUACAUUUAGAUGGUAGUUUCUUUAGUCAUGUACCGCACUCGUAACUAUGCAUUUUCGUAGUAAAUACGUUUUCCUCCAUUUGUAAUGAAAGCAAAUAUUCUCACUUGAGCACUUCCUCUUCAAUUCACACCAACCCUCUAGUUGUUUUUUUUAUCAUACUCAGUCCAUAGCAUUAUGAUAUACUAAUUAAGUUUUGUUUAUGAAACAAGGUUAAGUGCCUCAGAUGCUAUCAUGAGUCUGAAAGAUAUGAGAAUAUAAUGGACCUUACUUUGGAGAUUCAUGGCUGGGUGGAGUCAUUGCAAGAUGCUUUGACGCAAUUCACAGCUCCUGAAGAUUUAGAUGGAGAGAAUAUGUAUAAAUGUGGAAGGUAGUGUUGCAACAGGCAACUAUGAUCUUGUUACCCGUCAUUUCAGUUGGACCACAACAAAUUAAAGUCUAUUGAAAUUUUGAAUUUUUUAAUGCAGGUGUUCUGCUUAUGUCAAAGCUAGGAAGCAAUUGAGUGUGCAUGAGGUGCCAAACAUAUUAACAGUUGUUCUUAAAAGAUUUAAGGUGAUUGAUUGCUUAUUGAAUUUCACGCAAUACUGUUUUUUCCUGAGAAGUAUUUGUACUGGUUGUAAUAUUCAGCUGAUUUUUUUAGGCAUGUAUUUGCAUUUUCUUUUGCAGUUCUUUUUAGAUGCACAUUUGUUGGUAUUGGGUAAUGUUCACUUGAAAUGACUACUUUAUAAAAGAACUUGAUGACGUUAUGAUCUGCACCUUACUCCAAGUUGUAACUAAGCGCCUGUAAAUAAAUUUAUUCCUACAUUUAUGUUUUAGAAUGUUUAUGGUUAAAUUUUCAAAACUUUGAUUGAUACUACAUACAAAACUGUUUGAAUUCGUGCAUAGAAAUCAUAGAAUAUUUGUCACAAAAUCAUACUUCUAUAUAUGCCUUUUCAAUUUUUUACAAUUAUGUACUAGUUAGGGGAAAAAUGUUCAAAACUGCAAGUGUAUAUUUUAGAUUAUCAAUGUCUGACACUGGUGCUGAAGCACCUUUGGGGCAGUUUUCAUAUAAUCUCCUUGGUUGGCUUGGAUCAGUUAUCAGUACACAUGACUCAUGCUCUAUGCUUGAGCUGACAAUUGCCAGCUGUUUGAAUGUUUCUGGACGGAAGAACUAAAUGAACUUUGUUUUAUUACUUCAGACAGGAAAAUAUGGAAAGAUCAACAAAUGUGUCACUUUUCCUGAUAUGUUGGACAUGGUUCCUUUCGUGACUGGUUCUGGUGAUAACCCCCCUCUUUAUUUCUUGUAUGCCGUGGUUGUACAUGUGGAUACAGAAAACGCAUCAUUCUCUGGGCACUACAUAUCAUAUGUCAAAGAUAUGCAGGGUACAUGGUUGAGAAUUGAUGACUCAGAGGUAUGUUUUUACAAUAAACUCUAUCCUGUGAAGUAGGCUAGAAUAUGUUAUAUAUAAAUUGCGAGAAGUUACUAUGGAAGUAUGGACUUGUGAAAUUGCGUUUAUAGAUUAUGAGUGUAUUAUAAGGGCACUGAACAUACCGUGAGCAGUGUAAAUUAUAAAUGCUCUGUCUCCUUGAUGCAAUUUUGGUGUUAAUUUCUUCGGUGCACAUAAAUACAUAAUCGUUCAUUAUGCAUUUCACUCUGUUGGCGUUGGAGUGUUUUGUGCUGAUAACUGAUUUCACAUGUACUAGUAUGGCCUUUUCCUUUGUACUCCCUCCAUCCCAAAUUAUUAUUCGUUUUGGCUUUUCUAGAUACAUAGAUUUUGCUACGUAUCUAGACAUACAUACAUCUAGAUCUAUAUCAAAAGUUUUGUAUCUAGAAAAGCCAAAAUGAAUAGUAAUUUGGGAUGGAGGGAGUAGGUUUUUAUAGGCUCAUUGAAAUGACGAAAAGGAAAAAAAAUGAGAGUUAGAGCUUAUGAUGUUAUGUGGUAACUUUUUUGUUCCAUAUGUAGGUUCAGGUUGUAUCAGUGAAUCAAGUUAUGUCAGAAGGUGCAUAUAUGCUUUUCUACUUGAGGUAAAUAUAGCCAGCCUGUGAUAUGUGUUGAACCUAAAUUACAAUUUGCAGUAUCUCUCUCUGCACUAUGCAGCAGUCUCAUUUUUUGUAAAACAUUGCUCAGGUCUUUUCCCCGACCACCAAGAAUAUACAUUGAGAAGGGGCUCUUGCCUGUUCCAACAUCUGGAAAGCGUCACACAUCAAAAUCCUCCAAGGGCUCUAAACAUGAGCGCAAGCAGACGGAGUUACUCUUUUCUGCAAAUGAUCAAACAUAUGGUAUUUAUGAUUUUAGACCUGAUGGAGAAGGCUACAUGCAAGAUCAGCAUGCAGAGUUGAGAUCCAGAGAUUUCCAUCAUGCGGAUGAUACCUUUGCAGACUCAGUCAGCACAGACUUCUCGGAAGCUACAUCAAGUGAAUGGUCUCUGUUUACCAGCUCUGAUGAGUCCUCGUUUACCACUGAAAGCACUAGAGAUUCAUUCAGUGUUGUGGACUAUGGAGACAAUGCUGGCCUUGAUCCGAUUUCCUCUAUAUUUGGGCCAUGUUAUGCUCCAGAACAUCCUCCUGGGAAUUUCGUCUCAUGUAUCAGGUUCUCGCCUUCCAAUCCUCAAACAAGGUACUUUUCAGAGAGCACAGACUUUGUCUCGGACUCUUCCAUGCCGACCCACCCUCACGGCAAUGUACAUAGAGGAAGGUACCCGGAUAGGGCAUGCGCCUCUUCAGCCGAACCUCUUGUUUCAGCACAUCAGCGGAGCGGGUAUGGUCGGUAUCCCCUUAGUAGAGAUGGUUUUGUUCAAACAUCUGGAUUUUGCCAAAUGUAAUCGGCCAACAUUUCAUAGUUGUAGCUGGUGCUCGGCAGCUGCAGUUAGCACUGCCGUUAAUGCUGCCUCAUGUUCUUUUAUUUCAGAUGAGGCAUAUUUAAUUUUAGCUGCAUAUCCUAGGGGUAGUUCAAUUCAGUGUAGCGCAGAAAUUAGAUUAUGUCCAUAUGCUUAGCAUGGCAAGUGGAAUUUUAGAGCACAGUGACAGGCUUUGUGCCAGCCAUUGUUCAACUGAAGCCGGUCUAGCACUGCUUAAAAUUGUAUGGGAGAAAGUUCUGUUCGCUUUUAGUUUUGACUUUCUAUCCUUACCCAAAAAAUGGGGAUAGCUCAGCAUUUAAUUUUUUUUCUUAAAAAAAAAGAUUCAGAUGCUUUCAAAUUGCCACAUUUCAAAGCCAUGUAUAGGACAUUAUAUCCGAGAUCACACUCUUUUCUGUUUUCAUGGGGGCUUGGUUGAUUGUGCUACCUGAAAGCGAUAUUCUUAGCCGGGCCGGGCCGGGGUCGCCUCCGCAGCUGUUUAAGUGCCUCUGAAUUCUGAACUAAAUUAAGACUGCCUUUAAUUCUUCUGAACCAAAUAAAGACUACUUUAGUUCAUCUGGACAAAAUAAAUUACCUUGAAUUCUGACAGUUGAAUGGCCUGUGACAUGAGUCUGGUGCCCUGGAUUCCGCGGUUCCCUGAUGUUGCAGUUGUGCUGCUCAGCUCAGUUGAUGCUAUGCAAUUCUGCAGAUUGAUUGAUUAACCUGCAGUGCCCUGGACACAGGCAUGAGCUGUGCAUUGCCUGUGUGGCAUUCAUAGAGUCUUGUGGUGAUUGAAUGAGGGGGAUUGCUCCAAGUUUUUUCCUUCUCUGAUUGAAUGUAUGAAUUUCGAAUUGGUUCGAUCCCCGUUCAAACAUGACGCACACUCUCAAAUCAGCAGUUGCCAUCGGGAAAACACCGACAAGAGUACCUGAUGCCAAUAGCGAUGUAAAAGUCUGGUGAGAUAAUCCCUUUCUAGAUCGUUCUCACCCUAAGUAAUCUCUUGCAUAUCCUGAUUACUAUGAUAACCCCCUAAGCCCGGUCUUUGGUUCAUGUACGUUCCAAGUCCCAGAACCUCGGUUCAUGGCUGAAUAACUUGAGUUGGCUAGCUAGUGUCUGAAGAUUGUUGAACGGAGAUGCAUUCAGCUGUCCAAACUCCAAGGAUCAGGCAGUAUGUAGCUGAAGCAACUUCGCUUCAGGAUGGAAUUUUUGAAUGAAUUAGUGCUUGAUCACCAGAAUUGUUUACUAUUCUAUGAGACAGUGAUGAAACGACUAAAACCAUUUUGUUCUGCAAGGCACCAGUGCUUCUUAGAGGGUUUGUGAAGACACUGGCUGCUCGUAUGCUGCAACCAGGCCUUACAUCUGGCCCAAGCUGGCCGAACCUGCCUGAACAGAAAGAAAGGCCUCGCUACAUCAACAGCAAUUUCAUUUCAGCCCGUGGGCUUACAGUCAGUGCUGAGGGCCUGAGACGAACACCAUGUGAAUUAAAAUUGCAAGGGCACGAGGAGAUUGCAGCAGCUGAGCUGAUUGCUGCACGACAUAGCGAAGGACAAGAAGUCAAGAACUGCACGUGAGAAGAUCGACUGAUCGAGCGUGGCAGGCUCCAUCUCCAUCCAUGUCGCCACCUACUUUUUUUAGCCUGCUCAUGCACAGCACCUGCUCGAUUUUUUUAGCCUGCUCAUGCACAGCACCUGCUCGUACUUUACAUUUUUAAUAUCUGUCUUUGUUUUAGACUUUUAGUAUAAAUUACAGACGUGCACUCUCAUGAGCCAUGCCGUGGCCACCUCUCAUGCGAGCACAGUUCUGUAACCGGGAACUUGUUUCUUGGAGGGGUUGUGGCUUCGGCAGCUUUUCUGCUUGAUUCGUCUAAAAAAAUGUUUGGUGCUUACCGUCUGAUCUAGUCGCAACUGUUUUUUCCCUUCAUUCAUAGGCAUAUAUGGAGGAAACCAACAAGCAGGCAGGUGACGAACUGCAUAAUAAUGUAAAUGAUCUUCUUGGAAGAUGGCAUGAAUUUUGGUCUUGUUAACCAUAGAUGUAUUUCCCCAAGAUCCAAAGUUCUCAGAAAGUUCAGGCAUUUUCCGUUGGGCAUGUACUUUAGACUUUCCCAUUGAAAAAAGGACUGGCGACUGAAGAAAGCUUGACAAAAAACUAGAUUCAAUAAUGGUACGAACACGACCGUUUAGCGAGUCAAUUAAUACGCUUGACCAAAUGUUGCAGCCCUAGAAACAUUUCGUGUUCAUUCAUACAUGAGGAGGAGAAAAGAAGCAAACAAUUCCAAGAAAAUUAAAGAGGUGUUGGUACUUGGACGGUGCUGGCACCUUACUUAACAAGAAAAAAAAUAAGAAGUAAUAUUGUGGUUGAGAAUUGCCCGGUCAGGCAUCACCUGGAACUUGGACUGGCAACAAAAUCUCUUGCAGGAAUAUUUCCAGUGCCUGCGUAAUGACCUCUUGGAAGCACGUCAAAAAAAAAAAGAACAAACAAAAAACUAGGAAGUGAACAGUGAUGUAAUGAAACUUCUUUCUGCGCAUGCAACUCAAAAAGCUUUAUGACGAAAAUCCCCGUGACAUCAGUGAUGGCGUCACGCUGAUUUUGAUUCCUUAUGUUUCAGUCUCAGCUUUAUGCAGUAUGGAGGUGCCAAGUGCACGGUGACGUGGCCACACAGGCCGUGGAGCCAACAUUUUACAUGUUCUUUCCAUGCAUAUUCCGCUCACUGUCAAACAUUCAACCUCGGAAAAAACCGGUACAAUCUAUCUGUGCUUUAAUGUACAUAAGAAAGCGACAGGAACUCUCUGCUAAUCAAUUUACUUAUAGGCGUUAGUCGGGCGUAGCCAACACGGGUUCCCCAUUAUAGAAGAACAUACGACGACAUGAUCAGAGGACGGCCAUUUUGCAAAUGCAAAAUGCUGAAUUUUGAGGUGAUUCUUCACGUGCAAGUGAAAAAUUGCUCAAACCUUUAUUUGCGGUCGUCCUCCGUAUGUCUAACUUGUCUUUAGUUCACCAUAACCGCACUUAUCAGAUUCGAGGAGACUAUUGAUGUACACCAUUUCCCCCUUUAUAACAUUUAAGCAAUAUAAUUCUUGUCCCGUUUUUGUCUUUUUACAUAAAUGGGAGAAUGCUGGAAAACACAAGACCAAAUGGGAGAAUCCUUUAUUUGCUUUUGGAGCUCUGGUAGCCUGGUCGUGGUUGCUGUUGCAGUUGGUAGUGUAAGAUACUUAGAAUUAGAAAGCAGUUAGUUGUCACUUAUAUAUCUUGUAUUGGUUGUAGAUUAGAUUUUCUCGAAUAUGCAGGAGAGCUAUUGGUUGUAGAUUAGAGUUUCUUCUUUUUGUGUAUUGCCAUGGUGCUCAACAAUCGGCAUGGUUAUAUUACUAUUUGUAACAAUUAGGUAAUGCUACAAUAGCCAUGCUUCCUAGCGCUGUUCCUAAGUGCCCAAUUUCAUGCUGCCAAGUGCCAACCACUACAAGGAGAUGCCAUACGGUUUGGUAAAGCUAGACGAACUUUGGAAGAAUUCUAUAGAGUAAUCAACGUUAAAGUAGGCUUAACUUAUUGGCUUAACUUCUAUAGACAUACCUACCAAAGAUUAGGCUUAACUUAUUGGCCAUAAGUUAGGACGGCUGAUUUAGCCUAAAGUAUAAAUGAACUUCAUUGUUAAUGAUUUGGUGACUUUGCCAAUUUUAGAAAGAAAAACCACUUUGGAUAACUAUUUGCCAAGAUCGAGAAGGUUAUUUGAAGAGAGGUGAUGACCAUUUUUUAAAAAAGGAAAGAUAUAAAUGCAGAAACUUGAUAAGUGAAAGAAGAAAGAUGGCGCACCAAAUCUGCAGUCGGUAGGGGGCCUUGGUAUUGGUCUUUCACUGGCAGCCCAACUCAUCUGUCCCAAAGGUAGGAGAGCUUGGCCUUGGAAAAACCUUUUUUUUUUUUGCCGGGGACUUGAAAAAUAUCUUAGGUCACUGAGAUCAUGGACCAAUAACCAGCCAAAAGUUAUUUUUGUGAGAUGAGCUAUAUUUAUUUUUAAAAUUUUUUAAUUAGGGAUAAAGUGUAGGUGAAAAUAGUAUAUUGUUCAGAAAAAAUUAUGGUCCAACCAAUUUAGAAUUAAAAUUACCUAUCAUCGCUUUACAAUAAAUGUAAUUAGAGGUCCGAGAAAUUUGCAAACAUAUGGUUAACAAUGAAAAUUUCUCCCUCAUAGCACAUGGAUCACACCGCCCGCAAAUUAACCAUCGGUAGGCAUCAUCCAACGCGGACCAGUCUACUUAUGCAUUAUUCGUCGCUUGCCUUUACAUACUUGGUAUUUUGUUCAAUUUCAUCAGCUCAAGCAGCCUCAAGGGACCACCCUUCAGUGGCAUAUGGUGAACCAAUACUUUUGACACAUGCCUAGUCCCUCCAUUUCGAUGCCCAUACAGCAUCAACUUGCAUUGGAGCCAAUGUGGGGUUGCCGGUCAAGUACCACCACCCUACCCCUGGAGUGAUUUUCCGGGCUCACAAAGAUGCCUUUGCUGUGGUAGGUCUCUCUGGAUGGACAAUUCAGAGGAGCAUCUGCAUGAUAUAGUUGAAGUUUCUAGCUAGUGUGUAUGGAAGCUAGCAUUAAAGGUGGCAUGGAAAUGCAAGUGAUUCCGGAAUAUAUGCUCUGCAGUGAGAUGGACGGCUGGAGCAAAAUGCAGUUUGCUUUCUGCUCUUUUUCCGUCCCUCUUUUAGUAAUCCGUUAUGGUCAUAAAGUCCUUGCUUUUUUGUAAAUUAUUUAUUGCUAUUACCAGAUUUGUAUAUAUAUGGGUCGGUUCAGAGCAUCUUUAUCGGAGCUGUGAGGCUACAAGUGACAAUUUUACCGGAAUAGGUAAAUGCCUCAAGUGAAUCAUAUUCUGCCGUGCAAUGUAAACAACAGGUUAACCUAGCUACAACACCUGGACCAGGACCUCCACUUGGAUGAUUCUCAAGGUCUUCAUUAAUUAUUUAGACAUUAGUGAAUAAUCUAUCAUCCAUGCAACAUUGGACAAUUCAGCUCGCAUGAAAUUGCCUAUUGCAAUUGUGAUGCCAACUUUAGCAGAUUCCGGUCCUUACUCAUCGUGCCACUAUCUGUAUCCUCUUUAUCACAGAACAACAAUUAUUAGAACUCAUUAGUGCAUUUGCACAUGACAUUAUUCUCUACUUUUCUUAAACUUCCCAAGAAAAAAAGGGAUGAAAAAAGACAUUUAUGCGUAAAAGAUGUUGAAGGCUCAAAACUCUUCUUGGACGUGUCGGCGUCACAUUUUUCAUGCGUUCAACACCGUCCUCCCAACUGUCAUUUCUUUUAUGGAAAUUCUCCCUUUGUGGGUACGCAAUCUAGGUCGAUUUUUACUCGUGCAAUUUGCAUGGAUCAUCAGGAGCCAGAGCGGUUUUUAGUUUGUCGUGGCCAGUCUCUUUCCAGCAGCCAACAAGAUAGACAAGGAUAUCUAGCUCCUGUGACAUUGUGUGGCUGCCCCAUUUUUGUUCUUAAUCAGCAACUCGCGAUUAGCCACGUCCCUCACUUAUUGGCUUGUCCAUUUGUCCCCAGUCGCUGCCCUGCGUCGUGUGACAUGUUUGCUUGUCUUGGCAUGCAUUCUGCAUAGCUCACUUGUGUGUUUAUGUCAGCCAUUGCCUAAAAUCAUACUUUGUUUUAAACUAAUCAGCGCGUAUUUUUUCCACUAAGGGUAUUGCCCGAAUUUCAUUACUGGAAGCAACGAAAUUAUAGAGUUUUAGAGUCAGAGUUUACAUCCAAGUUCUGAGCCGAAUGAAGAUGUAGAACUUUAGCCAAAAGGCACAAAGGGCCUCCGGAUGAAGGACGAAAUGAACGCGUCUAGCCAAGAACUGACGACACACACGGACUCCAGCUUUUAACUUUAACAACUCAAAAAAGAUUUCCAGAGCUGCUCGUCACUGCAACAGCACUACUCCCGCUCCUGCUUCCUCCGUCGCUUCUCCCUGUGGAUGGAAGUGAAGCGCCACCUCCUUCAUUGCUUCUGCUCCUUUCUCCAGGUUCAUCUUUGCUUCCUGCUUCUGGAGCCCUGCCCAAUAUGUUAUGAAAGAAGAUGCUAAGCAAACAAUCUCAGAAGGAGAUUUAACUUGUUUUCUGUCAAAGCACACCAAAUUUCUCGCUCUCCACAGAGCUCAACAGACUACUGAUAAACCAAUAAUGUGAGCACAUUUUACUCGGGGUAGAUAACAAUCACACCACACCUAAAACUGGUCCACAGUAGUUGGUCUUCAGGGAGACCCAAUAUUAAUAGCUAUCAGGCUCCAGACAUAUCUUGCUAGGGGGCAAUCGAAAAAGAGAUGUUCUACAGAUUCAUCCAUAUUGCAAAAACAACAUCUCUUGGCUCCCUGCCAAUUACGUUUUAGGAGAUUAUCUUUGGUUAGAAUGUCAUUUUGUUGAGCUAGCCACAUGAAAACUUUUAUCUUCAUGGGGAUUUUAGCUUUUUAAAUCUUUUUGUUUGGUAUCUCAAUGUCUUCACAGCACAGGUGCUUGUACAUGGAUUUAACAGAAAAGCUUCUAUUCUUUUCCCAACUCCAUUGGGGUUUAUCCCUAUCAUCAGACAAGGCACAAGUAGUUAGAAUAUCUCUCAUCUGUCUUAGUUGGGUUUGAGCUCUCUCGUCCAACCACGUUCUAAAUGUUAAUCUCCAUCCUCUUGUAGCCAUAUUUGCCACACAUUCUGUUUGCUCAUAACAGAUAGCAAACAUGUCCUGAAACUUAUCUUUAAGAGGGAUAGAGCCGCACCAAGGAUCUCCCCAAUAUCUGUGUUUAAACCAUUACCAAUUUUGAUGAAUCUACCUUUUAGGUAUAACUCUUUGACUUUUAACAGAUCAUUCCACACAGGGGAAUUAGUUGGUUUCAUUUUUAAAUGUGAUAUUCCUCCUACAAUUUUACACUUUUUCCUCAUGAUUUCCUAACAUAUAUAUCAGACAAUUUUAUACUUUUUCCACGACAGGGGAAUCAGCGCGUAUUAGACGUCGUAUAUCUAGCAACGUAUAGAGUACCAUACACACACAUACACACACAUACACACACUCCCUAACAUAUGGUUUCACAUUAUUACGUAUUAAUCUUUCUUUCGACACUACUUCAUCCUGAAAGCUUCACAGAAUAAUAAUACCAUUUUCCCAUCUAAACCUAUCAUCCAAUAUUUUUUUUUCUAAAUGGUCAUUUGACAAAGUUACUCAAAGAAAAGAAUUGCAAAUUUACACUGCAAGGUAUGUACACGCAGGCAACGGAUACGAACCUACGGAUCGUUUUCAUGGAACCAUCGAGUUGAAUAAAUAAAGCUGCAAGGUGUUUGGAGCUUGGAAGAAUAUAAUCUAUUCCCAGGUCAUCCAAAUGCUAUCCUCUUUUCCGUUGUUUUAUUUUAUGCUACUCCAGCGCAUCUAGACCACUGUGACUGUGCCCAAGAUUCUCGACUUGCGCCUGUGGCUGGUGCUGGGUAAGCUGUAUACCUUAGCGUGGUUGAGUCAGCUGGGAUAAGCUGAUAACAACAAUGGUAUUUGAUGCCUCCUCCCCAACAUAACUUGAUCACAUAAGGAUUAACGGGCAUGCCAAAAAGGUUGCUUCAUGGGUGUGUUUGGUUGGGAGUCAAGUUGGAACCGGACGGGGUCCUCUCUCAUUGUAGGGAUGAACUGAUCCCAUUUGAUGUUUGGUUGGACGAUGGACGCGGACGUUCCAGUUUCGUUGUUUGGUUGGAGGGAGGGAUGAGGGAUGAGAUGGAUGGUGUUUUCGCGCAGUUAACUAUGGGUCUCGAUUGUCAUCCACUCGGAAAAUUAUGGGACCCAUUGUUAGCUGCUCAAAAUAGAGAUGACAGGCUUCCUCUGUGCUACCCUUUCAACGCUCGUCCCGGCCUGCUCUGCUACUCUAGCGCCCGUCUCGGCCACCUAUCGCCGGAUCCAGCGCAGGAAAAGCCGGAGGGUCUGAGCAUUGCCGCUGCCUUGCCCAAGCAAAGGGAGCUCGAGCAGCGCCGCGUGGGCUGCUCCGCCGACGCCUUGACCUUGCGCCGCCAGCACUCCGGCCGUGCGGGCUGCCCCACCGGCAGCCCCUUUGGCCACGCGAGCUCCCUCGGCAGCCACUCUUCCGGCCACCGCAUGUCGAUUUGGCCCGUGUCGUUGCGUCGAUUUGGCUCGCGUCGGCCGUGUCGACAUUUAGUAGCGUCAACUAGUGAAGAUUUGCCAUGUGAAUCCUCGGAUGUGUUAGCUUGCAAGAUAUGGGAUACUUAUACUAGUUCAGGCAAUUUGCCCUACGUCCAAUUCGUGAUGCGAGUUUUUUUAUUGCCGGGCUCGAGAGCUCAAGUUUGCUUGCAGUAGGGGUUUACAAAUGGUGUGUGCGUAUGUGAGUGUGUUCUACUGGGGGUCGAAUCCCUUCUCUUGUCCCCCCAUGUCCUUAUAUACACGGCUCAUGAAGUGGGUUAUACUGUAGAUCAUCGUGGGAAACACGUUCAGUCGGGGCGUUCUCCUCCAAUUGGUAGUCAUAGGGCCCGUCCUCCAGUCGGGGCCUCUUUCUGCUUGAUUCCCUCCGAGAUCUUCGUCAGGGCCCGCUCUUCCAAUUGCCUUGGUUGUUGAACCUGGCCCUUAACUUGAUACCAUCAUGAUGGUGAAUCAGGCGUGCUUGACCGAUAACAAUCCGCAACAGCGCCACAACACCGUUCCCGACUGGAGAUCUUUGUCUUGGGGCGGCUGUCCUAUCCUCUGGGGCACGGACAACGAUGCACCCAACUGAUCGGUCAGCCCGCGUUUCCCUCGCUUCGACCCACGUGGGCUUGGCUGCGGCCAUCACAGCAGGCAGGCCUAGCUAUAUGGUAGGCCUAGCCCAUCAUUACGCCUCGGCCCUCACGUGAUGCCUUGGGCCCGUCUGAUGGCCUGUUUUCCUCAAUUCCUAGGCCUUGCCCUCGAAUACAAUCAGCUAGUCGGGUGGUGAUGGCGGUGGCCUUCCAUUUGUCCCAAUUAGCUUCGUUUUCUAAUCCCUUCUUUGUUUGGGCUUAACGAUGGUUUAGGUAUCUCUAAUCUAGAUACUCGUUAGUAGCCCCCUGAGUCCUUUCUCGGCUGGAAGUCGGGGAGGACUGUACCCCGACGAUAGUCUUCUGAUCGCCUCUUCCAUUGGUCUAUUGCAUUUCGUCUCCGGACCAGCAUACGUUAUUAUUUUAUUGAUGUUGGGUCGCGAUGGGAUAAUUUUCUACCCUACGUCGCAUCAAAGCGACUUGUCUUCAUCGCGCCCUAUCGCCCCUCCCACCUGGAAGGUUUGAAGGGUCCACUUUCUUCACAUGUGCCUCGGGGUUCGUGUCCAUGAGGGGGUCUCUUCGGAGUGUGAUGGCGGCCAAUUUAUAAAUAGGGGGAGCAACAUCCUCCUUUCUCUCAUCCAUCCACGACAUCCUGAAGAAGAUGGCACCCUGCUUCCCUUCCUGCGGAGGGAGGCCUCCUGAUGAAGUCUCCAUUUGUGUGUGAGUGAAGGGGCGUGACGAAGGCAUGUGGAGGUAGCGGAGCGGCCGGUGUCAGGAAUAAUUUAUAAUUUUUUAACCGGAAUGAGUAGAAAAAGCUCCAACCUAAUUAUAUAUAUAUAUAUAUAUAUUUUAUUCCAAACAUGUUUAAUUCAUAGGGAGUCGAAUACAAACCUACCGGAUGCUACUUAUGUGAUUUAACCACUUGUUACUUUCACAACUUAAUUGUUUAUUGGUUCGUUCCGGAAGUUCCCAGCAAAUUUCUUUUUUUUUUUGAAACAGAAAAGAAUAACGACCUAAACACCAUACUACUUAAUGGAAAUUGCACAUUUACACGGCAGCUGUUCCAGCAAUGGUGAACAUGUUUCUUAGGUCGCUGACCACCACAUAUAUUCUGUAAUAGAAUUAAGCGGAUGCAUAAAGGACGACUUGUCGAUUUGCGCCAGGGAUAUUGUUAAAUGGCUGAUGGCUAGCGUCGGGUUUCCAGUAUGUUCCAAUCCUGUUCACGUUUUCGUGUCCCGGCCCCCAGUCUGAAAAAGAAGGCCCAGUCCUUUUCCUCCUCCAGGAAAAUGACAGAAAAGACCCUUGUGGUCUCCCCGCUGUUGCUUUUUUCCUCACGUGCUCCAAUUUGGCAACCACAGAUUGCUUGCAACCAUAGACUUUGUGACAUCGCAUGGAGGGCUAGAAACGUGAAACAAUGCAUACUUUUUCAAAAAAGUGAUGACAUGUUUAGUCUCCUACAAUAUAUAGUCAACUAUUUCCAAAUCGAUGACGUACUGUAACUAGUUUAAACAAGCAAGCCACAUAUAUAAUUAAAAAGUGAAUAAACCGAACGAUUUCCCUUUAAUUUAUUCAGGUACACGGAUACUCACACCAAUUUUUUUAUUCGCUAUUGUAUCCGUACAAGAGAAUUAAAUAAUUUUCAAUUAACUGCAAACUUUUAUACUCAUACAGCUACGACCCUAAAUGUUUUUUAAAAGUGAUGCGUCCAUUUACCCUUAUAUCAAUUGCACACCCUUAAGUUUAUGUUCGGCUCAUGCACAAUAUGUAGGUGUUUGACACGAAAUAGGAUCGCGAGAACGUGUGGAAUAAAAUAAAUCGCGAGCGUGCCAGUGUACUAAGUACAUAAAUAAAGAUAAGGUAGGGAAACAAGUAUUUCAUUAAUUCUUUGAUAAACAAAAUUACAAGUUUCCUUCGUAUAGUACCCGCUAUAGCCUCAUGUGAGGGCCGUCUGGCUCAAGCGAUGCGGUCUCCUGGUUCCCGGGCUUUAGAAAGCUCCCAGAUAAUUACUCCCGCGAAUCAAAUCCAUGGCACACCUUCGAUUAAGCUGCGCGUGGUCGUCGUCUUCAUAUUCGCUUCACUACUUCUUCCAUGCAGAUGAAUGAUGGUGUAGGUGUAGGCGUAAGCUAGCGUAGGCAUGAUCCACGGCCUCGUCGGUCCGUAGUGCCAAUGAUAGCGCGGCCAUUGCUCAGGCUGCGACCGCCUUGUCGUCCGGCCUCGUCGGUCACGGACGACACGUAGAGCGUCGUUUUGGUUGAUGGCAUAUGCAUGGAGAAGGGGAGCGUGGCAUCGGCGACGUCGUAUCGCAGCUUCGCGGUACGUGGAGGACACGGACACACGUAUCCUUUCUACCUGCAACCCAGAGAAAGGAGAGAAGACUCUCAUCUGCUGCUCACGCUGGUGCACGUCCACGCGCAGGAGGAAGGCCAGGGGGCAGGAAGCUGUUGCCGGGUGGAGGAGAUGGCCAUGGCCGGCACAGGUGGUUAUAUACAUUAAUCCUUUUCUCCCUUCUCCGUUUCAUGCAUGGACAGGGAAACGUAGGCAUCGACGAGGUUGGUCCGUCCGUAUGGCUUGCAUCACUUAUACAUACAAUGUAUGUGAUUAACCACGCAACGUCACCUUUUUUAUUGUCCGGUGGAUCACUGUACGUAUUUUGGCUUGAGCUAGUAAUAAAGAGACGAUGUCUCACACAUAUACACUGGCCAUGAAUACGUACUCCUGUUAGUCACGUGUGUGCCAGCUGCUAGCAACCAACCUUAUCUUAGCAAUUUAAAACACCGGGGUCUGGACGUGUAUAAAUUGCAUGGAUACAACCUGCCUGCAUGUGGGUACGUAUCAUUUUGCAUGCUAGCCCCUUGUUAUCGUGCUAACCAUUGUACAUACAGGUGACGUACAAAAACCCAUUAAACAGUAGGGAACAAGAUGCGUUGAUUCGAUCUUAUAUUCGAACUAAAUAAGCAUAAUUGAUACAUGUAAUAUACCGUGUCCAAAUAUAGAAAUUUUCGAAAAAGAACUUUUCAAAUCUUUUAGGAUUAAAUAAAAUCAAUCCAUUUUCUUAAAUUGAUGUGUUACAAUUUACAACUAAAAUUUCUACACAUCAUACGAUUAAAUUCAUUGUAAUCUCUCCUCUUAAGACUCCCCCGACCAUCAUAAAGAUACCACGCAACAGUGAAUCUAACACAACAUCACGAUCCCCCUCUUCCGAGAGAAAAAAAAUCAUGAUCCUCCUCUACCGAGACGAAAACCACCAUUCUCGCAUCCGCCGCGAAACAAGAGACCAAACAGAACGCGCGGCGGCCUUUCCUCGUCCAAGCGAUCUACGAGGGUCGGUCAGUCCACCACCCUCUUGAACCCCGGAAUUCCAGCUGCCGUUCCAUUCCAAAGGAAGAUGCACGGGCAUGCGCAUGCAGCAGCCACCAACCAGUCAAAGACACGCUGCCGCGGCAGCGCAGCCGCGAUCAGAUGAGAGAUCGCCUAAAUUUGGCCGCAGGGGAUCCGGGCGGAGGCGUGGACUGCGCCUGCGCGGCGCAUGCUGGCCCUUGCCCGCCGGUGGGCCCUGCAGGCAGGUGACGUGCCUCCCUCCCACGCCUCUGACCCGGCUCGCGCCUCCCGAAUCUCCCUCUCCCAACUACCCUUCACACCGCUUCACUCUCUCUCUCUCUCUCUCAUUUUUCUUUAUAUAUACACACACAAACACAUAUAUAUAAUAUUAGUCAUUAUCCAAUAUAGAAAAGGAUAAAAAAUCUGAGUGUCCCCCAUCCGUUUUUCUCGUGCUGGUUUUGAAGACUUCGUCCGCGACAAAAAAGAAAAGCCCAGAAAAAAAACAAGAGGGGAAAGAAAAUGGUAUUUUGCGUUGUAUUUAUAAGCAACACUGGCGAAAGCGAUGCCUACUUCCAUUUGGACCUCCGCCUUCCUCCUCUCUUCGCAUCACCAACAAGAAGGCUAACACACACCAACCGAAGAACAAGGAGUAGGAGGGGAAGGAAAAAAAAGGAAUUUUGGUUGCGCAGAGUGUGUAGUAGAUAGAAUAGUGCUUUGAUCUCUCCUUGUUCGAGGUCGGUGCGCGAGGCAAUAAUGGUGGCCGUGGAGGCUGCGGCGGCGGCGGCGGCGGCGGUGGAGGGCCCGAUCCGGGCCGAGGCCAAGGUGGCGGUGGCGCCGGCGCCGGAGGGGGAGGCUAAGGUGGAGGUGGAGGGCGAUGCCCCUGCGGCGGGGGAGGCCGAGGAGGAGGAGGAGAGGGAGUACAAGAGCGACAUGAGGAAGCUGGAGGAGCUCAUGUCCAAGCUCAACCCCUGCGCGGAGGAGUUCGUGCCGUCGUCGCGCCGCGUCCCGGCGCCGGCACCGAAGCCGGUGGGGGUGCUCUCCGCCGACGCGCCGGUGUUCGUCUCCGCCGCCGAGUACUACGGCGCUGCCGGCGGCGGGAGCAGGGACUCCAGCAGCGACGGAUCCAGUAACGGCAGCGGCAACCCUCUGAAUCGCCGGGUCGGUGAGCUGUGAAUUUUGUGUUCUUUAUAUGCGCGUCUUGAUUUGACAGGUUUGGUCUUUGUUUGACUUUUUCACUACUGUGAUCGCUGUAUGAUUUGGGUAUUUGCGUACUGCGAUCCUCUGAACUGAUGGGUUUUAGGCGGUGGCAAUCACGUUCUUCUUCGUGAGAUUUCAUUUUGUCCCGUUCUCCUUGUUUUAUCUUGUGGGAAAUGAAAUCUUGAGCAGCGUUCUGUUUCUGAAUCAUUUGCAGCUGCAGAAUCAUCGUAAAUUGUGAUAUGAAUAACCUUUUCCCCUUGAGAUGACAAUUUGAUCUUGUUAGUUUAUUAAGAAAUGGUUGAUCGGUGGGUGCUAACUGGAGAUUGUUGAAUGAUCCGUGCUAAUGGUACUGCAAUUGCCAAGAAUCUGAUACGUGAAUCGAUGUGAGGUUAAUGGGCUACUGUGCUUGAUGUCAACAAUUCAUUUUGUGGACCUCUAUCAAGCUUUUAGAAUUUUAGAAUUAAAACGUUGUGCUAGCGGCAGUUGUGUGUCCAUUUAUUGGUUCUGGUGGUACGGUGCCAAAUUGACAUUGCCUUUCUGAUAUCAGAGGAGGAAUAGCUUCAACCAAGGGAGGCGGAGGUUGGGGGGCCGACCCCGACGGGCUGAUAGGGAGGAUAGUGUGCGGCGAACCGUCUAUGUCUCUGACAUUGAUCAGCAUGUGAGUACACUGAAAGACAGUGGCCUUUGGAAUUGACGUUUCUGUGUCAAUGUUGUUUCAUUUCUUCUUGUUGCUCUGCAGGUGACUGAGCAGAAGCUUGCUGAAGUGUUUUCUAACUGUGGGCAAGUAAGUUCUAUGAUUAUUUUGUGGAAAACAUGGUGUUAGAUUUUUUUUGCCCCUCCAUAAUGUGAUAGCUAAUGACAAUAUCUGGGUGACCUGUAGGUGGUAGAUUGCCGUAUCUGUGGUGACCCUCAUUCUGUCCUGCGUUUUGCGUUCAUCGAGUUUGCUGAUGAUGGUAGUGUUCUCGACACAUUAUCUUUUCAUUUGCAGUAUCGGUAUGGUAAAACAGUGACAGUGAAGCUUUCCUUUAUCUUCAGCUGGUGCAAGAGCCGCACUAACACUUGGGGGAACCAUGCUGGGUUAUUAUCCUGUUAGAGUUUUACCUUCUAAAACCGCGAUUCUACCUGUGAACCCUAAGUUUCUUCCUCGAGUAAGUGCAUGAUGAUGACACAUGUCUUGUUUAGAUCACACCAUAUUCCCCAAAUUGUUUUUGCCGUGCCAAAAAAUUCUGCUAAUAUUAGUUGUAUUUUGCAGACUGAAGACGAGAAAGAAAUGGUCUCAAGGACUGUAUAUUGUACUAACAUAGAUAAGAAGGUAUGGAAGCCCAUAUUCCUGUCGGUGCAUGUGGCUGCAAACUUGUGAUUCUUAAUUACAAAUAAGAUGCUUUUGUAGUGCUUCUAUGAUUUCCUAAAACUCAAUUGCACAGCUUCUAGCUGUUUUGAUCAGAGCACAUAAUAUUGUAUUGAUAUAGUAUUAUCAGAACACAAUCACUUCCCCAAGAUAUGUAUGAUACCCCUUUUUCUUUCUUUGUUGGACAAAAAGAAAAAGAAUAUUCUGGGAGUUUCUUCUCAUGUUUGUUGCCACUGCACUACCCAAAUCUAGUGCUAUUCUUCCAGCAUGAAUGGUGAAUGCUGAACUUUGUGGUUUUUAUUUGUGUGGUAGUUGGUGAAUGCUGAAAUGUGAUACAUAAGUGAUUAUUGGUGAAGGAAAAAAUGGUUUGAAAGGUUAUGUAUUAAUGUUGUUUGCACUUCUUGUUUGUUUAGGUUACUGAGGAGGAUGUAAAGGUUUUCUUUCAGGGUACAUGUGGGAAGGUAUGACAUAAAACUGCUGGUAGUGGUUGCCUUUUGCAGCCUAUUUAUAUUCUUUAUGAAAUGAUUGACAUCUUAACAUUUUAUUUAGGUUUCUCGGCUGAGGCUCCUUGGUGAUUAUGUACACUCCACAUGCAUUGCUUUUGUUGAGUUUGCUCAGGUAAACAAGUUUUUUUCACUUUUAUAUUUUGAUGUAGUGAAGAUGUUAGUUAAAGUGCUACUGCUACUUAAUGACUUUCAGGGUCUAGGAGUGAGAGCUGAGUGAAUCCGUUUUGAUUGUAAUGUGUGAAUAUUUUUCACAAAUAUUACCAAUUUAAAAGACAACCUCAUAAAAGAGAUAUCUUAAUGAAAUAUUUAAUUAUACUGAAGCUGAACAGUUGCUAUAGGUGUUAUUCAAAACUCUGUUAUCUUGUCCUACUCCAGAUUUGAUGAUCUUUUAGCUAUCUUUCAUUAUACUUCUCAUAUGUUGACUAGAAAAAAAAAUCCAUUUAGUAGGUUGGGAACUUUAAAUAAUUCCACAUAUUAUAAUGCACACUAAUAAUAUGUAACCAGCCGAAUCGGGAUGAUACUGGAACAUACUUUUAGUGAAAGAAACAUAUUUGUUUUUAGGUUACUAUCCUCGAAGCAUUUGGGUAAUGACAUGAUUAAAGGUUUCAUAUCCAUUCUUUUAUGCUCUAUUUUUCUUAAAUUGGUAUUGCCAAGCAGUCUUACAGAUAUAUAAGCCUUUCGCAGCCAUGAUUGUUCAACUUAUGCAGUGCUUUUACUUUGUUUGGCAUGUUCAAUGCAGGCAGAAAGUGCAAUUAUGGCCCUGAACUUCAGUGGCAUGGUCCUUGGCUCCCUUCCUAUUAGGUAAACACUCGGUCAAGAACAUAUCUAUAUUCCUUAAUUCCCAUAAAAGCAUAAUGAAUGAUCAACUCCCCUAUAAUUGUUAGUUUAGGGCAUCAUGAAUCAUCACGUUUUUAAUCUUCUUGUCCUCUAAAUGCGCAGGGUGAGCCCUUCCAAGACACCAGUCCGUCCGCGGUCUCCUCGCGUGAUGUCCAACUGAGCCCAUGUCCUGCUCCAAGCCGCCGUCACCCUUGAGGCUGCCACCAGUGGCAGAUCAUCCCCAGGCUGAGCUUCCUCUAGUCGUGAUCGUGCUAGAGCUGUCGCAUUGCGAAUCAGUAACCGUGGCGCUGUCCUAGUACCUAGUCAUCAUAGGAAAGUCAACUUGCUGCUAAUGUUCUUCUCUCGGAGGCCCAUGCAUCUCUUGUUGUUGGAGGCACCAUUUGCGUUUGUUUUGCUCGCUGUCAUGUUAAUUAUGGAUGAAUUCUUAUAUAACAGCCUUUUCAGGCACGAGAAGAAUAAUGUCUAGCAUCUUCUCAAUUUUUGUGGCCGAUUGUUUAUUCUCGCUGGUUUUAGCGGCGGUAGGUUGUUAUGUAUGCCGUCAUGCGCUGCUGAUAUUGAACGGGCCGACUUUGAGAAAUGCAUGGAACAUGUGUGUUCCGUGGCUGAGAUCUUGUUGAGAUCCAUGCGGAGCUGCAGACGCAAAUGUUGCAGCAUACAAAUUGUGCCAAAUGGCAAGGAAUCAGACAUUCCGUUAGCAUCGCUUGCUGGCCACGGCAAUGAGUGGUCGCAAGGCAGUGAUGGGCAAGGCUGACGGUUUGGGGCAGCACCAAAUAUUCCGAAUUACUAUUUGCUAGUGCUUCUAGUGCUUAAAUAUAAGCUGGAUCAUUAGCUACCGUGCUGUAGCCUAGCUACUUUAAUGGGGGAAUAUUAGGUGGAAACUACCUCUUUGGUGGAAUCGUGAAAACCCCUCUACAAACCAUACUUACAAGUCUCCAAACAAUUUGAAAUGACGCACAUCUACAAUCCAUUCAUAAAUGUACUUUGUUGCAAAAGUUGAGAUCCAAACUCGUUUUGUAAAAAUUCAGAUGAAAAUGACAAAAUUCAAGUGCAUGUGCACUAAAAUAUACAUGUUCCUUGUUCCAGAACUUUUGUCUUCUAGUGCACAUGUACUCGAAAUUUGUCAUUUUUGUAGAAUUUUUCUAUAUUGAGUUUGCAUCUCAAAAUUUGCAACAAAGUGAAUCCGUAGAUACACAAUGGAUAUGCAUCAUUCCAAUUUUUUUGGAAACUUGUAAGUAUGGCUUUCAAAAGGGUUUUCAUGUUUCCACCAAGGAGGUGAUUUGCACGGAAUAUUUUCCCACUUUAAUGAGAGGCAUGAAAGAUUUAUCACCCCUGUUUAAUUUGUUCCAAACCCUUAGAAGUCAUUGUAUUUAAGAAUGGUGAGAGCCGAAGGAGGACGAAGAAGGCAGCAGGUGAAGACUGAAAACGAAGAAGCAGGAGGACGAAGAAGGCAGCAGCUACCGGAUUUCACCAGUUUGCGUGGUAGCUGCCGCAUUUCCAUCUGAUUCGGUUAUCUAAGCAAAUGGAACUGAUAAAAUGCCUUUAGCUCUAUAAUGAUUAAUGACACACUCAUAGAAUUAGAUACAAGCUUAUUAUUCGAUUAACAAAAUUCAUUGUUCCAUAAUUUAUUUCGCAUGAGGCUUUAACAGCCAAUAAGCUCCCCUUGACAUUUACAUCAAGCAAAACCAAAAGGCUCCGAAAUAAAAACUCCUGCAGAAGAGAACACACUAGCGCCGGCGAACUAUCUGCCUACACAGGCUUAACACGUAUCAUCCACCACCUCAUCUGAGAUGGGUUAUUUGUACACCGAGGGUCUGGCCUAGCCGGUGUUCUGCAUCCCGGCGGCGAUACCCUUCAUGGUCAGGAUCAGCGUGUCCUCCAGGCCCGGCGCGUACUCGCUCUCGGGGUUCAGCUGCACCAGCUGCGCCGGCUGGCUCUCGUCGGUGAACUCCUUGGACAGAGCCGGCUGGGGGCUCACCUGGAAGCCAGGGUCACGAAUCCGCUUCAGGGUGUAGGCCUGGCAGACGUUCAGGGUGGUGAUGUACGACUCACGCAGCCGCAGACGCUGCUUCAGGUAAGGAUCACCUUCGAGGACGUCCUUGUGACCGGCGACCUGCGGAAAAUUGGCAAUUGUUGGAAUCAUAUGCAAUAGGACUUAUCUGCCUAUGGCUAUAUUAGUACAAAAACACCUGAAAUGCAAGCAAAACGAAAUCUUUUAGCGUGAGCUAUUAGAGCACUUUACCUGAAGGAGCAGCUCUUUUGUCUCCUCAUAGUUCUUCCUUAGCUGCUCUCCAAAGGACUGCAGAUCUUCAGCCACCAGCAAUUUAUCAUACACAGCUGCGAUUCCUGGGUCUCCCUUGGCGAAAACCAUCUCAAGCAAGUCAAGGGUAACCCUGAAGAAUGGCCACUCAUUGUACAUUUCUUUAAGAGUAUGGAUGUUCCUGAUGUCCUUCUGCAUGAGAUGCUUGAAUGCUGCGCCAAAUCCAAGCCAAACAGGGAGAUGGAACCUUGUUUGCGUCCAAGCAAAGAUCCAUGGAAUUGCACGGAGCGAUUCUAUUCCCCCACUAGGCUUCCUCUUUGAUGGACGGCUGCCAAUAUUCAUCCUACCAUAUUCAGUCUCAGGUGUAGCCUGGAAAAAUAAUUAAGAUCGAGCUUAGUGUUACAACUUAUACUCAUCAUAUCACAAGUUCACAUACUUGUCCACCAACUUUUAGAACCAGCGUAACAGAAGGCACACCAGAUCACCAUGCAGUGAGACAUACACGUUCAAUAAGAGAAAUAUUCCUUUCAGAUAGCAGUUCUCAAUAGGAUAAACGAAUACAACUCAGCUAACUUAAUUAGAAGGAUAGCGUUUGUUUGAACUUUUUCAAAUUAGUGCCUGUACAGAAUUUCAGUUAAAUAAGAUCUGCAUUAAACAUCAGAGAUUUUACAUUUUUGAAGAAAAGAAAUCAUAAAUUGACCAACACAAAACCUAAUUUCAUGUGCAUAUUUUGGCUUGGGGUUUCUUUAGCAGCUUUGAAACAAAGUAUAAACAUCUUGUGCAAGUGUAAAGUGUAUACUUGUUCAAAUACAGGAUAGAGGAUACAGGUGAACCUACCGAUCUGAAGUAUUCAACAAAGCGUGGUUCUUGGAAGACAAUUGAUCGAUAUUCUUUGGUUGCCACAAUAGCCAUUUCAUCCAUCAGAGCACGCCAUUCCGGCUUUGGGGAAAUUGGAGGAUGCAUGCCAUGCUCAAGGGUAGCUGCAGUGUAGCGUUGCAAAGUUCUAAAGCACAGGUGCUCCUCUCCAAAGGAGUGCUCAAUGACCUCACCUUGCACUGUUACACGAAGUGAUCCAUGUAUCGUGUCUGGUGGCUGAGAUAAUAUGGCCAAAUGAGUGGGACCACCUCCUCUGCCAACUGUUCCACCCCUUCCAUGAAACAUGGUCAACUUCACUCCAUACUGCUUUGCCACCUUGAUGAGCUCCUCUUGUGCUUUAUACAUUUGCCAUGCUGCAGAGAGACGUCCAGCGUCUUUACCAGAGUCUGAGUAUCCAAUCAUCACCUCCUGCUUGCCAUUAAUCCUAUUCAUGUACCAGUCAAUUGAAAAGAGUCGUGCUACAGCUGCUGGAGCUGCUUCAAGAUCUGCAAGUUUCUCAAAGAGUGGAACAACUCUCAGUGGAUGUUUUACAUGGCACUCACGCUGUAAAAGCUCGACAGCAAGCACAUCGGAUGGGGCAGUUGCCAUCGAGAUGAUAUACGCGCCAAAGCAAUCUGCUGGGAGCUCUGCUAGGACAUGAAAUGCGCCUAAAACAUCGGCGGUCUCUUCAGUCAGAGGAAGAUCAGAACCAAACAAUGGACGCUUGCCCCUCAGUUCAGACAACAGCCAAUCCUGGCGUUUCUCCUCAGACCAUUCAGCAUAGGAUCCAAUUCCAAGAUGUGUAGUUAUUGAAUCAAGGACAUCAGUGUGCCGAUCAGAUUCCUGCCUGAUGUCAAGUUUCACAAGAGCAAGCCCGAAAGUGGAUACUUGACGCAAGAAAUCAAGGAGACUUCCGUCGGCUAUAGGUUUGUCACCACAGGCACAUAAUGAUCUAUAACAGAGCUCAAGAGGUUCUAGAAACUGCAAUGUAGAAAAUGGUAACUAGAUUAUUAUAAGUACGACAUAAACAAUCACAAAUAUGCAUAUCACAGAAAAAGAUAGAACCUGUUCAACAUUAGUAAAAGUUGCCUCCUCAGGAAUCUCAGAAAUUCCAGUUGUCAAUAAAUGACGAGAACGUUCACGCGUAUAGUACAGUUUAUCCCUGACAUCACCAAGGAUGACACGAUAAGGUUCGUUUGGAGGAACUUGCUUCCAGAAUUCUGCAUGAACAACGUUCAAUUAGUAAUAUAUACAUUUUAGAAAAUGUAGUAAGAGAACAUUCUCCACAGGGGAAAAGGUUACGAUCAUUCACACUACAUCAGAGUGUAUGGUCUUGCAUCCAAGUUGCUGGCUAGAGCUCUGUUUGGUAUUGCGGUAGUGGUUACUAAAAAACACUUGUUUAUUUCUAAUUUUGGGUACUGUUAUCCUAUGAUGCACCACUGACAAAACAAGAAUGAGAAGCAAAAAGGGCAUACUUUAUAGGUCACAGUAAUGACAUCCUUUAAAGGGCAUAACUUCAUAUGUCAAAAGCAAAGCAAGCUAGAUAGUCUGGUAUUCUUUUAAAAUAAUAAGCUAAUUAAUUGAUAUGCAGAUUAACCCAAAUUUCCUUGUUACCAUAAAUUACAGUUCUGUUUACCUAUAUAGUGCUUUGCAGCUCUUUUUGAUGACCGAUGUAAUUCAUCUGCACGGAUCCGAAGUUCAUCACUGCAGCGCCACAUAGAGAGCUAGAAUAGAAUAUUAUGCUGUUAGCACCAGGGUGUUGAAGCUCCUUACAUGUAAGGGGAGGAUGUUUUAUAUUGCAAUACCUCAAACAUUAGAUCUUCUAUCUGAGAGAAGUACAAGUUAGCAGCCAUCAUUCUUGCCAAUAAGCAUACAUCCCGUGUAACCUCUGGUGUAACUCUUGGAUUUCCUAAAAAACAAUACAUUAUUGAAAUUUAAGCUUUUUGUUUCUACACAAUUGGCAAAAAUAAGGAACAAAAAGGAAAAUUAGUUUCGUUAAAAGAUGGAGAAUAAGUAGUCAAUUUCUAGAAGAAAUGAAGAACUGAUGUCACAAUGUCACAAUGACAUGAAGGCCCUAUCAGCAAUUUUCUGUUUCACAUGCCAGUAUGCAACUGAUGUCACAACGAUAGGAAGGCCCUAUCAACAAUUUUCUGUUACACAAGCGAUUAGGGUCUGGAAAUUUUUAUAAUUAUUCAAACUUUUUUCUAUAAAAACUCUUCAAAAAGUGUUAUUCUUUAAGCCAAAAACUAAUUUAUAAAUUGGCAUAUGAAAACGAGAAGUUACCAUCACGGUCACCACCCAUCCAGGAAGAGAACUGAAUGAGAGGAGCAUUGUAAGGGAGACGCUCAUUGAUCCCAAUAUUUUUCAGAGCAGUGUCAAUACGGCGCAAGAAUUUUGGUACGCCCUUCCAUAUAGUUUCAUGGAAGUAACUCAUUCCAGCACGCAUUUCAUCUUGAGGAGUGGGAGGGGUUCUGCGGAUUUCAUCAGUUCUAAAAGCAGCUUGAAUCUGUGAAGUAAACAACAAAUCAGAAAAAGCAAGUUGAGAAUGUAGGGAAAAGAACAUAUUAUUUCCACAUGGCGAGUGUACAUGCUACAUGUACAAUUUGGACUUUCAUAGCAACUGACUGAAAAUGAUGCAUGACCAUAACUCAAUUUUUUAUGUAGAUCAUAUAACCCAAGUGCUCUUAUUUUGCAUUUAUCAUACUAAUAGAUAUCAGGUGGUGUUAACAGUAAAAGGUGGUGCCAUUAUACUAGGAAAUGGGCAGUUCUAGAGCAUAGACCUGACUAAUGACUAAUACACAUGUGACUAAGUUAUUAACUCGAAGAACACAAUAGCUAAUAGCUCCCCCCAUAUAUGACUAGUGACUAAUACACAGAUGCAAUUGAUUAACAUAUGAUCUUUAUGAACAGAAUAACAAACAGCAUCUCAGGAUACAGUAAACUGAAAAUCUUUUGGGCUGAUGAGCUCUGACAAUGAUAUAUGAAGUCUACUUCUCUUUUCAAAGCAUUCUAUUCAGCUUUUCCAUAUAGAAAGUUUGCAGAUCGGAUAAUCAAACCAAACUGCAAUACCGUAUAAAAAAGAUAUGAAGUAAUAUAGAAUCAACUGCAGCAUUGUAACUACCUCUGUUGUACAUAUUUGACCUGUCCUCUCACCUUGUCAUGUGCAGACAUAGAAGAGUUCAACAAAAUAGCUUUUAUUUAGGAAAAUAUAUUUUGAUACAACCAAGGUGGAAUUUUGUCGGAAACAUUCGAUGGGAUCUCAGAAUAGAGCAAUGGUAACCUCACAAUUAAGUUAGAGAAAGAAAUAAUGCACUCUCCAACAAAAUUGAUUUCACAGGUUUGACGGGUAUUUCUAAUACAAUAACCUGCCAACCUGGAGAUAAAAGUCUGUACGACAAACAAUCAUCACCAUAAUUCCACACGCAAAAAUCUUUGUAGUAGCACAGCACACCCAGAGAACCUUCCAGGUUUUACAAAUACAAGCCCUCUGUCGGUGGUACUAUCAACUCAUCUUGAUUGGGCAUAUCUUCUUGGUUUUUGUCAAGGGAAUAAACUAAACCUCUGUCGUACAUAUUUGACUGCUUUCUUGCGUAUAAAGCAUCUUGUUCAAGGUAUUACGUGUCCAAUAAACUACUACUAAAAUAUGUUCUAGCCAAACGAUUUGGCAGGAUCUUGGAAUCUGACAGGCAACACUCACAUAAAGAGGCAAACAAAAAACCCCAACAUAAGCUAAUUUGGCUUUCAGGAGUGGGGCCAAAUUCUAACAACAGUAAUGUGGCCCUAUGCUCUGCCGUGAGAAUAAUAGCAGGAUCCCAUCGUUAAACCCAGAGCCUCCAUCCCGCCACAUCAUCAGGGGGGAAAAUCCAAGAGAUGAUUAUCAGUUAAAUAAUGACUAUGUAGUUUACAAUUAAAAAGCUAGGCCAUCAAAAGGUUGUGGUCACGCUCGAUCUACACUGAAACCUCACGACUGACAUUAUAUUAUAAUAUUCUCAUCUCAAGUGGAGAAAUCGAGAUAUUUUACCUCCCUCUGAAGAGCCUCAUCAAGCUCCUGCUUGUCAUCAGCAGUGAUGUCCUUGGCAUACAGUUGCCUCAGGCAAUUCCGGAUCCUGAACAACAGAAAUAAAUUAACACCAUAGAGAAUUGCAUUUUCCUUCGAUGCGCAUGAUGCAAAGGCAAACAAGGUGCCUCAAUCGAAGCAACGGCAACUCAACGAUCGACCGCACCUGCCAUGCUUCUGGAGCAGGGACCUCCUGACGGACUGCGUGGGGUGCGCCGUGAAGACGAGAUCGACGGUCUGGUUCUUGAGCGCGUCGAAGACCUCCUCGCGCGACUUGCCGAGCUGCGAGACGAGGCGCUUGAGCGUCUCCUCGAUGUCGGACUCGGUGGGCGCCGAGGCCUCGUCGGCAAAGUCCCCACGCUUGAGCUUGAUCCGGCGGCGGUGCGCGAUCUGCACCUCCUCGGCGAGGUUGGCGAGGUUGAGCAUGUGCGAGAAGGAGCUGGCGACGACGAUGGAGUCCCCGGGGGGCAGGCUGGUGAGCUUGCUCCCGAGCUCGCCGAGCCGCGCCUCGUCGCGGUCGUUCUCGUACUCCGCCGAGAGCUCGUAGCACUCCUGCACCUGCGCACGCGAAGAGGCACCAACGGAGUCAGCACGGCGCCGUCGGGACGCGCGGAUCUGGGGUGGCGGCGGGCGAGAGGAGGGGAUCGAUCAGGGCGUACGAAUUCGCGGAGGUGCGGGCCGUGCAGGUCCUGGAGGAUGUCGAGGAAGCGAUCGACGAGGAGGGCGUCGUACUCGACGAGCUUGUCGUCCUCGGAGACCUUGCCUGGCGCCAGCAGCCGCAGCUGCGCGUCGAUCGACUGGUGCCGCUCCAUCGGCGCCUUCCCCGUCAUCGCGGUCGCAGCGGAAUCCGACCGAAUCGAAUUCCCGCCGGACGGCGCAGAGAGUCCUCCCCUCCCGCGCGCCCGCGGCGGGUGCGCGAGUGGAGUGUGGCGGCGGUGGCGGCUAGCGGGAGCGCGGCGGCGGGGGAAGAGGAGGUGGGGGAGAUGGACGCGGCGGGGCAGGAGGAGAUGGGUGGGGAGGUCGAAGUGCUCGUGUGCCUAUUUGUAAGAGAGGAAGGUGGUGAUCUGGUGGUGGGGCCCAUUUGGAGAAUUUUAUGUUUUUUUAUGAGUCUCAUACUCUCAGGGGAAGUAGUUUUGCAGGUUGAUACCUGUGGAACUUGGAAUUAUCCGCAACGUUUGUUUUCUCACGAAUUUGCAGAUUCAUCCUCGGAAUACGAAUGUGAGAGAUGAAAUCCUUCAUUCUAAAUGCCACAUAUUGCAAAUUUUCCUAUAAGAAUCUUUAAAUAUAUGAAUCCCUCUAUAUUUUUUUGCACAGGUGCGAGAGCAUACCAAGCAGAGGUACUGGGUCUGUUCGUUUCAGCUUAUUCAGACAGCUUAUCAGCCACCAAACAGUAUUUUUCUCUCACAACAAAUCAGCCGUUUCAACUUUUCAGCCGGCUUAUAAGCUGAAGCGAACAGGCCUACUCUAUUUUUUCAUAUGACAUUGUAUUAGAGAAACUGGAACAAACGAGGCAAGUUGGGAAAUCAGAGUGCCUCUUUGAGAUGCUGAAUGUAUAUGCUGCAUGAUGUUGCAUGCAGGGUACACCUACAAAUAGUCAGCAUUGUGAUGUAAUGUACUUUCUUUGAUCAUAAAAAAUUGUUCAACAGGUGAUUGAUGGGUCUCCAAUACCAUACUUUAACUUGCAAAGUUGCAAUAUAGUAAAAUAUAUCAUUCAUCAACAACAAUCCUGAUGAAUUUUGUAUUUAUGAUUAGAUUAAGUUUUGCAUUUCUCUACGAUCUCUUGACUUGUUGGUUUUGUAAAUGACAUCAUGAUAAAGGAUAAAGUCAUGCAAAAGGCGCACGGUACUGAAAAAAUAAUCAAAAUGGCUAUGGUGAUGUUCUGUCAUCUUUUUCUUCUUGUCCUCUGGUUUUGUUGACUUUCAAAAACAAGAAAAGUCAUACAGAAGUCUGACCAUGCUGAUAUAGGAUAGAAUGACCACAUGAUACGCUCAAUCACUUUCUCUUCCCAUUUCUUUAUUAAUUUAAUAUGCAUAACAACGUGAGGAGAGGAUGGGUCGUUCUGAGUUGUGUCAUAAUUAUGUACUAAACUUUUGUUUUAAAAGAAUGUACAAAUGGAAAUCUCUCAUGUCAAUUUGUUACAUCACUCCAUGGGAAUAAGAAUUUUGAUUAGAGGAUGGUUUGGCGUAUAUAAUUUUUAACAUCUAUAACAAAAUUGCAGUAUGAGGUGUUGAGAUAAAAAAAGUUAGUAAUAAGUAACCACGCUAUUACUGCUAGUAUUUCUGAAGGAGUAAUGAUGGCCGCCAUAGCAAACUAGACAAGGUGGUGGAGCACGCACACGGUGGACUACUCUUUGCUCUCGUUGCAUUUGUGCCCUUGCAUUAUUCCUACGUUAUUAGUCAUCCUGUUGGACUAGACCUUCACCUAAAAAGAUUGAUGAAAUAGCUAUAGUUUGAAAUGGAGUCUUGUGUAGGACGAAUUUGAAUUUUCUUCCUCCUUGAAUUUCUUUCUGCACGGCCUCUUAUUGCCGCCUCCCGUGGACCAUACAGUACAGUCAGAACUCCUUUGGGAAUCCAAAAUCUUGCAGGGAUCCCCGUGUUUUCCUCAGAUAGGCCCCCCACGCGGGUUUCGGACUCGGGCCAAAUCUUCCUGUCGUUUGGCAGCCCACGACCACGGGUCCGUCGCCCCCUAUCCUCAGCUUUUUCUUGGGCCAGCGCUCCCCACCUCUCGGGUUCGGACACCGCAACCCCGUCUGCUCCACCACGCCACGACUCGCGCGCGAGGGAAGCGAUGCGAUGGAGCCAGCAGGCAGCGCCGCCUCCUCGUCCGCUCCACCACGCCGCCUUUCCGACCAAGCGUUGUCGCUUCUCUGCGUCCUCGUCCUCAUCCCCAUCCAGGCGCUGCUACCCCUUGUCACCUCCCCGUCGCCUUCCCGUCCUCUCUGUCGCCUCCCCGUCGUCAGCUCGAUCUCCACCACUGCUCUGUGACUGCCCUGCCUUGCCUCGUCCCAAGAUCCGGUGAACCCUUCCUCUCUCCUCAUCCUCCCCAGAUUGAGCUCUGAGCUCGGUGAACCCUUCCUCUCUCCUCAUCCUCCCCAGAUUGAGCUCUGAGCUCCCGCUACUUGGAUCUGUGUUAGAUUUGUGACUGCUACUUGCUUUUUUACAGAUAGAUGUGUUAGAUGUUUUUAAGUAAUGAUUGAUGAAUUGGUGCAUAUGAAUUGGUGCGAUUGAGUUAUCCUGAACAGAUCGAUUUGAUCUGUUAUGCUUCAAAUUAGUUAUCUAAUUUCUUCAUAAUACAUUUGAUUUAUGAUGUCUGAACUCUCCUAAAACCUUGUCCCAAGCUCGUACCUCUUCUGGUGGGCGUAGUUUAUGUAUGGUGUAACACCACAAAAUCAACCUUGCAAUCAGAGCCACCCAUCAUGUUGUCAAACCAGAGGCUGCGCCACACUGUGCUUGGGUGGUGCACUGGCAACAUGGUACCAUAAAGAUUUAAUUACCCUUUUGACUUCACAUUAUUCGUUUCCUUUAAAUCAAUCAAAGUAUGUACUCGUAGUGAACAGCUAUUAGUUGUAUCUCCAACCGAGAUGUAAAUGUUAUGACAAAUAUGUAUCAUGCUUACAUCUGUACAUAUCUCAAAGCAUAUCUCAUGCAUGUAUAGAAAGGCAGCAAAAUGCAAAAGCAAAGCGUGCUCUGUUUGGGUAGAUGAUAAACUAAAUUUGUGACCUUAACAGAGCGUACUCUGCUUGUUUCUUUUCCUUUCUUUUUGUGUUUUUAGAUGAAGCCUACAUGUUUCUUAUUUUCUCUUACCUUUUGAUGAUGCAGUGCAGUGAACACAUCCUCCUCUUACAUUUUCUUUGUUAGUCAGCUAAUUGUUUUGCCAUUACAUUUUGGGUUCACAUUCUUAUAUUGUUACUGGUCAAACAGGUGAACCAUCCUAACUCUUACUGCUAGCAUUAUAUUAUGUAUUGGAGCUUACUGUUGCUGCCCCGUCACAAUAUGAAAUGCUUACUUUUUUAAACCUAGCAAUUAUACUUCUGAAGUUAUAGCUAGCUAGCUAGAUGAUUCUUUUGGAAAAGGAAUUCAUGCUUUUUCAAUGUUUAAAAGCACAGUAUAAUUCUCUCAUAACCUGUGAGCUUUUCCUUUUUUCUAGACUAUAUACAUUUAAGUGACAUAGUUUACUUGCCUUACCAUAUACAUACAUAUAUAUAAUGGAAUCUUGGGAGGAUGAAGUUAGGAGAUUCAUGCUAGAGGAGGAAGAAGAGGAUGACGAGCUAUUCCUAGUUAUGGUCCCCGCGCUUCAGCAGUGUCUAUAUGAGGAGAAAAGGCCGGAGCACACCUCAACUCUGCCUGGUGCUGAAAAGGUCAGACAAAUCUUGAAAGGCCAUGAAAAUUGGUGCAAAGCUGAGAUAUUUAGAGUUAUAGAAAAUUAUCUUAGAGUGGAGAACUUGUUACGUGACACCCAUAGUGUUAGAGUUGAGGAGCAGCUAGGAAUGUUUAUGUUCAUGCUCUCUCAUAAUGCAAGCACCGAUAGGCUAAAAAAAAAUUCCAACACCGUGGUGAGAUAAUUCAUAAGAAAAUAACAGAGUUCUUCGAUAUAAUUCCAACACUGACUCAUAGAUUCUGAAGCUCCCAAAUGUGAAUCAUACACAUGUGAAGAUUGCAUUAGACCCUCGCUUUAUGUCUUUCUUCCAGAACUGCAUUGGGGCCAUUGAUGGCACUCAUAUCCCUAUCACCAUUGCACAAGAAAGAGCCGCUCCUUACAGAAAUAGGAAAGGAACAUUGUCACAGAACGUGAUGUGUGCAUGUGACUUUGAUUUAAAUUUCACUUUCAUCUCAUGUGGUUGGGAAGGAUCAGCAUCUGAUGCAGGGGUCCUACGGUCUUCACGUGCGAAGGGUUUUCAUGUGUCUGUGGGGAAGUUCUACCUUGUAGGUGGUGGAUACGCAAAUACAUCCUCAUUCAUUGCUCCAUACUGAGGAGUUAGGUAUCACCUUAGUGAGUUAAGGAGACAUGGAAAUCAGUAUGCAAAUUACAAAGAAUUAUUCAACCAUCGACAUGCGCAGCUACGCAAUCAUAUUAAUUGGGAUCCUAGUCUGUUUAGUAUUUGAGUUGCCCCACAAUCUGGAUGCUUGUUAACUGGGAUACUACAUGCUUAGGAAUAUAGUUCUGUUACAUGAUAGCUUAGGGCACAGAUUAACUUCAUUCAUGAGGCUGCAGUGCCCACUGACUUGGUAAAUUGGACCGGGCCUUCGGCUUCUUUUACUGUUGCCUCUGGAUGGUGUAUAAGCAUAAUCUCCUGUGACAUUAUUGGGUAUAGCAUGUUUCCAUGUUGAAAAGAGUCUGCAUAUUUGGUUUUCAUGUUUUGCUCUCCUAGGUAGUAAAUUAACAAAUUGAGUUGGGGAGCUGGCUGCAUUUUGUUACUGCCUCUAGAUGAUGCAUUCUAACACCCGUAAAAAUCUACCAAAGUAAAUCGCUCGUUAAAAAUGCAUUCCAAAAUUUUUUCCGACCGCUGAGCUUCGUCAAAUCUUUUUCCUUCCGUCGGACCCGUCGUUCUGGCCCCGACUCGUCAACCCUCUUUUUCCGUCCCCGUGAUUUUCGCCACGUGCCCGUCAAGUCCAUCACGCGUGCCGUCAAAUCCCGCAAUCCCCGCCAUCUUUUCCCCUCCCUUUUCUCCCUUCUCUUUCCUUCUUUCUUUUCCCUCCUCUUUCUUUCCCUUUUCCUUUUCCUUCUCUUCCUUCCUCCUCCUUCUCUCUCCCCUUUCUCUUCCCUGCCGCCCCCUUUUUUCUCUGGCGCCUGGAGCCCCCCCUGCCUGGCACGCGCGCCGAGGCGCUCUGGGCGCGCACGCGCGCUGGGCCGCGCUGCGUCGGGCCGCGCGCCCGCGCCCGCCGCGCUGCCCCGCCGCGCCACCUGCCGCACCACCUGCCGCACCGCGCCGCGCUGCCCGCCGCGUCUGCCCGCGCGCCGCGCCGCGCCGUCCCGCGCCCGCCACGUCUGACCGCGCGCCGCGCCCGCCACCGCGCCCGCCGCCCACGCCGCCCGCCGUGCCGCGCAACGCCGCCCGUGCCGCGCCCGCUCGCGCCUUGGCGUCUAGUGCUUGGCUGGGUGCGUCGCGUCGUGUCGCCGGUCGCCGCUCCUGUGCCCUCGUCGACCACGCCGCCACGCCGUCCACGAGCUUCACCACCCCGGCACGCCACCGGCCAAAGGUCCGGCCGCCAUCAUUGCCUCGGCCUUCGUCCGCCCGUGCGCCGCCUAUAAAAGAGGGGAGCCGAGCCCUGCACCUCCACACCAUCACCACGAGCACCUUGCCUACCUCCACCACCGCCACCAGAACGCCGCCGGCACCCCUUCCUUCCCACCCGCGACCGGCCAAGGUGAGGGCCAAAAUGGGCCCCCCACACCCUCCUCUUCCUCCCCUGCCGCUCAGCCUCGCCGCCGGCGAGCUCGGUCGGCCGGCCCCACGCCCAGCCAUCCCUUCCUCCACCUCCUGUUGUCUCCAGGAAGAAGAAAGGGAUAAAUCCCUCUCCUCGCGAUCUAACCCACCAGUUUCCCUUAUUCGCGAACAAGUCCUCCCACCAUUCCAAAAAUAAUUACAGAUAGGCCCCUGCUCUCGCGGUUCAGUCCUAAACCUCAUUUUAAAGCCCCUAAUACUCCUUUAACCCAUCAUUUCAUGCGCCAAACUUCCUCCAAUCGAUCCCAAAUUCGACCACGACCUCCUCUCAUAUGUUUCCACCGAGGCAUAUCCAAAGUUCAUGAAAAUACCCUUCCUAUCUAUUUUCCGUUCACAUUUCCUGUUCGGAGCUCAACGGGUAAAAUCUUUUUCCUUUUAUUUAUUGUGUGCUCGUUUGUGUGUGCCGUAGAUCGCGGAGUACCCGAGGAGGAGCGCGAGGAGGAGUUCGACCGCGAGCCUGAGCCCGAGGACCAAUACCGCGAGUAGGAGCUCCCGGAAGGCUUUGAGAACGGCAAGUCCAAUCCCACCCUUUGAUGCAUAUUUAAUACCCAGUUUUUCAGACACAACCUAUUGGCCUGUUUUAUAAAAUGCAUAUUGUUUUAUCGCAAGACAUGGUUGGAUAGCCACCCCUUGAUUGUUAUGAUUAUUCCUUGUUGUCCCAUAUUUAUCUCUAAAUAUGAGUUGCUCUGUUUAGAUGAUAAAUACUGCUAGAAUGCUUAGGAACUCAUUAUCCAAAUUCAAUCAUGAUUACAUUUGUUUAUUCGAAAAAUAAAUGUGUGAGUAUGUUCAACUGAGGAGUUGGGUUUUCGGGUGUAAAGAGAGGUGGUGGAUGAGAUGGAUGGGCGUUUCUUGUGUGGAAUGCCGGAUUGUUGGGCUCGUACCUUAGUGGUUGAGCAGAGUUGGAAGAUAUCCAUCUUGUCAUGGCUAAGGACCGAGUUGGUGUGUCAUCCUGCCUAAUUCCAUCAUCGUGCAACCACUCGACCGUUGUAUGGGCAACGGCUUAGCAUAAACCCCACUAGCCAAACUGCUAGGCUUCACGUGUGCUGGUGAGCAACGGGAGCCCUUGGAAAAGGACUAAGCUCUUGGUGACUUAGGUCCCGGUUUCGGCCCCGUGGAUGGGUUGCUAACCCCUUGGGUGCUUCCGUGUUGACUAGUCAGUGUUGGCUAAGGUGGGUAAUGGCUUUGUUAGGAUCCGUACUGUCACUAAGGUGAUCGUGAUACGGUACCCUACUUGUUGGAAAAGUGUACAACCUCUGCAGAGUUAAAACCUAUCCGGGUAGCCGUGUCCACGGCAUUGGACGAGUUACGGCUCGGUCACACAACUAGCAUUUGGGGGAUGACGGGUAUUUACGGUGUGUGUGUGUGUGUGUGUGUGUGUGUGUGGGAUUUUGGAAGUGUCCGGUAGAUGUGCCGUGCGCUACGGCGGAUGGGGAGUCCGGUAGCGAUAAAACUUGGAUCCUUUGUGUAGGAUCAACCCCACUUGAUAUAUCGUUUAUUAAGGAAAGGUUUUAUGAAAAUUCUAUAAAAUGAAACCCUGCAUGUGUCAAAAAUCUAGCUUUAUUGCAAAUAGACCUUGACCAUAUCCUUGUUGAAUCAUAUGCAUAUUCUUGUUGUAUCCCCCUCCGUGGAUGGGGUUGGACUUGCUGAGUACUUUUGUACUCACCCUUGUGUUGUUGCUUCAGAGGAGGAUCCGGACUUCGUCGCCGAGGACUUCGAGUAGGAGGUUGCGUCUGCACCCAACGCUGCCUGCGGUGUUGGCCCUUUUGCAGGAUGCUUCCGCUGACGCAUAGUUCCGAUUGCAGCCCGAAGUCCGACUGGACUGCAACUUGGAUUUGUAUUGUUAUCGCUUUAGUCUUGCUUUGGGUGUGGCUUGCCCGCCCGCUCCUUCGGGAGUUGUACGGUUUCUGAACUAUCUGUUGAAUAAAUGUGUUAUCAGCCUCCUGGGACUGAUAAUUGGAUCGCAUUUAGUCUCUACUUAUGUGGGGACGCUUCAUGCAUGCUCAUUGCCUCUGUUCUUGUGAUAUCAACUGAUGGGAGUUGUUACUUUUAGGAUUUUUUGAUCAGUUGCUGCCUGUUCUUAUUUCUUUCUAUGUUGAAGGUUUUGUGCUGUGGGUCUUCAUGUUUUAGUCUUCUUAGACAAUUUCCAGUGUGUGGGUGAAGUUUAGCCUCUAAACCUGGGCCCAGGACCUGCUGGGUUGAUACACCUAACAUAAUUUUCUCCAAUUGCACAGGCUAUUUCAUUUAGUACAUGGUAGAAGGUCUUAUCAGCUUCAUUUUCUUGUAGCUUCUACAUUUUCCUAUUAGGUGAAGGGUACCCGGUGUACAUUUGUUCCGUUGUACAAUAAAACCCUCUAGCAUUUCUAAAUACUGUGCUUGCUUUGCUUAAGUUUAUAUAGCAUUGUGCAUAUUCGGCUCCUUUAAUUAAUUAUUCACUUGUUCACCCAUUCAAUUUUUUUAAUAGAAAGUGUAGUCACAGUAGAUUUAAAUUUUACAUCAAUUGAGCCUCCACCACAAAGAACUGAGUUGCGAGCUGAACCUUACUCCCCAAAGAAGUGAGCUGCGAACUGAACCCACUCCCCAAAGAAGUAUCUCAAAGCAAAACAAUCAUAGCAUGGCUUCUAUUGAUAGAAACCCACUCAGUUUUGGUCUUGGUGGUGUAGAAAGCACAGAAGUUCAAUCUGCUCCAGCUAGUCGUAAUUCAGAGGACCAAGAUGUUACCGGUGGAAAGAAACGCAAACAAAGUCAGAUGGCAGCAAAACUUGAGGAUUACAUUGACUAUAGAAAGGAUCAGAUUGAAAAAACUCUAGAAAAGUUAGAAGAGAAGAAGAGAUGUGAAGAAGCUACUCAAUCGAGAAAUGUAUUGACAUGGUGGAUGCCAUGGAAGGGCUAUCGGAUGAACAAAAAGCUGAUGCAAAUGAAGUUUUCCAAAACGAAACGUACAGAAAAAUAUUGGUGGGCACCAAAAAUCCAAGUGUCCGGCUGAUUUUGUUGAAGAAAAAGAUUGCUCAGUUUUGUACCCUUGCUCAAGUGUUGGUUGAAUCCUCCAUUUGCAUAUAUAAAACAUAAAAUUUUGUCCCCUGCUAAUGUCACUGAUUUUAUUUUUUUUGUGCUGCAGCUUUCUAACUACGGUGUUUAUUUGCCAAAAUUUGUGAGUGUUGAAGAGAACCAAGAGGCACAAAGAGAAUGGUUGGGGGAAGAUCCUUGGCUUCGUUUAUAAAAUUUUUUUUUGCAUUGCAUCAACGUGUAAGUUAAAGAGCGAAGUUUAGUAACAGAUAACUUGUGAUAGAUUUUGCUUGUUGAUCGAUGUCAUAAGCAAAAUACAUGUCGUUACUAGAAGAGAAAUUAAGCUGUUAACUUAGGAUCACUACUUGACCUCCUGUGCUGCUUCCGUGUGUAUGGUUCACAUGGCGAUAUUUCUUGGGCUAAUCUUCCAUGUGUAUGUGCUGCUUCCGUGUGUAUGUGCUGGUUCUUCGAUAUUCCCUCCUGCGUUGCUUGCCCUACCUAAGAACUUCCAAAUAGUGAUGGGGAGAGGGCUAGAAAAACCCUCUGGUGGAAGGGAUUUAAAAAUAAAAAAAUUCCCGUAGAGACAUUUCUUUCCUGAGCUAAUCAACGCUAUGCUUCCAAAGGAGCUCUCAGGGUGACGCCAAUCCUCACGCUCAUCCAUUAAUCUAGGAGACAUAUAUAAGAAAUCCCUUUCCUGCCAAAUGCGCUUGAAAGGCAAAAUUCUCUGUCCCAACCAACUCGUAUAUUUUUAUCACUCAGCUGCUCAAAGUUGCCAUUGCCACCGUCCCAGGAAUUUUGUAGUCCACAAGUGGUUGUUGCCAUGUCCAAAGCAAGGUACCUCAAUCAUUCAAGGUAAACAACACACAGAACUGGUGCCACUCUUCGUUCAUCACGGGGGAGUCUGGAACGGAACUUGGCGUGCAAAGCCACGGCGAAUUCAUGAAUCUUUAAGAAUUUGGGCCAAAAGAAAAAAAAAUCUCUCGAGUCCAGAAAGCCUGGGAUGGGGGCUUAAACGGCUCGUGAAAAUUUAUGGAUCUGAUGAGGGCUCGAUUGCAAAAUGUGGCGCUUAAUCCAUCGGGAGCCUGGAGUUUGCAGAGUUCCAGUGGGCGGCCGUCGUGGGCGGGAUCCGGCGGGAAUCUCGAUCGCAUCGACCAGUCUACCACCCACUUGAUGCAAAAUUAAUUGCAGGCCCACAUGAGGAAACUAUGCAAUGGGUGCAGUAAUUUCCAGGGAUAGAGUCUUGUGAGGUGGUAGCAAUGAAAACUGUACGGUGGUUUUGGAGUUGGAACUGCCAUAAAGAAACCUCCUAUUAAAAUAAACAAAUGGCAGCAAAAUCAUGGUUUUCCAAUUUGGCCAAGUUUUGACUUGGAAACAACAACAACAAAAAAACUUACGUUGUGGUACCUUUGGAGUUUGGUCAGAGUUUGCAUGUUUUUAAACCAAACGAGCUCUUGCGCGCGGAUCAAACGCCUAAUCCGUGCCUGGGUGAAUCCGUGGAGCAGUUGGCUCGAACGUGCCUCCUUGCGUUAGCAUGACGCGCUCUCUUCCGGCGCGCACCAAUAAUUCGGCAUCACGGGGGCACAUUAUCGUGACACUCUUGUCCGCUACUACUACUACGACGAGUAUUCCAUUAGCCUAAUCACGCAGGAGAUGGCAACGUUGACCAACUUCCAUCGGUGUCAGCAAUCGCGAAACACUAAACUAAUAAUAUAAUAAUAAAUCGGGGUGAGGAAGAAGAAAGAUCCCUCUUCGCUUUCGUACGUGCUACAGCGACGCUUCGCUGCUGCUGCUUCUUCUUCUAAUCUUCUUCCGCCGUCCCACGCCACGGCCUUGACCUCGCGAUCUCGGCGGUCCCGUUCGUUCGGAGCCUCGGGUUUCUCCUCCCCACGUUCAAAGCACACUGGGCCGGCUGCGUUGAAGUGCCCCCGUUUUUGCUUCGGUUUCAGCGAAAAAUUGGCAGACGAACAGAGAAAUUCCAUCACUCUCCCGGCUGCUCGGAUCGGACGUGCGUGCGAGGGAGAAAGAGACGGGGGGGCUUCGUGUCUUUUUUCUCCGGUCCGCGGAUAAAAAGAAGUUGUUGCAGAGGAAAGAAAAAUGGGGAGGUGAGGUGGAGUUCCGGUCGUCAGCUUGCGAGGAGGCGUGCGCCGACGCGUCACGACCUUUCCUUUCCCUGUCAUCUCGGCACAGGAAAGUUGCCCCACCAAGUGGUGAGGUGGACGAAGGACGGUGAUGGAUAUUCGCUUUCCUAGAUCUCCAUGGCUCUUUUGCUUAAAAAAAAAAGCUCUCAUGGUUGGCUCUCCCCCCGUCGAAAGCUUUCCAGGUGCAGUGUACUUGGGCAAAAAUAAUCCCCUUGCCAUCACCAUCAGAAAAAGGAAUAGUGUUCCUCUCAUCAUUAGCUUAGCUCCCUGCCAUUUUCAUGAAUUGUGUUGCCCUAGUGGUUACUACUAGUAUUAGUAUAAACUCGACUAGCCUAAUUUAAGUAUGAAAGCAACUGUCCCCCCUCAAAAAUUAUACACCAUUAUUGGUAGGUUAGAGCUCUGUCCAGGCCAGUUGGCCAUACCCACAAAUACUCAGGGGAAAGUGCCGUCCGUAAACGAAUGGACGGCCGGUACAUACGGUCCUCGGGAAAAAAAAAACAAUGGCAUUUCGUUCAGCACUUCGUACCGGUUGCAAUUAGACUUGGUACUAAUGUGAACAUUAGUAUCGGACCUCACGGAUAGUUCCCGAGAUGCUCCCGUGACCUCUUUUAGUACCGGGGCGAACUCCACCCCGUACUAAAGGUUACCCAUUACUAAAGAGCUCCCAUCGAUCCAUCCCCCGCUACGCUGCCAGGCGCUCCUCUUAUCCAUUCGUCCCACCCUCCUGUCUCUCUCUGAUCCUCUCUCUCAGGUUCCUCUCCUCCUCUGCCUCCCCUCCUCUCCCUCCUCCGCUCGCCCCUCACCGGCAGUGAGGAGUAGCGGCGGGGUGAGGUGAGGCGGCGGUGGCGAUGGCGGGCGGUGGGGAACUAACAAUACUGGUUACGAAAUCGGUACUGAAGGUCAUGGUCCUUUGUCUAUAAACGAAAGACGAAAGAAAUGAAAGAAAAGAACUAGUGUCGGGUUAGUGUCGGGUUCUCUACGUACACAUUAUUGUAAACAAAAAGCUAGCCUGCCUCACGAAUGAAAGCGCAACGUAACGUACCGAACAAAGGUGUGGGCAUCGCAUGGGGAUCGGAUUCAGCGAUUCUCGCUUGCUCCUGGGUCCUGGCACACCUGAUUGGGCCAUGCCACGGAGAUCACGAUGCGCUUUCGACGCGAAAGCAUGAGAAAAAGAACCGAACAAAGUUGGCCAACAACGCGGCGAAAGAAGUGGCUGGCGCAUAAGAAUGAAGGUCGGUCCGCGCAGGCCGUGGCGGCAACAUCUUCUCUGCUUUUACGUGCACGUACUGGCAGCUGCCAAUCUGCAGAAAUACGAGGGACCGUGUGUUUUGGUACCUGAACACGGUGUUGUUAACAGAAGAUCGAAAAAGAAAUACCCGCACCGAAAAGAAAACACUUGUUUAUCCUUUUUCCUAAAAAAAAUGGAGAUAGUGAUAAGUAGUAAGAUGGAGAGCAUGGCUAUGGGUUGUUUUAUUUGCCAUGAUUCGGUACUCUCCCGGUCCCAAAAUAUUAUUCAUUUUGACUUUUUUUAUAUAUAAUUUUUACUAUGUAUCUACACAUAAAAUAUAUUAGCAAAUGUGCCCGUGCGUUGCGAUGGGAGAAAAAAAAUCCUCGCACGUCCGUUAGCCAGUAUACAUGGCAAAAACUCGGCUGAUUCCGCCAUCAUGAAAGUUGUGCCGCUAAUCACUAAGAUCCCGUUUGCUUCCGCUGACUUAUUUUUAGCACCCAUCACAUCGAAUGUUUAGAUACUAAUUAGGAGUAUUAAACGUAGACUAUUUACAAAACCCAUUACAUAAGUCGAGGCUAAACGGCGAGACGAAUCUAUUAAGCCUAAUUAGUCCAUGAUUUGACAAUGUGUUGCUACAGUAAACAUUUGCUAAUGAUGGAUUAAUUAGGCUUAAUUAGACUUAAUAGAUUCGUCUCGCCGUUUAACCUCCACUUAUGUAAUGAGUUUUGUAAAUAAUCUACGUUUAAUACUCCUAAUUAGUAUCUAAACAUUCGAUGUGACACGUGCUAAAAAUAAGUCACCGGAAGCAAACGCCCCCUAAGAUUCAUUGGUGCUACCGGACUCAUAAGACGAGCAUCAUCAUUCCCAAUCACCAGCUUUGCCUGUUCCCCCUCCCCUCAUGGUCUGUCGGCUGUCGCCUGCAGCCUGCUCAUCAAGUCUGCCUAGAGUUUACUGCGCUCUUGGAGUCCCGCGAGCUCAGGCAUAUACUACCCCACCACAUUAAUCUACCGUUGCCCGACUCCACAUCUUAUUCUUCAAGUGCCUCCCUCGUGAUGUGCUUCACGGUGUCAUCUUUGAGCAGACGCACCCCGUCAAAUUCAUCGUCUAGACCGACUCUACAACUCUAGAUCCCUAGACGCAGGCCAACCCGAACCAAUGGGUCGACAUUGUCCAGCUCGACAGCAUGUACCCUGCCGCCGCACCUUCCUCUAUCUCAAGGCUCUCGAUUGUUCUUGUUGUCUCGCUCGUCACGACGACCGCAUCCUAGUGUAGCAGUACAUGAUGGUUGUGCGUGCAGGCUAAACACGUUGUUGUCAUAGAGGCCAAAAGAAAUUUAUUAUGUUAUAGCUGAAGAUAUGACAACAUCAUGCUAAUGUCACGCCAUAUGAACAUCAAUUUUUUCGUUAGAUUAAAUUGCAGGUGACGUGUAUUUGCUGAUGUUGCCUAUUGUGUCUCCAAGCGUGAUCCAUUUAUCCGCAGCCUGGCUCAGGGGGGCUAGCUAGCUGGCCCAGCCGGUGUAAUCCGGCCCAGCUAGCCGCUGCGCCUAGCCCACACACGCACGGGUGGGAGUCAACACAGAGAUCGUGGGUUGAUUAAAUAAAAAAUGAGGAAGUUUUUUACAAAAUAACCACAACGGUCGGAAGAAACUAUCACGCUUUAAUAUUAUAUAUAUAUAUAUAUAUAUAUAUAUAUAUAUAUAUAUACUAGCAGAAAUACUCAUGCGUUGCUACGAGUCCUUACUUUCUCUCACGUUAUUAUUCGCUUAUUCCUAAUAUGUUGGUUUCGCUUCACAAUAUGUUGGUGCGUUGUCCUAGUAUAGUAGAAAAUAUUUGUGGGUAGUUUGAUGCCAUCUGUUUAUUACGUGGGACCCACACAUGGAAAUAAAAAAAUUAUCGCUUAACCUCCGCUCUAUCCAUUCAUUCGAUUUCCCCUGUACUCAUUGUUAUCCAGCCAGUCGCCGCCUCUUCGUCCAUCAGCACCACCCGCAUCUUGCCCCAUCCUCGCCGUCACCGAGGCGCUACGCAUCUUGCCGUCCUCGACGUCACCCAGGCAAGCGUUCGUCCUCCCCGUGCCUAGCCUCAUCCCCGCUUCAAGCGCUAGGCCACAGCGCCUCUGGCCGCCAUGAGAAGGAGUGCGUUCUCCUCUUCUUCUUGUUUCCAUCCAAUUACUAGAUGUGGAGGUCUUAGUUCUGGAUCCAAAGGGGAUGGACGUCAUUGAAAGGGGGUGUGAUGUCCCGACCUCUGCCCCUAUUUGCGUUGCCUGCCGACUGCCGCUGUGCCCCCCUCCCCUGACACCAUGCCCUCGCUAGCACAUGGCUCUACUUGUUGACUACAAGAAGGCACUCGGCUCCUUAUUUCCUUUCCCCUUCCUCCUUUCUCCUUCACCCCUUAGGUCCAAGUGGUGGGUAGGACGUGCAGCCCGAGUGAGCAGCUGCCCACCAGAGCGAGCAACAGUAGAUCAACACUCUAGCUAGUCGUUUCAUAUGGAUAUAGGGCGUGGUCAAAUCCCAAAAGCCAAUGUAAAAUCGUAUGAAAGCGAUGGAUGGCUGGUGAUUGAUGACAGGUCAGAGGGUAGCUGACCACCAUUAUUUGCUAAGCAAUGAAAGUGAAAAUAAGAGGGGAAUGUGUCGAUCAUGGUAUGGACGACUAGAAGCUACCGUCAUCCAUCAUCAUGAUCUCAUUCAGCCCGUCCCAGAUGUCCUGCUCCUUCAGCAUCGGCCUCGCGCUGUGCUGCUUGGCCGCCGCCGCCGCCACGUGCAUCGGCAAGGACGCGUUCGACCCGCAGGUCUCGUGCAGGCUCUUGAGCAACAGCUGCGGCAGAUGGUGGCGGCAGCGGUACGUCGAGGUCAGCACCCAGGAAGGUGCGGGCGCGGGGCCCCCGGAGCUCGAUGGCGGUGAUGUCGUAGGCACACGCGGCGUCCUCGGCGGUGUCGAAGGUGCCGAGCCACUUGCGCAUGGCACGGUGCGGGUCGCGGAUCUCCACCGCCUACUUGCUCACCCUCUCCCUCCGCUGCCGCCGCACGCCAUGGUACUUGCUCACCCUCCCCCUCCGUCGCCGCCGCCAUAGCUUGCCCACACCCCCGGCGACGGCGGCACGGCUUGCGGACGCGAGCUACUCUCCUCUGUCGUCAUUGUCGCUGCUCGACCUGUUUGCGCCGCACGUGGUGCAAGCACACGCCGUGGGAGCUUCAACGACCAAUUGCAGUAAAGUUUGGGGACCUUUUUGCUGAAUCGUCAAGACAUAUUCUAAGGAUUGCGGCUUGAUUAUGAAAAAGUUGAGGGACUAUUUUGGAAAACAACCACGACAGUUGGAAGAAACAACCGCAUUUAAUAUUAGGUAUAGAUAUAUAGCAAAACAGCCAGUGUUGUUGCUACAAAUAAAAGCAAUGUAUAUAAUUUAUAGUAAUGAUGAUUAAUUUUUUAAAUAUGUGACAUAUAUGCAUUUUAUGUAUCUUUCUAUGCAUUUUUUAACAAAGAAAUAUUUUCUAUAAUAAUUUGAUCACAUUAACAAUAAAUAUAAUCUUCUAUAAUAUACUCUGUUGUGGACGUCUCUCCGUGCGCCUAGGCCACCGUUGGCUCCGGCGGUGUCAAGGUACGGCUUCCUAAAACCUUGGUCGCGUCUUUCUCCACGGGCAAGAGGGCGAGCUCCUGCAGCGUACCGCCUUCCGUGGUGCUCUUGUCCUUGGUGAACGGGGAACACGCCGCCGUUCAUGUGGCUACCAGGCUACCAGCUCCUCUCCCACGACGAUGCCAAGGACACGAAGAGUAGCGAUGGUGCUCGAGUAUGGCUAGAGUUAUGGCGCGGGAGCUGCAGGAACAACGAUUGCCCGCGCGCGGCGUUGGGUCUGCACCUUUUGCUACCUCAGCCUCCAUGGAUGCUCCGGGACGACACGGCGGAUGAGGAGGACUAGGGGGGAAAGAGAGAGGGAGGCAGGCACAAGCGGCAGCAUGGAAAAGGGUGGUGAUACGGACGAGAAAGAAAGAACUGACACACCGCGAUGAACACCUUGAUACAAGACUAUGGACACCUUGAUUCAAGACUAUGGGUUGACUACGAAAGAUAGAAGAAACAAUGGUACUUUGUAUUGUAAUAAUAUGUAUCAGUAGCAGCAGCAUAGAACAUUAAUCAAUUAAGAGCCUGUUUGGAUCCGGUGUCCUGAACUUUUGAACAGGUCACAUCGGAUAUUUAGAUACUAAUUAGAAAUAUUAAAUAUAAUCUAAUUACAAAACUAAUUGUACAGAUGGAGUCUAAUUCGCGAGACGAAUCUAUUAGCACCAUAUUGUCAAAUCAUGGACUAAUUAGGCUUAAUAGAUUCGUCUCACGAAUUAGUAUAGGAGUUCUGCAGUUAGUUUUAUAAUUAGCUCAUGUUAGUCCUCCUACCCUCCUAAAAUUUAGUACCUUGUAUCCAAACACCCCUUGGAUACGAGGUGCUAAACUUUAGCAGGGUCACAUCGGAUAUUCGGAUGCUAAUUAGGAGGACUAAACAUGAGCUAAUUACAAAACUAAUUGCACGUAUAAAGUCUAAUUCGCGAGACGAAUCUAUUAAGACUAAUUAAUCCAUCAUUAGCAAAUGGUUACUGUAGCACCACAUUGUCAAAUCAUGAACUAAUUAGGAUUAAUAGAUUCGUCUCGCGAAUUAGACUCCAUCUGUGCAAUUAGUUUUGUAAUUAGACUAUAUUUAAUACUCCUAAUUAGUAUCAAACACCCCCAAUUCAGACCGAGAAAAAUAGAAGUUCAAACAAAAUACUCUGUCUAGCUCAAUUGACAUUUACAAGUUAUAGAAACAAGAAUCCAAUCAGGCAAUCAUCUGGAUAUCAAAUUCACAAUACAAGCUUUGGAACGAACCCAUGGUGCAGAAUCUCAAGGGACCAACACAAAUCGACAAUGUAGAGUAUGGUUCUGACCAAUCGAAAGAUCGAUCUGUGACAGAGAGGAAAAGGGGACGGGGACUGUAUGCAGUCCCAUGAAAGAUCGAUCUGUGACAGAGAGGAAAAGGGGACGGGGACUGAACAGUUCAGCAAUCUCACCAGCAGCCAAUGAAAAGCCGCACGAUGAUGAGGAGAUCGUAGCAGGGAGCUAACGGAUCCACGCGAAAUCUACCCGGGGACCGGCGUGAGGGAGCUCCGCUGUGGACAUGUGGGGCCUCCAGCCUGACGAGCUUCGGACGGAGGGGGCUGUGGGCGGCACAGACAUCGGAGGCGAGCUUGGGGCUUGGGGCUGAGAUGGGCUUGAGCGGGGGAGUAGCUGACGCAGCGGCAGCCACGCUCGAGCGGGGGAGGACUUCGUCUGAAGGACGACGAAUCGGCGGCGGAAAGGCUCGAAUUGGCCGGCAGCACUUGGGCUCAAGCAACGAACGGUGGGCGGUGUUCGAGCUCCCUUAUACAGCCAGUGUCCGCCGUGAAUCGGCCGCGGGGCACCAUCAGCUUCGGUUUCUGCCUCAUCUGCUCCCCAGUCCAACUCAUCAUCAUUAGUCAUGCCCUUUGAGGCCUCACCAUGGGCUUCGCAGCUUCACCUUGGAGAUCUCGUAGGACAGCGAGACCCUGGUGGGCUUGGGCUGCAGCGCCUAGGCAUCGGAAGCCAUCCCGCCUGACCUCUGCUCUGCGGUGAGGUGGUCGGCGACCGGUGGUGCAGGCGAUCGGAGGAUGGCGAGGGGGCCGGCGGCGGCGGACGGCGAGGUCAGGGAAAGGGACUGGAGGAGGAGGGCACCGCGACGGGCGGUGGCGCGAGCAGCCGGAGGAUGGCGAGGGGGCCGGCGGCGGACUGGAAGAGGAUGUUACGGAAGCGGACUGGAAGAGGAGGUCACGGGAGGAUGGGACACGGACGGGUGGAUGGCACUGUUACCUUUUAGCAAAAAUGGUCUAAUUCCAAGGACUGAGGUUUGAUUACGAAAAAGUUGAGGAAUUUUUGUACAAAACAACCACGAUAGGAAGAAACAAUUGGUCCUGUUCGCUUCAGCUUAUUCAGUUGGCUUAUCAGCCACCAAAUAGUGUUUUUCUCUCACAACAAAUCAACCGUUUCAGCUUUUCAGCCGGCUUAUAAGCUGAAGCGAAUAGGUCUAUAUUGGGUAUAGAUAUAGACAUAGAUAUAGGUGUAUUUUAAAAGUUAUAUAUUUAUAAAAGUCUAAAUGAAUGGUAAUUUAGGAGGAGGGAGUAAUAGGCUAUGCGUUUGAUAAUGUCUCUCAUCAAGACUCUUACGAUGUUUUUAUAUCUGUUUACCUCCAGCUCCAUCGGGGCUUGACGUUCUCCGUCGGGCCGUCUAUGCACUGAACAUGAUGUAAUAAAUAAAGACGAGAAUUUUUUUUUCAUCAUUGAAAAAAAUAUAAAAAGAGUUUAUAUGCUUCGAAGGAAAAACUUGUAAACAAUUCGGGGAUCAAGUAGAUGAAACCAGGUGGAAGGAGGACAUCUUCUGACAGGCCCAUGUAAAAAGUCAGAAGAAAGCAGCCCAUAUAUGUACCGGGCUCAUCCUAAAAAAAAAUAGAAAAAAAAUGAUUCAUAGGGAUUAUCAAAGAAUUUCGAGCCAGCCAACAAGCGGGAGCACAGCAGUGAUUGUGAUCCAGCAGGCCUUACCGACUACUGAUAGUAUGUCAUGCUUGCUGUUCAGAUAAUACAGGAAACCUGGCAGUAAUUUCUAAGCGAACAAUCCAGUAUUCCAGUUCACCCAACAAAUACGCAUUCCACUUGGAGCCUUACUUCUUCUGAGUCUAGAUUGAUUCGAUUAUUAGUUAAGCCUCUCUUUGUUUGCUGGGUCUCCAUGUUGAAUCCAAUCUGUUACAUACUUACAUACCAUCACAACGAAUUUUCUCCUCAAGGCUGUGGUCGCAGUCUUUCCCUUGCUAUAUAUCAUUCCUCGUAUCCUUCAAACCAUGCCGUCUGAUAUUCUGAUCCUCUUCUAUACAUUAUUUACCCUGUUCCCUGUUAUGGACUGCUCCCUCCAUCCCAAAUUACUAUUACUAUUUGUUUUGACUUUUCUACAUAUAUAAGUUUAACUAUGUAUCUACUAUCUAGAUAUAGUAUAUAUCUAGGUGCAUAUCAAAAUGUAUUUGUAUGAAUUAAGAAAAUCCAAAACGAAUAGUAAUUUGGGACGGAGGGAGUAGAAUAUUGCAUUUUGGCAACCUCAGCUAUGAUAUGUCCCACAGAGUCAAAUAACUAAACAAGCUCAAACUUGUAAGCCCAUGAGGCCAUGAAUAUUCACUGAGAAUUAGCACAGAUCACUAGUUGAACUGCAGUCUGCUCUGGAAUGAACCUGACCGGCCAUGGAAAGUUAUAUAACCCCUUGCCAAACUAACUACAUUUGCAUCUGCAAAAGAUCAGCUAGGAGUCUAGAGCAUGGCAGCAAGUCAAUUCCUUAUUUCUUGGGAGAAUAGAUCGCUAAGCAGCAAAAAAGCCAUUGAUCUACAGUUUAGCAAAUACAGAAUGAAUGCCAUUGAAUAAAACAGUUCAGGAUAUCAGCUGGGCACAAAACCAUUCGACACAGCAAACAAGUUAGAUGAGUUAAACCUUCUAUGGACCCUGGAGCCUGGACAUACCAGGCCUCAAUUCAUGGGAUCGUUGCCAAUGGGGAACAGUCCUGUAUAACAGUUCACAGUAUCCAAUUUGCCGAAACUGACAAUGAGCUCAAGACAAAAAUGUUCUGCAUGACCAACAGUAAAGAGAGAACCUUUUAACUUGCUUGCUGUUUCAUAACAAAAUCUUAACAGCUGACAACCUUCAAACGAGGGUAUGGUAAUGGACACAUUCUGGCAGCUUUUCGAGAUUGCCUAGAAACCCCUUUAGAGCAUGGCAAAGAUUGCAGCUAAACUUAGUGCGGUUGAACUGGAAAUCAAGGAAUGACUGCCAGCAACUGUUGGAUCUAUCCAAGCAUAGCACCCUUUAUGACUGACUUUCCGAGGUUUCCAAGCAAAUCGAAAAGAGUAACAGAAAAUAUCCCUGGAGAACAAUUAUCAAUACUAGGUGGCAUAUUUGGAAGGAAUACAGCAGUGUAUUUCCCAAUUGACCACCUCACCCCCACUCCAGGCUACUCUGGUUUCCUUAGUUCCACCAGUUUAUACCCUGUGGUUAUUUGUUAUGUUGUUUCGCCAUAGAACAAGUUGUGGUGACCCAUGUUUACGGCAGAUAUUGAUCAUUGUGUAAACUGUAGUUACUUCCUACUAGUAAGCAAAGGUGUGCUCUUUCCGAAGUUAAUUUGCACACCUAAUUUGAGGAGGAAAAAUGGUAAAUGGAGUAAGAAACUAGUUGAACUUGACAACAUUUAUUGACAUUAUUCCAGCCUCCUCAGCUCAUUUGAGGAGAUGAUUCACAAUUCACAUGUAGUUUGUAUUACUAUGACCACCACCCAAUGCAAAGCUGAUAAAGAGAAAACAAAUGUUACAAAUCACCUGGUCUAUCGAAUUGGAUUUGCUCUGCUACAUGGCUCUGGGAUCGGUCCCGAACGGCCAGAUGUAGACCAUCUCGUCCCAGCCGGUGCUGGCAAGCAGCCCGUCGACAAGGACGCUCAUGUCGAUUCCGGCGACGAACUCGGUGUGGUGGUUGUACCUGGCGAGCAGCGCGUCCUCGGCGCGGUAGUCCCACAUGCAGACGGUCAUGUCGUAGGAGCAGGACAUGAGCAUGCCCUGGCGGUGCGGCGAGAAGCGGACGCGCUUGACAGCGUAGCCGUGUCCGGCGAGCUGCGUGAUGGGCGCCCGCGGCGCGCGCACGUCCCAGACGCGGAUGGAUUUGUCGACGGAGGCGGUGGCGAGGAUGGACGGGUCGUACUUGUCCCAGUCGAGCGAGAGCACCUCGUGGUCGUGCGCGGGCAGGAUGAGCGUGGGCGCCGGAUCGCGAACGUCCCAGACCCGCGCGGUGCGGUCGCCGGAGGCGGAGGCGAAGACGUCCGGGUGGCGCGCGGACCAGGCGGCGGCGUAGACGCAGUACUCGUGGCCGCGGAAGGUGCGGACGGAGGCCUGGCGGUCGGGGGACCAGAGCUUGAGCGUGUCGUCCCAGGACGCGGAGAUGAAGGCGUCCCGGCGGACGGGGUUCCAGUCGAGGCCGUGGACCUCGCGCGCGUGCUCCCGGAGGAGGCGCACGGGGUUCUGCGCCGGCGGGAGCGCGGCGUCGAAGAGGCGCACGGAGCCGUCCCCGGACGCGGCGGCGCAGAGGGACUCGUGGGACUCGGACCAGGCGCAGUCGAAGAGCGCGUCGGAGGUCGGGAAGGAGAAGACGGGGGCCGGGGCGGCGCCGGGACCCGGGCCGGCGGCGGCGAGGUCGAGGACGAUGAGGUGGCCGUUGCCGACGAGGCCAAAGUGCUGCGACGCCGCGACGAGGAGGCGGUUCUCGUGGAACGGGCUGAAGCGGACGGAGAAGCCCGGCGCCGGGGCCUUGAACGCCGGCAUGGCGGCGGUGGGUGGGUGGAUCGGCCGGCGGAUCGGGAAAGGGGGACUCGGGUAAGACUUGGAUUUUAUUUUUUUUCCUUUUUUCUUUUUUGUUAAAUCGUUGUGCCUGUGCGGUGUUCUCCUCUGGCACACAAAUCCGGACGGGGAGUGGUGUCUAGAACUGCAAAUGGAUGCUGGCGUACUGGGCUUGUAUUUGAGUGGUAUCGUACAAAUGGGCUUUCUGUAUUAGCUUUGUUGUCCUGGCCGAGAAAAAAGAACCAAAUACAGGCCCAGUCGAUGCUGCACGCUGCAGGGCCCUUCCUCGUGUGAUACUUGCCCAAGUCCCGUAUGCCACGUGCCGCUAGGCUGCCAGCCUUCACCGUCACCGGCCGACCUCGCGCUAGCCGCUAGGCAGGUGUACAUCCCGCCGCCACCCAUCCACCCCUGUCGUCGUUGAACCAAAUACAGCACGAGGUCGCGCUGCUCCCAUCGAAAGAUCAAGCAAGGGAGAAUGGCGCACGAGAACGACUCCCCGCAACGAUCGAUGAUGGAGUCGUCGACAACCAGCGCAGGCGCGCGGGCGCGCGUCGUGCUGGUCGCCAGCCCCGGCGCGGGCCACCUAAUCCCGAUGGCCGAGCUGGCAAGGCGCCUCGUCGCGCACCCCGGCCUCGCCGCAACGCUCGUCACCUUCGCCGGCCCGGACGGCGACGCGCUCUCCGCGGUGCUCUCCUCCCUACGCGACGCCGGCGUCGACACCUCCGUGCUCCCCGCCGUGCCGCUUGACGACCUUCCAGCCGACGCCCGCGUCGAGACCGUGGUCUCCGACCUGACCAGCCGAUCCGUCCUGCACCUCCGCGCCCUGCUCCGCGACGUUGCCACCACCGCCCCACUCUCCGCGCUAUUGCCGGACUUGUUCGCCGCAUCGGUGCUGCCCCUCGCUGCCGAGCUCGGCGUACCGGGAUACCUCUUCUUCCCCGGCAGUCUGAGCGCGCUCUACGUCCUGCGACGCGCCGUGGAGCUCAACGACGGCGGCGCCGCCGCUGGCGAGUAUCGCGAUCUCCCGGACCCUCUCCAGCUUCCUGGCGGCGUGUCGCUGCUCCGGGCAGACAUGCCGGACGGGUUCCGGCACAGCAAGGAGCCGGCGUACGGGCUCCUCGUCGAGGACUACCGCCGCCAGUAUCGCUCCGUCGCCGGCUUCUUGGUGAACACUUUCUACGAGAUGGAUCCCGCGGCCGUGGAGGAGUUCAAGCAGGCGGCGGAGCAGGGCACGUUCCCGCCGGCGUACCCGGUGGUCCCGCUGGUGCGAUCGAGCUCCGACGAAGAAGCCGCAUCGCCGUGCAUGGAGUGGCUGGAUCGGCAGCCGACGGGGUCCGUGGUGCACGUCUCCUUCGGAAGCGCCGGCGCUCUUUCUGUGGAGCAGACGGCCGAGCUCGCCGCUGGGCUCGAGGACAGCGGCCACAGGUUCCUCUGGGUCGUGUGCAUGCCAAGCCUGGACGGAGAAAACUCCGACUCGGGGAAAAGCCGCCGCAGUCGCGGCGAGGACGAUGAUCCCUUGGCGUGGCUUCCCGAGGGGUUCUUGGAGAGGACGAGCGGCCGUGGCCUCGCCGUGGCGCAUGUCCGCCGCAGUCGCGCGUGCUGUCCCACCCGGCGACGGCCGUGUUCGUGUCCCACUGCGGCUGGAACUCGGCGCUGGAGAGCGUCGCGUCCGGCGUGCCGAUGGUCUCGUGGCCGCUGGAUGAGGAGCAGAGGAUGAACGCCGCGGUCCUGUCGGAGAGCGCGGGCGUGGCGCUGCGCCCCGCGCGCCGGCCGCGCGGACGACGGGCUGGUCGGGCGCGAGGAGAUCGCGGCGGCGGUGCGGGAGCUGAUGGAGCGGGAGAAGGGCGCGCCGUGCUGUGGCGUACGGGGGACCUGCGGCAGGCGGCGGACAAGGCGUGGGCGCCCGAGGGCUCGUCGCGCCGGGCGCUGGAGGAGGUCGCCGGCAGGUGGAAGUGGAAGGCGGUGGCGCUUGGCAUGGAGAAGGAGCGGCAGUAGCAGAAGUGUACGGUGUACAUGCCCAUGAUGUCACGUGAUGAGAUGGCCCUUUGUGACCGUCAUCCUACUUGUGUCUUCUUCUUGUUUUUUUUUGGUAAAACCGGCAUUCUACUUGUUGGUGCGUGGUUGAAGUUUGUGAAUGGUAAAGGCUUGUUUUGGUGAGGCGGUCUGCUCUGUUCGUUGCUAGAGGAGCAGCAGGCGAGGACGGCGCCUGCUGCUGCUUCAGAUCGUAGCAGUGUUCAUCUGCCUUCCGGUCUAUAGAAAAAAAAACCGCGGGCAACGUGUGUAUCCUACUACCCUAGGGAUCAAUCAAAUUCUAGAAUUGAAGAACACUGCACUGGAUAUGAUAUGCAGCCGUGUGCCUGGUGGUGGCAAACGACAGCAUCCGGAGGCUUUCGCCUAGUGAGAAUCUAUCGGGGCCUUUUUCUUCGAUUCUGUACAGUUUUUAAACUCCUCUAUAUCAAUACAUGCCGGGUAGUAAUGCCGGCCGCUUCAAAAAAAAAAAUUUCUAUCGGAGCCUCGGCAGACAUCUCCCGCCGCCGGCAGAGAGCCGGAGAUCAGCGUACCUCAACGGCGGUAUCGGAGGUGGCUGACCAUUCUUAGCAGUGGAAGUUCGUCAAGAGUUUCUUUACAAGUUCCCUCGCAGGAUUGUUUUGCCCGAGCUAGUAGGGAGGCUAGGAGCAGCAGAUAAAAUGGGCGUGAGAAAAAUGAAAUAUCAUUGACCUUGAUGGGCCACCUGAUUAGCCUACUUUGUACGGCCCGAAUUACGGGACGCUAUCUGGCCUGCUUCGCAGCUUCGGCCCAAGAGAGAUGCGAUCCGUUAAAAUUGUGCUUCCUUGGAAUUCUUUUUCAUUUUUAUAUUUAAUAAUAUCUGUUUUUUUUUCGAAAACAAUCAUCUAGAAGAAAACUUUGCAAAUCUAUACCUAUAUAGCCAGGUUUCAGGUUGACGUGGCAAUCAUGCUAAAAACAUAUCACCGUUUCAAAUGGUUAUAGCCAAAUAAAACGGCUAUAUAUUUCUGGCAUCGUUGCCACAUCACCUUGCCGCCGUUUCAAAUGGAUUAGGUUUGAAAUCCUGGAAGAAUUUUAACGGAGAAUAUACUGGAAUACUCUUAAAGCUAAGGAAACAAAUAAAGAAAGAGAUAAAAAGGAUUCAAAACCCUAGGUACUAGAAUUUCUAAGUUGGUGAAACCCUGAAGGCUAUUGGAAGAAGAAGCCCAAUGGACCACUCCACCCACCUCUUGAUGGGAAGUAAUCAAUCUAGAGUCUAAUCGUCGAGACACGCAAACUUCUCGAUAAAAAGGAGUAACCCAACCACAAUCAUCAAGGACAAAACCACCCAAGUUCACCUUGAUUGUCAAAGAGAUAUCAUAGCCAAAAGAAUCAUGAGCACCGCUAAAUGUUGGAAAGAGCACUUAUCACACAGAUGCUCAGAAAAAUCAUCAUACCAAGUUUAUGAUGAGAAGUGGUCACCCAAGUUUACAACCUUAGAUAAUAUACCUCCGAUUCCAAAUCCAAAGGAGAAGUAUUAGGCAAUAGAAACCUAUUGGAAGACCAAGGUAGACAACCCAAAGGAUAGAAAAUAUAGCGAUGACUGAACAAAAGUCAUCAUGUAUGAUCGAAGAAUCACCAUACCAAAUUUAGAAAGUCGGAAGCAUAUAUAGCAAGGGUUUAUAAGGAAUAAAUGGUCCAUUAUUCAACAUGGACAUAACCCUGACUAUAUCCAAAGAAAACAGAAGCCCAUCAAGUUACCUCACCAUGAGUGGGGUAGGUACCAUAAGAAAAUGGUAACACAGGAUCGGUAUGUUACCCAUGGAUGCCAACCCAUGAUAUAACACAGGGAUGGUUGUUGACGCUCAUUAUUUACAAACUUUUAAUGUUAUUUAACUAGUAUUUUCAUUCAUAGUAAAGGGGGUUGAAAUAACCCGCCACUUGGCACUUGAAAUAACCCCAUUAUUGCAUAUGUGUUAUAUUUUGGAGCAUAUUGUAUUUUAGCAAGAAAUACAACAUAAUAAAGGGGGUUUGCAUAAAGAGCUUAAUGGAAAUUUGGACAUGGGUUGUCGAGGGAAGCCAUCAUGAGGAAGGAAAGGACCAGGAGGGCCAGAUAGGCCCAGGACGAUCGGCCUGAGACCCUCUGAGCCAAUUGGCCGAGCCCAUUCUAGGGCCUGGUCGACCUCCCAUUUCUUUAGUGUGAAGUCUAUGACAUUGUCUAGGGUUUUUUCACCGACAUCGACCCAGAGUCACCACCUACGAAGGACUAUAAAUAUCCCCUCAUGAACAUCAAGGAGGAGGAAAUUGGAGAAGAGAGGCAACACCACGAGAACACCAUCGACCACCGCCACAAGAAGAAAAAAUGAAGAGAAGAUUGGAUUUUUAGGAGGCCACACGAAGAGGAGCACCAAGGGAGGCAAAAACCCCCAAGCCGAUUAGCUUGGAGGUGCCCAGGCCGAUCAGCCUGGGGCUUUCCUACCCCUGUUCGUCGACGUCUUUGGUCCAGUUGAUCUAUAGGGCGUCCUUUACCCACUUUUACGUCAACAUGUGUAAGAUCAUGGGGUAAUACCUCUGUUUAUCCUUGGGGUUGUAUGGAGAUGUUGAUUUGUAAUUGCCGAACCUUUGUUUAAGAUAUGUUUUGCUAUCAUUCAUAUCUUGAUGAUGCUCUUUCAUGAAAAGGCUGGCUAGCGCUACUUUGGGUUGCUUUAUUGCUUACCAAUCAUCAUGCCGUGUUCUUGUCCCAAUAGUUGAGUACCCCUGCAUAGUGACAGUAUUGCAGGAGGGAAAGUGUUGGGCAUGGUUCAUAUCUACUCACGAUAACACUUAGCUCUAGUUAUUUCAUGCAUGGCAGUUGCAUCUACAAGUGAUCCUAGAUCCCUAGGACAAGUGUUUAAUCUAUCUUGUCUGCACCCUCUACUCUCUAUCUGCUUGAUAUCAACUGCUUAGUUCUUUUGUUAGCACAAUCAUGUCUUAUACAAAGAGCUUUCGAUUACACUGAUUAGUGCUUAGUUAAGCGUGCAAAUCCCUUAUUUCAUGGAUUGGUAAACCUUGGGGGAAUCUCUAAGGAAAAAGCUACAACUGAUCCAUGCGCUUGCGGUUCACAAAUUGGCAUGCUAACUGCCAUCAACAAUGGUACUUGUAAAUAUUAACUCAAGAAUAGCAUAUCCUAGUGAUGGUACAUUUGGUACAUCUCACGGGAAGAUAUGUAACCAUCCAGGUAAGAGGAAAACCUGGAAGAGUAUAGUAAUUCCUGGAUGACAAGAUAUAGAAAAGAUAUAGAAGUAUCUAAGAGAAAUCAUAUAUUAGAUUAAAUGGAAUCCUAAUUUGAGUCUCCUUAAGUGGGGUAGUAACCUAGAUGGAAAAGGAUAUCAAGAUUUAGGAACUUGAGGGUCAAAACAAAACAAGAAAAAAAUAUCCACCAUGCAACACAAGGUGGUUAAAAUGUUGGGUGAAUUAGGGAACAAUGGAAAAUGAGUAAGAAAAAUAAGACUUCCCACCCCAUGGAUAUAAAAGACAAAUUCCCUGAAAGUUUCAAGAGUAUCCAAGUUGACACCCCUACGCUCAGAAGAUUGAUAAGGAAAAGGAAACAUUGGAUACAAGAAAAUGGCACGAGAAUGGUAUAAGAAACUCCCGAAGAACACCAUGGUACAAGUAAUAUGGUACAAUGACAGUGAAGAAAUCAAGACCCCAUUAAAACCUUUCUUCCUAACCUCUCAAUCUUGAGGACGAGAUUCCCUUAAGUGGGGUAGACCGUAAUCCCUGCUAAUUAAAAUAUUUAAAAAUACAAACUUUUAUUUAAUUUUUUCUUUAAAUUAAAAAUAUUUUCCUUUUCCUAAAUAUUCAAAACCUUUUUAUAGAUAAAUCUUGCAUAAAAUAAUAACAUAUGUGUUGCAUUUGGUUGCUCUAGGAAUAUUUCCUUGAUGAUUCUCUUCAUGUAAUAAUAUUUGACAUUUUCUUCAAAUAUUAGUUCCAUCAAAAACCCUAUGCCAAAAUUCCUUUAGAAAAUCAUUCAAAUUUAAAGUCUAAACCUCAAAACCCUAGGAAAAAUAUUUGAAUUUUAUUCAAAUAUUAACUUCAUCAAGGACUCUACCUAAAAUUCCCCUUGAAUAUUACUCCGAUUCAAUACUUAAACCCUUGACUCUAUUUAUACUAAAUCCUUCCUUUAUCAACUCCUUUAAACCUUCAUCUCCAAAAUUAAUUUCCAAACUCUAUAAGAAAUGAUCCUAGCAUCUUUUCAAAAAAAAGCCCCAAUUCUAUAUCCAAUCAAAGCCCCCACUUCAAACUCCAUUCAAAUUUGAAAUCUACUUCAAGUUUGAACUCCAAAACCCUUUUAAAUAAAAGAAAACCCUUUUUAAACUCUAACCGGCCGCCAACCCAUUUCCAACACGUUUUCGUAUCCAGCCCGACGCAUCCCGCCAUUUACCGCGCACGCCGGCCCAAUCCACCUAUGGCAGGUUCGCCCCAGCCCAGCUGGCUAACCUGCGCCCCUCGCUAGCCCGAUUCCCCGUUGCGGCCAUCUACAGUGUCGCCGCCGCCGUCACUCUCCACCGUGCCGUUGCACCGAUGCACUCCCUCUUGCCCGCAAGCAAGGUCAUUCACCCCCUUCAUCCCCUAUCCUCUUCCGCCGGUGCAUCGCCCAACCUUCCUUUCGUCGUCCUCAUUCCCUAGCUGUCGUGCAUGAAGCCCACUAUUCUCAACCCCGCCGGCCCCACCCUUAUCCCUCCACGCGAUGUGGCCACCAUGCAAGCUCCCCACUUCGCCUAUAAAUAGCUCUCUCCGAGCCCUCCCUGUAGCACACCACCACCACUACCACGGCCAUGCUUCUGCCACUUCGCGGCUGCGCUACCUCCCCUCCUCCAUCCCUCUCCGAACCCCUCGAGUGACCUCGCCUCACUCUCCUCUCUCUCUUGGCGCAAGCCGCAUAGCUGGCAGUGACCAAGAAUGCCUUCCUGGUGUGUCUCCAGCGAGUCCCAUAGCCGUUCCCGCUCUCUCUCUUAAUCUCACGCGCGGGCCUGGGCGCUAACGCCGUCGCCCCACAAUGUCAGCUCCCUUGCCAUACCGCCUGUGGACGCGGUGUAGUGGACCGCAUGCGCAGGCUGUGUAGUCCACCAGCCCCAUGGGCGCGGUGCACAACACAGUGCGCUGGGCAACCCUCGCGUGUCAGCCUGUUCGAAAUUGCUAGCUGCACCCGAUUGUGUACACAAAUCUUUACUUAGAGCCCUUUCACUAUUCCAAAAAUUCACCAAAAUUCACCAAAAUACUUGGAAAUAUUCUAAACCUGUCCAUGCCUUCCUUAUCCAUUGUUCAUCAUGUUCAAGCCUUUUUCCAAAAUACCUAGCUCUUACAUAAUAGAAAAACCCUAUUAUGUGUACACCAAAAAUUGCUUUUCCAUCCAAUUCAAUUCUAAAAAUCCUAGGAAAAUUUCUUUAAAUAUCUUAGGGUCAUCUAAACCUAUUCCAACACUUACUUUUGCAUUUGCACCUCAUAUGAUCCCUUGGCUAGCUUGUCAUCGAUGUUACCUUUCCUACAAUAGGCAUCCCCCGCCCUGGAAAGGUCUACAUCACGGCUACAGACUAGUUAAGCUAUCCUUUUAACCAGGUUACAUCCAAGUCACUAUCAAUCAUCUCUUGCCGUAGGCGCAAGCUUGGGAGAUGAGCUUGAGAAGACAAAGAUGUAAUCUAAGCCCUCCUCAACACCUAAUCUUGCCCAGCUCUGCCUGUCGCCCUGCGACUUACUCAUAGCAUCAGGUCAGGUCAAAGAGAGUCCGUCGUGCAAGCUCUCUAGUUUUCAUCCCACUUGAUCUUGCUCGACCCCACCUGUUGCCAUGUGACUAUCUGCUAGCACCAGGGUUAGGUCGAAGUGGUGUCCGUCGCGCAAGCUCUCAAGCCCUAAAACCUAGUGCCGUAGCGGCACCCAGCCCGUCGCUCUGUGCAAACCCGUUUCCAAGGAAACUUGCCCAGCUUCACCCAUCGUAGGGCUGAGCCCCGAGUUGAAGCCGAGACUGUUGUGCAAGUUUCCUAGCCUUGAAUCUAAUGCUCGCCGGUCAGCACCCAAAUCCUCUAUAGGAUCUAUCCAAAACCCUAGUCUACCCCAAAAUCCAAUCGUUAUGCUGUGCAACCAAAACCAUAUAGAUAAAACCCUAGCCGUUAUGCUGCUCGUCCAAUACUCUAGAAAUUCCAUUCUUAAUUUCUUAGAAUUCUCUUGGAUAUCCAACUAUCCUAUCCACUGGUUUUUUAGAAAUAUUUCUAAAUAAUUAAUGAAUUGUUCAUCAACGAUCUAGGAAUUAUCCUUUAGAAACCAUAUAAUUCCCAAAAUGCCAAUCAUCCAUUUCCCUUCAAUUUCCUUAGUUAUUGAUUGCUAGAAUUGAUUGUAUGUUUGUAUGCUUAUUCGAACCAAGGAUACGACCAAGAUCCAUCCAGAAGCCAAGGAUCCAGAAGGAACAAAGGCGAAGGUCCGACCGUCUAGAAGACCUAGGUCACAUUAGCCUUACUAGGCUCCGACAAGAAGCUAAAGAUCCAGAAGGUGAGAAACCAAGGUCCUAGUCAACCUAGGAAGCGUAUAAGGAUCAUCAAUGAAGGCAAGUCCUAGCACCAACCUCCUUGAUCAUAUUUUUAUCCUGUUUUUCUAAAUAUAAAAAUAAACCAAGAAUAUAACUUGACCUGCAUGUUUUUCGAAAACCCUAAGGGCAACCCACCUCUAUUUCUUCUUCUUACCUUGACUUGAAGCCAUUUCUAACCAUAAAUCCUAACAAUGACCCCGGUCAUGACUAGAUCGAUGAUCGAGAGUCAUUGAGAAAUAGAAUUCUUAGGAACAUUACAAAUAUAAUGGUUUUUUAUGGAAAACCUAAAAAGGUGUGAGUUUUUGUGUUAAGGCUAAAAUGAACAAACUAUUGACACAAAAUCUGGUCUUCAGAUUCUUCCGUCAGCUACACGUGAGAACUUGGGAGAUCUACUUAACUCCAGUGUAGGCUCCAAUCGGCUCGCGAAGGUGCGUGGCGUGCCAGUCAAUUUGACCUGCAAUUCACAAGGGGAAGUUUGGUAAACGUUAAAUUCUUGAGCCCAUCAGCUGUGAAGCCUAUGGACUCACGGAUGGCAUUAAUUUGAAUAAACACCAUUGUAAAACAUGCAUUGGAUAUAAUCAUAAGGUGCAUGUAAUAAAUAGGACAAUUAAUGGCAAGUGCCAUCAGCUACAUGAGUCGAUAGGCUAUGAUAAAAUCAACAUUAAAACAACAUCCAUUAACAGAUGACUUGUUCAUCAUGCCUUCAUCAAUUAAACUACAGGUUAUAUUAGUGUCAUGAGCUGAUAGAUCGAACCUAAUCGAGACAGUAUGGCAAGGCAAUAACUUAAUCUAGUAGUUUGAGAGACUAGAACAUGAUAACAAGGCCUCGCACACGUAGCUAUCGACUCGAUGACGUCAGCCUACUACUAAGAGGGAUGGAUUGGACGGACUGAGAUAUCAUCGGUUGAUCAACAACAGUAGUCUAACGCUAAGGAUCCGAGGGCUAGCAAUACGUGGGGCAAGGAUAAAGACCUAUAGGAUCUAAUAAAUAUAAAGCAAUUAAAGCAUGCAAGAUCAAACUAGCUGAUAUGAUUAGAUAAUUGGUGAGCGCUCAAAACAACCAAGGGAUUGAUGCAAUUCGACUUAAUUAAAACAAGCAAACUCGAUAACUAGCCUUACGAUAAGAGGAUCAAAAUAUCGAACCUAAUCGAGAAAGUUUUGAUACAGAUAACAUAAUGACUGAUAAUCACAGUACUUACAAGCUCGUCGGAGAUCGAAACCGAUGCAGUCCUGCUUACUAGAAGGAACUCGUCGAGAAAAUUACUCUAUUCCUACUCCUACUCCUAGGGUUUGGUGGCGUGAAGCCGAAAAACAUUGGAUUGAUGAAUUUGCAUUGUGCGCACUUUCCCAGUAUGAUAUCCACGUGGCGGACGAUAGUAUCCCUUGCUUAGACCCCAGUAUAUCGGUGGAUGGACCUAGGGAAUGCUGUCUAGAGAUAGAUGCGGGCAAGUAUGGAUCUCAUAGGUCAGUACCACCUAAGUCUAAGGUAUGGGCUGAUCGAACGUAUGGGUAAAGUGUACAAACUCUACAGAGUCAUUAAUCUGUCUGGAUAGCCGAGGCUCACGGUCACAAGCAACAUAGUUAAAACUCCCAUCGAUUAGCAAUCAUGUGUUUUCAUAACUUGGGUGUUGGUGAGGAAGGGCUGAGGCCCUAAGAGAAUUAUUUCAGAACGAGGUGUAAGCUGGUUUAGGAGGACCCUGACGGUCUCUAAUGCUCUUUAAAAUAUGGGAACAUAGAGGUGGAAUUUCCCCUCCAAGGCCAACAACUUCAUAAAAGUACUUUCUUUCAUUUCCUUAUCCAAAACUCACCUCAACUUGCAUAAAAUGAGUUUCUUGAUAAAACCAAACCUCAUUUCCUUUUCCUUGAUAUCCCUGCAUUUUAUAUAAUUCCAACGCUAGGAUUUGCUACUCAAAUUUGCUUUCAUUGUACAGGUUAUAAGUCUCGGUUCUAAAUUUAUUCUGCCUAUUGGAGUGGACGACUGCGCUACACCCCGCUAAGCAGAGGUGAAAAACUAGUUUUCCAUAAUUUUAUGCAUGUUUUAUUGUUUUGAUGCUACUCUGUGAUGAUGACUCUAUCAGCAACUAAUCUAGGGACUGAUACAGGUAAUGAGCGAGAUUUUCGAAGGGAGGCACACAUAACAUGUUUGAAAAGUUUAGAUCAUUAAGUUAUUUGGACACUAAAAUAAAUAUAGCAGUCCUGAUAGCUAACUACUUAAAUGUAAAACAAGAGUAGCACAUAUAACAAUUUUUUUUUCAAAUUGCAGUCAAAUUACAAAUAUAACUUAUACCAUUUUUAUUUUCUAAGUCUAUAAAAAAAUUACCAUUUCAGUUGGCGGAUUGAAAAAAAGAAAAAGUAAAAACCUUAUAGCCAUUUCAUUUUAGCUAUAGUCAUUUGAAACGGCGGUAAGCUGACGUGGCAUUAUCCCAGAAACAUGUAGCCGUUUCAUUUGGCUAUAAGCUGAUGUGACAACUAAGCUAGAAACAUAUAGCUGUUUGGAGCCAAAUGAAACGGCUAUAUUUUUUUAGCGUACCGCCAUUUCAACGACUGUAACCAUUUGAAAUGGCUAUAUAGGUAUAGAUUUGCAAAUUUUUCUUCUAGGUGAUUAUUUUUGGAAAAACAGAAAUUAUUAAAUAUAAAAAUGAAAAAAUUUCUUUCUUGCAUUGCUUCAUAUAGGAUAUUCUAAACACACUUCUUUACAUUUCUCUACCGAUCCAAUAAAUUUGAACUUAGAAGUAAAAUUGUGCGUUGGAGAAACAAGAAGGGGAAAUCCCAUUAGUUGCUAGAUUGGACCAAUGAAAUAAUUUAUGAAGUAAUCUAUUAUUUCUGUUUUGCUUCUCAUUUUAUUAUAUUAAUUCCAUACCAUAGUUCAAAUGGAUUUGACAACGAACUUAUUGUUUCAUAAAAAACAAUAUUAAAAUAAAGCAAAAUCUUCCACCCACCCAUCCCAUCAUCUGAUCAAAUCUCCUCUCAUCUUGCACAUUAUUCCUAUUCUGACAAAGGGAUCAAUGAAAUACCCACUCAAAGCAACGGAUGGAUGGCGUUUCGAUCAAGAGCAUUAGCUGAUUAGCCAGCCCGCAGGCAACUUGCAGCGUAACUUUAAGAUUUCCUGAGUGAAUUUCUUUAAUGCCAUUGAAAUUUCGAUCCCUCGGUGCCAUCGAAAUUUUACUCUUCCCUUCACUGUCACUAUUUUAAAUUUGCAUUUCCCAUUCUGUCUACAAUCUGUUAAGUUUCACUCACUGAUAGCUUGGCCCACAACACUCCCUUCUGUUAUCCUCUGCCAGCCAUGUCGUUCGGGUGGCUCGGCUGUCGGCAGCUCAAACUGGGCGAGCGCGCGGAGGGCGCAGGGGAACCGUACGUCCGUGCACACGCGCCUGGAGACGUGCGCCGCCUGAGCCCGCCAGUCUUGCGCGUGUUCUUCUUCCACCUCUACCUCGUGUUCUCCGCCUAGUCCAGCCAAACCAACGUGUGCACGGUGCACCACCGCACGCCUGGUCACUGUGGAGCUCAACAACAUCUAGCUGGCCCUCUGCGUGUGCCGGUGUGCGCUUGUGUAAUGUGCCGGGGAGUCCAGUGUAGCUGCUGCUGGCCUUCGGCCUUCACAGGAUUUUUUUCUCCGAUCAUGCUGUCUCCAGCUCCUCCAUUUCUGCAACAUUUCCGCUAGCUCCAUGAUUUUUUUCUCCUUCCAAUUUGUUGAUGCAGUGCUCUCUUAACCCUUUUAAUUCUUCUAAAUAAAUGGAAUGCAUGUGCUCCAUUGACGAAUAUGGCUGGAUUUCUGUCAGAAAUUUGGAUUACCAUUUUCAUUAAAAAAAUUGGAUUACCAUUGCAUCAUAAUAUCUCUAUGUAUUACCUGAUGAGCUUAAAUUGAAGUUGUGUGGACUAUAACAACAUGGGGGAAUGCAAAGGCAGUUGUGUGGACUAUAACAACAUGGGGGCAUGCAAAGGCAACAUCGGCGGAUAGCAAGCCAAUAUCUUUCUCGUCGAGCAUUGUUCAAAUUUGAUUUAUUUUUGCCUAACUUUAAAUCGAGACUAGCAGGACUGAAAUUUGAACAGAGCGUCGCCCCGCUCGUGCGACUCGGGAGGCGACCGCCCACCCCCGCCGCUGCCGCCGCCGCCACCCCCUCCCUCCUCUUCCCUCCCCUCGCCGGCUGGAAGCCCGCGCCGGCCUCCAGGACGGCGGCGGCGGGGUCUCACUGCCUAGGUCCGACCACGGGGUGAGGAAACGAGCGGUUAUGGUGGAUCCACCAGCCAUGGAGACGACGGUUCGGGAAGGCGGAUCCGGCGCCGUGGAGCCAAAUCCGGCGACGAUGGAUUCACGCGGAGACAGGACAGCGGCGGUCUCGGGCGAGCAGACGAGGCAGAUGCGGCCACCGAGGAAAGCGCCGGACUGCGAACAACUGUCGAGGCCGAGGUUGUUCCUAGCGAAGAAGUCGUGCUCAAUGGUCGUGAACCUGGCCACCACGAAGUUGACGCCGACGCCGUCCGCCGCUGCCGAGGCGUUGGAGAGGGAGAGGCACGGUGGGAGGAAGGAGGGGAAGUUGAGCACCUCGGUAAGGAAGUCGAUGACGAGGCGGCCGUCGGAGCAGUGGUUGGUGGAGGACAAGCCCCGACCCAUCCCGGCUAGCGAUGGUGGCGGCGGUCUGGGUGGAGGACGGCGACGGUCUGGGUGUGACAGCGGGCGCGGCGGCGGCCCCGGCGUAAGGCAAAGAAGGCGCGCGGCAGGAGGGGUCGCCAGGAGGAGGAGACGCGGAGGAGGUGUGGUGGCCGCCGCCGGCCUAUGGAGAAGAGUGGCGUGGAGAGGGCGCCGGCGCGGAGGAUGUCGGCGUAGAGAUGGCGCAGGGUGUGGCGCGGAGGUGGCGCCAGCGUGGAGGACAACGGCGCGAAGGAGGCGCUAGGCGCAGGCUGCGCGUGGGACGGCGCAUGGCGCGACGCGAGGAGGAUGACUGCCGGCGAGCGAGCGGAGGUGGAGGUACGGCGGCGUGGUGCGAGGAGGCGCAGCAGCGACGCUGCCCUGGAUGUGCUACCGUAACUUUGGCCGGGAGUGCCGAGCCGUGAGCGUGCAGGGGUUGGGAUGCUCCAGGUGAAAGCCCCCGCCGGCGUUCUUGCUGGUGGAGAUGACGGCGGUGCCCUAGGGCAUCGUUCUCCCUAUUGGGGGUGUCAUUUCUGAGCUACAAUCCAGCUGCACGGGGUCCUCUGGGUGAAAACUCUGUCCAGAUUCUGGACGAGCGACGACGACGCCAUUGGCAUCGUGCCCUCCUUGGAGGCGUCAUCUCUAGAGACCCAUCUCGGUUUGUAACUUCCUGGUCCAUUAGCCAUGGACGGCCGCAACCGGUGGCAAGAAUUCCGCUACAUGGCAAGCUAGACGGGUGUUGCCGAGGUCACGUGGAGGCGAUCGCAGUUUUGGUGGCGGCCAGGGGUUGUUGCGUGGUUAUCAGUCUUGGCCGCUGCAGCGGACCACGGCGGCUGGCAUUGCUUGGCAACGGUUGGUGCGGCGUGGGACUGCGUCGGAAGACGGCGCUUGUGGCAACGGUAUUGUGGGACAACUAGGCUUACAGCGGACCGCGGCAAGUUGCUCAGCGUGGCUAGGCUACCUGGUGCGGUACAUUGUCAGAAGACGACGCAAGCGACUUCUCUGGCUUCCUGACAUGGCGGCGGACACUAUUGUGCGGGUGAAGCAACGAGGUGAAGUCGACCUGUGGCGCCGGCUUGGCUUAAUCGAUGGAGAUCCUGUGGAGUGGGGCAACAUUGCUCACCACUCUGACAGCGACAAAAGAAACAGAUCCGUGACGUGGAGUGCUAUGGUGGGCGUGACGAGGCCCCAUGUGUGGUGUUUCUUCGAGGCGACGAGAGUGAGGUGGAGUCCAACGGCGGAUGUGAUGAGGCCCCCAUGCGUUGUGUUAUUGCGGUGGCAACUGCGAGGCAGCCUACGAGAGGUCCAGAUUCGGUGGUAUCACUCUGUCAGGUGGAGUGUGGUGUUGUAGUGGCACUACAGCGUAGGGUUCCGUAUGGUGGUGGCCUUUUCGGUGCGGUGCAGUCUAUUUCUAUUGGUUCCCUAUCGAUGCUGGGCCACACCUGGAGGUUUCGGCGAAUUAUGAGCGUGGAUGUUGGUGGAUGCCGCCGUGACGUGUGGAGUGGUGAGGCCGCAUUGAUAUCCCAAUCCAAAUGAUAGGGUGUGGUAGUUUCUGAGUUGUGUGGCUACCCGCGUUGAUAUCCCAAUCCAACCGCUCAAUCCAACUGGGUCAGUUUGGUUUGUUUUUCUUUUCUUCUCCUUUUCAUGUUUCUUCUUUCCAGUCUGAAACUCUUUUUUUUAUAUAAUCGGUAGCUCUCCUGUUCGUUAAAAAAAAAUCUGAGACUAGCGAGUUGAGAGUAAGCCGGAGUGAAAUCAAGUUUCAUUCGAAAUCAUUCAUUUUGACUAUGAAAUAAAAAAAAGAGUGUAAUCAAAGCAAUUUUUGGAACGACCCGCUUAAGAGUUUUUUCCCCGACAUUAAUAUAACUUUCGAAAUUUUCUUUUGUCUAAAUUUUUUUAUCCAUUUCUUGUUUCUAAAUAAAUAUAUAUACUCGUUCUUUUUCGCAUAACAGGGCGAUACAAUGUUGAAGUUGUGCACGCUCUAGCUUCGCCCCUGCCAGUUAUAGGUUCUAUUAAAACUUUUUCACGAGUUCAUGUUUGAAUUUGGUUAAAAAAUGAUCAAACAAUUCGAUGGUUUGACAGAAUCUUUGUGCAUCAUUGCAGCUGCUUGCCUACUCGCCGCCGCCACACAGCUGCCUGCCUGCUUCACGCUCCGCCGCCGCUGCUCAAGACACGUCGCUAGCCAUGCCUUGCCAUGCAGCUGCUUGCGCGAAGACCCAAACUCGCAAAACUUCGAUCAAAAGCGCCGGGCGCGGUUGUGCUCAUUCACUCGGCCGCAGCGCUGCCAGCGCACGAACACGAGCCGAAACCUCAGUCCCGCUGCUCUCCUCGGCGCCCGGGGCGCGGUCGGCCGUGCCGGGCGCCGACCCCACCAUCCUCUCCGGCGCCUCCGCGCACCCGCUCCCGCGCUCCCCCGCGGCAGCCCGCCUCGCCACGCUCGCGCUCCGCCAGUGCUCGGGCACGCCCCUCUCCGCCGCGCUCUCCGCGCUGCCCUCUGCGUCCGACACCGCGCUGCUCCACCUCGUGGCCCCCUCUCUCCCAGCUAUAGUUCGUCCCCUCCGGCGACCUCUCCUCCGUUGCUAUUAGGACGGGAAAUCUAACAGAAUGGCAAGUGAGGGAAGGAAAAAUUAAAAUAGUGGCAAUAAAGGGAAGAGAAGAAUUUUAGUGGCAGUGAGGAAUUCUUAGAAAUUUCAAUGGCAUUGAGGAAUUCCCUCUAACUUUAAUGGUGUGCGAUGCCAUGUAAGAUUAUUUGCAUGAUUUCUCAAGAGCAUCAGGCAUCAGCUGAUCAGCCGGCCUUCUUAGGUACUUGUACGCUCUUUCUAAAGAUUAUAUAUUUUCAUGAUUUUUUUAUGUAGGUUAUGAAAGUAUGCGUUUGCUUUGUUUACUAGAACGUCCAGUUCUUCAUCCCUGCAUCAUGGUUCAGUGAUUCAAUUUCACCAUAUUCAUCCCACAUUAGGGCAUGGUAAAAUGGUUCUAAGCGGAGCCGUAUGAGCUGAUCAACGCAUCGAGGCCGCCAGGUCUCCCAUCAAUAUUUUCUUUAAGGUUAGAGAGGCUAAGGUUUUGACCUUAAUGGAGAUGGAAAAACAAACUAAAUUUUGUAACACCAACUCAUUAUUUUCACCGUCAGGUUGUACAAACCGAGGUACACUGAGUCGAUGACGCAUGCACAUCGACGAUCACCACCUGUCUCUUCGCUCGCAUGUCUUCUACUGCUUCUGCCUGCCCAGCGCUGCCGCCUUCCACUUGCCGGCGACUUCCUCCAGCAUCUGCCAGGACGACCCCCCGGGCGCUCCCGCCCGCGCCGCCGCCUCCUGCAAAUCCUCGGCCCGGCGGCGCACGGCACGCCCCUUCUCCUCCCCAUCCAUCAGUUCCCGCACGGCCGCCGUGAUCUCCUUCCGUGUGAUCAGACCGUCCGCCCGCGUCGCGCGCGGCCGCAGCGCCACGCCCACGUUCUGCGACAGGACGACGGCGUUCACCCUCUGCUCCGCGUACAGCGGCCACGCGACCAUCGGCACGCCGGCCGCCACGCUCUCCAGUGUCGAGUUCCAGCCGCAGUGGGACACGAACGCCGCCGUCGCGGGGUGGGAGAGCACGCGCACCUGCGGCACCCAUGCCGCCACGGCAAGUCCAUGGCCGCUCGUCCUCUCCAAGAACCCCUCGGGAAGCCACGCCAAGGGAUCGUCCUCGGCGCGACGGUGGCUUUUUCCCCAGUCGGAGUUUUCUCCGUCCAGGCUUGGCAUGCGCACGACCCAGAGGAACCUGUGGCCGCUGUCCUCCAGCCCGGCGGCGAGCUCGGCCGUAUGCUCCACAGACAACGAGCCCGCGCUCCCGAAGGAGACGUACACCACGGAUCCCGCCGGCUGCCGAUCCAGCCAGUCCAAGCAAGCCAACGCGCCGUCUUCGUCGGAGCUUGGCCGGACGCAUGGCCCCACAGGGUAAGCAGGCGGGAACGUGCCUUGGUCCGCCGCCUGCUUCGUCAACUUCUCCACGUAGCUGGGCUCGAUCUCGUCGAAGGUGUUCACCAAGAAGCCGGCGGCGGCGCGGUACCGGCGGCCCUCCUCGAUGAUGUGCGCGUAGACCGGCUCCUUGCUGUUCCGGAACCCAUCCGCGUAGUCCUCGCGGCUCAGCGACACGCCCCCGGGAAGCUGGAGAGUGUUGGGGAGGUCACGGUACUCGCCGGAAGCAGCGCCGUCGUUGACCUCCACGGCGCUGCGCAUGAGGGAUAUCGAGGUGAGGUUGAUGGGGAAGAAUAGGUAGGCCGGGACGCCGAGCUCGGCCGCGAGAGGCAGCACCAUGGAGCCGAAGAAGUCCGGCACCAGCGCGGCGAGCGGGGCGGCGGAGCUGAUGUCGCGGAGCAGGGCUCGGAGGUGCGGGAUGGAGCGGCCGAUCAACUCCAGCAGCAAGGUUUCGAUGUGGGCGUCGGCGGGGAGGUCGUCGAGCGGGACGGCGGGGAGCGCGGCGGUGUCAACGCCAUCGUCGCGGAGGGACGAAAGGACGGCGGAGUGGGCGUCCGGGGCGGAGAGAUCUGUGAAGGUGACGACCGUGGCCGCGACGCCGUGGUGCGCGACGAGGCGCCGCGCCAGCUCGGCCAUAGGGAUGAGGUGGCCGGCGCCGGGGCUGGCGACCAGCACGACGUGCGGCCGCGGCGGCGCCGUCCGCUCCGCGGUGCCUGGGCCGGCCAACGAGUCCAUUGGUCGCGUGCUUCGGGCAGCCGGUAUGAGACGUAUUGGGAAGCCCGCGCGAUUGGUUCUGAGAAGGCAGCCAGGCAGGGAGAGUGUGGACUUUUGAACCAGCGGAUUUCGGAUAUGGUUAAGAAUAGCGGCAUGUUGAUGAUAUAAGGAAAAAAUGUUGAAUAUUUGGACCUUGCGCUUUGCGUGGGAGGACUUUCUUGUCGACACUAGGUUGGCUUAAACAAACAAAACAAAAAACACUCCCAAAUUUUUGAUCUAUUCUUUCUUCAUACUAGAGUGGUUCAAUUAACUCUUUCCUUUUAUACUUUGUAGUUUACCUAUGUGUACAUAUACGUACGUUUGCACAGUUACUCCCUAUGAAAUAUGAAUGCUUGAACCCCAAACAAGCAUAUCUAAGAAAUGGAUCAAGGCGGAAUUCCUUGAAGUUUAACGUAGUCACUAGGGCUGUCAACAAGCCGAGCUCGAGCGAGCCUGCUGCCUCAAGUUUGAGCUUGACAGAGUUUCAAGCCGAGCCUGAAAUCCAGCCGAGCUUACAAUUAGGCUCAAGCUCGGCUCGGCCAAAGCUCGAGUGAGCUCGAUAUGGUGAAGCACUGGAGCUUCGCUUGCUCCAGCACAAGCAAAGCGUGCAUGAAGAUUAAAAAAUGUGGUCUUUCCCUACCGAGAAAGGGCAGUUGUGCUUUGAUAAGUGCUACUCCUGCUAGCAUGUGAAAUUGUCAGAAGGUAGAAUAAACAAUACGUGCGGCCUGCAGCUACUUUUAGGGAACGAAGAGAAGCGUUACGGAACAGCCGAGAAGGGUGCUAACGUGCCUUAGUGAGCUGUUUGAGAUCAGCUCGGUUGGGCUCGCGAGCUUGGGAUUGGGCUCGAGCUCGGCUCAGCUCGUGCCGAGCUUUUAGCGAGUCGAGUUCUAGCGAUUUGCGCUCCUCGACCUGUUUUGACAGCCCUAGUUCCUCGACCUGUUUUGACAGCCCUAGUAGUCACACACUGUCUUGCCAUCGAAGGUUCAAAACGUGGGUGGGCAGGGUUCACCAUGUAAUACUCUUUGAUUUGAUUGCAUCACUUUCAACUACUUAUUAUACAUUAAAAUACAAUCAACUUUAUUUUAGAAAAUAUUAAUAGUCAAAUCCACUGCUAGGGAAUGUGCCUUCAGUACCGGGUCCAAACUUCCUUUUAGUACCGGUUGUGCAACUGUAUUGCUAUUUCCAUGCUAAAGGGAUCUUUAGUUAACUGGUACUAAAGGGGUAGUAAAAAAUAAUCAUAAAAAAAUCCGCCGACCGAAGCGCCGGCCGCACGAUUCUAAAAGAAAUGAGAAAAACUUAUUCUAAAAGCGGUCUAACUGUAUAAGGACGGACGAUCCGGCCCUAGGUGGCAGACAGUCAGCUAAACCUAGACAGAAACAGAUUUUCGAGCCGAGAAAUAUUUUCUCAAAGGCGGGCGGUCCGCGGUUGUUUUCUGUGGACAGUCCACAUGGGGCGGAUGGUCUGGCCCUAGAAGGGCGGAUGGUCCGCCACCUCUGUAACGGUCCGCUCUAACACGCAUUAAAUGCUGCAGUAGCCGUUGGGGCUUGAACUGCGGACGGUCCGCCCCUUGUGAGGCGGACGAUCCGUCCCCUGUGAGGCGGACGGUCCGCCAAUCCCGUGUUUUUCGUGAAUAUAACUGUAACGGCUAGUUUUGGAAGGGAGGCUUAUAAAUACCCCACCCCCAGGCAUGGGUGAGCUCUCUUGGCACCUUGGACAACAUUUGUGACAUUCUAAAGCCUUCUUUCACCUCUCACUCACUCACAUUGUUUAGAGAAUGCAUUUUAGUGAGAUUGAGAGCAUCCUAGUGCAUUGCAUCAAGAGUUUGAGCUUUGUGGCACUAGAGAGUCUUCAAGCAAGUGUUAUUGGCUUAUUACUCUUGAGGUUGCCGCCUCCUAGACAGCUUGGAGAUUGUGGAAGUCGUUGAGCCCUUCAAGAAGAUUGUGAAGGAGCCUCGGCUAUUCUUGUGAGGGGGUCUUGUGCUCACUUCGCCGGAGCGGUGAAGAGCAACUCUAGUGGAAUCGAGGUUUCGAGAGGUUUUUUGAUUCAAGCCGGCUCAAACAUCAAGCGGUGCCUUGAUAGAGGAGCGGUUGAAACAUUGAAUCCACCUCAACGUAGAUUAGGGGUGACCGGCAAGUCAUCAACACCACAGGAUAAAUUCAUCACUCGUGUUUGGUUCUAACUUUGCUCAAUUUCAUUAUUGCAUUUUAUUUUGAGCAAAUUACUUUACUAGAGAUUGAAUAAUAUCUUGUCACCCUAGGUGACAAACUUUCACCUAGUUGUAGAGUAACUAGAAAUAGUUUUUCCCCUUGUGUUACAAAUCAAAUUUUUUUAAGUGUUGUGAUUUUAGUUGAAACCGCCUACUCACCCCCCUCUAGUCGGUAUCAUAGAUCCUACAACACAGUUCAUCGAAUCGCAUGGAGGAGCUUCGUGUGGUCAUCCCACCAAGCAACGUACGAUCGCUGCGUGGUGGUGCCGCGUCGAUGUCCAUGCCUCGCGGUGACUCGGAGAUCGAGUGCCGCCGCGAAGCACUCGAUGUAGAUGAUGCUUCGGCCGACGAGCGUGACUUCUUCGUCCUCCCAAAAAACCUUCCAAUACUCCUCAUUUCUGCACACUUCAAGGAAAAUACUCCACCGGGGUUUCUUGCCGACGAGAAAAUGCACAAGAGCAAGAACUAGCAAGAGGUGCUUGCUGAAAUUUUUAUUUGCUGGAACUUUUAUGUAUGAGUGGAGUUUUGAAAUUUUCAGAGGCUAUGUAGAGGUGCUCUUGGUGUGUUGGAUGAAAAAUAUGAUGCACAAGGAGGUACCUGGCAAAGGGCACCACGGGGGCUUAAAAAGACCCCAGGCCGAUCGCCCUGAAGCACACCAGGCCGAUCGGCCUGGCGUGUUCUCGCCUUCCUAGGUCUCCAUCUUCCUUCACAUGGCCACUUGAUCAUCAUUGUACUAAAAAAUUCAGCAUUUGCAUGAAGGGUAGCUCCAAAUCAAUCUCCUCCACUCCUUUGUGUUAGAUCUUUUUUGAAAAUCAUGCACAUAUGUGCCAUAGCCUUUUUGUUUUCUCAAUUUCACUCAAUGCCUUGUCCUUUGAGCUGCAACAAAUAAGUAUGGCAAGCCACUUUUUGUUUCUUUAUGCAUGUGUGGUAGGUGAGAGUGCCUCCAUGAUUGUUCCCGUGAUCACAAAAUUAACCAUUAGUGUAAAUAAAGCUCAUAGACCCUCCAAAUCAUGUUUAUAUGCUUAAUCCUCCUCUAAUUUCAAAAAUUAAAAAUUAACUCAGAGCUAGCAAUGAGUUCAAAAAUAUUUUAGAGGAGUUUUGAAGCAUCAGAAACAUUUGUAAGUCGAAAGGAUUUCCGACUACAUGAAUUUUGGUUGCACCGGUAUCGUUCAUUCUCAUGAAUUGAGAUGAAGCAAUUUCGAUUUCAAUUGGGGGGUAACGGGUUUAGGUUGUAAUUUUGACCAAAAGUGAGAGGGGAAUUUUGAAUGAAAUAAAUAAAUAUGGCUUAGAAAAAUUCUAAUUCUAAGAAAACUGAUGAGUUUUUCAUGUUUAAGAAAACCAAAAUCCUAUGGUCACGUGAGUUCUAGCAUGCAUCAAAAAAUUUACAAAGUAAGAAUAAUGCGGGCUUUACUCGUUUAUUUAUCAUGAAAGCAAAUUAGGCUAAACAUCAUGGUCAAGAUGAAAGGUCUGAUAGGAUAGGGAUAUAUGGUUCUGGUUUUCUAAGAAAAUAAAAUAAAAAAUUGGGAUGGUCCAAGUCAUUGGUUUAUGAAAAAGAGAGGAAUAGAAAAUGACUGAGCGAAUAAAACUCCAAAUAUUGUUCUGACCGAAGGUUCAACUUAUUAUAUGUCCACCAGGUAUGACGUAUGUGACUCACUUACUUGACUAUUCAAAUGACUCCAGGGUUGUCCUCUCAGUAGCUUAUUCUUAACUCGAUGAUCAGGUUGCCUCCCGCAAAGCGCUUCGUUUAUAGUCUAUAGCUGGACUCUUGAAUUCUUCAGUUCGGACCAGCGCUCAGUGUCAGCACUGUAGUCUUUGGCACCCACUUCUUCACCAUCUUUGGCUUUGAUGCAAACACAGGCUUGGCUAUCUUUUUGGUCUUCACAGGCUGACGUUCUUCCUUCUUCUGGAUGAUAGCAACUUUUUCUGCUGGCUUCUUUUCUUCUGCCUUCUUGUUUUUCUCCUCUUGCUUGACAUGACGAUGUGGCGGUAUAUACUUGCUAGAAAUCAUGUUGCAUACCUCAAAGCGUGGGUGAAACUUGAACGCGCUCAUAGUGCCAUUGAUGUCAAACUUGAUCUCACCCUUCCCAACAUCUAUGUUUGCUCUUGUGGUCUUCAGGAAAGGCCUUCCUAGGAUGAGUGGGGAUUUUAACUCCUUCUCCCAUCUCGAGUAUCAUGAAGUCAAUAGGGACAAAGUGAUUCCCAAUCUUCAUAGGUACAUCUUCAGCAAUGCCUUCAGGAUAACGAACGGUGUUGUCCGCCAACUCCAGGCACAUAGCAGUUGGUUCUGGUUUCGGUGGGCGUAGCUUCUCGAACACAGCUUCAGGCAAUACGCUCACACUUGCGCCAAAAUCACAUAAUUCCCUUUGGAACAUCAGCGCUCCAAUUGAACACGGGACGGUUGGACAUCCAAGAUCUCUUUUCUUCUCGAGGGCUUGAUUAACGAUUGCAGCACUGCACUCUUCUAUCAUCUUGAUGUGAUCUAUAGUGAACUGCAGAAUCUCUCACUUGUUCAUUAGGAUAUCUUUGAAGUAGUGAGCAUAGGUUGGAACUUGUAGAGCGUCCAGCAGUGGCAUAUUGAUGUUCAACCUGCGUACAACUUCAACAAACUUCUCAAACUGUUUGUCAAUUUUACCUGGACGAUGGCAUGGUUUCUCUGGUAGAAUCUUUGUGUCAUUUUGAUUGACCAUCUCAAACUCUUGCUCUUCCAUUUCAAUCUCUCAAGCUGGGGUAUGUGUCUUCUCCUUUGAAGUCAUCUCUGCUUUAGCAGCUGGUUUAGGCUUCCUAGCUACCGCUGGAUGUUCUGGAUCUUCUGUUUCCUUGCCUGAGCGAGUUUGAAUAGAUUUAGCUAACUCUGGAUUCAUCAGUUGUCCUGGCAACUUCCCUUGAUUGCUUGUAAAAUGCCCAGCUAACUGUGUAACUUGAGUCUCUAGCAUCUUCAUUAUGUUCAUUACCUGGUGAUUCGAAUUUCCGACCUCUGUCACUUUGCUGUCAAUAUUUUUCAGAAUCUUAUCCAUAGCCUUGAACUUAGUGAUAGUGUCUUUAUUGAUCUUGCCUUGCUCCUUCAUGAACUCCUUUAGCUGAAUGCGUAGAGGCACUGUGUUCUGAAUAGAUGAGCUUGCAUUGAAUUGAGGUCUAUUCUGUCUAUACCAAUAGUUGGAUGGUGGAAACCAAUCUCCCUUCUUCAUGUAGUCUAGCAACUUUGCUUCCUCUGGAUAGUUCUUCCCGACAUGGCUGUAGUCGCCACACUCUUCACAUGUUGAUCUUGCUUCUACUGCUUUCAGGUCUAUAGCUUGAGCUUCCUUUAUCUCCAUCUUCUCCAGUCUCCUCAUCAGUGAAUCAAUCUUUCCUUCGAGUAAUUGAUCACGCUCCACCUGCAACACUCCUUGUGUAUUUCCAGUAGGUUGAGCUGGGAAUAGGUGCCCAGAUGAUGCUCAUGCAUCAUUGUCUGCAACCUUCUUGAAUAACUUGAAAGCUUGAGUUGGGGUGAGGUCUAUAAUUGAUUCUCCAGUCGAUGUAUCGAUAAUUGCCCUUGAUGCUAGUGUCAGCCCUUGAUAGAACUUCUAGACUAGGUUCUCCUUCGGGUACUUAUGGUAUGGAACUGCACAGAUGUAAUCAUUAAAGCGCUCAUGAGCUUCAGCAACUAUUUCAAAAGCAUAUUGAGCAAAAGUAGCUAUCCUGCUUCUGAGAUUCUAAGUCUUGACUGGCGAAUAAUGUUUAGUUAAGAAAGCCUUCAUCAACUCAUCCCAAUUCUGAAUUGUUGCCACUGGUAGAGAGUAAAAUCAUUAAAGCGCUCUUCCAAGUAGAGAGUAAGGGAACAACCUUGCGCUUAGUUGAUUCUGAGUAACUCCAUCCACGUCGAAGGUGUUGCAUAGCUGCAUAAACGCUUGUAAAUGAAGAUUAGCAUCUUCCGUGCUAGUGAAGGGUGAACUCUGAAAGAUCCUCAGUCUUGAAGUAUCGAUCCCAAACGGUCGGCUGAUGCGGCCCAAUUCAUGGAUAGGUAAGUCAUUGAUGUUCAGGAUGCAAAGUUUCCUGAUAGUAGGAUCUCGCUCCGGUUGUUGAUCUCCCAUUGCAGGUGCUUGCGGUACUUCUGGAGCUACUGCUGCUCCUCUUGGACUUGCUCGUGGUGUGGACUUUGGAGUAGAUGAUGAUGAUGAUGAUGUUUCCGACACUUCAAAUUUUUCCUUAACAACUGAAGCUUCGAUCUCUAGCUUUCUUGCUUGUGCUAAACGUUUUCCUUGCCUGUAAAGUUUUUCUAGAUCAUUCACAAAAUUUUUCGGUUUGUUGGAGAUGUAGCUGUCCAUCUCCUGUUAGCGUUAGUGAAAGCAAACAUAUAUAUAGAACUAGAUCUGAAAUUUUGAUUGAGAUUACACAAAACAAAAGGACUAAAAAGAAAAGAUUGAAAAAUCAUGAACAAAAAGUUAUAUCUGCAGAUGCAUAGUUAAACUAGAACUUGACUAUUAGUUCCCGGUCAAUGGCACUAGAAAACCUUGCUGACGGCUGUUAGAAUACCAAUUUGUGAACCCCAAGCGUUCGGAUCAAUUGUAGCUCUUCCCUUAUAGUAUUCCCCUAAGGUUUAUCAAUACGUGAAACUUAUAGCACAAGAUCUAUUUCAACUAGCACUGUUAGUAUUAACUCGGUGUUUAUGAGAGAUUCAGAUCCAAUCUACUAAGCAUGUACAGACAGAUAACAGAUAGAGCAAAGGUAACCAAUCUAGAGUAACCUAGACUAUGCAUAUGUUGUAAUUCUAACAUAGAUAGCAAAGCAACACAGAUAUGAUCUUAGUAAAAAAUAUCUUUAAAUCUACACUUCCGGUCCGAAUCUCGAAAUCCCCCACGUUACACAAGAAAGAUCCUGUCACGAUCACCUCUAUUAGCGCAAGCAGGUUAAAGGCAUGAUCAUAAGAACAUGUCAUACUCAUCCGUAAAUCAGGCAUGCAAAUAUGGUCACCACGACCACAAAAACACCCUAGGCAAUCUAUCAUCAAUUCAUAGAUUAAAAAGUAAGUAAAUAUGAUAAAGCGUAAAACCAUCAAAGGAGAUACUUAGAUCGCUAAGAACAUGAACACAUCUAUUACUUCAACAUGAAUGAUUGUACAUCACAAGAUCACGACCGGGAUUGUACCUUGAUCUUGAUGACUUCUAGCUCCAGAACUCCAACGUGAUCUUCCUCACAGGGUGAUCACACCGACAGAGGUUCGCCUACGCUAGCCUCCAACAACUGCACAGCCCUCAGCUCUCCAGAGAGGUGUCCCUAAAGCUCCUUCUGCUUCUCUGCUGCUUCACGUCGAGUACAUCGUCUUGGAUCUGGGGCUCGGUGGAUUUUUCGGGGUAUUUAUAGUCCAGAGAGCGUGUGAUAAAAAUUGGAAGGCGAGGGAGGAAAGGAAACCCCCCGAGGCGAUCAGCCUGGGAUGGUCCAAGCCGAUCGGCCUGGGCCUUUCUUUUGGCCCCUCGCGUCCUGCUUCAUCUCCAAGUCUCCCUUGGUGCUUUGAAGUCCUAUUUUCACUUGCAUGUGGGCCUGACACGUCGGUUGCUUCGGGAUGAGAUUGAUCUUCAAUGACUUUCCAAAUAUCCGCUUGAUCUUCUUUGAUUCCUCUUUGAUCCCAAAGUGAUCCUUGCCAUAUCUUCACAAACUUAGCCCUUAAGUCAUCUCGGAGGAUUGCUUGCCAAAGAUGGACGUCGGAAGGCUCCAGAAGACCCUAGGCCGAUCGACCUGGGCUCCUCUAGGCCCAUCGGCCUAGGCCCUUCCUGGGCCCGUUGGCCUCCAUCUUCAUCUGGUUCAAUGUUCGUUCAGUGCUUUAUCCAAAAAUAUACUUUUAGGUUCAAUUCCCUGCAAAAACAGAACAUCCUCCAAAAUUUGUUGCAUAUGUGAAAAUGACCGGUUUAUUAGGUAUAAUUAAUAUCUUGGGUAUUAAAUUCAUGUCAUUAUUGAAGAUAAACAUGGAUAAAAGUGUGUCAAUAGUGAGCAUCAACAGCCCACGCCCGGACAUCCUUCAUCACCUGCUCCUCCGCGUCGCUCUGCCGUGCUGCCCCUUUCCGUCACUGCCUCACGGGCUAGCCUCACCGCCACCUCGCACCGACCGCCUGGCCGCCUGCCCACACUCGGACCCCUGCCGUCACCUGCUCCUCCGCGUCACUCCGCCGUGCGGUCCCCUCUUUGGCGCCACCGCACGGGCUAGCCUUGCCACCACCGCGCAUUGGCCGCGUGGUCGCCUCUCUACGCCACCACAUGGGCUGCCCAUGCUGCCCCCGCUUAGCUCCACCACAACGCCCAGCCGCGCGGUGCCUGCUCCGCCCCACCGUGCAGGUCGCCCGCGUGGCCUCCUCUCCGCAGCGCCACCGAGAUCUGCUAGGGGAGCUUGAACCCCAUGGGGACUCACCACGUGGGAGCAGGCAUGGGUGAGGGAGCACUGCCGUCUGUGCUUGGGAGAGAGAUAGAAAGGGUCAGGGGGAGAGGAGUGUUGGGAUCACUGCGCGAAUAAGAAGGUGGGAGGUGGAGUUGGAGCUUGGCACCCAGUGCCGUGGGAGGCGGCGAUGGAGGGAAGGGGGCAGACAGGCCGGGGAAGGAGAGGAGAGGCGGAAGAUAGGAUAAGGAGAGAUAAAAGAAAAAAAUAGUCAUUGACAUGUGGGCUCCACGUGUCAGAGGUAAGUAGGGGCCCAAAAGUAGAGAUCCUUGUUGGAGUUGAGCUAAAAAUAUCAAGACCCGUAAAAUUAGGAUAGCCCCUACUCAAUAAAUUAGGGGCCAAGAGUAGAGUUACUCUAAGAGCAACUCCAGCAAGGCCCCUACUUGAUCCUCUACUCAAAAAGUAGGGACUGAGAGCCAAAAAUCCAACUCCAACAGAGCCUCUACUUGGAUCCCUACCCUAGGGAGGUUCCUACUUUUCCCUUCCAAGCCCCUUCUCCUGCGGGUGUGUAGGGAGGCCCCUACUCGGCCAGUUCUUCUGUUUCACCUCCCGCGAACGUCUGUCCAUUCUGCGCGCGCCAUUCUCGUGCGUCGCCACGACCCCUUCGGUGGCGGCAUCGCUCCUCCGCCUCAACUCCUACACACGUAGCAGCACCCCUCCGCCACACCAUGCCAGGCAACGGCAAUCGAGCCCGAGCUCGAUUUGUUUCCGACAAAUCGAGCGGCAAAUCCGGUCCGACGUAAAUUGAAUUGAGGAGCGAGGAGAAGGCAUACCAUGCAGAUGACGUUGGGACUCGCACGGUGGCCGCCGAGGUCGCAGGGCUAGAGCUCCAUUUGACAUCGCUCAAGCAUCGAUUUUGAUGAGUCUACGCUGCUUGAAGCCUAUGCAAGGCCGACGCUACUUGGAUCUGCUGCCUUCUGCUGUCCCGAGUAGCAGGGAUGGUUAGGCUUGAGCUCCUCUGCUGAGUCUGUACUUUGCGGGGCCAUGCGAGGCUAGAGGUCUUCCACGAGAGUGAGUUCUUCCGUCGGAUAUGAACGAAUCCACCAAGCGAGAUGCAAACACAAGGAGCAAGAACAUAUGGGUAGGAAAGAGAUAAGGAUAAGAAAAAAUAAUAAAAGGAAAAGAAAUGUAGAAACCGAUAGGUGAGGCACAUCUAUCAUAAUAAAAGUAGGGACUUCGAUUAGGGUUAUUGGAAUCGAGCCUAAAAAUUAUGCCCUAGAAAGUAGGAGGAGCCCCUAGUUAGGACCCGUUUUGUUCUUUAGUCCCUCCUAAAACUCCUGUCACAUCGAAUGUUUAGAUACUACACUAAUUACAAAAUCAAUUGCACAGAUGGAUGCUAAUUUGCGAGACGAAUCUAUUAAGCCUAAUUAGUCCAUGAUUUGAUAAUGUGAUGCUACAAUAAACAUGUGCUAAUGAUGGAUUAAUUAGGUUUAGUAGAUUCGUCUCGUUGGCUAUUUGUGUUUAUGUACAACUUAGCCGCUAUAGCCCGCUACAGUCUCGUUUAACUCCGCUAUAGCUAUUUUAGUUAGCUGGAGAUUUAAAACCUUGCUAGGGGGACGGUUUCCAGAGCAGCAAAGAGCCGGUCUACGCGCACCUGAUCGAGGAGGGCCGCCGUUACCGCGCCGCCGACGGCUUCUUGGUGAACACCUUCAGCGAGAUCGAGCCCGGAUACGUGGAGGGGUUGACGAAGAAGGCGGCGGAGCAAGGCACGUUCCCGCCUCUUUACCCUGUGGGGCCGUUCGUCCGGCCAAGCCCCGAUGAAGACGCCGCGUCGGCGUGCUUGGACUGGCUGGAUCGGCAGCCAGCGGAAUCCGUGGUGUACGUCUCCUUCGGGAGCGCCGGCUCGUUGUCUGUGGAGCAGACGGCCGAGCUCGCCGCUGGGCUCGAGGAUAGCAGCCACAGGUUCCUAUGGGUCGUGCGCAUGCCAAGCCUGGACGGAGAAAACUCAAACUGGGUGAAAGGCCACCGUCGCGCCGAGGACGACCCACUGGCGUGGCUUCCAGAGGGGUUCUUGGAGAGGACGAGCGGCCGUGGUCUCGCGGUGGCGUCAUGGACGCCGCAGGUGUGCGUGCUCUCCCACCCGGCGAAGGCGGCGUUCGUGUCGCACGGCGGCUGGAACUCGACGAUGGAGAGCGUGGCGGCCGGCGUGUCGAUGGUCGUGUGGCCGCUCUACGCGGAGCAGAGGGUGAACGCCGCGGUGCUGUCGGAGAACGUGGGCGUGGCGCUGCGGCCGCGCGCGACGCAGGCGGACGGUCUGGUCCGAUCCCGCGGGAGGAGAUCGCGGCGGCCGUGCGGGAGCUGAUGGGUGGGGAGAAGGGGCGCGCCGUGCGCCGCCGGGCCGGGGACCUGCAGCGGGCGGUGGUGCAGGCGUGCGCGCCCGGGGGUUCGUCCUGGCAGAUGCUGGAGGAAAUCGCCGGCAAGUGGAAGGCGCCGGCGCCGGCGCUUGGCAGGCAGAAGCAGUACAAGACUUGCAAGCGCAAUGGCAUGUGAUGGUCGUCGAUGUGCAUGCUUAUCGAAUCAGUGUACCUCGAUUUUGUACAACCUAAGGAUGAAAAUAACGAUGUGUGUUACAAAAUUUAGGGGUGUUUGGCUCCCACGUGCUAAAGUUUAGCACCUAUCACAUCGGAUGUUUGAUACUAAUUAGAAGUAUUAAACAUAGGCUAAUUAUAAAACUAAUUGCACAGAUGAAGUCUAAUUCGCGAGACGAAUCUAUUAAGCCUAAUUAGUCCAUGAUUUGAUAAUAUGGUGCUACAGUAACCAUUUGCUAAUGAUGGAUUAAUUAGCCUUAAUAGAUUCGUCUCGCGAAUUAGCCUAGGGGUUCUGCAAUUAAUUUUAUAAUUAGCUCAUGUUUAGUCCUCCUAAUUAGCAUCCGAAUAUCCAAUAUGACAUGUACUAAAGUUUAGCACCUAGUAUUUAAACAAUGUUUUUCCAUCUCCUUUACCAUCGUUUUUCCAUCUCCUUUACCAUCGUUUGAUCUUUGCCCUCUUGGGCCUAAAACAAGAUUGAUGGGAAAUAUGGCGGCCUCCAUAGUCGUUGAGCAGCUCACACGGCUCCGCUUAGAGCCAUUUUACCAUGCUCAAAACCAGACUAGAUCCAAAGUUGCCCUAAUACAUAUGGUGAAAUUGAACAGCUGAACCAUGACGCAGGGAUGAAGAACUGGCGUUCUAGUAAUAAACAAAAAGCAAACGCAUAUACUUGCAUAACCUACAAAAAAAUCAUGCAAAUGAUCUUUAGAAAAACCAUACAACACUACUGGAUGAUCGACCUCUAGUACCGUUCAGUAACCCCUUUAGUACCGGGCACCUAACCAGUACCGCUUGUUUGGUACUAAAUGUCACGCCAUUUAGUACCGGCUAAAAUGCCCGGUACUAAAUGGGCUAUUUAGUACCGGUUGGUAUCGACCGGUACUAAACUACGAGCAACGUCACGCUAUUACGAACAGUAGCUAAAUGGUUAUUCUUUUUUUAUUUUCCUUUCAUUUUAAUUCUGGGUUAGUUAGUAUUUGUAUUAGCGUACAAUAUGCGUUUGCGUAUAGUAGUAAUAUUACACUAUAUAUAUUGAUCUAGCAUAUAGUAAAGGUUACAUAUAUUAUAUUUAGACAAUUUAUAUACACUUCACAAAUAUUAUAAGUAUUCCGAAUAUGCACUACGUGUCGUCAUUCGAGUCCCUGAUUGGAUGAAGUUGCCCCACACUUGUUCCAUCGUAAUAGAAUUCUCCCUUUGGAUUUACGACCUCCUCCAAAAGGAAUCCACAUAGUUGUUCUUGAAUUGCCCUGAGUCGUUCUAGGGCGAUGAGAUCUUUUCUCAUUUCAAAAAUCUAUCACGUGUAAAUUAACAUCAUCAUUUUAAUCCAAUAUAUGUGAAGAGUGAAAAAUAUUGAAUUGUUAUGAAUUGUGUUUACGUACUUGGUAUUCACGGUCCGUUAUUUUCUUAAGACCUACAAAACCAUGUAUGAACUCAUAACAAUAGUAUUCACAUAAGUUGUUUCCAUCCUCAUGCCUCAAACACUAAAUAUGGAAGAAAAAAAGUUAUGAAAUAUUGAAGCAGUCGUGGUUUUUAAAGAAAUGACAUGCCCUAGAUGUCCAAAUUGAAUUCAUACCGGAAAGUUAUCCAUGAUACGAAGUUGUUCUUUGAACGGUCCUAGGUGUUUUUUUAAAGCGAGCCCAUAUCUUGUUAAGUGCGUCUAUGAGGCUAUGGUACUAUGAUUUUGUUUUUCUCUUCGGAUCCAGCACUGUGACGUGGCUUCGAUCAAUCUCGAUUAUAAGCAGUACACAGUGGUACCUGUUCAUAUAUGUAUACACAUGCAAUGUUAGAUAUACUUAUUAUUAACUUGAACGGAUGAAAAAAAGGGAUGAAUGACUCAGCGAAAGUUGUACGGCAAAGUAUGUAUUGCAUGUGAUGCUGUUUAUCCAGGAAGUUGAAAAUAGUCUUCUUGGUUCGAAAGUUCCACUACAGUGGCCCUAUAUGCAAUCAGGGUACAACAACUUUUUGUGAUCCUCCAAUAUCUUCUCAAACUUCUUUGUCUCCUUCGCAUUUUCGGAGUCUUUCUUUGCAUUUAGCAACACUUGACCUAGUUUGUCAGCUAGUUCAUCUUGUGCAAAAUCUUCUUCAGCCUCGUCCAUUUCAAAAUCUGCAAAGGCACCACCUUCAGCCCAGUCGGCUGGAAUGUUGUUAUCAUCAUCAUGUUCUUCACUAUCUACUCCUCUUUCGCCAUGCUUGGUCCAAAGAAUAUAGUUUUUCAUGAAACCCCAACGAAAUAUAUGACCAUGUAGAGUUUUUUUUUGAGUAAUCCUUGUUAUUUUUUUCACAUUCUGCAUGGACAGCACAUGAAACCCUUCGGCGACUUGUUGGCUUCUGCCGCUUCGAGAAAAGUCUUUAGACCAUUAAUGAAAGGAAUGGAACACCGGUCGCCGUACAUCCAUUGCCGGUCCAUUUGCAAAAAAUUUUAAUUUACUUCUCCAUUUGUAAAGCAAAAAAUGUAAAAAAAAUCCUUCUAAAAAAUAUUGCAGACCUUUUAUGGACUACUUUCGAUGAGCAAAUUAGAUCCCUACAAAUUUAUGGGGAAUUUUGGCAGCAACUCCCUUUAUCCCGAAUCAUCGUCAGCUUGAACUCAACUGUGUUAUUUAUGUAAAGCAACAAAAUUAGUUGAUUAUUUUUAUUUUAACAUGGUACUAAAGGUAAUUAACACAACACAUAUUUGUCAAUAUCUAAUACGAUUUUCUCAAUAUCGAACAGACUUUCAUAACUAAAAAUCUACAUUGUCCAUGCAUGUAUAAAUGAAAAAAACUCUUCAUUCAUCCUCACUCUAAAAAAGCAUAAAUUUCUCUAGCUACAAAGCAUAAAACAUAGAAUGCUAAUCAUGAGAGGAGGGAGGAUGAAGUUGCUAACCUUUAGAACAAUUGGAAGAGUGAAAUCCCCACAAAUCGUGGAAAAAAAUAGGCAGCACCUCCCCUAGGUCUCUCAUGGAGUGAAGAAGCCUGAGCUCUUGGUCAAAUGGUUGAGCUCGAGCUCAAGAGGAAGAAGGAGCUUAUUUUAUAGGGUGUACGUUAGUACCGGCUAAUGGCUCUAGCCGGUACUAAAUUGUGACAUUUAGUACCGGUUGAAGCUACCAGCCAGUACACAUGUGCGUGAACACCAUUUAGUACCGGUUGAAACUACCAACCGGUACUAAAUGGUUUCCAAGGGAAUAUAGCUAUUGGCCAUCCGGUCUCCAUGCCGCCAUUUAGUACCGGCUGAGACUCCAAACCAGUACUAUAGGGGCUCCGGUGACACUAUGUGUGACGACUGGUACUAACGCCGCGCAUAACGCGUUGGACGAAUGCUCAGUUUUCAGUAGUGCAACUACCAGACAUGUCAUAAACAAAAAGGUACCCAGGGCCUAUGGUCAUGGCAUCACAUACCAUUAUGCUGCAAGUUGCGGCCGGCUGAUCAGCUGAUGCUCUUGAAACUCCAUCCAUCCGUUGCUUUGAGUGGGCCUUACAUUAAUCCCUUUAUAUGUUCUUGAUACCUUGUUGCUUAAUUAGUUAGCUUUGACUCAAUAUAGGCCUUACAAGUCUUUUAUAUAUUUUUAGUAAAAAUAAUAAUAUUGAAGUGUUUAAGUAAUGGAAUCGAAAGUGACCCAAUCAUAAUAAAAAGCACAUGGUGGAACAUGCCCAUCCAGAUUUUGUGUCUCCGCUGAUUUACUGUGCGGUGAUUUUGUUAUCUCAAAAUAUGCCAGCACAAUCUCUCAUAGGUGGGAACACAGCUUAUGUUGCCAUGGGUUAGGGUGUUACUUUCAUACUUUGUUACUAAACACGGCAACACCUAAACCAGUAUAUAAGAAACUCCAUCCAAAACAUGGAUGGAUAGAGCAUGAAAAAAGUACAGAGAUAAUGUAAGAUAAAAAAGGGAAAUCAACAUACGAAUAUGAGCGAACUGUGUAUAACAACAUGUACACUAGCAAUUAUACUUUCAGCUUGCACAAGUUUUUGGUCAAGCUCAAAUCUUGUAUGUAUAUAGAUUAUCGUAGCCUCUAGUACCAUCUAUAUUUUCUUUGAAUAUUUCAUGCAAAGUUGCCUGCGGGCUGGCUGAUCAGCUGAUGCUCUUGAAACUUCAUCCAUCCGUUGCUUGUUUUGAGUGGGUAUAUGAUUAAUCCCUUUGUCAGGAUAAGAAUAAUUUAUGUGCAAGAUGUGAGGAGAUAUGUUCUCCUUGAUACCCUGUUGCUUAUUUAGUACUUUGGCUCAAUAUAUCCUAAAGUGACCCAAUCAUAAUAAAGAGCACAUAAUAAAGUAUAUAUGGUGGAACCUGCCCAUCCAGAUUCUGAGUAAGGCGUAUGUGCUAACUUUGGCAAUAUAAAAAUAUAUCGGUCGGAUAUGGGAACCCAUUUGUUAUAGCGGUUAGCCGGUUAGGGUGUUAUAGUGUUACCAAACAUAGUAGUGCCUAAACUGGUAAAAGGAACUCCAACAAAAAUAUGGAUGGAUAACCAUGAAAUCAUCUAGGUGCAUGCAAAUUUUGAGCUUGAAAAAAAACUUAGGUAAACAUAAUAGAAAAAGAAAAUCAGUACAUGAUAGGAGCAAGUUGCAUAUAAGAGAUAAACAGUUGUACCCACAAUUACACUAGUGCUGAUUUCACUUUCUUGUUUCACCUUGCAUAAGUUUUUAUUCAAACUCAAAUUUUACAUCCAUAGAUAAUACAUGCACGCUUGUCUUAUCUAUAUAUAUUUUAGUUUGAAUUUUUCAUGCAUCAAUUUAGGUGCUAUCGCGACACAGGUGGACAGGCUGAUCCCGUGGGUGGAAAUCGCAGCGGCGGUGUGGGAGCUAAUGGAUGGAAGGAGAAGGGGCCGGGCGGCGGCUGCCCGGUGGGAUUGCUUAGCAUUUCUUUGCGCGGUUAUCAUUUAACGGCUGAACCUAUAUGCUUCUGAGUUGUUGACAGUUCUAGCCCAGAUACGUAAUUCAGUGGUUCAGAAUUCAGUCCAUCACUCCGCUUUACUAUACAACUUUGAACCGCACGUAUAAAAUUUUACUGAAAAUUUCCGCCAUAACCCAGCCUCCUACUCAACUAUGCACAACGCAAGUGUGGCAGGUUUGACUGAAAAUGGCUCCUUUUCAUUGUUGUCGACUCUUGUACUCCUCUCCUUCCAAAGAUCUCAUCAACCAUGGGCAAUGACUCGGUUAAACAAUUGUCCACGUUUUCCUUUCGCAUAGCUUUAUCCACCUAGUCACAAUUUGCAUGAUUUUGUCUGAACCUCGGGUCACUACUCUCUUAGUCAAAUCGUCUCGCGCCAGCCGAAUGCGACGGAAAUUACUUUCUUAAUCUGGAUUCUUAUGUCGUGCAGUAGUUACUUUGCAAUGUUUUUACUUGUAAUGGUGUAAAAAUUAAAAUCGAGGCUUAUCCCUUCAGUUUGUCUCUUUGACAACGCUUUCGCCGCCCCAUCCUCUAGACCAAGCUCUAUCGUCUCCGUAUCUAUAGCUGAAAUCUUCAGCCGCCACCCUAAACCAAGCUCUCUUCAGGAUGGUUCAGCCUAGCGCUCUCUUUAGAGAGUACAGUACAAUGCAACUUCCAUACUCUGCACUAAUAAGAUGAUGAUACACGCAGAGAAUUUUUCAUGCUAGUGGAAUUCAAAAUCUUCCGUACAAACUUGAUCUGUUAUUGGUAACAACUGAAUUAAACUGCACGAACUAUUUGCUUUGCCGUGAUGCCCGUGCACCUGUUCUUAAAAGAUCGAAUAUGACAUGAUUUGACCUUUUUUUUGUUUUUUAUGCUCGCAUAGUACUUUUUUUUUCUAUACGUUUCCGUACUUGAGGUGCUGUAAACAUUAAGAGCGAACCUGAUUCCAUCAGUCUGUCCCAGCGUUGGAUCCAGCUUAUCUUAUGCUUCCACUAGUAAAUAGUUAGAGAACCUUUCGACAUGUUUGGCUAGGUAUAAUUUGGAUCUGCAUUUGUUUUUUAGUGGAAGAAUAUACAAUGUUUUGUUCAAACAUAAACGAAAACCUAAUAUUUCAACUUCCAAGUACAACCCUGUAUUUCUUGACAUUCAGAGUUUUCAGGAAUUCAGAUAUGUAGUUCCAAGCAGAAAAAAAGUUCACAGAUUUUCCCGGGCCAAAGGAGAGCAACUAAAAGCACUCAUUGAAAACAAGUUUUAUCGAUGAGUCCAAAAAGGAUUUGUAAGGUAUGCCAAAUAUCUUUGUUUUCAGUUUAAGAAUGAAAAAUAUUUUUAUUUUCGUAUUUAAACAUAUAUGAUUUAUUUCAAGAAGAAAUUUCGAAAUAGUUGUUUCUUCAGAUUCCCCCUUAGGUGAUCCGUGAUCAUCAUGGGAAACAUUAUGCCUAACUUGAUCCGAGAUUGAAGGCUCCAUUGUACCGUGGCUAUUCGCCAUUUGACAAGACACAAAACUACCACGAAGUGAGGCGCCACCAAAGGCACCGACCCUACGUGCGCUAGGCGGGGUGACACUUCACCAUGGCCGCGGCGACCACCGGUGCAAGUGACACGUCACCGUCGACGACGGAGCUGCCACUGCCGGCGUGCACAGAGGAGCUGCCGCCGUCGCCGCAGCAUCAGGUCGUGCUGUUCGCGAGUCCCGGCGCGGGCCACCUCAUCCCGCUGGUGGAGCUCGCGCGGCGGCUCGUCGUGGACCACGGCCUCGCGGUCACCGUGGUCACGCUCACCGGCAUGUCCAACCCGGCAACCGACGCCGCCGUGCUGUCCUCGCUGCCGGCCUCCGCCGCGACCGCGGUGCUCCCUGCCGUUUCCCUCGACGACCUCCCGCCGGACAUCGGCUUCGGCACUCUCAUGUUCGAGCUUGUCCGCCGCUCGCUCCACCACCUCCGCGCGCUCAUGGAGGGCCUCAGCGGCAGCCCGGUGACCGCGCUCGUAUGCGACUUCUUCGGAACCGCGGCUCUGCCGGUCGCCGCCGAGCUUGGCGUGCAGGGGUACGUCUUCUUCCCCAACAGCUUCGCACUGAUCUCCAUCAUGCGCCACAUCGUGGAGCUCCACGGCGACGCCGCCGCCGGCGAGUACCGCGACCUCCCGGACCCGCUCCCGCUCCCCGGCGGCCCGGCUCUGCGCCACGCCGACCUCCCCGACGGGUUCCGGGACCGGACGGACCCGGUCUAUGCCUACCUCGUCGAGGAGGCGCGGAGAUACGGCCGCGCCGAUGGCUUCCUUGUGAACAGCUUCGAGGAGCUGGAGAUCGCCAUGGCGGAGACGUUCAAGCGGGACGCCGAGGACGGCGCGUUCCCGCCGGUGUACCCUGUGGGGCCGUUCGUCCGGUCGAGCACCGGCGAAAAGGCCGAUGAGUCGGCGUUCUUGGAGUGGUUGGAUCACCAACCGAAGGACUCGGUGGUGUACGUCUCCUUCGGCACCGGGGGCGCGCUGUCCGUGGAGCAGACGGCCGAGCUCGCCGCCGGGCUGGAGGCGAGUGGCCACAGAUUUCUUUGGAUCGUGCGCAUGCCCAGCCUCGACGGCAACCCCUGCGCGUUGGGGACGGUCCCCGGCGACAAGGACGACCCGCUGGCGUGGCUCCCCGAGGGGUUCUUGGAGAGGACGAGCGGCCGGGGCCUCGCCGUCGCGGCGUGGGCGCCGCAGGUGCGCGUGCUCUCCCACCCGGCGACGGCGGCGUUCGUGUCGCACUGCGGGUGGAACUCGACGCUGGAGAGCGUGGCGGCCGGCGUGCCGAUGGUCGCGUGGCCGCUGUACGCGGAGCAGAAGACGAACGCCACCAUCCUGACGGAGGUGAUCGGCGUGGCGCUGCGGCCGGCGGCGGCGCGCGAGGAGAUCGCCGCGGCGGUGAGGGAGCUUGUGGUGGGGGAGAAGGGAAGCGCCGUGCGCCGCCGGGCAAGAGAGCUACGUGAGGCUGCGGCGCGGGCGUGGUCGCCGGAAGGGUCGUCGCGGCGGGCGCUGGGGGAAGUCGCCGGCAAGUGGAAGGUGGCGCUUGUCAGUGGGAAUGGAAGGAUUGCAUGAUUCGUGUUCUUUCUCCAUGAUCAAGGUCAUGUGUCUGGAUGGAUUAAGCCUAUUACUUCCGUGAAUUUAGAUGAGAUAAAACUAAGUUUUCUGUCAAUUCAAGGAGAUUGGCUUGAACCUCUUGCUAUAUAAACACUCUUUUCUAGCUCUGCUUCUAAAAAUUUCUAGCAAUUUUUAUUUUCGUUAAUAGCAUUCAAUGCCUCAAUGGGUGUUCAGCAAUUAUGGUUUACUGGAAUAUAUGAGAAUUUCUUGCUUGCAUCAUUUUAAUUUUUUGAAAAGAAAUCUCACAGCUCAUUUGAUGUUUUAAUUUGGCUCUAUUGAAGGAGUACGGAAAAAAGAGGUAAACUCGAGUGAUUUGUGACAAUCUCUCACUCGAUUUUUUUUCCCUCCCAAUCUGCAUGACUACACGUGAUUUCCUGUUUUUUCUUCAGCUCCGAUCAAACUUCGGCGAGAUUAGGGGUUCCAGGGUUAGGGAGUUGAGGUUUCCGGGGUGAGCUCACCAGUGGCCCUAGAGGGAAGGCGACAGGCUGGCCUGUCGGUGAGGCGCGGCGGCGAUGGUACUGCUGGCUGGGCAGUGGAGGAGGCUGGUUGGGCAGGGUCGUGGCGGGGUGACGAUGGCGGCAAUGGGAGGGGCAGGAAAUCGGCUGCCGCGAGCAGGCUAGAGUCUCGCGGAGCUCCACGCUGGUAGUCGACGUGGAGCUCCAACAAGACCCUAGCCCGCCCGCGGCAGGUGGAGGCACGUGGGGCGGGGGCGGGGCAGGGGCAGGGAAGCUCGGGGAGAAGGAAAGGGCGUCAACACUGGGAGGUAGAAGAUGGAGAGAUGUAGGAUGUCCUUCUGACGGCUAAAAAAUUCGAGUGAAGAAGGCUCCUAUUUCACUUAGGUGAUGCAUAGACCUCUGAAUAAAACCUUAUGGCCACUUUUUCCUGCUAUAAAGUUUUCGUCGCAUCUAUUUGUUAACUUAACUUAUUGGAUAAUAUAACCUGGGCCAACUAUAAUAAAAAGUCAUUUCACUAUAAACUAUCCCAGAGUAGAAAAAUUCGUUGCAGCUAGCGAACUUCUAUGUGAUCCGGAUUCAGGAAGAUGGCGAUGUAUCCGGUGGAGAUUUUGUUGCGGUGGAGAGGAAACAGGAAAACUCAAGAGGCUUCCAGGCAGCGACGAAGGCACAUAUCCUAGGACCUUGAGAGGUGGCAGCUCGGACAGCGGGCACGUGUCGAGGGCGGGCGGCGGCGGGGGAGGAUCUUCGUAAAAUGCCAAGCGGGCGUCUUUCUGCAAAAUCAGCAUGAUUUUCAAAUUUUCUCUCCUUGUGUAGAAAUAUUUUGGAACACCCACAGGGUGCAGGGGUGCUGCGUAAGAAAAACGAACGCGUUUACUGUAUACGUAUACGGAGGGCCUUCCCUGGACCCGAAAUCGAUUAGCGGAAAACCUAAGGAGCUUUUCGCAAAACUGCGCGUGCCGUUGGCAGCCUUCGGACCACAGAUCGACCGCAAAUAAAGGGGGAUGUGACCCGCACGGUUAGCCCUGCAGCACCCCCGGAAUAAGUGGUGUUGAUUACUGAAGCCAAGAAGAGGAGUGAUGGCUCCGUUCUAAACAGCAAUCUUCCUGUCCACGUGGAUUACUGAAGUCCGGAUUCAGGAAGAUUACUAAGACAGUCCUCUUCUCACAUCAUUCGUGUGCCUGUUCAAGCAGAUAUCACGAACCACGAAUUACAAGAAAAAUAUACACGAGAAGGGAAGAUAUUCUACGGACACAUAAAAAUGAUUUUAAUAUAAUAUAUGAGGCGUGAUCAUUCCAUAAGAAUCUGAGGUGUUUCUUCUUUCAUGGUCCUCCCUACCUUACGAAGAUGCCUCGUGAGUCCCCUCACUCUCACAAUGUCCCCCACCCCAUCAUGCUAACAUGACAUUGCUAGGCUUUUUUUUUUCAUGUUCCCACUUGCCAGUACUGGCACCACCUAAAACUAGUGCCACCACCCCGGUCAUUGAGGGCUAAGAUGUUAUGAAUUAUUAUUUGUCAUACAUGUAACUAGAAGUCAUCUUGUCACACCUUUCUCAAUAAUAUGUUCUUUCUAUUGUUGGGAUAUCUUUCAAUUUCUAGAAUAUUUUUUCCUACUUCUGGAAUAUAUUCACUUACCGAUUCAAUACAAAUUGUUCCAUUAGUAGGAAAAACAUGUUUUACAAAAGAGAAAAAAUGUUUCAAUAGUAAAAAAAAAAUUCUCGGUGUGCGACACGGUAACUUCUAGUUGCAUAUGCGACAUAAAAUACCCCUCUCCGACCAUAACCCUAAACCCUACCUUCCCCUUCCCCUCACUGGUAGAGAAACGAGCGGUAGUCCCGGUUGGAAAACCUCAUAUAUCUCGGUUUGCUCAAUCGGACGGGUCUUCCUCCACCCGGGACUAAAGGUUUCGGGACUAAAGGGUUUUUGCGCCAAAAAAUUAUUAGUAAUUCCCGGGACGCAAGACAUGCGCAACUCACAAGUUACGAGUCACGCGAUUUUUCACGCGAAUUAUGCGCGUGCGUGGGAUUCAAAACCACAACCUCAAGCCUCGCACGUAGCUUCCUUACCAUCUCACCUACACAACACAUAUUACUAAGUAGGGGAUGCAAUCUUUUUGUAGUAACUCGUGGGGGGCCCUUAACCGGGACUAAAGGAGGCUUUAGUCCGAGUUUGUAACUGGGACUAAAGGUGUCUCCACGGACUACAAAAUUUAGACCUAGGAUUUUAGACCCAGGAUUAAAGCUUCUUUAGUCCCGGGUCAAAAAUAAUCGAGAUUUUUGUUGAUGAUGAAAUAUCGUUUUUCCACAAGUGCCUCCUCCCUGAACCCUAAAUAAUGGCAGUCAAAGAUGCAGACGAAUUUGUAUCUAAUAGAAUGAAUGCACGUUCAUCCUUCUACACGGAGUGCGAAAAGAAGUUCCAUUAGGUGGAUGGCAAUGUUCAUUCCUUACACGACUAAAGACCAAAAAAAAAACACUGGGAGACCAACAUCUCAUUUGAUACCUUAUAUAAGCAAUAGACUAUAUUUCGGUCUUCAGUCAUUGCGUUCAAUCCAAAUUACGGUUUGUGAAGGACAAUAAAGGAAAGGUAAUAUAUACUCCCUCCGUUCCAAAUUGUAAUUCAUUUUAACUUUUUUAGAUGCAAAAUUUUUACUAUGCACUUAGAUAUAGUAAAUAUUUAGAUAUAGUAAAUAUCAAGAUGCAUAAUAUUAUCUAUGAAUCUAAAAAGUCAAAACAACUUACAAUUUUACUUGCGGCAACUUGCGGCGGAGGGAGUAGUACAGCAUUAUUAGUUUCGAAGAGCAUUCUGUAGCUUAUCUACUGAAGUCAUCGAUUGUGCUACUUAUUGCUACUAUAGAUAGGAGGGGCCCACCAGGCUGAUGGGAGAGAGAAAGAGGCUCAAAGGUCUAGUUCAGAUCCGGAAAGAAUGGUUAGCCUCGGCCAGAAAAAAAAAAUUCACAUUUAGAUUCUCUGGAAAUAGCAUUUAGUCAGUUACUGAAAGGGUUGAGGUUAGAUAAAACUGAAGAAGCACAAAACUCGAAAAAGUAAUCUUUGUGAAAAAGGAUAUUGAAUUUCAGGGCAUUAUAUGUAGCAUUUAAAGUGGUUAUGAAAAGUUUGUUUAUUGUACAUGUUGCAAAUUUACAUCCUCAAUGAUGUCAAAAUGGUGUGAAACGGGAAAUGAAAAUUCAUGUAUAGGCCGGAUCAAUUUGGUGCCUAAAACCGCUAUACAGACUAGACGCAAAAUCUCAGCAUAGAGUAUACUCGCAAUCAAGAAGGCGGGUCAGGAUCUCUUGGCAGCUUGGACGCCUCUCCGGUUCUGCCCAGCAAUCUGUUAAACAAGGAUAAAGCAUGAGUAGGUCAACAUUAGGUGCCGGAAUAGAAUUCUGGAAAAUCAGUGUACUUGCAACGGUCACAUAAAUUUGUUUAGUUGUUUACUUUUUAGAACAUGUUGGUGACACACAAUUCAAAAGUGAGAUUUGAUAAAUGUAUGUCUGAACUCUAGGUUGCUGAUAAUGCUCCCUCUGUUCGUAAAUGUAUGAUAUUUCGGACAUCAACAUGGCCCCCAACACAAACAUUUGACCACCAAUUUUUGUAUGAAAAUGAUUCAGAAAAUUACUAUAUUAUAUGAAACUACUCUUCAAACAAAUUUAAAGGCUGUGUCCAUCUGAACAAUUCAAAGAGUUUUUCUUAAAUCCACAGUCAAAGUUAAAAGGUGUUACUGCACGCACACGCAUUCUAGCACGUGAUACAUUUCUUGAAAAUAGAUUUCACAAAAUAGAUUCACCUUCACCCGUCUCUAGAGAGUGGGAAUUUCUCGUAUGUAAUGCUUGAAAAUUGCAACAUGUAUCAUGCAUGACCACUAUUAUGUAUUAUUUCACAAACUACUUGGAAUUUGGAAUGUUGGAAUCUAGGCAAACCACAAUGGAGAUUCCAAAUUGAUGCAGGAUUGUACCAACCAACCUUUCAUAGAAGGAACACAAACCAUACCUGCUAUCAAGCUUCCAAGAGGUCCAUCUGGUAUUUCCAGUCUCGCCCCAUCAUUCGCAACAGAGUAAACGAUCUAACAUGUAGAUCAGGAGACAACAUGAUUGUGAGUUGGUUGAAUUUAGUCACAAUUUUAAAAAAAUACAAGCCUUGGAAAAUUAUGGUGGCUACCUGAACAGGUGGUAUUCCUUCCCAAGGUCUACUAAGAGUGCAAAGCUCCCACAUGAUAACCCCAAAGCUGAAGAUGUCACAUUUUUCUGUGAAUGGUUCAUUGCGAAUGAGCUCAGGAGCCAUCCACUCUGGAGUCCCCGCAGAUGAGUUGUCAUCCAUUGACAAAUCGGACAUUAUUCGAGAGAGCCCAAAGUCACAUAUCUUGACUGUCCAGUAUUUGUUAACAAGGCAAUUUGCACUCUUGAGAUCACGGUGAACAAUCUUCAGUCGGUGCAUGCACAUGAGGCCCCUUGUACAACACGGAAAUAAAGAACAUAAAGGGAGGAUAUAGCAAGGGUUAAACCAUCUGAAAAACUACAUGCAUUGAACAGUCCAGAUAACUAGAGGCAUUGAACAUGCUCACCUACAGAUAUCACGGAGCAUCUUUAACCUCCUCUUCCAAUGGAGCUUAAUUUUAUGCGUUUUUGAAUGAAUCAAACUGUACAAAGAGCCCAAUUCCAUGUACUCAGUGACUAGGGAUAAGUGAGGAGGCUUCAUGCAUGCACCAAGGAAGAGUAUGACUGCAGUCCAAAGCAACAUAAACAUAUUUAGCAUACUCUACAGAAUGUAAUAUAAGUUCUUUUCUUUAUGAAAUAGGAACCAGCAAUCCUGAAAAGGUUGUAAUCAAAAUUAACAAAUUGAAUUUCAAACUAAACUAAUGUAAGUUCAAUGUUGAGGCAGUACCAUUGGGAUGUCGAACUCGGCUGAAACAAAACGAGAAAAUAAUAAGAGGACAAUCUUUUAGACAACUCAUAACAAAAAGUCAUGGACUAAGAUAUAGGUAAAACCUAAGUAUUGAGAUCUCGUUGCAGAAAUCUUUCAUAUUCUCUGGUGUCAAAUCUUGCUCUAGGAAUACUUUUAUAGCUACGUCUGUUCCAUUCCAGAGGCCACGGAAGACUUCUCCGAAGAACCCUGAAUAAAAAUGCAGAUGAGUUACUACCCUAGAAUCAGGUGCCGCAUAAAGCAAACACAGAAUCUAUUACUUCAGAUUCAUUAUGAUUUUCUCGAUACUUCAACAAAUGGUAAUAAAGGAAGCAUAGCUUCUGAUGAUGCACCUGCCUUUAAGAGACUUCAGAUGAUGCAGUGCUUCCAAAAUAUAGCAAACAUUAGAAAACAGGAAAGAUUACUUGCCUACUCCCACACGAAUGCCAACAGUAAUCUCUGAAAACUCAAUGCACCAUUCCUCAUAUGGCAAUAAAGGCUUGUUCAGAAAUGGUGAAGAUUGCAACACCUUAUUCCAAGUUGACAUCAGAUCAGCUUCUGUAAAGUCAGAUGGGCCCCUGAGGUCAGAGGCAAGGAUACUUGACCUAUGGGGUGAUGAAGGUAGUGACACUGCUUUCUGACUAUUAAUUUGUCUUCUCAAACCCUCCAGUGCGCUUGGUCGUCUUAUAGACACUUCAUCAUCAUUGGAGUCACCAGCAGUCUCCUAUAUAAAGUAUGGGCCAUAACAACAAUUAAACCCAAAACUAAGUAAUUCAGACCUUCCGAUUGAUUUUGGGUUUACUGAAUAAAAGAGCGCAGACCAUUUUCUAGUAUAAGUAAUAGAUCAAGAAAACUUUAUUGAAAAUCAAAAGAAGACAUGUCAAUAAACUAGAAGGGCAGCAAGGAAAAAUAACAAGCACAUAUGAAGGUGUUCAGAAGGAACAAGUGUGACCUUAAAGCAUCACAGAAGUGUAUACAUGGUUAUAUGCAAACCAAAAGAAAGCAAGCACAAACUAAAUGCAGAUGCACUUGUGAAAUGCAAUUCUAAGAGGGAUGCUGAAUCCUGGUCCAGUUUGUGAUCACUUCAAUGCUGGUCUAUCUGGCCAUGGAUUUGCCCCCUUGGGCCAUUAAGGGAGUCGACAAGCUAAGAAGAGGAUUCCUCUGGAGAGGAAGGAGGGCUGGGGGGGGGGGGGGGGGAUCUCAAAUUUGCAAAAUCUUGAUUGGGCUCUCCGGAUGAGAUGGUUAUGGCUUUAGAAGACAGAUCCCACUCGCCCAUGGGCCACAUUUCAGGUUCAAGUUCCUCCCUGUGUUCAUGCUUUCUUCUCUAUAGCUAUUGUGACUGAGGUUGGUGAUGGAAAGAGCAGCUUAUUCUGGUGUGACCGCUGGAUUCAUGGCCAACAGAUUAUCAACCUCACUCCACAAGUUCAUGCCUUGGUCUCCAAAAAGAAGAGCUCAUAAACGAACAGUGCAAGACGCCCUAUCAGAUCACUCAUGGGUCUCGGACAUUCAAGGCGCCUUGACAGUGGGUGUGCUCUCAGAAUAUCUGGCUCUCUGGGAUUUAAUCAGUGAGAUGGUGUUGCAGCCUGAUGUAACUGAUACCCAUGUAAAUUUGCAUGGUCUGAAAUUCUGAAUAGUAGGGUUCACAAUGUGAGACAGCACUCGACUAUUUGGCAUUGGUGCAUUGCUGUCUAUGUACUGAUGCUAGCACAAGUGUGGAACUGCACAGGUACAUGAAAAUUUAAAAUAUUUCAUGUUAUCUGAACUAUCCUGCGCAAGCAGACAAAAGCUGCUCUGGACAUUGGCAAGGUAUGAGGCAAAACUAUGGCCACCAGUAGAAUCUAGUGAAAUAUAUUGUAACAAGCACCAUUUUGGAUAACUGCAUGGUCUCCAGGAUGUAACAUUGGGCACCAAUGUCCAUUGUAUCAUAUAUAUAAAAGAUGCAAUUACAAUAUAAUGAACUUGAAAUAAGGAUGCAGCACAACCAGUUCUUUACUUUUAUAACACCAGUAUUCUGAACAUCUGCAAGAUUAAUUUGACAAGUUUCUACAAUUUGUAUACUGGAAUUUGGUAGAAUAACAAUGGUAUAGAGGUAUUUAGAAAAAUGAAAUGGAGAGACAUAGAAAUGCCCUGGGAUAGCAAUAUACUUGAGAUAGUAACAUACGUGUUUAUGUGAAUCAUUUGAAGGUCCAAGACUACCAUCAUUCUGCCCCCUUGAAAGGCGAUUUUGUCUCAUGCUUUCACUCAUUGCUCGAACAGCUCUGCAAACAAGCAAAACAUACUUCUAUGUCAGCCAGGACAGAUAAUGUCCCCUAAAGAAUGAAAAAAAUACUUGCAAACUAGCUUGUGGCCCAUUAGCCAAAGCAAUAAGAUGCAUGUGACAGUUCUGUGAUUAAAGAAAAAGCUAAAUGGUACAGAAGUGAAAAGACCACAAGGAAGAUUGAACUUUUCAUCAUGGUCACUAGAAAGGAAAUACAAUAGGUGGUCCGAUGCAGAAAUGCGAGUUAUAGGACUGAACUUUGGAUUAAAAAUAAAAGGAAACCUCAACAUAGAACACGCACUAGAAAGAUAAACUGUUGUAUAGACAUAAGUUACUGAAAUAUAAAUUUAUGAUAGACGUGAAACAUAAUGUUAAUAAACAGCUACUCUUUGUUGUUUUUUAUUGGCAAAAUAGCCAUUUUGGUCCCUUAACUUUACCCUGAGUUCGUCCCUCAACUUCUAAAAAGGUCAAUCUAAUCCCUCAACUUUCGUUUUUGGGUCAAACUCAUCCUUUUUCUGAUUUUGCCCUCCAUACUGAUAUGAGACUAAUGCGAAAGUCAGUUUAGCCCUUAGCUUCUCCCCCCUUAAUUUCUGUCAUCCAAUGGACACAUGUCGUAUAAAGUGAAGCUAUCGUGGCUGGAAGGCUACUUAGUUAGAUUGGGAAAGUUUCGUCUGACAACGGCUGCGAGUUGAAAUGUAGAGGGCAUCAACCAUGAACUGAAACGCAUCACCGGAGUAGCGGAAUACCAGCUGGCACCACCAGUUCAACUGCAUAUUCUCUAGUAUUAACUUAGCUUGGCAAGAUAGAUGAAUGCCCGAUGCCAAUUAGUAUUUGUGUAGCUUAUUAUGACUGCUAUGAUGUCGUAUACAUUUUUUUAAAGUUGUCAAACUUAUUCCAUUUUCCGUAUGACUGUCUUUGCUUGAUGAUUUAUUUUGACCUCCUAGCUUAUCCGCACCCAGCUCCUUCUGUGCAGUGGCGGAGCUAGGAGUGAAAUCGGGGGGGGUGGAGGGCAAUUCCAGGCUAAUGGCUAAUCUACAGUUAUAUGCAAGGGCACGUUGUAGUUCCAAAGCUGGUCAUAUGGAUUGUGUGUAGACAAUAGGCACACCGGCAUAUGCAUAUAUAUUUUUUAUUAAUUUGUGAUCUACUAGUCAUUAGAUAAGUGACAUAACCACAAUACAAUGAGACAGUGAGCAGCUUAAGAAGGGAUCGAGUUGCAUGCCUGUAUGUGCUCCUGCUAACUAUUACCACAGUGCACGCAUUGUGCGUUGUCCUUGAAGAAGACGGUAAAUAUGCAAUUUUAAGAAUAGUUCAGAUGAUCCAUGUGUAUCUAAUGCUAGUUGGAGGUGGGUUAGACGUAUUCUAAACUAAAUACACCUGGUGUAUGAACCCUCAGAUUCCAUAACAACAAAAGGGUCCCAAAAAUGCAAUGAAUAAGUAGAAUAUAGUAGCGAGGUACCUAUUAAUACAGCUAAUGAAUGGGAGAAUGUGUGGUUUGUGGGAGAGAGAAUGCAUUUAUGCAUGUGGCCAUGCACAACAAUGGAUGUGCUCUCUAGUUUAGGCAUGCAAGCAGCCAUGGAGGCGUGUGCUUUCUUUGAAAAUUGCUCUACAGCAAGAGGGAGGGGGGGUAUGGCCCACUAUGGCCCCAACGUAGCUCCGCCGGUGCUUCUGUGUCCUGUGCGUGGUUGUGCUGCCAUGGUCUUAGUGCUUCUUCUGUGUGUUGUUAGAUGGACUGCCAUCUUCACAGUGCUGGAAGAAAUUGAGGGGAAAAUAGCUCAAGGGUAAAAUUGACUUUUCAUAUUAGUGUCAUAUCAGCAUGGAGUGCCACAUCAGUCCAAGGACAUGUUUGACCUAAAAACUAAAGUUGGGGGACUAAAUUGGCCGAUUUUAAAGUUAAGGGGCGAACUUUACCCUUGGAGCAAAGUUACAUGACCAAAACAGCUAUUUUGCCUUCUUUUUAUUCGUUUCGUUAUUUGUUUAAAACAGGGCAACAUUGUCCUAUUGCGUCUUAGAAGGCAACCAAGGUUUUAAUGAACUUGUGUUGUAGAGUAAUAAAACUAAAAGCACUACAUUUUCACAGGACUUAGCAGCUGACCACAUUUUGAGACAAAUCUGGUAGUUCAGAGAGUUGAAAUCAUCUUUGCCAACCUCACAAUAUCAUCACUGAUUUCAGGGGUAAUACUUAUACUUCUUCUCCGUGCUCUACGUGUAUUUGAUGUUGAUGCGCCAUCUGACCUAUGAUCAAGCAAGACAUGUUUAAUUAGGACAAAAUAAAGCAGUACUACCUGAUUAAAAUAUUGACUACACUAGUGUUAAAGCAUUUAUAGCCAAGGGUAACCUGGCUACCAAAGUUAAGCAUAAGUUCUAUUUUUUACUGCUAUAAAAGAUUUGGUUGCUGAGUCCUUUGUUUAUUUCUUCCUCCCCAUCCCUCACAAAACAGCAUGCAACUACCGGGCAUUCUGGUAAGUGGUCCCCUUCCACAAAGUUGAAAAAAAAAGUUUAAAGGACAAGAGAAAAUAUGUCUCGAACAAAGAAACUAACUUCUAAAAAAUUGUAAUCUUAUCCCAACAACUUUUACAUAGUGAGAGGGCUGAGCCUAUAAUGCAACCUAGGCAUGUCAGCGUAGGCGCGAUACAUGCAAGCAGCAGAUCUCAGCCAAGAGCAGUAGCCGCAAUGACGCACUGUGUUAGCAAGCACAACAUUGAAGGCAUGAUAAAGGCCAUGGCCGAACUGAGGAGCACAUGCCAACCCAGACACAGUGGUUUACUUGAUGGAAAGAUUCUUUUCUAUCUUUAGUGGCACAUGAUAUUCAGCUUUACAUCAUAGAAAGGUGAGAUAAAUUUGCUUAGGCUCUAUUUGUCAAACAUGAGAUAGCAGGUAUGGUUUUGUGGUUACAAAAAUUUGAUGCUCAUGUUGGAGCCAACAAUUUCACAGAUUUGCAGAAGUUCAAGUUAUACUCCACUAGAUGCCUUCUCCAUGGAUCAAGAGUAUAUUUUGAGAAGAGAAGAGUAGCCACGACAAAUAAGAUGAGUAUUGGUGUUAUGAAGAAAGAGCAACCAAAAUGUUUGUUUUUUGUAAAAAAGAAAAGAAAAUGUUAGCAAUGAACAUGUGGAUCCUGCAGCCUUGUGAUUGAGGUGCGCCAACAAGGAUCAGACUCGGUAGCCACACAGGUCAAAACCGGGUCAAUUUGGGAAUUUGGAGUUAGUUGCAUUUGUUUUGACAUUUCAAGGAUGCAAAUUAUACAGUAUUGGAGCUUAGUGUGUCGAUAAACAUUUUUUCAUGUUUCUACUCAUGAUUUUUUCACACCAUAUGGCAUCUGCUGAGGCAUCACAGAUGCAGCAUUAGAUGCUUUGUUUAGGAACGAAAGCAAUGAGAUCAGAAUUCAGAAUUUGCCUCUUCUGGUUAGUUCAGAUUGAAAAGAAAAUACACAACAGAGACUUACUGAGGUACCUUGACACAGCUACACUGUUACCGUAUUGUCUGUCACCCAGCAUUGAGCGCCCACGAACUCUGGACAAUGGAUGCUCUGGACUACAGGAACAAAGAAAGGAAUUUGAGGAAAAAGCAAUCUUAUCUGUGAAGGACUCAAUGUUCUAGAUUGGAAUGUGUAUACAAACACGGGGGGAAAUAUCACAUAUAAUGUAGUACUCCCUCCCGUCCCAAAUUACUAUUCGUUUUGGCUUUUCUAAAUGCAUAACUUUUGCUAUGUAUCUAGACAUAGUAUAUAUCUAGGUGCACAACAAAAGGCUAUGUACCUAGAAAAGCCAAAACAAAUAGUAAUUUGAGACGGAGGGAGUAGAAAAGAGAUAAAUAAGUAGCAGGAUAAAGCCUCCAUAUAAAACUCAAAACAAGGAAAUUUGCACUUACAGCACCUUUACUUCUCUCUACUCAUUUUAGUCACUUGCUGUACUUCUAAAUCAACCUUAAUUUGGCCCACCUUAAUGUUUGAUACAGCUAGUUUAUGUCAUACCAACAUGCCACUGGCAAUAGAUAUGCUUCUUGGAAUUUCAAACUCCAAGAGAUAUUCAGUUACAAAUUUAUAUUUAUUAUCCCAUCCAGUUUUUUUAUACUUAUCCCAUCCAGUUAAAGUAGAGCCGUCCUUGAAUGCAUGGAAUCUAACUAAUUAAAAUUUGAACUACUAGACCUACAUCUUUACAAAUACCAUUGGAUCAGUUAUAAGAAAAUCAUCAGCGGAUUUGCCUCCAAAAAUACUUUCAUUUAAGUUUAUCAUAUUUACAACUACGUUAUAAUCAUUUUUUAUGAGUGACGAUACAUUUAUACUGACAUAAUUUUCAAGCGGCCCAUUUAAUGCAUGCAAAAAAUCAAAGUUUGACUGCACACAUUGGUGGUGCCAGAAACAGAUCACGCAUGUAGCUGCAUCAGUACUUUUUCCCUAGGUCCUUUGUAUGUUUUAAAUUUUUAUGGAAUUUUGGUACGCUUAUGGAUGGAACCCCAGCUGCCCUUGGCCUAGAUCCACCAGUGUGUGGACAUUCAGGGAUAGGCAGUACGAGUUAUGGCAACCUAGCAGAAAAUAACUGAAGGCAAACUUGUUCUUUGUCCAUCCAAUGACAAUUGCUACUAAGAAACGACAUCAAAAUGAGAACCUUGAACUUGCAGUUCUUUGAUGUUCGUCCACAAUUUUCUUCCGGCUGCGACCGCAGAAGGCAUUGGCAACAUUUGGAUCACUAUGUGAUGAACUGGAAAAGCACAACGAAAAAAAAAUUCUGGUGAGUAAUUUUGCAGCUAAGUGGACAAUGAGAAAAUCAGUACACACACUAGGGUGCAAAUUGGUGCCCCUAAGGGUCACUACAGACCCUCUUUACUUCAACUAAUAGAAUUACUUUUCCUUUUCCAAAAUGUGGCGCAUUUUGGAAAACUUGUUCUAUUAAUGGAACUAAAGAGGGUCGGUGGUGAACAUAGGGGCACCAAUUCGCACCUCUAGUAAACAUGAAGGCAAAAGAAACUAAAAUCACUGAACAAGCUUGAUUAUGGCUUACCACCUCAUUUUACCCUCCAUAGAAUUUGUUGAUUUGAGCAUGAUGUUUCUUAGAGAGGGGACUUUGAAGGAUCUAUUGCUGUCAUCUUGCUCUUGCCUGAAAAAGAGACAGGGGUUGCUUAUAGUGCUCACCACAGAUCAAUAAACCAUGGCAAGGAAUUUCAAAGUAAUGUCAAUUUAAUUCCACCUGGAAAUGUUCGAUUUACAGUUGUUAAAUGUUCCCAAAUAUCAAGUUGGCAACCAAAAUACCAUUUUAAGUUUCGAACAGCGCUUAAAGCACAAAAUACCUCAAAAGCAGAAGUACAAAAGUAAAAUAAUGGUGCUUCGAAUAAGACAAGUUAAGACAACACAGAAGUUCUCAACAUUUCAUUUAAACAUUUUGAAAAAGGAAGCUGGAGUAAAUUAAUAUAAAACAAGCAGGUCUCAAAAAGUUAAAAAAAAAACAUCAGCUACAAUAUUAAAAGUUCAACAACAACAUUAAACAUUUUGAAGAAGUCAAUGUUCUACCUGCUGUUCCUAUACACCUAAAAGUUAAGCACUGUGCCAAUGGUAGUAAACCUAUCAGUUCCGAAUAGGCGAAUACCCGCACUGUGAAUGUGUAGCAUUCCAGCAGCUUGGGUUCUGCAAAUUAGCAGAUGCUGAGUUGGGAAGUACUGACCCCCUGGCACUGAUUUAAAAUUCUAUACACAUGGUUCAAAACUAAAUAGCAUAUAGAUGUAGUUCAUAUUGAUACAUUAAUACUAGAACAAAGGGACCAAACAACACUACUAACAAAUAUCACUAAAAUGGAAAUGCACAGGUAUACCGUUGAGCACAUAGGGGACUAUUCGGUUCAAGAGGAGAAUCACAGGAAUCAUAGUCAACCGAAUCACUCUCUCCAGCUGCAGAUAUAUGGGAUGUGAUGACAGCCUUGGAUGAAAAUGGAACUAAUUGUCCUGGAAAACGCAUCAGGUCAACUAGAAACUCCGCAGAUUUCAGCAUGACCACAACAGACAUAUGUUUGGACGAAUCGUCAUAUCCAUGGGGUUCUUCAUUUGGAAUGCCCUGAGUAAAAUAACAUAUUGGUUUAGGGUUAAAGAGUUCCAUUAGAAGAGAUAUAUAUUGUUUCAUAUUCAGGCAUUUGGAAUGCCCUGACAAGUCAAAUAACAUAUUGAUUUAGGGUUAAGGAGUUCCAUUAGAAGAGAUUAUUACUAUUUCAAAAUUCAGACAUAUUGAUGGAAGGUAAAUACAUACCACCAGCAGUUUAGAGUCUAUACCAACAGAGUCAGCAAGGACUUUAAAUAAUAUAGCUCUGGGCCUGCAAGAUCCAUGUCUGAUAUGUCCCAGCAAUUGAACGCCCCUGUUUUCUAAGAAAUGAGAAAGAUCUUCCGAGGAAGUUCUUGCAGGACUGAGAUGCGGGUUUGGUCGCUUGUAGAAGUCAGAAACCUGUAAUUAUCAUUAAACUGUGAAGUUGAUUAAAGAGAAGUAAAUACUUAAUAUGGCAUUUAUAUAGGCUGGAAGAAUAAAUAGUUAAUCAAUGGUUGGAAAGAAUCAUUCUUACUUCAAACACAAGUACAAGCCACUAAACACAUAAACCAAAGUAAUAGAAUGGAACAGUUCCAACAAGAUUCUUAGAAGAAAAAAAAGUUCCAGCAAGGAAAAAUUUGUGCAAAUCAUUUCAAGACAAUCAACUACAAGGAGGUUGAAUCUUGCGGAACUCUGGAGGAAGAAAAACUGCCAUAAUCAACCUACAUUUUGUAAAGGAUCUCGAAGAGAACUUACCAAACCUGCAACCUUUUUUAUUAUGGCAGCAGGAUUUGAAUUCAGUCCUUUUACCAGCGCUGUGCAUAGCUGCUUUAAAGCAGAUAUCUUUUUAUCUCUUUCUAUGUCCACAAGGAUAAUCUCAGCCUUAAAUCCUUCUAUUCCAAGAGAAUAAAGGUCAUCCGGAGAAGGUAUGGUGUCAAAACGCUCCUUGAGUCUCUUUUCCUGCAAAGUUCAGAGUGAACGGAUGAACUAAAAUGUCAAAAAUAAGUUACUCAUAAUCUUUUUACAAGCUAAUGUCAUAAAAAGGCUUCGCAUACCGGAAUAAUGGAAUAAAAACCAUUGGGUAUUGGACCUGAUAGAGAUCCAGUAGACCAUAAUGUCUGAGCAGCCUGUAAUGAAUGGCCAGCCUCCCUACAAUAAAGGGAAGAAUCCAAAUUCUUUUCCUGUUUAGUCAGGGAAAGGGACUGGACCUUGUGAUCCAAAUGGGAGGGCCAAUUCGAAUCUGAAGAUUGUGUCUGGGAUCUCCCUUCAUCCCCUGGCAGAUCAUCCAUCUCCAAAAUAUGUUGAAAUAUAGAAUCAUUUUGCUUCAAUUAUCAUCCUUCAAGGCCACCCUAUGUUUAAAUGGCAAACAAAUAAAACAUAAUAUCUUGACAAUUCAAAUUUGAGAUUGCGAGAAUUGUUUUUCAAGACAGUGGUGAGGCCUCGAAUUUACUACCAAAAAAAAAAUUGCUUACGAAGUUCCAGAACAACAUUCAAAAGAAAAGGUCUAUGCUAGCAGGGGAGUAUCGGAUCACAUUAACAUAUUCAUACAGACUGGAUGUUACUGUUUACCAUGUACAAACAAUAAUAUAAAUGCACCGAGUACAUCUCUAUCAACUUGAGACCAGGGUUUGAGUCACGAUUGUAGCAUUCUGAUUUAUGUUCAAAACUUGAAAUAUACGUGUCGUGGAUUGCUGAAUUCAUAUUCAAUUGCCAAAUCAAAGUGUGGUACCUUUUCAUGUUACACAUUCCUGUACUGAACAAACAGAACUAGGCAGAAUAUGAUCAACAUGCGGAUAAUCCAAUUGCUCCAGCAUGCUCUGAACAUGUUGCAUGUAUGUUGCUAGCAAAUAGAUCAUAGAUAGCAUUGUUAUCGUGAAAUCUUGAUUUCCUUGUUAUGAUUUUAGUUUACCAAUGCUACUCUGCCACAAAUAAGAAUUAUCGUGGGAACCAAUUUACCACUAACUAUUGAAGCAUCAACAUCCUUAUUUGCUCUAAGUUUGACUCCUAAAUAGAGCAUCUAUGCUUUGCCACAUCACCAGCACAACUACAGUUUCAUCAGAUCAAACCUCAAAGGAAUUUAAAUCAGGUUCAUCAAUGGAUGUUUUGUUAGACAUGAUUCGGCUGAAAUGGUGGAAGUUUGGUAGUCCAUAUGCAUGCACUUUUACGGCACCAUUCAAAAGAAAUUAUUCAUAGCCGCUGCAAAGCAGAGGCAAUAUGGUAGCAUUAAUCUAUUCUUGUUGAUACAACUGAAGGACUUUGCACCAAAGAAUCAAUAUUUGCAUUAUCAUGUAAACAACCCCAAAGUCCCAUACUUAUUUUCAAACUUCAAAGUUACCAAUAUUCCCUUAGACCAAUUUCCAUGAGUGUUUUUCACAUGGAACAACUGAUACAUUCUUUUUGUCUAUCCCAAUUAAUGUAAAAGCUAUGUCAAUAGAAAUUGUUUUUCAUGGUACUGAAAGCUUAUCGCAUGUUUAGUCAGUACAAUUGAAACACAGAUACAUUUGGUACUCCUCUAAAUUUUCUUUUCACAUAGGAGCAGAACUAGAAACAUACUCUGCAAAGGUUCAGACUUCACAGAUGUGUUGAUUAUACAGAUAUAUUUAGAGAGAACAAUCACUUCACCAAAAUUUGUCCAUUAAAACAUCAGGAAUUCACAAGUCAUAGACUCAUGGCAUCCAAGUAACAGAGAAUAAAGUAUGCACGCUAGAUACAACAUUUCAGGACUUUGUGUUCUCAUUCAAAUCAAACCUCGAAUAGGAUAAUGCAAAAUUGUUGCCAUACUUCAGAAUUUGACAUGUUGACCAAUUAACUGUAGCCUCGUAUCUGCAGCACACCUAAAUUCUAAAGUUCCCAAUGUCGCUUCCACCAGAGAUUAUAAAGCCAACCAUUAUCAAAAUCCACACACCAAUCACUAUCAAGCUCCACAACUAACUUAGGUUCCGCAAGAGAGAGAAAGGGGAGGGGUGAUGUUACAGCCAAGGUAACCAGGUGUGAAUGUUUGAUCACAUCAACCUAACCCCAUGUUUGACUAACCUGUACACCCAUCCAGGUUUUGGAGAACUAGUACGGACGCUGGGACACAAAACUAAGUCCAUGGUCAACUCUGAGCCAGUUAUCACUGUAACUACAGUUUAAACUGCACCAUGCUAAACACAGUGUAGGGAGGCAAGCACAGGUCUCCGGGCAAUCUGUAAUAGAGCAGUUAACCAGGCAAGCUUCCCUACGACUACUCUAUCUAGAGUCUAAACUCAGCAACAGCCAACGAGGUCAUACUGCCAAUGCCGCGACCUAAAACCCCUAAUCCUUUCAAACCAACGAGGGUUGGUGCCCUCUCACAAGUCAGCAGCCUCGGUUGACCUCCCCCGCAACCAUCCAGCGCAGCCACCCUCACUCCAUUGGAGCUCCCCGCAUCGAAUGACGAAUGCACGCAAAGUCAAACCCUCGCGGCGUUGACCAAAAAGGUGAACACAGCAUUGCCCGCUAGGACGCUACCACCAUUUCCCCCGCUCCCCACGUCACCUCGGAAUCGAAACCGAUUGACCCACCGAAUCCCGCACCCGCCACGGAGCACGCCCGCCCAUCGAUCGAGCCCGCAGCAACGGCCGCAUUCGGAGGGAACAGAGCGGAUGGAGGAACAGACCUAUGGCGCGGGCGGCGGAGGCUCGCCGCGGGAUCCCCAGGCGCACGGCCGCGCGAAGCGAAACCCAAGUCCGGCGCCGCGGUUCGUGGGCGCGUCGCGGGCGAGGCGGGUGGGCGUGGUGGCGGUGGGAGCGAGGCGAAGGCGUGCGAUUGAGCCGAAGGAGGGUGGAGAAGGGGAUCUCGUGAUGUGAUUAAUUAGCGCAGGUGGGGGAGUGGGCGGCGCUGCUUGCUUUUAAUCGUGGUUAGGGAUUGGUUCACGAGGCGCGCGAGAUGCGAGAGCGACUUGCCUCCGGCGGGGAUUGGAACGGGCGAAUGGCGGAGGAGCCGGACACCGGAGGAGGAGAGGCUGCCGGUGGGGGCCAGUCGGCUAGAUGGGCCUGCGGCGUACGAGUUUCGAGCCCGGCGGUUAUGAUAGGCCAGAGAGUUGACUUGAGAACAACACUGGGCCGACUUCUCACAUGGGACGGACAAAAAAAAAAAGAAGAAGUUUGGGGGGAAACUUCCUAUUGGGCCCCAUCACAAGAGCCCAGUAGGAGAAAUUCUGGAGUCGGAAAUCCUAUCCAUCUUCCGGAAGAAUUUUUUUUCCAAUCUUUAGGGUUCGUGUAGCCCUUCAAAACCGUUGGAUAUGUCUACUUUCCCCUCCUCAACUGAUAGCAUAGGACGCGCAUGCACCAGGCUGGAAAAGGGGUAGCAGCUUUUGUGGGAGGCUAGUAUACACGUGUUACUUAGAGCAACUCCAAAAGUAUACUAAAAAAUUCUUCCCAAAACUAUGUAGGGGGGUUCUCCCAAAAAAAAUUUUCCCCAAAAACAUAUCAGUCCACAGCAGAUCGUUAAUAAAUAGCCCCCAAUAUUUCAAACACACGCCACGUAAUCGUAUUGGGCCCAUGGGAAGGGACGCGCGGGCGUGCGGGAAUCAAGAUUGGGAGAAAAACGCCAACGCUAAAAUAUACGCGGUGGCAGGUUGUUUUUUAGUGUCGCUAAAAAAUUGGGGAAGGUUUAGGUGGAUUGUUGGAGUUCAUUUUUUCUCUCUUUUUUUCCUAAAAAAGGUAUUGGGGUAAGAUUAGCAGCUUCUUGGAGUUGCUCUUAGAGGUUGGCCCUGUCGGUGAAAGAUUCGAAAAAAAGAUUCCUUUUCGAUUUAAAACUUCAAACAUGUUUUUCUCUUAAACUGUGAAUUAUUUUUCGAAACCGUUUAAACCACUGUGUGUUUCUGAGAAUUAAUCUAACAUAAUGAGAUCCAAUAUGAAUAUAUUUUAUUAAUUUUUAAAAUUCAACAUUUUGGAUGAACUAACCCAACAUUUUAAGUAUGCUAUUUCAACAUUUUCACAUUGUUAAUGUUGAAUUAGUUUAUUUAAAAUGUUGAUCUUGAUUGGAAAAAAUGUUGAUAAGUCAACAUUUUGGAUGAACUAACUCAACAUUUUGAGUAUGUGAUUUCAACAUUUUCACAUUUUUUUAUGUUGAACUAAUUUUAUUUAAAAUGUUGAACUUGAUUCGAGAAAAUGUUGAUAAGUCAACAUUUUGGAUGAACUGACUCAACAUUUGAGUAUGUGAUUUCAACAUUUUCACAUUUUUUUAUGUUAAACUAGUUUAUUUAAAAUGUUGAACUUGAUUCAAAAAAUGUUGAUAAGUCAACAUUUUAGAUGACUAACUAAGUAUGCUAUUUCAACAUUUUCACAUUUUUUAUAUCGAACUAGUUUAUUUAAAAUGUUGAAUGAACUAACUCAACAUUUUGAAUGCUACUUCAACAUUUUGAGUGCCAUUCAACAUUUUUCUCAUAAAAUGUUUAACUAGUUUAUUUAAAAUGCUGAACUAGGUUUGAAAAAGUGUUAAUAAGUCAACACUUUGGAUGAAUUAACUCGAUAUUUUAAGUAUACUACUUCAAUAAUUUUCAGUACGCUGUUUCAACUAGUUUAUGAAAACGUUGAACUUGGUUUAAAAAAUGUUGAUCUUAGUAUUUAAAAUGUUGACUAUAUAAUUUAAUAUUUUAAAUGUAUUGGAUCAUAAAAUGUUUGAAUAUAAUAAUGAGUUCAAAUGCUACAAUAAGCUAUAAGAUUUACUAUUGGCUUUCGCUGCAAUUUUAAUUCAUAAAUGUAAUGCACCCUUUCUCCAGUUUUUUGUUUAUGACAGGUUGAUUUGCUACCAUUACGCCAGAAAUUUUUAUUCCAACUCCUGUCUUAUAAGUGCAACAAAUUUCAUGAAAAGUUCAUCGACAAGCUACUUUAUUUCAAAUGUUAUUCUCUACCUUUUGUUUCUAGGUUUGUCACAAGUUUCCUAUCAAUGAUUAUCUAUGUUUUAUACUUUAAAUGUUAUGAUAGAAAAACUGCAUCUUUCUAACAUUUUGUUACCAUUACAGGACUAGUAAAUGUUUUCAACAUUUCUAACUACAUGUUCACUUUUUUAUGAUGAAUGUUUCCAACAUUUGUUAAUUACCACUAGAUAUGAAGGUCCAACAAUUUUAGCAUAUGAUGCGCAAGAGUCGAUUGGAUCUACUACUGGAUCGGGUUAUUUACCGUGAUCAUGUGUUUCGGUAAAAUGGCUGAAAUGGUACGAUCUCGGAUUGAGGCGAAUUUUAUAUGAAAAUUGAUGUACAGAAAAAGUUACACAUGAAAUCCAACCACUUCUCCAUUUUCGAUGAAAUCAGAUUUCCCAAAUUCGGCUUGAAAGAUGGAGUUUUGGGCCGUUUAAGUUUGGAAUGUUAGAACACCUAACUCUAUUUUGCAGGAUUUUGUGAUCGGUAUGGCCCUUGUGUAUGUGAUGCAUGUGUGUAACUGAUUCGUGACCUGCAUGUCACGCAUAUCGCAAUACGGCUGGAGCCAUAUGUAUUGUCACCUUAAUGUAUUUCAUGGCCUACGUGCCAAUCUGUGAUGAUCCAAACAACUAUAUAAUUUUCUUUACUAGCUAUUAGAUGUAAUAGCGUGUACUAAUUCUUGGAGGACUUAUACUUGAAGGAUGGCACACAUGGAUCAUGGAGAUGGAGAUCAUCAUGGUGAACAGGUUCUGUGGAGAUGGAUAUCGCCAAUAGAAAUCGGGCCAUAUUGUGUCACAACUGUGUGCAUGCUAUUCCGUUUUGUUUUACUCCUACAUGUUGUGAUGUUAGAAGUAGAAUGAUCCCUCGCAAAUUUUAUGUUAGUAUGCCCUCCCAACUAAAACUUGCACCGUCCCAUGUCUUGUGCAAUUGGUGGUGGGUCUAUGAAAUUAGGGUGCCACUAGUUUUCCUUGACUAGAUGGGUUUGUAUCGGAUACUUACACGUAUAAGGGUUGGUUUGCUUAACAAGGUCAUCUUAACGGUUAAGAACCUUGGGGGCGCCGAGACAUGGAGAUGUCACCCAACAACGGGAAUCAUAUGUGAUAUGAUUAGCACAUAUGAUUAGCAAGAAGUUUGCUUACCAAUCUACCUUGCCUACUAGUAAUGAUGCUAAAGCUCACUAGUAGACUUGUUAGUUGUGGAUCCUGAAUCACUAAGUAUUAAUAGUGGAAUAUUGAUUUUAGUAGGAGUAGAUUCUGUUAAAUAGUUUAGUUUAAUGUGAUCUGCUUUGUCAUGGUUACUUUUAUCUUAGUAUUUUGUAUUAUUAUUUUGUUGUAGAUGGCACCUAGCAACACCACACUGUUUGCUUUGCGUUUGGUCCUUGAGAAGGACAAGUUGAAUGGAACAAACAACUCGGAUUUGAUCUGUAACCUGAGAAUUGUUCUCAGGACUGAGAAAAAGGAAGAUGUUCAAGACACCCCAUUACCAGAAGAACCUACUGAUGAUGCACGUGCUACUAUUUAGAAUGCUUACAAGAAAGCAUGUGAUGCUAACCUCGAAGUAAGCUGCCUUAUGCUUGCUUGCAUGGAACCCGAGCUGCAGAUGUAGUUCGAAACAAACCAUGAGGCGCAUGAUAUGAUCGUGGCGCUUAGAGACAUGUUCCAGACACAAGGCAGUACUGAAAGGUUCAAUGUGUCUAAGGCCUUUGUGGAGAGCAAGUUAGCAGAAGGUACAACAGUAGAACCACACGUAAUCAAAAUGGUUGGUUACACUCAACGGUUGGAGAAGUUGGGCUUCCCACUGGGCCAAGAGUUGGCCACUAGUUUCAUUCUUUCGUCUCUUCCGUCUAGCUGUGGGAACUUCAUCUCGAACUACCAUAUGCAUGGGACGGAGAAGGGUCUAAAUGAACUGUGUGGCAUGCUUAAAACAACAGAGGUUGGCAUUAAGAAAAGUGCUAGUAGCAGCCAUGUGAUGGCUAUACAGAACAAGCCUAGCUUUAAGAAGAAGGGCAAUUCUUGGAAGAAGAAGGGCAAGGCUGCCAAGCCAAACCCAGCGUCCAAGGUUAAAGCUGGACCUGUUCUAGACAAAGAGUGCUACACAAGGAGAAAAGUGGUUGCUGAAAGCAAGAAAUACUAUUGGUCUGCACCUUACCUAUAUAGAUAUGGAGCAGAUGGAGUAUUAAAAAGAUGCAUCCCAAGAGAAGGAAGGGAAGCAGUUCUUAAAAAAUGUCAUUCAUCAGAAUAUGGAGGGCAAGUGGAUUUUAUUGGCCAGAGAUGCAUGAAGAUGCAAAUAGAUUUGUUGCUACUUGCUCAGAAUGCUAAAGAACAGGAAAUAUUUCAGCUAGAAAUUCUAUGCCGUUGUACUACAAUAUGCAAGUAGAUUUAUUUGAUAUUUGGAGUAUAGAUUUCAUGGGACCAUUCUUAAACUCACAUGGAUUUAAGCACAUCUUGGUCAUGGUUGAUUAUGUGUCUAAAUGAGUAGAAACUAUUCCAUGUCGGAAGGCGUCAAUAGAAGAAUCAAUUCACAUUAUCAAGACUAUAAUAUUUCCUAGGUAUGGAGUGCCAAGAAUCUUGAUCAGCGAUCGAGGAUCACAUUUCACGGGAAAAGAUUUUGGCAAAUAUCUAUCAAAAUUGGGGAUUAAACAUAGAGUAUCUACAGUCUAUCAUCCUCAAACAAAUGGACAAGCGGAAAUUUCUAAUAAACAGCUGAAGGAUAUCCUGAAGAAGACGGUGAUCAAAGGAGGGAAGGAUUGGUCAAAGAAACUAGAUGGAGCAUUAUGGGCAUAUAGGACGGCUCACAAAACACCUAUAGGUAUGACCCAGUAUCAAUUCGUCCAUGGAAAAACAUGCCACCUCCCGUUGAACUCAAACAUAAAGCUUAUUGGGCUAUAAAGGAAAUGAAUCUUACUAUUGAUACUGCAAGAGUAAAAAGUAGAAUUUAGAUCAGUGAAUUAGAAGAGACGAGGCUUAAAGCUUACCACAGUGCAAGCGUUUAUAAGGAAAAGAUAAAGAGGUGGUUUGAUAAAAGGCUUCACAAGAAAGAAUUCAAAGAAGGAGACAAAGUGCUACCGUUCAACUCUAGGUUCAAACUCUUCGGUAAAGGAAAAUUGAUGAGCAAGUGGGAUGGACCAUACGUGGUUCAUUCUGUAUCACCUAAUGGAGCAGUAACGAUUAUGGACGUCAAAGGGGAUCAAUAUGUUGUGAAUGGAUAGAGACUAAAGGUAUUCUUGGAACCUGACGUCAUGCCUAUCAAUUAUAUUGACGUUUACACCAUAGAGGAAGAACGAUCAUGUCAAGCUUGAUGACACUAAAACAGGUACCUUGUACAUACUCUAUCUUACAUUCUGUUAUUUUCUUUUGAAUUUUUGUGUGGGACUUGAAAAAUUGAAUAUAUUUUUAGUCAUGCGCACUGCCACGAAAAAGCGGAUGGCAGAGGGGCCAGAAACCCCCAGGCCGAUCGACCUAGGAGGUUUUCACCUUCGAAUCAGUUCCCCUUUCCCAUCUUUGGUAAUGUCAGAAUAUGGAAGUGAAUUUUUGUGGGAAGGGGCGAGGAAGUUUUUGAAAAUGUGUGGAUCCUUGGCCAAGACUUCAAGAGUAUAUAAUGAGGCCAAUUGGAGCUUGAGUUUCGCAUCUAUACAAGCAAUUCAGAUCCACCCAAACCAGAAAAAAGUGCAAUGACGAUGACUAGGAGCUUAGGAGACAAGGGGGGCAGCAAUUGGCGAAGGAGGAGGCCAGGCCGAUCGGCCUAACCUCCCCAGCCUGAUUGGCACCACCCCCUCCCUUGACCACUGCCUUCGCCCUUCACAUGGAAGCUAAGAGGUGCGAGUUGGGUCCCAAAACUCCGCCAAGGACUGCUUGAAAUGCUCACAUCAGCGUUGGAGGCAAGGCGUUGUCUAGAAAGCUCACAGAUUGCAAGUUCAUCAUCCUCUCAAGUGAUGACGAAGUGCCAACAAAGAAGAAGGAGGCUGUCAUCACUCCCACAAGGCGUUCAGGAAGGCUCCUUAGGAUCAAACGCAAGAGCUAUGUGGUGAAGACGCUCAAGUACUCGCCAGCUGACUAUGGAGGUGAUAGCGACUGGAAGACGAUAGGAGCCCCGGAUUGUGGGGAAGAAAAGCAUGGAGGAAGAGGAACACCGUCAAGACAAGGGCAAAGAGAUGGAUCUAGAAUAAGAUGGGCCACAACCAAAGGAGCAUGAUCGUAUGUGUUGUACCGCUUGCAGGAAGAACAUCCACUACCUCUUCGACGCCGUCGAUGACAUCAUGGAGGCCUUGCAAGCUCUAGAUCAGAAGGUUGAAGACAGUGAUUGCCAUCAGGAGGACAACUUCAAGUUCUUAUAGAGGAACGUAAGGAAGCUCUUUGGUAUGUACGGCAAUAUGAGGAAGAAUAGAGCUAAUGGCGAAGGAAGUAGCAAUCGUCCCGUGUGCAAGCAGUGCGGGCAGCGUCACUAGUGUGUUUACAAGUGUCUCUCCCUUUGUACUUGAUUUGGUUAUGACAAGGACAUCGUAGAUUUUAAGUGUGGGGGGAGAGGGGAUCGCCACUCAUAAGGAGUUUUUUGAUCUAGUUUGGUUGAGUCGAGUCGUGUGAGAGACUAAAUUAGUAUUUUUUUAUUUCAAUUAAAAGUAGAUAAAGUAGUAUUUUUCUUAAGCUUCUGGAAAUACUUAGGCCUAGAUUACUACUUUAGCGUCUUUGUGAGAAGAAGCAUGAAUGAAAUCGAGGAUUGUGCAAGUGUUUUUAGUGUCUAUCUUUACUUGCUUAUCUUUUAUUUUGUCUUUACAACUUUGGAUCAUGAGCAUUGUCUUGAAUUCUAAACCUUAGUUGUGGAGUUUAGUAAUUGAUUUAUUUAUGCAAUACACAUGCUUUAUGAUGAUUAAGUUCUUCAGUUUUGAUUAUGCUUCAUGAGUAAGACUUGAAUUGGAGGUGAUCUAAAAUUUUAUUGCUCAUCUAAAGCCUCUACAAAAAUAAGAUUGAUCAAGUUCUUUAACCAGGUUGAGAGUUAUUAUUUAUCCUAGCCAAUGCCCAAAAAGAUUUAUUCGUACCACCAUAAGCAGAUUUGACGCUUUGAAUUAAAUUAGGAUCGCUCUCUUAGUUUGCUUUAAUUUUGAGCAAUGAUCAUAUCCUUUUACCAUCUCUGAUUUCUAGCCUCGUCAAUAUUCAAUAUGAGAGUUCUUCACCGGAACAAUCAUAUUUUCUACUGAUUCCUAAACCCGAACCAAAUAUUUCUCAAUUUUAUUACCUAUUCCUUAAACACAACCCAA